UGUUGAUAUCAUAUUAAAGUGAAUUCAAGACCCUAUAUUAUUUUGCAUAACAUCAAAAUUUAGCCGAAUGGUAAUUAAGAAUUUCCUUUUUUGUUUGUCCCACAAUUAUAUAGUCUCAUUUUUUACAAUAAGCUCACAAUAUGCACGGAAAUGAAGAUCUAUUAAAAACUUCCCUAUAAUAUUAAACACUAAACAAUAUCACCAUGUUAUGCAUAUGGUGCCUCGUCAACAAUUUGAUGUUUAUUUUGUUUCUCGGGUGAAUAUGACUACUUGCGUUGCGAGUCCAUGCUUUUGUCGUUUGGAUGGAGGACGUGCCAUCUUUUUAUUUUAGAUGGUUUGUAAGACUUCUGAUUUAAUGAUUGAAUGCAGUCAAUUAACAAAAGCUUACAUAUUAUGUAGGUGCUGAUAUGUCUGUUCUUGAUAAAGUAGAUUUAUUUACAUCCAAGCCAACGGAGCCAAAGACAUUUCGUUAAUAAAAUACACGAUAAUUAUUUUUGUUAAACUGAUUUCUGGUUAAUAAGACCUAUAACAGCAUUCAAGGAAGCCACCGAACUCAAAGGAAAGGCAUGGUUAAAUAUACUGCGAAGCAUGUGAGUUCGUUUUUUAAUCUCUUGAUCACUCAUAAGCUUUUCUAUACCACUCACUGUAUCAUCCUUUUGAAUCGAUUUUGAUUGAUCAUCAGAGAUCAUGUACCCCACCUUAAGAUGAUUGAUCACAAAUUUGGCAUUGUAAUGUUGGUCACCUCUAAUUGGCCAUGCUAAAAUUGGGACUCGACAACCAAUUGCUUUUACUGUUGAAUUCCAUCCACAAUGAGAUAAAAAUCCACCCGUGAUUGAUGACUCAAUAUCAAUAAUUGUGGCGCCCAUCCAUCUAUUAUCAAAUCCUUUUUACCGACUUUAUUAUCCAAACCACUACGAAAAUAACUGCCUUCAGCUGGUUUGUCCAAAUGACGUAGAGGAUCCAAUCUACCUGCACCACCUUGAAUUACCCAAAUAAACGAUCGAUUUGAUGCUUCUAAAGGAUUAGCUAGUACUAAGUACUCAUCUAAGGUCAGAUCCACUUCAGUACCAAAUGACACAUAUAACACAGAUCCGCGUGAUUUCAAAUUCAACCUUUGAACGAUCUCAUCUUCCGUCAUAUUAGAACUCCGCCGGUUGGUUCUCAUCUCAUGAUCAUCAAGCACUGAACCGGCCGAUUUGUAAAAUUGUUCAGGUAAUAGUGGGCCCACUCCCCACAUCGGCUUUCCCAAUUCAUUGGCUAAAUAAUUAAUAAAUGGUCCCUCAAGACCAUCACACGUGUUGAACAUCAACGCCAUUGAUCCCUCCACUUCCUUCAUCCAGUGUGGUUGAUCACCGGCUUCUGGUGGACCUAUUUUCUCGGAACCGGGUGCACCUCUCAGAGGUGGUGGACCACCAGGAGGGGGCCCAUGAGGCCUGUGUUUUAGGUCCGAUUCAAAUAAAGCCAUAUCCUCGGGUAACCGAGGAAGUAAACGGGCCUCUCCCGGUUUGACAUCUUGGAUGCGAGCCUGCCACAUGGCACACUCCGCAGCUGCCGAGCAAGCACCAGAAGUGAAGAACCCAACAAUGGGAACUUCAAAAAUCUUGAAAACAUCAGCCGUCCAGCCCAUCAUAACGUCGAUGACUGCACAAACGGGUCGGCUUUUGGGUUCCCGGGUUGAAAGGAGGUUUCGAACUUCGAAGGCCUUGAAGCAUUUGGCUGUGCAUGGCAACAUGAGGGUGAGGAGGCGAAGGAGGGUAUUUCAGUAACUUCAAAGAGAGGGUAUUGGUGAAACGAGGAAGGGAUGAUGCUGGGGGCGGAAAUGUGAGAGGGAAUGAUGAGGGUAGAUUUGUAAUUACGAGUAGCGAUUUGCUUGCAUAAUUCAAUGCAUGGAAACAGAUGUCCCUGACCGAAGAAUGGGACAAUCCAAACCUCGGCCUCAGCAGCAGUAGCAACAGAGCUUGACAUCUUUUUGAAUUAUUUGAUACUUAAUUGUUACUGUUUGCUUUUACAUCUUUCAUAAAACACUCUUUGUUAUAUAUAAAGAGAUGACUUAAUGGAGAAGUAAGUGUUUUAGUUUUACAGUUUUACUAGUAGGUGAGCUCUGAGUUUGAUAAUUUGAUUGUUAGUUUUAGUUGGUUAGUUAUGAGAAAGCAUCUUUUAGAAAAUUCAUUCCAGUUUCAACUAAAAUUAAUAAUAUUGUUCAAAUUAAUUACUCGAUAAAUAAAUAAUUAGAGAUAAAUCUAUCCCUAAUCUCACAUUUAUAAAAUAAGGAUUGAAAUAAGUUCUUGUGGAUUCGAACUCAAGCCCUCAAGCCGAGUGGCUGGAUCUUGACUACUUUGACUUAAUUAUUAUUAUUAUUAUUAUUAUUAUUAUUAUUAUUAUUAUUAUUAUUAUUAUUAUUAUUAUUAUAUAUAUAUAUAUAUUUCAUUCUUUCAUUGAACAUCUUUUGUUAUAUAAUAAAGAAGAUAAGUUGACGGAGAAGAGUUUUACUUUUACUAGUAGAUGAGCUUUGAGUUGAGAACGUUAGUUUUAGUUGAUUAAAUAUCUACCAUCCAAAUCAACAUUCCUUAAACUAUUAUUCAAGUGAGAUGUCUGAGUAACAUACGCUUGAGUUAGUUGGUGCCUAACAAUUCGUGUGAUACAUGAAACCAACCAAUAUGAAAACCAAAUCAAGUUGGUAGGAUUACAUUAAUUUAAAUUAACUUUCAAGUUCCAACAUUAUAAGAUAAAUAAAUAGCAUAAACUAAUUUUUUUUUUCAAGUAAAUAUGUUUAUCGUUUAAAAAUUAUUUUUUCUUGCGGUAAAUGCAACACUAAAUAAGGAGUGAAGAGGGUAUUUUGUAGGGUAUACCCCCACCUUUUAUUUCAUUUCAUUAUUAAAAAAUAAAGGCUUGAUUCAACAUUCAAGUAAAAUUAACAAUUCCAUGAUAAAAUUGCUUGAGAAUAAGAAUUAAAAUAAAAAAAGAAAACAGCAACUCAAAAACGACAUACAAAUACCGCAUAGAGGUUUUUCGUCACGAGAUAUUUUUGGGUUGAGACAACAGUUGUAUAACAGAGCAUACAGACUGAAUGACGGUGAGAAUAAGAAGGAAAACGGCGCCACACACCGAAAUGCCAGCCCAUGGAGUAUUGAAGUAAUUUUGUUUCAAGUUUGCCCUCCAUUUGUAGCACGUUCUUUUGCAGUGAUCAUUCAAUCCUUUGCAUAGCCCAGAAAAAUAGAAGCUAUUAGACAGCAGAGUAGUACCUCUAGAAAGGAACACAUAAUCAUUUAUGUAACACAUAAUCAUUUAUGUAAUUCUCUGAGUAAUGCCGUUGUUCAAAGGCAAUGAGAUUACGAAAUAAGGAUUCUGUUUCUAGCUGUAGCUUCAGUUUCGGAAUAUGCGAUGUCCUGUUUUUGAAUUCUAUGGCGAACAAAUCAUUGCUCUUGCUCAAACUGAAGUGGACUCCAGCUUGGUGGAGAUUAGUCACACUUGGUGCGGUUUUACCUUUGUGGUAUUGCUGACCUUCUUGUUUUUCCUGAUUCCUCGAUGAUGGGAGAUGGCAAAUCCUUAGAAAAUCAAGGAAAUGCUCUACCCUAGCCUUAGUGUAAGGAGGGAAUUUUUGCUGAUUACCUUGUACUACCUCUAAACCCUUGAAAUACUCGUAUGUGACUGUGAUGAUGGUUGGAUUUUCAUGUUGGUCGGGGAUUUCAAUUGCCGCUAGAGCAAAAAGAUCCUCAAGAAUGAAGAAAGGAAGCUGAUUCUCAAGCAACCACAUAUCAUACCGUAUAUCCUCUAUUAAAUAGGGUUUAUGAAAUAUAUGAUCAUCUUUUUUUUGAAGUUGACGGAAAUGAUACCUCAAUAAGAGUUCAAUGAUGAAGGCAGCAUCCAGCAGAAUCAUUUCAACAAAUUUAUCACUACUUAGUUCGACUUUUUCUGCAUAAGAACCUCGUAAUUCUGCUUCUCUGAACUUUAUAAUUUGAACAAACUCGUCAAAGCUUAUUUGGGUCCGUUGAAGAAAGUAAUGCAGGUACCGCUGUUUAUGUUCUUCCAUGAACUGUAAGUUUGCUUUGCCAUGCUGAAGAGGGCCAAUUGAGACUACCUGAGGUGUAUGUACCUUUUCAUUUAUCUGACGUAAUCGCUCUGGAACUCUGUAGAUGCAGCAGUUUGAGGGCAAUGGUGAUAAUUUUUUCAACUUAACUUGCAAGCAUUCUUCCAUGUUAUAAACUGAAAACAUGGCGCGAAAUUUAAUCAAUUCAACACUUAAUAAGGCAUAGUAAUUAAAAAAGAAUUAAAAAAAAAAACCAAAUACAAGAGCAUUCUUACACGUACAGAAGCACCUCAAUCCCUACUAUUUGCAGAGCUGUAGCCAGGAGUCAAUGAUAGACCAGACUGAACUAAAAGGAACAACUUUCUUAGGAAUAUGUUAUCGGUAUUUUCUCUGGCCUCAGGCCAUCAACAAAGCAGUUUCAGUGCUUCUUAUAUAAUUCCAUGGAUUAUUCCUUGCCUUUACAGAUGAUAUAAGUCACAAUUCAUAUAUUAAUUUCUCCAGAUUCCGUACAAGUGGACCAUAACUAUGGAAAAAUUCAAAGAAUGCAACAGCCAUUUGAUUGGUCCAUGUCAGAAGUUAAUCUGGGGAAAGAAGCUUGAUCUAGCAGUAAAAUUCUCUCCUUCAAUCAGUCAGUUUGGGGCAGCAACAAGAUCAAAGCCACCACGCAAACAUUUACUAAAGUUUAUAUAAUAUUCACUAGUUUAUAUAAUAUUCUUGAAACUCAUCUUAAGUAAAGCAACAAAAGCCUUCACUGUUUCUUAACAACUUUAUUGCUCUAACACGUAGCAUAACACUUUUAAAUUUGCAUAAAGCACAAUAGUACUUUAGUUUGUAACAACAGCACAGAUAAUAAAUCGCAUUUUAUAGCUUUAACAAAAGCAUACAAAAUUCUUAAACCUUGUUUCAAGCAAUUCAUUAAUGCCACAAGGAUGUCUUUUUGCUUCCUACAGUUUUUAUUGAAAUUCAUAUAUUCUUCUUUAUCAAAUUAAGUAAUUUUCCUUUUUCAAAAAAUCAAGAAGGUUUCGACUGCAUGGAAAUACAGCACACAAUUACUACUAUUCCCGGAGUAAGAAAUUCAUAAAUGCAAUAUAAACAUACAUUUUCAUAAGACAUCAGAAUCAAAGAAUCAUCAAUGCAUCAAAUCUGUACACCCAAAAAAGUUGAAAGCAUCAAGAGAAAAUUAUACCGCAUGGACCCUUUACAACCCUUAUAACGAGUUCAGACAGCCUAAUCCAAUUUAAUAGAUUUGAGGACAGCUACAAUGUGCAAUACAAAAUUUCCCAAUACUAUUUAGAACAAAGUCUAGAAAAUAAAACCUAUAUAUUGUACAAAAUCACGAAAACCAGAAAUGACGAAAAACCUGCGAAUGUAAUUUUUGGGUUUCUUCAACAUAUCUUCCAUCCAAAUCAAACAAGAAUCGAUAAAUCAACAACAUUCAUCUUUAAACGACAUAUUACCACAAUAAAAUUGUCAACCAAGCCUCAUAUAAACCUUUUUUGUGUUUUUUGGUAAAUAUAUUUGUUAUUCUCUAAGAAUACUAGGGAAAAAAGAAACCCACUUUCUUAAUCAAGAAUCAAAUAGUAUAUAUGAAUCUAAGCUGAAGUAAGUCUUGGGUUUGAUGAAAAAGCUUGCAUUGUGAUUUAGAUUGGAAAGGAAGUUGAUUUUUGCUGGUUGAGAGAGAGAGAUUUGAGACUUAAGGAGUGUUGCUAAUCUUCGAUCGUGUAAACAAGGGUAACUGGGUCAUAGUUCAAAAUAAGGGUCCAAAAUUUACUAAAGCUAUUAAGGAGCCCAAAACUCAUAAUGGCUUCCCCAAAAUAAAUAAAAUUUUCUAGCAUUAAGUUUUUGUUUCUUCUUGAGAUUUCCUUGUCGUACUUACCCAUAUUUCGAUAUUGCCUCCAAGUAAACUUAUAUAUAUUGAUUAACAAUAUAAACAAGCACUAUGAAGUUUUAGGCCUGAAAAAACAUUGAGGUUGAAAUGAAAACCAUCUAUUUAAGUAACAAAAUCUUCUGAUAAUUUGAUGCUUAAUAAAUAGAGCAGAGAUGACAUAUUAAUCACGCUAUGAUGUGGAAGUUAUGAUUAUAUUCAUCUUAAGAAUAAGAUCUUUCAAACACUGGCAGAUUAGUAUCAAAAUACUCAGCAUAAGACCUACAAACUAGAAAUCAUGAACCAAUUAUUGAACUCAGUACAUAAGUUGAUCUUUUAUAAGCUAUAAAACAAAUCUGCUAUAACAUAAGAAAGUGGGAUUUAUCACCAGACAAAUAUUUUGGUGAAACUCAAGAUGACGGAAGGAUAUCCAAAACAACCUCCUUAAGGGAAGGCAUCACUUCCUGCUGAUGCAAACAUAUAUAUUUAUUACUCACUUUCUUGAGGACCUUCCAGGAACCUGGGUAGCAUCUAACAGAAAGUGGAAAAGAAUAAAAUGUAAAAUAUAAGUUAAACAGCAGGAAAACAGUGAGUGAUACUAGGCAAGCAUUAAUAGGUUGCCGCAGGAAAAGUGUCAGUAACUAGCUAGCAAACCUGAAAAGGGUUCCUCCAUUGCGACCCUUAAAAUUGUGAAUGUAAUAUAUGGUCUCCAUCACAGGAAAAAGUGUAUUGGAUAGUGCAGCCAGCUUAGUGUUGCGGACCGCCCAAAUUCGUAGCCCAAUUUAUUCACCAAGAGCCCAACACAAGGCCAAGAGUGCUACCUUGGCCCGAUUCCGGAAAAUUCUAGGCAACUCUAGCACAUUGAGCUUGUAAAUACUCUAGAAUUCUCCAUAGAAUUCCAGCACAUGUAAAUAGCUAGGAAAUGGUAGAAUUCUCUAGAAUCUCUAGAGCUUGGCAAGCCUCCCCUAUAAAUAUGGGAUGGCAUUAGGCAUUUGUAUCCAACAAACACUACAACAAGCAUUGUAAGCAACUCAAGCAAUGUAAUUCUCUCUUUGUGCAAUACAAUUUCUCUUAUUCGGCUCUAUUGCUCUCUUCUCUAGUUCGAGAAGCUCUAAGCUUACUUAGCAACAUUCGGCAAAGUUGUCUAAGUGCCGCACGAGUUAGCUGCGCAAAAUACUCAUCCCGUGACAAGUGGUAUCAGAGCUAAAGUUUGCACGCACGCAAAUUAGCUCACGAGCAAUGGCCAACCUUUCAAACGUAGCACAAUAGGGUGUUGUUGGUGUGGAUGUUCCACUGGAACCAAGCCGCGACCAAGAGGGAGAACGCUCCCAAGGCAAGACUCGUGGCAAGUCCAAGGCCCCAUCCGUGGAUGCGUUGGAGCCUCGUGUGACUACUCUCGAAAUCACAUUGUCCGCCGCUCAAGAAAGUCUCGAGGGAUUGGAGGAACGAGUGGACGGUCUCGAGGGGGAAUACGCCGAGUUCACGGUGGCAACAAAAGCUCUCAUCCAAGAGCAAGCGAACACUCUCCGAGGUGAGUUUCGUUCUUUCCAUGAUGAGUUGCUCAAACUUCGUAGCUUUGUUCAGGAUGAACUACGAGCUGUCCGUGCAGAAGUGGAUGAAGUCCGCUCGGAUUGGGCAUGGCACAAGUGCACAGUCUCUGCUAGUCCAGCUUCCGCAAACUCGAGUGAUGCGCGCCGCAUUGACGUGCCAAAGCCCGACACCUACGAUGGCACACACAAUGCCACCAUCGUGGAUAAUUUCCUCUUUGGGCUCGAUCAAUACUUCGAUGCCAUGGGUGUCCGAGACGAGGCAUCGAAAGUGGGCACUGCACCCACCUAUCUUAGAGGCGCUGCACAACUAUGGUGGCGUCGCAAGUAUGGCGAGAUGGGCAAGGGCAUUUGCACCAUCGACACUUGGGCCAACUUCAAGCAAGAACGCCGAAAGCAGUUCGCCCCAAGCAAUGCGGAGAAGGAAGCACGAGCGUGCUUACGUCGCCUCAAGCAAACGGGUAGCAUAUGGGACUACAUCAACGAGUUCACUACCCUUAUGUUGGAGAUAAGCGACAUGUCCGACAAAGAUUCGCUCUUCUACUUCCAAGAUGGCCUCAAGGAUUGGGCCAAGACUGAGCUUGAUAGGCGUGGUGUUCAAACACUUGACGAUGCCAUGGCCGUUGCGGAGUCGCUCACCGAAUACUCUAUCCAAUCCAAGGACAAAAAGGCCAACCAAGGCAAAGGUGGGGGAGAGAGUCGCAAGGACAAGGGCAACAACCGCAAAGAUUGGGGGUAGAAAAAACUGCCUAGCAACAAGAGCGAGCAAGGAAAAUCGGAGGGUAAGAAGGAGGCGCCAAAGCCGCGAAGCCCAUGCUUCAUAUGCAAUGGUCCUGAUUGGGUACGCGACUAUCCGGAGAAGAGGUCGCUAAACGCUCUUGCUGCCCAACUCAAGAGCAACCCUACAAUGUCCACAGAGGAACCCCAACUCAGCAUGGGUUCUCUCCAACGCCUCGGCGCACUUAAUCACUAACAGCCUGCACUCGUCAAGAAAGGGCUCAUGUAUGUAAGCGCAAAGGUAAACGGUCAGUUCGUUCGCGCGCUGCUAGACACGGGAGCGACGCACAACUUUGUGUCCGUAGACGAGGCCAAGCGCUUAGGCCUCAAGGCCACCAAGGAAGGAGGCACGAUGAAAGCGGUGAACUCACCCGCCAAGCCAAUUGCGGGGAUCGCACAAGGCGUGCACAUUAUGCUUGGAACAUGGAGCGGAAAGCUUGAUUUCUCCAUCGUUCCCAUGGAUGACUUCAAGAUGGUCCUCGGCAUGGAAUUCUUCAACCAAGUCCAUGCCUUCUCGCUGCCCGCUCCGAACUUCCUAAGCAUCCUCGACGGGAGUAAGGCAUGCAUGGUUCCCACGGAACGAGGCAAGUCCGAGGAGAAGACACUCUCUACCAUGCAAUUUAAAAGGGCUUUCAAGAAGGACCCAAGUUUCUUGGUCUCCAUUCGGGAACUAAACGAGGUAGGAAAUAGCGGAAUCUCGCCAAACCAAGUCCCUCCGCGAAUUCAAGCCGUCCUUAAUGAGUACAAGGACGUGAUGCCUCCAGAACUUCCGAAGAAACUCCUACCUCGACGAGAGGUUGACCAUGCAAUUGAGCUGGAACAAGGCACGAAGCCACCAGCCUUGGCGCCCUACCGCAUGGCGCCACCCGAAUUAGAGGAGUUGCGGAGACAACUCAAAGACUUACUGGACGCAUGCUACAUUCGCCCCUCAAAGGCCCCAUUCGGUGCACCUGUGCUCUUCCAAAAGAAAAAUGAUGGAUUGCUGCGGAUGUGCAUCGAUUAUAGAGCGCUCAACAAGAUCACCAUCAAGAACAAGUAUCCGAUUCCCUUGAUCGCGGACUUGUUCGACCAGCUUGGCAAAGCGCGGUACUUCACCAAACUCGACUUGCGCUCCGGGUACUACCAAGUGCGCAUCGCCAAGGGAGACGAACCAAAGACAGCGUGCACAACAAGGUACGGGUCUUUCGAAUUCCUUGUGAUGCCUUUUGGCCUUACUAAUGCACCCGCCACAUUUUGUACGCUCAUGAACAAGGUGCUCCAACCAUUUCUCGACCGCUUCGUGGUCGUGUACUUGGAUGACAUAGUGGUGUAUAGCACCACGCUCGAGGAUCAUGCCCAACACUUGCGACAAGCCCUCCAAGUACUUCGAGACAAUGAGCUAUUCCUCAAAUUGGAGAAGUGCUCGUUUGCCCAACGAGAAGUGGAGUUCCUUGGCCACAAGAUUGCGGGCGGGAAGCUCAUGAUGGAAAAUGCCAAAGUGAAGGCCAUUCUCAAAUGGGAACCUCCCUCGAAAGUGCCCGAGCUUCGCUCAUUCCUUGGGCUGGUGAACUACUACUGCCACUUCAUCAAAGGCUAUUCGGCCAAGGCAGCACCCUUGACGGAUAUCAGAACGUGGCAUUAGUUCGAAGAGUGCCAACGCGCAUUCGAGGAGUUGAAGAAGGCAAUUUCAGAAGAACCUGUCCUCGCUCUACCGGACCACACAAAGCCCUUCGAAGUCCAAACAGAUGCCUCAGAUUUUGCCAUAGGUGGAGUCCUUAUGCAAGAAGGCCACCCCAUAGCGUUCGAGAGUCGAAAGCUAAAUGAUACGGAGCGUCGCUACACGGUGUAAGAGAAGGAGAUGACAGCCAUCAUACAUUGCUUGCGUGUGUGGCGACAUUACUUGCUAGGCUCACACUUCACGAUUAUGACGGACAACGUGGUGACAAGCUACUUUCAAACUCUAAAGAAGUUGAGUCCGAAGCAAGCACGGUGGCAAGACUUCCUUGCGGAAUUCGACUAUUGGCUCGAGUACAAACCGGGGAAAGCCAAUGUCGUUGCGGACGCUCUAAGCCGCAAGGUGGAAUUGGCAACACUUAGCAUGAGCCAACCGAAGUUCGACCUUAUCUCACGCAUCAAGGAAGGCCUCCAACAAGAUCCGCUAGCAAAGGAUUUGCUGGAGAAGGUGCUCGAGGGAAAGACAAGGCGUUUUUGGCAAGAGGAAGGCAUCCUCCUCACCAAGGGAGAUAGGCUGUUCGUGCCAAGGUGAGGAAACUUGUGGAAGGAAGUUAUCAAGGAGUGCCACGACUUCAAGUGGGCUAGUCACCUAGGAAUCGAGCGCACCACCGCACUAGUUCAAGCCUCGUAUUUUUUGCCACACAUGAGGGACGACAUCGAGGCAUAUGUGCGAACUUGUCUUGUGUGCCAACAAGACAAGGUGGAUCAUCAACUUCCAGCGGGAUUAUUAGAGCCGCUAUCGCUAGCAACAAGACCAUGGGAAAGUGUCUCCAUGGACUUCAUCACAUCGCUGCCUAAGUCCGAAGGAUGCGGAAGUAUCAUGGUCGUUGUCGACCGAUACAACAAGUAUGCCACAUUUAUUGCCGUACCAAUCGAUUGCAAAGCGGAUGAGGCAUCUCGCCUAUUCGUCAAGCACAUUAUGAAGCUUUGGGGAGUUCCAAAGAACAUUGUGAGCGACCGAGACCCUUGGUUCACUGGGCGUUUCUGGACGGAGCUCUUCAAGAUGUUAGGGACCGAUCUCAAGUUCUCGACAAGCUUUCACUCACAAACGGAUGGGCAGACCGAGCGCAUUAAUGGCCUCCUCGAGAUGUACUUGAGGCAUUAUGUGAGCGCUCAUCAGCGAGAUUGGGCGAAGCUAAUCGACAUCGCCCAAUUUUCUUAUAACUUACAGCGAAGCAAGGCUACGGGCAAGAGUCCGUUCGAGAUCAUCAUGGGAUUUCAGCCCAUGACCCCCAACGCCAUAGCCUCGACUUACGGAAGGAAAAGCCCCGCGGCACACAAGCUCACCCGCGAAUGGCAUGAGGAAGCGAACACCACGCAAGCCUAUCUCGACAAAGCCGUGAGGAAAAUGAAGAAAUGGGCGGAUACAAGGAGACGACAUGUUGAGUAUAAGGAAGGUGAUCAAGUUAUGAUCAAGCUCCUACCCCAACAAUUCAAGAUGUUGCGGAAAGUCCACAAGGGGUUAGUGAGGCGCUACGAGGGACCCUUCCGAGUUGUUCGACGUGUGGGCAACGUCUCGUAUCAACUCCAACUUCCGCCAAGACUCAAGAUCCAUCCGGUCUUCCAUGUGAGUCUUCUCAAGCCAUAUCACGAAGACAUGGGAGACCCAAGUCGCGGAGAAUCGAGGCGCGCACCAACUGCCGUUGUCACCGCGUUCGACAAAGAUGUGGACUACAUCAUUGCGAACCGCGUGGUUUCGAGGAGGGGCGUGCCAGCACAUAGCGAGUACUUGGUGAAGUGGAAAAACCUCCCCGAGAGCGAAGCCACUUGGGAACGUGAAGACAAUUUGUGGCAAUUCGUUGAGCACAUCCAGAGGUUCAAGCACGAGAGCGCGAUGAGGACGCCGCGAGGUUAGGUGGGGGAGGAUGUUGCGGACAGCCCAAAUUCGUAGCCCAAUUUGCUCGCCAAGAGCCCAACACAAGGCCAAGAGUGCUAGCUUGGCCCGAUUCCGGAAAAUUCUAGGCAACUCUAGCACAUUGAGCUUUUAAAUACUCUAGAAUUCUCCAUAGAAUUCCAGCACAUGUAAAUAUCUAGGAAAUGGUAGAAUUCUCUAGAAUCUCUAGAGCUUGGCAAGCCUCCCCUAUAAAUAUGGGAUGGCAUUAGGCAUUUGUAUCCAACAAACACUACAACAAGCAUUGUAAGCAACUCAAGCAUUGUAAUUCUCUCUUUGUGCAAUACAAUUUCUCUUAUUCGGCUCCAUUGCUCUCUUCUCUAGUUCGAGAAGCUCUAGGCUUACUUAGCAACAUUCGGCAAAGUUGUCUAAGUGUCGCACGGGUUAGCUGCGCAAAAUACUCAUCUCGUGACAUUAGGGUAGAAGAAUGACGGAUAAUCUUUAGCUCAUUUAAGGAAAUCCUCUCUGAUCCUUUCAUUGCACAUUCCAAAACAACUCUACUACAACCAAGUUACCAAUUCUUUUUGUUAAGUCAUUGUUAUUUGUUAAAAAAAAAAAAAGUCUUCCUUGCAACAUUUUAUUGAAAGAUAUAACAUGAUCAUCCCUAUUAAUUCCCUUUUAGAUUUCUGUGAGUGAAUUUCAAAUUAUUGUAUUCAAAAAUAGAAGCAAAAGACCCACUUUACUUUCAAUUUCUGCAACAAGAUACCAAUUGAAGGACCAAAAAGUUGUAAACAAGCAAUUCAAUGGGUGGGCAUCUAGAAACUGCUAAAUAGCAUCAAAAUCAUACUAAAUUUACAGAAAGUACAAUAAUAAUGAAAGAAUGGUGAAGGAUACACCCAGACCUUAUCCGGUCAAGUUCUCUAUUGAAUAUAAUCAGUUUCUGGGCAGUAUUGAAGACAGCUUCUUUGUAAAGCUCUUCAACGACAAGCAUUUCUACAAGACGAAAGAAAAGCAAAAUUAAUUACCUUAAGGAAUGAAUAUCAAUAAGAAGACAAGGUGUAAGACUACCAUUGACAUUAAAAUAUGGAUAGGCGACUAGAAACAAUUCAUCUUCUGGCUUCACACGGUCUGCCAUUUUAACCUUCUCAGUGAAUCCAAAAUCCUCAAAGAAUGAAGGUUUUGUUAGAUAGUCCAACUUAAAUAAUGAUCCUUCAAAGACCGAUUUUCUUGCAUAUUUGACUUCAUUUGCCUCUGGGAAAAACUAAAAACCAAAUGACAGACCAAGAUCACGAAACGAAUCAUGAACAUAGAUAUCAGAUAAUCAGAAAUGGGCAUUAAACAGACUACUAACAAGUAGGAAAUGCAUACAGAAAACAUUAUUCAUACACCUUAUGCACAUGAAAUAUAUAUGCAGAGGGAUCCUCUUGUGAAUUUAGUUUAUAUCCUAAUAUGAGACAAUGAACAAUUGGAUGGCAUCUAAGGGCUAACAUUUGUUUGAUUAUUAUAUGAAAAAAAAAAACAAAACAGAGUUGAUUGAUGGCCUUUGAUGGAUUGCCUACACUCUUAAAGUGCAGAGAGCCUGAUUAAUUGCUUUACCUGCCCCCCCCCCCCACACACACUUGGUUUUAUUAUCUCUCUUUUCAAAUAUAUAAUCAUUGGCUGUCUUUCAUCCUGAUCCGGCUCUCCUUCCAGGCCCCAGCUGUGUUUUCUUCAAUUCAGUGAAACAUUCACAUUCAGGUAAGAAUAAACUUGUCCUUCCUCAAAAAUCAGCUUCUCACCAUGAAGCUUUCUUUUUUAAACCAAUUACUAGUCUAGCAUAACGCAUCUAAUUGAAGACAACUCAGAAUUGAAAAAGCCAUACUUUAAUGUCUGUUGUUGGGACCUCAAGACCAGGAACAAAAAGCUUCUUUCUAACAGUUGGAUUAACAAGUAGAAAUAGCUUUUUUUCUGAAGGACCCAACAUUGCAUUGAAAAAUUCAACAAAAGGAAUGGCAUCAUAUUUAGUCCUGCUAGAAUUUUGUGCACUUAACACAAUGGUUAAUAAUUGGCCCAGCGGACACUUUGUCGAACUAUUGGCAACCUUGACUGUGGAAAUGCAUAUUUCAAAUGUUGGCAGGCUCUAGCUUCUUGAUGUACUGUUGAUAGAAAUGCCUAUUUCAAAAGUUGGCAGGCUCAAACUGCCGAGACUUUGGUUUCUUGCAUUUCAAACCCACAAAUAAAACUUUGGCAGAACCCCAGAAAGAGCUACACCUCCCAAAUUUGAUGACAAAUGAAGAGACCAUGCCUAGUGCUUAGUUCGGCAAAUGAGUAAGUUUGAAAGAAAUUAAGGGAAACCUUUCCCACAGAGAGUCAUAUUGAAGGUUACAAUUUGAAGACUUUGUCCCCUGUCGCCCACAACCUUCUUUGAUCUCUUUGCUUAGUCAUAAAUAAUCAAACAUAUGUUAGUCGUUGGAUGCAAUCCACUCACUGACAUCUCAUGUCCACAAUCAAUCAACCAUAUUUUAAUAGAAAUGAAAACAUUUUAAUUAAAAAAGAAUGAGAUAGGAACAAAAUGAAACUUGGCAGACAUGGGUCUAUGAGAUUUUAAAGAUGCUUGGUGAAAGUCGUAUUCAAGAGUUCAACAGUCAGUUCUAUCACCUAUGGCAAAGUAACCACCAUAACUAAAGCAAUUACAAAACAUCAAGAAGCUUGAACUUGGCAAGAGGUCUCAUUAACAGUAUACCUCAGAAAUUAAGACAGACUUAAAGUACAAGCUUUUGGAUUUAUUUAAACACUGAAAAUAAUAUGGGUAGAAGCUCCUAUGGUCACAGCAAACAAUUACAAAGCACAAAACCCAAAAAAUAGAUAUGCAAAAAGCUGCAAAAGAACAUUAUUAGCAAUUGACAUCUGCUUUGCUCAGACAAAGGUUCUCAUAACAAAGGACUUAGUGAUUAUCUUUCAUAUGUUUAUGUUAAGGGGAAAAAGGAAGUUUGUUUUAGUCAAUCUCAUGUCUAAUGGCAUUCAUAAGGAGCCCAAAAAUAAAAGAAAAAAUAAAGAGUUAGUAGGUGUUUCUCGCAGUAUAAAGAAAAUUUAUCAUCCAUGAAAAACUUAGUAUGGAAAAAGCUAACUCAUUUAUCUGCCAAUGGAGAAAAACUUGUUGUCCACCCACUAAGGACCCACCAUUGGGAGAUGGAUCCCAUGGAUGGGAACCACAAAUAUUUUAUUCUAAAUGAAAUGGGUAUUGUACCAUAUCAUUUAAUUUGUAGAUUCCACUGAUGGAACUCAUCAAACUUUUCAAAUGGUAGGUCCUUCAUGGGUAGGCGCAUCACUUCAGCAUCCUUCUCCACCGAUGACUAAAUCUGGACUCAUUUAAAAAGAAUACAAAGCAAAACUAAUUGACACAAAUUGCAUAGAGGUCUAGGAGCCAAAUCAAUGUUGUUAACUCAUCCAAUUAAUACAUUCUCUUAGAGGUCAUACCUUGGUAACUCAUUUCAAAAGAAAUUAAAAGAAAAACGACUGCACAAAUUGUACUGAGCUCAAGAAGACCUGUUCAAGGUGUUCACUUGUCCAACUAAUAAAAGUCAUCAAGGAUUGUAUCGGGGACUUGGGACCAAUCCUGCCUUAACUAGAGAAAGGGAAUUUAGGAUGAAGAAGAUAACCUCUUCUCCUAGAGCCCUUUUGGACAAAAAUGAAUUCCUACUAAUUCUGAGAAUAAAACCAUAGACAUCUAACUUCUGAUAUCUAGUCAAUCUGGUAAAAUCUUGUCAGUUGCACUUGGGGCAGAAAUUAGUUCCACCUUGGUUUACAGGACAGAAAUUCGUCAUAUGCAUGUAUUUAUUUAUGUUUUAUACACAAACGCAUACAUGUACACACAAACACUACCUUCACUUUGAAGAAAAGAUUAAAAUAACACUGCUCACAUACACAAUACUUACUAUUCUAGUUCGUGUAACUUUCUCUGGAGUCACAAACAGGUCACAGAAUUCACGUAUUAACCGCAUACUUCCAGUCAUUUCUAUUCCUCCUUCACCAUCACCUGUCCCACAAUUACAAAAAGUGAGAGGUAAUAACCAACAUAUUUGGGUUGCUCUUCGGUAAGGGGUGGGAGGUAAGGGUUAGUUGUGGAGGGCACCUGGUACAGAAUCAAGGCCAGCUGUUGGGAAUUCGAUCUCUUGUAACAUAUACUUGUUCAUCAUAAACUAUAUACUUAUUCUGCAGUCGAUGUGUGCAUAUAGCUCUUCAAUUAUCCAGUAAUAACUCACCAUCAACUUCCUACCAUCCUUCAUGGCUAAUUCAGCAGCCAUUUUUGCCUGUUUAAAGGUCAAAAGCCCAAACUAAGCAGAUGCUCCUACUCCGAUACUUAUUAUCUAACUACUACAGAACAGAUGAUACACAUCAAGUUGUAUCAAGAGAGACACCAAGUUGUGUUUUCCAAGAGGUUCCAAAGAGGAUCUGUUUCUUUGUGUAAUUUUUAGACUGCUUUGACAACUCAUCUUAAAGGUGCCACUCAUCCAAUAUGAUGUGGUGACAGUAGUUUAGAGUUUUAAACUAAAUGCAGAGCUAAUAGUAUUUUGGAAAUAUAAUCAUCCUAAGAUACUAUAACACAAGGAUUCUUACACAAAAACAACAACUUCGAUGUAGAGAGAAGAUGAUUUCACAAAAGCAGAUGUUUUGAUUUAAGUCUCCAAAACCCCCACCAAGAAAAUGUUCAACGGAUAUAGAAAUAUGAUCCACAUAUCUGUAACUUAAACUGUAAAAGUUGUUGAUGUUGUUCUAAAAUUGCCACAAUCUAUCUACCCCAUGAAUGUUUUUGGAUAAAACAAGAAGCAGGACCCAAUGCCUGUUUUCUAAUAGCUUCAAAAAGGCCAAAUUGGUUUUGAAAUGUCUCCAGCUUUUCAUUUAACAAGUUUAAGGAUCCCUUCGGCAUUGCAAUUGGGGAGCUCAGAUAUAUAAAAGUGCCUGGUAAACUCUUACAGCCGCAGCUUUUGAGCAAAAAUAAUUUUAUCUCAUAAUUGUUUGACUAAAAACAUAUAUCACCUUUUAUCAGUUUUGUAAAAAAUAUUAUUUAUAAGUCAUAUUUACCAAACACAGUCAACUUUUACAUCACAACUAUAGCUUUUUUUUUUUUUUCACCACACAUAUAUAGUUAAAAACUACAAGAACUCGAUAUCAAACAGAUCCUAAAGCGUAAUCUAAUAAAAAGGUAAAUAAACAAAUGCAGAAGCCAGCGUACUUGAUCAAGAAGCUCUGAAUAGUCACUGGGAAAGGGAAUAUCGACGUUAAUGGGGUUAUUGCCAUCGCUUGAAACCGAAUUGGUGAGACAAUUGCGUUUUCUUCUGUACGGCGAAAAUGUGACGAUUGAGUAACAACUUAUAUCGAACUUUAGGUUAAAAUAAUUACUAUGGAAUAUUGGAAUACGAGAUUAUUAGCAUUUGAGUGCUUGAGUGGGAAUCAAGAAAACUUAAAAUAGUUCAGUUAACCCAAAAAGAAAAAGGGGGGAAAAAACCCAUGGAAAGUGCGAUGAAUGUAAAUCCACUUUAAAACUUUAAUCAUAAAUGGUUAACUAAUUUUAAGUAAUUUGGAUUAACUUGACAAAUUGAAAAACCAUGCACUAGAGGAAAAUGUUCAUAUUUGGAGGUCCGAAUUUAUCUACCAUUCAACCCUAUUUUCAGCUCCUGCAUGGAGGAUAAGUUAGUUUGGUGAAUCUACCACUAGCUAAUUAGCUAAUUUUUUUUUUUGAAGAUAGCUAAUUAGCUAAUUAAGAGAGCAUUAACGUUGAUAAUUUGUCCUAUCUAAAAUGAAAAGUAAGAAAUUUACACUAGUAAAUUUUACACAAUCACAGUUGGAAUUUCAAAGAAACAAAAACGGAUCAAUAGUGCAAUUGUAAUUCAAAUUUGCACUUUAGGCCACACGUUCGGCCCAGUUCUUGUAUUAACACUUCAAUACUUGACAUGUGGCCAUUUUUUUAUUCGUCCACGUUCUUUGCAUUCUCAUGGUAGUACUCGAACAAGACAAAAUUUCACGAAUAUUCAGUUGAAUUGUUGUUGAAACAUGUAUAAGAAAUCAAAUCUCGUUAGUUUUGAAUAUUACCAGCAACUCAAAUUAUUUUAACCUAAAGUUCAAUAUAAGUUGUUGUUGGGGGUUAACGGCAUUUUGAACCACAAAGUAAAGAGAGAGAGAGAAGAAACGCUCCCCUUUCAAAUACCGUGCUCUUUUGUACCUGGGAAUUUAAUAAUUCAUGCGAAUAAAAAAAUUAUAAAUUUAGUAAAUUAUUUAUUAAAAAAUAUUGAGAGGUUGUGCAUUAUUUUAUUAGUAAUGACAUAGUAAUCAUCAAAUUAGUUGAAUUAAAAUAGUUGUUGACUCACGUAAUUUAUUUUUAUUAUUUUUAAAAAAAAUGGUCUGCGUUAAUAAGGUUAAGGGUGACAACUGGGAUCAAUAUACAGUUUAUUCGGGUGCUUAAAACCUAAUAAAUAUCCACUAACUCAUAUAUAGUUAAAAUAUAAUUAUUUUUAAAUAAAAAAUUUAAUAUAAACUAAACAAAUUGAUCGGAUUUUGUUUCUCAAGGUACAUCAUUAGAACGUUACUUUUAAUUGAACAAAAGCACACAUAACUAGCACAUUCGCCACAAAAGCCUCGGCUUAGUGGUCGGCUUAUUAAUUAUCCUAAUAAAAUCAUGGUCAUAAAUUUGAGUCCCCGUAGGUUAGGUAGCUUUUUUAGACUACACUAUAAAUACAUGUAUUUUACUUCUCGCGGGUAUUGCUUCUAGUAGUUAUCCAUCCGAGUAUAGAGCUUUGUAGCUUUCUUCAUGACCUUCCCCAAUUUCAAUGCUUGUUAAACAAUCUCCACAGAAAAUGUGAUAGAAAUGUCCCGCUGCCACUUGUUGUGCAUAGUCCAAAUCUGCAAUUUAAGGUCAUCAUUUCAUUUAAUUUUCCGUUAUAUAUAUUCAUCUUUCUUAGAGGCCAAGAAGUCUUCGACAGAAAUGUGAUCUUUUUCUAGUAGCCUCCCGGUGAUGAGCUUCUCCCAAGUUUCAAUUAAUUCGCUUUGAGUGAGGAUAUUUUCUGGUGGCCUCAAAUACAAUGUUUUGUUCAGCACUCGAGGAGCAUCUAUUCUCUUAAUAGUAUAUAUGGCAACAUCAUCGAUAUGCACCAUAGAAAAAAAGAUAAUCAUUUUGUUUAAUAUGAACAUAAAUUCUUACAGUCUAACUCAUAUUAUAGUGAACGAUGUUGUUGUGUGGUGCGUGCAUGCACUAUCUAUAGUUUUAAUAUUAUUAAUAAAGAGUUAAAAGUCUUGAUUUAAUUUUAAAUUGUCAUUCCUCUAACUUCACCGUCUUCAUAGAUCCAGACUUUAUCUUUUGAAGGGCGAGGGUAGCUAUAUUUGAGAGAGGUGUCCGGGGAACCAACCAGCAAAAAACAGCUAGCAGAAACAUAAAUGACAGGGAUUUGAGCAGCCUUGAUUGCCCUUCUCACACAUGUGCUCUGCGUUCUCCCUCUCGCUCUCACUCACUCACGCCCAAAUCUCACCUCACUCACGCCCAAAUCUCACCUCACUCACGCAUCUCUCCUUCUGACCGGUGGUUUUCUCUCUCUCGCCGUGGGUCUCUAGGCUGGCAGGGAUUUCUCGACUUGACUACUAAAACAUAAUCCAAAAACUACUAAGAGAUGUAUAUAUUACUCUGAUAUACACAAUAUGAAGAAACUGCAGUUAUAUUUCAAAUAUUAUAUGAAGGAAGAGGCUGUAUGGAUUAUCCAAAGGUGCUGAAAUUAAGAGACCCACACCAACCGACAGACCCCCGGUGAUAGAGAGAAAGUCGACCGUGAGAUGCAUUCAAGACGGGGGAAGAGUGAGAGAGAAAACUGCCCGGUCAGAAAGAGAGAUGCAUGAUUGAGGUGAGAGAUUUGGGCGUGAAUGAGUGAGGAGUGAGGGAGAGGGUGCCGCGUGUGUGGGAUGCGUACAGUGACAAUUUAUACUUACAUCAAAACGCCGAGUUCGGUGCCAUGUGUAGGGCUAACUGUGGUUUGAAUCUCACUUUGGUAACGGAAAUGACUUUGCAAUUGACAGUUUUUGUCAAAAGUUCGCACUGCAUGAAACUAGUGUUAAUAUAAUUUAAAAAAUUAAUUUCAGUAUUAAUUUUUAAAAUGUUAAUUAUUAUAUUUAUUUUAAUAAUAUAUUUAUAUUUAUAAUAAAAAUUUUAGUUAAAUAUUUGUGUUAAAUAGAAUUUAUAAUUAAUAUAAUAUAUCUUAGGUAUUAAUUAUUAUAAUUAUUCUAUAUGCUAUUGAAAAUCAUUUAAAUUUUUAGAUGUUUAUUUUCAUACUAAGUUUCUAUUUAUUUUAAAAUUUAGUUUAAUAUAAUAUAAGCAAGUAAAGUAUUAAAAUAUUUUUUAGUAUUUUUAAAAUAUUAAAAUUAUUUUAAAAUAUAAGUCAAUUUUUUAAGUUAAUAGAACUAAUAUUUACAGUUUAUUUGAUGGCCUCAACAAGCUAAAGCAGCAUCAAAAUUAUGUGGCUCCUUAUUUUAUUUUUUCCCUUUCAAAAAGGGAAAAGGAUAAGUUUGGGAGAAUGUUUAUAUUUUUAAUAAAUUCUUUUUUAUUAUAAUACUUUUUGUCUUUAUUAAUUUAAAAAUAUUGACUCUUAUAUUUUAAAAAAUAUAAAUAUAAUAUUAUAAUAAAAUAUAACAAUAUAUAUCAAAUAUUUAAAAAAAAUUUAUAAUUUUAUAUUAUAUUAAAAUAAAUUUUUAAUAAAUAAAAAUAAUCUAUUAAAAUAAAGUACAAAAAUUUAAAUUAUUUUCAUUAUCAUCUAAAAUAAAUUUACUAUUAUUAAUGCAUGAAAUAUAUUAUAGUAAUUGUAAAUUUCAUUUAACUCAAAGAUUUAUUUAGAAUGUUUAUAAUAAGUCCAAAUAUAUUAUUAAAAUAAUUAUAAUAAUUUACAUUUUAAAAAUUAAUACUGAUAUUAAUUUUUAAAUUAUAUUACUCUACCAGAAAAAUUAAACUAUUAAAUUAUAUCAAUAUUUAUUAAAAAAAUUGAAAUUAAUUCUUGUUAUAUUUUUAAUUGGAAUUUUUUCAUGUGAUAUAACCACAAUUGCUACAUUUUUUCCCCUGAAUAAAGAUGGAGUUAUAAAUUAUUUGUAUAAGUGUCUGUGUGGAAACUAAUGUGACAUGAAAGUAAUAGUUGAAUAACAAUAAUGGGGCUUUAGGCAAUUUUUUCAUGAGAUUUUCUUGCGAUUUCAACACUUAAACAGACUUGUCCUUCAUCCCAAUUUAUUUACCCCAUUUGGGCCCGUUAUGACAUAGACAUAUUCUUGUGGAAUGAAAAACUUCAUGAGAAGAAAUUGUUUUAUUAUAAUAGAAAAAAGUGGUCCAUAAGUCUAUUCAUUACUUUUUUUAUUCAAUAUAAAUGGCUAACUUUAAAAAUGGUAAAAAUCACAUAACGCGCAAGCGAAAUCUAAGAUUUAUAUUUUUUAAUACUCUCCAAGUCUCUCUUUCUCUUUUUCUUUUUUUAAAUAAAUGUCAAUAUAAAAUUAGAAAAAUUUUAGAUAUAAAAUUUGGCGAUGACCAAACAAAAAUUGUAGAGGAAACCUUGAUAUCAUUGAAAUACUGAUCAUAGACACUACAGUAUAAAUAACUUAUUGUGAUCCACUCAACUUGUAACACUUUAAUCCAUAUUCUAAAAUUUUCAUGUUUGUUAGGAUUUUUAUUAUUGAUACUACUGUAUCAAUAAAAUUAUAAUUUAUUCAUAUGGAAUGAAAACAUCAAGAAAGGACCUCUGAUUUUUAUUAUAACAGAAAAAAAUGGUCCAUAAGUCUAUUAAUUAUUUUAUUUAUUCAAUACAAAUGUCCAACUUUAAAAAUGGUAAAAAUCACACAAUGCACAAGUAAAAUAUUACAAUUACAUUUUUUAACUCUCUUUGAGUCUCUCUCUCUCUCUUUAAAAAAUAAACCUCACUAUAAAAUUAGAAAAAUUUUAGACAUAAAAUUUGACAAUCACCAAACAGAAAACAUAGGGAAAUGAAAAUGGAGGAGCCCUAUUUUCAUUAGAAUAUUGAUCAUAGAUACUAUAAUGUAAAUGAUUUGUUGUGGUUCAUUCAACUUGUCACACUCUAAGCCAUUUUCUAAAAUUUGUAAGGUUUAUAGUAUUUUUAUUAUUGCCAUCAUUGUAUCAAUAAUAUUAUAAAUUAUAUAUUCUAUUGUAAUGAAAAUUUGUGUAAUCUUAGGUAUUUAUUAUAUUAAAUUGUGUGGAUUAAUUAAGAAUAUUUUUGGAGACAAAAGAAGUGUGUGUACGUAGGAUUAAUGAUAAAAAAUUUCUAAAUAAAGAUGAUUGCUUCAUUGACAAGCACAUAUUUAUAUUCCUCUAUUAAUAUUUGGGUUGUAAACUCUAUAAUAAAGUUGGUUGGUGUGAGUGGUUCGGCACUCUCACUCCUUAAGAAAGAUCAGGGGUUCAAGCCUCGCUCUCGUAUGGAGUCACCACUUUGGCCAGCACUUUACCUCUUACGGGCCGACCCGAUGCGAGCAUGAAUUAGUAUGAGUUGUGGUACGGGCUUAAAGGUGCCUCCCAUAGUUUGGGCCCACUUAGGAUCACCUCGUGGUUCAAACAAAAAAAAAGUGAAUAUAUUGUGGUAAGCGAUGUGGGCAAUAUCGGUUGCGAAAUAUUGAGAGAUCAUUAAUGCAUAUAAUUAUUGAAGAUGCAUAUAGAGGGAAGAGUGUAGAUCUGGCUGUAACAAUUAUGAAGCUUUCCCCAAGUAUACUCAUGCUUCCUUAAUUGUUCCGAAGUAUUUUUCAUAGUGUGCAGAUUUACUUUAUGGUGUCUUAAUUCGUCUUAAAUGAUUACUUUAGUUGUUUUGGGAUUUAAUGUCAUUUAUUGUGUUAAUUUUAAACAAUAGAAAAAAUAAGUAAUGGUAACGAAAGACUAAUUUGUGAUAUUGAAGCAUACGGGCUUAACUCAAUCCAAAAAUUAGUAAGUUAGCUCAAGAGUUAAGAGUUGUCCAAAUCUUAUAUGCUGAAUCCAAGUUUAAUACACAAUUGAUGCGGGAUGUUAUUCCUAACACCUUCCAUCAUGCGUAGGAUUGGCAAAAAAAUUCGGGUCAGUCCCACCUAAACCUGCAGGCUUUAUGCAUGGCUCGCAUGAUGAAGUUACGGAUAUUAACCUAAAAAUUUGAAACUUACUAUGAAUGGCCUUGCUUAAAGACUUUUGCAACUUUAAUUUAUAACAAGUAUGUAUAUAUACACACACAUAAGCUUAGAUUGCAUUUGGAUGGCUUUUUUAAUCAAUUCAAACAAUUUGAAAUUUAUCGGAUUAAUCUGAAUCUUAUCUGUAUCCGAUUUUGUCCGCCCCUACUAUUUAUAAGCCCAGGUGACUCUCUUUUACUAAUUAAUAAGAGAAUUUUUGACCUUAUAUCCUUGCUGUGGUGUUAGACUGUUGGUCAUUUUGAUUGUUUCCUACCUUCCAUUUACGCCAGCUAUAACAUUGUAUUAUCACCAUUUUAGCCAUUUAAAUGAAAUUUUAUUUUUGUCAAAAAUAAAAUGACACCCUUAAAAUUAAAAAAGAAAUAGUUAUGUAGACCUCAAAUUUUUAAUAAAGAAUGCCAAUACCCCUUUUAACUACAAGAUUCUUAGUAGAUGAUAACUAAAAAAAUUAACUUCAAAAAUUUUCACUAAAUGUAAAUCUGAUUGAAAUAGUUUAAAUUUUUCUAGUAGACUAAUAUAUAUAACUUAAAUAAUUAAUUUCAUUAUUAAUUUUUAAAAUGUUAACUAAUAUAUUUUUAAUUUAUUAUAAAAAUUUUAAAUAAAUUCUUGGAUUAGAUAGAUUUUACAAUUAAUGUAAUACUGUUGAUUUAUUAAUAAUAUUAAAAUUAUUUUAUAUGAUAUUCAAAAUAAUUUAAACUUUGAUAUAUUUAUUUUAAUAGUAUGUCUAUUUAUUAUAAUUUGGUUUAAUAUAAUACGGGAUUGCAAAAUAUUAAAAUAUUUUUCAAUAUCAAAUUAUUUUAAUAUGUAUAUAUCAUUACAUUUAUUUCAAUAUCGCAUUUAUAUUUAUUAUAAGAUAUAAAAUUAAAGAGUAUUGCAAUAAAGUAAAAAAAGAAAAAAAAAAGUCUUAUUAUCCCUUAUUCACGAUAUGAGGUUCUAUAAAAUUAUUUCCCCAAACGGGUGUCCUUUUCUUAUUUUCAAAAGAAAAACUAAAGUAAGAAUAAGUCCAUGGGUUUCAAAAGACUUAUAGUCCUAUCCCGGAACCUACAUUAUCUGCCACUAUGACUAAUGACAAAUUUUUGGUGGGAUAUAGGAAAAUUGUCAAAAGUUCAUGCUGCGUGAGAGUCUUUGGUGGGAUGUGGAAGGAUUGUCAAAAGAUCACACCACGUGACAUAACCACAAUUGCUACAGUUUUUUUUUUUUAAAAUAUUGAUGGGAGUUAUAAAUUAUUUAUAUAAAUUUGCGUAGACUGAUGUAACAUAAAAGAAGUAGCUGAAUAACAAUAUUUGGUGCUUUAGGUAAUUUUCAGAUGGGCCUUUCUUUUAUUUAGCGACUUUAGUGCUUAAACAAACUUGUGCUCGAUCUUAAUUUAAGCCUAUGAUGACAUAAACAUAUUCUUUUGUGACGAAAACAUCAAGAGAAGACAUCUCAUGUUUUAUUAUAACAGAAAAGAAGUGGUCCAAACGUCUAUUCAUUAUUUUAUUUAUUCAAUAUAAAUGGCCAACUUUAAAAAUCACACAACGCUCAAGUGAAAAUUUAGAAUUACAUUUUUUAAUACUCUCGGAGUCUUUCUCUCGUGCCCCCUUUUUUUCUAAAAAAAUAAACCUUAGUGUAAAAUUAGAAGAAUUUUAGAUAUAAAAUUUAACAAUCGCUAAACAGAAAAGCAGCGGAUUGAAAAUAGAGGAGCUCUGUUAUCAUUGGAAUAUUGAUUAUAGAUAAUAGGGUAUUUUUUAAUUGAGUCCUCAUUAUUUCUAGAAAAAAAUUCAGAGACCAGAAAUUUACUAAAUGAAUUAAUUAAAUCCUUUCAAGUACAAAUUAAUAUCAUUCAAGUCCAUAACUUAACUCUUCAGUUAGAAAUAUUAACAACGUUGAGGACAUUUUAGUAAAAGAACAAUUGAACCCUUCCUCAUUCUUUUAUUUUUGACAGGUGGCAAUAGUUUGCUUACAGGUGGCAAUAGUUUAAAGCAAAGUCAAUUCACCUAACCAAGUUAAAGUUCUUUCAAGCGGAAAAAAAAAAAACCUCUAGAAGAAACUGCCGUAUUCUUCGUGUGAGAGGAGGGAUUGAGAGAACGUGGGAUGGCGUCAAAAAUGUUAUAUAAAUAUACUGUAAUUUUGACCAAAGCUUUGUUAGCAUUGGUUGAGUUCAAGUAUUGGAGAGAAGCCGAGCUUAAAGGUUAGUAACUCUAAUUUUUAAGUGAUUUUUGCAAGUAUUUUCUGAUAAAAUUGUUUCCAUAUUUAGUGAUCUUUGUGAAAAAUUAUGUUUUUCAAGUCUAUUUUUCUAAAUGACAAACUAUGUUUAAUUAUUGGUGGAUUUUUUUAUUGAAUGUUGUAUUUUGUUAAUAUACUUUUUUUAAUUUGCUCUUUAUAUAAUAAUUAGACCAAAUACACCAUAUUUAUAUAUGUAUUUAUUGAACUUAUUUUGCCUAUUUUAUAGGCUUUCUUGAGUUGUUGUAUAUGUACAAUAUUUCAUUUCAACCAAUUGGUAUCGUUAUAUUAAUAAGAUUGAAUUCAUUGUAUUUGCUUUUUUGUUCAUGUAAAAUUGAAUUCUAUGUGUUAUUAUGAGUGGUAAUUUUUAUAUAUAUUAGACUAAAUUCUCUAUAGUUGUUGGGUUAUUUUUUCUUUUCAGUUUUUAUUUUUAUAUGUAUUAGAUUGAAUUUUCUUUUAUACUUUUUUUAAUCGAAUUACAUGUAUAUUUCAUUUAGGUUGAGUUUUUUAUUCUUUGCUAAAUAAAAUUGUAUUAGUUUAGCCAUUUUUUGAUGCAAUACUUUUUUGUUUUAAAAUUGAUGCAGGUAGUCAUGUUACCUUUUUUUUUGUUGGUUAAAAUUAAUGGGGCGGUGUAUGAGAUAGGAUAUAGGGACCCAGAGGAAUAUAAGAUUAUUAGGUUGUUUCAUGAAAUUCUAGAAGUCAUGGUUAAGUAUGGACACAAUGAAAUGGAUUUGAUUGAAAUUUUUGUUGUGUUGCCAUGGACUACAAGUAGGCAGAGGAAGCUAAUUUCAAAUGAUAGUGAAUUGUAUUCGGUUUUUGAGGAGUUUUUUUACUAAUAGUUGUCAUGUUAUUGAGUUUGAGGUGCACACUGGGUUAGGUGGUCAAUCAUGUCAUGAAAGUGUUGUAAUAGGAUCUGAAAAUCCUGUCAAUAUAGGUGUUAGUAUGGGUAGUGAUAAGUUUGAAAAACUUAGUGAGGAUGGCUUUAUCGGAGGGCACUUAUCUGAUGAAGAGAAUGGUCUCUUACAUAUGUAUGAAUCCAUUGUUGAUAAUGAGUGGAAACCAAAUCUAAAUGGUUCAGUUAGUCUAAAAGUAGGAAAUACCUUUGAAUCUGUUGCAUUAUUAAAAGAGGUUAUGGUGAAAUAUGCAAUCCAAGAGGGUUUUGAGUUAAAUAGGAUUAAAAAUGAUGGUGUUAGGUAUACUUGUUGUUGUGUUAAUCCAAAAUGCACUUGGAAACUUCAUGCUUCAUCGAUGGUUGAUGGGAUAACUUUUAAAAUUAGGUAUAUUAAAGGGAAACAUGAUUGCCAGAUUAAAUCAAUUAACAAAGAUGCAACAGCACCUUGGAUAGCUAAAGUUUGUGCUGGACUUAUUCAAACUAACCCAGGAGUUGGUGUAAAUGUCAUAAGAAGUGAGUUAAAAGAUAAACAUGGGAUUGAAUGUGACAAACAAAAACUAUACAGGGCAAAAAAAAUUGCAUUAGAAAACCUAGGUGCUGACCACAUUGCUUGCUAUGGAAAGCUUUUGAAAUAUGCUCACAUUCUAAUGAAAAUGAAUAGAGGUGCUUGUGUUAAGGUAAAGGUUAAAAGGCCAUUGUCAAAUAGCCCAGUUUUUCAAAGGUUUUUUUUGUCAUUUCCUGCACUUAAAGUGGGGUACCUAACUGGGUGUAGACCUUUCAUAGGAUUGGAUGGGUGUCACUUGAAGGGGCCAUACAGGGGAGUAUUGUUAUCUGCUGUUGCAUUAGAUGAUGAUAGUGGAAUUUUUCCAUUGGCUUUUUGCAUAUGUGAGGUAGAGAACUAUGAUAGUUGGAGUUAUUUUUUAUCUUUGCUGUAUGAAUUCAUUGGGGCUGAUGAUCAUAGGUCUGUAACUAUUAUUAGUGAUAGACAAAAAGGUCUUUUAUGGGGAUUGGAAAAAUAUUGGCCUAAUGCUAGUACUAGAUAUUGUGCUAGGCAUAUCUUUGCCAAUUUGAAGUGUAAGUUUCCUGGUUUGAAUGUCAUGGGGUUAUUUUGGAAAGCUUGUAGGGCUGCAAAUCAGUAUGACUUUGAGAGGGCAAUGAGUCAAAUUAGGGCUAAAGACCAAAAUUGUUAUGAAUGGUUGAGAAAAAUACCACCUGCACAGUGGUCUAGAAGCGGGUUUGAUCAUCAUGUGAAAUCUGACCAUGUUACAAACAACAUGACUGAAUCUUUUAAUAAGUGGGUGGAUGAGGUUAGGGAUAAGCCUGUCCUAACCAUUCUUGAGCAUAUUCGUAGACAACUAAUGGUGAGAAUGUUGAAAAAAUAUCAGCUAGGUGAAACUUGGCAAGACCAUUUGACCCCAUAUGCUAGAGAAAGACUAAAUCAAUCCUCAAAUGAGGCAAGGAGAAUUAAGGUCUUUGGAGGUAGAGGGGAGCUGUUUGAAUGUUGUCAAGCUGGCUAUAGAAACAUCCUGGUACAUAUUACAGAUGGUACAUGUGAAUGUGGGAUGUGGCAAGUUAGUGGAGUGCCUUGCAAACAUGCAGUAGCUGCUAUUCUUCAUAAAGGAGGGCAACCUGAAAAUUAUGUGCAUCAUUAUCUGACCAAGGAAUCUUUUAUGAUGACAUACAUGGGGACUAUAAAUCCUAUUCCUGAUGAGUGUGCUUGGCCUGAAGUGGAAGCUGAACCUUCCCCUGAUGUUGUGGUGCCUGUGAAGGUUGGACCACCUGACAUAAAGGCUCCAGUUGGUAGACCGAAAAAGAAAAGAACAAAAGAACCUGGUGAGACCAAACUAACUAGUAAAAGGUUUACUAUCAAAUGUAGUGCUUGCAGAUGUCUUGGGCACAACAAAAGGGGUUGCCCUAAUUUUCCAAAAACCACAAGAACUAUAGAGGUAUAACAUAAGAGUCAUUUUUGUUUUUUAAAUUUCAUUUGGUGAAGCUAACAAAUAUUGAUCUUGAUGUUGUGCAGGGAAGCAAUAGGACUUCAUCAAGUGCACAGGUUUAAUUUAAUUAUACAAUUUUAAUUCAAAAGGAUUUUUUUUUCUUUUGCACUAGAUAUUGCUUAAAACUUGGUGAUAUUGGUUGUGUGCAACGAAGAAAUAAGGCUUAAUCAAGUGGACAUGUUUAAUCUAGUUCUGAAAAUUUAAUUCUAAAGGAUUUUUUUCGUUCUUUUUCAUUAAAUUGCUUAAAACUUGGUGAUUUUUUUUGUGCGCAGGCAAGCGAUAUCACUUCAUCAACUGCACAGGUCUGAUUUUGUAAUUGAAUCUCCUUAUAUAUGUUUUGUUAUGUUAUCAAAUGGAUUAAUAACUUGGUACUAUAUAUGUUUGAUUUGAUCAUGGAAUUAUAUUGAAUAGAUUGAUUCUUUUUUUUUUAUUAAAUGAAAUUGAUGUCUUUUUUUUUUUCUUUUUGGACAGCAUGGAACUAACCCACAAUCUCAAGAAGUAGAUGUCAAUGAUCAAUCAAUUGGCAAUAGUUCUGAACAAGCUAGUUAGGCUUCAAUCAAUGUCACUCAACCAGUGGGGCUGUAUACACAACUAUUGUGGACUGUACUUCAACCUCAAAAUGAAGAAAUUAUCACUGUUAACAAGGAGUAGGAUAAUACAAUUUCACCUUGGGUUGACAUUUAAUUCUCCAUUAUAGAAUUUAGAAGACAAUUAACUAUUUUUUGUGUUUAAAUUUCAGUUUACCUUAGUAUUGUUAAGGUAUUUGUUAGUUUGAAUUUAAUUGACUUUCAUACUUUUAAUUUCAUUUUUAGACCGAAUGUUAUUGUGAUUUUUUUAAUAUUAUAUUCAAUACAUAUGUUAUUUAGUUUAACAAUUAUUAUAUUUUUAUAGAUGUGAUGAAAUUAUAUGGAUAGCAAAUUACAUUUUCAUGUAUAAUUCACUCAAAUUGAUAAAUAGGCUGUUAGAUUGAAAAAAAAAAGUCCAAGGUUAAAAUUGUACUUUAAAUCACUAAUAUGAUUAUAGGGGUAUACCUGUCUUUUAUGUUUAACUUAACAUUUUCACUAAUUUUUUUAACGGAAGAAUUGGGUUAAGGGCUUGAAUGACAUAAAUUUACAGUUGAAAGGAUUUAAUUGAUUCAUUUAGUAAACUUCUGGUCUCUGAAUUUUUUUCUAGAAAUAAUGAGGACUCAAUUAAAAAUUACCCUAGAUAAUAUAAUAACUUGUUGUGGUUCAUUGUAGCACUCUGAGCCAUAUUUUAAAAUUUACUGGUUUGUUAAUGCUUUUAUUAUUGACAUUAUUGUGUCAAUAUUAUUAUAAUUAAUUUAUUCAUUUUAUUGUAAUGAUAAUUUGUCUAGUCUUAGGUACUUAUUAUAUUAAAUUAUGUAAAUUAAUUGAGAAUACUUUUAGAGACAAAAGAAACACGUGUAUGUAGGAUUAAUAAGCGAAGAGUUGUAAAUGAUGGUGAUUGCUUCAUUCAGAGGCAUAUUAAAUAAUUAUGGAGAGUUGCUCUAUUUCGGAAGCAUAUAUUUAUACUUCCCUACCAGGAUUUGGGGUAAGCGAAGUGCUUUAUGUAUUGCAGUAAGGAAAUGUGGGCAAUAUCAGAGCCGAAAUAUUAAAAGAUCAUAACGCAUAUAAACAAUUAGUAUAUUCAAGACACAUAUAGAGGAAAGAGUGCAGAUCCGGCCGUAACUAUUAUGAGGAUUUCCUCAAGUAUUCUCAUGCUUCCUCAACUGUUCUGAACUAUAUAUUCUUCAUUGUGGGCUGUUUUGCUUAAAUACCAACACAAUGAUUCAAUACUUCAAAGGUCAAGGAAAUGUCAAAAUAUGAAAUGAAAAUACUUAAAUAGCCUUCUACCUAACAAAACUUAGUACUUCUAACUGCCUUCGCAGAGAAUCUAUAAAAUAAAAAAAAAAUCAUCCAGGAAAAGUUUCGUAACAGAAAAACCGUCUUUCAAAAAAUAAAAAUAGAAAAACCGACUCAUUUAUCUGCCAAUGAACCAGUCGGGACUCAUUUAAAAAAGAUUAAAAAGCAAAAGUAAAUGACACAAAUUGCAUAGAUAUCUCGGAGCCGCAUCAAAGGACAAAGGUGUUAAUUUGUCCAAGUAAUAAAUUCUCCUAGGUCAAAAGCAAUUAACGAUGAAAACUUUCUUCAUUAAGGGUCUGGCCUACGUAAAAAAAAAACAGAAAAACCACCCCAAGGUCAAAGCACAACCAUAAGUUUUGAGUUGCAGUUUUUAAAUUUUUUUUAUAAUAAAUCAACGUGUAUAAAAAAUAGAUAAUGAUUUUGAAUAAUCUUUUUGAUAAAUAUAGACAUAAAAUUUUAAAAUCACCAAACAGAAAAACAGGGAAUUAAAAGAGAGCCCUUGUUUCUCCUCUAUUUUGUUUGUUUGUCCUCUAUUUUAGCAGGGCAGCUAAAAGGGUUUGGAAGUUGACUGAAUUUUAUGAGGAUGUAAAGCAAUUAGCUCGGCAAGACAUGUUGAGUGUGCUGCAGGAUUUAACUGUGAAGAGAAAAAAGAAUGAGCUGGAGCUUGUUGUUGCGGUGUGCUGGGCCAUCUGGUACUCUAGGAAUCGUUUGGUGUUUGAAGGAAAGGAUGAAGAUCCAAAAAAUUCAGUGGCCAGAGCAAUUGCUAUGGUGGAAUCAUACAGGCGAAUAAAAGUUCCAAAUGAACAAAAUUCUCCAGGCCAUAGCAGAAUCAGUCAACUAGAAUGGGCAAAUCCUCCAAAGGGGUGUUAUAAAGUCAACGUUGAUGCUCCAAUCAAUGUUUCAAACCAAAAGGCAGGGUUGGGGGUAGUCAUUAGAAACUCUGUGGGUAAGGUUGUUGCUGCAGCAGUCCAAGGAACUCCAUAUAGGGGAGAUGUGGCGUGUAUGGAGGCUGAAGCUGUUCUGUUUGGUCUUCAGAGUGCCCAACAAGCAGCUGUUUCCCCAAUAAUUAUUGAGUCAGAUUCAAAGGAAGUGGUGGACCUAUCCUUAAAGAAAAAGAUCAGCAAGACUGAAAUUGAGUGGAAAAUUGCAGAAAUCCAAGCAAAUCUGGAAAAUCAGAAUGUGUCCUCGCUGUCAUAUGUCCCUAGAAACUGUAACUCUAUUGCUCAUUCUAUUGCAAAGAUAGCUCUAGGUUUUGAAAGUCAAGUCUUUUGGCUGGAAAACUUUCCAGAACAUAUCAGGUGUACUCUUGCUAAGUUCAUCAAUUGAAAAGCUUUACUUUUCUCAUCAAAAAAAAAAAAAUAGGGAAAUGAAAAGAUCGUAGGUGGAAAUUUUUUUUCUGCGUUGUAUCUUCUCAAUGCUGCAUGCAUUCAAAUUGUCAUAUUGCGAAAAUCCCUUUUCAAUGUUUCAAUUGCAAUGUCAUUGCCAUUAUUCAUAGUGGCAGACAAUGGACAUCACGGGACAUGGCUAGAAGUCUAUGUUACGGCUUCUGUAAGUAACAGCAGCCAAUGGGGAACUUCCACGGGUGCUAGAGGAGAGAGAAAGAGGUCCCAAUGCAAGGUGAUGGAAAUAGGGAUGGCAAUUGUACCCGCAAACCCGCAAACCCGCCCAAACCCACCCGCCAAAACCCGCCCGUUGCGGGUAAUUUUACCCGUUGCGGGCGGGUUUAGUAUUAUAAAUUAAAACCCGCACAUGGAUGCGGGUGGGUUUGGUAUUAACCUUAUAUCCGGUGGAUACCCGCAUGGAUAUCCACCAAACCCGCAAUAUUUUUUUUCAAAUAUUUUUAAUUUAAUUUAAAUAUAAAAAUGUAUAAAGAAAAUAAUGUCAUUAAUCAAAUUACCAAAUAGACAAAUGCUCAAAGUUGUGUAUGUGUGUAUGUGACCCAUCUCUUAUUCUAAAGUCAUAAGCUAAAGAAAACUAAAGGCAUUACCCUUCGAAUUAGUAUUUGAAAAUAUUAAUCUUAAUUAUUAUUAUAGGCAUUGUGUUGGAUGGGUGCUUAUGGUGGUGAAUGAAAUGAAUAUAUUCUCUUGGAUCUUGUUUUAAAUGAUAAUAUGAAAUGUAAUUAUUAUUUUUAGAUACUAGUUUGUGUUUUUUAAAUAGAUUUGUGUAAUUUAUACUUAAAUUUGAGAAUUUGUAUUGAAUUGAUGUGGAAAUUUUAAUUUUUCAUUGACAUUGUUUAAAUAUAAAAUUGAGUAUGCUAUAUGGAAUUUGAGGUUAUUAUUAUAAAUUUAUAUAUUAAAUAUUUGUGAUUUUAAAUACGGAAACCCGCAAAAAAUCCGCCGGAUACCAUUGCGGGUUUGGUAAUUGUUAAAACCCGCUGCGGGUGGGUUUUUUUAAAAAAAUUAAAACCCGCUGCGGAUUGCGGGUGGAUUUGGUGAUUUAAAUUUUGUGCGGGUUUGGGUUUGAUAAUGGCAAACCCGCUGCGGGCGGUGCCCAUUGCCAUCCCUAGAUGGAAAUGGGAAAGUUCAAAGCUGUUACUUUCAGCUUCUGCACCGUAGCCAUGUCCCACGGGACAAGGCUAGAAGUUAUCAUGACCAUAGACUUUUCUAAUUUAUUUUUUCCUUUCAAAAAGGGACAAGGAUAAGUUUGGGAGAAUGAUUAUAUUUUUAAUAAAAGAAUUCUUUUUUAUUAUAAUACUUUUUGUCUUUAUUAAUUUAAAAAUAUUAACUCUUAUAUUUUAAUAAAUAUAAUUAUAAUAUUAUAAUAACAUAUAACAAUAUAUACAAAUAUUUAAAAAAAAUUAAGAUUUUAUUAAAAUAAUUUUAUAAUAAAUACAAAUAUAUUAUUAAUAUAAUUAUAAUAAUUUUCAUUUUAAAAAGUAAUACUGAUAUUAAUUUUUUAAAUUAUAUUACUCUACUCAAAAAAUUAAACUAUUAAAUUAUAUUGAUAUUUCUUAAAAAAGUUGCAAUUAAUUCUUAUUAUAUUUUUAAUUGGAUUUUUUUCCCGAGAUAUAACAACAAUUGCUACAGUUUUUUCCCAAAUAAAGAUGGAGUUAUAAAUUAUUUGUAUAAGUGUCUGUGUGGAAACUAAUGUGACAUGAAAGUAAUGGUUGAAUAACAAUAAUGGGGCUUUAGGCAAUUUUUUUAUGAGGUCCUCUUGCAAUUUCAACACUUAAACAGACUUGUCCUUGAUCCCAAUUUAUUUACCCAUUUAGGCCCACGAUGAGAUAAAUAUAUUCCUGUGAGAUGAAAAACAUCAGGAGAAGAAAAUGUUUUAUUAUAAUAAAAAAAACAAGUGGUCCAUAAGUCUAUUUAUUACUUUUUUUAUUCAAUACAAAUGGCCAACUUAAAAAAUGAUAAAAAUCACAUAACGCACAAGCGAAAAUUUAGAUUUACAUUUUUUAGUUCUCUCCGUGUCUCUCUUUCUCUUUUUUUUUUAAAAAAAUAAAUAAAUGUCAGUGUAAAAUUAGAAAAAUUUUAGAUAUAAACUUUGGCGAUGACCAAACAAAAAUUGAAAUACUGAUCAUAGACACUACAAUAUAAAUAACUUGUUGUGAUCCACUCAACUUGUAACACUUUAAUCCAUACUCUAAAAUUUGUAUGUUUGUUAGGAAUUUUAUUAUUGACAUUAUUGUACCAAUAAAAUUAUACUUUAUUCAUAUGGAAAGAAAACAUCAAGAAAGGACCUCUGAUUUUUAUUAUAACAGAAAAAAGUGGUCCAUAAGCCUAUUUAUUAUUUUAUUUAUUCAAUACAAAUUGCCAACUUAAAAAAUGGUAAAAAUCACAAAAUGCACAAGUAAAAUUUUAGAAUUACAUUUUUUUAAUUCUCUUUGAGUCUCUGUUUCUCUCUUUAAAAAAUAAACCUCACUGUAAAAUUAGAAUAAUUUUAGACAUAAAAUUUGGCAAUCACCAAACAAAAAAUGUAGGGAAAUGAAAAUGGAGGAGCCCUAUUAUCAUUAGAAUAUUGAUCAUAGAUACUAUAAUGUAAAUGAUUUUUUGUGGUUCAUUCAACCUGUCACACUCUAAGCCAUUUUCUAAAAUUUGUAAGGUUUAUAGGAUUUUUAUUAUUGGCAUCAUUGUAUCAAUAAUAUUAUAAAUUAUAUAUUCUAUUGUAAUGAAAAUUUGUGUAAUCUUAGGUAUUUAUUGUAUUAAAUUGUGUGGAUUAAUUAAGAAUAUUUUUGGAGACAAAAGAAGUGUGUGUACGUAGGAUUAAUGAUAAAAAAUUUCUAAAUAAAGGUGAUUGCUUCAUUGACAAGUACAUAUUUAUAUUCUCUAUUAGUAUUUGGGUUGUAAACUUUGUUUAUAAAGUGAAUAUAUUGUGGUAAGCGAUGUGGGCAAUAUCGGAUGCAAAAUAUUGAGAGAUCAUUAACGCAUAUAUUUAUUGAAGACGCAUAUAGAGGAAAGAGUGUAGAUCCGGCUGUAACAAUUAUGAAGCUUUCCCCAAGUAUUCUCACGCUUCCUUAACUGUUCCAAAGUAUUUUUCAUAGUGUGCAGAUUUACUUUAUGGUGUCUUAAUCCGUCUAAAAUGAUUACUUUAGUUCUUUUGGGAUGAAAGGUCAUUUAUUGUGUUAGUAUUAAACAAUAGAAAAAAUAAGUAAUGGUAACGAAAGACUAAUUUGUGAUAUUGAAGUAUACAUGCUUAACUCAAUCCAAACUUAGUAAGUUAGCUCAAGAGUUAAGAGUUGUCCAAAUCUUAUAUACUGAACCCAAGUUCAAUACUCAAUUGAUGUAGGAUGUUAUUCAUAACACCGCCCGUCAUGCGUAGGAUUGGCAAAAAAACUCGAGUCAAUCCCACCUAGACCUGCAAGCUUUAUUUAUGGCCAGCAUAAUGAAGUUACAGAUAUUAACCUAAAAAUUUGAAACUUACUAUGAGUGGCCUUGGUUAAAGACUUUUGCAACUUUAAUUUAUAACAAGUAUGUACACACACACACACACACACACACACACAUGUUUAGAUUGCAUUUGGAUGACUUUUUUUUAUCAAUGCAAACAAUAUCAAAUUUAUCGGAUUAAUUUGAAUCUGAUCUAUAUCCGAUUUUGCCUACCCCUACUAUUUAUAAGCCCAAGUGACUCUCUUUUACUAAUUAAUAAGGGAAUUUUUUGACCUCAUGUCCUUGCUGUGGCAUUAGACUGUUGGUCAUUUUGAUUGUUUCCUACCUUCCAUUUACGCCAGCUGUAACAUUGUAUUAUUCACCAUUUUAGCCAUUUAAAUGAAAUUUUAUUUUUGUCAAAAAUAAAAUGACACCCUUAAAAUUAAAAAAAAAAUAGUUAUGUAGACCUCAAAUUUUUAAUAAAGAAUGUCAAUACCUCUUUUAACUACAAGAUUCGUAGUAGAUGAUAAAAAGAAAAUUAACCUCAAAUUUUUUCAUUAAAUGUAAAUCUGAUUGAAGUAGUUUAAAUUUUUCUAGUAGACUAAUAUAUAUAACUUAAAUAAUUAAUUUCAUUAUUAAUUUUUAAAAUGUUAACUAAUAUAUUUUUAAUUUAUUAUAAAAUUUUUAAAUAUUAUCCUUGGAUUAAAUAGAUUUUACAAUUAAUGUAAUACUUCUUAUUUUUUAAUAAUAUUAAAAUUAUUUUAUAUGAUAUUCAAAAUAAUUUAAACUUAUAUAUAUUAAUAUUAUGUCUAUUUAUUAUAAUAUGGUUUAAUAUUAUACGGGAUUGUAAAAUAUUAAAAUAUUCUUCAAUAUCAAAUUAUUUUAAUAUGUACAUAUCAUUACUUUUAUUUUAGUAUCGCAUUUAUAUUUAUUAUAAAUAUAAAAUUAAUAAAAUUAAAGAGUAUUGCAGUAAAGUAAAAAAAAAAAGUCUUAUUAUCCCUUAUUCAUGAUAUGAGAUUCUACAAAAUUAUUUCCCGAAACGGGUGUCCUUUUCUCAUUUUCAAAAGAAAAAAUAAAGUAAGAAUAAGUCCAUGGGUUUCAAAAACUUCUAGUCCUAUCCCGGGACUACAUUGCUGCCACUAUAACUAAUGGAAAUGACAUUUCAAUUGACAUUGCCUUUCGCAACAUGAAAAAUUUUUGGUGGGAUAUGGAAGAAUUGUCAAAAGUUCACGCCGUGUGAGAGUUUUUGGUAGGAUGUAGGAGGAUUGUCAAAAGAUCACACCAUGUGAUAAAACCACAAUUGCUAUGGUUUUUAUUUUUUAAAUAAUGAUGGGAGUUAUAAAUUAUUUAUAUAAAUUUGCGUAGAAACUAAUGUAACAUAAAAGAAAUAGCUGAAUAACAAUAUUUGGUGCUUUAAGUAAUUUUUAUAUGAGCCUUUCUUUUAUUUAGCGGCUUUAGUGUUUAAACAAACUUGUUCUCGAUCUUAAUUUACUGACCCCAUUUAAGCCCAUAAUUAAACAUAUUCUUUUGUGACGAAAACAUCAAGAGAAGACAUCUCAUGUUUUAUUAUAACAGAAAAAGAAGUAGUCCAAACAUCUAUUCGUUAUUUUAUUUAUUCAAUAUAAAUGGCCAACUUUAAAAAAAUGAUAAAAAUCACACAACGCUCAAGUAAAAAUUUAGAAUUACAUUUUGUAAUACUCUCUGAGUCUCUCUCUCCUGCCCCCCCCCCCCCUUCCUUUUAAAAAAAAUAAACCUUAGUGUAAAAUUAGAAGAAUUUUAGAUAUAAAAUUUGGCAAUAGCUAAACAGAAAAGCGGCGGAUUGAAAAUAAAAAAGCUCUAUUACCAUUGGAAUAUUGAUUAUAGAUAAUAUAAUAACUUGUUGUGGUUCAUUGUAGCACUGUGAGCCAUAUUCUAAAAUUUAUAGGUUUGUUAAGGCAUUUAUUAUUGACAUUAUUGUGUCAAUACUAUUAUAAUUUAUUCAUUUUAUUGUAAUGAUAAUUUGUCUAGUCUUAGGUACUUAUUAUAUUAAAUUAUGUAAAUUAAUUGAGGAUACUUUUAGAGACAAAAGAAACACGUGUAUGUAGGAUUAAUAAUCGAAGAAUUGUAAAUGAAGGUGAUUGCUUCAUUGAGAGGCAUAUUAAAUAAUUAUGGAGAGUUGCACUAUUUCGGAAGCACAUAUUUAUACUUCCCUAUCAGGAUUUGGGAUAAACGAAGUGCUUUAUCUAUUGCAGUAAGCAAUGUGGGCAAUAUCAGAGGCGAAAUAUUAAAAGAUCAUCCAUGAAAAGCUUCGUAACAGAAAAACCGUCUUUCAAAAAAAAAUAAAAUAAAAUAAAAAUAAAAACAGAAAAACCGACUCAUUUAUCUGCCAAUGAACCAAUCAGGACUCAUUUAAAAAAGAAUACAAAGCAAAAGUAAAUGACACAAAUUGCAUAGAUAUCUAGUAGCCGCAUCAAAGGACAAAGGUGUUAAUUUGUCCAAGAAUAAAUUCUCCUAGGUCAAAAGCAAUUAACGAUGAAAACUUUCUUCAUUAAGGUUCUGGCCUACGUAAAAAAACAGAAAAAAUCACCCCAAGGUCAAAGCACAACGAUAAGUUUAGAAUUGGAAUUUUUAAUUUUUUUUAAUAAAUCAACGUGUAUCAAAAAUAGAUAAUAAUUUUGGAUAACUUUUUUUGAUAAAUAUAGACAUAAAAUUUUAAAAUCGCCAAACAGAAAAACAGGGGAAUUAAAACAAAGUCCCUGUUUAUCCUCUAUUUUGCUUGUUAUUAAAAAGGGAAAUGAAAAGAUUGCAAGCCGAAAUUUUGUUUCUGCGUUGUCUCUUCUCAAUGCUGCAUGCAUUCAAAUUAAACCUUACAUAUGCUAGCAAACUAGCUACUCUGCAUGUAAGUUCUCGAUAAGUCCAAAUAAUAGAAUAAUUGUAAAAUGUUCAAAUUCAGUAAUUAAUUAUACAUAUUUAUUUAUUCAAAAAUUAUUAUUAUUACUAAUUAUUGUCAAUAAUAUAUUAAUAUACUAAUUAAUUGUAAAAAAAUUUAUCAUUCAUAACAAUAAUGAUGAUGAUGAUAAUAAUAAAAAUUCAAAAUAUAUUAAUUAAUUAUAAUAAUAUAUUAAUUAUUUAAUAAUAAUAUAUUUAAAAUAUAUAAAUUGAUUAGAAUAGUUAUAUUAAUAAAUUAUAAACAUAUAUUAAUUAAUCAUAAUAAUUUUUUAAUUGAUGACAAAAUAGAUAUUUUAUAGUUUGUGAGAGGGGGCAAAAUGAUCAAUCUUGGGAAUGGGGGAUUGAUUCCCACCACCUUCCUUAGGAAUCAAUCUUCCAUUCCUCAUUCCUAAUUUGGGUGGUCCCCAUAGUUCUUAUUCGGAUCCCAGCCUCUAUUUUGUGAAGUAAACAUCAUUAAUGAUUUCGAUUUCGGAUUCCGAUUCUCCAAUCCAAGAAGUAAAGGCACCAUUAUUGUUAAUUGGUUCAAACACACAAAGAGAAUGUACCAUGUAGCUAGGCGUCAAGGUUGUGUGGCACAAGGUUGUGUGGCACAAGUAGGGAUGGCAAUUCAACCCGCACCCGGCCCGGACCCGGAUGAAACCCGGAUUUUCCAGUCCGGGUUUAACCCGUACCGGAUUAAAUAAAAUCCGGAUCCGGAUGUCAUUUUAAAAACCCGCAUGUACCCGGGUCCGGUUCCGGGUUUAAGUAAACCCGUACAUCCGGAACCCGGACCCGGAUAUAUAUUAAUUUUAAAAAAUUAUUUUUAAUAUAAAUAGAAAGCAAAAAAAACCCAAAUGGUGCCCUAGAAGCUCAUUACACUUUCCCAGCCGCACAAACAUUUCCUCUCUUAUUCCCUCUUCAGCUCAUCUUCAUCUUCAUCAAAUCAUCGUCGCAUCACUUGCCCAUCUUCGCGGCUGUUCAACUUCAACAUCAUCAUCAUCAUCAUCAUCAGCCGUCGUUUCCUUUCUUUUUCUGCGGCGACCGGUAACUAGCUGUGAUACGGGUUGAACGCCGCCUUUGCCAAUCGCAACCGCGGCUGUGUUCAUCAUCAUCAACCGCCGUCACUUUCAAGAACGAUACUCGAAAAUAUUUUGAUGGGAAUCUUGUUUUUGGUCAUUUUAGUAACAGUGUGUGCAAGUGCGAGUGAGAGAGAGAGAGAACGUGGCUUACUCGAUGCCACUUAUCAUGCUUUCAUCUUUUUUCAUCCAGUGCGGGGUCUGUCUUUGUUGGCUUUUUGGAAAACUUGUUGCUUUUAAUGGUGUAUUACUUCUUUUGAAUAUCCAAUCAAUGUAAACUUAUUUACAUUACCCCUCCAGUUUUCCCAUCACCAUUAAAAGUGCUUUGGUUGCUCCUUGACUGUGCUUUGGUUGCUCCUUGACUCCUGACUUCCUGCUCGCAACAAAAGCUAGUUCUUUAGCUCUCUUUACUAAUUGAACGAGUCACCACAUUGGGUUGCUGAUUCUGGGCAGCCAAACAAAAUUGUUGUUUUUGUUAAUUAGUUUCCAGAUGAAAUAAUUUUUCUUUGAUUUGCUGAAAUCCUGGAUAUGUAUUUCUAUUUGAUUUUUUUAGUCGAAUUUAGUUUUUUUUUUUAAAUUGGAUUCAUCAAUCCGGGUUGGAAACCCGCAGUCCGGAAACCCGGAUUUUUCCGGGUUGAACCCGUACCGGACCCGGAGUGGAAAAAUGCGGGUUUAUUUCCGGGUCCGGUACAGAAAAUAUUCGUCCGGGUCCGGAUCCAGAAUGACUAAACCCGGACCCGGACCCGGAUUUUGCCAUCCCUAGGCACAAGUAACCUUUUUCUUUUCUUUUUAUUUUUUUUUGUUUUCCUUAACGGAUCAGAAGAAAUCGGUGCCUUUGAGAUACUACAAUGUAAAUAAGUACUUGUGGUUCAUUAAAUCUGUAACACUCGGUACCCUAAGGUUUCUUUUGAAAAAGGGCUUUUCUCACUGAUCACCAAUAUCCAAGUAAGUUUGUUUCAUUUCAGAAGGUGCAAAGUUUCAAACUUUUUGUAUUGGGAUGUAACAAACUUUGGCCUUAUAUGCCUGCUGUGACGUUAGACUGUUCAUUUUGAUUGUUUCAUACCUUUCACUUGCGCGCACUGUAGCACUGUAUUAUUCAUCAUUUUAGCUGUUUAAAUGAAAUUUUAUUUUUGUCAAAAAUAAAAUGACACCAUAAAAAUUUAGAAAAAUAAUCAUGUAGAUCCCAAAUUUUUAAUAAAGAAUACCAAUAUUCCCCUUGACUACAAUACCCUUAGUAGGUGGUAAUCAAACAAAUUGACUUAAACUUUUUUACGAAAUGUAAAUAUGAUUUAAAUAAUUUAAAUUUUCCAGUAGACUAAUAUAUAAUUUAAAUAAUUAAUUUCAAUAUUAAUUUUUAAAAUGUAAAUUAAUUUAUUUGUAUUUAUAAAAUAUUUGUAAUUAUUUUAAAAUUUUAACUAAAUCCUUAGGUUAAAUAGAUUUUACAAUUAAUAUAAUAUUUCUCAUGUAUUAAUAAUAUUAAAACUAUUUUAUAUGAUAUUGAAAAUAACCUAAAUUUUUAUAUAUUUAUUUGAAUAUUAUGUCUCUAUUUAUUAUAAUUUGGUUUAAUAGAAUACGAGAUUGUAAAUUAUUAAAAUUUUUAGAUAUUGAAAUUAUUUUAAUAUGUACAUAUUAUUAUAUUUAUUUUAAUAUCCUACUUAUAUUUAUUAUAAAAUAUUAAAAUUAAUUUUUUUAGUUAAUAAAUUUAAAAAAUAUUAUAAUUAAAAAAAAGAGUCUUAUUGCCUGUUAUUCACGAUAUGAGGUUCUACAAAAUUAUUUUCAAAAGGAAAAAUAAGUCCAGGGGUUUCAAUAAAUUCUAGUCCUAUCUGCCACUAUAACUAAUGGAAACGACAUUGCAAUUGACAUUGCUUUUCGCAAUAUGACAAUUUUUUGGAGGGAUAUGGGAGAAUCGUCAAAUGUUCACACUAUGCGGGAGUUUUGAAUGGGAUCGGGGAGAAUUGUCAAGAGUUCACACCACGAGAAACCAAUGAUAGCCAUAAUUACGCUGUCAGUUCUUUGUUUAUUUAUUUUGUUUAUUUCAUACAUUGUUGUCUUGUUGGCAUUGUUUUGUAAAUAUAUAAAAGUAAAGUAAACUAUUAGGGUGCUGCUAAGUUAAACUGUUGUAACUUACAAUCCCUUAAAAAAUAAUGUAAAAAAUUUAACACGUGGUGGGAUCGACAUAUGUUUGAAGAGGCUUUAAGUUACAGUAGUUGUGACUUAGAAAAAUCCAAAUAUUAGACAAUAACACACAUUAACAAUGCAUAUAAUUUGGGUUUGAUUUUUUUAAAAAUUAUUUGAGUAUUAACUAUCCUUAAGAUAUUAAUGUGAAUAUAAUUUAAUAUUAAAUAAUCAAAAUCUGUAUAAUUAUAAUAUAUAUUUCAUACAUUGCAUGUUUAAUCAAAAUCGGAUUGCUUUUUACCUUCCAUUUACGCCCACUGUAGCAUUGUACUAUUCACCAUUUUAGCUGUUUAAAUGAAAUUUUUAUUUUUUUUCAAAAAUAAAAUGACACCCUUAAAAUUUUAGAAAAUAGUCAUGUAAACCCCAAAAUUUUAAUAAAAAACACCAAUACCCUUUUUUACUAUAGUACUCUUAUGGUAGCCACAAAAAAAAAUGACUUCAAAAUUUUUUACUAAAUGUAAAUAUGAUUUAAAUAGUUUAAAUUUUCUAGUAGACUAGUAUGUAUAAUUUAAAUAAUUAAUUUUUAAAAUGUAAUUUAAUAUAUUUAUUUUAAUAAUAUAUUUAUUAUAAAAUUUUAAACAAAUCCUUGGGUUAAAUAGUUUUUAUAAUUAAUAUAAUAUUUCUCACGUUUUAAUAAUAUUAAAGUUAUUUUCUAUGAUAUUGAAAAUAAUUUAAAAUUUUAUAUAUUUAUUUUAAUAUUAUGUCUCUAUUUAUUAUAAUUUGGUUUAAUAGAAUACGAGAUUGUAAACUAUUAAAAUAUUUUUAGGUAUUGAAAUUAUUUUAAUAUGUAUAUAUUAUUAUAUUUAUUUUAAUAUCCUACUUAUAUUUAUUAUAAAAUAUUAAAAUUAAUUUUUUUAGUUAAUAAUUUAAAAAAAUAUUAUGGUUAAAAAAAAGAGUCUCAUUGUCCGUUAUUCACGAUAUGAGAUUCUACAAAAUUAUUUUCAAAAGGAAAAAUAAGUUCAGGGGUUUCAACAAAUUCUAGUCCUAUAUGCCAUUAUGACUAAUGGAAACGAUAUUGAAUUGACAUUGUUUUUUGCAAUAUGACAAAUUUUUGGAGGGAUAUGGGAGAAUCGUCAAGCGUUCACACCAUGCAAGAGCUUUAUGUCACGGGAUGAGUGUUUUGCGCAGCUAACCCGUGCGGCACUUAGACAACUUUGCCGAAUGUUGCUAAGUAAGCCUAGAGCUUCUCGAACAAGAGAAGAGAGCAAUUGAGCCAAAGAAGAAACUUGUAUUGCACAAAGAGAGAUUACAAUGCUUGUUGCUUACAAAGCUUGUUAGAUACAAAUGCCUAAUGCCAUUCCAUAUUUAUAGGGGAGGCUUGCCAAGCUCUAGAGAUUCUAGAGAAUUCUACCAACUAUCUAGAAUUUACAUGUGCUGGAAAGUCAUAGAGAAUUCUAGAGUAUUUACAAGCUCACAUGUGCUAGAGUUUCCUAGAACUUUCCGGAAUAAGGUCAAGCUAGCACUCUUGACCUUGUGUUGGCUCUCUACCCCGAAAUUGUGGGCAAUUGGGCUAGUGAAUUGGGAGGUCCGUAACAUCCUCCCCCACCUAAGCUCGCGGCGUCCUCGUCGUGCUCUCAUGCUUGAAGCGUUGGAUGUGCUCAGCGAAUUGCCACAAAUCAUCUUCACAUUCCCAAGUGGCUUCACUCUCGGGGAGGUUUUUCCACUUCACUAAGUACUCGCUAUGUGCUGGCACGCCUCUCCUCGAAACCGUGCGGUCCGCAAUGAUGUAGUCCACAUCUUUGUCGAACGCGUUGACAACGGCAGUUGGUGCACGCCUUGAUUCUCCAAGACUUGGUUCUCCCACGUCUUCGUGAUAUGGCUUGAGAAGGCUCACAUGGAAGACCAGAUGGAUCUUGAGUCUUGGUGGAAGUUGGAGUUGAUACGAGACGUUGCCCACAUGUCGAACAACUCGGAAGGGUCCCUCGUAGCGCCUCACUAACCCCUUGUGAACUUUCCGCAAAGUCUUGAAUUGUUGGGGUAGGAGCUUGAUCAUGACUUGAUCACCUUCCUUGUACUCAACAUGCCGUCUCCUUGUAUCCUCCCAUUUCUUCAUUUUCCUCGCGGCUUUGUCGAGAUAGGCUCGCGUGAUAUCCGCUUCCUCAUGCCAUUCGUGGGCGAGCUUGUGUGCCGCGGGAUUUUCCCUCCGUAAGUCGAGGCUAUGGCAUUGGGGGUCAUGGGCUGGAAUCCCAUGAUGAUCUCGAAUGGACUCUUGCCCGUAGCCUCACUUCGCUGCAAGUUAUAAGAAAAUUAGGCGAUGUCAAGUAGUUUCGCCCAAUCCCUCUGAUGAGCGCUCACAUAAUGCCUCAAGUACAUCUCGAGGAGGCCAUUGAUGCGCUCGGUCUGCCCAUCCGUUUGUGGGUGGAAGCUUGUCGAGAACUCGAGAUUGGUCCCCAACAUCUUGAAGAGCUCCGUCCAAAAAUACCCAGUGAACCGAGGGUCUCGGUCGCUCACAAUGCUUUUUGGAACUCCCCAAAGCUUCACAAUGUGCUUGACGAAUAGGCGGGCUGCCUCGUCCGCUUUACAGUCGACGGGUGCGGCAAUGAAUGUGACAUACUUGUUGUAUCGGUCGACAACAACGAUGAUGCUUCCGCAACCUUCAGACUUGGGGCAGCGAUGUGAUGAAGUCCAUGGAGACACUUUCUCAUGGCCUUGUUGCUAGCAGUAGCAGCUCCAACAAUCCCGCUGGAAGUUAAUGAUCCACCUUGUCUUGUUGGCACACAAGACAAGUUCGCACAUAUGCCUCGAUGCUGUCCCUCAUGUGCGGCCAAAAAUAUGAGGCUUGAACUAGUGCGGUGGUGCGCUCAAUUCCUGGGUGACCAGCCCACUUGGAGUCGUGGCACUCCUUGAUAACUUCCUUCCGCAAGUUUCCCCACCUUGGCACGAACAGCCGAUCUCCCUUGGUGAGGAGGAUGCCUUCCUCUUGCCAAAAUCACCUUGUCUUUCCCUCGAGCACCUUCUCUAGCAAAUCCUUGGCUAGCGGAUCUUGUUGGAAGCCUUCCUUGAUGCGUGAGACAAGGUCGGACUUCGGUUGGCUCAUGCUAAGUGUCGCCAAUUCGGCCUUGCGGCUUAGAGCGUCCGCAACGACAUUGGUCUUGCCUGGUUUGUACUCAAGCCGAUAGUCAAAUUCCGCUAGGAAAUCUUGCCACCGCGCUUGCUUCGGACUCAACUUCUUCUGAGUUUGGAAGUAGCUUGUCGCUACGUUGUCCGUCAUAAUCGUGAAGUGAGAGCCUAGCAAGUAAUGUCGCCACACGCGCAAGCAAUGUAUGAUGGCUGUCAUCUCCUUUUCUUGCACUGUGUAGCGGCGUUCCGUAUCAUUAAGCUUUCAACUCUCGAACGCUAUAGGGUGGCCUUCUUGCAUGAGGACUUCUCCUAUGGCAAAAUCCAAGGCAUCCGUUUGGACUUCAAAGGGCUUUGUGUGGUCCGGGAGAGUAAGGACAGGUUCCUCCGAAAUUGCCUUCUUCAAAUCCUCGAAUGCGCGUUGGCACUCUUUAGACCAAUGCCACGUUCUGUUUUUCUUGAGCAUAUCCGUCAAGGGUGCUGCCUUGGCCGAAUAGCCCUUGAUGAAGCGGCGGUAGUAGUUCACCAAACCAAGGAAUAAGCGAAGCUCGGGCACUUUCGAGGGAAGUUCCCAUUCAAGGAUGGCCUUCACUUUAGCAUUCUCCAUCAUAAUCUUCCCGUCCGCAAUCUUGUGGCCAAAGAACUCCACCUCUUGUUGGGCAAACGAGCACUUCUCUAGUUUGAGGAAGAGCUCAUUGUCUCGAAGUACUUGGAGGACUUGUCGCAAGUGUUGGGCAUGAUCCUAGAGCGUGGUGCUAUACACCACUAUGUCAUCCAAGUACACGACCACGAAGCGGUUGAGGAAUGGUUGGAGCACCUUGUUCAUGAGCGUACAAAAUGUGGCGGGUGCAUUAGUAAGGCCAAAAGGCAUUACAAGGAAUUUGAAAAACCCGUACCUUGUUGUGCACGCUGUCUUUGGUUCGUCUCCCUUGGCGAUGCGUUCUUGGUAGUACCCUGAGCGCAAGUCGAGUUUGGUGAAGUACCGCACUUUGCCAAGCUGGUCGAACUAGUCUGCGAUCAAGGAAAUCGGAUACUUGUUCUUGAUAGUGAUCUUGUUGAGUGCUCUAUAGUCGAUGCACAUCCGCAGCGAUCCAUCCUUUUUCUUUUGGAAGAGGACCGGUGCACCGAAUGGGGCCUUUGAGGGGCGAAUAUAGCCUGCGUUCAGCAAGUCUUUGAGUUGUCUCCACAACUCUUAUAAUUUUGGUGGCGCCAUGCGGUAGGGCGCCAGGGCUGGUGGCUUCGCGCCUUGUUCCAGCUCGAUGGCAUGAUCUACCUCUUGUCGAGGUGGGAGCUUCUUCGGAAGUUCUGGAGGCAUCACGUCCUUGUACUCAUUGAGGACGACUUGAAUUCGCGGAGGGACUUGGCUUGGCGAAGUUCCGCUAUGUCCUUCCUCAUUUAGUUCUCGAAUAGAGACCAAGAAGCUUGGGUCCUUCUUGAAAGCCCUUUUGAAUUGCAUGGCGGAGAGUGUCUUCUCCUCGGACUUGCCUCGCUCCGUGGGUACCAUGCAUGCUUUGCUCCCGUCGAGAAUGCUUAGGGAGUUUGUAGCGGGCAGCGGGAAGGCAUGGACUUGGUCAAAGAAUUUCAUGCUGAGGACCAUCUUGAAGUCGUCCAUGGGCACAAUGGAGAAGUCAAGCUUUCCGCUCCACGUACCGAGUGUGAUGUGCACGCCUUGUACGAUUCCCGCAAUUGGCUUGGCGGGUGAGUUUACUACCUUCAUUGUGCCUCCUUCCUUCGUGGCCUUGAGGCCUAAGCGCUUGGCCUCAUCUACGGACACGAAGUUGUGCGUUGCUCCCGUGUCUAGCAGCGUGCGAACGGACUGGCCGUUUACCUUUGCGCUAACAUACAUGAGCCAUUUCUUGACGAGUGCGGGCUGUUGGCGAUUGAGUGCGCCGAGGCGUUGGAGAGAACCCAUGCUGAGUUGGGGUUCCUCCGUGGACAUUGUAGGGUUGCUCUUGAGUUGGGCAGCAAGAGCGUUAAGCGACCUCUUCUCCGGACAGUCGCGCACCCAAUGGGGACCAUUGCAUAUGAAGCAUGGGUUUCGCAGUUUUGGCGCCUCCUUCUUGCCCUCCGAUUUUCCUUGCCCGCUCUUGUUAUUAGGCGGCUUUUUAUGCCCCCAAUCUUUACGGUUGUUGCCCUUGUCCUUGUGACUCUCUCCCCUACCUUUGCCUUGACUAGACUUCUUGUCUUUGGAUUGGGUAGAGUAUUCGGUGAGCGAUUCCGCAACGGCGAUGGCGUCGUCAAGUGUUUGAACACCACACCUAUCAAGCUCGGUCUUGGCCCAAUCCUUGAGGCCAUCUUGGAAGUAGAAGAGUGAAUCUUUGUCAGACAUGUCGCUUAUCUCCAACAUAAGGGUAGUGAACUCAUUGAUGUAGUCCCGAAUGCUACCCGAUUGCUUGAGGCGACGUAAGCGCGCUCGCGCUUCCUUCUCCGCAUUGCUUGGGGCGAACUGUUUUCAGAGUUCUUGCUUGAAGUCGGCCCAAGUGUCGAUGGUGCAAAUGCCCUUGCCCAUCUCGCCAUGCUUGCGACACCACCAUAGUUGUGCAGCACUUCGAAGAUAAGUGGGUGCAGUGCCCACUUUCGAUGCCUCAUCUCGUACACCCAUGGCAUCGAAGUAUUGAUCCAGCCCGAAUAAGAAGUUGUCCACGAUUGUGGCAUUGCGUGUUGUUGUGCAAAUUUUAAUGUACUCGCAAGCGCACGAAUCUAUUAUAGUAUAGAUCAAUGGUGACGAGUGUCGAUCCCACGAGAAGGUGGAUUUUAAUUGUGUAUAGAAUUAAUUUUGCAAAUGGUUGAUUGGAUUUGUGGUGGAAAUGAUUUGGAAUAUGCUAAAACUUAAAUUAAAAUGGCGAGAAUAAAUUCUGAAAUUGGAAUUGAAAUGACGAGAAUAAAUUGAAGAGAAUUCUAUUGAAAUGACGUACUUGGGUAUCUGGAUCCGUAUCAACAUGCAUCAUGGGCUAAAUAAUCCGUAUUAAUGCCAAUUAAAUCAUGAGGGGGGAAUCCACACCUCAUGAACCACGCUCUAAUCAAUAUGGUGCUAAGGGCUUAUCGUGCCAAAUAAUAAUAACCUUGUACUAGAGAGCCGGUGUAACCAAGGCGGUAUCUAGACAAGAUCAGUAUUAUUUGUCGACGAUAAGUCAAAUCAUCCACAAAAACUAGAGGGGAAAAGAAAAUAAAUUUACCAAAUAAAGCCCAUGACACAUGUUGAGACUUCACCUUCAACCCAAGCUUGAAAGAAAAUUAGCCACUCAUAAUUGAACUAAGGGCAAAAUGGGAAUUUAUUAAAAUACAAAGAAAAUACAAGAUGGAGAAGGAAUUACAGAAAAUGGAUCCCAAAAAUGGAUUCAGAGAUAUCAAAUUAGGGGGGGGAGGCCCCCUUUUUAUAGAUACAUGGAGUAAAUCAUGGCCAUCGGAUUAAAAACAGUUUGGACGCUCAGGAUUGCGCCACGUCAUCAGUCAACAGUCCACGGUUUGACCACGCGGAUGAACAGUAACACGGUUUGACCUGGAUGAACAGUAACGCGGUUUGGUUGACAAUAAUCCUGUGUGAUGCAUGCACCGUACGCGAGAUUUUUCGUCCACUGAUAUGCUGCCACGUCACCAUCAACAGUACAUAAGAUUUUAGUCCAACAGGAUCGUGACACCUCAUCAGUCAAUGCCACAUCAUCGGUCAAUGCCACAUCAUCGGUCAAUGCCACGUCAUCGAUCAAUGCCACGUCAUCGAUCCGUCUAUGUGAACAGUGUCGUGAACAGUAACGUAGACAGUACCGUAUACGUGAAUAGUACCGUACAUGUGAAUAGUGCCAUUUUUCCUUUUAUGCUCCUCCUAAGGUUUUCGACCGUCCUGAGUUCAAAAGUGAUGUCCGUUUUGCCAUCUGAUCUCUCCUUUAUUGUGAAAUGACUAUAAUGCCCCUAAAAUACAUAAAAUACUUAAUUAAAAUAACACACACGUAAUUACAUCACAAGAAGGUUAAAUACAUAAAAGUAAGGGUUGUUAGUAAGACUUGAAAUGUAAAAUGACGGUUUUCUCCUUUAUAAAUAUGCAUUUUCUAACACUCAACACACCCCCCAACCAGCUUAUUGCUAGUCCCUAGCAAAUAAAGCGAAAACAAAAUUCAAAUUCAAAUUUUUUUUUUUUUUUUUAGAAACACUCGUGUUUAUUCAAUCAGAUUAAUGAUAGCAAUCAAAUAAAAGUAUAAGCAUUAUCUCCAGUCUAAAGCAAUAUCACACCCACAUCAACCAUCCACAUGAAUCGGCCCAGUAGAUUUUGUUAUAGGUACUUUCAAGAAUGACAUGUCAAACCCCAAAAUCUCACUGGAAGUAAUGACACUCUCACAAAUAAAUUAAACCCAAUAAAAAUAGUCACUCCAAUGAAUGGUAAUUGAGAGAGAAAAUAAUAAAGAAGUGAUAUCACAUGCUCUCACCAAGAUGAAAUAAAUAUGCCCUUAGCUUAGAAAUAAUACGAUCUCAAGUCAAAUAAAAUGUUAGUCAACCCACUUUAUAUAUCUUUUUUUUUUUUUAUUAUGCAUCACUACAUCUUUUUAGCCCAUAUAACUAGCUUCUACUUCAAACUAUAGUUCCCUAAAAUCAAGAAGGACUUUUAUUAGGACGUAACGUAGGCUAGGGAUAUGGCUAAUAAAGAAAGGAAAUAAGGAAAACAAAGUGUAUGUUUGAGAAAAAUGCAGAAAUAAUUUUUUUUUUUUUUUGAAGUUGCAAGGUAGAUUUCACCUAUUAUUGUUAUUUUAUUCUUUUGAAACAACAACUUUUGUUUUUAUUUUAAUUUUUUUUUUUACUUUUAUUUGGCAUAACUUCACUGAACAACAUAAUUAUUUACAUUUUCUCAAACAUAAAUAGGUGAUGGAACUUAAAAGACAUUGGGUAAUACUCCAAAUCGGAGUGGGUCAAGAUGAUAAGUUGACAAAGAAAAUGUUUUUUUUUUUUUUUUUUUAAAGGCUCAAAAGGGGUAACUAUGGAUAUUUAAUAACAGGGAUGGCUAGAAAGGCUCAAACGGAUCAAAGAUGGUCUUUCCAUCGUUUUUUAGGGCUCUAAAUAAUUAUCCAUAUCUACUAGUUAAAUGGGCAUCCCAAUAUAGCAACACACAUUUUUUUCUUUUUUCUUUUUUUUUUUACCAUUUUUUUUUAAAGGGUUAACUCAAAAGAAAUCUAGAGAUCGUGUAUAAAAUAAUAAACUGCUAAGUUGUAUAGAGAAUGGGCAAAAGGGUUACUCUCCAAGAAAAUGAUAGGCUCAACUACUCACUUGGCACUUAUUUAUGACAUGUUCAUUCCUUCAAGCAACUCAUAUUUGUCUCCGACAUCAACAUGUAAAGUAGCAAACAUAGCGUAACAUCACUUAAGACCAAAGAUAAUACAAAUACUAAAAUUUGAAAUUAAUCAUGUCAUCCAAUGUUAAAACAAAUAACACAAUUUUUUUUUUUUAAACAACAUUCUACCCCCCAACCUAUUCUAAACAUGAAAGGAAAAUAUGCAUGCAGAAAUGUGAAAAUGAUGUAGAAAAAUUAAUUAGAAAAAGAAAUUUUUUUUUUUUAAACUAAGAAGAUGCGUUUCUAGAGGCACUACACUCCAUAUUCAGCCAUCUUCGACUCAAAAAUUUGAAACUACAUAUUUAUAAAGGAGAAAGAGGAAGAAAACAGGUUUUUUUUUUUUUUUUUUUUUUUUUAAACGAUGAAGAUGCGUUUCUAGAGGCACUACACUCCAUAUUCAGCCAUCUUCAACAUAAAAUGUUAGCAACAGUUAGUUUCUACAACAAAAAAUCAGUAAAAACUUAACCAAGAUUCCACAAUUGUCGACUAUUCCCUCCCCCCAACCAGAACGAAACAUUGUCCUCAAUGUUUUAAAGGAAAGAAGUAGAGUUUAGAAGACAUCACCUGGGUGGUGCAACACAGAAGAAAAUAUUUACAGGCGGAGAGUUAAAUCUAAUUUGUACUUCUUACUGCGGCUACUGUUACCAUCAUUAUUUGGUCGCUCCAACACAAAGGUCCAGGGGUCUGGCUCCGGUUUAUAAGCUUGUAACAUAUCAAGUAGCUCAUUAGCAGUGUGAGCACAAAUAAAGAGUUUUUUCACAUUAGAAGGAAUGAAAUAGUUUUUUAUUGCAUGGUUAAGAAAUGCGAUAAAGCCAUCAUAAAAGUUAUUGACAUUUAACAAACCGAUGGGUUUCUGGUGGAUGUGCAGAUGGGCCCAAGAUGCUAGUGUCAUAAGUGCCUCUAGUGUUGCAAGAUCUCCUGGAAGGAAAAUAAAAGCAUCAGCAUGAUUAAGCAUUUCAGUUAUUCUUUCUUGCAUACCUGAGACGACUAACUCUUCUCCAGUUGAUGAGUCAGACGAACUGCCCAAUGGUUUUAGGAUUCUUGGGAUGAUGCCUAACACUUGACUUCCUCUGAUAAAAGCUGCUUCUGAGACCAUUUUUGAUAACCCUCGGUUACCUCCUCCAUACACCAAAUGUAAUUUUCUCGCUGCUAUGCUUCGACCAAGAUCUAUGGCUGCCUCCACGAACUCUUUAUGUUUGCCAUAGGUAAAUCCAGAAAGCACACAAAUGUUCUUGAAUUGUCUAUUAGGAGUAGCUGCCAUUGUGAUACUUCUCAAAAAUAAUUUGUGAGUGCUUGACAAAAGAUAAAUCACAUUUAAGAAUCUUGGUGACAGUGGAUCACAGCUGUGAAUAAGGUAACAUGUCAGUGUCAAAUAACGCGUAAAGCACGUGGCUCGCGAGUCAAAAAGGAAACAGUAAAAAGGAAAAAGCAAACAGUAACAAAAUUAUUAAAGACAAUAAUGCAAACAAUAAAACAACAGUGAAAUGAAAUAAAAUAACAGUAAAGUAAAAGGAUAUUUACACGUAGUUGCGACUGUGGCUCACAUCUUCCUCUGGUUUUACGUCCAGAAACGGCUUGAACGCCCUCUAUGGGUCGAGGAUAGGCUUCCUAUCCAGUUUUCUUAUAAACUGGCAAACAGGGUCGUUUAUAGUCAGAUUCCCAAGACUAUAUUGUGUAUGCUCUUUCUGGAAUAAUGGCCAUAACUGGAGAAUCGCUCCUUGCACAUAUCCACUGGGAUGCGUUUCAAGAGACAAAAGGAUAUCAUCCAAUGACUCCUUAUUCAAGCCAUCCCUAAUGAAUUGAAUCUUAUCUUCUCUGUUAUCAGACACCAUUCCUAAAGAACAUGGGUUUCUAUCGCAACUCAUUCUGGCACACUUGUGACAAGCAACAGAAAUUCUUCGAGCUCGUCGUUUUCUUGCGUAAUUUCCUUUACCACAACCAGGCAUGUAUGCAAUAAAUUUAGGAGGUAACUCACCUGCCAAUCGUACUUUAGCCUCGAUUAACCAACGGAUGUCUGCAGGUAUGUUAUUCCUCAUGAGCAAUCGCAUGCGUUCAGACCGGGCUUUAUAGAUUGUAAGGAGGGCAUUCUGAGGAAGUGAAGGGAAUCGCUUGUGAAGCUUUGCUAGAAUCUCGUUUCUAUCCAUACCUUCGCCUCAGAAUAUCAGUUAUUAUGGGAAACUGAAGUAACCGACUUGAUUGUCACGGAGUACCGUUAUCCGCCACUUCACCGGGGUAACAAACUAAAGCACACAAAUAGAAAAACAAAUCAAAACACACAAAGAAAAUUAAAAUCGUCCUCUUAUUGAAUUUACCUCAAGCUCCAACUGGAUGUCGUAAACACUUCUCUCAAUGUCUCUGAGUUGGCGUUCUAAACCCUCAACAUAGGCUACUAACUCUGGUGGUUGUAGAGCCCAAAUGCGUUGUGUUUUACAAAAUNNNNNNNNNNNNNNNNNNNNNNNNNNNNNNNNNNNNNNNNNNNNNNNNNNNNNNNNNNNNNNNNNNNNNNNNNNNNNNNNNNNNNNNNNNNNNNNNNNNNNNNNNNNNNNNNNNNNNNNNNNNNNNNNNNNNNNNNNNNNNNNNNNNNNNNNNNNNNNNNNNNNNNNNNNNNNNNNNNNNNNNNNNNNNNNNNNNNNNNNNNNNNNNNNNNNNNNNNNNNNNNNNNNNNNNNNNNNNNNNNNNNNNNNNNNNNNNNNNNNNNNNNNNNNNNNNNNNNNNNNNNNNNNNNNNNNNNNNNNNNNNNNNNNNNNNNNNNNNNNNNNNNNNNNNNNNNNNNNNNNNNNNNNNNNNNNNNNNNNNNNNNNNNNNNNNNNNNNNNNNNNNNNNNNNNNNNNNNNNNNNNNNNNNNNNNNNNNNNNNNNNNNNNNNNNNNNNNNNNNNNNNNNNNNNNNNNNNNNNNNNNNNNNNNNNNNNNNNNNNNNNNNNNNNNNNNNNNNNNNNNNNNNNNNNNNNNNNNNNNNNNNNNNNNNNNNNNNNNNNNNNNNNNNNNNNNNNNNNNNNNNNNNNNNNNNNNNNNNNNNNNNNNNNNNNNNNNNNNNNNNNNNNNNNNNNNNNNNNNNNNNNNNNNNNNNNNNNNNNNNNNNNNNNNNNNNNNNNNNNNNNNNNNNNNNNNNNNNNNNNNNNNNNNNNNNNNNNNNNNNNNNNNNNNNNNNNNNNNNNNNNNNNNNNNNNNNNNNNNNNNNNNNNNNNNNNNNNNNNNNNNNNNNNNNNNNNNNNNNNNNNNNNNNNNNNNNNNNNNNNNNNNNNNNNNNNNNNNNNNNNNNNNNNNNNNNNNNNNNNNNNNNNNNNNNNNNNNNNNNNNNNNNNNNNNNNNNNNNNNNNNNNNNNNNNNNNNNNNNNNNNNNNNNNNNNNNNNNNNNNNNNNNNNNNNNNNNNNNNNNNNNNNNNNNNNNNNNNNNNNNNNNNNNNNNNNNNNNNNNNNNNNNNNNNNNNNNNNNNNNNNNNNNNNNNNNNNNNNNNNNNNNNNNNNNNNNNNNNNNNNNNNNNNNNNNNNNNNNNNNNNNNNNNNNNNNNNNNNNNNNNNNNNNNNNNNNNNNNNNNNNNNNNNNNNNNNNNNNNNNNNNNNNNNNNNNNNNNNNNNNNNNNNNNNNNNNNNNNNNNNNNNNNNNNNNNNNNNNNNNNNNNNNNNNNNNNNNNNNNNNNNNNNNNNNNNNNNNNNNNNNNNNNNNNNNNNNNNNNNNNNNNNNNNNNNNNNNNNNNNNNNNNNNNNNNNNNNNNNNNNNNNNNNNNNNNNNNNNNNNNNNNNNNNNNNNNNNNNNNNNNNNNNNNNNNNNNNNNNNNNNNNNNNNNNNNNNNNNNNNNNNNNNNNNNNNNNNNNNNNNNNNNNNNNNNNNNNNNNNNNNNNNNNNNNNNNNNNNNNNNNNNNNNNNNNNNNNNNNNNNNNNNNNNNNNNNNNNNNNNNNNNNNNNNNNNNNNNNNNNNNNNNNNNNNNNNNNNNNNNNNNNNNNNNNNNNNNNNNNNNNNNNNNNNNNNNNNNNNNNNNNNNNNNNNNNNNNNNNNNNNNNNNNNNNNNNNNNNNNNNNNNNNNNNNNNNNNNNNNNNNNNNNNNNNNNNNNNNNNNNNNNNNNNNNNNNNNNNNNNNNNNNNNNNNNNNNNNNNNNNNNNNNNNNNNNNNNNNNNNNNNNNNNNNNNNNNNNNNNNNNNNNNNNNNNNNNNNNNNNNNNNNNNNNNNNNNNNNNNNNNNNNNNNNNNNNNNNNNNNNNNNNNNNNNNNNNNNNNNNNNNNNNNNNNNNNNNNNNNNNNNNNNNNNNNNNNNNNNNNNNNNNNNNNNNNNNNNNNNNNNNNNNNNNNNNNNNNNNNNNNNNNNNNNNNNNNNNNNNNNNNNNNNNNNNNNNNNNNNNNNNNNNNNNNNNNNNNNNNNNNNNNNNNNNNNNNNNNNNNNNNNNNNNNNNNNNNNNNNNNNNNNNNNNNNNNNNNNNNNNNNNNNNNNNNNNNNNNNNNNNNNNNNNNNNNNNNNNNNNNNNNNNNNNNNNNNNNNNNNNNNNNNNNNNNNNNNNNNNNNNNNNNNNNNNNNNNNNNNNNNNNNNNNNNNNNNNNNNNNNNNNNNNNNNNNNNNNNNNNNNNNNNNNNNNNNNNNNNNNNNNNNNNNNNNNNNNNNNNNNNNNNNNNNNNNNNNNNNNNNNNNNNNNNNNNNNNNNNNNNNNNNNNNNNNNNNNNNNNNNNNNNNNNNNNNNNNNNNNNNNNNNNNNNNNNNNNNNNNNNNNNNNNNNNNNNNNNNNNNNNNNNNNNNNNNNNNNNNNNNNNNNNNNNNNNNNNNNNNNNNNNNNNNNNNNNNNNNNNNNNNNNNNNNNNNNNNNNNNNNNNNNNNNNNNNNNNNNNNNNNNNNNNNNNNNNNNNNNNNNNNNNNNNNNNNNNNNNNNNNNNNNNNNNNNNNNNNNNNNNNNNNNNNNNNNNNNNNNNNNNNNNNNNNNNNNNNNNNNNNNNNNNNNNNNNNNNNNNNNNNNNNNNNNNNNNNNNNNNNNNNNNNNNNNNNNNNNNNNNNNNNNNNNNNNNNNNNNNNNNNNNNNNNNNNNNNNNNNNNNNNNNNNNNNNNNNNNNNNNNNNNNNNNNNNNNNNNNNNNNNNNNNNNNNNNNNNNNNNNNNNNNNNNNNNNNNNNNNNNNNNNNNNNNNNNNNNNNNNNNNNNNNNNNNNNNNNNNNNNNNNNNNNNNNNNNNNNNNNNNNNNNNNNNNNNNNNNNNNNNNNNNNNNNNNNNNNNNNNNNNNNNNNNNNNNNNNNNNNNNNNNNNNNNNNNNNNNNNNNNNNNNNNNNNNNNNNNNNNNNNNNNNNNNNNNNNNNNNNNNNNNNNNNNNNNNNNNNNNNNNNNNNNNNNNNNNNNNNNNNNNNNNNNNNNNNNNNNNNNNNNNNNNNNNNNNNNNNNNNNNNNNNNNNNNNNNNNNNNNNNNNNNNNNNNNNNNNNNNNNNNNNNNNNNNNNNNNNNNNNNNNNNNNNNNNNNNNNNNNNNNNNNNNNNNNNNNNNNNNNNNNNNNNNNNNNNNNNNNNNNNNNNNNNNNNNNNNNNNNNNNNNNNNNNNNNNNNNNNNNNNNNNNNNNNNNNNNNNNNNNNNNNNNNNNNNNNNNNNNNNNNNNNNNNNNNNNNNNNNNNNNNNNNNNNNNNNNNNNNNNNNNNNNNNNNNNNNNNNNNNNNNNNNNNNNNNNNNNNNNNNNNNNNNNNNNNNNNNNNNNNNNNNNNNNNNNNNNNNNNNNNNNNNNNNNNNNNNNNNNNNNNNNNNNNNNNNNNNNNNNNNNNNNNNNNNNNNNNNNNNNNNNNNNNNNNNNNNNNNNNNNNNNNNNNNNNNNNNNNNNNNNNNNNNNNNNNNNNNNNNNNNNNNNNNNNNNNNNNNNNNNNNNNNNNNNNNNNNNNNNNNNNNNNNNNNNNNNNNNNNNNNNNNNNNNNNNNNNNNNNNNNNNNNNNNNNNNNNNNNNNNNNNNNNNNNNNNNNNNNNNNNNNNNNNNNNNNNNNNNNNNNNNNNNNNNNNNNNNNNNNNNNNNNNNNNNNNNNNNNNNNNNNNNNNNNNNNNNNNNNNNNNNNNNNNNNNNNNNNNNNNNNNNNNNNNNNNNNNNNNNNNNNNNNNNNNNNNNNNNNNNNNNNNNNNNNNNNNNNNNNNNNNNNNNNNNNNNNNNNNNNNNNNNNNNNNNNNNNNNNNNNNNNNNNNNNNNNNNNNNNNNNNNNNNNNNNNNNNNNNNNNNNNNNNNNNNNNNNNNNNNNNNNNNNNNNNNNNNNNNNNNNNNNNNNNNNNNNNNNNNNNNNNNNNNNNNNNNNNNNNNNNNNNNNNNNNNNNNNNNNNNNNNNNNNNNNNNNNNNNNNNNNNNNNNNNNNNNNNNNNNNNNNNNNNNNNNNNNNNNNNNNNNNNNNNNNNNNNNNNNNNNNNNNNNNNNNNNNNNNNNNNNNNNNNNNNNNNNNNNNNNNNNNNNNNNNNNNNNNNNNNNNNNNNNNNNNNNNNNNNNNNNNNNNNNNNNNNNNNNNNNNNNNNNNNNNNNNNNNNNNNNNNNNNNNNNNNNNNNNNNNNNNNNNNNNNNNNNNNNNNNNNNNNNNNNNNNNNNNNNNNNNNNNNNNNNNNNNNNNNNNNNNNNNNNNNNNNNNNNNNNNNNNNNNNNNNNNNNNNNNNNNNNNNNNNNNNNNNNNNNNNNNNNNNNNNNNNNNNNNNNNNNNNNNNNNNNNNNNNNNNNNNNNNNNNNNNNNNNNNNNNNNNNNNNNNNNNNNNNNNNNNNNNNNNNNNNNNNNNNNNNNNNNNNNNNNNNNNNNNNNNNNNNNNNNNNNNNNNNNNNNNNNNNNNNNNNNNNNNNNNNNNNNNNNNNNNNNNNNNNNNNNNNNNNNNNNNNNNNNNNNNNNNNNNNNNNNNNNNNNNNNNNNNNNNNNNNNNNNNNNNNNNNNNNNNNNNNNNNNNNNNNNNNNNNNNNNNNNNNNNNNNNNNNNNNNNNNNNNNNNNNNNNNNNNNNNNNNNNNNNNNNNNNNNNNNNNNNNNNNNNNNNNNNNNNNNNNNNNNNNNNNNNNNNNNNNNNNNNNNNNNNNNNNNNNNNNNNNNNNNNNNNNNNNNNNNNNNNNNNNNNNNNNNNNNNNNNNNNNNNNNNNNNNNNNNNNNNNNNNNNNNNNNNNNNNNNNNNNNNNNNNNNNNNNNNNNNNNNNNNNNNNNNNNNNNNNNNNNNNNNNNNNNNNNNNNNNNNNNNNNNNNNNNNNNNNNNNNNNNNNNNNNNNNNNNNNNNNNNNNNNNNNNNNNNNNNNNNNNNNNNNNNNNNNNNNNNNNNNNNNNNNNNNNNNNNNNNNNNNNNNNNNNNNNNNNNNNNNNNNNNNNNNNNNNNNNNNNNNNNNNNNNNNNNNNNNNNNNNNNNNNNNNNNNNNNNNNNNNNNNNNNNNNNNNNNNNNNNNNNNNNNNNNNNNNNNNNNNNNNNNNNNNNNNNNNNNNNNNNNNNNNNNNNNNNNNNNNNNNNNNNNNNNNNNNNNNNNNNNNNNNNNNNNNNNNNNNNNNNNNNNNNNNNNNNNNNNNNNNNNNNNNNNNNNNNNNNNNNNNNNNNNNNNNNNNNNNNNNNNNNNNNNNNNNNNNNNNNNNNNNNNNNNNNNNNNNNNNNNNNNNNNNNNNNNNNNNNNNNNNNNNNNNNNNNNNNNNNNNNNNNNNNNNNNNNNNNNNNNNNNNNNNNNNNNNNNNNNNNNNNNNNNNNNNNNNNNNNNNNNNNNNNNNNNNNNNNNNNNNNNNNNNNNNNNNNNNNNNNNNNNNNNNNNNNNNNNNNNNNNNNNNNNNNNNNNNNNNNNNNNNNNNNNNNNNNNNNNNNNNNNNNNNNNNNNNNNNNNNAUGAACUAUCAGAAAUUGGGUAAAUGAUACCUGCGUCUAAUAGCUUAAGGACUUCUGUUCUAACAACUUCUUUCAUAUUAGGAUUUAACCGACGUUGCAUUUCCCUAGUAGAUUUAGCAUUUUCAUCAAGGUGAAUGUAAUGCAUGCAGUCUACUGGAUUUAUACCUUUGAUGUCUGCUAUGGUCCAUCCUAAUGCCCCUUUGUGCUCUUUUAAAACAUCCAACAACUUACCUUUUUGUUCGUCAUUUAGGGAUGAUGAGAUGAUUACCGGCAGAGUACUUUCUUCUCCCAAAAAUGCAUAUUCCAGAGUGUUGGGUAAUGGUUUGAGCUCGAGUUUCGGUGGUGAUUCUGAUGAUGGAAUGAGUUUCUUCUCUGAUGGUGCUAGUUGUUCAACUCUUGACUUCCAUUUAUUAGUGUCCAUGGAUGGUGCUGAGUCAAGUAGGGCGUUGACCUCUUCGACCGAUCUGUCAAUAUCAAAAUCCAAACCAAAGUGAGUUAAACAUGUUUGUAAAGGAUCAUCACUAAGGUUUGAAAGAAAAGUAUUAUCAACUAUUGUUUCUAUUAAAUCCACAUCAACAAUUCCAUCAUCUGCACUGUGAGGUUGUUUGGCAAUGUUGAAGAUGUUUAGCUCCAUAGUCAUGUUGCCGAAGGACAAUUGCAUAUUUCCGGUCCUACAUUGAAUAUGAGCAUCUGCAGUUGCCAAGAAAGGUCGGCCUAGAAUAAUGGGGAUGUGCUUCCUUGAGUCCUGUAUUGGUUGAGUGUCAAUUACAAUGAAAUCAACAGGAAAAUAAAACUUGUCUACCUGGAUAAGCACGUCCUCCACAAAACCACGAGGUAUUUUUGUGGACCGAUCUGCAAGUUGUAACACCACUGGAGUUGGGUGUAAUUCUCCCAGUCCAAGUUUCACGAAUACAGAGUAAGGCAACAAAUUUACACUAGCUCCUAAAUCCAACAAAGCAUUCUCAAUUGUGUGGUUCCCUAUACUACAUGAGAUAGUGGGGGAGCCUGGGUCUUUGCAUUUUAAAGGAAUUUUAUGUUGGAGUAUAGAACUAACGUUUUCUGUUAAAAAUGCCUUCUUUUGAACAUGCAUAUUUCUCUUUUUAGUACAAAGGUCUUUAAGAAACUUGGCAUAAGAUGGAACUUGCUUUAUAGCAUCAAGUAAAGGGAUGUUAACACUUACCUGUUUGAAGAUUUCGAGAAUCUCACCUGUGGAUUUUCCUUUCUUGCCUUUCGCUAACCUCUGAGGAAAUGGAGCUUUCGGAACGUAUUCUCGUGGGUUGGUUUCUUCUUUCUCCUCCGGUGGUGAGUCUUCAACAUUCACAGGUACAAUUUGAUUUUCUUUUGUCACCGGCAUCUCCACUUUGUUGUCGACUUCCUUUCCUUUUCGCAAGGUCAUGACUGCUUUGACCUCUCCAUGCUGUUGUGGUGAACUGGUACUUGCUUCAUGUACUCCUUUAGGAUUAGGCACUGGUUGACUUGGAAAUUUUCCUUUCUCAACAGUCAUUGCCAAGGUCUGAACUGAAGAAGCAAGUUGUCCCACCAUCUUCUCGAGGCUUGAAACUGAUUGAGCUUGUGAGUUGAAGCCUGCUCUCAACUCAUUUCGUAGUCCAUCAAUGGUGCGGUUCUGUUGCUCAAUCGUAGAGUGAGUAGCAUUCUUGAAAUUCUGGAAUGAAUCCUCCCAUGGUCUGGGUUGAGAGUAGUUUUGGUUCUGAUUGAAUGGUCUAAAUGGGGGCUGAGAGGCUUGAGGAUUUUGAGGAAUUUGUUGCAUUGGUGGAGCUGCUGGUCCAUUCUGUUGGAAUCCUUGAGACCAUGAAAAAUUGGGGUGGUCUCUCCAUCCAGGAUUAUAUGUGUUGGAGUAUGGGUUGUAAUUCGAUGGUUUUCUCAUUACACCUAUGGCAUUGGCUUGAUCUGAGUAUGAGUCAUGGUCAUGUGAUUCUGUUGAUUUAGCAGUCGAUAACGAUGCUAUUUGUCGAGCAAGACCUUCAACCAUCUCCUUGACUUCUUUGAUUUCCGAAGUUGACUCGCCAAUUUGAACCUCAUUUACUCCCUUAAUUCUUCUAGUAUUCCUGAGUGAUCGACUCCGUUGUUGGGAAUUAUCCGCUUGUCGCUGGAAGAAUUCCCAAAUCUCUGAUGCACUUUUUGACAUUAGCUCUCCUCCACUUGUUGCCAUUAGCCAUUCUUGCACAUUUGGUAGUAAUCCCUCCAAAAAGUAUUGACAUUGGUGCCAUUUUUCGUACCCAUGAUGUGGACACUUCAAGAGUAGCCCAUUGAAUCGCUCCCAUGUUUCGAAAAACUGCUCGUCCUCUCUCUGUGUAAACUCUGAAAUUUCCCUGCGAAUAGCAUUGGUUUUAUGCACUGGGAAAUAUUUAUUCAAAAAUUUUGUAACCAUUUGUUCCCAUGAUGCAAUGCUAUUAGCAGGCAAUGUAUUAAGCCAUGAACGAGCUCUAUCCUUUAAAGAAAAUGGGAAUAAUCUGAGUUUAACAUCAUCGUCUGAAAAAUUCUCAUAUUUGAAUGUUUGACAAAUGGCAUGAAAAUCAUUCAAAUGAUUAUAUGGGUCCUCAUUUUCUAAGCCAUAGAAUGUGGGGAGACAAUUUAGCACACUAGGUUUUAAUUCAAAACUCCUAGCAGCUACAUUUGGGUAUCUUAUGCAUGACGUGCUCAAAUUAGCUAAGGGACUAAAAUAGUCCUUAAAUGGCCUCUCCUGUGGUGCUUGUAAAUCUAUUUUAUUUUUAACGUGUUUGUGUGUGCGAAGUGUUUUUUCUAAUUCAAGGUCUAUAGGUUCAAGAUUUGGUAAUAAUGACCUACGACCAUGCAUGCAAAAUAAAUAAAAUAAAAAUAAAGAUGGGAACAAAAACAAAUAAAAAUAAAGAAGAGGGAGAAAUUACGAUACUAACCUUAUUGCGCUAUUACAACCUUUCUAUAAAAAUACACAAAAACAAAUACGUGAAAUAAAUUAACUAAAAAUUAAAUUAAUAAAAUAAACAAAAAUUACAAAGAAAAAAAAUUAAAAAUUAAAUUACAGAAUUUUAAAGAAGAGAAAAAGAAAAGAAAUAAUAACCUUUAAAUGUAGAUUUACUUUUUUUUUUAAUAAAAAAUACAAGAAAACAAAUAAAAGAAAUUAUUCACAAAAAUUAAUUCUAUGAAUUAAAAUUACUUACCUCCCCAGCAACGGCGCCAAAAACUUGUUGUGCAAAUUUUAAUGUACUCGCAAGCGCACGAAUCUAUUAUAGUAUAGAUCAAUGGUGACGAGUGUCGAUCCCACGAGGAGGUGGAUUUUAAUUGUGUAUAGAAUUAAUUUUGCAAAUGGUUGAUUGGAUCUGUGGUGGAAAUGAUUUGGAAUAUGCUAAAACUUAAAUUAAAAUGGCGAGAAUAAAUUCUGAAAUUGGAAUUGAAAUGACGAGAAUAAAUUGAAGAGAAUUCUAUUGAAAUGACGUACUUGGGUAUCUGGAUCCGUAUCAACAUGCAUCAUGGGCUAAAUAAUCCGUAUUAAUGCCAAUUAAAUCAUGAGGGGGGAAUCCACACCUCAUGAACCACGCUCUAAUCAAUAUGGUGCUAAGGGCUUAUCGUGCCAAAUAAUAAUAACCUUGUACUAGAGAGCCGGUGUAACCAAGGCGGUAUCUAGACAAGAUCAGUAUUAUUUGUCGACGAUAAGUCAAAUCAUCCACAAAAACUAGAGGGGAAAAGAAAAUAAAUUUACCAAAUAAAGCUCAUGACACAUGUUGAGACUUCACCUUCAACCCAAGCUUGAAAGAAAAUUAGCCACUCAUAAUUGAACUAAGGGCAAAAUGGGAAUUUAUUAAAAUACAAAGAAAAUACAAGAUGGAGAAGGAAUUACAGAAAAUGGAUCCCAAAAAUGGAUUCAAAGAUAUCAAAUUAGGGGGGGAGGCCCCCUUUUUAUAGAUACAUGGAGUAAAUCAUGGCCAUCGGAUUAAAAACAGUUUGGACGCUCAGGAUUGCGCCACGUCAUCAGUCAACAGUCCACGGUUUGACCACGCGGAUGAACAGUAACACGGUUUGACCCGGAUGAACAGUAACACGGUUUGGUUGACAAUAAUCCUGUGUGAUGCAUGCACCGUACGCGAGAUUUUUCGUCCACUGAUAUGCUGCCACGUCACCAUCAACAGUACAUAAGAUUUUAGUCCAACAGGAUCGUGACACCUCAUCAGUCAAUGCCACAUCAUCGGUCAAUGCCACAUCAUCGGUCAAUGCCACGUCAUCGAUCAAUGCCACGUCAUCGAUCCGUCUAUGUGAACAGUGUCGUGAACAGUAACGUAGACAGUACCGUAUACGUGAAUAGUACCGUACAUGUGAAUAGUGCCAUUUUUCCUUUUAUGCUCCUCCUAAGGUUUUCGACCGUCCUGAGUUCAAAAGUGAUGUCCGUUUUGCCAUCUGAUCUCUCCUUUAUUGUGAAAUGACUAUAAUGCCCCUAAAAUACAUAAAAUACUUAAUUAAAAUAACACACACGUAAUUACAUCACAAGAAGGUUAAAUACAUAAAAGUAAGGGUUGUUAGUAAGACUUGAAAUGUAAAAUGACGGUUUUCUCCUUUAUAAAUAUGCAUUUUCUAACACUCAACNNNNNNNNNNNNNNNNNNNNNNNNNNNNNNNNNNNNNNNNNNNNNNNNNNNNNNNNNNNNNNNNNNNNNNNNNNNNNNNNNNNNNNNNNNNNNNNNNNNNCACUGGAGUUUGCGGAAGCUGGACUUGCGGAGAGUGUGCGAUUGUUCCAUGCCCAAUCCGAGCGGACUUCAUCCACUUCCGCACGGACAACGUGUAGUUCGUCCUGAACAAAACUACGAAGUUUUAGCAACUCAUCAUGGAAAGAUCAAAACUCACCUCAGAGAGUGUUCGCUUACUCAUGGAUGAGAGCUUUUGUGGCCACCGUGAACUCGGCGUAUUCUCCCUUGAGACCGUCCACUCUUCCUUCCAAUCCCUCGAGGCUUUCUUGAGCGGCGGACAAUGCGAUUUCGAGAGUGCCUACACGAGGCUCCAACGCAUCCACGGAUGGGGCCUUGGACUUGCCGCGAAUCUUGCCUUGGGCGCGUUCUCCCUCUCGGCCGCGGCUUGGUUCCGGUGGAACAUCCACACCAACAACACCCUCUUAUGCUACGUUCGAAGGGUUGGCCAUUGCUUCGUGAGCUAACUUGUGUGCGUGCAAACCUUAGCUCUGAUACCACUUGUCACGGGAUGAGUGUUUUGCGCAGCUAACCCGUGCGGCACUUAGACAACUUUGCCGAUUGUUGCUAAGUAAGCCUAGAGCUUCUCGAACAAGAGAAGAGAGCAAUUGAGCCAAAGAAGAAACUUGUAUUGCACAAAGAGAGAUUACAAUGCUUGUUGCUUACAAAGCUUGUUAGAUACAAAUGCCUAAUGCCAUCCCAUAUUUAUAAGGGAGACUUGCCAAGCUCUAGAGAUUCUAGAGAAUUCUACCCACUAUCUAGAAUUUACAUGUGCUGGAAAGUCAUAGAGAAUUCUAGAGUAUUUACAAGCUCACAUGUGCUAGAGUUUCCUAGAACUUUCCGGAAUUGGGUCAAGCUAGCACUCUUGGCCUUGUGUUGGCUCUCUAGCCCGAAAUUGUGGGCAAUUGGGCUAGUGAAUUGGGCGGUCCGCAACAUUUAGGUGGGAUAUGGGAGAAUUGUCAAGAGUUCACACCAAGAGAAAUUAAUGAUAGGCCUAAUUUCGUUGUCAAUUCUUUAUUUAUUUAUUUUAUUUUUUUAUACAUUAUUGUCUUGUUGGCAUUGUUUUGUAAAGAUAUAAAAGUACAAGUAAAAUAUUAGGGGAAGUAAAGUAAAAUAUUGGAGGUGUUGCUAAGUUACAGCUGCCGUAACUUACAGUUCCUUAAAAAAUAAUGUAAAAAAUUUAACACGUGGUGGGACCCACAUUAUGUUUGAAGAGGCCGUAAGUUAUAGCAGUUGUAAAUUAGUAAAAUCCAAAUAUUAGACAAUAAUACACAUUAACAAUGCAUAUAAUUUGAGUUUGAUUUUUAAAAAAAUUAUGUGAGUAUUACCUAUCCUUAAGACAUUAAUGAGAAUAUAUUUUAAUUUUAAAUAAUCAAAAUCUGUUUAAUCAUAAUAUGUAAUUCAUACAUUGCAUGUUAGAUUUGUUUGGAUUUUAAGUUGUUGCUAAUAAAUAUUUAUGUUGUGAAAGUCGAAUUCAAUAGCUACAAAAGCAGAGAUAAUGGUAUUUUAUGUAGUUUUUAAGAAUACAAGGAUAAGACCAUAACGCAUGAGAUAGUGUUAUUUUAUAUUAAAAGACCAUAACACAUGUAUUUGAGCCAUUUAUAUUGAGGACACAUAUAGAGCGAAAAGUGCAGAUCCGGCCGUAACUAUUGUGAAGCUUUCCUCAAGUAUUCUCAUGCACGCAGACCUUAGCUGGUCAAGUUUUCUGAUUUAAUAUAAUCAAUUUCCGCGCAGUACUAACGACAGCUUCUUUGUAAAGCUCUUCAACCACAAGCAUUUCUACAAGGCAAAAGACUAGGACGUGUCGGAAUGAAUAUCAAUAAGGGAAUGUCUUAUGAAUUUAGUUUAUAUCCUAAUAUAAGACAAUCAAUAAAUAUUAGAUGCAAUCUAAGGGCUAACAUUUGAUUGAUCAUUAUACGAAAAAAAGGUACAAAAAUACAAAACAGAGCUGAUUGAUGGCCUCUCACAGUCAGUUAUAUGACAAAGUAGCCACCACAACAAACUUGAACUUGGCUGGAGGUCUCAUUAGCAGUAUACCUCCGAACUUAAGACAAAGACUUUAAAAUGCAAACUUAUGGAGCAAUUUAAGCACUGAAACUAAUAACAGUACGGUAUUAGCAAUUGACCUCUGCUUUUGCUUAGACAAAGGUUCUCAUCACAAUGGAUUCAUUAGUUGCCCUUGCCUCACACGUUUGGAUGCUAAGGGGAAAAAGGAAGUUUGAAUUAGUCAAUCUCAUUUCUAAUGGCAUUCACAGAGAACCUAUAAAGCAAAAAAAUAAAUAAAAAUUUUCAUGUUGCAAGUGAGCUCGUUUUCAAUCGAUUUUUAUUGAUCAUAAGAGAUCAUGUGGCCCACCUUAUUUUUAUUUUGGAUCCAUAACCCAAAGCUGGCCCAAGUUCUGAUUCCAGAAUCAUUUGUCUACAAAGUGACCUCAUUCCGGCAAUUGGUUUAUGCUAAUAGCACGUGCAAUUUUCAUUUUCUUCUUUUUAUUAAUUAAUUUCAUCAUUAUUAUUUGCUUAUUAGUUUAAAUUAAUUAAUUAUAUUGUAUUAAUGAAAUUAGUCUUUCAUUUUCUUUUCUCUUUCAAUGCACAAAGCCAAACAACCAUUCUUUCUUCAAAUACCGAAGAGCUCCUGACUACGGCUGUCAAUGCUUCUAUAUUUAUGUGCUGUGCUGCAGCACUCUUAGCGAAAGCUUGAAUGAAUGAUUAAAGACAAAAGCUUAUAUAAAAGCAGAUGCCGGAGGCACUCAAAAAGCAUUUGAGAGAGAAGCUAAACAGCAAAUCAUCAAACGCACUUCAAUGACUUUGAUUUUGAUUUUUGUUUCAAAAGAAGUAGAAAAGUCCAUGGGUCACGAUAACUGCUUGUCCUCUGCCGUGACCUCAUUGUCCGCUGCUAGUGUCAAAUAGAUUAAUCUUUCUAGUAGAUUAAUAUAAUUUAUAAUUUUAAUUUCAGUAUUAAUUUUUAAAAUGUUAGUUGUUAUAUUUAUUUUAAUGAUAUAUCUAUUUUUAGUAUAAAAAUUUAAAUAAAUAUUUAGAUUAAAUAGAAUUUAUAAUUGAUAUAAUAUAUCUCAUGUAUUAAUGAUAUUUAAAUUAUUUUAAAUAAUAUUAAUCCUAACUUAAAAUUUUAUAUAUUUAUUUUAAUGUUAUGUUUCUAUAUAUUAUAAAAUUUAGUUUAAUAUAAUAUAAGAUUGUAAAGUAUUCAAAUAUUUUUUAAAUAUUAAAAUUAUUAUAAAAUGUAUAUACUGUUACAUUUUUAACAUUGAAGUCAAUCUUUUUUAAGUUAAUAGAGUGAAAAGAUAUAAUAAUAAAAGGCUAUGUAAUCUUUCACUUGCACAUAUUCUGUACUCUCUGGAGCACGACGGUAGGAAACAUGAUUACAGAUGUUAAAUUCGCCUUUUUUCACAAGUUUAUCAGCUUCGUUUGCGGCCUCUGCUGCUUGUUUACCAAGCUUGUAACGAGAAAUCAAAUUUGGGCACAACCCUUUGAAGCAGAAUAUCUUAGCUCUAUCUUUAUCAUCAAUGAUGGAUUUUGCAACCCCUUCACUGAAUUCAGCAACUCUAUUUAGCCAGUCUCUGACACCCUUAUAAAUCUCAUCUCCUUGUAGAGUAGCCUCUCUAACCAGUGUUUGCACCCUUUCUCUUAUAUAUUCCAGCUCCUUCACUCAAUCUUUUAGCCCAUUUAUGUAGCUCUGGUACUCGAACACAUAAGAUAUGUGCCGCAUAAUCAGUUCGAAUAAUGCUUUUGAACAUUGUGAUACAAUGCUGGAAAAAGCAGGGAGACACCCUUCUGCAGCCAUUGCUUGUUGCUUAACAAUAUAUAUAUAUAUAUAUAUAUACAAGUGUCAAAGAAAGGAAUACAAAUAAAUUAAUAUGAACUAGAGAGAAAGAUAGAGAAUGAAAAGACCGCCAACAAUAUCGCUAUAUUGAUCUUGAACCAACUAAUAAUUAAAUAGAGAAUUUCUUUUUCUUUCUUAAGGAUCAGAGGUUUUGCUAUUAGCAAAAAGGUACUUCAAGGGUCUGAAUAAAAAACCAACCAUAAAUUAUCAAAAGCUAGUAAGAACACAGACGUAAACAAUGAACAAUUACUUAAGCCAAACAGACCAUGAUACAAAGCAAAUCUAAUAAAAUGACAAAGAAAGAAAGAAAGAAAAUACAACAAACAGUAUUGAAGUGUUGAUCAUGAGCCAACUGAUAUUUAAACAGAUUUUUUUUUUAAUUUUUAGUCUUUUCUAAAAGGAUUAGAGUUCUUGCUAUUAAUAGAAAGGUUUCAAAGAUCUGACACUAUUAGAAAAGUAUUAAAUAAUGACAAAAAUUUUAUGACAUAUAUGGUUGUAUCUCGAAUGUGUCAUAAAAUUAUGAUAGAUUCAUAAUAUGUAUUCAUAUGCCCAGAAUAUAUGAUAUAUUCAUGACUUAUAACUUAACCGUAGUAAAUAAAUGAUACAUAUAAGUCAUGAUUAAGUUUUGUGACCUUAUAAGAUUGUAAAACAGUGUCGUUUAAAUUAACGACACCGUUCUGUAUAACUUAAAACACAUCAACACUUCAGCCAAAUUUUGGCGGGUAAAAACCCAUUUAGUCCCUAUAUUUUAAGAUUAGUAUACAUUUAGUCCCUAUAUUUUUAAAAAUGCCUCGAAACGUUCCUGCCGUUAAAGUAUUGAUACCCCUACUGUUACUUUUUAUUUCUUUUGGCUUACUUUUACAAUAUUAUAAAAGUGUAAUAUUGUAAAAGUAAGCCAAAAGAAAUAAAAAGUAACAGUAGGGGUAUCAAUACUUUAACGACAGGGACGUUUCGAGGUAUUUUUAAAAAUAUAGGGACUAAACAGACACUAAUAUUAAAAUAGAGGGACUAAAUGAAUUUUUACCCAAUUUUGACUAAGCGUUGAAUAAAUCCCUCUCUCUCCACUGGCGACUACAACCUAAAAUGAAUCAACUCUGAGCCUCUCUCUAUAACACUAUAUAGAACCCUAAACCUAAGAGCAUCUCCAAAAGGCUUUAUAAAUUUUACUCUUUAAAUAUUUAUUUGCUUACCUAUGUGGCUAAUAGAAGAGUGAAAAAAUAUAUUAUCUCUAAAAGACUUUUCAAAUAUAAAUGAGUUAAUAUUAUUUUAAUUAAAUAAUUAUUUUUUAAAAUGAAAAGUCAAUAAUAAUUAAAUCAUCUCUCUCUUUUUCCAACAAAAAUAAUAAAAUAUAAAUUAAAAAGAAAGAAAUCAACUCUCUAAAUUUAAAGAGAUAGAAUAAUUUUUUAUUUAAAAAAUUUUAAUUAAAAUAUUUUAUAAAACUUUAAAUGUUGACUUAACUUUUCAGACAGCUAAUAAAAUAAGAAAUAAAAUCUUAUUUGAAAAGUGUUUUCCUUAUAUUUUAAGUCUCACAUUCGCAACCGACGAAGCUGAAAAAGUUCCCCACAUAUCAAAACCACAGCGAACUGCCUCCGACCCUACGGACCCAAAAAAAUUUAUUGUAUUCCUGCUCUUUCACAUCAAUAAUUUUUUGUAUUAUUCCAUAACCCAAAAGCUUUCCUCUGUUUCAACUAAGCGAAAAUUUACAUAUUAAAGCCUAGCUCAAAUUCCUUUUUUCAAUCGAAAUAAAACGUAGCCCCAAAACCCUAAUUCACCACACCAAUUUAUCUCUGCCCGGUAUUCAUUUAAACCCUACCUCGCGGUUCAAUGUCAUUCAAUACGAUUGCAGAUGCCGUUUCAACUUGUCAUUUAGUUAUUGCCAUCCAGUUCUCUAUGGUAAGCCUUAACCCUAACAACUAAUCGACUGUGGUAGCACGUUGCUUGUUAGGAGUGGGGAUACAUUAUUUAACUAUAUGAAUUGGGUGAUGUUAGUGAUUCAUUCCCCUAUUUGUCAUGAAUUAAGAUUUGUGUAUAAUGCUAGUCAGAUUGCUAAAAAUUUCAUAUUUUGUAUUGUUCCAGUUGAAUUUCUUGCUUGUGGAAGAUAAAACAAAAGUUCAAUUUCAUGUUGAUUUAAUUCUUCUUUUUCUUCUUUUUUUUUUUCUUCUUUAUAGUCACGCUCUGGCUUUGGUGCUAUGCUUAGUGCAGUUUAUGGUUUCAAGAUUAAGUCACGUUUAUUUGAUGGCAUCGAUUCCAUCGUUGAGGAUUGGAUUGUUGAUCAAAUGCACAUAGUAAGCUCUUCUUAUUUUAUCUCAGUUUUAAUUUUCUUUUAUUAUCUGCCUCUACCUGAAAAUGGACGUGUUUUACUAGUAAGCAUAGACUUUGUUUAUUUAAUUGAUAUUUUAAUUUUAUGUAUAAGAAUAGAGGUUUAUUUUGGAAAAAAAAGCAAUAAAAAAACAGACUCUGUUGAAGCUAAUUAGUACUGAAUGUUUUUGGUGGUGCGACCAGAGGUGGAAACAGGGUAUGAAAAUGUGUUACUAGUGAGGUUGCUGCUUAAGAUGAGAAUGCAUUCUUUUCAAAAAUCCUUGGUAGGUGUGAUCUAAUUAUAUUUGAUGGAAUAUUAAAUGGCUAAAAAUCUGUCAUACGUUCAAACUUUGUUUGUGUUUGGAAGAAUGGUGUUGACUGUAUAUUCGUUUGGAAGAAUGGUGUUGAUUGUAUAUUCAUUUGCUUAGCCUUUUGACAGAUGGAUUUGAAACUGACGACAAAUGUGAUUCAAUUUACAAGGUUUUCGAGGGGCUCACAGUGGAAGGGAUAUUGAAGAACUGGUCUAAGAUAAAGCCUAUGAUUGUGAAAGAUUGGAGUGAGAAUAUAAAUGCUCGUUUAAAUCUCUUUGGCAAGGUCAGAGAUGAAUGGAUAGAUAAGGAUUUAUUUGACUACUUGGACUGGUGCUAAUAGGUAUUUUAGGCAAGCUUUUUGAGAUAACACUGAGCAAGUUAUACUACUAGUUUGCACAUGAUGAUCAAAACUCUCAAAAAGUAAAAUAAAAUAAAUUAUUAACUUUUACUUAUCUUUUGCAUAGCAAUCAAUGUGGUGCUUGUUCUGUGACAACUUUGAUAAUCUACUUAAUUAUUGGUUAGCAUUUGGACCAAAAAAGUUCUUAUGAUUUACAUGUUUUGUAGAAAUGCAUGAACCUUAAAUGUGCUGAUCAGGGAGUUUAAUUAUUGCACCUUGAAAUUCAUUUAUUGUUAACUAAUUGGCUUUCCUUUGCAUAAAGCCGCUUAUAAGGCUUGAGUGGACGUCUUUAUGGGCAUAUUAUUUGUAUUUCUAUAUGCAUGCCUUUAUCACUUAAUGUGCUGCUUUUAUUUCUUUAUGCAUGCCUUUAUCAUUUAAUGGCCAGCUCCCUCUCCUCUUUUGUAAUUUGAAUAGUAGUAUGGGCCUCCAUUUUACAAAUCUUUAACAUUUUUUGCUGUAAAUUAAUUUUUCUUUCAAAUAUUUUGGAGGUCAUUGGAAUUCCUGUAGGUCUAUUUACCAGAUUUUAGUAUGUUUAAGGUUUUAAUUUUGCUUAAACUUUAAUUUUUCUGAAAGAUUGUAGUAUUGAUCCUUAAAGAAAGAUCAUGCUACUUCAAAUUAUUUUGAAGUGUUGCCAGUUAUAGCCUUACAUAACAAAUUCCAUUUGUCUGGAAAUUUAUUGAUAGCUGUUACAGCAGCAUAUUUUAUGACUCUACUUCUUAGUUAUGUAAGUUCAUUAUGUUUAGGUCAGAGGCAGUCAGCUGUGGGGAAUCGAUAUAUACACAGAUGACUUUGAUCUUGUUGCUGGUAUGUGGUUCUAUGAAUAAUUGUGUUUGCCUCACUGUUUUUGUUUUAUGAGAUCUAUAAUUGAUCUUGGGAUAUUACUUUCUAGUCCUCAUGCAAGCAAGUUACUACCUUCCCACUGCAUCUCCUCCUUUAUCUGCUAUUCAAGAGUUGCGUGCCAUAAUCUGGUGUUACCUCUGCAAGAUUGUGAAUGAAUAUAAUGCCUCUAAAUUUAUUUUAUACAUAAUGCUGAUGCUGAAUAAUAUAUUGUAGCUCCUGUCAUAUUCUACUUUGACUUUUUAUAUUCUGUUUCAUAUAAAAAUCUUAUUCAACUUUAGUUGUUCAUGAGCAAAUGUCACAUGUAUAAGCCCAAAUGAUGUUUAAAGGUAGCGCGGCUACCUUUAGUUUGAGCUUACAAUGGAUGAAAAAGAAAUUGAAACUGAUAUUUUGCUGUUUUUCUGAUUUUUCAAAGUAUUUUAGAUCCUGAGUUUUGUUUGGACUUGAUGGUUAUAGAUUGUGUCUAGAUUUGUUAAGUUGUUUCCAACACCUCGUGCCAAAUGAAAGCACAAUCUUUCUGAUUCAGAUGUCUUGUUAAUUAUGCUUCAUUUUUUCGUUAAAGAUUGGAUGGUUGCAUGGAUUGAUGGAGUUGGAGUUCAACCAAUAAUUCUAAUUUUUUGGACUUAAAAUGCCUUUUUCUUCUGUAUAAAAACUUUAGUAAGUGCUAUUGAGUUGACGGAGGUUGAAUACUUACAGGUUGUUUCACACUUUUUAAUAGUUUUACAUAUAUGAAUUUCUGUUUUUUGAAUUGCAGAAAGGAGGUGGAACUAUUGAUUUGGAGCCUUAUCUUACUCACUCAUCGACAAUGGAGCCUAUCCUCGCUCCCAUGGCAGUGGAACGGACAACAACUACUAGGGCUGCAACAUCAGUUGGUUUGGGUCUGUUUUGAGUUUAUUUUCAUUUAUUUGGCUAUGUUUUGAUAGCGAAUUUUGAUAUGUCAAUAUAAUGUGUAAUUGUUUUGGGUUGAGCUGGUAAUUAUGCUGGAUUAGAUUGGUUUGGUUUUGGUGCUUCUCUGAUGGAACUCUGCUUUUUUUAGAAAUUUUGAAUGUAAUAUGAGACUACAUUUAGUUUAAUUUAACACUGCAUCUAGUCUAAUUACUAGAAGUGUGGCAUUUGGUUUGGUUUAUCCGAUAUUCUCCAGAAUUUCACUUGCAUCUGGUUUUGUUGCAUAUGUUUGCUUGCAUUUGAUGGCAGUAGCAGACUGUUUGGUUUUGUGACAUUUGAUGGCAGUUUGGUCUGUUCUUGGUGUUGAUUUAAGAUUGUUCCUGUUGUGCUGAUGUUAAUUGCAGGUGCUUGAAUCAGCUAGGGUUGCUGGUUUAUUCAGAUGGUUGACUCAGGCGUUGUUACUGGUUAAUUCAGGUGGCUGACUCAAGUUGUUCAUUUAAUGUUAGGAAGCAAACUAAGAAUUAAUGAAGUAUUCAUUUAACUAUAAUUAUUGUAGUUAUUUUAUUUCAUAACUGAAUUAUAAUCUAUGAUACUUGUGAACAAAUUAGAGAAUUUUUAUAUAUGAAUUAUAUAUGUGUGUGUAUGUACAUUUUGCUAUUUAUAUAAUAAUUUAAAGAAUAUAUUUCAAUUCCCACAAAAAAAAAUGGCUCCAAUUUCAAUAAUUCCCGCCAAAUAAUUAAAUUUUUUUAAUUUACUGCCAAAAUAUAUCUUAAAGAAAUGUUAGUUAUUCUUGCUAGAUUUAACAAAAAUAAUUUGUAGGAUUAACAUUUAAUUAAAAUAAUUAAAUAAUUUUAUUAUUCCAAUUAAAUAUGUCAUGUUUAUACGUCAUACAAUAGUCAUGAAUGGGAAGUAUUAGUUACAUAUUUUUCCUUGGGAUUUCAGGCAAAUGAAAAAAAGAUUGAGAAUGGUUUCAAGAGGACAGGUGGAUGAUAAGUAUUCAUUUUUGUAUAUUUGGUUAGGGGAUUUUUAUGGUAUUGAUCUUUUUUUUUUUUUAAAUUUUCAAUUAGUUGCAGCCUUAGAGGAAGAGCAGGCUGAUCAAAUUGAUUUGUCUUGUUUUUCGGGCAAUCUACGACACGAUGAUCGUGAUAAUGCUCGUGACUGCUGGAAACUUUGUGAUGGAAAUAACUUUAGAGUUCGUAGCAAGCAUUUUUGUUAUGACAAAACAAAGGUUCCCCCAUAUUUUGUUUGUUUGUUAUGGUAUUUAUAUAUCCUGCAUAGGCUAGGUAGACAGGUUAUGAUGUAGUUUGGUUGGCUCUUCUUGUGCUUUGUGCAAUUUGUAACUGCAGAUACCUGCGGGAAAACAUUUAAUGGACCUUGUUGCUGUUGAUUGGUUCAAAGACACAAAGAGAAUUGACCAUGUAGCUAGGCGUCAAGGCUGUGCUGCACAAGUAACUAUUCUUUUCUUUUUAUUUUUCCUUUUCCAUUGAUGCAUUAGGAGAAAAUAUUGCCUGUGAGAUACUUCAAUGUAAAUAACUUCUCAUGGUUCAUUGAAUCUAUAACACACUGACCCUCUUCUAAAAAACGUAGGUUGCUUCUGAAAAAGGGCUUUUCUCACUGAUCUUUAAUCUUCAAGUAAGUUUGUUUCAUUUCAGAAGGUAUUAAGUUUCAAACUUAUUGUAUUGGGAGGUUGUAUAGUUGUAACCUAAGCAUCUGCAGGUUCCUGGUUCGACACAUUAAAGUAUGGUAUUUUAUUUUGUCACAAGGCAAUUGGUUAUGGGAUCACUUUUGCAACGGUUUGUUGAUGGCGAUGAUGAGUUUCGCAAUAGUAGGUUGAAACUUAUUCCAUCUGUUCCUAAGGUAUCCAUCUUGGCCUUCAUGUAUUAGGACUAUAUUAACGUAUACUUACCCUUUUCUGCAUGGUACACUUCAAUUUGUCCAAAGAAGGCAUGCAUUUAGGUGUAAAUGUAUUGAUGGGUAGUACCUUCAAACUUCAUGUCCUUUUUACCCUCUUGAAUUUGUUUUGCACUUGUUCUUGAUUUUAAGCACUGAAUCAUGCAGGGGUCAUGGAUCGUGCGCCAGAGUGUUGGAAGCACCCCUUGUUCAUUAGGGAAAGCGGUUAAUUGUAACUAUAUUCGCGGUUCCAAGUACUUAGAAGUAAAUGCUCUUGGAAUUUCUAUAGUACAUGAGAUGUUCAUCUUUCAAAUAGCGUCCGAUACCAUUAACAUGGUUUAACAUUGUUCAUCUUUUUGUAGAUUGAUGUUGACAUUGGUUCUUCUACUGUUGCUAAUGGAGUUUUGGGCCUUGUAAUUGGUGUAAUUACGACAUUGGUGGUUGACAUGGCUUUCCUUGUACAGGUAUGUAUGAUUGUUUUUUUCCCCCACUUCUAAAUGGACACAAGGGAAAAGACAUGAUUUUGAGAUAUUGCACUGCAAUUUGCAUUUUUGCAUACUUGAAUGUUCUCAGAAUAGUAUAAUGCUUCGUGUGUGUCUUCUUUAUCUUGCUCUUCUGUAUGCAGGCAAAUACUACAGAUGAAUUACCGGAGCGGCUGAUUGGUGCUGUACAUGUUUCUCAUAUAGAACUCAAGUCUGCUGUUGUCCCAAAGUUGGAACCAGAGAUAUCAUGACUCUGGUUUCAUUUCACCUCAACUGUGUUUUUUUUUUUUUUAAAUUAAAAAAACAUUUGUUUUAGGUAUACAUACAUGUAUUUUGAUCCCAUUUUCAUGGGAAUUUUGCAUUAAAAAAUGAAGAAUAGUGAAUAGGAAAUUUCUUGAUUCUUUAGUUACUAUUUUUGGUAUGAGUGUAAAUAGUAGUAAAGUUGGUUUCUACUCGCAAACAAGUGAACUGCUCGAUUCCUGAGUGGUAUCAACCAGUUUCCAACUUUUUAAUAUACACUAAUUGUUAUUGUUUAAUAGCUACUACUAUUAAAACUCAACAGCUGACAAAAAUACUUAAAAAAAAUGAUUUUACUUCUUUCCACGAGAUCUAUAACAUGGUCUUGACUUCACGAAAUUCUUUUAAUUUAAAACGUGCUGGUGUGAGAAGGUCAGUUUGACGGAUUAAUUCUUUUUUAACAGUGGUCGAGAUAAUUUUACUAUACUCAAAAAUAUUCUUAUUCUGAUAGUGCCAUAAAUGUUAUGCUGUUUUCUUCGGCUAAUGGUCUUCUAUCAAGAGAGGGUAGAAAUCAAAUGCUUAAAAGACCAAUUGAAGGAAUAAUACAGAAAUUUAGGCAGAAUCUAAUCGAAUAUUGCAUGAAACAGGAAACAUCAAUUCAAGUCCUUUCUUAAACGGAGAAUGCAUCAAACAAAAUCCAAAGUGUCUUGCAAGUCUGUAGCAUGAGCAAAAAAUUAUUCAAGUACAGAAGAAUGAGCAAGCUAAAUCAUGUAUAAGAGAUUGGUCUGGUUCGGGAUAGCUUCUUCACUGUACCUAAAGGGUUGGCUCAAUCUCUUCUUUAGAAUUCUGCAGAUUUUGUAAUUACUCGUGUAAGCAAGCAUACAUUGCCACCAUAAGAAUAAUAAAGCUAGAGUAAUGAUAUGACCACCACCUCUCGUGCACAAACAAUAUUGUAUAAACUAAUGAGACAUAAUAUGAUUGGUUAAACAAAAACAUUACAUGGCCCUCAUAAUAAUAAUAAUAAUAAUAAUAAUAAUAAUAAUAAUAAUUAUUAUUAUUAUUAUUAUUAUUAUAUAUUUUCAGUCAACCAAUCAUAUUAUAUCACAUUAGUUUCUAUAAAAUAAUUAGCUAAAUAGCACCAAAACUUAAUUGAUACUCACCAUUUCAUUGAACAAUUUUUUUAUGGUGUCAUUGAGGUUGCCUUCCCAACAUCCUUCAUCAUCAUCAUCUUCUUCUUCGGUGACGUUCACUUUGUUUAGCAUUGGUGUGUCUAAGAGUCCUUGAGAGAAGAUCUUCAUUUUUGGACACUGUCUCACAACUACUUGUUUCAAGGACGGGAAUUCAAGAGCGUAAUUACCUAAACAAAAGCUUGUUAGGCUUGGCAAACAAUCAAGUCCCAAGUACUCCAAUUCCUUGAAAACAUUGCAAUCUUUCGCUUCUUCUCCAACCUGCAAUUGUAUGAUUUGUUCUAUCAUUUUGCAAUCAGCUAUCAUCAUUCUUCCGAGAUUCACUAGAUUUUUAGAUGCUGAGAGCGUCAACACAUUUAUCAACUCGUGACACUUCGAUACUUUCAAAGCCUCAAGAUUUUCCAAAUGCCACGAAGGUGGUACUAAUUUUUGCAACUUACUACAUUCCGAUAUUUCCAGCCUUUCCAAGUUUGCAAACGCUUUGUUGGAUUCGUCAUUUUCCUUCCAGAGAUGCUGCACUUUGUGUAAUCCAGACAGUCUUAAAUUCCCCAAUUGAGGGAAAGCAACCUGAAAAUCAACAAAAUUAAGUUGUAAAUGAAAAUAUGUAUCCAAUCUCUGCAGUCUUCCCCUGCAUAUUUUAUGGACAAGAUUAAUCACGGCAUUUUAUAUUUUAUUUCCAAAUUAGUAUGCUUUGCACUAGGAUCCCAAAUAUAAGUAUCAAAUCGAUUACCCUUUGAAACACAUAAAUGAAAACUGAUACUAAAUCCAAUAUGAAUUGAUAAUCAAUACUAUAAAGUUACCAGUUCAUCACCUCAUGUUACCAGUCAUCAAAAUAAUUUAGGACUUUUUUAAUUUAUACUAUAAAGUUAGUUAAUAACUGCGGUUAUAUUGUUAAAUCAUAUAUAAAUUAAGACGACGUGCAAAAAGAUGUCAUUAAAUUUGAUUUGAUUAUAAUGAAAUUACAUAUGUGCGAACGAAAGUGAAGGGAAAAUAAUAAUAAUGAUUACCUUUUCAUCGAAGAGAUGUUGUAUUUGAUUAGCUACCAAGAGGUUCUCUUCUGAUUUUAAUUUUUGAGGUUCCUUAUUAUCUGCUGUCAUGUGCAGUACAAAUGUAGAAUUGGAUGUGAAUGUUUCCAUAUCAGGGCAAUUCUCAAUAAUUAGAUAUUCCAACUUAGGCAGUUCAAUUAUAUUCCCAGUGAAGUUGCAGAAUCUUUUGAGUUUUGGAAGAUCAAUGAGCUUUAGGCUUAAAAGCCUAGGAAACAGGGGGCCUAUAUGUUCUUCCUUAGCACUUAGCUCUUCCAAAUGAAGCACCUCUUCUAGUGAAUCACAAUUCCUCACUGCCAGCCAUUCCAAAUUGUUCAAGCACCGUAGCAGAUUGGCAGGAAUAGCACUCGACAUAUUCGUGCUGUCAUCCACCACCAGCUCCGCUAAAUUGUUGAAGAAUCUGACAGGCAGUGCUUGGCCAUGCCAUAUUUCUUGCAAGCGUGGAAAAUGCGAGAGUUGCAAACGGUUUAUAUCAAGGAAUCCAAUCUGCACAAACCAAAACAAUUGCACCAGAAAUAUACAAUUUUUUUUUUUGAAAGGCAUUAUAUAUAUACACAUUAAACUUACAUUUUUUGUGUUUUAACUUCUAAAAAUAUAUAUACAAGGGAGGUGUAUAUGCUUAAAUGUGCAAGUGAAGGGAGAUGCAUGAUGAACAAUUUGGGUGAAUUGAUUAACACAUACCUUUUCGUCAUAACACUUUUGUAUAGUGGAAUUAAGGUUAUUGCCUUCCCAAUGGUGUAGUUCACCCUCUUCCUUUUCAGUCACUUGCACUUUGCAUGGCUUUGGAAUGGAUAAUAUUCCCUGAGAAAAAGUCUUCAUGUUCGGACAACGUAUCAUAGAAACUCGUUCCAAUGAUGGGAAUUCAAGAGUGUAAUUCUCCAAACAAAAGCCGGUAAGUGUUGGUAAAUAAUCAAGUAUCAAAACUUUUAAUUUGCUAAAAGCAAUACGAUUCUCCUUCACUUCUUCUCCAACAUGUCUUAUGAUUUCUUCUAUCUUAUCACACCACGAUACAUUAAGAUUCACCAGACUACUAGGAAUUCCAACCUGAAAAUAAGCAGAGAGUGUGUGUGUGUGUACGUUAAAAAAGUAAAAAUGUAAGAAUAUCAUUCAACAAGGUUCAAAGUAUGUUUAAAUCAUACAAUUAUACAUUUUAUAAACAUAACAAACCAUGAAAUGUCUACUAGAUAAUUUUUUGUUAAACAAAAAAGGCAACAAGAUAAAUAAAUAAAUAAAAGCCAAAUAAACAAAAGAUAAUAAAAAUGAAUUUACACUAUUUAGUAUUAGGAACAUAGAAAGAAUUUAAUGCAAUUUCUAAAUAUUUUAGACUUAUUUUGCAUCUUGACGCCAGUUUUUAAACAAAAUUUGCAAAUUUCAACUAUUCCUUUUGGGAAAAAAAAAAUCAACCAAAAUGCCGCUUUUUCCCUUUUUCCUUGGUCCCUUUUUUUUUAUGUAUAUUUAAUUUUGGAAACAAAAUUAAAGUGGAUCUUUAUUAAGUACUUCUAGACUCGAGGAAAUUUCUUUACAAUCAAGGAUCAGUUGUAAAUAAUCAUGAAUUUGUGGUUAAUUAAUGGCAUAAUCAGUUCGUAACUAAACAAGAGAUAUUAAUUAAAUUUGAAGACUUUUCUUUUCUUUUUUUCUUUUUCCAAUCGAAAUGUGAAGAAUUAAGGACAAGAGAAAUAUAUAGAUGAAUUUGUGAACCUAUAAGAUGAGUGACUAUCCUUUAAUUUUUGAAAAUUGUACUUAUUAAGAUAUGAGCAUAAACAAUUAAAUUGAAUUAUAUUAUGCUGUUGAAUCGUGAUUAAAAAAAUUACAUUGUUGAUUCUAAUGCUGGCGAACCUAAGAACUGGACUUAAAAUGUAGAUUUGAGAGUGGUGGUUCGAAGUACAAUACUUGAAAUAAAUAAUCAGUGGCUGAAUAUCAUUUGUAAACCCAAAAAUGGUUAAAAUAUUGUUGGAUGUAAUUUGAAAAAAAAAAAAAAAGAUUCGAAAUGAAUACAGCAACCUUACCAAUGGAGGAAAAAUAUUCAUUAGGUUAUCACACCCAAUUAUCUCCAAAUUCUUCAAUUUGCUGAAAGACUCCGAAGCAAGUUGGUGGUGCCAUAUUCUUCUCAAAUUAUCGAUCGACCUAAUAUGUAAUACCUCCAACCUAGGAAGUCGUACCUGGCAGUUAAAGAUUAAAUAACUAAUUAAUCAAUUAAUGGCAUAAUCAAUUGAUAACUAAAUUAGAGGCGGAUAUUAACUAAAUUUGAAGACUUAAGGAAGAGACAAAUAAAAUAUUGUGACUAAAAUAAAUUUAAAAAAAAAAAAAACCUUUUCGUCAAAGAGAGGAGGUUGCAUUUCAAAAUGAAUGGUGUCUUCUGGUGAGCUCGUGGAGAUGAAUCUUAACAUAUUACUGCAACUCUGAAUCUCGAGCUUUAGCAAAGAAGGGAAUUCAACAACUAAAUCUGAAUGAAUAUGUCCCGUAUUGGCAAAGCUUGUUAGCUCUGGAAGCCAAUAGAGCCGCAGGAAGUGUAGUUUAGGAAAAACCUUUAAUUCAAUCAACUUUCCUUCAUCUCUUCCUAACCACCCCGUCGUGUCGACUACCCCUUCCAUUGACUUACAAUCCCAUAUUUGAAGACGUUGGAGUUGCAAAAGACUAUUAACCAUAGAAUACGAAAACAGAUACUUCAUACGAUCACAACCGAACACGUGCAGCUUUGUUAAAUUUUGACAACAGUACAUUCCUUGAUUAUGAUCGGCCCAUAAUUUUUUUAUGUUUCUUAAUCUCGUGAGAUUCAAUUUUUCUAAGCUCGGAAGAAUAACCUGCAAAGAAAACCCGUACAUUUUUGUUCCUUCAAGUACAACCGUCUAGUAUAAUAUUCUUUUCAUGAUCGAAGAUUAAUCGUGAUAAUAAAUUAAUCAAUUAAUUAUUGAACGGAAAAUUAUCACCUUUGGAGCAGGAUCAUCAUCAGCAAUGAUUUCGUUGAAUCCCAAAGAAGUUGUUGGUUUCUCCCUGUCGGGUCCUAUAAACAAACAAAAACAAUACACAUAAUUAAUCUUUGUCGGUUUUUUUUUUUCAAAAUAAUUGAGGCGAAGUCCAUAAAUCCACCAACACUUAAUUUCAACACUUACCAAAAAUCAUUUCCAGAUCAUCGCAAAGACUUAUUAAUACUUUUUGAAGCCGCAGUAGGUUUUUUGCCAUGGAGAAUGAGAAAAGAUGCUUCAAUUUGUGACAGGAUUGUACUCCUAUAAUCCUUAAGUUGCUGAAAGAUUGAUCUUCUGUGAGUUGGCUGUCACAUAUUGUCUCCAAAUUGUUCAAAUAGCUAAGAAACAAUGACUCCAGCAAGGGAAAGACUGUACAAUGAACCCGUCCAACUGAACCGACAAUAUGCAAAAUCUCAGAACAACUUUCUACACGAAGAUGCUUCAAUCGUGGAAAACCUUCCCCAUCAUCUAAUUCAUGAACAACAUUCUGAACACCCUUAAGUUCGUAUAGAUUGAUAUCUUCAGUUUCCUUCAGUAACAUUUUCAUCCCAUAAUUCUCCAAAAGACUGCUAACAUUUUCUAGCCCAUGGAGCUUCAUCAAUCUUGAUGUUUCAGAAUUAACGGGCCAGAUGUCCCACACUUCUCCUAUGCAUAUCCUGUAUCUUGACAAUUCCACAAAGACCAAAUCCUGCAGCAGAAUUUGGGCAUCCCGAACUUGUAUCUCCAAAGUAGUUAGCUUUGACAACCCCUUCAACUCAGCAAGACUGGCGUUACUUCCUCCUUCAACCUUAUCCCACUGCGAAAAGCUGUCACCCAUAUAUAGUUCUUCCAAUCGAGAAAAUUUUGAUAUGACAUUUGGUGCUAUCACCAUAAGGCUGCUACAAUUGCUCAAAUCUAGCAACAAUAACCUCGUCAAUUGUCCAAUUUCAAGGGGUAACUGCUUAAUGUCGGAAUCUCGAAGGCUGAGAAUCUCUAAUUUCUUUAGCUGUCCAACUAUUGCUAUAUCUUCUAGUCCGCAACUAUCUAAACACAAUGUUUGAAGGUUAAUGAGGCGACCAAGUGAUGAAGGUAAUGAAGAGAAAGGAAUUCUAGUAAGACUUAAAACUUUGAGUUCUUCUGUCCCUUCAAAAAAGAGGUCAGAAAUUUGCAUAGAGACGGGCGCCAUGCCCCUUGCUAUUAACAAAAAUAACUUGAGUUGGGGACAUUCCAACCUUUCGGGAAGCUCUUGAAUAUCUUCGUAAGGUAAAGAANNNNNNNNNNNNNNNNNNNNNNNNNNNNNNNNNNNNNNNNNNNNNNNNNNNNNNNNNNNNNNNNNNNNNNNNNNNNNNNNNNNNNNNNNNNNNNNNNNNNGCAUUGAUACAGCAACAUCAUGAAUGAUGUCAUGCAUUUUAACUUCAUCUUCAGUAUCGCCAUCUAACAAUAAGCAUGAAGCUUUGAGAUUGUCGAUCAAUGCAUCCACUCUAUUCCUUGCAUCUUCCAAUGUGUGAACAUUUUUAAACAAACCCAAACCCAUACCAUAUCUCAACAGGGAAACAACUUCUACAGGAUUACCUUCACCAAACAGAGUACAAAGAAGGAACAAAGAUUUUGCUUCAUCACUUUCCAAGAAAUCGUAACUCAAUUUUAUGGAAGAAUACACAUAUGCAUCCAUACCACGAAUUUCUCUUAGAUUGGAACUUCUUAGCUGAUUCAAUGCAUCCUUCCAAAUGUUAAGACUCUUAUUUUUCAGAGCACUUGCAACUGUUCUCAGUGCAACAGGCAAUCCCCCGCAUUUUUCAACGAUCUCAUCUGCAGUGGGUUGAAAAUCAUAUGUUUUUUUUGAAUCACCCACAAUCUUCUCAAAUAACUGCAAUGCUUCAUCUUUGGAUAAAGCAUCGAUCCAGAAAUUUUUCUGAGAAUUCAUAUCAUUGCACAAUAAAUCUCGACUUCGAGACGUCAAUAUUAUUGUGCGUCUACUCCGAUCGUCCUCUCUAUCAUAAGGAAUUCCAACUUUAUCGAACUCAAGUUUUGUCCAAAUAUUAUCCAGUAUAAUGAGGAGCAGCUUCUCUUGCUUCAACCUUUGACACAGUCGAGAAGCUCUUUGAAAUUCAUUCUCAUUCAAGUCAAAUUCCAUGCCUAAAUCAAAAGCAAGUUUGUCUUGAAUUUUAUGAUGAUCUGGUGUCUGUGUUACCUCAGCCAUAACGACCUUAUCGAACAACUUAUCUUCCAUCACUUGCUUUCUAACUUGCUUGACUAGCGUGGUUUUACCCACGCCGCCCAUCCCGUAGACCCCAAUUAUUUUGAAACUAUCAUCCUUCAACGCAUCCAAAACAUCUUGAAAUACUUUCGUUCUUGAAUCGAACUCCUCGUAAUCUUUCACUGGCAUAUAUUCUGUACUCUUUGGAGCAGGACGGUAGGAAACACUAGAGAAGUUGCCUUUUCCCACGAGACUAGCGGCAGCUUCUGCGGCCUUUGCUGCUUGUUUACUAAGCUGGUAACGAGAAAUCAAGUUGGGGAACAACCCUUUGAAGCAGGACUUCUUAGCUCUAUCUUCAUCAUCAAUGAUGGAUUUUGCAACCCCUUCACUGAUGAAUUCAUCAACUUUAUUUAGCCAGUCUAUGACACCCUCAUAAAUCUCAUCCCCUUGUAGUCUAGCAUGAUUAACAGGUUGUUGCACCGUUUCUCUUCUAUAUCCCAGCUGCUUCACUUGAUCUUUCAGGCCAUCUAUGUAGUUCUGGUGCUUGAACACAUAAGAUAUCUGCCGUAUAAUCGGUUUGAACAGUGACUUUGAACCUUCUGAUACAAUGCUGGAAAAAGCAGCCAGACCCACUUCUGCCAUUGCCUGCUGCUUAACAAAUCUAAUAAUAUGUCAAAGAAAGGGGAAAGGAAUAGAAAUAAAUUAAAAUAAACUAGAGAGUGACAAAAAAGGAAAAGACAGCAAACAGAAUCGCAAAAUUGAUCUUGAAUCAACUGAAACAUGAACAGAGCAUUUUUUCUUCUUUCUUAAGGAUCAGAGUUUUUGCUAUUAACAGAAACGUGCUUCAAGUGUCCCAAAAAAAAAAUGAUAAAUGAACAAGCCAUAGAAAUUUUAUCUUGGAAAGUGGAUGGAAAUUAAGAAAGAAAUGGUAUAGAGAUCAAGCAUCAGAGAUUAUAUUAUUAAAAGAAAUUAAUUGAAGGUUGUGGAAAACCUGUUUAAUUAUGGAAAGUUGAUGAGCUUCUGUAAUCGCCUUGAGUAUUUAAGUGCAAUUUUGAUGAGCAAAAAGUUACUGUUACCUGCAGAGGAAUGUAAUUAUAGAGAGCUUAUGAGAGUAAUGACAAUGAUUUGCAAAAGAAGAAGACUCAAUCAUGGAGCCCUUAAUAUUUCUUUUAUGAAUAAACUGCCAGCAGGAAAAAUAAAAAAAAGUGGUAAAUUUACCAAGUCUUAUUUUAUUUUUAAUUUCUUUUAUUUUCAUUCGCCGAAGAGGGAAUCUCUUUUUUUUUCGUAAGGGAAAUAUCCUUUCCUAAUAUGUCAUGAUUAAAGCAAUCUAUAAAUAAUACAAUAAUCAUAUAAUGUAAUAAUUAAAAAGACCCACAUAUUUAUAAUAUUAAUGAUGGGAUCCAUACGUUCCUACUGAUUAAAUUGGUGGACCAGAAUUUAUUUGACCUUACUUGUUUUAUAUUUAAUUAAAAAUUGAAACGACAGAGAAAAAUUGUCGUAAUGAUGGUUUCGAUUGUGGAGUUCAGCUGUGGAUAGCACUUGCAAUACUGAAAAAGAAGCUUUCGUCAACUUUCUCACAUGGACGCGCACCAUCACGCAUAAUUGCAUAUUGCAUUAUUUCUCUAGAAAAGCAAAAGCAAGAUUUAUUCUUUUAAUAAGCAAACGCGUAGGUGGGAAUCCAUUCAUUAAACAAGUGGAACAGCAAUAUAUUAAACCAAUGAUAAGCAUUCUUAAGUGGGAAACCAAUUAUGACGGAUAGUUCAAAAUCUGAAUCCGCCUGAUGGACGGGUUUGACCGCAGAGCUCAAGAUAAUCUGAACCAUUCUCCUUUCGUAACUUAUAGAUAAUUUGAAAACAGGGGAAUGAAAACAGAGGAGCCCUGUUUUUCCUUCCUUUUUUUUUUUUUUUUUUCUUACCCAACUCUUCUUCUUUUGUAUAUUUUCCUUGGAAUUUUAGGUAAACCAAAAAACUUUGAGAAUGAUUUCAAGAGAAUAGGUGGGUAAUAACUAAAAUAUUUAUCUAUAUAUUUAUAUAAAGUUGGGACUACAAGAGAUGAUGUGGCAUCACCAUUUCUAAUUUUUGUAUAUUCUCUAUUAUCUAACAAAUAGAGAAAUUUUCUUUCAGAUUUUAUUUUUCAUCUUUUCAUAAUUAAUUUGACUGUUAUUAUACAAUCAAUAUGUAACAGUUCAUCAAAAGACCCACUAUCUUCUUUAAUUGAAACCUUCUUGAUCAGGACUACAAGAAGUAAUGUGGCACUACCAUUUCUCAUCUUUGUAUAUUCUCUAUUAUCUAACAAAUAGAGAAAAUUUCUUUUAGAUUUGGCUUUUUAUCUUCUCACAAUUAAUUUGACUGUUAUCAUACAAUUAAUAUGUAACAGUUCAUAAAAAAACUCACUAUCUUCUCUAAUUGAAGCCUUCUUGAUCAUAAAUUAAGCAAUAAUUUAUAAAUAUUUUUAAUCACUCUUCUCCUCUGACUCACCUAAAUUUAUAAAUAACAACAAAAAAUAUGAUAUCUCAUGUAAAUAUAAAAGAAUAGAAAAUAGCAAUAGCUCUAAAACAUUUUUUUUUUCAUUUUGGCCCUCACUUGCCUGAUCAUGGCAAAUAUUACAAAUGCAACCAGUAGGAAUGAUUGCCUCAACAACAAUAUGAAACCAGGCUACAAUCUUGCAACAAGACUUGAAGUUAGUGGAGGCCAAAUGGAGUGUUGGAACGUGUUAAUGGAGCUGAAAUCAUGCUCAAAUGAGAUUGUUAUAUUCUUCAUUAAUAGUCAGGCUGAUAUUGGCCCUGACUGUUGUCGCACUGGCCUGCAAUGCUCACCUCUCUCGGAUUCACGGCUGAAGAAGGGAACAUACUGAGAGACUACUGUGAUGCAUCUUCUGCUCCUUCUCCAGGUGGCCUCGCGGUGAUAUAUCAGCUUCAGGUUUCCAAGGUUUUUUGGCUUAGACAGGGUGCAUCUAUGGUACUUCAUAAUUAAAAAAAGUCUUUUUGGUUUUAUCUUUUCUUUAUUUUUUUAUUUUUUUUUUGGAAGUCUUGCCUCUUAAUCGAAUAGAAUAAAUUGUUAAAAUUAGAAUAAGAAAAAAAGGAUAAUAUUAUUUUUUUUCAAAGCCGCGCAAAGGGCGGUUCUAUUUCCUAGUUUUUAUAUAUUUGAUAAGCACGCUCACUAUUAAUAAAACCCAUUAAAUGCUAUAACUUAAAUAACUUCUUGUAGUUGAUUGAGAGUAUGUUUGGAAUUUCUUUUACUUCCCAAUAAUUAAUUUUUACCUUGAUUAUCAGAAAAUUAAUUUUAUGAAUAAUUUAGCCGGGUGUUUGGUAAAUGAUGAUUAUUUGACAAUCAGUUUUUAAAUAAUCUAUUAUAUAAAUAUAGUAAGUGAAAAUUAGAAGUAUAAUGUUCAUGUAGAAAUGACAAAAAUGUACUCAUUUACUUAUUUGUAAUUUAUUUAGAAUAUUAUUAUUUAAAUAAUUUUUCUUAUUCAUUGGAUUUUUUAAGAGCAUAUUCUAUUUUCUUGAUUACACAUUUAAAUAACUUUUUAUUAACUAUUUUAAUCUGCAAUAAAAAUUAACUAUAUUAUAUUUAACUAAAAAAUUUGUUAUGUAGUCCGUAAUAUACACAAAUACUUGAAUUUAUUAAUAAACUUAACUGCAAAAAAGAAAAUGCAUUACAUAUAUCUAAUUUCUUAUUUUCAACGAUUGAAAGAUGUUAUUUAGGAAACUUGUACGAGAUAAUUUAAUUUUGGACUAUUGACAUUAUAUUUACUUAGAAGUGGAAAUAGUGGGUGGAUAAAUUUAAUUUUUCAUUAAUUGCUCAAGAAGCAAGAGGAUUAGUGAUGGAUGGAGAGUUAGUGUAGAAUUGUGAGGCCAUUUGAUUACUGCAAGCAUUAUAAAUUUCUUGUUGCUGAGAUUAAUCUAAUUGAAUUAAUGACUCCAUGAUAGACUUAACAAAGGAUUCUUGUGGCAAGAUUUCUAUUUAUGAGGCCAUUUGAUUACUGUAAGCAUUAUAAAUUUCUUGUGGCAAGAUUUCUAUUUAUGACUCCAUGAUAGACUUAAGUUUUAGUGAGACAAUUGCUGCCUGUUGCAGACAUGAUACCUCUAGUACUUCAGAAGAUAGCAUAUCACGAAACACAUCCAGACUAUACUGAGGUUACAUCGAAAAUUCCUUGGCCCAUCGUGCGAGUGUGUGACAUCCCGCAACAAAAAUUAGGGUAUGUACUAUAUAUAUAAUGUGUUUUGAACAUAAUAAUAAGAAUGCUGAUUUUUAACAAUUAAUUUAUUUUACUUUUUUUAGUGGUGAUUGUGGAGAAUUUUUGUUGCGGUACUUGGAGGUCCUAACCCAUGGACUUGAUGUCAAUUCAUAUUGCAAACAAGAUCAUGUUAUACAAUUUCGAAAAGCCUUGGUUGUCAAAUUAUUUGGGCAUAGGUCAUGGAAAAAAACUUUGUAGUGUACUACCCUUAAAAACUUUGUUGGUGUGUCAUUUUUGGACCAUGAGAUGUGAUAGUUAUAAUGAGGAUGUUGUUGAUAUUUGAUGUCAUUAAAGAUAACUUGACAUCAUUAAUAUGUUUUAUUUCUUUGUUAACUAUAUUAAUGAUAGUGAAGAUAGUUUGUACAAUCUAUGUAAUGUAACAGGAUUGCCAUAUAUGCUCAGGGAAUACUCUGUAAGAAAAUACACGACUGCUGUUAGCUAUUUGCACGGAUACAUGACUGCAGUCGAGUAUUUACAAAUAUACAUGACUAGCUCUCUGUAAGAAAAUACUCGACUGCAAUUGGGUAUUUACACAGAUACACGACUGCAGUCAAGUAUUUAUAAUUGUACAUAACCAGCUCUCUAUAAGAAAAUACUCGACUGCAUUCGGGUAUUUACACAGAUACACGACUGCAAUCGAGUAUUUAUAAUUAUAUUUGACCAGCUCUCUGUAAGAAAAUACUCGACUGUAGUCGGGUAUUUGCACAGAUACACGACUACAGCCGAGUAUUUACAAUUAAAUAUGACUAGCUCUCUAUAAGAAAAUACACGACUGCAGUCGGGUAUUUGCACAGAUACACGACUGCAGUCGAGUAUUUGUAAAUAAACAUGACCAGUUCUGUAACAGCCAAAAUACACGAUUGUACUCGGGUAUGUGGACACGGAAUAAAAAAUCAACUAAAACAUUCAUUAUAUUGAUGACACAAUCAAUAUAAACUUUAACAUAUUAAAUUUCAAAUAAAUGAAACUAACUGUAGUCUGGUUGCCUAUCAAACAACAUAAAUCCAAUACUUAUUCGAAUCGUAAAUAAGUCAUAAUACAAUAAAAGUUGUUUAACAAUCAUCAUAAUUUUUUUGCAUUUUCAACCCAAACACUCGGUCCAUAUUUUAUAAGCCUCUAGUAAUUUGGUUGCCUAUUAAAUAACCCGAGAUACUAUUUCUAUCAAUUGUGCAUACGUUGUAGAAUAGGGCACUAUGAUCCCUCUUGCCUUUGUACCAUUAAAUCUAUAAUGGCCGUUUUGCUCAAUCCAUUCACCACAAAACAUAAUUGGCACACGUACUGAAGUCAUUUCCUGUAAUAAUACAACGGUUGAUUAUACAACAAAUACAAAAAUAAAAAUCAAGCAAUGUAUAUAACGAAGUGUGGAUCUGUCUGCCUAUUUACAUGACUCACGUCGUGUAAUUGGUAGUUUACACGACAAUAGUUAUGUAACUUGCUAAAAUACACAACUAUAGUUCUAUAAACAGUCAGAUGAUAUAUUUAGUAAAAAAAGCUGUAAUCUUUGUACUAAUCGAAUGGUAGGUGUCAUAACAGCUACUAUAUCUUCCAAACUUGCACGAUUGUUGUCGUGUAAAUUCAUACAUACAUGACAAAAGUCGUGUAAGUUGCAAAAAUAUAUGACUCAAUAAAUAAUCAGAGGACAUAUUUCUUCUUAAAAAAAUAUUGGGAUCUGAUAACAAUUGGAACAUUUUACAUAUAUACACAAUUAUAGUAUGUAAGUUCAUACGUACACGAUAGUAGUCGUGUAACUUAUUAACACACACGACUAUAGUCCAGUAAUAGUAAAAGGAUAUAUAUAGUGAAAAAAAAAAUAUUUUUUGCACCAAUAGAAUGAUAAAGUGUCAUGAUAAUUGGAAUCUUUUGCACAUUUGCACGACUACAGUUAUGUAAAUCCAUACAUACAAGACUGAUGUCGUGUAUGUCGGGUGCAGAAAAAAAUUUUGGCAACAACUUCAGGUUUUAACGAAUGUAGUUAUAAAAUCCAUCAAAUAACAGUCAUAUGAUGCAAAUGUAAUGAAAUAUGAGUUGCUUUAGUGUUUAUCACAAACCAAACAAAACCCUAAAAAUAAUAUAAUGUCAAUUAAAUGAAUAAAUAACACAAAAUAAAAAAAAAUUUCAAAUACCUUAUUCAUGGGAUGAAUAAUGCACCCAGCUGCAAAUUAAAAUCUCAAUGCAUUAGCUGUUUGUGAGUGAUUUUGAGUAUGGAGUGAGUUUUCGUUGUGUGGAGUUAAAAAAAGUGAGAAGUAAAGAGUGUUAGAGACGAGUUGUGUGUGUUUUAUAUAUUUUUUUAAGGAUAUUUUAAACAAUGUAUCACAUAAAAAGGUAUAUCUAGAUAAUUUUCAAGCAUGUGAUAUAUUUAACUAAAUACCCUACUUUUAAGGUAUCUUUAAUUAAAAACCCUCUUAUAGUUGAUUGAGGGUAUGUUUGGAAUUUCUUUUACUUCCCAAUUAUUAAUUUUUACCUUGAUUAUCAGAAAAUUAAUUUUAUGAAUAAUUUAGCCGGGUGUUUGGUAAAUGAUGAUUAUUUGACAAUCAGUUUUUAAAUAAUCUACUAUAUAAAUCUGGUAAGUGAAAAUUAAAAGUAUAAUGUUCAUGUGCAAAUGACAAAAAUGUACUCAUUUACUUAUUUGUAAUUUAUUUAGAAUAUUAUUAUUAAAUAAUUUUUCUUAUUCAUUGGAUUUUUGAAGAGCAUAUUCUAUUUUCUUGAUUACAUAUUUAAAUAAUUUUUUAUUAACUAUUUUAAUUUGCAAUAAAAAUUAACUAUAAUAUAUUUAACUAAAAAAUUUGUUAUGUAGUCCGUAAUAUACACAAAUACUUGAAUUGAUUAAUAAGCUUAACUGCAAAAAAGAAAAUGCAAAAAUUUAAUCUCUAUAUAAACUUUUAUGUACACAAAACUAUUGUAAUAAAGUAAUUCAUAGAAAUAUAAUAUUAUAUACAUGUGUAAAGAAAUAUAUAACUAUAAUAUUAUCCACUUGUAGCACUAUUAUUUUUCAAUCUCUCCAUCUCUUGAUCUUCAAGAACGUUAGUACCAUGAUCUGCUUCUUGAGUUCGACCUCCAUUUCCACAGCAUCAACAAGGCAAUCAAUUUGCCGUGAAAGCCUUACAGCUCCUCCCACUUUCCUCCUUUUUGUAGCCACUCUUUUUCCCUUUCUUUAUUUAGUAGCUUCUAUGGAAAUGUUGUGAAAAUUUUAAUAUACUCGCAAGCGCACGAAUCUAGAAAUAGAAUAGUAGUAACGAGGUCGAUCCCACAGGGAUUGUUAUAAAUUAAAAAGUCUAAUUUAAAUCUAAAAUUAAUAUUAAUUCUAACCUAGUUGAGCAAAUUGAGUUUUUAAGAAAAUUAAACCAAUAAAACUAAGGAAGCAAUUAAAAUAAAGGAGAAUUCAAUAAGAUAAGAAUUACCAAGGUUUUAGAAUCCACCACUAUUCAACUAGUAAUUAUCUAAUUAUUAAUUAAUCCCCAAUUUUGGAGUGACAACUCGAAAUCAAUCUAUGUCAUCUCAUGGAUAUAACAAUUAAGCCCAAGUAAUUAAAUCUAAUGUAAGUUCUUUUUCUGCUUAAUAAUAUGACAUCUAAGAAUCUCAUGUAAACAUAUUGAAUAACAAAGAGUCAAAGUUUUCCUAAGCACUCUAUGUAAACAAUUUAAUGAAAGACAUAGAAUCAAAGAUAAUCAUGUAUAAACUUUAUAAAUUCAAGCAUAGAUUUAAUUGAAUAUUAAUCCUAACAAUCAAUAAUGCAUGACAGAAUUGAUGAAAAGAUUUUAUUAAUAUCUAAUUAAUCAUGUGAAAUAAAAACCAUAAUCAUCAAAGAACAUAUAUAGGGAAUUAAUUAAAUAAAAAGAUAAUUAUUUCAUUGAAUAGGGUUUCAUCCUUAACCUCAGUAUAAGAAAAUUAGUUAGACAUACUUGAAUUGAGAGCAACAAAAUAAAUAAAUUCAGCCAUGGGGAAGCCGAAUUGCUGCAGAUUUUCUUCUCUGUCUUGAAUCCUUGCGUCUCCAGUUCUCCCUUCUGACGGCUCUCUUGCCUUUAUAUAAUGUUACUAACUUGCUUAAUCCUUAUUGGAUUCUAAUUGCAUUAAUUCUUCUCCACCGACUUAUAAAGCCCACUCACCAAGGCCUUUUAAAAUUAUUUCCUUACUAAACUUUGAAAGCAAAGCACACGUUUGACCACAAAAGCAAAAGGCCAAUUAAUGAUUUCUUCUUUUAAUGCCCAGCACAUGCAUUCCAAAUUGCCAAAUCUUUGCUUUCCAAAUGCAUGCCCACCGUUCAUCCUUUGAAGAGAUUGACUUCCAAUUUUGGUCUUCUUGACUUCCAUUAAUUCUUGGUUGCAUUUUUGUCUUCCAAUUUAAUCUUUAUUCCUUCUCAAUUUGAAGUGUUUUCAUGCCCUUUUUAUCAACAAUCUCCAAUUAAUUCCCUAUUCAAUAAAACAAUUCAAUUAAUUAAAAAUAACAAAUAAAUAUAACUAGCAAUUAUAUUAUUAAGGGUAAAAUAUGUAUAUAAAUUAUGCUCAUCAGGAAACAAACUCAUCGAACUACCAGUACAUUUUUCAAUUAGAUAGGACUGAUAGUAGAUAUUCAGUACUCUCAGAUGGUGUGCAAACAUGAUCAUCAGUGAUUGUUGUCUUAAAAAGCAUUCUAUUUAAUUGUUCCUCUGACUCUGGCAUGCAAAAUUUCUUGAUUCACGAAUUUCCUACGUAUGUUGAUAUCAUAUUAAAAUGAAUUCAAUAUCACAUNNNNNNNNNNNNNNNNNNNNNNNNNNNNNNNNNNNNNNNNNNNNNNNNNNNNNNNNNNNNNNNNNNNNNNNNNNNNNNNNNNNNNNNNNNNNNNNNNNNNGCAUGUUGUGAGCUUAUUACCAAAAAUGAGACUAUAUAUUUAAGCCGAAUGGUAAAAAACUUCGGAUGGAGGAUGUGCCAUCUUUUUAUUUUAGAUGCUUUCGGAUGGAGGAUGUGCCAUUUUUUUAUUUUACAUGCUUUGUAAGACUUUUAAUGAUCGAGUGCAGUCAAUUAACAAAAGCUUACAUAUUAUUUGUUGAAAAUUGAUUUUAAAAAAAGAAGUCAAAAUGAUGGGUGGUUGAGCCUGUUGGGGAAAAAUCAGGUUUUUAAAUUUUUAUAAAACCUUUUGAAGAUCGCUCUCAUAUAAUAUAUAAGAAUUCGUAUUCUAGAAAUCGUACCUUGUAAAUCUGAGUUUGCUUUUUCCGCUGAAGUGAUUUAGGCUCCUAGAUCACGAUCCGCCACCACCACUCCUGUUAGAUCACGAUCCGUCACCACCACGCUUGUUAGAUCACGAACUGUCUCCAAUGAUCUUCCAGGUUAUGACUCAGGUUCGAUCUGCACUUGACGUGUGGGCGCCUUUAUCACUACCAAAGCAACUAGCACGAGAAAAUUUUUCUCUCAAAAAUGGAGAGAAAAAUCUUAUUCUCUGAUUUGUAUAAAGUGGCUUCUCCACUUUUUCUUUAGAGAAAAAUAAGCCUUUUAUAUCACUCUUUAGUGAAAACCCUAGGCUCCAAAUAAAAUAAAAUCAAAACCCACGUUAUUUACUUUUUCAAUAGGGGACCCACCUUGUAAAAUAACAUAAGGCCCGUUAUACAAAAGCUAAUUAAAUGGAGCCUCCCACUAAAUGAUAUAUUUAGGCUUUUGACCCAAAUUGCUAGUUAUCUUACUUAUUAGUCCAGUAGUGGUGCAAUCAAUUAAAUGAGCUAACCCGGGGAUCAUUUGGGAACAUACAAUAGUGGCUACAAUAAUUAGGCAUGUAAUUAAACUAGCCCAAUUAUUUAAUUCCAAAUCUACUCCACUAAAAGAUUGGAACUGACUUCCAUAAUUGUAUGCUCGAAUAAUAAUUCGUCCCAAGCCACAUUGAUUUCUUUACUGCACAAUCCUUUGUACCACAUCGUUAAUUAAAUUGAUAUCUCAACUGUCCAAUCAAUUUAAUAACAUCUUAUUCCUUGAUCCUUACUGGUUUUCUCUAAUGAUCAUUUUCAACAUACUAAAUAUGUUGACACACUCUGGCCAGAGAAUUCUAUGAUCAAGUACCGAAAACCUAUCAAGAGAUGUGUUGUACAAAUUCUAUAUUGUUAAUCCAUAACUCCAAUACUCAUAAUUGCUCCCACCAAGAUACCGGGUAAUCUUGACCACAAGGAUGUGUCGUGCCCAUUGGUAACUCAAAUGGAAUAACAAUCACAAUCAUGAAAUCAUAAUUAACUCAAGAUUAAGAUUACAGUAAAAUCAAUGCCUAUGAGAUUUAAUAAGUCUGACAGUUAUUACAAAGUUAAUUAAAUCUCAUAUGUGAUCCUGUUCAAUGUAGUCGUACUACAUCAAUAAAUUCAUACAUGAUUAAGACAAAUCAUUCAAUGAAUUUAUUACAGUCUAUACCUAAAUAAAGUGCCCAACUUUAUUUAUCAACUGCGAACUAAAUUUAUUUAAUCAUAAGAUAACUUGUAUUUAUGUCUUCUGUGAAUCCACAUGGUGAUCACAUAAAUACAUAUAAUAUGAUUAAAUGGACUUUAAUACAAAUAUUAAUGCAAUUAAGAUAUUUGAAUAAAAUACCUCAUUAAUUUUAUUAAUCAGAAAAAAUGUUUAUUACAAUUAAAUAAACACAUAUGCUUUUAAAGAGCAUAUUUUCCCAACAGAGCCAUCAUCUUUGAAUUCAAAGAUGGUGGGUGGCCAAGUUAGCCACCAUCAUUGAACAAGAAAAAAUGGGUGGGUGCCGCCCAUGCAAUGAAGAAAAGGGAGAAAAUGAAGCCAAAGUUUGGCUAUAAAUAGAGGGGUUCUCCCUCUCAUUUUUGUAUCCCAGAGAAGAAAUCCCAAAAUUUGAGAAGCAAGAAUAUGUAAGAGAAGCAUUGAGAGCUUCCAACAUGGGAGAGAAAUAUUCUUAAGCAUGUAUUUAUAUUGAAAGAGCAUUUGGCUCCUCAAUAUGGGUAUUACGGGUUUGAUUUGUUAAGGAAUAUUUCUCGCAAUUAUGUAUUUGGGGCUUGGGUGAGAGAAAAUUAUUUAUGAGAGUGUGGUUGUAAUAAUUUUCCACAUAGUGAAAUUUUUUUUUUCUGGUUGUCUCUUGACAACGGCUAUGGUUUUUCUCCGGAUUUGGAGUUUUCCACGUAAAUCUUGUGUUGUGUGAUUGUUGUAUUCUCCAUUUAAAUUUUUUGUUAAUUUGUUGCUUGACAAAUUGCUUGGAGUGAUCUUGGAAGGAAACUCAAUUUCCUAACAGUGGUAUCAGAGCCAUUGAUUGAAGUUUUGAUGUCGAGGUACUGUUCACGUAGACAUUACUAUUUCACGUAUACGAUAUUGUUCAUGUAUACGGUAUUGUUCAUGUGAAGCAGUGGGAGCCAAUCUAAAUUGUCCGUGGUGAAGAGUAUAGGGUCAUUAUAAAGCAAAUAUGUCAGUAGCUGGUAUUUUUCAAACUUGGUGGAGUUUGAUGUUGUUCAAAAAUUAAUGGGAGAAUGAUUUUUUGUUGGCUUGUGGAGAAUUCAAGUCAAAGGUGUAUCCAAUCUGGUAUGCACAAAGAUUUGAAGGUGUGGACAAUUUUGGCACCUCAAGAAAAUUGUCAAGAAGGUGGAGCGGGCUCGACAAAUUACUCCAGAAUCAGUAAAAGAAAUACUGAUAUUUCUCGCAGAUGGUGAAUUUGUUUUUGAUAAGAGAUUGGAUUAGUUCUUUUGGCAUGUAGAUCUCCAAGUUACCAUAAAAGAGAACAUGUUAUUAUCAGUGGGGUCCACAAGUUUGCACGAGGGCAUUGGCUUGGUAUAAAUGCAAGGUGUGUGGUGGAAAAGUUAUGUCAUGGCUGAAGAAUUCUCAGUGAAACCAAGCAUGAGAAUUGCACUAUAAAUUUCAGCAGGAUAUUUUGAUAUGUGCCGAGAAAAAUCUUAGAAUAGUUGAUUCUAAGUGGUAUACUCAUUAUGGUGUAGUGUGAUAAUUCUUUAUAUUGAGAAUUAUAACUAUUGGUGAAGACAAUGUUUUGUAGUAGUGACUAUGAAAUUCUUUUUUUUAAUCAUGGUAGAGAUUGUUGAAAAUUGAUUUUAAAAAAAGAAGUCAAAAGGAUGGGUGGUUGAGCCAUCAUCUUUGAAUUCAAAGAUGGUGGGUGGCCAAGUUAGCCACCAUCAUUGAACAAGAAAAAAUGGGUGGGUGCCGCCCAUGCAAAGAAGAAAAGGGAGAAAAUGAAGCCAAAGUUUGGCUAUAAAUAGAGGGGUUCUCCCUCUCAUUUUUGUAUCCCAUAGAAGAAAUCCCAAAAUUUGAGAAGCAAGAAUAUGUAAGAGAAGCAUUGAGAGCUUCCAACAUGGGAGAGAAAUAUUCUUAAGCAUGUAUUUAUAUUGAAGGAGCAUUUGGCUCCUCAAUAUGGGUAUUACGGGUUUGCUUUGUUAAGGAAUAUUUCUCGCAAUUAUGUAUUUGGGGCUUGGGUGAGAGAAAAUUAUUUAUGAGAGUGUGGUUGUAAUAAUUUUCCAAAUAGUGAAUAUUUUUUCUUUGGUUGUCUCUUGACAACGACUGUGGUUUUUCUCCGGAUUUAGAGUUUUCCAUGUAAAUCUUGUGUUGUGUGAUUGUUGUAUUCUCCAUUUAAAUUUUUUGUUAAUUUGUUGCUUGACAAAUUGCUUGAAGUGAUCUUGGGGUGAAACUUAAUUUCCUAACAUUAUUUAGGUGCUGAGAUGUCUGUUCUUGAUAAAGUAGAUUUAUUUACACCCAAGCCAACGUAACAAAAGCCUAAUAUACACAAUAAUUAUUUUUGUUAGACUGAUUUCUAGCUAAUGAGAUCUUUGAAAGCAUUCAAAGAAGCCACAGAACUCAUAGGAAAGCCCUGAUAAAAUAUACGGCGAAGCAUGUGAGCUCGUUUUUUAAUCUCUUGAUCACUCAUAAGCUUUUCUAUACCAAUGACUAUAUCAUUCUUUUGAAUCGAUUUUGAUUGAUCAUUAGAAAUCAUGUACCCCACCUUUAGAUGAUUGAUCACCAAUUUGGCAUUGUAAUGUUGAUCAUCUCUAAUUGGCCAUGCUAAAAUUGGAACCCCACACCAAUGGCUUCUACCAUUGAAUUCCAUCCACAAUGAGAUAAAAAUUCACCCAUUGAUUGAUGAUUCAAUAUCAAUAAUUGUGGCGCCCAUCCAUCUAUUAUCAAUCCCUUUUUACUGGCUUUACUACCCAAACCACUAUGAAAAUAAUUGCCUUCUGCUGGUCUGUCUAAACCAGUUAAAUGACACGGAGGAUCCAAUCUACCAGCACCAGUUUGAAUUACCCAAAUAAAUGGUUCAUUUGAUACUUCUAAAGCAUUGGCUAGUACUAAAUACUCAUCUAACUUGGACCCACUUCGAUACCAAAUGACACAUAUAACACAGAUCCUCAUGAUUUCAAAUCCAACCAUUGAAUGAUCUCAUCUUCGUUCAUGUUAGAACUCCACCGAUUGGUUCUCAUCUCACGAUCACGAAGCACUGAACCCGCCCCAUUUGUAAAAUUGUUCAAGUAAUAAUGGGCCUACUCCCCACAUUGGCUUUCCCAUUCGAUUGACUAAAUAAUGGGAGAUUGCCAAUUUUCCCCUACUAUAAUCAAUAUAUAUCAUUUAUUCAUUUACUAUUUUUAUAAUGGUCAAAAAUCCCCUUGACAGUAUAAGUUUAUAAUAUUACUUUUAUUUUUAAUUGCUCUUUUAUUUAUAUUUAUUAUAAAUAAAAUAAAUCACAUGAAUAAAAAAUAAAUAAAUAAUUAAGUAUUAAAAACAAGAAAUAUAUGUUUUAAUAUGAGCAAAAAAUUUAAUAAUAAAUUUUUCUUGUAAUUAUUUAUUUUGUGAAUAUUUUCUUAUAAUAAACAUUUAUAAUAUUUUAAAAUUAAAUGUAAAAAGAAUAGGCAAAAUAUUUUAUUAUUUAUCUUAUAAUAAAUUUUUAUUUGUCAUUCAAGUUUUCUUAUAAUAGUUUUUUAUCAUUUUAUAAUAAUUUUCUUAUAUAUUUAUUAUAAGAAAAUUUUCAAAAAAUAAAUAAGUACAAGAAAAAAUUACAUUAUUGAUUUUUUUGCUCAUAUCAAAACAUAUAUUUGUUAUUUUUAAUGCUUAAUUUUUUAUUUAAUUUAUAUUCAUGUGAUUUAUUUAAUUUAUAAUAAAUAUAAAUAAAAGAGUAGUUGAAAAUAAGGAUAAUAUUAUAAACUUAUGUUAUCAGGAAGAGUUUUUGGUCAUUAUAAAAACAGGAAGGAGGUAAAUGGUAUAUAUUGAUUACAAUAGGGGGAAAAUUGGUAAUCUCCCCUAAAUGAUUAAUAAAUGGUCCCUCAAGAUCAUCACAGGUGUUGAACAUCAAAGCCAUCCAUUCCUCCACUUCCUUCAUCCAGUGUGGUUGAUCACGGGGUUCGAUGGACUCAUUUUCUCUGAACCGGGCGCACCUCGCAAAGGUAGUGGACCACGAGGAAGGGGCCCGUGAGGCCCGUAUUUAAGCUACGAUUCGAAUAAAGCCAUAUCCUUGGGUAACCCAGGAAGUAAAUGGGCCUCUCCCGGUUUGACAUCUUGGAUGCGAGCCUGCUACAUGGCACACUCCACGCUGCUGAGCAAGCACCAGAAGUGAAGAACCCAACAAUGGGACCUUCAAAAUUCUUGAAAACAUCAGCCGUCCAGCCCAUCAUAACGUCGAUGACUGCACAAAUGGGUCGGGUUUCGGGUUCCCGGGUUGAAAGGGGUUUUGAAGGCCUUGAAGCAUUUGACUGUGCAUGACAACAUGGUGGUGGUGGUGGCAGUGGUGGAGAUGAGGAGAGUAUUUCAGUAAUUUCGAAUAGAGGGUAUUGGUGAAGAGGGGAAGGGAUGAUGCCGGUGCCGGAAAUGUGAGAGGGAACGAAUAUUUUAACAGGGACGGAGCCAGCGUGGGACGAGGUGGGGCACAGGCCCCAGCUGGCUUUUAAUUUUUUUUUAUAAUUAUACUAAAAUAUGUAUUUUAUUUGUUAUUUAUGAAAAAUGUCUCAGCUGAAUUGUAAAAUUUAAAAUUGACUCCAGUAAUUUUAAAAUAUUUCAUACUGUCCCUAAUUUAUAUUUUUAAUUAUAAAUUAUUUAAUUAGUUAUUAACAUUUCAUGAAACUUUAUUAAAGACACGAGAACAAAUAUUAAAAUAAAAAAUAAUCAUAACAAAAUGUUAGUAUAAUGGUUAAUGGACUAGUUUUUAAUCUUUUUAUUUUUUAUUCAAGUAAAAUUAAUUAUUUAGUCUUUCAACACUGACCAUAAGUUGUAAGUCUUCCUAAUUCUAAUUUAUAAUUUUCUAAUUAAUCUUUUAUCUAGUUUUAAAAUUUAUAAUUUUAUCAUGCAUUUCAUAUUUGUUCUGUGUGUUGCAAUAUUUGAAUAUUUUUGUUAUUAUUAAAAGAUUUUAAGAGCAAAUUAAGUAAUAACCUAGUCUUGUAUAUUGAAAAAUAUAUUUUUGCUUAUAUUGAUAAUUCAUUAUUUUCAACUCAUAAAAUCCCAUUGAGGAGAUUUCGCGGAGAACCAUUGUAAUAAGUAAAUUUAUUAUCAAUGAAUAUUAUAGUUGUAAUGCUAUUUAUUGAUAUCUAAAUUUUUAAAAAUGUAUUAUACUUUAAAUAUGCUUUCAAUUAGAUGCAUACAGACGCACUCUAUAAGAAGUACAAUUGUACAUGUAGCAAGCUCCCAUUUAGAGUUUAUAGGGCCCACAAUACAGUUUCUCAAAUGACGACUUAUCACACGAGCAAUCGUACAUUCGAGUCAUCUUUAAUUUUAAAUGUGCCCCAGCUCUAUCAAAAUCCUGGCUACGUCCCUGGGAACGAUGAGGGUAGAUUUGUAAUUACGUGAAGCGAUUUACUUGCAUAAUUCAAUGCAUGGAAAUAGAUGUCCCUGACCGAAGAAUGAGACAAUCCAAAUCUCAGCCUCAGCAGCAUUAACGACAGAGCUUGACAUAUUUUAUUAAUCAUUUGAUACUUAAUUAUUACUGACUGCUUUUGCCACCUUUCGUAAAACAUUCUUGGUUAUAUAUAAAAGAGAUGAUUUGAUGGCGAAGUGUGUGUUUUACUUUUACAGUUUUACUAGUCGGUGAGCUAUGAUUUUGAUAAUUUGAUUGUUAGUUUCAGUUGGUUAGUUAUGAGAAAGCAUCUUUCAAAAAAUUCAUUACAGUUUCAACUAAAAUUAACAAUACUAUUCAAAUUAAUUACUCGAUAAAUAAAUAGUCACAGAUAAAUCUAUCCCUAAUCACACAUUUAUAAAAUAAGGAUUGAAAUGAGUUUCUGUGGCUUCGAACCCACGCCCUCAAGCCCAGCGGCUGGAUCUUGACUACUUUGACAUAAUUAUUAUUAGUUUUUGUCCAUCUUUCACCAGGCAUCUUUUGUUAUAUAAUGAAGAAGAUAAGUUGACGGAGAAGAGUUCUACUUUUACUAGUAGAUGAGCAUUGAAGGUUAGUUUUAGUUAGUUAAAUAUCUACCAUCCAAACCAAAGUUCCUUAGACUAUUAUUCAAGUGAGAUGUUUGAGUAACAUAUGCUUGAGUUAGUCGGUGCCUAACAAUUCAUGUGAUACAUGAAACCAACCAAAUGAAGUUGGUAGGAUUAGAUUAAUUUAAAUGAAAAUAAAAAUUAGUUUAUGCUAUUUAUUUAUCUUAUAAUGUUGAAACUUGAAAGUUAACUCUUCAACCUGUCAAUUGGUUCAUGACAUGAUCAAAUAUUCAAGUAAAUAAAUUUAUCGGUUAAAAUUAAUUUUUCAUGUGGUAAAAGCAAUACUAAAUAUGGAGUGGAGAGAAUCAUUUGUAGGUUAUACCCCCACCUUUUAUUUCAUUUCAUUUAAAAAAAAAAACAACAACAACAACAAAGGCUUGGUCAACAUCCAAGUAAAAUUAACAAUUCCAUGAUAAAAUUGCCUGAGAAUAAAAAUUAAAAAAAAAAAAAAACAGCAACUCGAAAACGAGAUACAAAUACCGCACAGAAGUUUUUCGUCACGAGAUAUUUUUGGGUUGAGACAACGCUUGUAUAACAGAGCAUACAGCUUGGAUGACGGUGAGAAUAAGAAGGAAAACGGCACCGCAGACCGAAAUUCCAGCCCAUGGAGUAUUGAAGUAAUUUUGUUUCAAGUUUGCCCUCCAUUUGUAGCACGUUCUUUUGCAGUGAUCAUUCAAUCCUUUGCAUAGCCCAGAAAAAUAGAAGCUAUCAGACAGCAGAGUAGUACCUCUAGAAAGGUUAUUUAUAAGCGUUGACGCUGCCUCUUUAUCCGGCAACCAGUUCUCAAUGAUUCCGUUCUGAACAAGCAACUCGACGUCCUUCGCUGUGUUCACGAGAUUAUGAAUAAGGAACACGUAAUCAUUUAUGUAAUUCUCUGAGUAAUGCCGUUGUUCAAAGGCAAUGAGAUUACGAAAUAAGGAUUCCGUUUCCAGCUGUAGCUUCAGUUUCGGAAUAUGCAAUGUCCUGUUUUUGAAUUCUAUGGCGAACAAAUCAUUGCUCUUGCUCAAACUGAAGUGGACUCCAGCUUGGUGGAGAUCAGUCACACUUGGUGCGGUUUUACCUUUGUGGUAUUGCUGACCUUCUUGUUUUUCCUGAUUCCUUGAUGAUGGUAGAUGACAAAUCCUUAGAAAAUCAAGGAAAUGCUCUACCCUAGCCUCAGUGUAAGGAGGGAAUUUUUGCCGAUUACCUUGUACUGCCUCUAAACCCUUGAAAUACUCGUAUGUGACUGUGAUGAUGGUUGGAUUUUCAUGUUGGUCGGGGAUUUCAAUUGCCGCUAGAGCAAAAAGAUCCUCAAGAGUGAAGAAAGGAAGCUGAUUCUCAAGCAACCACAUAUCAUACCAUAUAUCCUCUAUUAAAUAGGGUUUUAUGAAAUAUAUGAUCAUCCUUUUUUUGAAGUUGACGGAAAUGAUACCUCAAUAAGAGUUCAAUGAUGAAGGCAGCAUCCAGCAGAAUCAUUUCAACAAAUUUAUCACUACUUAGUUCGACUUUUCUGCAUAAGAACCUCGUAAUUCUGCUUCUCUGAACUUUAUAAUUUGAACAAACUCGUCAAAGCUUAUUUUGGUCCGUUGAAGAAAGUAAUGCAGGUACCGCUGUUUAUGUUCUUCCAUUAACUGUAAGUUUGCUUUGCCAUGGUGAAGAGGGCCAAUUGAGACUACCUGAGGUGUGUAUACCUUUUCAUUUAUCUGACGUAAUCGCUCUGGAACUCUGUAGAUGCAGCAGUUUGAGGGCAAUGGUGAUAAUUUUUUCAACUUAACUUGCAAGCAUUCUUCCAUGUUAUAAACUGAAAACAUGGCGCGAAAUUUAAUCAAUUCAACGCUUAAUAAGGCAUAGUAAUUAAAAAAGAAUUAAAAAAAAAAAAUACAAGAGCAUUCUUACAAGUACAGAAGCACCUCAAUCCCUACUAUUUGCAGAGCUGUAGCCAGGAUUCAAUGAUAGACCGGACUGAACUAAAAGGAACAACUUUCUUAGGAAUAUGUUAUCGGCAUUUUCUCUGGCCUCAGGCCAUCAACAAAGCAGUUUCAGUGCUUCUUAUAUAAUUCCAUGGAUUAUUCCUUGCCUUUACAGAUGAUAUAAGUCACAAUUCAUAUAUUAAUUUCUCCAGAUUCCGUACAAGUGGACCAUAACUAUGGAAAAAUUCAAAGAAUGCAACAGCCAUUUGAUUGGUCCAUGUCAGAAGUUAAUCUGGGGAAAGAAGCUUGAUCUAGCUGUAAAAUUCUCUCCUUCAAUCAGUCAGUUUGGGGCAGCAACAAGAUCAAAGCCACCACGCAAACAUUUACUAAAGUUUAUAUAAUAUUCUUGAACCUCAUCUUAAGUAAAGCAACAAAAGCCUUCACUGUUUCUUAACAACUUUAUUGCUCUAACACAUAGCAUAACAUUUUUAAAUUUGCAUAAAGCACAAUAGUACUUCAGUUUGUAACAACAGCACGGAUAAUAAAUAGCAUUUUAUAGCUUUAACAAAAGCAUACAAAAUUCUUAAACCUUGUUUCAAGCAAUCCAUUAAUGCCACAAGGAUAUCUUUUUGCUUCCUACAGUUUUUAUUGAAAUUCAUAUAUUCUUCUUUAUCAAAUUAAGUAAUUUUCCUUUUUCAAAAAAUCAAGAAGGUUUCGACUGCAUGGAAAUACAGCACACAAUUACUACUAUUCCCGGAGUAAGAAAUUCAUAAAUGCAAUAUAAACAUACAUUUUCAUAAGACAUCAGAAUCAAAGAAUCAUCAAUGCAUCAAAUCUGUACACCCAAAAAAGUUGAAAGCAUCAAGAGAAAAUUAUACCGCAUGGACCCUUUACAACCCUUAUAACGAGUUCAGACAGCCUAAUCCAAUUUGAUAGAUUUGAGGACAGCUACAAUGUGCAAUACAAAAUUUCCCAAUACUAUUUAGAACAAAGUCUAGAAAACAAAACUUAUAUAUUGUACAAAAUCAUGAAAACCAGAAAUGACGAAAAACCUGCAAAUGUAAUUUUUGGGUUUCUUCAACAUAUCUUCCAUCCAAAUCAAACAAGAAUCGAUAAAUCAACAACAUUCAUCUUUAAACGACAUAUUACCACAAUAAAAUUGUCAACCAAGCCUCAUAUAAACCUUUUUUGUGUUUUUUGGUAAAUAUGUUUGUUUUUCUCUAAGAAUACUAGGGAAAAAAGAAACCCACUUUCUUAAUCAAGAAUCAAAUAAUAUAUAUGAAUCUAAGCUGAAGUAAGUCUUGGGUUUGAUGAAAUAGCUUGCAUUGCGAUUUAGAUUGGAAAGGAAGUUGAUUUUUACUGGUUGAGAGAGAGAGAUUUGAGACUUAAGAGAGUGUUGCUAAUCUUCAAUCGUGUAAACAAGGGUAACUGGGUCAUAGUUCAAAAUAAGGGUCCAAAAUUUACUAAAGCUAUUAAGGAGCCCAAAACUCAUAAUGGCUUCCCCAAAAUAAAUAAAAUUUUCUAGCAUUAAGUUUUUGUUUCUUCUUGAGAUUUCCUUGUCGUACUUACCCAUAUUUCGAUAUUGCCUCCAAGUAAACUUAUAUAUAUUGAUUAACAAUAUAAACAAGCACUAUGAAGUUUUAGGCCUGAAAGAACAUUAGGAUUGAAAUGAAAACCAUCUAUUUAAGUAACAAAUUCUUCUGAUAAUCUGAUGCUUAAUUUAGAGAAGAGAUGACAUAUCAAUCACGUUAUGAUGUGGAAGUUAUGAUUAUAUUCAUCUUAGAAUAAGAUCUUUCAGGCACUGGCAGAUUAGUAUAAAAAAUACUCAGCAUAAGACCUACAAACUAGAAAUCACGCACCAAUUAUUGAACUCAGCACAUAAGUUGAUCUUUUAUAAGCUAUAAAACAAAUCUGCUAUAACAUAAGAAAGUGGGAUUUAUCACCAGACAAGUAUUUUGGUGAAACUCAAGCUGACGGAAGGAUAUCCAAAGCAACCUCCUUAAGGGAAGGCAUCACUUCCUGCUGAUGCAAACAUAUAUAUUUAUUACUCACUUUCUUGAGGACCUUCUAGGAACCUGGGUAGCACCUAACAGAAAGUGGAAAAGAAUAAAAUGUAAAAUAUAAGUUAAACAGCAGGAAAACAGUGAGUGAUACUAGGCAAGCAUUAAUAUGUUGCCGCAAGAAAAGUGUCAGUAACUAGCUAGCAAACCUGAAAAGGGUUCCUCCAUUACGACCCUUAAAAUUGUGAAUGUAAUAUAUGGUCUCCAUCACAGGAAAAAGUGUUUUGGAUAGUGCAGCCAGCUUAGGGUAGAAGAAUGACGGAUAAUCUUAGCUCAUUUAAGGAAAUCCUCUCUGAUCCUUUCAUUGCACAUUCCAAAACAACUCUACUACAACCAAGUUACCAAUUCUUUUUGUUAAGUCAUUGUUAUUUGUUAAAAAAAAAAAAAAGUCUUCCUUGUAACAUUUUAUUGAAAGAUAUAACAUGAUCAUCCCUAUUAAUUCCCUUUUAGAUUUCUGUGAGUGAAUUUCAAAUUAUUGUAUUAAAAAAUAGAAGCAAAAGACCCACUUUACUUUCAAUUUCUGCAACAAGAUACCAAUUGAAGGACCAAAAAGUUGUAAACAAGCAAUUCAAUGAGUGGACAUCUAGAAACUGCUAUAUAGCAUCAAAAUCAUACUAAAUUUACAGAAAGCACGAUAAGAAUGAAAGAAUGGUGAAGGAUACACCCAGACCUUAUCCGGUCAAGUUCUCCAUUGAAUAUAAUCAGUUUCCGGGCAGUAUUGAAGACAGCUUCUUUGUAAAGCUCUUCAACGACAAGCAUUUCUACAAGACAAAAGAAAAGCAAAAUUAAUUACCUUAAGGAAUGAAUAUCAAUGAGAAGACAAGGUGUAAGACUACCAUUGACAUUAAAAUAUGGAUAGGCGACUAGAAACAAUUCAUCUUCCGGCUUCACACGGUCUGCCAUUUUAACCUUCUCAGUGAAUCCAAAAUCCUCAAAGAAUGAAGGUUUUGUUAGAUAGUCCAACUUAAAUGAUGAUCCUUCAAAGACCGAUUUUCUUGCAAAUUUGACUUCAUUUGCCUCUGGGAAAAACUAAAAACCAAAUGACAGACCAAGAUCACGAAACGAAUCAUGAACGUAGAUAUCAGAUAAUCAGAAAUGGGCAUUAAACAGACUACUAACAAGUAGGAAAUGCAUACAGAAAACAUUAUUCAUACACCUUAUGCACAUGAAAUAUAUAUGCAGAGGGAUCCUCUUGUGAAUUUAGUUUAUAUCCUAAUAUGAGACGAUGAACAAUUGGAUGCCAUCUAAGGGCUAACAUUUGUUUGAUUAUUAUAUGAAAAAAAAAAAAAACAGAGUUGAUUGAUGGCCUUUGAUGGAUUGCCUACACUCCUAAAGUGCAGAGAGCCUGAUUGAUUGCUUUACCUGCCCCCCACACACACUUGAUUUUAUUAUCUCUCUUUUCAAAUAUAUAAUCAUUGCCUGUCUUUCAUCCUGAUCCAGCUCUCCUUCCAGGCACCAGCUGUGUUUUCUUCAAUUCAGUGAAACAUUCACUUUCAGGUAAGAAUAAACUUGUCCUUCCUCAAAAACCAACUUCUCACCAUGAAGCUUUCUUUUUUAAAACAAUUACUAGUCUAGCAUAAUUGAAGACAACUCAGAAUUGAAAAAGCCAUACUUUAAUGUCUGCUGUUGGGACCUCAAGACCAGGAACAAAAAGCUUCUUUCUAACCGUUGGAUUAACAAGUAGAAAUAGCUUUUUUCUGAAGGACCCAACAUUGCAUUGAAAAAUUCAACAAAAUGACUGGCGUCAUAUUUAGUCCUGCUAGAAUUUUGUGCACUUAACACAAUGGCUAAUAAUUGGCCCAGCGGACACUUUGUCGAACUACUGGCAACCUUGACUGUGGAAAUGCAUAUUUCAAAUGUUGGCAGGCUCUAGCUUCUUGAUGUACUGUUGAUAGAAAUGCCUAUUUCAAAAGUUGGCAGGCUCAAACUGCCGAGACUUUGGUUUCUUACAUUUCAAACCCACAAAUAAAACUUUGGCAGAACCCCAGAAAGAGCUACACCUCCCAAAUUUGAUGACAUAUGAGGAGACCAUGCCUAGUGCUUGGUUCGGCAAAUGAGUAAGUUUGAAAGAAAUUGAGGGAAACCUUUCCCACAGAGAGUCAUAUUGAAGGUUACAAUUUGAAGACUUUGUCCCCUGUCGCCCGUAACCUUCUUUGAUCUCUUUUCUUAGUCAUAAAUAAUCAAACAUGUGUUAGUCGUUGGAUGCAAUCCACUCACUGACAUCUCAUGUCCACAAUCAAUCAACCAUAUUUUAAUAGAAAUGAAAACAUUUUAAUUAAAAAAAAUGAGAUAGGAACAAAAUCAAACUUGGCAGACAUGGUCUAUGAGAUUUUAAAGAUGCUUGGUGAAAGUUGUAUUCAAGAGUUCAACAGUCAGUUCUAUCACCUAUGGCAAAGUAACCACCGCAACUAAAGCAAUUACAAAACAUCAAGAAGCUUGAACUUGGCAAGAGGUCUCAUUAACAGUAUACCUCAGAAAUUAAGACAGACUUAAAGUGCAAGCUUUUGGAUUUAUUUAAACACUGAAAAUAAUAUGGGUAGAAGCUCCUAUGGUCACAGCAAACAAUUACAAAGCACAAAACCCAAAAAACAGAUAUGCAAAAAGCUGCAAAAGAACAUUAUUAGCAAUUGACAUCUGCUUUUGCUCAGACAAAGGUUCUCAUAACAAAGGACUUAGUGAUUAUCUGUCAUAUGUUUAUGUUAAGGGGAAAAAGGAAGUUUGUUUUAGUCAAUCUCACGUCUAAUGGCAUUUAUAAGGAGCCCAAAAAUAAAAGAAAAAAUAAAGAGUUAGUAGGUGUUUCUUGCAGCACAAAGAAAAUUUAUCAUUCAUGAAAAACUUAGUAUGGAAAAAGCUAACUCAUUUAUCUGCCAAUGGAGAAAAACUUGUUGUCCACCCACUAAGGACCCACCAUUGGCAGGUCUGAUGGAUCCCAUGGAUGGGAACCGCAAAUAUUUUAUUCUAAAUGACAUGUGUAUUGUACCCAUAUCAUUUAAUUUGUAGAUUCCACUGAUGGAACUCAUCAAACUUGCCAAAUGGCAGGUCCUCCGUGGGUAGGCGCAUCACUUCAGCAUCCUUCUCCACCGAUGACCAAAUUUGGACUCAUUUAAAAAGAAUACAAAGCAAAACUAACUGACAUAAAUUGCAUAGAGAUCUAGGAGCCAAAUCAAUGUUGUUAACUCAUCCAAUUAAUACAUUCUCUUAGAGGCAGGGACGGAGCCAGCGUGGGACGAGGUGGGGCACAGGCCCCAGCUGGCUUUUAAUUUUUUUUUAUAAUUAUACUAAAAUAUGUAUUUUAUUUGUUAUUUAUGAAAAAUGUCUCAGCUGAAUUGUAAAAUUUAAAAUUGACUCCAGUAAUUUUAAAAUAUUUCAUACUGUCCCUAAUUUAUAUUUUUAAUUAUAAAUUAUUUAAUUAGUUAUUAACAUUUCAUGAAACUUUAUUAAAGACACAAGAACAAAUAUUAAAAUAAAAAAUAAUCAUAACAAAAUGUUAGUAUAAUGGUUAAUGGACUAGUUUUUAAUCUUUUUAUUUUUUAUUCAAGUAAAAUUAAUUAUUUAGUCUUUCAACACUGACCAUAAGUUGUAAGUCUUCCUAAUUCUAAUUUAUAAUUUUCUAAUUAAUCUUUUAUCUAGUUUUAAAAUUUAUAAUUUUAUCAUGCAUUUCAUAUUUGUUCUGUGUGUUGCAAUAUAUGAAUAUUUUUGUUAUUAUUAAAAGAUUUUAAGAGCAAAUUAAGUAAUAACCUAGUCUUGUAUAUUGAAAAAUAUAUUUUUGCUUAUAUUGAUAAUUCAUUAUUUUCAACUCAUAAAAUCCCAUUGAGGAGAUUUCGCGGAGAACCAUUGUAAUAAGUAAAUUUAUUAUCAAUGAAUAUUAUAGUUGUAAUGCUAUUUAUUGAUAUCUAAAUUUUUAAAAAUGUAUUAUACUUUAAGUAUGCUUUCAAUUAGAUGCAUACAGACGCACUCUAUAAGAAGUACAAUUGUACAUGUAGCAAGCUCCCAUUUAGAGUUUAUAGGGCCCACAAUACAGUUUCUCAAAUGACGACUUAUCACACGAGCAAUCGUACAUUCGAGUCAUCUUUAAUUUUAAAUGUGCCCCGGCUCUAUCAAAAUCCUGGCUACGUCCCUGCUUAGAGGUCAUACCUUGGUAACUCAUUUGAAAAGAAAUUAAAAGAAAAACGACUGCACAAAUUGUACUGAGCUCAAGAAAACCUGUUCAAGGUGUUCACUUGUCCAACUAAUAAAAGUCAUCAAGGAUUGUAUCGGGGACUUGGGACCAAUCCUGCCUUAACGAGAGAAAGGGAAUUUAGGAGGAAGAAGAUAACCUCUUUUCCUAGAACCCUUGAGAAAAUUAUUGAAGAAAUAUGUAUCUCCUUUUCUUAUUUUUACAAUAGGGUUACACAAUACAUAUAUAUAUAUUCUAAACUACAUAAUGUGCUAGAGUAGGAAAGUAAACAACUAACUGCAGACCAAGAAACUAGGAAACAAACUCUAUCUAAAAAACUGAAAUUCUAUCCCUAUCUUUUUUCUUUUCUAUCCCUAUCUUUUUUCCUUAAAAACAGGAUAGAAAACAAGUGACUUUUCCACACUCCCCCUCAAGCUAGUUCGAAGAUAUCAAUCAUUCCCAGCUUGCUAGUUAGUGACUCAAAGCUUGAUUUAUGAAGUCCUUUAGUAAGAAUAUCAGCUAGCUGCUUUGUUGUUGGAACAAAGGUCAUGCAUAUCAAACCACUUUCUAUUUUCUCCUUGAUAAAAUGACGAUCCACUUUGUUGAGUGUUAGAAAAUGCAUAUUUAUAAAGGAGAAAACCAUCAUUUUACAUUUCAAGUCGUACUAACAACUCUUACUUUUAUGUAUUUAACCUUCUUGUGAUAUAAUUACGUGUGUUUUAUUUUAAUUAAGUAUUUUAUGUAUUUUAGGGGCAUUAUAGUCAUUUCACAAUAAAGGAGAGAUUAGACGGCAAAACGGACAUCACUUUUGAACUCAGGACGGUCGAAAACCUUAGGAGGAGCAUAAAAGGAAAAAUGGCACUAUUCAUAUGUACGGUACUAUUCGCGUGUACGGUAUUAACUACGUUACUGUUCACAACACUGUUCACAACACUGUUCACAUAGACGGAUCGAUGACGUGGCAUUGACCGAUGAUGUGGCAUUGACUGAUGAGGUGUCACGAUCCUGUUGGGCUAAAAUUCUUAUGUACUGUUGAUGGUGACGUGGCAGCAUAUCAGUGGAUGAAAAAUCUCGCGUACGGUACAUGCAUCACACAUGAUUAUUCUCAACCAAACCGUGUUACUGUUUAUCCGAGUCAAACCGUGUUACUGUUCAUCCACGUGGUCAAACCGUGGACUGUUGACUUAUGACGUGGCGCAAUCCUGAGCGUCCAAACUGUUUUUAAUCUGAUGGCCAUGAUUUACUCCAUGUAUCUAUAAAAAGGGGGCCUUCCCCCCCUAAUUUGAUAGCUCUGAAUCCAUUUUUGGGAUCCAUUUUCUGUAAUUCCUUCUCCAUCUUGUAUUUUCUUUGUAUUUUAAUAAAUUCCCAUUUUGCCCCUAGUUCAAUUAUGAGUGGCUAAUUUUCUUUCAAGCUUGGGUUGAAGGUGAAGUCUCAACAUGUGUCAUGGGCUUAAUUUGGUAAAUUUAUUUUCUCUUCCCCUCUAGUUUUUGUGGAUGUUUUGACUUCUCGUCGACAAAUAAUAAUAAUCUUGUCUAGAUACCGCCUUGGUUACACCGGCUCUCUAGUAUAAGGUUAUUAUUAUUUGGCACGAUAAGCCCUUAGCACCAUAUUGAUUAUAGCGUGGUUCAUGAGGUGUGGAUUCCCCCCUCAUGAUUUAAUUGGCAUUAAUAAAGAUUAUUUAGCCCAUGAUGCAUGUUGAUACGGAUCCAGAUACCCAAGUACGUCAUUUUAAUAGAAUUCUCUUCAAUUUAUUCUCGCCAUUUCAAUUCCAAUUUUAGAAUUUAUUCUCGCCAUUUUAAUUUAAGUUUUAGCAUAUCCCAAAUCAUUUCCACCACAAAUCCAAUCACCCAUUUACAAAAUUAAUUCUACACAAUUAAAAUCCACCUCCUCGUGGGAUCGACACUCGUCACCAUUAGUCUAUACUACAAUAGAUUCGUGCGCUUGCGAGUACAUUAAAAUUUGCACAACAAGUUUUUGGCGCCGUUGCCGGGGAGGUAAGUAAUUUUAAUUCAUAGAAUUAAUUUUUGUGAAUAAUUUCUUUUAUUUAUUUUCUUGUAUUUUUUUUUAUUAUUAAAAAAAAAAGUAAAUCUACAUUUAAAGGUUAGUAUUUCUUUUCUUUUUCUCUUCUUUAAAAUUCUGUAAUUUAAUUUUCAAUUUAUUUUUCUUUGUAAUUUUUUUUUGUUUAUUUUAUUAAUUUAUUUUUAGUUAAUUUAUUUCACGUAUUUAUUUUUGUGUAUUUUUAUAGUAAGGUUGUAAUAGCGCAAUAAGGUUAGUAUUGUAAUUUCUCUCUCUUCUUUAUUUUUAUUUGUUUUGUUCCAUCUUUAUUUUUAUUUUAUUUAUUUUGUAUGCAUGGUCGUAGGUCUUUAUUACCUAAUCUUGAACCUAUAGACCUUGAACUUGAGAAAACACUUCGCACACACAAGAACGUUAAAAAUAAAUUUGAAAUGGAUUUACAAGCACCACAGGAGAGGCCAUUUAAGGACUAUUUUAGUCCCUUAGCUAAUUUGAGCACAUCAUGCAUAAGAUACCCAAAUGUAGCUGCUAGGAGUUUUGAAUUAAAACCUAGUGUGCUAAAUUGUCUCCCCACAUUCUAUGGCCUAGAAAAUGAGGACCCAUAUAAUCAUCUGAAUGAUUUUCAUGCCAUUUGUCAAACUUUUAAAUAUGAAAAUUUUUCAGACGAUGAUGUUAAACUUAGAUUAUUCCCAUUUUCUUUAAAGGAUAGAGCUCGUUCAUGGUUAAAUACUUUGCCUGCUAAUAGCAUUGCAUCAUGGGAACAAAUGGUUACAAAAUUUCUAAAUAAAUAUUUCCCAGUGCAUAAAACCAAUUCUAUUCGCAGGGAAAUUUCAGAGUUUACACAAAGAGAGGACGAGCAGUUUUUCGAAACUUUGGGAGUGAUUCAAUGGGCUACUCUUGAAGUGUCCACAUCAUGGGUAUGAGAAAUGGCACCAAUGCCAAUACUUUUUGGAGGGAUUAUUGCCAAAUGUGCAAGAAUGGCUAAUGGCAACAAGUGGAGGAGAGCUAAUGUCAAAAAGCGCAACAGAGAUUUGGGAAUUCUUCCAGCGACAAGCGGAUAAUUCCCAACAACGGAGUCGAUCACUCAGGAAUACUAGAAGAAUUAAGGGAGUAAAUGAGGUUCAAAUUGGCGAGUCAACUUCGGGAAUCAAAGAAGUCAAGGAGAUAGUUGAAGGUCUUGCUCGACAAAUAGCAUCGUUGUCGACUGCUAAAUCAACAGAACCACAUGACCAUGACUCAUACUCCGAUCAAGCCAAUGCCAUAGGUGUAAUGAGAAAACCAUCGAAUUACAACCCAUACUCCAACACAUAUAACCCUGGAUAGAGAGACCACCCCAAUUUUUCAUGGUCUCAAGGAUUCCAACAGAAUGGACCAGCAGCUCCAGCUCCACAAAUUCCUCAAGUUCCUCAAGCCUCUCAGCCCCCAUUUAGACCAUUUAAUCAGAACCAGAACUACUCUCAACCCAGACCAUGGGAGGAUUCAUUCCAGAAUCUCAAGAAUCUUACUCACUCCACGAUUGAGCAGCAGAACCGCACCGUUGAUGGACUACGAAAUGAGUUGAGAGCAGGCUUCAACUCACAAGAUCAAUCAGUUUCAAACCUCGAGAAAAUGGUGGGACAACUUGCUUCUUCAGUUCAGACCUUGGCAAUGACUGUUGAGAAAGGAAAAUUUCCAAGUCAACCAGUGCCUAAUCCUAAAGGAGUGCAUGAAGCAAGUACCAGUUCACCACAGCAGCAUGGGGAGGUCAAAGCAGUCAUGACCUUGCGAAAAGGAAAGGAAGUCGACAACAAAGUGGAGAUGCCGGUGACAAAAGAAAAUCAAAUUGUACCUGUGAAUGUUGAGGACUCACCACCGGAGGAAAAAGAAGAAACCAACCCACGAGAAUAUGUUCCUAAAGCUCCAUUUCCUCAGAGGUUAGCGAAAGGAAAGAAGGGAAAUUCCACAGGUGAGAUUCUCGAAAUCUUCAAACAGGUAAGUGUUAACAUCCCUUUACUUGAUGCUAUAAAGCAAGUUCCAUCUUAUGCUAAGUUUCUUAAAGACCUUUGUACUAAAAAGAGAAAUAUGCAUGUUCAAAAGAAGGCAUUUUUAACAGAAAACGUUAGUUCUAUACUCCAACAUAAAAUUCCUUUAAAAUGCAAAGACCCAGGCUCCCCCACUAUCUCAUGUAGUAUAGGGAACCACACAAUUGAGAAUGCUUUGUUGGAUUUAGGAGCUAGUGUAAAUCUUUUGCCUUACUCUGUAUUCGUGAAACUUGGACUGGGAGAAUUACACCCAACUCCAGUGGUGUUACAGCUUGCAGAUCGGUCCACGAAAAUACCUCGUGGUAUUGUGGAGGACGUGCUUAUCCAGGUAGACAAGUUUUAUUUUCCUGUUGAUUUCAUUGUAAUUGACACUCAACCAAUACAGGAUUCAAGGAAGCACAUCCCCAUUAUUCUAGGCCAACCUUUCUUGGCAACUGCGGAUGCUCACAUUCAAUGCAGGACUGGAAAUAUGCAAUUGUCCCUCGGCAACAUGACUAUGGAGCUGAACAUCUUCAAUAUUGCCAAACAACCUCAUAAUGCAGAUGAUAGAAUUGUAGACGUGGAUUUAAUUGAAGCAUUAGUUGAUGAUACUUUUGUUUCAAACCUUAGUGAUGAUCCUUUACAAACAUGUUUAACUCACUUUGGUUUGGAUUUUGAUAUUGACAGAUCGGUCGAAGAGGUCAACGCCCUGCUUGACUCAGCACCAUACAUGGACACUAAUAAAUGGAAGUUAAGAGUUGAACAACUAGCACCAUCAGAGAAGAAACUCAUCCCAUCAUCAGAAUCACCACCGAAACUCGAGGUCAAACCAUUGCCCAACACAUUGGAAUAUGCAUUUUUGGGAGAAGAAAUUACUUUGCCGGUAAUCAUCUCAUCAUCCCUAAAUGACGAACAAAAAGGUAAGUUGUUGGAUGUUUUAAAAGAGCACAAAGGAGCAUUAUGAUGGACCAUAGCAGACAUAAAAGGUAUAAACCCAGUAGACUGCAUGCAUUACAUUCACCUUGAUGAAAAUGCUAAAUCUACUAGGAAAAUGCAACGUCGGUUAAAUCCUAAUAUGAAAGAAGUUGUUAGAACAGAAGUCCUUAAGCUAUUAGACGCAGGUAUCAUUUACCCAAUUUCUGAUAGUUCAUGGGUCAGUCCUGUACAAGUUGUCCCCAAAAAGUCAGGAGUCACAGUAGUUACGAAUGCUGAUAAUGAAUUGAUACCCACUAGAGUAACUACAGGAUGGCGUGUAUGCAUUGAUUAUAGAAAGUUGAAUUCUGUCACACGUAAAGACCAUUUUCCUUUACCAUUUAUUGAUCAAAUGCUUGAUAGAUUAGUAGGCCAUGAAUUUUAUUGCUUUCUAGAUGGCUACUCAGGAUAUAAUCAGAUUCCCAUAGCACCAAAAGAUCAGGAGAAAACUACUUUCACUUGCCCUUUUGGCACAUUUGCAUAUAGGAGAAUGCCAUUUGGAUUAUGUAAUGCACCUGCUACAUUUCAACGAUGCAUGUUGAGCAUUUUUUCUGAUAUGGUUGAACAAUUCCUUGAAGUCUUUAUGGAUGACUUUUCUGUUUUUGGUAACUCGUUUGAUCAAUGUUUACAUCAUCUAACGCUAGUUCUGCAGAGAUGUAUCGAGAAGAAUUUAGUCUUAAAUUGGGAGAAAUGCCAUUUUAUGGUAAAACAAGGUAUUGUUCUCGGUCACAUCAUUUCGAGCAAAGGUAUUGAGGUUGACAAAGCCAAGGUGGAUCUCAUUUCUAAUCUUCCUCCACCUAAAACAGUCAGAGAAGUACGAUCUUUCCUUGGACAUGCUGGUUUCUAUAGACGUUUCAUUAAAGAUUUUAGCAAAGUUUCUAGACCCUUAUGCAAUUUACUUGCUAAGGAUGUACCUUUUAUCUUUAAUGAUUCAUGUCUCAUGGCGUUUGAAAAAUUAAAGCAAUUGUUGACAUCAUCACCCAUCAUUCAGGCCCCAAACUGGAGCUUACCAUUCGAGCUCAUGUGUGAUGCAUCUGAUUAUGCAGUAGGAGCAGUAUUAGGACAAAGAGUUGAUCGAAUUCCCCAUGUUAUUUACUAUGCUAGUAUGACAUUCAAUGAUGCACAGUUGAAUUAUUCAACUACUGAAAAAGAAAUGCUAGCAGUAGUGUUUGCAUUAGAAAAAUUUCGAUCUUAUCUCAUUGGUUGUAAAAUAAUUAUAUUCACAGAUCAUGCUGCUCUUAAAUAUCUUCUCACAAAGAAAGAUGCAAAAGCUAGACUAAUUCGUUGGGUAUUACUUUUGCAGGAAUUUGACUUGGAAUUCAAAGAUAAGAAAGGCACAGAAAAUGUCGUGGCGGACCAUCUCUCUCGUCUCCAUUUUGACACAAUUACAGAGCCAUUAAUAUUAAAUGAGUCAUUUCCAGAUGAACAAUUAAUGAGUGUGGAAGUAUUACCUUGGUAUGCUGAUAUAGUUAAUUAUCUUGUUACAGGUAAACUUCCAGAGCAUUGGACCAAGCAAGACAAGGCUAAAUUCUUUGCGGAAAUAAAGAAUUUCUUUUGGGAUGACCCAUAUUUGUUCAAGUAUUGUGCAGACCAAAUUGUUAGACGAUGUGUCCCUGAAAAUGAAAUUCAGAAUAUUCUUUCAUUCUGCCAUGAACAAGCUUGUGGAGGCCAUUUCAGUGCUAAGAAAACAACGACUAAAGUUUUACAAUGUGGUUUCUAUUGGCCAACUAUAUUUCGAGACGCUUACACUUUCUGUUCUUCAUGUGAUAGGUGUCAACGAAUGGGGAGCAUUACACGAAGGAACAUGAUGCCACUAAAUCCAAUUUUAGUGGUUGAGAUUUUUGAUGUAUGGGGUAUCGACUUCAUGGGACCCUUUCCCUCUUCUUUUGGCCAUCAAUACAUAUUGGUUGGUGUUGACUACGUCUCAAAAUGGGUAGAAGCAAUUCCAUGUAGAACCAAUGAUCACAAAGUGGUGAUAGGAUUUUUGAAAAGCAACAUUGUCUCACGCUUUGGAUUCCCUCGAGCAAUAAUCAGUGAUGGUGGUGCCCACUUUUGUAACAAAGCAUUCAAAGCUCUUUUGACAAAGUAUUCAAUCACACACAAAGUGGCAACCCCUUAUCAUCCGCAAACCAGUGGCCAAGUUGAGAUCUCCAAUCGAGAAAUAAAGCAUAUAUUAGAAAAGACGGUGAGGCCAGACAGAAAAGAUUGGUCAUUAAGACUUGAUGAUGCAUUAUGGGCAUAUAGAACGGCUUUCAAGACCCCGAUUGGGAUGUCACCCUACAGGCUAGUGUAUGGAAAAGCUUGCCACCUACCUGUGGAACUCGAGCAUCGUGCAUAUUGGGCCAUCAAGAAAUUCAACUUUGACAUGCAGCAAGCCAGCUCAGAAAGAAGAUUACAACUGGCAGAACUUGAAGAAAUUCGCAAUGAUGCAUACGAAAAUGCCAAAAUUUACAAGCAACGAAUGAAAGUCUUUCAUGACAAGCACAUUAUGAGAAAAUCGUUCACUCCAGGUCAGAAAGUGCUUUUAUUCAAUUCUCGCUUGCACCUAUUCCCAGGUAAGUUACGCUCUCGAUGGUCUGGUCCAUUUAUUGUUCAUACUAUUUUUCCACAUGGGGCAAUUGAAAUUAAGGACCCAAAGAACGGUGUCACGUUUAAAGUUAAUGGUCAAAGAUUAAAGCCAUAUCUUGAGUACCAACCACAUGGAGAAGACACCGAAAUAAAUUUGAGUGACCCACCAGAUUUGAAUUGAUUUUUUUUCUUUUUGUUGAUUUGAUUUUUCUUUCUUUUUAUUAUUCUUUUGCUAAUUGAAAUUAUUUUUGCAUAAGUGUGUUUGUUUUACCAUUAAGUUUUCUUUUCUCUUAUCAUUGUUAAUCAUGAGUACCAUACUUAGACCGUUCCUCCUGAACAUUCUUAAACCACUUCAACGUGUCAAAACUCAUCUCAAAAAGCAGAUUCAAUUUUGUAAAACACAACGCAUUUGGGCUCUACAACCACCAGAGUUAGUAGCCUAUGUUGAGGGUUUAGAAUGCCAACUCAGAGACAUUGAGAGAAGUGUUUACGACAUCCAGUUAGAGCUUGAGGUAAAUUCAAUAAGAGGACGAUUUUAAUUUUCUUUGUGUGUUUUAAUUUGUUUUUCUGUUUGUGUGUUUUAGUUUGUUACCCCGGUGAAAUGGCGGAUAACGGUACUCCGUGACAAUCAAGUCGGUUACUUCAGUUUCCCAUAAUAACUGACAUUCUGAGGCGAAAGUAUGGACAGAAAAGAGAUUCUAGCAAAGCUUCACAAGCGAUUCCCUUCACUUCCUCAGAAUGCCCUCCUUACGAUCUAUAAAGCUCGGUCCGAACGCAUGCGAUUACUCAUGAAGAAUAACAUACCUGCUGACAUCCGUUGGUUAAUCGAGGCUAAAGUACGAUCGGCAGGUGAGUUUCCUCCAAAAUUUAUUGCAUACAUGCCUGGUUGUGGUAAAGGAAAUUAUGCAAGAAAACGACGAGCUCGAAGAAUUUCUGUUGCUUGUCAUAAGUGUGCUAGAAUGAGUUGCGAUAGAAACCCAUGUUCUUUAGGAAUGGUGUCUGAUAACAGGGAAGAUAAGAUUUAAUUCAUUAGGGAUGGCUUGAAUAAGGAGUCAUUGGAUGAUAUCCUUUUGUCUCUUGAAACGCAUCCUAGUGGAUAUGUGCAAGGAGCGAUUCUCCAGUUAUGGCCAUUAUUCCAGAAAGAGCAUGCACGAUAUAGUCUCGGGAAUCUGACUAUAAACGACCCUGUUUGCCAGUUUAUAAGAAAACUGGAUAGGAAGCCUAUCCUCGACCCAUAGAGGGCGUUCAAGCCGUUUCUGGACGUAAAACCAGAGGAAGAUGUGAGCCACAGUCGCAACUACGUGUAAAUAUCCUUUUACUUUACUGUUAUUUUAUUUCAUUUCACUGUUGUUUUAUUGUUUGCAUUAUUGUCUUUAAUAAUUUUGUUACUGUUUGCUUUUUCCUUUUUACUGUUUCCUUUUUGACUCACGAGCCACGUGCUUAACGCGUUAUUUGACACUGACAUGCCACCCCAUACACAGUUGUGACCCACUGUCACCAAGAUUCUUAAAUAUGACUUUUUGUUAAGCACUCACAAAUUGUUUCUGAGAAAUAUUCCAAUGGCAGCUACUCCUAAUAGACAAUUCAAGAACAUUUGUGUGCUUUCUGGAUUUACCUAUGGCAAACAUAAAGAGUUCGUGGAGGCAGCCAUAGAUCUUGGUCGAAGCAUAGCAGCGAGAAAAUUACACUUGGUGUAUGGAGGAGGUAACCGAGGGUUAUCAAAAAUGGUCUCAGAAGCAGCUUUUAUCAGAGGAAGUCAAGUGUUAGGCAUCAUCCCAAGAGUCCUAAAACCAUUGGGCAGUUCGUCUGACUCAUCAACUGGAGAAGAGUUAGUCGUCUCAGGUAUGCAAGAAAGAAUAACUGAAAUGCUUAAUCAUGCUGAUGCUUUUAUUUUCCUUCCAGGAGAUCUUGCAACACUAGAGGCACUUAUGACACUAGCAUCUUGAGCCCAUCUACACAUUCACCAGAAACCCAUCGGUUUGUUAAAUGUCAAUAACUUUUAUGAUGGCUUUAUCGCAUUUCUUAACCAUGCAAUAAAAAACUAUUUCAUUCCUUCUAAUGUGAAAAAACUCUUUAUUUGUGCUCACACUGCUAAUGAGCUACUUGAUAUGUUACAAGCUUAUAAACCGGAGCCAGACCCCUGGACCUUUGUGUUGGAGCGACCAAAUAAUGAUGGUAACAGUAGCCGCAGUAAGAAGUACAAAUUAGAUUUAACUCUCCGCCUGUAAAUAUUUUCUUCUGUGUUGCACCACCCAGGUGAUGUCUUCUAAACUCUACUUCUUUCAUUUCAAACAUUGAGGACAAUGUUUCGUUCUGGUUGGGGGGAGGGAAUAGUCGACAGUUGUGGAAUCUUGGUUAAAUUUUUACUGAUUUUUUGUUGUAGAAACUAACUGUUGCUAACUUUUUAUGUUGAAGAUGGCUGAAUAUGGAGUGUAGUGACUCUAGAAACGCAUUUUCAUCGUUUAAAAAAAAUUAAAAAAAAACUAAAAAAAAAUUUCAGACAGUUUCUUUUUUUUUUCUUUCUUUAUUCUGUUUUUAUGUUUAUUUUUCUUCUUUUUAAUUUCUCCUCUAUAAAUAUACAUUUUCCAACUUGUGAGUCGAAGAUGGCUGAAUAUGGAGUGUAGUGCCUCUAGAAACGCAUCUUCUUAAAAAAAAAAAAAAAAAAAACCCAUUUUCUUUUUCUAUCAUUUUACGUGUAACUUUUCUAAUUAGUUUUUAUGCAUCAUUUUCACAUUUCUGCAUGCAUAUUUUCCUUUCAUGUUUAGAAUAGGUUGGGGGGUAGAAUGUUGUUUAAAAAAAAAAAAAUUGUGUUAUUUGUUUUAACAUUGGAUGACAUGAUUAAUUUCAAAUUUUAGUAUUUGUAUUAUCUUUGGUCUUAAGUGAUGUUACGCUAUGUUUGCUACUUUACAUGUUGAUGUCGGAGACAAAUAUGAGUUGCUUGAAGGAAUGAACAUGUCAUAAAUAAGUGCCAAGUGAGUUGUUGAGCCUAUCAUUUUCUUGGAGAGUAACACUUUUGCCCAUUCUCUAUACAGCUUAGCAGUUUAUUAGUUUAUACACGAUCUCUAGAUUUCUUUUGAGUUAACCCUUUAAAAAAAAAUGUGUGUUGCUACAUUGGGAGACCCAUCUAACUAGUAGAUAUGGAUAAUUAUUUAGAGCCCUAAAAGACGAUGGAAAGGCCAUAUUUGAUCCGUUUGAGCCUUUCUAGCCAUCCCUUUUAUUAAAUAUCCAUAGUUACCCCUUUUGAGCCUUUUUUUAAAAAAAAAAGAGAACAAAAACAUUUUCUUUGUCAACUUAUCAUCUUGACCCACUCCGAUUUGGAGUAUUACCCAAUGUCUUUUAAGUUCCAUCACCUAUUUAUGUUUGAGAAAAUGUAAAUAAUGAUGUUGUUCAGUGAAGUUAUGCCAAAUAAAAGCAAAAAAAAAAAAAAAAAAACAAAAGUUGUUGUUUCAAAAGAAUAAAAAUAACAAUAAUAGGUGAAAUCCACCUUGCAACUUCAAAAAAAAAUAUAUAUAUUUCUGCAUUUUUCUCAAACAUACACUUUGUUUUCCUUAUUUCCUUUCUUUGUUAGCCAUAUCCCUAGCCUACGUUAUGUCCUAAUAAAAGUCCUUCUUGAUUUUAGGGAACUAUAGUUUGAAGUAGAAGCUAGUUAUAUGGGCUAAAAAGAUGUAGUGAUGCAUAAUAAAAAAAAAAAAGAUAAAUAAAGUGGGUUGACUAACAUUUUAUUUGACUUGAGAUCGUAUUAUUUCUAAGCUAAGGGCAUAUUUAUUUCAUCUUGGUGAGAGCAUGUGAUAUCACUUCUUCAUUAUUUUCUCUCAAUUACCAUUCAUUGGAGUGACUAUUUUUUUAGGUUUAAUUUCUUUGUGAGAGUGUCACUACUUCCAGUGAGAUUUUGGGUUUUGACAUGUCAUUCUUGAAAGUAGUUAUAACAAAGUCUACUGGCCGAUUCAUGUGGAUGGUUGAUGUGGGUGUGAUGUUGUUUUAGACUGGAGAUAAUACUUAUACUUUUAUUUGAUUGCUAUCAUUAAUCUGAUUGAAUAAACACGAGUGUUUCUAAAAAAAAAAAAAAAAAUUAUUUUGAAUUUGAAUUUUGUUUUCGCUUUAUUUGCUAGGGACUAACAUUAAGCUGGUUGGGGGGUGUGUUGAGUGUUAGAAAAUGCAUAUUUAUAAAGGAGAAAACCAUCAUUUUACAUUUCAAGUCUUACUAACAACUCUUACUUUUAUGUAUUUAACCUUCUUGUAAUAUAAUUACGUGUGUUUUAUUUUAAUUAAGUAUUUUAUGUAUUUUAGGGGCAUUAUAGUCAUUUCACAAUAAAGGAGAGAUCAGGCGGCAAAACGGACAUCACUUUUGAACUCAGGACGGUCGAAAACCUUAGGAGGAGCAUAAAAGGAAAAAUGGCACUAUUCAUAUGUACGGUACUAUUCACGUGUACGGUAUUAACUACGUUACUGUUCACAACACUGUUCACAUAGACGGAUCGAUGACGUGGCAUUGACCGAUGAUGUGGCAUUGACUGAUGAGGUGUCACGAUCCUGUUGAGCUAAAAUUCUUAUGUACUGUUGAUGGUGACGUGGCAGUAUAUCAGUGGAUGAAAAAUCUCGCGUACGGUACAUGCAUCACACAGGAUUAUUUUCAACCAAACCGCGUUACUGUUCAUCCGAGUCAAACCGUGUUACUGUUUAUCCGAGUCAAACCGUGUUACUGUUCAUCCGCGUGGUCAAACCGUGGACUGUUGACUUAUGACGUGGCGCAAUCCUGAGCGUCCAAACUGUUUUUAAUCCGAUGGCCAUGAUUUACUCCAUGUAUCUAUAAAAAGGGGGCCUUCCCCCCCUAAUUUGAUAGCUCUGAAUCCAUUUUUGGGAUCCAUUUUCUGUAAUUCCUUCUCCAUCUUGUAUUUUCUUUGUAUUUUAAUAAAUUCCCAUUUUGCCCCUAGUUCAAUUAUGAGUGGCUAAUUUUCUUUCAAGCUUGGGUUGAAGGUGAAGUCUCAACAUGUGUCAUGGGCUUAAUUUGGUAAAUUUAUUUUCUCUUCCCCUCUAGUUUUUGUGGAUGUUUUGACUUCUCGUCGACAAAUAAUAAUAAUCUUGUCUAGAUACCGCCUUGGUUACACCGGCUCUCUAGUAUAAGGUUAUUAUUAUUUGGCACGAUAAGCCCUUAGCACCAUAUUGAUUAGAGCGUGGUUCAUGAGGUGUGGAUUCCCCCCUCAUGAUUUAAUUGGCAUUAAUAAAGAUUAUUUAGCCCAUGAUGCAUGUUGAUACGGAUCCAGAUACCCAAGUACGUCAUUUUAAUAGAAUUCUCUUCAAUUUAUUCUCGCCAUUUCAAUUCCAAUUUUAGAAUUUAUUCUCGCCAUUUUAAUUUAAGUUUUAGCAUAUCCCAAAUCAUUUCCACCACAAAUCCAAUCACCCAUUUACAAAAUUAAUUCUACACAAUUAAAAUCCACCUCCUCGUGGGAUCGACACUCGUCACCAUUAGUCUAUACUACAAUAGAUUCGUGCGCUUGCGAGUACAUUAAAAUUUGCACAACACACUUCAACAUGUUUAGUUCUGUCAUGAUGAAUAGGGUUAUGAGCAAUGUUUAUUGCUGCCUUGUUGUCACAAUACAACUUCAUAGGAACAUCAAUGAUAAUCUUCAAUUCUUCAAGUAGCUUCUUUAACCACAAAAGUUCACAAAUACCAUAUGCUACUGCUCUAAAUUCAGCUUCAGCACUGCUUCUUGCAACCACUGAUUGCUUCUUACUCCUCCAAGUUACCAAGUUUCCUCCCACAAAUGUGCAAUACCCUGAAGUUGACCUUCUAUCAAUAAUAGAUCCAGCCCAAUCUGCAUCAGUAUAUACUUCAACUUGCAUAUUGUUAUUUUUCUUGAAUAGCAGGCCUUUUCCUGGAGUUUUUUUCAGGUACUUGAGAACCUUGUAAACAGCUUCUAAGUGCUCUUUACAUGGAGAGUGCAUAAAUUGACUAAUAACACUUACUGCAAAGGCUAUGUCUGGCCUAGUAUGAGACAAGUAUAUCAACUUACCAACCAACCUUUGGUAACUUUCUCUAUCCACUGAUUUUCCUUCAAUUGCAUAUCCCAAUUUGUGAUAAGGAUCAAUAGGAGUGUCUCCAGGUUUGCAUCCCAACAUGCCAGUUUCCUUGAGUAAGUCUAAAGUAUAUUUCCUUUGAGAAACAAAAAUGCCUUUACUGGAUCUUGCAAUUUCCAUGCCCAAAAAAUAUCUUAAGGGGCCAAGGUCCUUCAUCUCAAAUUCUCUAGCAAGAACCUUCUUGAGAUUUUCCAUUUCUAUUACAUUGCUUCCAGUCAAGAUGAUAUCGUCUACAUAUACAAUGAGGAUCACAACACUACCAUCAGUGAAGUGUUUAAAAAACAUUGUAUGAUCUGCUUGACUCUGUAAAUAUCCAAAGCUAUGAACAGAUUUGGUAAAUCUGUCAAACCAAGCUCGAGGAGAUUGUUUUAAGCCGUAAAGUGAUCUCUUCAGCUUGCACACUUUUUCAAUACCAUAUUCAUUCUCAAAACCUGGUGGCAGAUCCAUAUAUACCUCUUCUUCAAGCUCUCCAUUAAGAAACGCAUUCUUAACAUCUAAUUGUUGUAGUUGCCAUCCUAAGCUUGCUGCAAGAGACAACAAAACCCGAAUGGAAUUCAUUUUUGCCACGGGAGCAAAUGUUUCUUGGUAGUCAAUGCUAUAUGUUUGUGUAAAACCUUUCGCGACAAGCCUAGCUUUGUACCUCUCAAGUGACCCAUCUGCUCUGUAUUUAACUGUAAAAAUCCACUUGCAACCCACUGGUUUUUUUCCUUCUGGUAAUUUAACUAGUUCCCAAGUUUUGCUUUUUUCUAGAGCUCUCAUCUCUGCAUACCCAGCAUCUCUCCAUUCUGGAAUAGAAAGAGCAUCUUGUACAGAUUUUGGAAUUGCUAUGACAGACAGGUUAGCUGCAAAAGCUCUAAAAGAUGGAGAUAAUCUAUGAUAUGACACAUACUUAGAAAUUGGAUGAAGAGUACAAGACCUAGUUCCUUUUCGUAGUGCAAUUGGAACAUCUAGAUCAUUUGUAGUUUCUAAAACAGAUUCUGAAAUAGGAUUAGAAUGAAUGUUACCUGCAAGUUCCAAGUUGCCUGUGUUUGGAUCCGAGUCUUGGCAGUGAGGAGAGGAAUGAUGAUUUGACCUUUUCGAAUUCCGUCGUGUGUAGACUUGAAGCUAUGGUUCUGGAACUCUCUCUAAUGAUUUUUCAUUAUUCAUAAUUGAUGGCAUUGUAGAAGGAACAUGAGGUACACAAGACAUAAUAGGCAUUGGAAGAGAUAAUUCCCAAAAAUGAUCUUCCGGAGUAUGAUUCUCCCCCUGAAGAGAAGUUUUGGGAAAGAAAGAUCUAUUUUCAAAAAAUGUGACAUCCAUUGUGAUGAAGAAUUUUUUAGACAAUGGAUCAUAACAUUUGUAGCCUUUUUGAGUAGGAGAAUAGCUAAGAAAUACACAUUUUAAAGCUCUAGGAUCAAGUUUGCUCAUGUUCUAUGUAUGAAUGUGAACAAAAGCAAUGCACCCAAAAAUCUUGGGUGGUAAAGAUGUGAAAAACUUAGCGGUAGGAUAGAAUUUUGUGAAAACAUUUAAUGGAGACUGAAAAUUAAAGAUUCGGGUAGGCAUGCGAUUUAUCAAGUAUGAUGCUGUGAGAAUGGCUUCACCCCAAAACUGUUUUGGCACCCUAUUUGUGAACAUAAGAGAGCGUGCAACUUCUAACAAGUGUUGAUUUUUCCGUUCAGCAAUACCAUUUUGCUGAGGAGUAUCUACACAAGAGGAUUGGUGCACAAUGCCAUUUUCCAUGAAAUAAUGACCAAGGGCAGUAGAAAAAUAUGCUCUCCCAUUGUCAGUUCUAAAGACUUGGAUUUUUGCUUGAAAUUGUGUUUGAAUCAUGGUAUGAAAGGUUUUAAAAACUGUUGCAGUUUCUGAUUUUUCUUUAAGCAAGUACACCCAACAAACACGAGUGUGGUCAUCAAUAAAAGUUAUGAACCAUUUAGCCCCCGAAAUGUUUGUAACAUGAGAGGGUCCCCAAAUAUCACUGUGUAUGAGAGAAAAAUGUUCAGAUUUUUUAUACGGCUGUGAAGGAAAAGAUACACGAUGAUGUUUGGACAAUACACAAAUUUCACACUGAAACAAAGAAGGAUUUUUAUUCUUGAACAACAAAGAAAACAAGUGUUGUAAAUAAGAAAAACUAGGAUGACCUAAUCGGAGAUGCCACAACAUUAUUUUAUCUUUAAUAGAGAAAGUUAGUUCAUUAUUUGUUGCCUGAGCUUCUCCACACAAACUAACAUCCUCCUCGAAGUAGUACAAACCAUCUACCUCUCUAGCACUGCCAAUUUUCUUCCCUGAACACAGGUCCUGAAAUUCACAAUAGGAAGGAGAGAAUUUAGCAAUGCAAUGAAGAUCCUUGGUAAUUUUGCUAACAGAUAAAAGAUUACAAGACAAAUUAGGAACAUGAAGAACAGAUGUUAACACCAAAUUUGUAGAGAUAGGAAUAGAUCCUUUUCCUGCUGCAGAAGAUAGUGAACCAUCAGCAAUUUUAAUUUUUUGACUACCAGGACAUGGAAUAUAUGAAUAAAAUAAUUUAGAAUGGCUAGUCAUAUGAUCGGUUGCUCCUGAAUCGAUGAUCCAUGGAUCUUUUUUCUCAUAAACAACUCCUAAAGCACUGAAAUCAUUACCUUUCUGGGCUAAAGAACUAGAAGAUGAAGGAUUUGGGAGAGAUUGUGACUGAUUAAGAAACUUGUACAGUUGCUCUAACUGUUCUUUAGUGAAGAGUUGAGAUUCGGAUUCUCCAGUGUUGAUUGUCGGCUGAUUCUCCCCAAAAACUUGAAAACCUCGACUAUGUUUACCAGAGAAUUUAUUGUUUUUCAAAUUUGGAGGUUUUCCAUGAAGCUUCCAACAUGCAUCUCUGGUAUGUCUUGGCUUGUGACAAUAAUCACACCAAACUCUGUCCUUCUCAUCACUCUUCUUCAGGUUUUUUGUUCCCCCAAUCAGUGGAGCUUCUGGUGUAACAGAGAUCAAGGCUGAGUUCUCUGCUGAAGAACCUCCCAUCAUCACAUUCUUUCUACUUUCCUCUCUUUUUACAUAAGAAAACACUUCCCUGGUAGAAGGAAGAGGUUCCUUGCCAAGUACUCGCCCACGGACUUCAUCAAGGUCUGAACUCAAACCUGCUAAGAAUUCAAAUACACGCUCUUUUUCUAACAUCUUCUUGUAUUUAGCACUAUCAGCAGCACAUUCCCACUCGCCAUCAUAGUACUGAUCUAACUCUUGCCAUAAGCCCUUCAAAAUAUUGUAGUAUUUAGUCACUCCUUGACUACCUUGUUUGGUUUCUCGAAUUCUGGUUUUCAGAUCAUAAAUCUGAGCAGAAUUUCCCAAAUCAGAAUAGGUCUCGGUGACAGCAUCCCACAAAUCCUUUGCUGUUGGCAGAAACAAGUAAGUUUGACCUAUCUCCGAUUCCAUUGAAUUCACUAACCAUGACAUGAUCAUUGAGUUGUCAGCAGCCCAAGUAUGAAACUUUGGGUCUUCUUCAGUUGGUUCUUUAAUUGAACCAGUAAGGUAACCAAUCUUCCCUUUACCUCUGAUAAACAUCUUCACAGAUUGGGACCACUGAAGAAAAUUUUGACCAUUCAAUUUAUGGAUUGUGAUCUAAAGUGAUGGACUAUCAUUAGAAACAUAACUUGAUAGUUGUAGAUGUCGUUGCAAUUGCUCUGAAGAUAACUCAGAAGUUUCUUGCUCGCUAUACUUUGAUAUUGGUAUUCAAAUAGAAUUGAAAACUAAAUCCAAGAAUCAAAGAGCGACUCUGAUACCAUGAGAAAAUUAUUGAAGAAAUAUGUAUCUCCUUUUCUUAUUUUUACAAUAGGGUUACACAAUACAUAUAUAUAUAUUCUAAACUACAUAAUGUGCUAGAGUAGGAAAGUAAACAACUAACUGCAGACCAAGAAACUAGGAAACAAACUCUAUCUAAAAAACUGAAAUUCUAUCCCUAUUUUUUUUCCUUUCUAUCCCUAUCUUUUUUCCUUAAAAAUAGGAUAGAAAACAAGUGACUUUUCCACAGCCCUUUUGGACAAAAAUGAUUUCCUGCUAAUUUUGAGAAUAAAACCAUAGACAUCUAACUUCUGAUAUCUAGUCAAUCUGGUAAAAUCUUGGCAGUUGCACUUGGGGCAUAAAUUAGUUCCACCUUGGUUUAAGGACAGAAAUUCGUCAUAUGCAUGUAUUUAUUUAUGUUUUAUACACACACACAUGCAUGUACACACAAACACUACCUUCACUUUGAAGAAAAGAUUAAAAUAACACUGCUCACAUACACAAUACUUACUAUUCUAGUUCGUGUAACUUUCUCCGGAGUCACAAACAGGUCACAGAAUUCACGUAUUAACCGCAUACUUCUAGUCAUUUCUAUUCCUCCUUCACCAUCACUUGUCCCACAAUUACAAAAAGUGAGAGGUAAUAACCAACAUAUUUGGGUUGCUCUUCGGUAAGGGGUGGGAGGUAAGGGUUAGUUGUGGAGGGCACCUAGUACAGAAUCAAGGCCAGCUGUUGGGAAUUUGAUCUCCUGUAACAUAUACUUGUUCAUCAUAAACUAUAUACUUAUUCUGCAGUCGAUGUGUGCAUAUAGCUCUUCAAUUAUCCAGUAAUAACUCACCAUCAACUUCCUGCCAUCUUUCACGGCUAAUUCAGCAGCCAUUUUUGCCUGCUUAAAGGUCAAAAGCCCAAACUAAGCAGAUGCUCCUACUCCGAUACUUAUUAUCUAACUACUACAGAACAGAUGAUACGCAUCAAGUUGUAUCAAGAGAGACACCAAGUUGUGUUUUCCAAGAGGUUCCAAAGAGGUUUUGUUUCUUUGUGUAAUUUUUAGACUGCUUUGACAACUCAUCUUAAAGGUGCCACUCAUCCAAUAUGAUGUGGUGACAGUAGUUUAGAGUUUUAAACUAAAUGCAGAGCUAAUAGUAUUUUGGAAUAUAAUCAUCCUAAGAUACUAUAACACAGGGAUUCUUACACAAAAACAACAACUUCGAUGUAGAGAGAAGAUGAUUUCACAAAAGCAGAUGUUUUGAUUUAAGUCUCCAAAACCCCCACCAAAGAAAUGUUCAACAGAUAUAGAAAUAUGAUCCACAUAUCUGUAACUUAAACUGUGAAAGUUGUUGAUGUUGUUCUAAAAUUGCCACAAUCUAUCUACCCCAUGAAUGUUUUUGGAUAAAACAACAAGCAGGACCCAAUGCCUGUUUUCUAAUAGCUUCAAAAAGGCCAAAUUGGUUUUGAAAUGUCUCCAGCUUUUCAUUUAAUAAGAGAGAGAGAGAGAGAGAAGAAUCGCUCCCCUUUCAAAUACCGUGCUCUUUUGUACCUGGGAAUUUAACUAAUUCUUGCGAAUAAAAAAAUUUAUAAAUUUGGUAAAUUAUUUAUUAAAAAAUAUUGAGAGGCUGUGCAUUAUUUUAUUAGUAAAGAUAUAGUUAUCAUCAAAUUAGUUAUAUUAAAAUAGUUUUUGACUCACGUAAUUUAUUUUUAUUAUUUUUAUAUAUAUAUUUAAUUAAUAAAUUUAUGUUAUAUUCAUUUGUAUAAAAAUGUACAGUUCUAUCCUCACUCUUAUUUUAUUUUUAUUAUUUUUUCAGAAAAUGGUAUGCGUUAUUAAGGUUAAGGGUGACAACUGGGAUCAAUAUACGGUUUAUUCGAGUGCUUAAAACCUAAUAAAUAUCCACUAACUCAUAUUUAAUUAAAAUAUAAUUAUUUUUAAAUAAAAAAAUUUAAUAUAAACUAAACAAAUUGAUUGGAUUUUGUUUCUAAAGGUACAUCAUUAGAACGUUACCUUUAAUUGAACAAAAGCACACAUAACUAGCACAUUCGCCACAAAAGCCUCAGCUUAGUGGUCGGCUUAUUAAUUAUCUUAAUAAAAUCAUGGUCAUAAAUUUGAGUCCCCGUAGGAAUUAUUAGGUUAGGUAGCUUUUUUAGACUACAAAAGCUUUUUUAGACUACUCAUUCAUUUAAUUUUCCGUUAUAUAUAUUCAUCUUUUUUAGAGGCCAAGAAGUCUUCGACAGAAAUGUGAUCUUUUUCUAGUUGCCUCCCGGUGAUGAGCUUCUCCCAAGUUUCAAUUAAUUCGCUUUGAGUGAGGAUAUUUUCUGGUGGCCUCAAAUACAAUGUCUUGUUCAGCACUCAAGGGUCAUCUAUUGUCUUAAUAGUAUAUGUGGCAACAUCAUCAAGAUGCACUAUAGAAAAAAAGAUAAUCAUUUUGUUUAAUAUGAACAUAAAUUCUUACAGUCUAACUCAUAUUAUAGUGAACGAUGCUGUUAUGUGGUGCGUGCAUGCACUAUCUAUAGUUUUAAUAUUAUUAAUAAAGAGUUAAAAGUCUUGAUUUAAUUUUAAAUUGUCAUUCCUCUAACUUCACCGUCUUCAUAGAUGCAGACUUUAUCUUUUGAAGGGUGAGGGUAGCUAUAUUUGAGAGAGGUGUCUAGGGAACCAACCAGCAAAAAACAGCUAGCAGAAACAUAAAUGACAGGGAUUUGAGCAGCCUUGAUUGCCCUUCUCACACAUGCGCUCUGCGUUCUCCCUCCCGCUCUCACUCACUCACGCCCAAAUCUCACCUCACUCACGCAUCUCUCCUUCUGACCGGUGGUUUUCUCUCUCUCGCCGUGGGUCUCAAGGCUGGCAGGGAUUUCUCGACUUGACUACUAAAACAUAAUCCAAAAACUACUAAGAGAUGUAUAUAUUACUCUGAUAUACACAAUAUGAAGAAACUGCAGUUAUAUUUCAAAUAUUAUAUGAAGGAAGAGGCUGUAUGGAUUAUCUAAAGGUGCUGAAAUUAAGAGACCUAUUGAAAAGUCAUGCAUGUGGUAAUUUUUCAAAGAGCUACCAAACAUUUGAAGAAAAAAUGGAAAGUUGGCAAAUUUGUCAAAUUUGCCAAAUGGACACCAUUGACUAUUGGCUUAGGUUAGGUGGAAUGGUAAAGGGGUUGGUGCAAUAGUGCCAUUAUUUUUCCUAUAAAUAGAUGGCACUUUUUCCAUUCUUUUGCAUCCCAAAAUUGUUAAGCUUAUAAGUUUCUAAGCUUUUGAGAGAAGUGAGAGAAGUGUGUCUGGGGAAUUUAUCUUUCCUGCAGAGUGUGAGAGUACUGGGUAUAUUUUGGGUUUCUGGGAAGUGAGAUUCGUUACUCAAAUAUUGUACUCUAUUAAUUGUUAAAUAAACAAUUAUUCUUUCUUGCCUCCGUGGAUGUAGGUUUAAUUACCGAACCACAUAAUUCUUGUGUCCUUUAUUUUUUCUAUAAUUAUUUGGUGCGCUUGAUUCCGCAUUCCAAGCACAACAAGUGGUAUCAGAGCCGAAGGUUCGUACUUGGGGGGAUACGGUACUGUUCACGUAUACGGUACUAUUCCCAUAUACGGUACUGUUCACGAAUACGGUGGAGACGGCCAUUUGUACUUGGGAGACAGUCUAUUGUAAGUAGUGUGUAUUUUUGCAUGUUUAGGAAAGUUCUGUCAACAAAGGCGAUAAGAGUCUAAGGAUUCUGGUUUUUAAUUGGGACCGAGUUCCCGUCCAGUUUCUUGGGAACUUUCCUGGUGCAUUUAUUCAUGCGAAAUUAACAUCAUAGAGACUGUUUUUCAAGUGGAAAUAGUUCGUUGAGAAAAUGGUAGAAGGUGAAACUUCCAGAAUUGGGGAGAGAUCUACCGAGACUAUUUCAGGAGACACUUCAGGUGGGAGACGAGAUUUGUCAAAUCGCUAUUCAGCACCUGUUAUAGGAGGUCAGAAGAUCGAUGUUGAAAAGUUUGAUGGGAAAAUCAACUUCGGCAUGUGGUGGCGCGAAGUUAUGGAUGCCCUUAUUCAAAUCGAUCUCGAUGUUGUUCUGAAAAAUAAAAGACACUUGUAUGAUGAAGAAAUUUGGGAUCGUAUGAAUGAAAAAGCUUGUGGUUAGAUCAGAUCUUGUUUGACCAAGGAGGUGAAAUACUUGGUGAAAGAUGAGGAGUGUGCGGUAACUUUGUGGCGUACAUUAGAGGAAAAGUACUUGGUGAAAAGUCCUGAAAAUCGCCUUCAUGCAAUGAGCCAAGUAUAUGGUUUUCGAAUGAAGCCUGGGGUGUCAAUGCACGAUCAUGUUUCAAGAUUUGAAAAGUUACUUGCUGAUUUGAAGAAUCUUGAUGAAGAUAUUAAGGAUGAAGUCAAGGCUAUGAUUCUGUUACACUCACUACCAGAGGAAUAUAGCCAUUUUGUGACUACUUUGAUAUAUGGGAAGAGUGUGAUCGUCUUCAAAGAUGUUUGCACAACAUUGACUAGCUUAGAGAUUCGGAAUAAUGAUAAAAAUUCUGAACGAGCAUCGUCUGAAGCUUUAGUGAGCAGAGAUUGGGCGAUGGAGAAACAGAAGAAGCGUGGUGGAAAGAACUCUCGAUCCAAAUCGAGAAGCAGAAAUAUAGCUCGAGAUGAGUGUGCCUUUUGUCAUGAAAAGGGCCAUUAGAAGAAAGAUUAUCCAAAUGCUCAAAAGAGAGAUGGGAAGAAACCAGCAGCAGCAAACAUGGCACGGAAAGAUGAGGGAUCUGAUUAUUCACUAAGUAUUACUCCUGCAGCAUACGUGGCUAGUUCGAGCGAGUGGAUACUUGAUACUGGAGCAACCUAUCAUUUGUGUCCCAUUAAGGAAUGGUUUACGGAUUUCAACGUAUUGGAAUCUGGUGCAGUUGUGAUGGGGAAUGAUCAACCUUGUCGCACAAUGGGGAUAGUAACAAUUCGGCUCAAAAUGUUUGAUGGAAUGGUCAGAGAACUCAAAAAGGUUAGAUUUGUUUCAGCUUUAAAGAAAAAUCUAAUUUCUGUGGGUGCUUUAGAAGCUAAAGGCUACAAGGUUACCAUUGAAGAUGGUAUAAUGAAGUUUACACAUGGGGCUAUGGUGAUUCUGCAAGGGGUUCGGCGUCACAAUCUGUACUAUUUGAAGAGAGGUACAACUGAUGAAGCAAAUGUUGUUGAGGCACACAGUGACACCACCAAGCUAUGGCAUGUACGACUAGGACAUGCUAGAGAGAAGUCUUUGCAAACUCUGAUAAGGCAUGGACUCUUAAAAGGUACCAAAACCUGUAAAUUAAAUUUUUGUGAGCAUUGUGUAGUAGGCAAGAAAACAAGGGUUAAGUUUGGUACAGCUAAUCACGAUACUCGUGAGAUCCUUGAAUAUGUUCAUAGUGAUGUAUGGGGACCAACCAAGACUGCAUCAAUUGGUGGAAGCCAUUAUUUUGUUACAUUUGUUGAUGAUUUCUCUAGAAGUGUGUGGGUGUACACCAUGCGAGCAAAUGAUGAGGUUCUAGAGAUUUUCGUGAAAUGGAAGAAAUUGGUGGAGACUCAAACUGGAAGAAAGAUCAAAGUAUUACGAUAUGAUAAUGGGGGUGAAUAUACUUCUGAUCCAUUCUUGCAAGUAUGCCAGAACGAGGGUAUUAAAAGACAUUUCACAGUGAGACAUACUCCGCAACAGAACGGUGUGGCUGAGCGUAUGAAUCGUACUUUACUGGAGAAGGUAUGGUGUAUGUUAUCUAAUGCUGGUUUAGAUAAAAAGUUUUGGGCUGAAGUUGUGAGCUACGCAAGUCACUUGGUAAACCGGUUGCCUUCUGCUGCAAUUGGAGGUAAAACUCCUAUGGAAAUGUGGUCUGGAAAGCAUGCACAAGACUAUGAUUCCCUUCGUAUAUUCGGGUGUCCAGCUUAUUAUCAUGUCAAAGAUGGUAAACUAGAUCCUCGUGCUAGAAAAGCUAUCUUUGUGGGAUUCAAAGGUGGAGUAAAGGACUUCAAGCUUUGGGAUCUCGAAGAUAAAAAGUUUGUGUGUAGCAGAAAUGUCACAUUUGAUGAAGCUUCAAUGAUGAAAGCUUCAAGUUCUCAGCAGGUGGAGAACAAGACCAAAGAGGUAUUGCUGCGGGUGGAGUUUGAUGCAACUCCAUAUGUACCAGUUAGUUCUACAUCAAAGAAGAGUUCAACUAUAGAGGUGACACCUAGAGUUGAAGAAGAGGUUGUUUCUUCUGAUGUCCCACAAAAUGAAGAAACAAUUGAUAAUGUAGAUAAUGAUGAUUUUAUAGCAACAAGGAGGCUAAGAAGAGAGAUAAAGAAACCCGGAUGGCUUACUAAAGAUAUGGUGGUAGCCUAUGCACUUCCAGUUAUUGAUGAUGACAUCCCCAACACUUUCGGUGAAGCAUUACGCAGCAGUGAAAGUGAUCAGUGGAAGUUAGCCAUGGAGGAAGAGAUGAAAUCUCUCCAUCAAAACCAGACUUGGGAACUUGUAAAGUUACCAAAAGGGAAAAAGGCUAUUGGCAAUAAAUGGGUCUACACCAAAAAGCAAGGAUCUCCGAAUAAAAUAACUCCUCGAUACAAGGCAAGGCUCGUGGCAAAAGGUUUUGCUCAAAAGGAAGGUAUUGACUACAAUUAAGUUUUCUCUCCAGUUGUAAAACAUACUUCCAUUCGUAUCCUACUUGCCUUAGUUGCAGAAUAUGAGUUAGAGUUGGCUCAAUUGGAUGUUAAGACCGCGUUCAUACAUGGAGAUUUGGAGGAGGAAAUCUAUAUGAUUCAGCCUUGUGGUUUCAAAGUUGCUGGAAAAGAGAAUCAUGUGUGUAGGUUGAUUAAAUUUUUGUACGGACUGAAGCAAUCGCCAAGGCAGUGGUAUAAAAGAUUUGAUCAAUUUAUACAAGGGCAGAAAUUCACCAGAAGUGAACACGAUCAUUGUGUUUACUUUAGAAGACUACCAGAUAGAGCUUUCAUCUAUUUGUUACUCUAUGUCGAUGAUAUGCUUAUAGCUUCGAAGAAUAGAGAUGAGAUCGAAAGAUUAAAAAAGCAACUGGCUUCUGAGUUUAAGAUGAAAGACUUGGGUGAUGCACAGAGAAUACUUGGGAUGGAGAUUCGUAGAGACAAGAAGAAUGGGAGCGUAUGGUUGACUCAAAAGUCUUAUUUGAAGAAAGUGCUAGAAAGAUUCGGUAUGGAUGACAAAACUAAACCAGUAUGUACACCUCUAGCUUCUCAUUUCAAAUUAAGCUUUUCUUCAUGUCCUAGAUCUCAAGAGGAGCGUGAUUAUAUGGCUCGUGUUCCAUAUGCUAGUGCUGUGGGUAGUCUUAUGUAUGCUAUGGUAUGCACAAGGCCCGAUAUAUCUCAAGCAGUGAGCAUGGUUAGUAGAUACAUGCAAAAUCCGGGUAAAAAUUAAUGGCUUGCGGUAAAGUGGAUUCUCCGAUAUCUGUAUGGGACAGUUGAUGUUGGGUUAUUGUUCAAGAAGGAUUGUGGUCAACAAUGUGUUGGGUAUUGUGAUUCUGAUUUCGCUGGAGACCUUGACAAGCGAAGAUCAACAACGUGCUACGUAUUCACAUUGGGUGGAGGUCCGGUUAGCUGGAGGUCGAUUCUACAAUCGACAAUUGCUCUGUCCACUGCGGAAGCAGAGUAUAUGGCAGCAACUGAAGCUAUAAAAGAAGCUAUCUGGUUGAAAGGUUUAUUAGGUGAUUUGGGAGUAAUCCAGGAGAACAUUGCGGUCUUAUGUGAUAAUCAAAGUGUGAUAUUCCUUGCGAAGAAUCAAACAUAUCACGCUCGGACGAAGCACAUAGAUGUGAAAUAUCAUUAUGUGAGAGAGAUUAUCGAGAGCGGUGUUGUGUUGUUGAGAAAGAUCGAUACCAAAGAUAAUCCAUUAGAUAUGUUGACGAAGGUAGUUUCUGGAGUUAAGUUUCAACAUUGCUUGAAAUUAAUUCAAAUCCUUCGAUUGUGUUAAGAUAUGUCCUUCGGGAAUUUUGAACUACGGUUGGCUUGAUCCCAAAUUUUGGGUACGUAGGCAGUCAUAGAGAUGCAGCCACUUUGGGGAUGAUGAUUGGUUGGUAGUCGGCUCAGAUUUGGACAAAUUUUCACCGAGGUGGAGAAUUGUUGAAAAGUCAUGCAUGUGGCAAUUUUUCAAAGAGCUACCAAACAUUUGAAGAAAAAAUGGAAAGUUGGCAAAUUUUUCAAAUUUGCCAAAUGGACCCCAUUGACUAUUGGUUUUAUGUUAGGUGGAAUAGUAAAGGGGUUGGUGCAAUAGUGCUAUUAUUUUUCCUAUAAAUAGAUGGCACUUCUUCCAUUCUUUUGCAUCCCAAAAUUGUUAAGCUUAUAAGUUUCUAAGCUUUUGAGAGAAGUGAGAGAAGUGUCUGGGGAAUUUAUCUUUCCUGCAGAGUGUGAAGUACUGGGUAUAUUUUGGGUUUAUGGGAAGUGAGAUUUGUUACUCAAAUAUUGUACUCUAUUAAUUGUUAAAUAAACAAUUAUUCUUUCUUGCCUCCGUGGAUGUAGGUUUAAUUACCGAACCACGUAAUUCUUGUGUCCUUUAUUUUUUCUAUAAUUAUUUGGUGCGCUUGAUUCCGCAUUCCGCGCACAACAAGACCCACACCAACCGACAGACCCCCGGUGAUAGAGAGAAAGUCGACUGUGAGAUGCAUUCAAGACGGGGGAAGAGUGAGAGAGAAAACUGCCCGGUCAGAAGGAGAGAUGCAUGAUUGAGGUGAGAGAUUUGGGCGUGAGUGAGUGAGGAGUGAGGGAGAGGGUGCCGCGUGUGUGGGAUGCGUACAAUGACAAUUUAUACUUACAUCAAAACGCCGCGUUCGGUGCCAUGUGUAGGGCUAACUGUGGUUUGAAUCUCACUUUGGUAAUGGAAAUGACUUUGCAAUUGACAGUUUUUGUCAAAAGUUCGCACUGCAUGAAACUAGUGUUAAUAUAAUUUAAAAAAUUAAUUUCAGUAUUAAUUUUUAAAGUUUUAAUUAUUAUAUUUAUUUUAAUAAUAGAUUUAUAUUUAUUAUAAAAAUUUUAGUUAAAUAUUUGUGUUAAAUGGAAUUUAUAAUUAAUAUAAUAGAUCUUAGGUAUUAAUAUAUUAUAAUUAUUCUAUAUGCUAUUGAAAAUCAUUUAUAUUUUUAGACGUUUAUUUUCAUAUUAAGUUUCUAUUUAUUUUAAAAUUUAGUUUAAUAUAAUAUAAGCAAGUAAAGUAUUAAAAUAUUUUUUAGUAUUAUUUAAAAUAUUAAAAUAAUUUUAAAAUAUAAGUCAAAUUUUUAAGUGAAUAUAACUAAUAUUUACAGCUAUUUGAUGGCCUCAACAAGCUAAAGCAGCAUCAAAAUUUGUGGCUCGUUAAUUUAUUUUUUCCCUUUCAAAAAGGGAAGAGGAUAAGUUUGGAAGAAUGAUUAUAUUUUUAAUAAAUUCUUUUUUAUUAUAAUACUUUUUGUCUUUAUUAAUUUAAAAAUAUUGACUCUUAUAUUUUAAAAAAUAUAAAUAUAAUAUUAUAAUAAAAUAUAACAAUAUAUAUCAAAUAUUUAAAAAAUUUAAUAUUUUAAUAUUUUAUAUUAUAUUAAAAUAAAUUUUUAAUAAAUAAAAAUAAUCUAUUAAAAUAAAGUACAAAAAUUUAAAUUAUUUUCAAUAUCAUCUAAAAUAAUUUUACUAUUAUUAAUGCAUGAAAUAUAUUAUAGUAAUUGUAAAUUUCAUUUAACUCAAAGAUUUAUUUAGAAUGUUCAUAAUAAGUCCAAAUAUAUUAUUAAAAUAAUUAUAAUAAUUUACAUUUUAAAAAUUAAUACUGAUAUUAAUUUUUAAAUUAUAUUACUCUACCAGAAAAAUUAAACUAUUAAAUUAUAUCAAUAUUUAUUAAAAAAUUUUGAAAUUAAUUCUUGUUAUAUUUUUAAUUGGAAUUUUUUCAUGUGAUAUAACCAGAAUUGCUACAAUUUUUUUCCCUAAUUAAAGAUGGAGUUAUAAAUUAUUUGUAUAAGUGUCUGUGUGGAAACUAAUGUGACAUGAAAGUAAUAGCUGAAUAACAAUAAUGGGCCGAUUUCAAUUCUUAAACAGACUUGUCCUUCAUCCCAAUUUAUUUACCCCAUUUGGGCCGGUUAUGACAUAAACAUAUUCUUGUGGAAUGAAAAACAUCAUGAGAAGAAAAUGUUUUAUUAUAAUAGAAAAAAGUGGUCCAUAAGUCUAUUCAUUACUUUUUUUAUUCAAUAUAAAUGGCUAACUUUAAAAAUGGUAAAAAUCACAUAACGCGCAAACAUAUUUUAGAUUUAUAUUUUUUAAUACUCUCCGAGUCUCUCUUUCUCUUUUUCUUUUUUUAAAUAAAUGUCAGUAUAAAAUUUAAAAAAAAUUUAGAUAUAAAAUUUGGCAAUGACCAAACAAAAAUUGCAGAGGAAACCUUGAUAUCAUUGAAAUACUGAUAAUAGACACUACAGUAUAAAUAACUUGUUGUGAUCCACUCAACUUGUAACACUUUAAUCCAUAUUCUAAAAUUUUCAUGUUUGUUAGGAUUUUUAUUAUUGAUACUACUGUAUCAAUAAAAUUAUAAUUUAUUCAUAUGGAAUGAAAACAUCAAGAAAGGACCUCUGAUGUUUAUUGUCAUAGAAAAAAGUGGUCCAUAAGUCUAUUAAUUAUUUUAUUUAUUCAAUACAAAUGGCCAACUUAAAAAAUGGUAAAAAUCACACAAUGCACAAGUAAAAUUUUACAAUUACAUUUUUUAAUUCUCUUUGAGUCUCUCUCUCUCUUUAAAAAAUAAACCUCACUGUAAAAUUAGAAAAAUUUUAGACGUAAAAUUUGACAAUCACCAAAUAGAAAACAUAGGGAAAUGAAAAUGGAGGAGCCCUAUUUUCAUUAGAAUAUUGAUCAUAGAUACUAUAAUGUAAAUGAUUUGUUGCGAUUCCUUCAACUUGUCACACUCUAAGCUAUUUUCUAAAAUUUGUAAGGUUUAUAGGAUUUUUAUUACUGCCAUCAUUGUAUCAAUAAUAUUAUAAAUUAUAUAUUCUAUUGUAAUGAAAAUUUGUGUAAUCUUAGGUAUUUAUUGUAUUAAAUUGUGUGGAUUAAUUAAGAAUAUUUUUGGAGACAAAAGAAGUGUGUGUACGUAGGAUUAAUGAUAAAAAAUUUCUAAAUAAAGGUGAUUGCUUCAUUGACAAGUACAUAUUUAUAUUCCUCUAUUAAUAUUUGGGUUGUAAACUCUAUAAUAAAGUUGGUUGGUGUGAGUGGUUCGGCACUCUCACUCUUUAAGAGAGGUCGGGAGUUCAAGCCUCGCUCUCGUAUGGAGUCACCACUUUGGCCAGCACUUUACCUCUUAUGGGCCGACCCGGUGCGAGUGGGAAUUAGUAUGGGUUGUGGUAUGGGCUUAAAGGUGUCUCCCACAGUUGGGGCCCACUCAGGACCACCUCGUGAUUCAAACAAAAAAAAAAAGUGAAUAUAUUGUGGCAAGUGAUGUGGGCAAUAUCGGAUGCGAAAUAUUGAGAGAUCAUUAACGCAUAUAUUUAUUGAAGAUGCGUAUAGAGGAAAGAGUGUAGAUCCGGCCGUAACAAUUACGAAGCUUUCCCCAAGUAUACUCAUGCUUCCUUAACUGUUUCGAAGUAUUUUUCAUAGUGUGCAGAUUUACUUUAUGGUGUCUUUAAUUCAUCUUAAAUGAUUACUUUAUUGUUUUAGGAUGCAAUGUCAUUUAUUGUGUUAAUUUAAACAAUAGAAAAAAUAAGUAACAGUAACGAAAGACUAAUUUGUGAUAUUGAAGCGUACGGGCUUAACUCAAUCCAAAAAUUAGUAAAUUAGCUCAAGAGUUAAGAGUUGUCCAAAUCUUAUAUGAUGAACCCAAGUUUAAUACACAAUUGAUGCGGGAUGUUAUUCCUAACACCUCCCGUCAUGUGUAGGAUUGGCAAAAAAACUCGGGUCAGUCCCGCCUAAACCUACGAGCUUUAUGCAUGGCUCGCAUGAUGAAGUUACGGAUAUUAACCUAAAAAUUUGAAACUUACUAUGAAUGGCCUUGCUUAAAGACUUUUGCAACUUUAAUUUAUAACAAGUAUGUAUAUCUACACACACAUAAGCUUAGAUUGCAUUUGGAUGGCUUUUUUAAUCAAUUCAAACAAUCUGAAAUUUAUCAGAUUAAUCCAAAUCUUAUAUGUAUCCAAUUUUGCCCGCCCCUACUAUAUAUAAGCCCAAGUGACUCUCUUUUACUAAUUAAUAAGAGAAUUUUUGACCUUAUAUCCUUGUUGUGGCGUUAGACUGUUGGUUAUUUUGAUUGUUUCCUACCUUCCAUUUACGCCAGCUAUAACAUUGUAUUAUCACCAUUUUAGCCAUUUAAAUGAAAUUUUAUUUUUCAUUUUAUUGUGUCAAUACUAUCAUAAUUUAUUCAUUUUAUUGUAAUGAUAAUUUGUCUAGUCUUAGGUACUUACUAUAUUAAAUUAUGUAAAUUAAUUGAGAAUACUUUUAGAGACAAAAGAAACACGUGUAUGUAGGAUUAAUAAGCGAAGAGUUGUAAAUGAAGGUGAUUGCUUCAUUGAGAGGCAUAUUAAAUAAUUAUGGAGAGUUGCUCUAUUUCGGAAGCAUAUAUUUAUACUUCCCUAUCAGGAUUUGGGGUAAGCGAGGUGCUUUAUGUAUUGCAGUAACCAAAUGUGGGCAAUAUCAGAGCCGAAAUAUUGAAAGAUCAUAACGCAUAUAAACGAUUAGUAUAUUGAAGACACAUAUAGAGGAAAGAGUGCAGAUCCGGCCGUAACUAUUAUGAGGAUUUCCUCAAGUAUUCUCAUGCUUCCUCAACUGUUCUGAACUAUAUAUUCCUCAUUGUGGGCAGAUUUACUUAAAUACCAACACAAUGAUUCAAUACUUCAAAGGUCAAGGAAAUGUCAAAAUAUGAAAUGAAAAUACUUAAAUACCCUUCUACCUAACAAAACUUAGUACUUCUAACUGCCUUAGCAGAGAAUCUAUAAAAUUAAAAAAAAAAAUUCAUCCAUGAAAAGCUUCGUAACAGAAAAACCGUCUUUCAAAAAAUAAAAAAUAAAAAAUAAAAACAGAAAAACCGACUCAUUUAUCUGCCAAUGAACCAGUCAGGACUCAUUUAAAAAAGAUUACAAAGCAAAAGUAAAUGACACAAAUUGCAUAGAUAUCUCGGAGCCGCAUCAAAGGACAAUGGUGUUAAUUUGUCCGAGUAAUAAAUUCUCCUUGGUCAAAAGCAAUUAACGAUGAAAACUUUCUUCAUUAAGGUUCUGGCCUACGUAAAAAAAAAAAAAAAAAACCACCCCAAGGUCAAAGCACAACGAUAAGUUUAGAAUUGCAGUUUUUAAUUUUUUUUAAUAAAUCAACGUGUAUAAAAAAUAGAUAAUAAUUUUAAAUAAAUUUUAUUUGAUAAAUAUAGGCAUAAAAUUUUAAAAUCACCAAACAGAAAAACAGGGGAAUUAAAACAGAGUCCCUGUUUAUCCUCUAUUUUGCUUGUUAUUAAACAGGGAAAUGAAAAGAUCACAAGCGGAAAUUUUGUUUCUGCGUUGUCUCUUCUCAAUGCUACAUGCAUUCAAAUUAAACCUUACAUAUGCUAGCAAACUAGCUACCUGCGUUUAAGUGUUAGAGUGCAAUUUAUGCACUAAUUUUGCAUUGUUUACUUCUUUUAAUAUCGAUAUUUUGCACUUAAUAAUAGUGAUUUACUUGUAUUUUAUUUUUGUAAGUGCAAUUCUAUUUAUUGGUGCUAAAAUUGGGCUACAAGAUGAUGUUUGAAGAUGAUUGUUUUCUUGGAAAAAUUAUGAGUUUCAGAAGAACUUUGUUGAUAAGGCGUGGGCGCUGGCUGUCAACUACGGACCUGUAGUUUUUAGUUUAACGUGUUUUGUCUUUUUGGUUAUUUUUGUAAUCACGAAUUUAAUAUUUAGAUAAUAUUUUAGAUAUUAGUAUUUUAUUUUAAAAAGAACUCUAGAAGAGAAUUUAAGAGGGGAAUCUAUGGUCAAAGGAAAAAAAAGAAAGGAAACCCUAGAUCUAAAUUUUUCUCUUCUCUCUAUGAAGAACUAAACCUAUUAUUCUGGUUAAAGGUUAAUGGAGCUUUGAUUCAUCAUUACUGUGAGAUCUUUCUUAUGCUUUAAUUGUUUUAUUGAUUUUUGGGUAUUUGUUUAUUCUCUAAAUUAUUGUCAUGAUUAUGUUUGUUAAUUAGAUAAUUAGCCAUUAUUUAAUUAUCAACUUAAUCUAUUGUCAAUUAAAGGAUUCAUCGUAUGAAGAUUUUAAUGUUUGUGACAAAUAGCAUAGCAGUUCGUUAUGUUAUGAGAAUAAACAAUCUAAUUUAAAUGAACCAUCGUAUGCGUUUGUUGAUUAGGAUUUGGGUCUCUCUGGUUUUUCAGGUUGUCAAUUGAUUAAAUCCUAUGAUCGUAUCUAGGGUUGUCUAUUGAUUAGGGAAAUAACCAAUGGUCGUACCUUGGUUAUCGACUAGUUAAGGAGAGAUUGGCUAUUAGAGGGUCUCAGUAGCUAUAACCGGUCUAUUCAUAAGUAGUAAUGAUUUAUAUUUGAAUCAAUGAUCAAUAGUCGAAUCAAGCUGAGUUAAUUCCUUCAACCAGAGCUUUCCCCAAUUUUAAUUUGCAUUCUUGUUAUUUUAAUUUGAUUUUUAUUAUUGUCAACAAUUCCCCCAUUUUGCAUUUUGCAUUUUAAAAGGAUUUAAAUAAUUACUAAUCUCUGUGGACACAACCCUACUCAAUCACUAUACACAAUUUAUUUAGAGUAUGUAUUUAUUUUUGCUGGCUUCGACAACCAUCAAUAAGUUCUCGAUAAGUCCAAAUAAUAGAAUAAUUGUAAAAUGUUCAAAUUCAGUAAUUAAUUAUACAUAUUUAUUUAUUCAAAAUUAUUAUUAUUAUUAAUUAUUGUCAAUAAUAUAUUAAUAUACUAAUUAAUUGUAAACUUUUUUAUCAUUCAUAACAAUGAUGAUGAUGAUGAUGAUGAUGAUGAUGAUAAAAAAUUCAAAACAUAUUAAUUAAUUAUAAUAAUAUAUUAAAUAUUUAAUUAUUUAAUAAUAAUAAUAAUAAAUGCACAAUGUAUAAAUUGAUUAGAAUAAUUAUAUUAAUUAAUCAUAAUAAUUUUUUAAUUGAGGACAAAAUAGAUAUUUUAUAGUUUGUGAGAGGGGGCAAAAUGGUCAAUCUUGGGAAUGGGGGAUUGAUUCCCACCACCUUCCUUAGGAAUCAAUCUUCCAUUCCUCAUUCCUAAUUUGGGUGGUCCCCAUAGUUCUGAUUCGGAUCCCAGCCUCCAUUUUAUGAAGUAAACAUCAUUAAGAUUUCGAUUCCGGAUUCCGAUUCCCCAAUCCAAGAAGUACAGGCACCAUUAUUGUUGAUUGGUUCAAAUGCACAAAGAGAAUGUACCAUGUAGCUAGGCGUCAAGGUUGUGCUGCACAAGUAACCUUUUUCUUUUCUUUUCUUUUUAUUUUUCUUAUUUUCCUUAAUGUAUCGGAAGAAACUGGUGCCUUUGAGAUACUACCAUGUAAAUAAGUACUUAUGGUUCAUUGAAUCUGUAACACUCGGUACCCUACAAUUGCUUUUGAAAAAGGGCUUUACUCACUUAUCGCUAAUAUUCAAGUAAGUUUGUUUCAUUUCAGAAGGUGCAAAGUUUCAAACUUGUUGUAUUGAGAUGUAACAAACUUUGGCCUUAUAUGCUUGUUGUGACGUUUGACUGUUCAUUUUGACUGUUUCCUACCUUCCACUUACGCCUGUAGCACUGUAUUAUUCACCAUUUUAGUUGUUUAAAUGAAAUUUUAUUUUGUCAAAAAUGAAAUGACACCAUUAAAAUUUAAAAAAAUAGUCAUGGAGAUCCCAAAUUUUUACUAAAGAACACCAAUAUUCCCCUUGACUAUAAUACCCUUAGCAGGUGGUAAUAAAAAAUUGACUUAAAAUUUUUUGCGAAAUGUAAAUAUGAUUUAAAUAAUUUAAAUUUUCCAAUAGACUAAUAUAUAUAAUUUAAAUAAUUAAUUUCAAUAUUAAUUUUUUAAAUGUAAAUUAAUAUAUUUGUAUUUAUAAAAUAUUUGCAAUUAUUAUAAAAAUUUUAAAUAAAUCCUUAGGUUAAUAGAUUUUACAAUAAAUAUAAUAUUUCUCAUGUAUUAAUAAUAUUAAAAUUAUUUUAUAUGAUAUUGAAAAUAACUUAAUUUAUAUAUUUAUUUGAAUAUUAUGUCUCUAUUUAUUAUAAUUUGGUUUAAUAGAAUACGAGAUUGUAAAAUAUUAAAAUAUUUUAGAUAUUGAAAUUUUAAUAUGUAUAUAUUAUUAUAUUUAUUUUAAUAUAUUUAUAUUUAUUAUAAAUUAUUAGAGUCAAUUUUUAGUUAAUAAAUUUAAAAAUAUUAUAAUUAAAAAAAAGAAUUCUUAUUGUCUGUUAUUCACAAUAUGAGGUUCUACAAAAUUAUUUCUCCAGACGGGUGUCCUUUUCUUAUUUGUAAAAGGAAAAAUAAGUUCAGGGAUCUUAAAAAAUUCUAGUCCUAUCGACCACUAUGACUAAUGGGAAACGACAUUGCAAUUGACAUUACUUUUCGCAAUAUGACAAAUUUUUGGAGGGAUACGGGAGAAUCGUCAAACGUUCACACCACACGAGAGCUUUAGGUGGGAUCGGGGAGGAUUGUCAAGAGUUCACACCACGAGAAAUUAAUGAUAGGCCUAAUUUCGCUGUCAGUUCUUUAUUUAUUUAUUUUAUUUAUUUCAUACAUUAUUAUCUUGUUGGUAUUGUUUUGUAAAGGUAUAAAAGUAAAGUAAAAUACUAGGGGUACCAUUAAGUUACAGCUGAUGUAACUUACAGUGUUUUAAAAAAUAAUAUAAAAAAUUUAAUAGCUGGUGGGAUCCACAUAUUUUUGAAGAGACUUAAGUUACAACAGUUGUAACUUAACAAAAUCCAAAUAUUUGACAAUAAUGCAUAUAAUUUGGAUUUGAUUUUUAAAAGAUUAUUUGAGCACCACCUAUCCUUAUGAUAUUAAUGUGAAUAUAUCUUAAUAUUAAAUAAUCAAAAUUUGUUUAAUUAUUAUUUGUAUUUCAUACAUUACCUAUUAGAUUUGUUUGAAUUUUACGUUCUUGCUAAUAAAUAUUUAUGUUGUCAAAGUCAAAUUCUAAUGAUUAAAAGAGCAACUAUCCCUUAAAUUUUAAUGGUGAAUUGUAUAUAGUUUUUAAGAAAGUAAGGAUAAGUUGGAUAAUUGACUUAAAUUCUAAUGAUUAAAAGAGCAACUAUCCUUUAAAUUAAAAUGUCAAUUUCUUUAAUUAUAAUUUUUUUUUCAUGUGAUAUAACCACAAUUGCUAUAGUUUUUUUAAAUAAUAAUGGGAGUUAUAAAUUAUUUAUAUAAAAUUUGUGUAGAAUCUAAUGUAACCUAAAAGUAGUUGCUGAAUAAUAAUAUUUGAAACUCUAGGUAAUUUUCAUAUGAGCCCUUUUUAUAUUCAGCAUCUUGAAUCGGGGGAAAUCCGACUUGAAUUGGCGGCUGAUUUUGGUGAUGUAGCUUUCGGUUUAUGGUUGCCUUACAGUGGCGGACGACUGAUUUACGGUCGCCGACUGCUAGGGAUUAUGGUGGUGGUGUAAAUUGACGGAAAAAGUAGAAGGUUUGGUGGCGGCGCGUGUAGGAACCACUCGUGGGUUGUCGUUUCGUGUGGUGACUGCGGGUGGCGAUCAAGGGCUGACGUUGGUCGGUUUUUGGUCAACGGAGGGCGGCCAGUUUGUUGGUGGAGGUGGCUGGCGGUGAAAGUGGCUGAAUGGUGGUGGAUAUCUUGGUGGAGCUACGGGUUUGGGUUGGUGAUUUGCGGCUGUUCAGGCGGCGGUUGAGGCAGCGAUAGCUGCGGCUUGGUCGGCGGUGGCUAGCGAGGUUUGUUGUGGUGUUGGCUGGCUGAUCGGUGGUGGUGGGCGGCGGCGGUGGAGGUUGAUGCGGCGGGUAGGGUUUUCAAAUCGGUUUUUGAUAUUUUUUUUUUUUUUUAUGAAUUUGGUGUGGAUGGGUAUAGGGUAAGAAACACUAGAUAUCAUUCUAGUACUGGACCAAGCCAACGCAAUUAAUUUACCAUCUAGUCGAAGGGUGAUUAGAUAUCGUUCUAACCCAAACGAUAAAAUGAGAUUUUUAACAACGCGUAAUACAAGAUUAGAUGAUGCUCUAAUCCAAACGACUCUACAACGACUCUAUAAGAGAGAUUUUGAUAGAUAAAUCUAGGGAAAAUUAUAAAAGAUGGGUUUUAUUUAAUAAUUAAACCUAAAGUUUUGAAAACAAUGACAAGAUAUUUUUAUUUAUAAUACAGGAAAUCUGCUUCCCUAAGAUAACCUAAAAAAGAAAAGUAAAUCAUAAUUAUAAUAGAAAUGAAAGAUUAAGAUACACACCAUAAUUGACUCAAACUAAAAUAGAAAAUCUUAAAGUAAUAAAUAUUCUAAAAUUGUAAAUUAUCUAAAAUAACAAUAAUUAACUUCCUAAAUCAUUUCUUUGGUGUAAAUCAUUUUACAUCCAACCUCGCUUUAAAGGUUUGAACCAGCGUUACCAACAACAAUGUAUCAAGUUCCAAUCUAGCUUAAGAUCAUGCUGAUACAUCUACUGAUAUCUUUAUUUGAUUAGACAAUAAUGAGUCUAUCUCAUCACUUGUUACCUCUUUCUUGAAGGCUGCAUCUGUUGAGCGAUAACCUCGUUGAAAGUUUAAAGAUCUUCCUCCAUGUUAAAUUAAAUGGGCAUUUGAUUAAGAACUUUAUCUCUAUCUCCUUCUAUCAAAUAACAACCAUCCAAAGGGAAAAAAAAAUUAAAAAAAUCCAUGGGUCACAAUAAUUUCUGGUCAGCCCACAAACCCCCCAUUAUCUGCCACUAUCAAUCAUGAAAAUGAAAAUAAAUGGCAUAUUCCCAAAAUGACGAAAGAUUUUGGGGGAUAUGGGGGAAUUGUCAAAAGUUCACACAACGCGAAACAAGUGUUACAUCCAAUUUUAUUUCGUCAUAUAAUGAUAAUAUCAAAUAAUGACAACCAUCCAAAAGUAUGAUGGGUCUUCCAAAAUUUUAAAAAUGUCGUCAACAUUUAAUUUUCAAUGCUAAAGAAAAUGAAAUGCCCAAAAAUGACACGCAAGACCCACUCACAAACUAAAUGGCCCUUGACCAUAUGUAACAAACUUUGACCUUAUGUCCCUGCUAUGGCGUUAGACUGUUGGUCAUUUUGAUUGCUUUUUACCUUCCAUUUACACCCACUGAAGCAUUGUACGAUUAACCAUUUUAGCUGUUUAAAUGAAAUUUUUAUUUUUUUCAAAAGUAAAAUGACACGCUUAAAAUUUUAGAAAAUAGCCAUGUAGACCCUAAAAUUUUAAUAAAGAACACCAAUACCCUUUUUGACUAUAGUACUUUUAGUCGAUGGUAACAAAAAAAAAAAAUGACUUCAAAAUUUUUUACUAAAUGUAAAUAUGAUUUAAAUAGUUUAAAUUUUCUAGUAGACUAGUAGGUAUAAUUUAAAUAAUUAAUUUAAAUAUUAAUUUUUAAAAUGUAAUUUAAUAUAUUUAUUUUAAUAAUAUAUUUUUAUUUAUUAUAAAAUUUUAAAUAAAUCCUUAGGUUAAAUAGAUUAUAUAAUUAAUAUAAUAUUUCUCAUGUUUUAAUAAUAUUAAAAUUAUUUUACAUGCUAUUGAAAAUAAUUUAAAGUUUUAUAUAUUUAUUUGAAUAUUAUGUCUCUAUUUAUUAUAACUUGGUUUAAUAGAAUAUGAGAUUGUAAAAUAUUAAAAUAUUUUUAGGUACUGAAAUUAUUUUAAUAGGUAUAUAUUAUUAUAUUUACUUUAAUAUCCUACUUAUAUUUAUUAUAAAAUAUUAAAAUUAAUUUUUUUAGUUAAUGAAUUUAAAAAAUAAUAUAAUUAAAAAAAGAGUCUUAUUGUCCGUUAUUCACGAUAUGAGGUUUUACAAAAUUAUUUUCAAAAGGAAAAAUAAGUUCAGGGGUUUCAAAAAAUUCUAGUCCAAUCGACCACUAUGACUAAUGGGAAACGACAUUGCAAUUGACAUUGUUUUUCGCAAUAUGACAAAAUUUUGGAGGGAUAUGGGAGAAUCGUCAAAAGUUAACACCACACAAGAGUUUUAUUUAUUUAUUUAAUUUAUUUCACACAUAUAUUGUCUUGUUGGUAUUGUUUUGUAAAGAUAUAAAAGCACAAGUAAAAUAUUAGGGGAAGUAAAGUAAAAUAUUGGGGGUGCUGCUAAGUUACAACUGCUAUAACUUACAGUUCCUUCAAAAAUAAUGUAAAACAUUUAACACGUGGUGGGACCCACAUUAUGUUUGAAUAGUCCGUAAGUUAUAGCAGUUAUAAAUUAGUAAAAUCCAAAUAUUAGACAAUAAUACACAUUAACAAUGCAUAUAAUUUGGGUUUAAUUUUUUUUAAAUUAUUUGAGUAUUACCUAUCCUUAAGAUAUUAAUGAGAAUAUAUUUUAAUAUUGUGAAGCUUUCCUCAAUUAUUCUCAUGCACCCAGACCUUAUCUGGUCAAGUUUUCUGAUUCAAUACUGACGACAGCUUCUUUGUAAAGCUCUUCAACCACAAGCAUUUCUACAAGGCAAAGGACAAGGACGUGUUGGAAUGAAUAUCAACAUGGGAAUGUCUUAUGAAUUUAGUUUAUAUUCUAAUAUAAGACAAUCAAUAAAUAUUGGAUGCAAUCUAAGGGCUAACAUUUGAUUGAUUAAUAUAAGAAAAAAAAAGGGUACAAAAAUGCAAAACAGAGCUGAUUGAUGGCCUUUAACAGUCAGUUCUAUGACAAAGUAACCACCAUAACCAAUGGAAUUAUAAGACAUCAAGAAACUUGAACUUGGCAGGAGGUCUCAUUAGCAGUAUACCUCAGAAAUUAAGACAGAGACUUUAAAAUGCAAGCUUAUGGAGCAAUUUAAGCACUGAAACUAAUAACAGUGAUGCCAAAAAAGGUGCAGGAGUACGGUAUUAGCAAUUGACCUCUGCUUUUGCUUGGACAAAGGUUCUCAUCACAAGGGACUCAUUAGUUGCCCUUGCCUCACACGAUUGGAUGCUAAGGGGGAAAAGGAAGUUUGAAUUAGUCAAUCUCAUUUCUAAUGGCAUUCACAGAGAACCUAUAAAACAAAAAAGUAAAUAAAAAUUUUCAUCCAUGAAAAGCUUAGUAACGGAAAAACCGACUCUUUUAUCUGCCACUGACCUAAUCCGGACUCAUUUAAUUAAAAAAGAAUUCAAAGCAAAACUAAAAGACACAAAUUGCAUACAAGUCUAGGAGCCAUAUCAAAGGCGUUAUAUAACUUGUCCAAUUAAUAAAUUCUCUUAGGGACCAUGCCGUGCUCACUCAUUUCCAAAGCAAUUAAUGAUAAGAACUUUCAUCAUUAAUUGAUAUGGCCAGUGUAGAAAAAAAUGAAAAACCCCUCCAAGAUUAAAGCACAAGGAUAAGUUUAGAAUUACACUUCUUAAAUUUUGGUUAAUAAAUAAACGUCUAUAUGAAAAUAGAAAAUCUUUUUGGAAUAAAUAAACGUCAAAUUUUUGUUUCUAUCUUACUACCUUCUAAAUCCGCAAUCCCAAGUACUUAGAAGUAAAUGCUACAUAGUACAUGAGAUGUUUCCCGUUCAAAUAGCUCGUCCGAUACCAUUAACAUGUUCAUCUCUCUGUAAUUGGUGUAAUUACGAGAUUGGUGGUUGACAUGGCUUUCCUUGUACAGGUAUGUAUGAUUGUUUUUUUUUUUUUUGGCACUUCUAAAUGGAUACUGUUGAAAAGCUUAAAAUUGAACUGAUAAUUUUGUUUGGAAGCUCAGAAAAUUCAUGAGAAAGUGAAAUAGAAUAUGCUGGAUUUCUUUUCUUUCCAUAACAUACAAAUGACAAACGUAGCAGUAUUUAUACUCGUUGCUUACAUCAUAAAAACAGAAUUAAAGCAAGGUACACAACUAUAACAGCAUCAAAAGCGUGCUUAACUAAUUGGCUGAGCUGGCAUAUACUUCUUUAACUAACAAUGCUGCUGACUGGACUUUAGCUCACACAUGCUUAUCGUGCAGCUACUCUUAGUUCACACGUGCUCAGUGUGCUUCCUUAACAGACACAAGGGAAAAGACAUGAUUUUGAGAUAUAACGCUUGAAUGUUCUCGGAAUGGCAUAACGCUUCGUGUGUCUCGGAGCGGCUGAUUGGUGCUGUACGUGUUUCUCAUAUAGAACUCAAGUCUGCUGUUGUCCCAAAGUUGGAACCAGAGAUAUCAUGACUCUGGUUUCAUUUCACCUCAACUGUGUUUUUUUUUUUAAUUAAAAAAAUAAUUUUUUUAGGUAUACAUACAUGUAUUUUGAUCCCAUUUUCAUGGGAAUUUUGCAUUAAAAAAUGAAGAAUAGCUAAUAGGGAAUUUCCUGAUUCUUUAGUUACUAUUUUUGGAAUGAGGGUAAUUAGUAGUAAAGUUGGUUUCUACUCGCAAACAAGUGAGCUGCUCGAUUCCCAAGUGGUAUCAACCAGUUUUCAACUUUUUAAUAUACACAAAUUGUUAUUGUUUAAUAGCUACUACUAUUAAAACUCAACAUCUUACAAAAAUACUUAAAAAAAAUGAUUUUUUCUUAUGAUGCUGUAAAAAAAAUUACGGGUUUACUUAUUUCCACGAGAUCUUGUAUAGUGUUCUUGUAUAGUGGAAUUAAGAUUGUCUUCCCGAUGGUGCAAUUCACCCUCUUCCUUUACAGUCACUUGCACUUUGUGCAGCUUUGGUGUGGAUACGAUUCCCAGGGAAAAAGUCUUCAUGUUCGGACAAUGUGUCACAAAUACUCGUUCCAAUGAUGGGAAUUCAAGAGUGUAAUUCUCCAAACAAAAGCUGGUAAGCCUUGGUAAAUCAUCAAGUUCCAAAAGUUUUAAUUCACUGAAAGCAAUACGAUUCUCCUUCACUUCUUCUCCAGCAUGUCCUACGAUUUCUUCUAAUUUUUUGCAGUUCCAUACAUAAAGAUUCACCAGACUAGUAGGAAUUCCAACCUGAAAAUAAGCAGAGAGAGUGUGUGUGUAUAAAUAUUAAAAAAGUAAAAAUGUAAGAGUAUCAUUCAACUAGGCUCAAAGUAUGUUUGAUCAUACAAUUAUACGUUUUAUGAACAUAACAAACUGUGAAAUGUCUACUAGAUAUUUUUUGUUAAACAAAAAAGGUAACAAGAUAAAUAAAUAAAUAAAUAAAAGCCAGAUAAACAAAGAUGAUAAAAAUGUAUUUACACAAUUAGUAUUAGGGACGUAGAAAGAAUUUAAGGCAAUUUCUAAAUAUUUUAGACUUAUUUUGCAUCUUGAUAUAAGUUUUUAAGCAUAAAUUUGCACAUUUCAACUAUUCCUUUAAAAAAAAACUCAACUAAAAUGCCUCUUUUUCCCUUUUCCUUGGUCCCCUUUUUUUUAUGUAUAUAUAAAAAUGGAAAAAAAAAUUUGGAAAAGACUUCCUAGUACUGUCAACAAGGGAUUGCUGUAAAGUGGAUCUUUAUUAAGUACUUCCAGACUCGAGGAAAUUUCUUUACAAUCAAGGGUCAGUUGUAAACAAUCAUGAAUUUAUGGUUAAGUAAUGGCAUAAUCAAUUCUUAACUAAACUGGAGAUAUUAAUUAAAUUUGAAGACUUUUUUUUUUUCCCAAUCGAAAUGUGAAGAACUAAGGAAAAGAGAAAUAUAUAGAUGAAUUUGUGAACUUAUAAGAUGAGUGACUAUCCUUUAAUUUUUGAAAAUCGUACUUAUUAAGAUAUGAGCAAAAACAAUUAAAUUGAAUUAUAUUAUGCUGUUGAAUCUGUUUAAAAAAAUUAUAUUGUUGAUUCUAAUGCUGGUGAACCUAAAAACUAGACUUAAAACGUAGAUUUCAGAGUGGUGGUUUGAAGUACAAUAUUUGAAAUAAAUAAUUAGUGGCUGAAUAUCAUUUGUAAACACAGAAAUGAUUAAAAAAUUGUUGAAUGUUAUUUGAAAAAAAAAAUCGAAAUGAAUACAGAAACCUUACCAAUGGAGGAAAAAUAUUCAUUAGCUUAUCACACUCUUCUAUCUCCAAAUUCUUCAAUUUCCUGAAAGACUCCGAAGCAAGCUGGUGGUGCCAUAUUGUUCUUAGGUUAUCCAUCCACACAAUAUAUAAUACCUCCAACCUAGGAAGUCGUACCUGGCAAUUAAAGAUUAAAUAACUAAUUAAUCAAUUAAUGGCAUAAUCAAUUGAUAACUAAAUUAGAGGCGGAUAUUAACUAAAUUUGAAGACUCAAGGAAAAGACAAAUCAAGUAUUGUGACUAAAAUUAUUUUUUUAAUUAAAAAAAAAAAACUUUUCAUCAAAGAGAGGAGGAGGUUGCAUUUCAGAAUGAAUAGUGUCUUCUGGUGAGCUCGUAGAGAUGAAUCUUAACAUAUUACUGCAACAACCAAUCAUGAGGUUUAGCAAAGAAGGGAAUUCAACAACUAAAUCUGAAUGAAUAUGUCCCAUAUUGGCAAAACCUUUAAUUCAAUCAACUUUCCUUCAUCUCUUUCUGACCAUCCCGUGGUGUCGACUACCCCUUCCAUUGACUCACAAUAGCUUAUCUCAAGAUGUUGGAGUUGCAAAAGGCUAUUAACCAUAGAAUAUGAAAACAGAUACUUUAGACGAUAACACCUUUCCACAGUCACUUUUGUUAAAUUUUGACGAAAGUACAUUCCUUGAUUAUGAUCGGCCCAUAAUUUUUUCAUGUUUCUUAAGUCCCUGAGAUUCAAUUCCUCUAAGCUCGGAAGAAUAACCUGCAAAGAAAACCCGUACAUUUUUGUUCCUUCAAGUACAACCGUCUAGUAUAAUAUUCUUUUGAUGAUCAAAGAUUAAUUGUGAUAAUAAAUUAAUCAAUUAAUUAUUGAACAGAAAAUUAUCACCUUUGGAGCAGGAUCAUCAUCAGCAAUGAUUUCGUUGAAUCCCAAAGAAGUUGUUGGUUUGCUAAUUGUUGCACCAAAGAAGUAAGAUUUGAAACUUGUUUUUCUAGAGAAGUAGUACUUACCUCAUUGACUCGCUUAGGUGGCGGCAGUAGAUCGUUCCUAGUGUUGAACUGUUGGGAAUUAGCAGCCAUGUUAGCAAUGAGAUUUCGGGCUGCUUCUGGUGUCUUAUCCACGAGUGCUCCUCCACUAGCGGCAUCAAUCAUACUCCUAUCCAUAGGUAGUAGAACCUCAUAAAAGUAUUGAAUAAGAAGUUGAUCACUUAUCUGAUGGUGAGGGCAACUAGCACAUAGCUUUUUGAAUCGUUCCCAAUAGUCGUAGAGCGACUCUCCAUUAUACUGUCGGAUUCCACAAAUUUCUUUUCGAAUGCUGCCAGCUUUUGAUGCUGGGAAAUAUUUCUCCAAAAAUAGCUGACGCAUCUCAUUCCAUGUAGUGACAGUACCGGAGGGAAGAUAGUACAACCAUUCCUUGGCUGAAUCCGCCAAAGAGAAUGGGAAGGCCAUUAGCUUAACUUGCUCUUCAGAAACUCCGGCUGGUUUCAUUGUGGAGCAGACCACAUGGAACUCCUUCAAGUGGUUAUUUGGAUCCUCUCCUGCAAGACCAUGAAAAGUAGGAAGAAGAUGAAUCAUCCCAGAUUUGAGUUCAAAGUUUACUUGAGGGUUUGGAUUCUCAAUGCAUAAGGGUUGUUGGUCCAAGUUAGGAGCUGCCAACUCUUUAAGUGUUCGGUUGUUAUUCUGAGCCAUUGGUUGGGGUUCUGGGCUGCUUGGNNNNNNNNNNNNNNNNNNNNNNNNNNNNNNNNNNNNNNNNNNNNNNNNNNNNNNNNNNNNNNNNNNNNNNNNNNNNNNNNNNNNNNNNNNNNNNNNNNNNNNNNNNNNNNNNNNNNNNNNNNNNNNNNNNNNNNNNNNNNNNNNNNNNNNNNNNNNNNNNNNNNNNNNNNNNNNNNNNNNNNNNNNNNNNNNNNNNNNNNNNNNNNNNNNNNNNNNNNNNNNNNNNNNNNNNNNNNNNNNNNNNNNNNNNNNNNNNNNNNNNNNNNNNNNNNNNNNNNNNNNNNNNNNNNNNNNNNNNNNNNNNNNNNNNNNNNNNNNNNNNNNNNNNNNNNNNNNNNNNNNNNNNNNNNNNNNNNNNNNNNNNNNNNNNNNNNNNNNNNNNNNNNNNNNNNNNNNNNNNNNNNNNNNNNNNNNNNNNNNGCUAGUCCCCGGCAACGGCGCCAAAAAUUUGGUAGUGUCGUUAAGGUGCACCAAAUUUAAAACCUUACCACUAAUAUAAAUAAUUAGUACAGAGCGAGUAAGGAUCGAUCCCAUAGAGACUAUGCUAGUUAUAUUUAUUAUUAACUCCAAAGCAAGAUUUAAAAUAAAAUAAUAGUAAUAGUAAUAAUAAUAUAAAUUAAUCUAACUAAAGAAAAUGCCAAUUAAAAAUAAAAGGGGGGUUUAUGAAUUUUUAACUAAAUAGUAAGAAAUAAAGAAAUUAAAAUUACGAACAAGAAUUUAAUAAAAACUCUAAUUAAAGGAGAAAGAAAUAAUAAUGAUGAAAACUUUGGUUAAAGGAUCAUUCGCCACCACCAAACAUGCACAUAAUAAAUCAAUUCUAUUAUCAAUUUAUAUUGAAACUAUCAACCAUAGACAACAAUAAGCUCUGUUAGUCUCAAUCUUUCCUUAGUGUGUCGUUAGGUAAAAUAAGCUCUUCACCUAAUCUAUAACCAUUAAAUAAUUUAAAACAAGCUCUUUAAAUUUAAGAUAAUGGAAGCAUUAAACAAAGAAAGAAAUUAGGUUGAUCUAGGCAAUAAACACACAAGCUCAGAUUAUUUAACCUAGGUUAUGUUCUCCAAUUGAAAUCAUUAAUUCCAACCUGCUACUAAUGAUUAAAAUAUCAAGACAAUUACGGAUCAAGAAUUUUAAUCUAGCAAUAAAAUUUAUUCAAGUCCUAUCUAAUUGGCCACUCAAACAAAACAAGAAUAAACCAUGAACAUUAAUUAUAGAAGAACAUAAACAAUCUCAAUUAAAUAAAUUGAAUGAUAGAAUUUAAAUUUAAUUGCAUAGCAUGUUUAGGGUUUUGAAUUCACCCUCAACCAAAUAAAAAUCUAGCCUAACAUAAUUGAAUUGGGAAUAAGAGAAUUGACAAAACCAAUCAUAGAGAUUAAUUCAAGCGGCUGCCUUUUUCUUCAAUUGAAUUCCGGCUGCUGAUUUUUUCUUCUUCUUGCGGCUAUUGAUUUUCCUCUUGCUGCCGAAUUGGAUUUGCCCUCCCAAAGUCUCUUGCUGCCCGAAUUCUUUUCCCUCUAUUGCUUCCGCUUGAUCCUAUUUAUAAUGCUUCAAUUGUGGCUUUUUUUAAAUCCUUGCCUGGAAAGAAUUAAAUUCAAAGCUCAAAACCGCCACCUCAUGCUUCAAUUAAUAAGCCAAUAAUGAUUUCCUAAAGCCAAAAGGCUUUAUUCUCUUUCCUUUCACGUGGCAACUUUUGGUUUGCAUCUUUGUUUUCCAAUUUUGCUUUCAUGUGAUGGCUUGGCUUGUUAAUUGGCUUGGCUUCCUUUUUGACUUCCAUUUUCUAAUUUUAGCUCCAUGUGCAACAUUAAUUUUGCUCGGCCCAUACAAGCUUUAAUUAAAUUUAUUUUCUAAUUCCUUCCAAUUCUUGAUCUCUUGUGCACUUUUGUCUCUCAAUCUUCAAUCAAAUUUUUUUUCUUGAAUGCUCCGAUUUAAUUUCUCUUUAAUUCCAGAAUAUACCUAAAAUAACAAAAUAAAUAAAACUAAGAUAAAAAUUAACAAAAUAAAAUAUAAUUUACUAAAUUAAAAAUUAACUAAAAUAACUAGAAUAUUUAAGACCAAAACAAGAAAAAGAUAGAGAAAUUAAUAGCAAAAUAUAUGAAAAAUAUGCACUUAUCACAAGCCUCUCAUUUUUCAAAGCUUUUGCAAGGGUAAUAAGUGCAACAGGCAAUCCUCCGCAUUUUUCAACGAUCUCAUCUGCUAAAGGUUGAAAAGCAGAUGCUUUUGCAGAAUUACACACUAUCUUUCCAAACAAUUGCAAUGCUUCUUCCUUUGAUAAAACUUCAAUUGAGAAAUCCUUCUGAGAUUUCAUAUCAUUGCGCAAUAAAUCUCGACUUCUAGACGUCAAUAUUAUUGUGCGUCUUCUCCGAUCGUCCUCUCUAUCUUUCUCAUCAACAUCCCCAUAAGGAAUUCCAACUGUAUCGAACUCAAGUUUUGUCCAAAUAUUAUCCAGUAUAAUGAGGAGCCGCUUCUCUUGCUUCAACCUUUGACACAGUCGAGAAGCUCUUUGAAAUUCAUUCUCAUUCAAGUCAAAUUCCAUGCCUAAAUCAAAAGCAAGUUUGUCUUGAAUUUUAUGAUGAUCUGGGGUCUGUGUUAUCUCAGCCAUAACGAACUUAUCGAACAACUUAUCUUCCAUCACUUGGUUUGCAACUUGUUUGACCAGCGUGGUUUUGCCCACGCCGCCCAUCCCAUAGACCCCAAUUAUGUUGACCUUGUCAUCCUUCACCGCCUCCAUAACAUCUUGAAAUACUUUCAUUCUUGAAUCAAACGCCUCGAAAUCUUUCACUUGCAUAUGUUCUGCCCGCUUUGGAGCAGGACUGUAGGAAACAUUGGAGAAGUUGCCUUUUCCCACGAGACUAGCGGCAGCUUCUGCCGCCUUUGCUGCUUGUUUACUAAGCUUGUAACGAGAAAUCAAGUUUGGGCAUAAUCCUUUGAAGCAGGACUUCUUAGCUCUAUCUUCAUCAUCAAUGAUGGAUUUUGCAACCCCUUCACUGAUGAAUUCAUCAACGCUAUGUAGCCAGUCUGUGACACCCUCAUAAAGCUCAUCCCCUUGUAGCCUAGCAUGAUUAACUGGUUGCUGCACCAUUUCUCUCUUAUAUCCCAGCUGCUUCACUUGAUCUUUUAGCUCAUCUAUGUAGCUCUGGUACUUGAACACAUAAGAUAUCUGCCGUGUAAUCGGGUUGAACAGUGACUUUGCACCUUCUGAUACACAGUUGGUUAAAAAAGCCAGACACGCUUCUAUAGCCAUUGCCGGUUGCUUAACAAUAUAUAUCUAGUUUUUGGCUGUUGAAAAAAAAAAUGGAUUCAAAUAAAUUAAAUGAACUAGCGGGGAAGAAAAAGAAAGAAACGACAACAAACAACUUUUUAGAAAAAGGUUUCAGGGGCCUGAAUGGAAAACCAACAAUUUUUUGAAGAAAGAAAACUUUUUUGGAAGAUGGAUGCAAAUUAACCAUUAAUAAUACUGCAUAAGAACACAGAAGUUAACAAUAAACAGUAACUUAAAACUCAAGAAAAUUAAAUGACAAGAUUAAGACAAACAAGAGAUAGUUUUUGUUGGACAUUAAGAAACAUCUGCUAUCAAGAUCAAAGAUUAGAAAUUAUGCUAUUGAAAGAAAUUAUUAAAGUAUUUAGAACAAACGCACCUCUUCAAUUAUCGAGGAUCACAGAGUUUAUGAGCUUCACUCUUGGCCUUCGAUUUAUAAGAAAAAUUUUAAUGAGCAAAAGAUCACUGUUAACUGCAGAAGAAUGUGAGUAAAGAGUUUAUGGGAGUAAGCAAUACAAUUGAAUUGUAAAAGAACAAGACUUAAAGCGUGCACCCCGUGUUCAUAUAAACAGAACACAUGUUCAUUUUUAACAAAGUGAUCAAUAACUCUAUUCGUUAUUUAAUUGAUAUUGUAACCAAUUCUAAGAGAAUAUAAUAAUAAUCAUUCAAUCCAUAAAUUUAGAAUUAGAUUUUUUUAACUCUUUAUUUAAAUAUAAACCUUAAUGGAAAAUUAUAAAAGUUUAGAGAUAAAAUUUUUCAAUCACCAAACGAAAAAAACAGGGGAAUGAAAACAGAGGAAUCUUGUUUUAACUAUUUUUUUCCUCAACUCUCGUUCUUAUAUUAAUAAUCUUGUUUUGAUGAUAGUGCUCGUGACUGCGGGAAAAUUUCUACUGGAAACAACUCAAUUUCGGAAGAAAACUUAAUUUUGCAAGUGAUGAAUUUGAACUCGUUGGAUUGGUUGAUUUAUGAUUGACUGAAUUUCACUUUUGCCCAAAAGAUCUUUAACCAAAGUUUAAUAGCCAUCAUGUACUCCUUAAAAGCAAUUUUUUUUUUUAGAUUUGACUGAAUUUGAACUUGUUGGAUUGGUUGUUUUUAGAUUAUUAAUAUGAGAUAUUACAACGUAAAUAUUUUCAUGUGGUUGAGCCCUAUUCUAAAAUCUGUAUAGUUAGCUUUAGAAAAAGGGCUUUUCCUGCUGAUCUGUAAUCUUCAAAUAAACUUAGAUACAAAUAAUGAAAUAAAAGACAACAAACAAGCAAUACUGAUACAAAGCCAACAGAUCAGAGUUUUUUCUUGCCUUCUUUUGUUGAAGGAUUAGAGUUUUUGGUAUUAUCAGUAAAGGUUUCAAGGAGUAAAGCCUAUAAACUUUUUUUUUGGGGGGGGCGCCGCCGCGGGGAGGGGGGGGGGGGGGAGAGCAUGCAAAUUAACCAAAAGAAAUAAUAAGAGCACAGGCUUUAACAAUGAAUACUGACUUAAAACUCAUGCAAAAUAAGUUACAAUAUUAAAACAAACCAGAGAAAAUUUUUUCUUGGAAAGUAGAUGGAACUUAUGAAAGAGCAGAUGUCAAGGAUUUAGAAAACGCGCACCUCUUUAAUUAUCUGGGAUUAGAGAGUUGGUGAGCUUCUCUAUUUAAGAACAAGUUGAAAGAGGAAAAAGAUCACUGGUAACUGCUGAGGAAUGUGUGAGAAAAGAGUUGAUGAGAGCAAUAACAAAGACCUGCAAAAGAAAAAGAAUUAGUCAUGCACCGCUUUUCUAUAUCAUGUAUUUGGUUAUUGUUGCCCUGUUGACGCAUGUUGAAGAAGAAAGCACUAGUUCACAACUCUACGUUUUCAUAUAUUCUAAAGAAAUAAUUAAGUUUUCAUAGAAUGAUACCUGUUGUGUUUGAGUAAUUUUGGUAUAUACAUUGCUUGUGUACUGUGAAAUUGAAAUGAAUAUUGAUGGAAUGACUGAAUUUCACUUUUGCCCAAAAGAUCUUUAACCAAAGUUUAAUAGCUAUCAUGUACUCCUUAAAAGCAAUUUUUUUUUUUAGAUUUGACUGAAUUUGAACUUGUUGGAUUGGUUGUUUUUAGAUUAUUAAUAUGAGAUAUUACAACGUAAAUAUUUUCAUGUGGUUGAGCCCUAUUCUAAAAUCUGUAUAGUUAGCUUUAGAAAAAGGGCUUUUCCUGCUGAUCUGUAAUCUUCAAAUAAACUUAGAUACAAAUAAUGAAAUAAAAGACAACAAACAAGCAAUACUGAUGCAAAGCCAACAGAUCAGAGUUUUUGGUACAAAGCCAAUAAAAGACAAUAAACUUAGGACCUUUUUUUCUUGCUUUCUUUUGUUGCAGGAUUAGAGUUUUUGGUAUUAUCAGUAAAGGUUUCAAGGGUCUGAGUAAAAGCCUAUAAUCUUUUUAUAAACUUUUUUUUUUGGGGGGGGGGGGGGGGGGGGAGCAUGCAAAUUAACCAAAAGAAAUAAUAAGAGCACAGGCUUUAACAAUGAAUAGUAACUUAAAACUCAUGCAAAAUAAGUUACAAUAUUAAAACAAACCAGAGAAAAUUUUUUCUUGGAAAGUAGAUGGAACUUAAGAAAGAGCAGAUGUCAAGAUCAAGGAUCAGGGAUUCUACUAUCAAAAAAAAAAAAAUUAUUCAAGGAUUUAGAAAUCGUGCACCUCUUUAAUUAUCUGGGAUUAGAGAGUUGGUGAGCUUCUCUAUUUGGCCUUCAAUAUUUAAGAACAAGUUGAAAGAGGAAAAAGAUCACAGGUAACUGCUGAGGAAUGUGUGAGAAAAGAGUUGAUGAGAGCAAUAACAAAGACCUGCAAAAGAAAAAGAAUUAGUCAUGCACCGCUUUUCUAUAUCAUGUAUUUGGUUAUUGUUGCCCUGUUGACGCAUGUUGAAGAAGAAAGCACUAGUUCACAACUCUACGUUUUCAUAUAUUCUAAAGAAAUAAUUAAGUUUUCAUAGAAUAAUUUUGGUAUAUACAUUGCUUGUGUACUGUGAAAUUGAAAUGAAUAUUGAUGGACAGAGCAAUGCAUAUGCCUAAAAAAACAUAAAGCAAAUCCUUGAACGAAUGAUUCAGGACUAAAACUUUUAUAAAAGCAAAUACCGGAAACACACAAAAAGCAUUUAAGAGAGAAACUAAACCGCAAAUAAUCGAAGUAAGAUCAAUAAUAUAUGAUUUGAUUUAUGCAUAUUCAAAAACCAAAAUAUAAAAUAAAAUACAAAAUUAAAGUUUGGUUUAUUCUUUCCACAAAAAACAGGGGAAUGAAAACAGAGGCAACUUGUUUUACCAAUUUUUUCUUCUUAAUUUCCGGCAAAAAAAAUCAAUAAACAGGGGAAUGAAAACAAAGGAACGAAAACAGAGGAAACUUGCUUUUCAGGCUAUCUUGUGACAUGAUGAUAUUGCUCGUGAAUGCAUGAAAAUUUCUAAUGCAAACAGCUCAAUUUGGGAUGAUAAGCUUAAGUUUGCAAGUGAUGCAUGAUAAUCAGAUAUUUGUGGCUUUUAAAACUCAAGAAAACUCAAGAAAAUUAAAUGACAAGAUUAAGACAAACAAGAGAUAGUUUUUGUUGGACAUUAAGAAACAACUACUAUCAAGAUCAAAGAUUAGAAAUUAUGCUAUUGAAAGAAAUUAUUAAAGUAUUUAGAACAAACGCACCUCUUCAAUUAUCGAGGAUCACAGAGUUUAUGAGCUUCACUCUUGGCCUUCGAUUUAUAAGAAAAAUUUUAAUGAGCAAAAGAUCGCUGUUAACUGCAGAAGAAUGUGAGUAAAGAGUUUAUGGGAGUAAGCAAUACAAUUGAAUUGUAAAAGAACAAGACUUAAAGCGUGCACCCCGUGUUCAUAUAAACAGAACACAUGUUCAUUUUUAACAAAGUGAUCAAUAACUCUAUUCGUUAUUUAAUUGAUAUUGUAACCAAGAUCAAGGAUCAGGGAUUCUUAUGCCUACUGAUAUUUAAACAGAGAAUUCUUUCUUCUUUUUCUCUUCAUGGAUUAGAGUUUUUGCUAGUAACAGAAAGGUUUCAAGGGUCUGAAUAAAAUCCCAGAUUUUUUUUUAACUUUGUUUUUUGUGGGAAAAUGGAUUCAAAUUAACCAAAGCCAAUAAUAAGAUCACAGACUUUAACAAUGAACAAUAACUUAAGCAAAACCAAUGACAAGAUUAAAACAAACCACAGAAAUUUUUUCUCGGAAAGUAGAUGAAAAGCAAGUAAGAACUGCUAUUAAAGGAUAUUAUUAAAGGAUUUAGAACAUGUAUACCUCUUUAUUUAUAUGGGAUCAGAGAAUCGAUGACCUCCUCUAUUCGCUUCAGAUAUUAAGUAAGAACUGCUAUUAAAAGAAUGAAUUGAUGAGAGUAAUAACAAUGAUUGCAAAAUAGGAAGACUCAAUCAUGCACCCCUUUUAUACCUGAUCAUAUUAAGAAGUCGUUAAAGAAUAACGACUAAAUUAGGAAUUAAUUCUGAAGUUCAGAAUCAAGAACAAAGACGAAGCUUUAAUAACGCAUGCAGUGAGAUACAAGAAAUGGAUCUGGUAAAAUACAUUAAAAAAAUUUGUUCAACUUCAACCUAGUUAAGCUGAUGAAAGCACUAGUUGUUGGCUCUACGUUUCAUAUGUUCUAAUGAAAUAAUUAAGUUGAAGUUUUCAACGAAUAAAUACCUGUUUCGCUUGAAUAGCUUUGGCAUAUACAUUACUUGUGUCCUGUGAAAUUGAAAAGGUUAUUGAUUUACAAAGCUUAUUAGUAGAGAAAAGCUACGUAAGAUGCCUGAUAAAAGAUAAAGCAAGAGCUUGAAUGAAGAAUGACAUUUUAGAAAGAAACUAAAGUGUAAUCAUCAAAGUAGGAUCAAUAAUGUACCACUUUCCUUGCAAAUCUGGUGGGUUUUCUGAAUAGAUUUUUACAUUAUUCUAUUUAACCAUUUUGGGUUUACCCUAAGCAUUCUUGGUUGGCAUUGUCCUGUAAUCUGCGUGCCCUGGAUACGUGUGAGGGAAAGAUGAGGGUAGAUAUGCAAUUUCAAGAAGCGAUUUGCUUGCAUAAUUCAAUGCAUGGAAAGAGAUGUACCUGACCAGAAAAAAAAGGGCACCAUCCAUAUCUGAGCUUGACUUUUUAGAUGGAUAAAUAUUCUUAUUACUGUUGAUAAUGGAGAAGGGUUCUACUUUUACUUUGCCAUCUUUGAUAUAAAACAGCAUGAUUCCUUUUUAUCAAACACUUGCCUAAGUCUAUUUUUUAUUUUUCUUAUUUUCAGAAAGAGAUUAGCUUAAUUUAAAUUAUAUUCAAGUACAAAGUGUUAUACACUCAUAAAACGAGAAAUAGGCAUGUAUUGAUCACGCGCAAUCUAGUUUUUUUUUUUUUUCUUUUUUUUUAAUCCAGUCUUCUUAUUAAAAAAAAAAGAAUUUAUUUGCUUUAUUUUAAAUUAUUUUUUCAUGCGGUAAAUGCAAUACUGAGUAAUGGGUGAGCAAAAUAUUUACAGGCACACCCCCUUUUAAUGAUUUCGUACUAAAAUUAAAAAUUGACGAUUCCAUGAUAAAGUUCAAAGAGUAAAUGAAGACCCAUAAAUGUUUUUUGGUCAUGAGCAAUUUUUGAGUUGGGACAGCACUCGUAUGAAAAAAAAUAGUUUUUUUUUUUCUUUAAGCAUGAGGAUAUUAAUUCUUUUUUUAUAAAUCAGCGUGAAUAUAAAAUUAAAAAAAUAGUUUUGAAUAACUUCUUUUCUUUUUUCAUAAAUAUAGAUAAAAAAUUUUAAAGUCACCAAACACAAAACCAGGAAAAUGGAAAGGAAGCCCCUGUUUCUCCGCUGCUGCAAGCACAAAUUCGGUUUCUACAGGAGUACCUUCUAAAUGCACCAUUUGUAUUGCUUUGUUUCCACGUAAGCUAACGGAAUUUGAUGAAGACAAAAUAGAUAUGAGUCGUGCUAUUCACACCCCUCGAUAAUUCUCUCAAAAUCCCCUUUCUAAUUAUACCGCCUUGAAUAAUUUCAAAACUGACUUUUCCUCUUAUAAUACCACCUUCAAUUCCCUUAAUACCCUUGUUCGCUAUGAAAAUAAGGAAAAUGCCUACAUAAAAAGCUGGCUCUGAUAAUCUACCUGAAUUUACAUUAGAAAAGAGUGGACUUUGAGAAAUAAGAAGACAAUAUAGGGAAUUUUACCAAAAUAAUCCAUUUUUAUAUACAGGGAAUGGUAUUUUCUAAUAUAAGGAGGAGUGGAGAAAUUAAAUUUAGCAAAAUAAAGAACCUCCAUCGAGAAGCAAAAAUGAUGAUAUCUUUGUCGUGAAGAGAUUUCAAUUCAAUUGCAUACAUUGACGAAACAUUAAAUACGGAAAAAACAAAAAAGAAAUAAUAGAACAUGGGGAUUUCGAGAACUUCUAAAGAGAGAAAUGUAUUUAUAAGCAUUGAAAAUUAGCUCAUUAAAUUUGACAGAAUAAUAUACAAUCUCACUGUUGGCCAGAAAAUAAUAGUAAGAACUUGUGAACAUAUAUAAUCAAUUGCUUAUUACUUAAGCUUUUUCUCCGUUAUUUUGAAUGGGUGCAAAGAGGAGAAGUUUUGUACCCAAAUUCCAACUCGAAUUGUGUAGGCUGCUUGCAAGAGCUUCAUUAGAUUUUUAUUUGUCUUUUAAUAGUGCUACUCGAUAAAUACAGCUAGCUAUCUGUCCUUUUUGUUACUGGACUAUAGAUCAAUUGACAGUUGAAGUUAUAUUAAUUUGUUGUACUGGAAUUGAAGCUUGUAUCUUAGCCAUUUCGUGAAGUGUCAAAUAUAUUUUUAAUUUCCUUAAAAUUGUUCAAAAUAUGUUUACACUUUUAAAGUCACUAUUAUACAUGAGUGCCCUAAAAUCAUUUCCUUAAAAUUGUUCAAGUGGGAUCCUAGUUCUCUAUGGCAGUUGAAGAGGUAAAUGCGCAUAGAGCUAUGCUCUAUCAUAGGCCUCGGCCACUAUAAGAAAUUUGAUUUUUUAAGACGAUAUUUUUUACAACAACUUUAAAUUUGGUCACAAAAUGGUAUUUAUUGUGACAAAUUUUUUAAAUCGUAGCUAAUAAUCUUGUCCUAACUUAUAUUUUUUUUUGUAACCAAUUAUUUUUAUUUUGAGACUUGUUCAUUGGUCAUUAAUUAAAUUUUUUUAUACCAAAAAUUAUUUUAGUCACCAAAAGAUAUAUUUUUUUGGCGCAAAAUCUUCCCUCCAAAAGUGAUUAUUUUGAGACAAUAUUUCACUAUUUAUGACAAAAUAAAUAGUCAUGAAAUAUAAUUAUAGGCGACCAAAUUAUUUGGUAACUAAAAGAGGGGUGUAAAAUUAACUAAACAAUCUAUGACACAAAAUAUUAGUAGCCAAAAUUAUUGUUCUUUUGGCAUAUUUUAAGACCAUUUUUUUGGUCAUAUAUAAUUACCUACAGUGACAAAAUUAAAAAAUAGUCGUUGAAUGUUUUAUCUUGAAUAAUUUUAUAUUUGAUAACCAAUUUUUUUUUCUUUUUGAGACAUAUUACUUGGUCCCUAUUUCAACUUCUUUUUGACUAACUUUAUAAUAGUCACAAAAGACAUUUUUUUUUUUUUUGGCAUAAAAAGUCUGUCCAAAGUUAGCUCUUUUGGGACAAUAUAUAAUCUUUUAUGACAAAAUAUAUAGUGGCGAAAUAUAAUUAUUUUUUACAAAGUUAUUUCGUAGCUGAAAAAGAGGUGUAAAUUUAGUUAACCUAUUUGUGACAUAAAAUAUUAGUCUCCAAAACUAUUAUGCUUUUAGCCAAUUUUAAGACCCGAUUUUGUUGUCAUGGAUAAUUACCUAUUUUCAAAAAACUAAGAGAUAGUAAUCAAAAGUUUGUCUUGAUUGACAUUGUAUUUUAUGAGCAAAAUAUUUUGUUUCAGUGACACUUUACUUGGUCUCUGAUUAGACUUGUUUGUGAUGAUCAAUAGAAAUAUAUAAUAACCACUAAAUUUUUUUGGAUUAAAUUUUAUAGAUACUAUUAAUUAAGUUGUUGACGAAAAUGAUCGAACCAAUACUAAUAUGGGAUACCAUCAACAGCCGUAAUACUUAUGAACCGAGAAAUUAUAAUAUGUAGUGAAAAAGUUUUAACAGUAGUCCCUAGUAUUUAGAAUUAUUUUGACUACUUUAUUUAUUUCCAAAACAUAAAAUUCUCAACCCAAAAUUCCCCGCAUUGUGUUUUAUUUUGUCUCCUCACUCAGUUACUCUUAUUAACUCACGGCUUGACAAAAAAAAGAAAAAAAUUCUCACAGCUUGAUGUUCUCCUCUCUUUAAAAAUAAAAAUCCCCAGUUACUCUGCUCAAACUCGUUAAUAUUUGUUUCCACCACCAAAGCAGCCACUCGUAUCUUUUAUUAAGCAUAACGUUUUUCUUAAAACCUAAUUGAUCAUUCUUUAACGUCUCCAGGAUUAUAUUUGGCACGCUAUUUUUCUCCUUCAAUUGAAUAGAAGUCUAGAACCUUUUUUUUUUCGCAAUUCACUUUUGCUGUGUUUCGUGGUUUGGACUAAGAUCAUGACAAUUAUUGAACGAUGGGGAUAAAUAUCAAAGAAGGAGCUUACAUGCCCUAUAUAUCUCUCUUUGGAUGAAUAACGAAUGUGAGCUUUCAAAGUACAGAGAUUUACAUGUUUUAAUUGUCAUUUACAUUGCUGCAUGCCAAUUGCUUGAUAAAAUACUGCAACAAAUACGCAUUCUCGAUUUUCUUAUAAAUUUAUUUUCUUAAUCUGAAAAAAAUUGAAUGUUCAGAGAAUUUUGAAGGUUUUGGUGUAUGCAUUAAUAUUUCGAUUCUAUUUAUGUUGUUUAACUAAUGAAGAUGAUACAUCUAGCCUCUUUUUGCCCCUUGUUGUUUUUAUUCUUGUGCUUUAUAUACGGUUCAAGUGUGAUACACUUUAGUUUUUCUCAAGUGUUUGUUAGUAUUUCCCGAAGCAAAAUUUGUCACAGACUUUGAGUUCAAAAGUUGAAAUCAUAACUAACAUACUUCGAUUUUUUAUUUUCCUUUUUUCUUCGGUAUCCUUCUAUAUGGCAUUGGUUGAGAAAUUGGUGUACUUAGAUCGUAAUAUUCUGUAGAAAUAAGCCAAUAUUUCAUUACGUACAUUGUUUAAUAUGAUGAGUAUUGUAUAGAAGUUUUACAUAUAAGCUCCUUAUAUAUUAUGCAUUAUGUUUUUAUCAUAUUGUUGCUUGGAACUUUGAAGGAUUGGCCACAGGGCUUUAGUCCUACAUGGACAUUUUAUAUUUAAUAGCUGGUUAGGCAUUUUAUUUGAUGUUAUUUGGACUUGUAGGUGUUAAAAGUUUUGUUCAGUAAUUUUAUAAUUCAGAUUCCCAUUGUGAUAAGAUAGCAAUUUUUUGUGUGUCAGAUUCUGUCAACUGAUAUUUAGCUAAAAUAUCUCACUAACCCCUAUUGGUUAGGUAUUAUUUUAAAUCACAUACUUGAUUUUUAUUUUCUUUUUAUCUGUGGAAUCCCAUGUAUCAUUCAUAAGAAACAAGCUAUUAUAUAAUCUAUUCUUUAGAUCCAUUUAUAUGUAGUGAGCACUCUGAUUUCUAUUAUUUGAAUUUUUUGCUACUGUUACUACUCUUUCGGCCCUUCAAAUAGGGGUUAACAGAAAUGGUGAGUAUAUUAAUACAAAUUCAAACUUUCUUUUUCUAAUUUUAUCCAAAAUAACCUACUAUUUUAUUUUAAUUUCAAACUUUUGUCAUAGUCUAAUGGGCAGUUGUCUUGUCAUUAUUUGGUUUCAAGUAAGAAGAGAGAAAGUUAGUGAGAGGAUGAAAAUUUUGCAAAAACUUGUUCAUAGCUAUGGUAAUUAAGUAGUUUGAGUUCUUUUUUUUGUUGUUUUCUAUGUUGGUUUUGGAUCAUUGUAGUUGCUGAUUGUGAUUUAUUGUCGCCUAUGGUUGCUGACUUUUGUUUACUGUGGCUACUUUAUUAAAGCAAUUUUGGAUAUUGAAGUUUAUGGCCAACUUUUAUUAGACACUUCUGACCUUUAUCGAUAUAUUUUCUGAACCUUUACACUUAAGAUGUGUGUGUGUGUUUUUAAAAAAUACAUGUGAAUGAAAUAGUACUUGAAAUAAUAUAUUUUCUCAACUUUUAUUAGAUAUAGUGAAAUAGUACUUGAAAUAAUAUAUUUUCUCAACUUUUAUUAGAUAAUUCAAAGUAUAUCCCACUUAUUAUCGAUAUAUUUGCUCAAGUCUCAUGUGCAACAUGUGAAUGAAAUAGUACUUGAAAUAAUAGAGACUUUGUUUUAUGACUCAUAUUUUUACAUUUCUUUGCAAGGAACCAUACUUAAUUGUACCUAAUAGAAGAGAUAUCUUUUCACUAUAUAGUCUUAGUAUAAAAAGAUACAUCUUCUAUAUAAGGCACAAUUGAUGGGACAUAUCUUUAUACUAAGACAUCAUUCAUAUUUAUCACACAAUAAUAGAAACUGCAAUGGUAGGUGGAAUAUUAUGAAGUCAAAAUUGAGAACGACAUUAAAUCAUGAAUUCUUUAUGUGUUUACUCGAAUGCCUGACAGUAUUUAGUUCAAUUAACACAGAUUGGAAAUCCAAAUGAUUGAAGAGUUGUAUGAGUUCAAGUUCAGUAUUUAAUUACUAUAUAAUUAUACAUAAAUGUGGAUUUUGCAAGCUUGAACCCAUGUGUGUUAGCCCAUUUCGGCCCAAUAAACAUAUUGUUCUGGAUAAAAAAUAUCAGGGGAUCUCUGAUGUUUCUUUGGUUUAACAUAAAUUUAUUCCUAACUCUAUAACCAUGCAUUAUUUAGACAAAAAUUUUUGCAAUCACCAAACAGUAAAACAGAGAAAUAAAAACGGAGGAGCUCUUUUCUAAAACAGAAGUAGGUGUUUUGUCUGAACGUACCACUUUCUGUUUAAUUAUUAUGUUUACGGAAUAGAUUUUUUUUUAUUAUUCUGUUUUAUGUUUCCGUCUUUACCCUAAGCAUUCUUGGUUGGCAUCGCUGCAUUGUCCUGUAAUCUGUGUGCCUUGGUGAGGAGGGGAAUGGAUAACUGUGGUGCUGGAUACGUGAGAGACAAUGAUGAGGGUAGAUUUGUAAUUGCCAGAAGCGAUUUGCUUGCAAUAAUUCAAUGCAUGGAAAGAGAUGCCUCUAACAAAAAAUGGGACUAUCCAUAUCUGAGCAUUAGAGCUCUACGUCUUAGAUAAAUAAAUAUACUUAUUAGUAUUGUUUUUGCAUAUAUCUUUCACAAAAUUAUUGUAUUCGCUUAUAUAGAGAGGACGAUUUAGAUAAGUUUCAACUAAAAAUUGACAAUUCCAUGAUAAAGUUAAAAAUCACCGAAUAAAAAACUGGAAAAUCCCCUGUUUCUCCUCUGCUUUCUUUUGAUUAUUAUUAAAAAGGGGAAUUAAAAAAUGAGUUGCAAGCACAAAUUUUAUUUCUACAGUAGUACCUUCUAAAUGCACCAUUGUUUGAUACAUUAAAAUUAAACAUUACUUAUGCUAGUAUAUCGGUACUUCACAUGUCCGUUCUUCAUUAAUGUAUAUUCAUUUACACCCAAGCUACCUGUCAGUUUUGCGAAAACUGAAUUUAAAGGUGUGGCUUAAAUUAAAAUAAUAAUCAGCCUCAUAGAAUACAGAGAAAAAAGAUAAUUUAUCACAAUCAUAUCCUAAUGCAUCAUAAAUUUAGAUUAUUUAAUUACUGUUAGGAAAUCUGCUUAGAUAAGGCGCACACUACAAAUUCUAAAUUAAAUUCCUAAUUAACAAUAAAAGAUAGACCCUAUUAAUCGUCCACCAGGUACCUUGUAGCCUGCAUCAUAAGUUUAGAUUUAAAUUUUUGCAAUUACCAAACGGAGAAACAGGGGAAUGAAAACAAAGGAGCCCUAUUUUUUCCAUUUUUGUCCCCCUUAACUCUUGUCCUUAUACAAAUAUUUUUCCUUGGAAUUUCAGGCAUACGAAAAAAUAUUGAAAAUUAUUUAAAGCAAACAGGUGGAUGAUAACAAAAAUAUAUUUAAUUAACCAAAUCAAGACACUAUAUUGGUCGUCAAUGUUUCGGCAUCACUGUCUUCUUCAGAUGUUACUUGUUUUUCACAUUUAUUUUGCGCUGUUGUGGAUUAAUAUGGUUCUGCUGGGUGCACAUUUUUACGUGCUACUGUAUUUUCUCUCAGUCCUUUUUAAAAGAACAUACACCCACAUACUAUGUAGAGUGACCUUUUUUAAUGAGGAAUCUGUCAUUUUAAUAAAAUGAAGAAUAAACUAAAAGGUAGAAGUACACGAACUCUAAUGCAAUAUACCUUUUCUUUUCUUUUACCUUUACUAUAAGAUAGGGAAUGAUAUAAUUGAUAAUGGAACUUGGGGUCAGAGCAGCGGUGUAAUUUUGAGAGGAUUUACAAGAUGGUAAGUGCAAUAAUUAACAGGCUCAUUUAAUAUAUCAAACUGCUAGAUAAUUGUACUAGUUAAACAUAAUUUUCAGAGAAUCUUUUUAAGGGUUUAUUUAUUAAUAUUUUGUUUCUUUCCAGCAUGAACACUUUGUUUUGACACGUGCUUAACAACCUUCAACGAACUGGAACAACCUUCAUCACAUGCUUCCUCACGUGAUUACUUAAAUUGAUAUGUAAAACGUGCUCCAUCCAUGUCGUUUCCACUAAAUCGUUUUUUGUUAAGAAUCAGCUGAGCAGCACGUGAGCUAAUGAAGCUUUUACGGCUUCAAAACGCAGCCGUUUCUGGGAACCAAACUUGAUUCAUCAUCUCACAACUACAGAUGAAUUAUCGAAGUGGCUGAUUGGUGCUGUACGUGUUUUUCGUAUUGAACUCAACUCUGCUAUAAUACAUGCGUGCAUCUGAUACAUGCACAAAAACCACCACUCCCACUCCCACUCCCACUCCCACGCCCUCGCGUCACGCGCCUUACCACUCCCUCGCCUCACCUCACCUCUCUUCUUGUUCCACGGCCAUCAACGGCGGCACGAGUCGGCAACGAUCAACUGCGGCUGUAAAUUGACCACAAUCAUCUCUCUCUCUCGGCUUUGCUCAAAUUUGGCCGAUCUAUGCGCUUGCUUAAGCUUGGCCGAUCUAUGCUUGCUCAAUUACUCUUCCUAUAUUCAGUCGGAGUCAACUGUUUGACAAGAGUCGAAGUCCAAGGUUCUUUUUUACAGGAUUUGAGCUACUUCUUUUAUUCUUCUUCCAUGUUCACUGAUACGAAGCUUUGAUGUGGUGUUCUGAGAGCGGGUGGAAUUUGAGAUUCUCCUUUCUUCUCUAUAUGAAGGUGCUUGUCAUGUGUCAAGAAAAAUAAAAUUAUUUACAAAAGAUUAUUUUAAGGAGAUUUAUUAUUAUUCGUGGAUCGGGAAGCUCAAAAAAUUUUCUUAUGUAGACUCAAAUCAUUUCUAUAGGGCGAAGCAUAUGAAUGAUACAUAUUAUCUUUUUUUGGCCUUAUGUAUUGUUAUUUGCAGUGUGAUUUGGUCUAGCUUAAGAGCUUAAGCUUGCAGGCUGGAUUUGUCUGACAUGGAACAAUUUAAUUUGUUCAUCGUGAUGUUUAUAUCCAUUUUGUACUACUAUCAAUUUCAAUCAUGGCUAAUUUUUAUAUGUAUUUCUCGUGGACUCUCAGGUUCAGUGCACAAGAGGAUGAAGACGAUGGACACCCAAAUUUGAUGUGGAGAACAACUAUUGCAAAUGGUCCUUGAUUUACUUCUCCAAUUGACUUGAAUUGGUUUGACGCAAUUUAUAGUGUAUUUUUGUCAUCUUUGUAUGACUGGCAGGUCGUCCUGAUUUGGUACAUGACUGGACACAGGAAUUGGACUCAUAUUUUUCAAACCAGAAUGCCAACAAUCAAGCAUUUUCUUUUGAAAGCACUGGCGUCUUCUUCAGUGCCAAAAAGGUUAGAGAUUUUCUGUAUCCUGUUUUGUAUUUGAUCAGUUUAGCAUGUGGGUGGCAAUCAAGAAAAGUUAUUAUAACAUUUUUGUGUUCCCGAAAAACUGCUGCUGAUGUGUAGUGCAGGAAAUGAAUUGUUUGUGACUUCUUUUUAUUUGUAUUCUUUCUUUUUUCUUUUCUCCCCAACAGAAUUACGUAUUUCUGAAGAGCUUCUUGAAGUUGAUUACCAUGUAUGCCACUUUCUUUACUCUAUGCUCAGGAUGUGAUUUUGUUUAGGUCAGAACCAUCAUCUAAAGUUUACUUAAUGCUGCCGAGAAGCUGUAGUAGAGCAAUGAAGGCUGUUGGUGUUAUGAAGGCCAGCUGUGAAGAAAUAUUUGAACUUGUAAUGAGCAUGGAUGGGACACGAUACGAGUAUGCUUCUUUUCUAUUUUUUAUUUUUAGUUACUUUAACAUAAUCAAGACUAUAUUGGCUGUCUGUGUAAGCUGAGUAUUAUAUUUCCUCUUGUAUGCUGUGAAAUUCACAUUGUCUCCAGUCCCGAUUCUGUAUGUGCCUUUUUGAAUAUAUUUAAUUAAUCUGCAUGGUGCUUUCUAAAGAUUAUUACAAACUUUUGUUGCUUAAGUAUAUGAAGAAUGUGGAAAUGAAAAUAGCUUUUGAAGUUUGAUGGAUUGCUUCAUUAAUAAAGAAAGACUAGGACUCAUUUUUAUAACUUUUCUCCACUUAGCUAAUGGUAUUUGAUGAAGACAAAAUAGAUGUAGCUAUCUAUAUUUUUUGUUGCUGAACUAUAGAUCAAUUGAUGGUUGAAGUUAGUUAUAUUAAUUUGUUGUACUAGAUUAAAGCUUGUAUCUUAGCCAUUUCAUGAAGUGUCAAAUACGUUCUUUCCUCUUUUUUUUUUUUUUCGAAACAUGUUACACUUUUGAAGUCACUAUUACAUAAAAGAGUGUUCUAAAACAGGAGAAGGCGUGCUGCCUGAAAUUACCUGUUUCCUAGCAAAUCUAGCUGGUUUGCGAAUUAGAUUUUAACAAGUCUCUUGGCAAGGUUUGCUAGUAAUGUGUUCAAAUUAUUCUAUUUAAUUUUACUGUCUGUACCCUAAUAAUUCUUGGUUUGCACCAUUGCAUUGUUCCAUAAUCUCUGUGCGUUGGCUUAUAAAGGCCAGCAAGGCUGAUCAUUUGUCGAAUAGUUAUUUCCAUGAAAUUCCUAUCAAUUUGACUCAGUAUUUAGAGGUCUUGAAGAGGGCAGUGUACUAGACAUGGAUUUCUACCUCUUUUGGUUGUACAAUUGUUGUAUUUCUUGGCCAUCAGAUCUUUUUUAUGUACCUUUCUCAAAGUUCUUGCCGCACGUACACCGUUUUUCAUGUUUUGUGCAGGUGGGAUUGUAGUCUUCUGUAUCGCAGCUUAGUUGAAGAGGUAGAUGGUCAUACGGCUAUUCUCUAUCAUAGGCUUCAGCUGGACUGGCUUCCAAUGUAAUAGUCUCUUGAUUCAAUCAUCUCAUUUAUGCUUUGGUCAGAAUAGAACAUUUAUUGUUCUUCUUUCCCCUUUCCUCUCUUCUGAUGUAAUAUGUGAGGAAAUUACCUAAAAUUUCUGUAUCCCAAUGUAAUUGUUGGCAUUCAGAAAUAAAAUAAAUACACCGUCUUGUUUUUCCCUCGGUUCAGUCCUAAGUUCUCUUUGGGCCUUCUGCAAGUUUUUAAACAUACUGUGACAGUAAAAAAUCUAGUGAUUGAGAUCAUUUUGAUGAAUUUAAUUUUAAUUCUUAGCUGAUACUUUUUCUGGAAUUUUUUUCUUAUGUUUCCUCAAUAUGACUUAAAUAUAGGGCUUAGUCAUGGAUCAUGCACCAGAGUGAUGGAAGCACCCCUUGUUUAUUAGGAAAAGCAGUUGAUUGUAACUAUAUCCGCGGUCCUAAGUAGUUAGAAGUAAAUGCUCUUCGAAUUCCUAUAGUACAUGGGAUGUGUUCCCUUUCAAAUAGCUUGUUCAAUACCAUUAACAUGGUUUAACAUUGUUCAUCUUUCUGUAGAUUGAUGUUGACGUGUUCUUCUAGAGUUGCUAAUGGAGUUUUGGGCCUUGUAAUUGGUGUAAUUACGGCAUUGGUGGUUGACAUGGCUUUCCUUGUGCAGGUAUGUAUGAUUGUUUUUUUCCCCCACUUCUAAAUGACACGAGGGAAGAGACAUGAUUUUGAGAUAUUGUACUGCAAUUUGCAUAUUUGCAUACUUGAAUAGUAACUCAAGAAUCAUUUUCAGAAUGGUAUAAUGCUUCGUGUAUGCAGGCAAAUACUACAGAUGAAUUACCGGAGCGGCUGAUUGGAGCUGUACGUGUUUCUUAUAUAGAACUCAAGUCUGCUAUUGUCCCAAAGUUGGAACCAGAGACAUCAUGACUCUGGUUUCAUUUCACCUCAACUGUUUUUUUUUUAAUUGAAAAAAAAAAUCAUUUGUUUUAGGUAUGCAUACAUGUAUUUUGAUCCCGUUUUCAUUGUAAUUUCUCAUUUACUUUGAAAGAAAGUCACUGGUGUUUUCGAAUAGGAAUUUUGCAUUAAAAAAUAAAGAAUACUUAAUAGGAAACUUAAUAAUUCUUUAGUUACUAUUUUUGGAAUGAGUGUAAUAGUAUUGAAGUUGGUUUCUACUCGCAAUCAAGUGAACUACUCGAUCCCCAACUGCGACCGCACUAAUUGUCAUUGUUUAAUAGCCUACUACUUUUAAAACUCAACAACUAAAAAAAUGAUUUUCUUAUGAUGCUGUGAAAACAUUUAUGGGUUCACUUAUUUCCACAAGAUCUAUAACAUGGUCUUGACUUCACGAAAUUCUUUUAACUUAAAGGGUUCUGGUCUGAGAAAGUUAAUUUGACGGAUUAAUUCCUUUUAAUAAUGGUCGAGUUAAUUUUACUAUACUCGUAAAACUAUUAUUAUUCUGAUAAUGCCACAAAUGUUAUGAUGUUUUCUUCAGCCAAUAAUCUUCUAUUAGGACUAGUUAGAAAUCAAAUGCUUAAAACACCAAUUGAAUGAAUAAUGCAGAAGUUUAAACAGUAUCUAAUUGAAAAUUACAUGAAGCAUGAAACAUCAAUUCAAGUCCUUCCUUAAACAGAGAAUGCAUCAAACAAAUCCAAAGUGUCUUGCAUGUCUGUAAAUAAUUGUAAAUGCGUUUAGAUUAUUCAAGUACAGGAGAACAAGCAAGUUGAAUCAUGUACAAGAGGUUGGCCUGGUUCGAGAUAGCUUCUUCACAGUACCUGAAGGGUUGGCUCAAUCUUUUCUUUAGAAUUCUGCACAUUUUGUAAUUACUCGUGUAAGCAAGCAUACAUUACAACCAUAAUAAUAAUAAGGCAAGAGUAAUGAUACGACCACAGCCUCUUGUGCACAAAUAAUAUUGUACAAACUAAUAUGACAUAAUAUGAUUGAUUAAACAAAAACAUAACAUGACCCUCAUAAUUUAUUUAUUAUUAUUUUAUAUUUUCAGUCAAGCAAUCAUAUUAUGCCACAUUAAAUAGAAAUAAUUUACUAGAUAGUGCCAACACUUCAUUGAUACUCACCAUUUCAUUGAACAAUUUUUUUAUAGUGUCAUUGAGGUUGCCUUCCCAACAUCCUUCAUCAUCACCAUCUUCAUCUUCGGUGGGUUUCACUUUGUUUAGCUUUGGUGCGUCUACGACUCCUGGAGAGAAAAUCUUCAUCGUUGGGCAUUGUCUCACAACUACGUGUGCCAAGGACGGGAACUCAAGAGCGUAAUUACCCAAACUAAAGCUUGUUAGGCUUGGCAAACAAUCAAUUCCCAAGUACUCCAAUUUCCUGAAAACAAUGCAAUCUUCCGCUUCUUCUCCAACCUGCGACUGUAUAAUUUCUUCCAUCAUUUUGCAAUCAGUUAUCUUCAUUCUUUCAAGAUUCACUAGACUUUCAGAUGUUGAGAGUGUCAAUAAAUUUAUCAACCCAUGACACUUCGAUACUUCCAGAGUCGCAAGAUUUUCCAAAUGCCACAAAGCUGGUACUAAUUUCUGCAACUUACUACAUUCAAAUAUUUCUAGACUUUUCAAGUUUGCAAACACUUUGUUGGAUUCGGCAUUUUCCUUCCAGAGAUGCUGCACUUUGUGUAAUCCAGAUAGCUUUAACUUCAUCAAUUGAGGGAAUGCAACCUGAAAAUCAACAAAAUUAAGUUGUAAAUGAAAAUAUGUAUCCAAUCUCUACAGUCUUCCCCUACAUAUUUUAUGGACAAGAUUAAUCACGGCAUUUUAUAUUUUAUUUCCAAAUUAGUAUGCUUUGCAGUAGGAUCCCAAAUAUAAGUAUCAAAUCGAUUACCCUUUGAAACACAUAAAUGAAAUCUGAUCAUAAAUCCAAUAUGAAUUAGCUAGGAAAACAAAGAUCUAACACGCAUAAUUUAUGCGAUAUAGUUCAUCACCUCCUGUCACUAGGCAUCUAAUUAAUUUGAGACAUUUUUUUAAUUCAUACUAUAAAGUUAGUUAAUAACUACAAUUAUAUUGUUAAAUCAGAUAUAAAUUAAGACGACGUGCAAAAAGAUAAGUCAUUAAAUUUGAUUUGAUUCUAAUGAAAUUACAUCUAUGCGAAUGAAAGUGAAGGGAAAAAUAAUAAUAAUGAUUACCUUUUUAUCGAAGAGAUGUUGUAUUUGAUUAGCUACCAAGAGGUUCUCUUCUGAUUUUAAUUUUUGAGCUUCCUUAUUAUCUGCUGUCAUGUGCAAUACAGAUGUAGAAUUGGAUAUGAAUGUUUCCAUGUCAGGGCAAUUCUCAAUAGUUAGAUAUCUCAACUCAGGCAGUUCAAUUAUAUUCCCAGUGAAGUUGCAGAAUCUUUUGAGUUUUGGAAGAUCAAUGAGCCUUAGAUUGGAAAGCUUAGGAAACAUGGGGCCUAUAUGUUCUUUGUCAGCAUUUAGCUCUUCCAAACGAAGCACCUCUUCUAGUGAAUCACAAUUCCUCACUUCCAGCCGUCGCAAAUUGUUCAAGCAUCGUAGCAGAUUGGCAGGAAUAGCACUCGACAUAUUCGUGCAGUCAUCCACCACCAGCCGUGCUAAAUUGUUGAAGAAGCUGACAGGCAGUGCUUGGCCAUGCCAUAUUUCUUUCAAACGUGGAAAAUGUGAGAGUUGCAAAUACCAUAUGUCACGGAAUCCAAUCUGCACAAACCAAAACAAUUGCACCGGAUAUAUACAAUUUUUUUUUUGAAAGGCAUUAUAUAUAUACACAUUAAACUUACAUGUUUUGUGUUUUAACUUCUAAAAAUAUAUAUACAAGACCGGGGUAUAUGCUUAAAUGUGCAAUUGCAGGGGAGAUGCAUAAACAAUUUGGGUGAAUCGAUUAACACAUACCAUUUCUUUGUAAUACUUUUGCAUAAUGGAAUUAAGGUUAUUGCCUUCCCAAUGGUGCAGUUCACCCUCUUCCUUUUCAGUCACUUGCACUUUGCAUGGCUUUGGAAUGGAUAAGAUUCCCUGAGAAAAAGUCUUCAUAUUUGGACAACGUAUCAUAGAAACUCGUUCCAGUGAUGGGAAUUCAAGAGUGUAAUUCUCCAAACAAAAGCUGGUAAGCCUUGAUAAAUAAUUAAGUAUCAAAACUUUUAAUUCGCUGAAAGCAAUACGAUUCUCCUUCACUUCUUCUCCAACAUGUCCUACGAUUUCUUCUAUUUUUUGGCACUUCGAUACUUUAAGAUUCACCAAACUACUAGGAAUUCCAACCUGAAAAUAAGCAAAAGUGUGUGUAUAUUAAAAAAGUAAAAAUGUAAGAAUAUCAUUCAACUAGGUUCAAAGUAUGUUUAAUCAUACAAUUAUACGUUUUAUAAAGAUAACAAACCAUGAAAUGUCUACAAGAUAAUUUUUUGUUAAACAAAAAAAGCAACAAGAUAAAUAAAUAAAUAAAAGCCAGAUAAACAAAGAUAUUAAAUGCAUUUACACUAUUUAGUAUUAGGAACGUACGAAGAAUUUAAGGCAAUUUCUAAAUAUUUUAGACUUAUUUUGCAUCUUGAUGCCAGUUUUUAAACAAAAUUUGCAAAUUUCAACUAUUCCUUUUGGGAAAAAAAAAUCAACCAAAAUGCCGCUUUUUCCCUUUUCCCUUGGUCCCUUUUUUUUAUGUAUAUUUAAUUUUGGAAACAAAAUUAAAGUGGAUCUUUAUUAAGUACUUCCAGACUCGAGGAAAUUUCUUUACAAUCAAGGAUCAGUUGUAAAUAAUCGUGAAUUUGUGGUUAAUUAAUGGCAUAAUCAGUUCGUAACUAAACAAGAGAUAUUAAUUAAAUUUGAAGACUUUUCUUUUCUUUUUUUCUUUUUCCAAUCGAAAUGUGAAGAAUUAAGGAAAAGAGAAAUAUAUAGAUGAAUUUGUGAACCUAUAAGAUGAGUGACUAUCCUUUAAUUUUUGAAAAUUGUACUUAUUAAGAUAUGAGCAGAAACAAUUAAAUUGAAUUAUAUUAUGAUGUUGAAUCGUGAUUAAAAAAAUUAUAUUGUUGAUUCUAAUGCUGGCGAACCUAAAAAAUGGACUUAAAAUGUAGAUUUGAGAGUGGUGGUUCGAAAUACAAUACUUGAAAUAAAUAAUCAGUGGCUGAAUAUCAUUUGUAAACCCAAAAAUGGUUAAAAUAUUGUUGGAUGUAAUUUAAAAAAAAAAAGAUUCGAAAUGAAUACAACGACCUUACCAAUGGAGGAAAAAUAUUCAUUAGGUUAUGACACUUAUAUAUCUCCAAAUUCUUCAAUUUGCUGAAAGACUCCGAAGGAAGCUGGUGGUGCCAUAUUUUUCUCAAAUUAUUCAUCCAGCUAAUAUCUAAUACCUCCAACCUAGGAAGUCGUACCUGGAAGUUAAAGAUUAAAUAACUAAUUAAUCAAUUAAUGGCAUAAUCAAUUGAUAACUAAAUUAGAGGCGGAUAUUAACUAAAUUUGAAGACUCAAGGAAAAGACAAAUUAAGUAUUGUGACUAAAAUUAAUUUUAUUUAUUAAAAAAAAAACCUUUUCGUCAAAGAGAGGAGGAGGUUGCAUUUCAGAAUGAUUGGUGUCUUCUGGUGAGCUCGUAGAGAUGAAUCUUAACAUAUUACUGCAAUUACCAAUCUCGAGGUUUAGCAAAGAAGGGAAUUCAACAACUAAAUCUGAAUGAAUAUGUCCUGUAUUGGCGAAGCUUGUCAGUUCUGUAAGCCAAUAGAGCUGCAGGGAGUGUAGUUUAGGAAAAACCUUUAAUUCAAUCAACUUUCCUUCAUCUCUUUCUGACCACCCCGUGGUGUCGACUACCCCUUCCAUUGACUCACAAGACCAUAUUUCAAGAUGUUGGAGUUGCAAAAGACUAUUAACCAUAGAAUACGAAAACAGAUACUUCAUACGAUCACAACUUCUCACGUACAGCUUUGUUAAAUUUUGACAACAGUACAUUCCUUGAUUAUGAUCGGCCCAUAAUUUUUUGAUGUUUCUUAAUUCCGUGAGAUUCAAUUCCUCUAAGCUCGGAAGAAGAACCUGCAAAGAAAAGCCGUACAUUUUUGUUCCUUCAAGUACAACCGUCUAGUAUAAUAUUCUGUUGAUGAUCGAAGAUUAAUCGUGAUAAUAAAUUAAUCAAUUAAUUAUUGAACAGAAAAUUAUCACCUUUGGAGCAGUAUCAUCAUCAGCAAUGAUUUCGUUGAAUCCCAAAGAAGUUGUUGGUUUCUCCCUGUCGGGUCCUGUAAACAAACAAAAACAAUAUACAUAAUUAAUCUUUGUCGUUGUCUUUUUUUUUUCAAAAUAAUUGAGGCGAAGUCCAUAAAUCCACCAACACUUAAUUUCAACACUUACCAACAGUCAUUUCCAGUUUAUUGCAGGAAGCCACUUUGACCUUUUGAAGCCGCAGUAGGUUUCUGGCUAUGGAAAAUGAGAAAAGAUGCUUCAAUUUAUCACAGGAUUCUACUUCUAUAAUCUUUAAGUUGCUGAAAAAUUGAUCUUCUCUGAGUUGGCUGUGGCAUAUGGCCUCCAAAUUGAUCAAUUUAUAGAGAGACAAUGACUCCAGCAAGGGGAAGACUUUGCGAUGAACCCGUCCAACUGAACCGACAAUGUGUAAAAUCUCAGAACACCUUUCUACCCAAAGAUGCUUCAAUCGUGGAAAACCUUCCCCAUCAUCUAAUUCAUGAACAACAUUCUGAACACCCGUCAGUUCCUCUAGACGGAUAUCUUCAGUUAACUUCAGCAACAUUUUCAUCCCAUAAUUCUCCAAAAGAGUGCUAACAUUUUCUAACCCAUGGAGCUGCACCAAUCUUGAUGUUUCAGAAUUAGCGCGCCAGAUGCCCCACGCUUCUCCUAUACAUAUCCUAUAUCUUGGCAAUUCGACAAAGACCAAAUCCUGCGGCAGCAUUUGGGCAUCCUGAACUUGUAUCUCCAAAGUAGUUAGCUUUGACAGCCCCUUCAAUUCAGCAAGACUGGCGUUACUUCCUCCUUCAACCUUAUCCCACUGCGGAAAGCUGUCACCCAUAUAUAGUUCUUCCAAUCGAGAAAAUUUUGAUAUGACAUUUGGUGCUAUCACUACAAGGCUGCUACAAUUGCUCAAAUCUAGCAAUUGUAACUGCGCCAAUUGACCAAUUUCAAGUGGCAACUGCUUAAUGUCGGAAUAUCGAAAGCUAAGAAUCUCUAAUUUCUUUAGCUGUCCAAUUGCCGCUACAUCUUCUAGUUGGCACCAGUCUAAACACAAUGUUUGAAGGUUAAUGAGGUGACCAAGUGAUGAAGAUAAUGAAGAGAAAUGAAUUCCGCUAAGACUUAAAACUUUGAGAUCUUCCGUCCCUUCAAAAAAGAGGUGUGAAAUUUCCAAAUAGCUAUCACCAUUUGCAAGCAACAGUAAUAACUUGAGUUGGGGACAUUCCAACCUUUCGGGAAGCUCUUGAAUAUCUCCAUAAGGUAUAGAAAUAGCAAUUGCACCUUUCUGUAUGAUCUUUUCUAUCUCUUCCUUCAAGUUGGUAACAUUUGGGAUACUAAACAUGAGCUUCUCUGAGGCAAUUGAUACGGCAACAACAUGAAUGACGUCAUGCAUUUUAACUUCAUCUUCAGCAUCGCCGUCCAACAAUAAGCAUGAAGCUUUGAGAUUGUCGAUCAAUGCGUCCACUCUAUUCCUUGCAUUUUCCAAUGUGCGAACAUUUUUAAACAAACCCUUACCAUAUCUCAACAAGGAAGCAACUUGUAUAGGAGUACCUUCACCAAAUAGAGUACAAAGAAGGAACAAAGAUUUUGCUUCAUCACUUUCCAAGAAGUUGUAACUCAAUUCUAUGGAAGAGCAGACAUUUGCAUCCAUUCCAUGAAUUUCUCUUGGAUUAGAAUUUCGCAGCUGAGUCAACGCAUCCUUCCAAACGGGAAGCUUCUUAUUUUUCAGAGCAUUUGCAACUGUACUCAGUGCAACAGGCAAUCCUCCACAUUUUCCAACAAUCUCAUCUGCUAAAGGUUGAAAAGCAGAUGCUUUUGCGGAAUUGCCCACGAUCUUUUCAAAAAAUUGCAAUGCUUCUUCCUUUGAUAAAACUUCAAUUAGGAAAAUCUUCUGAGAAUUCAUAUCAUUGGUCAAUAAAUGUUUACUUCUAGACGUCAAUAUUAUCGUGCGUCUCCUUAGAUCUUGCUUUCUAUCUUUCUCAUCAACAUCCCCAAAAGGAAUUCCAAUUUCUUCCAACCCAAGUUUUUUCCAAAUAUUAUCUAAUAUAAUGAGGACUCGCUUCUCUUUCGUCAAUCUUUGACAAAGUUGUUUUGCUCUGUGGGGUUUGCUAUCAUUCAAGUCAAAGUUCAAGUCUAAAUCGGAAGCGAGCUUGUCUUGAAUUUUCUGAACAUCUGGGUUCUCUGUUACCUCAGCCAUAACGACCUUAUCGAACACCUUAUCUUCCAUAACUUGCUUUGCAAUUUGCUUGACUAGCGUGGUUUUACCCACGCCGCCCAUACCGUGGACCCCAAUUAUGUUGAGCUUAUCAUUCCUCAAUGCCUCCACAACAUCUUGAAAUAAUUUCAUUCUUGAAUCAAAGGCCUCGAAAUCUUUCGCUUGCAUAUGUUCUGUACUCUCUGGAGCAGGACGGUGGGAAACACUAGAGAAGUUGCCUUUUCCCACGAGACUAGCGGCAGCUUCUGCGGCCUUUGCUGCUUGUUUACUAAGUUUAUAACGAGAAAUCAAGUUGGGGCAAAAUCCUUUGAAGCAGGACUUCUUAGCUCUAUCUUCAUCAUCAAUGAUGGAUUUUGCAACCCCUUCACUGAUGAAUUCAUCAACGUUAUUAAGCCAGUCUGCAACAUCCUUGUAAAUCUCAUCUCUUUGUUGAGUAGCCUCACGAACGGGUAUUCCCACCCUUUCUCUUUUAUAUUCUAGCUCCUUCACUUGAACUUUUAGCUCAGCUAUGUAGCUCUGGUACUUGAACACAUAAGAGAUCUGCCGCAUAAUCGGUUCGAACAAUGCCUUUGCACCUUCUGUUACAAUGCCGGAAAAAGUAGUGGAAACCAGGUCUGCAGCCAUUGCCUAGCCUGUUGCUUUCAUACAUACAUACAUACAUAUAUAUAUAUAUAUAUUAGCUGUUGGAAAAAUUAGAUUCAAAUAAAUUAAAAUGAACUAGGGGAAAGACGGAGAAAGAAAUGACAACCAACAACUUUUUAAAAAAAGGUUUCAAGGGCCUGAAUGGAAAACCAACAAUUUAAAAAAAAAAUUGUAAGAUGGAUGCAGAUUAACCAUUGCUAAUAUUACAUAAGAACACAGAAGUUAACAAUGAACAGUACGUAGAAAAUUAAAUGACAAGAUUAAAACAAACAAGGGCUAUUUUUUCUUGGACAAUUGUACCUAUUUAAUUAUUAAAGAGUUAAUGACCUUCACUGCUGGCCUUGAAUAUAUAAGAACGACCAGAAGAUGAAUAUUAACUGCAGACGAAUGUAAGUAAAGAGUUCAUGAGAGUGAGUAAUACAAAUGAAUUGUAAAAGAACAAGACUUAAGUGUGACCCCAUCUUUUGUUUUAUUAUAUAAAUAGAACACAUGAUCAUUUUUAACAAAGUGAUCAAUAACUCUAUGCGUUAUUUAAUUGAUAUUGUAACCAAUUUUAAGGGAAUUUAAUAAUAAUCAUUCAAUGCAUAAAUUUAAAAUUAGAUUUUUUUAAUUCUUUAUUUAAAUAUAAAUCUUAAUGGAAAAUUAUAAAAAUUUAGAGAUAAAAUUUUUCAAUCACCAAGGAAAAAAAAUGGGAAUGAAAACAGAGGAAUCUUGUUUUACCUUUUUUUUUUUUUCCUUAACUCUUGUUCCUAUACAAAUAAUCUUGUUUUGAUGAUAGUGCUCGUGACUAUGGGAAAAUUUCUAAUGGAAACAACUCAAUUUCGGAAGAUAAGCUUAAUUCUGCAAGUGAUGAAUUUGUUCAAUUGACUCUGUACUUGAACUCGUUGGAUUGGUUGAUUUACGAUUGACUGCAUUUCAAUUCUGCCUAAAAGAUCUUUUUAAUAGCUAUCAUGUACUCCUUAAAAGCAAUCAUUUUUAGAUUUGACUGAAUUUGAACUUGUUGGAUUGGCUGUUUUUAGAUUAUUGAUAUGAGAUACUACAAUGUAAACAUUUUCAUGUGGCUGAGCCCUAUUCUAAAAUCUGUAUGUUGCUUUAGAAAAAGGGCUUUUCCUACUGAUAUUUAAUCUUCAAGUAAACUUAGAUAUAAAGUAAAUCAAAUAAAAUGACAAACAAGCAAUAUAAUAAAAGACAACAAACUGGCAAUAUUGAUACAAAGGCAACAGAUAUUAAACUUUAGGACAUUUUUUUCCUAGCUUUCAUUUGUUGGAGGAUUAGAGAUUUUGGUAUUACCGGAAAGCUAAAAGGUUUCAAGGGUCUGAGUAGAAACCUAUAAUCUUUUUAAAAACUUUCUUUUUCUUUUUUCUUUUUUCUUUUUUUGGGGGGGGGGGGGGGGGGGGGGGGGGAAGAAUGCAAGUUAACCAAACGAAAUAAUAAGAGCACAGGCUUUAACAAUGAACAAUAACUUAAAACUCAUGCAAAGUAAAUUCAAUAUUAAAACAAACCAGAGAAAUUUUUUUUCUUGGAAAAUAGAUGGAAAUUAUGAAAGAACAGAUGUCAAGAUCAAAGAUCUACUAUACACAAACACACACAUUAGAGGAUUUGGAAAAUGUGCACCUCUUUAAUUAUCUGGGAUUAGAGAGUUGGUGAGAUUCUCCAUUUGGCCUUGAAUAUUUAAGAACAACCUCAAAGAGCAAAAAGAUCACCGGUAACUGCCGAGGAAUGUGUAAGAAAAGGGUUGAUGAGAAUAAUAACAUUGACUUGCAGAAGAAAAAGCAUUAAUCAAGCACCCCUUUUUUAUAUCAUGUAUUUGGUUAUUGUUGCCCUGUUUACGCACGUAUAGGAUAAUUAUAUGCAAUCUUUUUUUAAAAAUCCACAUGCACUUUAGGGCUUCUUUCAUAAAAGCAGAUACCGGAAACACACAAAAAUCAUUUGAGAGAGAAACCGAACAGCAAAUCAUCAAAGUAAGAUCAACAAUAUAUGAUUUGAUUAAUGCAUAUUCAAGAACAAAACAAAAAUAAAUAAAUNNNNNNNNNNNNNNNNNNNNNNNNNNNNNNNNNNNNNNNNNNNNNNNNNNNNNNNNNNNNNNNNNNNNNNNNNNNNNNNNNNNNNNNNNNNNNNNNNNNNNNNNNNNNNNNNNNNNNNNNNNNNNNNNNNNNNNNNNNNNNNNNNNNNNNNNNNNNNNNNNNNNNNNNNNNNNNNNNNNNNNNNNNNNNNNNNNNNNNNNNNNNNNNNNNNNNNNNNNNNNNNNNNNNNNNNNNNNNNNNNNNNNNNNNNNNNNNNNNNNNNNNNNNNNNNNNNNNNNNNNNNNNNNNNNNNNNNNNNNNNNNNNNNNNNNNNNNNNNNNNNNNNNNNNNNNNNNNNNNNNNNNNNNNNNNNNNNNNNNNNNNNNNNNNNNNNNNNNNNNNNNNNNNNNNNNNNNNNNNNNNNNNNNNNNNNNNNNNNNNNNNNNNNNNNNNNNNNNNNNNNNNNNNNNNNNNNNNNNNNNNNNNNNNCCCCAGGGGAAAAUCUGGAAUUCCUUUUUUUAAUUUUUUUUUUUUUAAAAAAACCCCACCGGAAAUUCUUAAAAUUUGGAAAAAAAAAUUUUGAGUCCCUUAUUCUGGGGGGGGGGGGGGGGGGGACGAAAACAGAGGAAACUUGUUUUACAUUUUUUUGAUCUUAACUCUUGUUCUUAUAUAAUAUUUUCCCUGGGAUUUCAGGCAAACCAAACAAAAAAAAAAAAAUUCAAUAAAGAGCAAGUUGCUCUAAUUGAUUUAUCUUGUUUUUCAGGCUAUUUUGUGACAUGAUGAUAUGUAAUGCUCUUGAAUGCUAGAAAAAUUCUAAUGCAAACAUUUUUGCAAAUGACGAAUGUAAAUAACUUUUUUUGAUUAAUUGAAUCUCUAAUACUCUUACCCUAUUCUAAAAUUUGUAGGUUGCUUCAGAAAAAAAGGGUAUUUCUCACUCAUCUUCAAUCCUCAAGCACAAUUAGAUUAAAAGCAAAUCUAAUAAAAUAACAAACAAAUUAACAAAAAAAAGAAAAAGAAAAAAAACAAUGUUGAUCUUGAGACAAUUGAUACUUAAACAGAGAAUUCUUUGUUCUUUUUUUACUCCCCCUGGCUCGAGGAUUAGAGUCUUUCUUUGCUAUUAACAGAGAGGUUUUAAGGGUCCGAAUAAAAACCCGCGCUUUUUUUAAAAACUUCUUUUUUUUUUUUUAUUGGGGAAGAUAGAUUCAAAUUAACCAAAGCUAGUAAUAAGAACACAGGCCUUACAAAUGAACAAUAACUUACAACUCAAGCAACAUAAAUAAUAAGAUUAAGACAAACAUGAGAUUUUUUUCUUCGAAAGUAGAUGGAAAUCAAGUAAGAACAGCUAUUAAAAGAAAUUACUAGAGAAUUUAGAACAUGUGUACCUCUUUAAUUAUUUGGGAUCAGAGAGUUGAUGAGCUCUCUAUUCGCCUUGAAUAUUAAGAACUGGUAUUAAAAGAAAUUAUGAAGAACAAUUUUAGUGAGCGAUAGAUCACUGUUAACUUCAGAGGAAUUUGUGAGUAAAAAGCUGAAAAGAGCCGUAAUAAUGAAUUACAAAAGAAGAAGACUUAAUCAAGCACCCCUUUUAUACCCGAUUUUUAAGAUUUAGUCUUGAAGUUCACAAUCAAGAACAAAGACGAAGCUUUAAUAAAGCAUGCAGUGAGAUACAAGAAAUGGAUCGGGCAAAAUACCUUACGAAGCGUUUCAUAUUUUCUAAUGAAAUAAUUAAGUUGAAGUUUUCGACGAAUAAAUACUUGUUGUGCUUGAAUAAUUUUGGCAUAUACGUUACUUGUAUCCUGCGAAAUUGAAAAGCACAUUGGUUUAUUAGAGCUUAUUAGGAGGGAAAAGCUUUGUAAGAUACCUGAUAAAAGAUAAAGUAAAAGCUUGAAUGAAGAAUGACAUUUUAGAAAGAAACUAAAGUGCAAUCAUCAAAGUGGGAUCAAUAGUGACUUGAUAUUUCAAUUGUUCUGUCCACAAAUGAUGCUUCGUUAUUACUAAUUCCAGAUGGACAUUAUUAGAAAAUGAUCUUAUGUUUAACAGAAAAAUAAAAACUCGUCAUCAUACAAAACAGCGUGAAGAAAUCUUCAAUUUGAUUAUUAUAAAAUAAUAAGUUUCAUUACUAGAUUAUGCGGACAUUAAUGUUAGAGAUUUGAUCAGAUUAUCAUAUAAUUUACUAAACGCUUUGAGAAGAACAAUAAUUAAUUUUUAAAAAAUUGAAAAAUAAAUUAAAUAAAGAGUACACGCAAAUAAUGUUACUUCCAAUCACCAAACUGAAAAACAGGGGAAUGAUAACAGACGAGUCCCUGAUUAUCCUCUCUCUCUCUCUCUCUUUUUCAAUCUCUCUCUUUGAUAUCCAUAUCUGAGCAUCAGAGCUUGACAUCUUUGAUAAAUAAAUAUGCUUACUGGUACUGUUUUUGCAUAUGUCUUUCACAAAAUCAUUGUAUACGCUUACAUAGAGAAGAAGAUUCAGAUAACUUUCAAAAUCUGAAUCCGCCUGAUGGACAGGCUUGACCACACAGCCCCGAGACAAGGAAGUCCAAGCAACUAAUCUAAACCGUUCUCCUUUAUUAGCUAGAUUUAGUAUUUGGGUUCUUUAUGUAAAACGACACUAUGAUCUUGAAAUUUUGAUUUAAUUAAUAAAUAGUUAAAUUCUUAAUGUUUCAGGAGUAGAUACAUAGACUCUCUUCUAAUUUUAGUCAUUACAAACAAUGCCAUUGUGCGGUUAUACUAUUGCUUCUUUUAUGAAACCAUUCUCACCAUCACAUAGAUCUUGGCAUAUAGAGUCUCAUAAUGUCAUCAAAUAAUUUUUUUUUUUUUUAAAAACAUAAAAUAUGAUACAUGUAUUCAUUUUUUUUCAAAUUAGGGUGUAUUAUUCUUAAAACUUAAGUGUUCUACUUAUAAAUAUCUUGAAGGUGUGAGUGUUUUCUUUUCGUAAACAAACCGUAAAAGAAAAAGAGGAACAAUAAUUUUUUACUUAUCCUUAGAGAUAAGAUUCAAUCGGGAUGUGAGUAAGUGUGUUUUUCUUUUUUUAUUAUGCUAAAUUAUCGAGUCACAAAGCAUAUUGAUUCAAAAGUAUAACUUUAUACUGAUGAUAGAUAAUUUCAAAACAAUGGAAUGAAAACAGAGGAGCUCCCCCCUCCCCCACCCCAAUCCCCGCCCCCCCCCCCCCCCCCCCCCAAAAAAAAGUUCUUCUUCUUUUAUAUAUUUUUCUUGGAAUUUUAGGUAAAAGAAAAAAAAAACUGAGAUUGAUUUCAAGGGAACAGGUGGAUAAUAACUAAAAUACUUAUUUUUAUAUAUUUGAUAUGUGCGCUCACUAUUAAUAGAACUUAUUAGAUACUACAACUUAAAUAACUUCCCAUGGUUGAUUGAGGGUAUGUUUGAGAUUUCCUUUACUUUCCAAGAAUUAAUUUCUACCUUGAUUCUGAACAAAAAAAUAAUUUUACAAAUAAUCUAUUAGGGUGUUUGGUAAAUGAUGAUUAUUUGACAAUCAAUUUUUAAACGGUUUACUAUACAAAUCUGGUAAAUGAAAAUUAAAAGUGUAAAAUGUUCAUGUACAAUGACAAAAAUGUACUUGUUUACUUGUUUGUAAUUUAUUUAGAAUAUUAUUAUUUAAAUCUUUUUUUAUUUACAAGAUUUUUUAAGAGCAUAUUCUAUUUUCUUUAUUACAUAUUUAAAUAAUUUUUUAUUAACUAUUUUAAUUUGCAAUAAAAUUAACUUCAAUAUCUUUUUAACUAAAAAAUUUGUUAUGUAGUUCGUGAUAUAACAAAUACUAACAUAUCAUUAGUUUGAUUAAUAAAUUAAGUGCAAAAAAGAAAAUGCAAAAAUUUAAUCUUUAUAUAAACUUUUAUGUACAUAAAAUCAUUGUAAUCAAACUAGUUCAUAGAAAUAUAAUAUUAUAUACAUGUGUGUAAAAAAAAAAAACAUAUGACCAUAAUAUUAUCCACUCAUUAAACUUGCUGCACUAUUAUUUCUCAAUCUCUCCAUCUCUCGACCUUCAAGAACAUUACUACCAUAAUCUUCUUCUUCUUGAAUCCAACCUCUAUUUCCUCAUCAUCAACAAUGCGACCAAUUUGCCUUGAUAGCCUUUCAACUAGAAUAGAGUUGGCAGUAGAUAUUUUAGUACUCUCAAACUAUGCCCAAACAGGGUCACCAGUGAUUGUUGUAUUAAAAGACAUUCUAUUUAAUUUUCCUCUGACUCUGGGUCGAUACCUUUUAUGCAAAAUCUAUUUACUUAAGGAAUUUUCUACACAUGUCGAUAUCAUAUUAAAGUGAAUUCAGAUCCUAUAUUAUUGACAUUAAAAUUUAGCCGAAUAGUAAAAAAUUUCCCUUUUUGUUUGUCACACAACCAUAUAGUCCCAUUUUUGGUUAUAAGCUCACAAUAUGUAAGGGAAAUGAAGAUCUAUUAAAACUUUCCCAUAAUAUUAAACAUUAAACAAUAUCAACAUUUUGUGCAUAUGGUGCCUCAUCAACAAUUUGAUGUUCAUUUUGUUGCUCGGAGGAAUAUGACUACCUAUUAAUUAAUUAGCAAGAAUUGCGUUGCGAGUCCAUGUUUUUGUCGUUUGGAUGGAGGAUGUGCCAUCUUUUUAUUGUAGAUGCUUUGUAAGGCUUUUGAUUUAAUGAUUUAAUGCAGUCAAUUAACAAAAGCUUACAUAUAUUAUUAUGUAGUUGCUGAGAUGUCUGUUCUUGAUAAAGUCGAUUUAUUUACACCCAAGCCAACGGAAUCAAAGCCUUUUCGUUAAUAAUAUACACGGUAAUUGUUUUUGUUAAAUUGAUUUCUGGCUAACAAGAUAUUUGAAAGCAUUUAGGUAGCGUUUACAUUUUGCGUUGGAGUGAGAAUCGUGAGAAAUGAGAAUCCUGGGAUUAGGAGUGUGGAGUGGGAGUCGAAGUAUGUUGUUUACUUACACUGAAAUGGAAGUAUGGAAUUGAAAUCAGAAUCCAAUUUAUUUGUUUACAUUGUCUUAGAUUGUGAGUAAUGAUUUUAAAUUACAGCUUUACUCUUAAAGAAUUAUAGUUAUUAAUUACAAAAUUAAUAAAAAUUAUAUUUUUAAAUUAAUAAUAAUUAUUAAUAUUCUUAACUAUGUAAAUCACAAUUAUUUUAUUAAUUUUAAUUUUAAUUAUAUAAAUAAAAAAUUAUUAAUAACAACAAUACAAAUGAAACAUUAUUAUUGAUAAUAUAGUACAAAAUUAAUUUUUUUAGAAUAAAAUAUUUAUUAUUAUUAAUUACUAAUAUUAAAUAAAUAUAAUAGUAUUAUUUUUAAAUAAGUAUAAUAAUAUUAUAUUUUCAAAUAAAAAUAGAAUAUAGUAAUAUUAUUAAUUCUUUAUGAAUAUAAUGAUAUUAUUUUUAAGUAAUUUUAACUUAGAAUCAAUGUAAAUUAUUAUUUUUAACCAAAAAAUUAAUAUUAUUUUAAAUAUGUUUAAUAUUAUUAUUUUUAAUAAAUUUAAUUUAUAAAAUAAUAAAAUAUUAUUAUUUAAAUAAAUAUGAUUUUACUUAUUUUAUUAAAUUUAAUAAAAUAAAUAUGUUUAAUAUUAUUAUUUUUAAUAAAUGUAAUUUAUAAAAUAAAAUAAUAAUAUAAGUUAAAUAAAUAUGAUAUUAUUUAUUUUAUUUUAUUAAAUAUAAGGGUGAAAAAGGAAGAGAGGCGAGUGAAUUUCCACUCCCACCUUCCUCCAUGGGAGUGGGAAUCUCACUCCCCCACUCCAAAAUUAGGUGGGAUCCACGGAGUGGAAUUCUCACUUCCCCUUUGAAAAUUGUAAGUAAACACUGGAGUAAGAGGAAUCCACACUCCUCACUCUCACUCCAAAAAGUAAACACUAUAUUAAAGAAGUCAUUGACUUAUAAGAAAGCCAUGAUUAAAUACACGGCGAAGCAUGUGAGCUCGUUUUUCAAUUUCUUUGAUCACUCAUAAGUAGGGGUGGGCAAAAUCGGAUUCGGAUUGGGUUCGGGUUGAUUUGAUCAAUUUCGGAUCAAUCGGGUUGGGGAAAAAAUCAUCCGAACUCAAUCCGAAUUAUUAACCCGAUCCAAUCCGAUCCGAAUAUAAUUCGGAUCGGAUUGGAUCGAAAAUUCGGAUUAAUUCGGAUUAGAUUCAGAUUUAAAAGCAUUCGGGUUAUAUAUCCAUUCUAUAUUUCUGGGUUAAUUUCAGAAGCAAUCAAGUAAAACAAUCAACCUUUUCUCAAGAUAUAGUUUUGUUUUAAGCUUUUUAAAUUAAAUUAUUUAAAACAAUAUAGUCAAUACCACCAAAAACUUGGUGACAGUGAAUGUGGAGGUGAAUUUAGUUGUAGCAGUUGUGGUAACCGGUGAAGCUAGUGGCAGCAAGCGGUAGCAGUCGAGGUGUAGUAGAUUCCAUCGGCACGUUGCGGUUGCAGCGAUGGCUUAGCUUUGAACGAUCGCGUCGGUGACUGAUGGCUGCUGGUUCACGCAGUUGCAUCUCCGAUUUGCUGGCUGCUGCUUCUUGCGGUUGCAUCUCCGAUCUGCUCGCCGCUGCUUCGCUGACAUCUCCGAUCUCCGAUGGUUUGGCUUCGCACGAUCACAUCGGUGAUUGCUGGCUGCUGGUUCGCGGCUUCGCGCGGCCGCAUCUCCGGUCUGCUGGUUGCUGCUUCUUGCGGUUGUAUCUCCAAUCUGUUGGCUGCUGCUUCGUUGUUUGGCAUCUCAACAUUUCCGAUCUCCGAGGCCAAACCUCUAUUUGUGUGUGACCGUGUGUGAUGUGAGUGUGUGUGUGUGCACUUACAGAUUAUUUUAAUUUAGAUCUAAGAUUUGCUUUUUGUGUGGUGUGAAUCCGAUUUUGUUGUGUUUGCCACUUUGUUAGUUUGUUACACAGUUUUUUUUUUAAGCCAACCCGAUCGGGUUUUCGGAUCGGAUCGGGUUUCAUCCGAUCCGAUCAUGAUCCGAUCGGGUUGGCAAAGUUACAUCCGAUUGGAUUUUGUUAACAAUCCGAUCCGAUCUGAACCCGAUAUUUUUUGGGUCAGAUCGGAUCGGAUCGGGUCGGAUAUUUUGCCCAACCCUACUCAUAAGCUUUUCUAUACCACUCACUAUAUCAUCCUUUUAAGUCAAUUUCGACUGAUCAUCAGAGAUCAUGCACCCCACCUUGAGAUGAUUGAUCACCAAUUUGGCAUUGUAACGUUGAUCACCUCUAAUUGCCCAUGCUAAAAUUGAGACCCCACAGCCAAUUGCUUCUACAGUUGAAUUUUAUCCACAGUGAGAUAAAAAUCCACCUAUUAAUUGAUAACUCGGCAUCAAUAAUUGUGGUGCCAUUCCAUCUAUUAUCAAACCCUUUUUACCGGCUUUACUAUCUAAACCACUAUGAAAAUAAGCUGGUUAAAUGACGUGGAGGAUCCAAUCUAUUUACAUCAGUUUGAAUUACCUAAAUAAUCGGUGGAUUUGAUGCUUCUAAAUCAUUGGCUAAUGUUGAAUAAUCAUUUAAGGUGGGACCCAUUUCGGUACCAAAUGACAUGUAUAACACUGAUCCACAUGAUUUCAAAUCUAACCAUUGAAUGAUCUCAUCUUUGGUCAUGUUAGAACUCCGCCGGUUGGUUCUCAUCUCACAAUCACGAAGCACUGAACCGGUCGAUUUGUAAAAUUGUUCAGGUAACAAUGGGCCCACUCCCCACACUAGCAUCAACACCAUCGAUCCCUCCACUUGCUUCAUCCAGUGUGGUUGAUCACUCGGUUCUGAUGGACCUAUUUUCUCUGAACCGGGUGCACCUCACAAAGGUUGUGGGCCACCAGGAAGGGACCCGUGAGGCCUGCGUUUAAGAUCUGAUUGGAAUAAAGCAACAUCCUUGGGUAACCCAAGAAGUAAAUGGGCCUCUCCCGGUUUGGCAUCCUGGAUGCGAGCCUGCCACAUGGCACACUCCACAGCUGCUGAGCAAGCAUCAGAAGUGAAGAACCCAACAAUGGGAACUUCAAAAUUCUUGAAAACAUCAGCCGUCCAGCCCAUCAUAACGCCGAUGACUACGCAAACAGGUCGGCUUUCGGGUUCCGGGUUGAAAGGAGGUUUCGAAGACCCUGAAGCAUUUGGUUGUGCAUGACAACAUGGAGGUAAGAAGGAGGCGAUGGUAGUAGUGGAGAUGAGGAGGGUAUUUCGGUAAUUUCACAUAGAGGGUAUUGGUGAAGAGAGGAAGGGGUGAUGCUGGUGGUGGAAACGUGAGAGGGAAUAAUGAGGGUAGAUUUGUAAUUACGAGAAGCAAUUUGCUUGCAUAAUUCAAUGCAUGGAAACAGAUGUCCCUGACCGAAGAACGGGACAAUCCAAAUCUCAGCCUCAGCAGCAUUCGCAACAGAGCUUGACAUCUUUUAUGAAUUAUUUGAGACUUAAUUGUUAUUGACUGCUUUUGCCAUCUUUCAUAAAACAUUCUUUGUUAUAUAUUCAAGUAAAUAAAUUUAUCGUUUAAAAUUAAUUUUUCAUGUGGUAAAAGCAAUACUAAAUAUGGGGUGGAGAGAAUAAUUUGUAGGGCAUACCCCCACCAUUUAUUUAAUUUCAUUAAAAAAGAAAGAAAAGAAAUAAAGGCUUGUUCAACAUUCAAUUAAAAUUAACAAUUCCAUGAUAAAAUUACUUGAGAAUAAAAAUUUUUAAAAAAAAAGUAACUCAAAAACGAGGAAUUUUUGAGUAACUGAAGAACCAUAGAUGUUUUUUGGUCAUGAGCAAUUUUUGAGUUGACACAGAACUUGUAUAAAAAAAAUAGUUUUGAAAACUUCUUUUCUUUUUUCGUAAAUAUAGAUAUAAAAUUUUAAAAUCACCAAACACAAAACCAGGAAAAUGGAAGGAGAGCCCCUGUUUCUCCUAUGUUGCAAGCACAAAUUCGGUUUCUAAAGUUGUACCUUCUAAAUGCACCAUUUGUAUUGCUUUGUCUCCACUUGAGCUAACGGAAUUUGAUGAAAACAAAAUAAUUGAACGAUAGGGAUAAAUAUCAAAGAAGGAGCUUACAUGCCCUAUAUAUUCUCUUUGGAUGAAUAACGAAGGUGAGCUUUCAAAGUACAGAGAUUUACAUGUUUUAAUUGUCAUUUACAUUGCUGCAUGCUAAUUGCUUGAUAAAAUACCGCAACAAAUACGCAUUCUCGAUUUCUUAUAAAUUUAUUUUCUUACUCUGAAAAAAAUUGAAUGUUUAGAGAAUUUUGAAGGUUUUGGUGUAUGCAUUAAUAUUUUGAUUCUAUUUAUGUUGUUUAACUAAUGAAGAUGAUACAUCUAGCCUCUUUUUGCCCCUUGUUGUUUUUAUUCUUGUGCUUUAUAUACGGUUCAAGUGUGAUACACUUUAGUUUUUCUCAAGUGUUUGUUAGUAUUUCCCGAAGCAAAAUUUGUCACAGACUUUUAGUUCAAAAGUUGAAAUCAUAACUAACAUACUUCGAUUUUUUAUUUUCCUUUUUUCUUCGGUAUCUUUCUAUAUGGCAUUGCUUGAGAAAUUGGUGUACUUAGAUCGUAAUAUUCUGUAGAAAUAAGCCAAUAUUUCAUUAUGUACAUUGUUUAAUAUGAUAAGUAUUGUAUGGAAGUUUUACAGAUAAGCUCCUUAUAUAUUAUGCAUUAUGUUUUUAUCAUAUUGUUGCUUGGAACUUUGAAGGAUUAGCCACAGGGCUUUAGUCCUACAUGGACAUUUUAUAUUUAACAGCUGGUUAGGCAUUUUAUUUGAUGUUAUUUGGACUUGUAGGUGUUAAAAGUUUUGUUCAGUAAUUUUAUAAUUCAGAUUCCCAUUGUGAAAAGAUAGCAAUUUUUAUUGUGGGUCAGAUUCUGUCAACUGAUAUUUAGCUAAAAUAUCUCACUAACCCCUAUUGGUUAGGUGUUUUUUUUAAUUCACAUACUUGAUUUUUAUUUUCUUUUUAUCUGUGGAAUCACAUGUAUCAUUCAUAAGAAACAAGCUAUUAUAUAAUCUAUUCUUUAGAUCCAUUUAUAUGUAGUGGGCACUCUGAUUUCUAUUAUUUGAAUUUUUUGCUACUGUUACUACUCUUUCGGCCCUUCAAAUAGGGGUUAACAGAAAGGGUGAGUAUAUUAAUACAAAUUCAAACUUUCUUUUUCUAAUUUUAUCCAAAAUAACCUACUAUAUUAUUUUAAUUUCCAACUUUUGUCAUAGUCUAAUGGGCAGUUGUCUUGUCAUUAUUUGGUUUUAGGUAAGAAGAGAGAAAGUUAGUGAGAGGAUGAAAAUUUUGCAAAAACUUGUUCAUAGCUAUGGUAAUUAAGUAAUUUGAGUUCUUUUUUUUUGUUAUUGUUUUUUAUUCACUUUUUCCUGUCUUAAAACAAAUAACGAGUUUUUGUGUUUUUAAUAUUUCUUAUAAACUUCAUGUUGUUUGGUAUAAAAUUAGGUAAUUGGAAAGGUCUCAUGUUGGAUGAAAUUAUCAAUUAUGUGCAGUCCCUACAAAAUCAAGUGGUCGUCAAUGUGUCAGCAUCACUUUCUUCUUCAGAUGUUACUUGUUUUUCACAUUUAUUUUUCUCUCAGUCCUUUUUAAAAGAACAUACACACACAUACUAUGUAGAGUGACCUUUUUUAAUGAGGAAUCUGUCAUUUUAAUAAAAUGAAGAAUAAACUAAAAGGUAGAAGUACACGAACUCUAAUGCAAUAUACCUUUUCUGUUCUUUUACCUUUACUAUAAGAUAGGGAAUGAUAUAAAACUGUUCGAUAAUAGUAAGUGAAAUAAUUAAAAGGCUACUGUUCUAGCUCAUUUAAUAUAUCAAACUUUUCUAGCUCAUUUAAUAUAUCAAACUGCUCGAUAAUUGAAUUGGCCUAGUUAAACAUAAUUUUCAGAUAAUCUUUUUAAUGGUUUAUUUAUUAAUAUUUUGUUUCUUUCCAGUAUGAACACUUUGUUUUGACACGUGGUUAACAACCUUCAACGAACUCGGAACAACCUUCAUCACAUGCUUUCUCACGUGGUUACUUAAACUGAUAUGUUAAACGUGCUCCAUCCACGCCGUUUCCACUAAAUCAUUUUCUGUUAAGAAUCAGCUGAGCAGCGCGUGAGCUAAUGAAGUUUUUCGUAUUGAACUCAACUCUGCUAUUUUCCCAAAGCUGGAAAGCAGAAACAUCAUCCCUUUGGUUUUAUUUCACCUCAACCUUUUUCUGAUCCCAUUUUCAUUGUAAUUUCUCAUUUACUUUGAGUGAAAGUCAUUGUUGCUUUCGAACGAGGUUUUGCAACUAAAAAGGAAAAUGGGGCGGCUACAAUACAUGCGUGCAUCUGAUACAUGCACAAAAACUGACCAUUGGAUUAAAUGGAGUGAUCUAAUGGCUGAGAUUUGUUUCAUUAUUAAGCAAUAAAAAAAUUUGAAACAACCAGAAACCUGUAAAACCGGUCAUUUGGUUUAAGGUAAAAAUAUAUAAAUGAAAAAAAAAAAAAAAAACCCACCACUCCCUCGCCUCACCUCUCUUCUUUUGGGUUUAGUAUUGCUGCUUUUAACAUAAUUGACCUAUGGCCCAAAUCAUUUCUAUAGGGCGAAGCAUAUGAAUGAUACAUAUUAUCUUUUUUUGGCCUUAUGUCUUGUUAUUUGCAGUGUGAUUUGGUCUAGCUUAAGAGCUUAAGCUUGCAGGUUGGAUUUGUCUGACAGGGAACAAUUUAAUUUGUUCAUCGUGAUGUUUAUAUCCAUUUUGUACUACUAUCAAUUUCAAUCAUGCCUAAUUUUUAUAUGUAUUUCUCGUGGACUCUCAGGUUCAGUGCACAAGAGGAUGAAGACGAUGGACACCCAAAUUUGAUGUGGAGAACAACUAUUGCAAAUGGUCCUUGAUUUACUUCUCCAAUUGACUUGAAUUGGUUUGACGCAAUUUAUACUGUAUUUUUGUCAUCUUUGUAUGACUUGCACGUCGUCCUGAUUUGGUACAUGACUGGACACAGGAAUUGGACUCAUAUUUUUCAAACCAGAAUGCCAACAAUCAAGCAUUUUCUUUUGAAAGCACUGGCGUCUUCUUCAAUGCCAAAAAGGUUAGAGAUUUUCUGUAUCCUGUUUUGUAUUUGAUCAGUUUAGCAUGUGGGUGGCAAUCAAGAAAAGUUAUUAUAACAUUUUUGUGUUCCCGAAAAACUGCUGAUGAUGUGUGACUUCUUUUUAUUUGUAUUCUUUCUUUUUCUUUUCUCCCCAACAGUAUUAUGCAUUUCGAAGAGCUUCUUGAAGUUGAUUACCAUGUAUGCCACUUUCUUUACUCUAUGCUCAGGAUGUGAUUUUGCCAAGCAUUAAAAUGGUUUAGGUCAGAACCAUCAUCUAAAGUUUACUUAAAGUUGACGGAUUAAUUCCUUUUAAUAAUGGUCUAGUUAAUUUUACUAUACUCAUAAAACUAUUCUUAUUCUGAUAAUGCCACAAAUGUUAUGAUGUUUUCUUCAGCUAAUGAUCUUCUAUCAGGACUAGUUAGAAAUCAAAUGCUUAAAACACCGAUUGAAUGAAUAAUGCAGAAGUUUAAACAGUAUCUAAUUGAAAAUUGCAUGAAACAUGAAACAUCAAUUCAAGUCCUUCCUUAAACAAAGAAUGCAUCAAACAAAUCCAAAGUGUCUUGCAUGUCUAUAGCAUGACAAAAAAGUUGUAAAUGCGUUUAGAACCAAAUUAUUCAAGUACAGGAGAACGAGCAAGUUGAAUCAUGUACACGAGAUUGGCCUGGUUCGAGAUAGCUUCUUCACUGUACCUGAAGGGUUGGCUCAAUCUUUUCUUUAGAAUUCUGCACAUUUUGUAAUUACUCGUGUAAGCAAGCAUACAUUACAACUCUUGUACACAAACAAUAUUGUAUAAACUAAUGCGACAUAAUAUGAUUGGUUAAACAAAAACAUUACAUAGCCCUCAUAAUUUAUUUAUUUAUUUAUUAUUAUAUAUUUUCAGUCAACCAAUCAUAUUAUAUUACAUUAGUUUCUAUAAAAUAAUUUUCUAAAUAGCACCAAAACUUAAUUGAUACUCACCAUUUCAUUGAACAAUUUUUUUAUGGUGUCAUUGAGGUUGCCUUCCCAACAUCCUUCAUCAUCAUCAUCUUCUUCAUCAUCAUCUUUUUCUUCUUCGGUGACGUUCACUUUGUUUAGCAUUGGUGUGUCUAAGACUCCUUGAGAGAAGAUCAUCAUUUUUGGACACUCUCUCACAACUACUUGUUUCAAGGACGGGAAUUCAAGAGCGUAAUUACCUAAACAAAAGCUUGUUAGGCUUGGCAAACAAUCAAGUCCCAAGUACUUUAAUUCCUUGAAAACAAUGCAAUCUUUCGCUUCUUCUGCAACCGGCGACUGUAUGAUUUCUUCCAUCAUUUUGCAAUCAACUAUCUUCAUUCUUCCGAGAUUCACUAGAUUUUUAGAUGCUGAGAGCGUCAACACAUUUAUCAACCCGUGACACUUCGAUACUUGUAGUCCCCACAGAUUUUCCAAAUGCCACGAAGGUGGUACUAAUUUUUGCAACUUACUACAUUCCGAUAUUUCUAGCCUUUUCAAGUUUGCAAACGCUUUGUUGGAUUCGUCAUUUUCCUUCCAGAGAUGCUGCACUUUGUGUAAUCUAGAUAGCUUUAACUCCUUCAAUUGAGGGAAUGUAAGCUGAAAAUCAACAAAAUUAAGUUGUAAAUGAAAGUAUGUAUCCAAUCUCUGCAGUCUUCCCCUGCAUAUUUUAUGGACAAGAUUAAUCACGGCAUUUUAUAUUUUAUUUCCAAAUUAGUAUGCUUUGCAGUAGGAUCCCAAAUAUAAGUAUCAAAUCGAUUACCCUUUGAAACACAUAAAUGAAAUCUGAUACUAAAUCCAAUAUGAAUUAGCUAGGAAAACAGAGAUGCGACAAGCAUAAUUGAUAUAGUUCAUCACCUCAUGUUACCAGUCAUCGAAAUAAUUUAAGACAUUUUUUUAAUUCAUACUAUAAAGUUAGUUCAUAACUGUAGUUGUAUUGUUAAUUCAUAUAUGAAUCAAGAUGACAUGCAAAAAGAUGAGUCAUAAAAUUUGAUUUGAUUCUAAUGAAAUUACAUCUGUGCGAACAAAAGUGAAGGGGAAAAUAAUAAUAAUAAUAAUAAUAAUAAUAAUAAUCACCUUUUCAUCGAAGAGGGGUUGUACUUGAUGAGCCAGCAAAAAGUUCUCUUCUGAUGUUAAUUUUUGAGGUUCCUUGUUAUUUGUUGUCACAUGCACUACAGAGUUGGAUAUGAAUGUUUCCAUAUCAGGGCAAUUCUCAAUAGUUAGAUUCUCCAACUCAGACAGUUCAAUUAUAUUCCCAGUGAAGUUGCAGAAUCUUUUGAGUUUUGGAAGAUCAAUGAGCCUUAGUCUGUUAAGCCUAGGAAACCGGGGGCCUAUAUGUUCUUCCUUAGCAUUUAGCUCUUCUAAAUGAAGCACCUCUUCUAUUAAAUCACAAUUCCUCACUUCCAGGCAUCUCAAAUUGUUCAAGCAACGUAGCAGAUUGGUAGGAAUAGCACUCGACAUAUUCGUGCAGUCAUCCACAGCCAGUUGUCGUAAAUUGUUGAAGAAGCUGACAGGCACUGCUUGGCCGUGCCAUAUUUCUCUCAAGCGUGGAAAAUGUGAGAGUUGCAAAUGCUCUAUGUCACGGAAUCCAAUCUGCAUAAACCAAAACAAUUGCACUGGAUAUAUAUAAAUUUCUUUUUUUGAAAGGCAUUAGAUAUAUAUAUACAUUAAACUUACAUGUUUUGUGCUUUAACUUCUAAAAAUAUAUUUACAACGCAGGUGUAUAUGUUUAAAUGUGGUAUAGUGGAAUUAAGCUUAUUGCCAUUACUUCGUAAUGGUGUUCGUAACACCAUUACUUCGUAAAGUGAAUCGAUUAACACAUACCAUUACUUCGUAACACUUUUGUAUAGUGGAAUUAAGCUUAUUGCCUUCCCAAUGGUGUUCACCCUCUUCCCUUUCAGUCACUUGCACUACGUAUAGCUUUGGUGUGGAUGAGAUUCCCCGAGAAAAAGUCUUCAUGUUCGGACAAUGUGUCAUAGAAACUUGUUCCAAUGAUGGGAAUUCAAGAGUGUAAUUCUCCAAACAAAAGCUGGUAAGCCUUGGUAAAUCAUCAAGUUCCAAAAGUUUUAAUUCGUUGAAAGCAAUACGAUUCUCCUUCGCUUCUUCUCCAACAUGUCCUAUGAUUUCUUCUAUUUUUGCACAGUCUGAUACAUCAAGAUUCACUAGACUAUUGGGAAUUCCAACCUGAAAAUAAAGAGUAGCAUUCAACUAGAUUCAAAGUAUGUCAAAAUCAUACAAUUGUUUUAUGAAAAAUAACAAACCAUGAAUGUCUACUAGAUAUUUUUUGUUAAAGAAAAAAAAGAAAAAAUAAAAAUAAAUAAAUAGAAGUCCAGAAAAACAAAGAUAAUGAAAAUGCAUUUACACUAUUUAGUAUUAGGAACGGAGAAAGAAUUUCAGGUAAUUUUUAAAUAUUCUAAAUUCAUUUUUCAUCUCGAUGCUAGUUUUUUAAAAUUUUUAAUUUUCAAACAUGCCUAUUUUUAAAAUAACUAAACUAAAACGCUGUAUUUCCCUUUUUUUUUUUUUCCCGAUAUUCAUGCUUUUAAAAAUGGAAAACAUUUCUGGAAAACACUUCCCAACGCCAUCAACAUGGGACUGUUAUAGAGUGAAUAUUUGAGGAAUUUUUUAAUCAACGGUCGAUUCAAAAUGACCAUCAUGAAUUUGUGCUUAAUCAAUGGCGUAAUCAAUUCAUAACUAAACUAGAGAUAUUAACUACAUUUGAACACUUUUCUUUAUUUUUUUUUAAAUCGAAAUUUGAAGACCCAAGGAAAAGAGAAAUAUAUAUGAAUUUGUGAGCUUAAAAGCUGAGUAACUAAGUAUCUUUUAAUUUCUAAAAAUCUUAUUUAUUAGGAUUUAAGGAAAAAAACAAUUAAAUUGAAUUAUAUUAUGCUGUUAAAUCGUGUUUAAAACAAUUAUAUCGUUGACUUUAAUGCGGGUGAACCUAUAAAUUAGAUUGACAAUGCAGAGUUCAGAAUGGUGAUUUGAAGUACACUACUUUUUUGCCCUCCUGAUGUUUGAAGUAAAAUACUUGCAAUAAAUAAUUUGUGAAUGAAAAUUAUUUGUAAACACAAAAAUGAUUAAAAUAAUUGUUGAAUGUUACUUGAAAUAAAAAUUCAAAAUGAAUAUAGCAAUCUUACCAAUGGAGGAAAAAUAUUCAGUAGAUUAUUACACCCAGAUAUCUUCAAUUUUUUCAAUUUGCUAAAAGACUUCGAAGCAAGCUGGUGGUGCCAUAUUUUUCUCAACUUAUCCGCCUCACUAAUAUGUAAUACCUCCAGACUUGGGAGUCGUACCUGAAGUUAAAAAUUCAAUGCAAUUAGAGAUGUAUAUUAAUUAAAUUUGAAGACUCAACGAAAAGAGAAUUUAAAAAUUCAAUGAAAAAAAACCUUUUCAUCAAAGAGGGAUUGAGGUUGCAUUUCAGUGUGAAUGACGUCUUCUGGUGAGGCAAAGCUACUUAGUUUUGGAAGCCAAUGGAGCGACAGGUAGUGUAGUUUGGGAAAAACCUUAAAUUCAUCUCUUCCUCCUAACGUCGUGGUGUUGACUACCCCUUCAAUUGACCGGCAAUUACGAAUCUCAAGAUGUUGGAGUUGCCCAAGACUAUUAACCAUAGAAUAUGAAAACAAAUACUUCAGACGAUGACAACUCCACACGGUCACUUUUGUUAAAUUUUGACAACAAUAUAUUCCCUGAAAUUGAUCGGACCAUAAUUUUUUUAUAUUUGUUAAACUGACAAGUUCCAGUUCCUCCAAGCGUGGAAAAGUAACCUGCAAAGAAAAACCAUACAUUUUUGUUCCUUCAACUACAACUUCUAAUAUAAUAUUCUUUCGAUGAUUGAAGAUCAAUCGUGAUAAUAUAUUAAUUAAUUAAUUAUUAAACAGAAAAUUAUUACCUGGUGAACAGGAUCAUCCUCUGCAUUGAUUUCUAUGAAUCCCUGAGUUGUUGUUGGUUUCUCCAUGUCGGGCCCUAUAAAUGAACCAAAACAAUAUAUAAUAAACAUCCGUUGUUUUUUUCCCCAAAAAAAGAAAAAGAAAAAAAGAAAGAGUCAAUGUCAAUAAUCCUACCAAUAAUUAAUUUCAACACUUACCAAUAAUCAUUUUCAAAUCAUCGCAGUCUUCCACUUUUACUUUUUGAAGCCGCAAUAGGUUUUUGGCCAUAGAGAAUGAGAAGAGAUACUUCAAUUUUCGACAGGAAUCUACGUUUAUAAUCCUUAAGUUGCUGAAGGAUUGAUCUUCUCUGAGUUGGCUGUAGCAUAUCGUCUCCAAAUUAGUUAAAAACAUAAGAGACAAUGCCUCCAGCAAGGGAAAGACUUCGCAACGAACCCUAACUGAACCGACAAUAUGUAAAAUCUCAGAACAGUCUGUUACGAGAAGACGCUUCAAUCGUGGAAAACCUUCCCCAUCGUCUAAUUCAUGAACAACACUUUGAACACCCUCCAAUGUUUCUAGCCAGAGAUCUUCAGUUCUCUGCAGCAACAUUUUUGUCCCAUCAUUCUCCUGAAGAAUGCUAACUUUUUUUAUCCCCUUGAGCAUCAUCAAUCUUGAUGCUUCAGAUUUGACGAGCAAUGGGUCAAACUCAUCUUCGGGCCCAUCUCCUAUACGUAUCUUAUAUCUUUGCAAUUCCACAGAGACAAAAUCCGGCGGCAGAAUUUCGGCAUCCGGAACUUCUAUCUCCAAAGUAGUUAGCUCUGUCAACCUCUCCAAUUCGACAAGACUGGCAUUACUUCCUCCUUCAACCUUCUCCCACCCUGAAAAACCGUUACCCAUAUACAAUUCUUCUAAUUGAGAAAAAUUUUUGGAUAUGACAUUUCGGUGCUAUUCACCUUCAAGCCCACCAAACAAUUGCUCUCAAAUCUAGGAAAUUGGUAACCGCGGCCAAUNNNNNNNNNNNNNNNNNNNNNNNNNNNNNNNNNNNNNNNNNNNNNNNNNNNNNNNNNNNNNNNNNNNNNNNNNNNNNNNNNNNNNNNNNNNNNNNNNNNNGCGAGGCUGAGAAUCUCUAUUUCUUUAGUGUCCCAAUUGCGCUAUAUCUGCUAGUCGCACCAGUCUAAACACAAUGUUUGAAGGUUAAUGAGGCGACCAAGUGAUGAAGGUAAUGAAGAAGAGCCAAUUCCAGGAAACUGUAAAACUUUGAGUCCUUCCAUCCCUUCAAAAAAGUGGUCUGAAACUUGCAUAGGGCCAUUACCCUCCGUAUACAACAAAAAUAACUGGAGAUUGGGACAUUGCAACCUUUCAGGGAGCUCUUGAAUAUCUCUAUGAGGUAAUGAAAUAGCAAUUGGAUCUUUCUGUAUUGUCUCUUCCAUCUUUUUCUCCAAGUCAGCAACAUUUGGAACAUUAAACAUGCGCUCCUCUCUGGCAAUUGAUACGGCAACAACAUGAAUGACGUCAUGCAUUUUAACUUCAUCUUCAGCAUCACCGUCCAACAAUAAGCAUGAAGAUUUGAGGUUGUCGAUCAACCGAUGCACUCUACUCCUUGCUUCUUCCAAUGUGUAAACAUUUUCAAACAAACCCCAACCCACACCACAUCUCAAUAAGUCAGAAACUUGUAUGACAUUACCUUCACUGUAUAGACUACAAAGACGGAACAGAGAUUUUGCCUCCUCACUUUCCAAGAAGUCAUAACUCAAUUUUAUGGAGGUGUACACAUUUGCUUGCAUGCCAUGAAUUUCUCUAGCAUCCGAUCUUCUUAGCUGAUUCAAUGCAUCUUUCCAAAAGUAACUAUCCUUAGUUUUCAGAGCAUUUGCAACUGUACUCAGUGCAACAGGCAAACCUCCGCAUCUUUCAACGAUCUCAUUUGCUAUACUUUGAAAAGCGGAUAUUUUAGUUGAAUCACCCACUAUCUUUUCAAAUAACUGCAAUGCUUCUUUUGGUGGCAAAGCAUCGAUCGGGAAAUUUUUCUGAGAAUUCAUAUCAAUGCGCAAUAAAUCUCGACUUCUAGACGUCAAUAUUAUUGUGCAUCGUCUCUGAUCAUCCUUUGUAUCUUUCUCAUCAACAUCCCCACAAGGAAUUCCAACUUUUUCGAACUCGAGUUUUUUCCAAAUAUUAUCCAAUAUAACGAGGACCUGCUUCUCGUUCUUCAAUCUUUCACGUAAUCGAUCUGCUCUUUCGAAUUUAUUCUCAUCCGAGCCAAAUUUCAUGCCUAAGUCAAAAGCAAGUUUCUUUUGAAUUUCCUGAUGAUCUGGGGUCUGUGUUACCUCAGCCAUAACGACCUUGUCGAACACCUUAUCUUCCAUAACUUGCCUUGCAACUUGCUUGACUAGCGUGGUUUUACCCACGCCGCCCAUCCCGUAGACCCCAAUUAUCUUGAGCUUAUCAUCCUUCAACGCCUCCACAACAUCUUCAAAUACUUUCAUUCUUGAAUCAAAGGCCUCGAAAUCUUUCACUUGCAUAUGUUCUGCCCGCUUUGGAGCAGGACGGUAGGAAACAUUAGAGAAGUUACAUUUUCCCAUGAGACUAGCAGCAGCUUCUGCGGCCUUUGCUGCUUGUCUACUGAGCUUGUAACGAGAAAUCAAGUUUGGGCACAAUCCUUUGAAACAGAACUUCUUAGCUCUAUCUUCAUCAUCAGUGAUGGAUUUCGCAGCUCCCUGACUGAAUUCCUUGACGCUAUUAAGCCAGUCUGCAACAUCCUUAUAAAUCUCAUCUCCUUGUUGAGUAGCCUGAUGAACGGGUAUUUCCACCCUUUCUCUUUUAUAUCCCAACUGUUUCACUUGAUCUUUUAGGCCAUCUAUGUAGCUCUGGUACUUGAACACAUAAGAGAUCUGCCGUAUAAUCGGUUUGAACAGUGACUUUGCAUCUUCUGAUACGAUGCUGGAAAAAGCAGCCAGACCCACUUCUGCAACCAUUGCCUGUUGCUUAACAAUAUAUGUAUAUAUAUGAAUAAAAUGAAUAAAAAUGUCAAAGAAAGGAAUACAAAUAAAUUAAAAUGAACUAGAGGGAAAGACAGAGAAAGAAAAGACCGCAAACAACAUCGCGAUAUUGAUUUUGAACCAACUGAUACAUAAGUAGAGAAUUUCUUUUUCUAUCUUAAGGAUCAGAGGUUUUGCUAUUAACAGAAAGGUAUCCUUUAAGGAAAGUUGAUGGAAAUUAAGAAAGAAUGGCUAUCAAGAUCAAGUAUUCUGCUACUAAAAAUAAAUGAUAUGACUUAAGAAAAGUAAAUGAUAUGAUUAAGAAAAACCAGAGAAUUUUUUCCUAGGAAAGUUGAUGGAAAUUAAGAAAGAACCGCUAUGAAGAUCAAGUAUCAGAGAUUCUGCUACUAAAAGAAUAUUACAGGUUUUAGAACAAGUGCACCUCUUUACCUGUCUGGGAUCAGAGUCGAUGAGCUGCUGUAUUCACCUUGAAUAUAGAAGAAAUAUUACAGGUUUUGACUAAAGAGGAAUGUGAGGAACGAGUUGAUGAGAGUAAUAACAAUGAAUUUCCAAAAGAAGACGACUUGAGCAUUAAGCAUGCACCCCCUUUAUCAAUCAAAUAUUGGUACGUAUGUACGUAGGGACCAUUAUGCGUAUAUGAAGUCCAUUAGUUGCAAUCAGAAACCCUGGCCCAAUUUAAUUGACACUCGAUUUUUGAUAAGAAGAAGGCAAGGAUAAGGACAAAGUCAAUCAAUCACCAACAGUAAUUACUUCAAUCUUUGUCAAUCUACUUAAAUUGUCGAUCAACAUGAAAAUUGUUUAAAUUGAUAUUUGUAAAUCAAUCAAUUUUCUAGUUACUAUGAUUAUAACGUUUCACCUUUCAUAUUGGAUUUUAUCUUUUCGAAAGUUUUCAAAUAUGAGUGUCAAUAAUUAUUGAGACUCCAAGCCGUGCUCUCAAGAUCGUGCUGACAAAUCACUAUUGACUUUGUUUAUGCAAAAUUCAAAGAAAAAAAGUUAUGGUUUUGUAUUGCCAGCCCUGCUACUUUUUGUUUUUUUCAUUUGUAUUAUUUACGAAUUAUUUUUUAACAGAAACAUGAGAACUCAUCAUCGUAUAAAAUUGCAUGAAAAAAUCUUCAAAUUUAUAAAAGUAAAUUUCAUUGACAGAUUGUGGAUAUGUUAGAAAGAAUAAGGAUAAGAAUGAGUUAAGAAAUAAUAUAUAUAUAUAUAUAUAUAUAUAUAGAUAGAUAGAUAGAGAGAGAGAGAGAGAGAGAGAGAGAGAGAGUGAAAGUAAACAAUGUUUUGGUACAUUUGGUAUUGUUUUCAAAAUAUUUUGAAAAGAAAAAUUUUCAAUUAUCCAUCUAAGAAUUAUCUUAUUAUCCAAAAAGUUAUAAAAAUUUAAAAAUAUUUAAUUUUAUACCCAUUAUUACAAUGUGUAUCAACUGUUUACUAAAAAAAUAAAGUUACUCCUAAAACAUAAUCACCACUACAAUUUUGUGUUCGGUUCUAUUUUGUCACUUUGAACGAAUAACUUUAUAUUUUUAACAGAUGUUUCAUACAAAUUGCAUACAUUGGAUGUAAAAUUAAAUAAAUUUAAAUUUUUAUAAUAAUUUUAAUAAUUGAAUAAACUUUGAGUAAAUGACUGAUAAUUUCUCUUUUAUAAGCUACAAGAAGUUAAAAAGAAAAAAGAAAAAAUAGGAUGAUAAUUUCUCUUUUAUAUGCCUCAGAUGAUUUAUUGUUUCGGGUCUAAGAUUUUAAUUAUUCAACUUAAAAGAUUAAUAUAUUAUAAAUUAAUUAAUUAAAUAAUCAUUAAGCAACUAAAUUGGGUCCCCUGGAUGUCAAUUCCUUUAAUAUUGACGCAACUAUUUUUUUCUGGCAAAUAAUUAUUAAUGCACUGACGGAACUUUUGCAUAUCUACACAGCGAUUUUAAAUAUUACUGGUAACUGCUGAGAAAUGUGCGAGAAAGAAGUUGAUGAGAGUAAUAACAGCGACUUGCAAAAGGAAAAGACAGAAUCAUUCACCCCUUUUUGUAUCACCUAUUUGGUUACUGUUUCCCUGUUGACGCAUGUAUAAAUUUGACUGGUUUUUCUGCACUUUUUUGGCUGUUGCUUAACAAUGUGUGUGUGUAUUUGCUGUUGAAAAAAUUGGAUUCAAAUAAAUUAACUGAAAGAUUAGAGUUUUGACUAUUAACUGAAAGGUUUCAAGGGUAUGAAUGAAAAGCAACAUUCUUUUUUAGAAACUAUUUUAGAGGAGAGAUGCAAAUUAACAAAUGCUAAUAACAAGAACACAGAAGUUAACAAUGAACAGUAACUUAAAUCAAGAAAAUUAAAUGACAAAAUUAAGACAAACAAGAGAUAUUUUUUUCUUGGACAUUAAGAAAUAACUGCGGUCAAGAUCAAGGAGAUUAUGCUAUUAAUAGAAAUUAUCAAAGGAUUUAGAACAAGUUCACCUCUUUAAUUAUCCGGGAUCAGAUAGUUGAUGAGCUUCUCUAUUUAGCCUUGAAUAUUUAAGAAUAAUUUUAAAGAGCAAAAAGAUCACUGGUAACUGCUGAAAAAUAAGUGAGAAAAGAGUUGAUGAGAAUAAUAACAAUGAAUUGAAUAAAAAAAGGACUUAAUCAUGCACCCCCUUUGCAUAUCAUGUAUUUGGUUACUGUUGCCUUGUUGACGCAUGUAUAGAAUAAUUACAUGUAUUAUUAUAAUUUUGGAUUCGAUAUCCUUGUAUUAGUGUCUAAGAUUUUCAUGAAGAAUUAAACUUGGAAUGACCAAAAGAGGAAGCUGCAGUGUAUUGUUGGACCCAAUUAAGUUGAAGAAAGCACUAGUUCACAACCUUACGUUUGGAUAUAUUCUAAAGAAAUAAUUAAACAGCAAAUCAUCACAUGCACUUUAAUGAUUUGAUCUAUUGUUUUCAAAAGAAAUUGCAAUUAACAGUUUUUGUCAAAAGUUCGCACAGCGUGAAACUAGUGUUAGUAUAAUUUAAAAAAUUAAUUUCAGUAUUAUUUUUUAAAAUGUUAAUUAUUAGAUUUAUUUUAAUAAUAUAUUUAUAUUUAUUAUAAAAAAUUUAGUUAAAUAUUUGUGUUAAAUAGAAUUUAUAAUUAAUUUAAUAUAUCUUAGGUAUUAAUAAUAUUAUAAUUAUUCUAUAUGCUAUUGAAAAUAAUUUAAAUUUUUAGACAUUUAUUUUAUAUUAAGUUUCUAUUUAUUACAAAAUUUAGUUUAAUAUAGUAUAAGCUUGUAAAGUAUUAAAAUAUUUUUUUCAUUUUUUUUAAAAUAUUAAAAUUAUUUUAAAAUAUAUAUAUUAACAUUGAAGCUAAUUUUUUGAGUUAAUAGAGCUAGUAGGUGUUAUAGUAAAAAAGAGUAUCUUAGUAUCUCUUAUUGAAAAUAUAUAGAUCUAUAUAAUCAUUUUUUCAAAUAUUGAGAUGUAGAAAAAUAAAUUAAAAAAUUUUAAAUUUUAAUAUGGCCAUCGUAGGGUUAGAAUCCCCGCUCCAACCCGAUUUGGAGAUUUAUGUUUUUAAAAAAAAAAAGAACAAAGAAAAAAUACACACCCGACCAAAUCAAGCACCUCAUCAAAUCAAAAAUAAAAAAGGAAAGAAAUUAAUGGCUUGCAUGCAAUUUUGGAUCUGAAAUUAAAAUUACAUAAAAAUUAAGGCUUACGUACCUUAAUAUUUACAGCUUGUUUGAUGGCCCCAACAAGUUUAAGCAGCAUCAAAAUGUUGUGGCUCCUUAAAUGACAACAUCGACUUGUUUGACAGCUCCAACAAGGCUACGAUGAUCAGAAGAUGAGCCCUCAAUCAACAAGGCUAAGAUUGGCUUCUCUAUCCUCUGCCGACAUGUCCUCUUCUCCCAACAACCAGCGCCUUGCUCUUUGUCAUUUUUCCUCUUGUUAGUUUUCUUCUACAUAUAAUUAUUACACUGGGAAGUAUACACACACUUCUUUUCUUUUUAUAGUACCUUACUAUUAUAUCUUUACAAAACAAUAUCACCCUAAGACAUAUAUGUAUGAAAUAAAUAUAUAAGGAACGGACGAAAUAAAAUUAGAUCUAACACUAGUUUCAUGUGGUGUGUGAACUUUUGACAAUCCUCUCAUACCCCAACAAAAACUUUGUCAUAUUACAAAAGUUAUCACGACCAUAGACUUUUCAAUUGCAUAUUGGAAUUGCAAUGUCAUUUUAUUAUAGUAAUGUCAUUUCCAUUAUUCAUAGUGGCAGACAAUGGACAUCACGGGACACGGCUAGAAGUUAUCACGACCAUAGACUUUUCUAAUUUAUGAAAUAAAUGAAAUUAGAUCUAAUUCUAGUUUCAAGUGGUGUGAACUUUUGACAAUCCUCCCAUAUCCUAACAAAAGCUUUGUCAUAUUGCGAAAAUACCUUUUCAAUGUUUCAAUUGCAAUGUCAUUGCCAUUAUUCAUAGUGGCAGACAAUGGACAUCACGGGACAUGGCUAGAAGUCUAUGUUACGGCUUCUGUAAGUAACAGCAGCCAAUGGGGAACUUCCAUGGGGGCUAUAGGAGAGAGAAAGAGGUCCCAAUACAAGUGUUAGAGUACAAUUUAUACACUAGUUUUGCAUUGUUUACUUCCCUUAAUAUCGAUGUUUUGCAUUUAAUAAUAAUGAUUUACUUGUGUUUUACUUUUGUAAGUGCAAUUCUAUUGAUUUGUGAUAGAAUUGAGGUAUAAGAUGAUGUUUAAAGAUGAUUGUUCUCUUGGAGAAAUUUAGAGCGUCAGAAGAACUUUAUAGAUAAGGCGUGGGCGCGUGCUGUCAACUGCGGACCUGCAGUUUUUAGUUUAAUGUGUUUUGUAUUUUUGGCUAUUUUUGUAAUUACGAAUUUAAUAUUUCAAAUAUUAUUAUUUUAUUUUAAAUAGAACUUUAAAAGAGAAGAGAGAGAGAGUAUUUAAGGGAGGAAUCUAUUGUGAAAAAGGGGGGAUUUUAAUUGGAGAAAAAGAAAGAAACCCUAGAUCUAAUUUUUCUCUUCUCUCUAUGAAAAACUAAACUUAUUUUUUCUAGUUGAAGGUUAAUGAAUUUUUGAUUCAUCACUACUGUGAGAUCUUUCUUAUGCUUUAAUUGUUUUAUUACUUUUUGGGUAUUUGUUUAUUCUCUGAAUUAGUUUCAUGAUUAUGUUUGUUAAUUAGGUAAUUGGCCACUAUUUAAUUAUCAACUUAAUCUAUUGUCAAUUAAAGAAUUCAUCGUAUGACGAGUUUAAUGUUUGUGACAAAUAACAUAGCAGUGAGUUGUGUUAUGGGAAUAAACAAUCUAAUUUAAAUGAAUCAUCAUAUGUGUUGAUUAGGAUUUGGGUCGCUCUGGUUUUUCAGGCUGUCAAUUGAUUAAAUCCUAUGAUCGUAUCUAGGGUUGUCUAUUAAUUAGGGAAAUAUCCAAUGGUCGUACCUUGGUUAUCGACUAGUUAAGGAGAGAUUGGCUAUUAGAGGGUCUCAAUAGCUAUAACCAGUUUAUUCAUAAGUAAUAAUAAUCUAUUUUUGAAUCAAUGAUCAGUAGUCGAAUCAAACUGAGUUAAUUCCUUCAACCAAAGCUUUCUCCAAUUUGAAUUACAACUUUAAUUUGCAUUUUUGUUAUUUUAAUUUGAUUUUUUAUUAUUGUCAACAAUUCUCCCAUUUUACGUUUUACGUUUCAAAAGAAUUUAAAUAAUUACCGAUCUCUGUGGACACAACCCUGCUCAAUCACUAUACACAAUUUAUUUAGAGUAGGAAUUUAUUUUUAUUGGCUUCAACAACCAUCAACAAGGUGAUGGAAAUGGGAAAGUUCGAAGCUGUUACUUUCAGCUUCUGCACCGUAGCCAUGUCCCACGGGACAAGGCUAGAAGUUAUCAUGACCAUAGACUUUUCUAAUUUAUUUUUUCCUUUCAAAAAGGGACAAGGAUAAGUUUGGGAGAAUGAUUAUAUUUUUAAUAAAAGAAUUCUUUUUUAUUAUAAUACUUUUUGUCUUUAUUAAUUUAAAAAUAUUAACUCUUAUAUUUUAAUAAAUAUAAAUAUAAUAUUAUAAUAACAUAUAACAAUAUAUACAAAUAUUUAAAAAAAUUUAAGAUUUUAUUAAAAUAAAUUUUAUAAUAAAUAAAAAUACAUUAUUAAUAUAAUUUUAAUAAUUUGCAUUUUAAAAAGUAAUACUGAUAUUAUUUUUUAAAUAUUAAUUUUUUAAAUUAUAUUACUCUACCAAAAAAAAUUAAACUAUUAAAUUAUAUUGAUAUUUAUUACAAAAUUUGCAAUUAAUUCUUAUUAUAUUUUUAAUUGGAAUUUGUUCCUGUGAUAUAACAACAAUUGCUACAGUUUUUUCCCUAAAUAAAGAUGGAGUUAUAAAUUAUUUGUGUAAGUGUCAUGAAAGUAAUAGUUGAAUAACAAUAAUGGGGCUUUAGGCAAUUUUUUUUAUGAGGUCUUCUUGCAAUUUCAACACUUAAACAGACUUGUCCUUGAUCCCAAUUUAUUUACCCCAUUUGGGCCCACGAUGAGAUAAAUAUAUUCCUGUGAGAUGAAAAACAUCAGGAGAAGAAAAUGUUUUAUUAUAAUAAAAAAACAAGUGGUCCAUAAGUCUAUUUAUUACUUUUUUUAUUCAAUACAAAUGGCCAACUUAAAAAAUGAUAAAAAUCACAUAACGCACAAGCAAAAAUUUAGAUUUACAUUUUUUAGUUCUCUCCGUGUCUCUCUUUCUCUUUUUUAAAAAAAAUAAAUAAAUGUCAGUGUAAAAUUAGAAAAAUUUUAGAUAUAAACUUUGGCGAUGACCAAACAAAAAUUGCAAGGGAAAGAAAAUAGAGGACCCUUGAUAUCAUUAAAAUACUGAUCAUAGACACUACAAUAUAAAUAACUUGUUGUGAUCCACUCAACUUGUAACACUUUAAUCCAUAUUCUAAAAUUUGUAUGUUUGUUAGGAAUUUUAUUAUUGACAUUACUGUACCAAUAAAAUUCUAAUUUAUUCAUAUGGAAAGAAAACAUCAAGAAAGGACCUCUGAUUUUUAUUAUAACAGAAAAAAGUGGUCCAUAAGUCUAUUUAUUAUUUUAUUUAUUCAAUACAAAUUGCCAACUUAAAAAAUGGUAAAAAUCACAAAAUGCACAAGUAAAAUUUUAGAAUUACAUUUUUUUUAAUUCUCUUUGAGUCUCUCUCUCUCUCUCUUUAAAAAAUAAACCUCACUGUAAAAUUAGAAAAAAUUUAGACAUAAAAUUUGACAAUCACCAAACAGAAAAUGUAGGGAAAUGAAAAUGGAGGAGCCCUAUUAUCAUUAGAAUAUUGAUCAUAGAUACUAUAAUGUAAAUGAUUUGUUGUGGUUCAUUCAACCUGUCACACUCUAAGCCAUUUUCUAAAAUUUGUAAGGUUUAUAGGAUUUUUAUUAUUGGCAUCAUUGUAUCAAUAAUAUUAUAAAUUAUAUAUUCUAUUGUAAUGAAAAUUUGUGUAAUCUUAGGUAUUUAUUGUAUUAAAUUGUGUGGAUUAAUUAAGAAUAUUUUUGGAGACAAAAGAGGUGUGUGUACGUAGGAUUAAUAAUAAAAAAUUUCUAAAUAAAGGUGAUUGCUUCAUUGACAAGUACAUAUUUAUAUUCUCUAUUAGUAUUUGGGUUGUAAACUUUGUUUAUAAAGUGAAUAUAUUGUGGUAAGCGAUGUGGGCAAUAUCGGAUGCAAAAUAUUGAGAGAUCAUUAACGCAUAUAUUUAUUGCAUAUAGAGGAAAGAGUGUAGAUCCGGCCGUAACAAUUAUGAAGCUUUCCCCAAGUAUUCUCACGCUUCCUUAACUGUUCCAAAGUAUUUUUCAUAGUGUGCAGAUUUACUUUAUGGUGUCUUAAUUCGUCUAAAAUGAUUACUUUAGUUCUUUUGGGAUGAAAGGUCAUUUAUUGUGUUAGGAUUAAACAAUAGAAAAAAUAAGUAAUGGUAACGAAAGACUAAUUUGUGAUAUUGAAGCAUACAUGCUUAACUCAAUCCAAAACUUAGUAAGUUAGCUCAAGAGUUAAGAGUUGUCCAAAUCUUAUAUGCUGAACCCAAGUUCAAUACUCAAUUGAUGCAGGAUGUUAUUCCUAACACCGCCCGUCAUGCGUAGGAUUGGCAAAAAAACUCGAGUCAAUCCCGCCUAGACCUGCAAGCUUUAUUUAUGGCCAGCAUGAUGAAGUUACAGAUAUUAACCUAAAAAUUUGAAACUUACUAUGAAUGGCCUUGGUUAAAGACUUUUGUAACUUUAAUUUAUAACAAAUAUGUAUACACACACACACAUGUUUAGAUUGCAUUUGGGUGACUUUUUUUAUCAAUGCAAACAAUAUCAAAUUUAUCGGAUUAAUUUGAAUCUGAUCUAUAUCCGAUUUUGCCCGCCAUAAGCCCAAGUGACUCUCUUUUACUAAUUAAUAAGGGAAUUUUUUGACCUCAUGUCCUUGCUGUGGCAUUAGACUGUUGGUCAUUUUGAUUGUUUCCUACCUUCCAUUUACGCCAGCUGUAACAUUGUAUUAUUCACCAUUUUAGCCAUUUAAAUGAAAUUUUAUUUUUGUCAAAAAUAAAAUGACACCCUUAAAAUAAAAAAAAAUAGUUAUGUAGACCUCAAAUUUUUAAUAAAGAAUGUCAAUACCUCUUUUAACUACAAGAUUCGUAGUAGAUGAUAAAAAGAAAAUUAACUUCAAAUUUUUUCAUUAAAUGUAAAUCUGAUUGAAGUAGUUUAAAUUUUUCUAGUAGACUAAUAUAUAUAACUUAAAUAAUUAAUUUCAUUAUUAAUUGUUAAAAUGUUAACCAAUAUAUUUUUAAUUUAUUAUAAAAAUUUUAAAUAAAUCCUUGGAUUAAAUAGAUUUUACAAUUAAUGUAAUACUUCUGAUUUAUUAAUAAUAUUAAAAUUAUUUUAUAUGAUAUUCAAAAUAAUUUAAACUUAUAUAUAUAUUAAUAUUAUGUCUAUUUAUUAUAAUAUGGUUUAAUAUUAUACGGGAUUGUAAAAUAUUAAAAUAUUUUUCAAUAUCCAAUUAUUUUAAUAUGUAUAUAUCAUUACAUUUAUUUUAGUAUCAUAUUUAUAUUUAUUAUAAAAUAUAAAAUUAAUAAAAUUAAAGAGUAUUGCAGUAAAGUAAAAAAGAAAAGUCUUAUUAUCUCUUAUUCACGAUAUGAGAUUCUACAAAAUUAUUUCCCGAAACGGGUGUCCUUUUCUCAUUUUCAAAAGAAAAAAUAAAGUAAGAAUAAGUCCAUGGGUUUCAAAAACUUCUAGUCUUAUCCCGGGACUACAUUGUCUGCCACUAUAACUAAUGGAAAUGACAAUACAAUUGACAUUGCCUUUCGCAACAUGACAAAUUUUUGGUGGGAUAUGGAAGAAUUGUCAAAAGUUCACGCCAUGUGAGAGUUUUUGGUGGGAUGUGGGAGGAUUGUCAAAAGAUCACACCACAUGAUAUAACCACAAUUGCUAUGGUUUUUAUUUUUUAAAUAAUGAUGGGAGUUAUAAAUUAUUUAUAUAAAUUUGCGUAGAAACUAAUGUAACAUAAAAGAAGUAGCUGAAUAACAAUAUUUGGUGCUUUAGGUAAUUUUUAUAUGAGCCUUUCUUUUAUUUAGCGGCUCUAGUGCUUAAACAAACUUGUUCUCGAUCUUAUAACAGAAAAGGCAUCCCAUUUAAGCCUAUGAUGACAUAAUUAAACAUAUUCUUUUGUGACGAAAACAUCAAGAGAAGACAUCUCAUGUUUUAUUAUAACAGAAAAGAAGUGGUCCAAACGUCUAUUCGUUAUUUUAUUUAUUCAAUAUAAAUGGCCAACUUUAAAAAAAUGAUCAAAAUCACACAACACUCAAGUAAAAAUUUAGAAUUACAUUUUUUAAUACUCUCUAAGUCUCUCUCUCCUGCCCCCCCCCCCCCCACCCCGUCCCCUUUUUUGAAAAAAUAAACCUUAGUGUAAAAUUAGAAGAAUUUUAGAUAUAAAAUUAGAAGAAUUUUAGAUAUAAAAUUUGGCAAUCGCUAAACAGAAAAGCAGCGGAUUGAAAAUAAAAAAACUCUAUUACCAUUGGAAUAUUGAUUAUAGACAAUAUAAUAACUUGUUGUGGUUCAUUGUAGCACUCUGAGCCAUAUUCUAAAAUUUAUAGGUUUGUUAAGGCAUUUAUUAUUGACAUUAUUGUGUCAAUACUAUUAUAAUGAUAAUUUGUCUAGUCUUAGGUACUUAUUAUAUUAAAUUAUGUAAAUUAAUUGAGGAUACUUUUAGAGACAAAAGAAACACGUGUAUGUAGGAUUAAUAAUCGAAGAAUUGUAAAUGAAGGUGAUUGCUUCAUUGAGAGGCAUAUUAAAUAAUUAUGGAGAGUUGCACUAUUUCGGAAGCACAUAAUUAUACUUCCCUAUCAGGAUUUGGGGUAAACGAAGUGCUUUAUCUAUUGCAGUAAGCAAUGUGGACAAUAUCAGAGGCGAAAUAUUAAAAGAUCAUAACGCAUAUAUUGGAGCCAUUUAUCUUCCGCAACUGUUCUGAACUAUUCUUCAUUGUGGGCAGAUUUACUUAAAUACCUGCACAAUGAUUCAAUACUUCAAAGGUCAAGGAAAUGUCAAAAUAUGAAAUGAAAAUACUUAAAUACCCUUCUACCUAACAAAACUCGCAGAGAAUCUAUAAAAUUAAAAAAAAAAUAUUCAUCCAUGAAAAGCUUCGUAACAGAAAAACCGUCUUUCAAAAAAUAAAAACAGAAAAACUGACUCAUUUAUCUGCAAAUGAACCAAUCGGGACUCAUUUAAAAAAGAAUACAAAGCAAAAGUAAAUGACACAAAUUGCAUAGAUAUCUAGGAGCCGCAUCAAAAGACAAAGGUGUUAAUUUGUCCAAGAAUAAAUUCUCCUAGGUCAAAAGCAAUUAACGAUGAAAACUUUCUUCAUUAAGGUUCUGGCCUACGUAAAAAAACAGAAAAAAACCACCCCAAGGUCAAAGCACAACGAUAAAUUUAGAAAUGAAGUUUUUAAUUUUUUUUUAAUAAAUCAACGUGUAUCAAAAAUAGAUAAUAAUUUUGGAUAACUUUUUUUGAUAAAUAUAGACAUAAAAUUUUAAAAUCACCAAACAGAAAAACAGGAGAAUUAAAACAAAGUCCCUGUUUAUCCUCUAUUUUGCUUGUUAUUAAAAAGGGAAAUGAAAAGAUUGCAAGCGGAAAUUUUGUUUCUGCGUUGUCUCUUCUCAAUGCUGCAUGCAUUCAAAUUAAACCUUACAUAUGCUAGCAAACUAGCUACGCUGCAUGUAAGUUCUCGAUAAGUCCAAAUAAUAGAAUAAUUGUAAAAUGUUCAAAUUCAGUAAUUAAUUUUAUUUAUUUAUUUAUUCAAAAAUUAUUAUUAUUAUUAAUUAUUGUCAAUAAUAUAUUAAUAUACUAAUUAAUUGUAAAAAAAUUUAUCAUUCAUAACAAUAAUAAUGAUGAUGAUGACGAUAAUAAUAAAAAUUCAAAAUAUAUUAAUUAAUUAUAAUAAUAUAUUAAUUAUUUAAUAAUAAUAUAUUUAAAAUAUAUAUAAAUUGAUUAGAAUAGUUAUAUUAAUAAAUUAUAAACAUAUAUUAAUUAAUCAUAAUAAUUUUUUAAUUGAGGACAAAAUAGAUAUUUUAUAGUUUGUGAGAGGGGGCAAAAUGAUCAAUCUUGGGAAUGGGGGAUUGAUUCCCACCACCUUCCUUAGGAAUCAAUCUUCCAUUCCUCACUCCUAAUUUGGGUGGUCCCCAUAGUUCUGAUUCGGAUCCCAGCCUCCAUUUUAUGAAGUAAACAUCAUUAAUGAUUUCGAUUUCGGAUUUCGAUUCUCCAGUCCAAGAAGUAAAGGCACCAUUAUUGUUAAUUGGUUCAAACACACAAAGAGAAUGUACCAUGUAGCUAGGCGUCAAGGUUGUGUGGCACAAGUAACCUUUUUCUUUUCUUUUUAUUUUUCUUGUUUUCCUUAACGGAUCAGAAGAAAUCGGUGCCUUUGAGAUACUACAAUGUAAAUAAGUAUUUGUGGUUCAUUGAAUCUGUAACACUCGGUACCCUAAGGUUGCUUUUGAAAAAGGGCUUUUCUCACUGAUCACCAAUAUCCAAGUAAGUUUGUUUCAUUUCAGAAGGUGCAAAGUUUCAAACUUUUUGUAUUGGGAUGUAACAAACUUUGGCCUUAUAUGCUUGCUGUGACGUUAGACUGUUCAUUUUGAUUGUUUCCUACCUUCCACUUGCGCCACUGUAGCACUGUAUUAUUCAUCAUUUUAGUUGUUUAAAUGAAAUUUUAUUUUUGUCAAAAAUAAAAUGACACCAUUAAAAUUUAGAAAAAUAAUCAUGUAGAUCCCAAAUUUUUAAUAAAGAAUACCAAUAUUCCCCUUGACUACAAUACCCUUAGCAGGUGGUAAUCAAACAAAUUGACUUAAAAUUUUUUACGAAAUGUAAAUAUGAUUUAAAUAAUUUAAAUUUUCCAGAAGACUAAUAUAUAUAAUUUAAAUAAUUAAUUUCAAUAUUAAUUUUUAAAAUGUAAAUUAAUUUAUUUGUACUUAUAAAAUAUUUGUAAUUAUUUUAAAAUUUUAACUAAAUCCUUAGGUUAAAUAGAUUUUACAAUUAAUAUAAUAUUUCUCAGGUAUUAAUAAUAUUAAAACUAUUUUAUAUGACAUUGAAAAUAACCUAAAUUUUUUAUAUAUUUAUUUGAAUAUUAUGUCUCUAUUUAUUAUAAUUUGGUUUAAUAGAAUACGAGAUUGUAAAAUAUUAAUAUUUUAGAUAUUGAAAUUAUUUUAAUAUCUAUAUAUUAUUAUAUUUAUUUUAAUAUCCUAUUUAUAUUUAUCAUAAAUUAUUAGAGUUAAUUUUUUUAGUUAAUAAAUUUAAAAAUAUUAUAAUUUAAAAAAAGUCUUAUUGGCCGUUAUUCACGAUAUAAGGUUCUAAUAAAUUAUUUCUCUAGACAGGUGCCAUUUUCUUAUUUUCAAAAGGAAAAACAAGUUCAGGGCCUCGGGGGUUUCAAAAAAUUCUGGUCCUAUCUAUCACUAUGACUAAUGGGAAACGGCAUUGCAAUUGACAUUGCUUUUCGCAAUAUGACAUAUUAUGGAGGGAUAUGGGAGAAUUGUCAAACAUUCACACCACGCGAGAGCUUUAGGUGGGAUAGGGGAGGAUUGUCAAGAGUUCACACCACAAGAAACUAAUGAUAGGUCUAAUUUCGUUGUCAGUUCUUUAUUUAUUUAUUUUUUUUAUUUCAUACAUUAUUGUUCUUGUAAAGGUAUAAAAGUAAAGUAAAAUACUAGGGGUGCUGUUAAGUUACAACUGAUGUAACUUGUAAUUUUUUCAAAAAUAAUGUAAAAAAUUUAAUAGGUGGUGGGACUCACAUAUUUUUUAAGAGACUUAAGUUAUAGUAGUUGUAACUUAACAAAAUCUAAAUAUUAUACAAUAAUGCAUAUUAAUAAUGCAUAUAAUUUGGGUUUGAUUUUUAAAAGAUUAUUUGAGUACCACCUAUCCUUAUGAUAUUAAUGUGAUUAUAUCUUAAUAUUAAAUAAUCAAAAUUUGUUUAAUUAUUAUUUGUAUUUCAUACAUUACAUAUUAGAUUUGUUUGAAUUUUAAGUUGUUGCUAAUAAAUAUUUAUGUUGUCAAAGUCAAAUUCAAUAGCUACAAAAGCAGAGAUAAUGGUAUUGUAUAUAGUUUUUAAGAAUGCAAGGAUAAGCUGGAUAAUUGACAUAAAUUCUAAUGAUUAAAAGAGCAACUAUCCCUUAAAUUAUAAUGUUAAUUUCUUUAAUUAGAUUUUUUUUUUCAUGUGAUAUAACCACAAUUGCUACAAUUUUUUUUUAUAAUAAUAAUGGGAGUUAUAAAUUAUUUAUAUAAAAUUUGGGUUGAAACUAAUGUACCAUAAAAGUGGUUGCUGAAUAACAAUAUUUGAAACUUUAGGUAAUUUUCAUGAGUCCUUUUUAUAUUCAGCAACCUGAAUUGGGGAAAAUCCGACUUGAAUUGGCGGUUGAUUUUGGUGAUGUGGCUUUUGGUUUAUGGCGGCUUUACUGUGGCGGAAGACUGGAUUUACGGUUGCCGACUGCUAGGGAUUAUGGUGGUGGUGUAAAUUGACGGAAAAAGAAGGUGUUUUGGUGGCGGCGCGUGUAGGAAGCACUCGUGGGUUGUCGUUUCGUGUGGUGACAGAGGGCGGCGAUCAAGGGCCGAAGUCGGUCAGUUUUUGGUCAACGAAGGCCGGCGAGUUUGUUGGUGGAGGUGGCUGGUGGAGAAAGUGGCUGAAUGGUGGUGGGUUGCUUGGUGGAGCCGCAGGUUUGGGUUGGUGAUUUGCGGCUGUUCAAGCGGCGGUUGAGGCAGCGAUGACUGAGGCUUGGUCGACGGUGGCUAGUGAGGUUUGUGGUGGUGUUGGCUGGCUGAUUGGCGGUGGUGGGCGGCGGUGGGGGUUGGUCUGACGGGUAGGGUUUUCAAAUUUGUAAUUUUUUUUUUUGAUGGAUUUGGUUUGGAUGGGUAUGGUGUAUCUAGGAAAGAUGUGUGAUUCGCACAGAAUUGCUUUGAUACCAAUUGAUGGAGCGAGCGUAGCGGAAGUGGAAUUGAUAAGGUAAGAAAUACUAAAUAUCAUUCUAGUACUGGAUCAAGCCAACACAAUUAACUUACGCUUUAAUCAAAGCGUGAUUAGAUAUUGUUUUAAUCUAAAUGAUUCAAUGAGAUUUUUAAUAACGCGUAAUACGAGAUUAGAUGACACUCUAAUUUAAAUAACUCUAUAAGAGAGAUUUUGAUAAAUAAUACUAGAGGAAAUUAUAAAAAAAAGAGUUUUAUUUAAUAAUUGAAUUUGAAGUCCUGAAAACAAUGACAAGACAUCUUUAUUUUUUUUAUUACAGACAUCUUUAUUUAUAAUAAAAGAAAUCCACUUUCCUAAGUUAACCUAAAAAGAAAAUUUAAAUUAUAAUUAUAAUGGAAAUAAAAGAUUAAGAUACAUACCAUAAUUGACUCAAACAAAAAUAGAAAACCAUAAAAUAAUAAAUAUUUUAGAAUUAUAAAUUAUCUAAAAUAACGUUAAUUAACUUCCUAAAUCACGUCUUUGGUGUAAACCAUUUUGCAUCCAACCUUGCUUUAAAGGUUUGAACCAACGUUACGAACAACAAUGUAUCAAAUUCCAAUCUAACUUAAGAUCCUGAUACAUCUACCGAUGUCCUUGUUUGAUUAGACAAUAAUGAGUCUAUCUCAUCACUUGUUACCUCUUUUUUGAAGCUGCAUCUGUUGAAGUGAUAGCCUCGCUUAGAGUUUAAAGAUCUUCUUCCAUGUUAAAUAAAGUGGGCAUUUGAUUAAAAAACUUUAUCUCUAUCUCCUUCUAUCAAAUAACGAAAACUAUCCAAAGGAAAAAAAAAAAAUUAGAAAAGUCCAUGGGUUGCAAUAAUUUAUGGUCUGUCCUCGGACCCCAUUAUCUGCCAAUAUCAAUGAUGAAAAUGAAAAUAAAUGGCAUCUUCCCAAAAUGGCGAAAGAUUUUUAGGAGAUAUGGGGAAUUGUCAAAAGUUCCCACAACGCGAAAUAAGUGUUACAUCCAAUUUUAUUUCAUCAUAUAAUGAUAAUAUCAAGUAAUGACAGCCAUCUAAAAGUAUAAUGGGUCUUCCAAAAUUUUGAAAAUGUCGUCAACAUUUAAUCUUCAAUGCUAAAGAAGAUGAAAUGCCCAAAAAUGACAUGCAGGACCCACUCACAGACUAAACGGCCCUGACCACAUGCAACAAACUUUGACUUUAUGUCCCUGCUGAGGCGUUAGACUGUUGGUCAUUUUGAUUGCUUUUUACAUUCCAUUUACGCCAUUGUAGCAUUGUACUAUUUACCAUUUUAGCUGUUUAAAUGAAUUUUUUUUUCCAAAAAUAAAAUGACACCCUUAAAAUUUUAGAAAAUAAUCAUGUAGACCCCAAAAUUUUAAUAAAGAACACCAAUACCCUUUUUGACUAUAGUACUCUUAUGGUAGCCACAAAAAAAAAAUGACUUCAAAAUUUUUUACUAAAUGUAUAUAUGAUUUAAAUAGUUUAAAUUUUCUAGUAGACUAGUAUGUAUAAUUUAAAUAAUUAAUUUUUAAAAUGUAAUUUAAUAUAUUUAUUUUAAUAAUAUAUUUAUUAUAAAAAUUUUAAACAAAUCCUUGGGUUAAAUGGAUUUUAUAAUUAAUAUAAUAUUUCUCAUGUUUUAAUAAUAUUAAAAUUAUUUUAUAUGAUAUUGAAAAUAAUUAAAAAUUUUAUAUAUUUAUUUGAAUAUUAUGUCUCUAUUUAUUAUAAUUUGGUUUAAUAGAAUACGAGAUUGUAAAAUAUUAAAAUAUUUUUAGGUAUUGAAAUUAUUUUAAUAUGUACAUAUUAUUAUAUUUAUUUUAAUAUCCUACUUAUAUUUAUUAUAAAAUAUUAAAAUUAAUUUUUUUAGUUAAUAAAUUUAAAAAAUAUUAUAAUUAAAAAAAAGAGUCUUAUUGUCUGUUAUUCACGAUAUAAGGUUCUACAAAAUUAUUUUCAAAAGGAAAAAUAAGUCUAGGGGUUUCAAUAAAUUCUAGUCCUAUUUGCCACUAUGACUAAUGAAAACGACAUUGCAAUUGACAUUACUUUUCGCAAUAUGACAAAUUUUUGGAGGGAUAUGGGAGAAUCGUCAAAUGUUCACACUACGCGGGAGUUUUGGAUGGGAUUGGGGAGGAUUGUCAAGAGUUCACACCACAAGAAACCAAUGAUAGCCAUAAUUUUGCUAUCAGAUCUUUGUUUAUUUAUUUUAUUUAUUUCAUACAUUGUUGUCUUGUUGGCAUUGUUUUGCAAAGAUAUAAAAGUAAAAUAAACUAUUAGGGUGCUGCUAAGUUAAGCUGUUGUAACUUACAAUCCCUUAAAAAAUAAUGUAAAAAAUUUAACACGUGGUGGGAUCGACAUAUGUUUGAAGAGGCUUUAAGUUACAGUAGUUGUGACAUAGCAAAAUCCAAUUAUUAGACAAUAACGCACAUUAACAAUGCAUAUAAUUUGGGUUUGAUUUUUUGAAAAAUUAUUUGAGUAUUAACUAUCCUUAAGAUAUUAAUGUGAAUAUAAUUUAAUAUUAAAUAAUCAAAAUCUGUAUAAUUAUAAUAUAUAGUUCAUACAUUGCAUGUUUAAUCAAAAUCUGAUUGCUUUUUACCUUCCAUUUACGCCCACUGUAGCAUUGUACUAUUCACCAUUUUAGCUGUUUAAAUGAAAUUUUUUUUUUUUCAAAAAUAAAAUGACACCCUUAAAAUUUUAGAAAAUAGUCAUGUAGACCCCAAAAUUUUAAUAAAGAACACCAAUACCCUUUUUGACUAUAGUACUCUUAUGGUAUUCACAAAAAAAAAAAAUGACUUCAAAAUUUUUUACUAAAUGUAAAUAUGAUUUAAAUAGUUUAAAUUUUCUAGUAGACUAGUAUGUAUAAUUUAAAUACUUAAUUUUUAAAAUGUAAUUUAAUAUAUUUAUUUUAAUAAUAUAUUUAUUAUAAAAAUUUUAAACAAAUCCUUGGGUUAAAUAGUUUUUAUAAUUAAUAUAAUAUUUCUCAUGUUUUAAUAAUAUUAAAGUUAUUUUAUAUGAUAUUGAAAAUAAUUUAAAAUUUUAUAUAUUUAUUUUAAUAUUAUGUCUCUAUUUAUUAUAAUUUGGUUUAAUAGAAUACGAGAUUGUAAACUAUUAAAUAUUUUUUGGUAUUGAAAUUAUUUUAAUAUGUAUAUAUUAUUAUAUUUAUUUUAAUAUCCUACUUAUAUUUAUUAUAAAAUAUUAAAAUUAAUUUUUUUAGUUAAUAAUUUUAAAAAAAUAUUAUAGUUAAAAAAAAGAGUCUCAUUGUCCGUUAUUCACGAUAUGAGAUUCUACAAAAUUAUUUUCAAAAGGAAAAAUAAGUCCAAGGGUUUCAACAAAUUCUAGUCCUAUCUGCCACUAUGACUAAUGGAGACGAUAUUGAAUUGACAUUGUUUUUCGCAAUAUGACAAAUUUUUGGAGGGAUAUGGGAGAAUCGUCAAGCGUUCACACCAUGCGAGAGCUUUAGGUGGGAUAUGGGAGAAUUGUCAAGAGUUCACACCAAGAGAAAUUAAUGAUAGGCCUAAUUUCGUUGUCAGUUCUUUAUUUAUUUAUUUUAUUUAUUUCAUACAUUAUUGUCUUGUUGGUAUUGUUUUGUAAAGAUAUAAAAGUACAAGUAAAAUAUUAGGGGAAGUAAAGUAAAAUAUUGGAGGUGCUGCUAAUUUACAGCUGCUGUAACUUACAGUUCCUUCAAAAAUAAUGUAAAAAAUUUAACACGUGGUGGGACCCACAUUAUGUUUGAAGAGGCCGUACAUUAUAGCAGUUGUAAAUUAGUAAAAUCCAAAUAUUAGACAAUAAUACACAUUAACAAUGCAUAUAAUUUGGGUUUGAUUUUUUAAAAAAUUAUGUGAGUAUUACCUAUCCUUAAGAUAUUAAUGAGAAUAUAUUUUAAUAAUAAAUAAUCAAAAUCUGUUUAAUCAUAAUAUGUAAUUGAUACAUUGCAUGUUAGAUUUGUUUGGAUUUUAAGUUGUUGCUAAUAAAUAUUUAUGUUGUGAAAGUCGAAUUCAAUAGCUACAAAAGCAGAGAUAACGGUAUUUUAUGUAGUUUUUAAGAAUACAAGGAUAAGACCAUAACGCAUGAGAUAAUGGUAUUUUAUAUAUAUUAAAAGACCAUAACACAUGUAUUUGAGCCAUUGAUAUUGAAGACACAUAUAGAGGAAAGAGUGCAGAUCCGGCCCUCAGUAUUGUGAAGCUUUCCUCAAGUAUUCUCAUGCACACAGACCUUAUCUGGUCAAGUUUUCUGAUUCAAUAUAAUCAAUUUCCGCGCAGUACUGACGACAGCUUCUCUGUAAAGCUCUUCAACCACAAGCAUUUCUACAAGGCAAAAGACUAGGACGUGUCAGAAUGAAUAUCAAUAAGGGAAUGUCUUAUGAAUUUAGUUUAUAUCCUAAUAUAAGACAAUCAGUAAAUAUUGGACUCAUUAGUUGCCCUUGCCUCAGACGUUUGGAUGCUAAGGGGAAAAAGGAAGUUUGAAUUAGUCAAUCUCAUUUCUAAUGGCAUUCACAGAGAACUUAUAAAACAAAAAAAUUAUAAAAAAAAAUUCAUCCAUAAAAAGCUUAGUAACGGAAAAACCGACUCUUUUAUCUGCCACUGACGAAAAAAAAACUGAAGUAUCAAAUAGAUAAAGAUUUUAAUUUUUUUCUUGGAAAAACUAAUAAUAAAUUAACAAUUGGAUAAUACUAUUAAUUAGAGAUCUUUAAUAUUAAGGUUAUCAAAGAUAGAAUGUGUAUAAAAAUUCUUAAUUAUAAGAUAAUUACUAACUAAAAAGAGGCCUAAAAAAGAAGAUUUGCUAUUAUAAGUAAUACCAAAAAUAAAAAAGGGAGACUUCCUAAUUGUUUAAUUGUUAAAAAAGAGGAUUUGCUAUUAUAGGCCUAAUUUGCCUAUAAGUAAUACCAAAAAUAAAACCGUUCCUGGAUGUAAAAAAUAAAAAUUAUUGUUAAAUUCCUGACUAAUAAGGUCAUUGAAAGUAUUCAAAGGACCUGAACUUAUAGGAAAGCCAGCCAUGAUGAACUAUACCACGUUGCAAGUGAGCUCGUAUCUUCAUCCCUUGAUCUGCCAUCGGCAUUUCUGUUCCACUCACUAUACCAUCCUUUUCAAUCGAUUUUUAUUGAUCAUAAGAGGCCAUGUGGCCCACCUUAUUUUUAUUUUGGAUCCAUAACCCAAAGCUGGCCCAAGUUCUGAUUCCAGAAUCAUUUGUCUACAAAGUGACCUCAUUCCGGCAAUUGGUUUAUGCUAAUAGCACGUGCAAUUUUCAUUUUCUUCUUUUUAUUAAUUAAUUUCAUCAUUAUUAUUUGCUUAUUAUUUUAAAUUAAUUAAUUAAAUUGUAUUAUUGAAAUUAGUCUUUCUUUUUUCUUUUCUCUUUCAAUGCACAAAGCCAAACAACCAUUCUUGCUUCAAAUACCGAAGAGCUCCUGACUACGGCUGUCAAUGCUUCUAUAUUUACGUGCUGUGCUGCAUCACUCUUAGCGAAAGCUUGAAUGAAUGAUUAAAGACAAAAGCUUAUAUAAAAGCAGAUGCCGGAGGCACUCAAAAAGCAUUUGAGAGAGAAGCUACACAGCAAAUCAUCAAACGUACUUCAAUGACUUUGAUUUUGAUUCUUUUUUUUUUCAAAAGAAGUAGAAAAGUCCAUGGAUCACGAUAACUGCUUGUCCUAUGCCGUGACCUCAUUGUCCGCUGCUAGUGUCAAAUAGAUUAAUCUUUCUAGUAGAUUAAUAUAAUUUAUAAUUUUAAUUUCAGUAUUAAUUUUUAAAAUGUUAGUUGUUAUAUUUAUUUUAAUAAUAUAUCUAUUUUUAGUAUAAAACUUUAAAUAUAUAUUUAGAUUAAAUAGAUUUAUAAUUAAUAUAAUAUAUCUCAUGUAUUAAUGAUAUUUAAAUUAUUUUAAAUAAUAUUAAGCCUAACUUAAAAUUUUAUAUAUUUAUUUUAAUAUUAUGUUUCUAUUUAUUAUAAAAUUUAGUUUAAUAUAAUAUAAGAUUGUAAAGUAUUCAAAUAUUUUUUAAAUAUUGAAAUUAUUAUAAAAUGUAUAUAUUGUUACAUUUUUAAUAUUGAAGUCAAUCUUUUUUAAGUUAAUAGAGUGAAAAGAUAUUAUAAUAAAAGGCUACGUAAUCUUUCACUUGCACAUAUUCUGUACUCUCUGGAGCAGGACGGUAGGAAAUAUGAUUACAAAUGUUAAAUUCGCCUUUCUUCACAAGUUUAUCAGCUUCGUUUGCGGCCUCUGCUGCUUGUUUACCAAGCUUGUAACAAGAAAUCAAAUUUGGGCACAACCUUUUGAAGCAGAACAUCUUAGCUCUAUCUUUAUCAUCAAUGAUUGAUUUUGCAACCCCUUCACUGAAUUCAGCAACUCUAUUUAGCCAGUCUCUGACACCCUUAUAAAUCUCAUCUCCUUGUAGAGUAGCCUCUCUAACCAGCAUUUGCACCCUUUCUCUUAUAUAUUCCAGCUCCUUCACUCAAUCUUUUAGCCCAUCUAUGUAGCUCUGGUACUCGGAACACAUAAGAUAUGUGCCACAUAAUCGGUUUGAAUAAUGCUUUUGAACCUUGUGAUACAAUGCUAGAAAAAGUAGGGAGACACCCUUCUGCAGCCAUUGCCUGUUGCUUAACAAUCUAUAUAAAUAAAUACAAGUGUCAAAGAAAGGAAUACAGAUAAAUUAAAAUGAACUAGUGGGAAAGACAGAGAAUGAAAAGACUGCAAACAAUAUUGCGAUAUUGAUCUUGAACUAACUAAUAAUUAAAUAGAGAAUUUCUUUUUCUUUCUUGAGGAUCAGAGAUUUUGCUAUUAACAAAAAGGUACUUCGAGGGUCUGAAUAAAAAACCAACCAUAAAUUAUCAAAAGCUAGUAAAAACACAGACGUAAAUAAUGAACAAUUACUUAAGCAAAACAGACCAUGAUACAAAGCAAAUCUAAUAAAAUGACAAAAAAAGAAAGAAAGAAAGAAAGAAAGAAAAUACAACAAAUAAUAUUGAAGUGUUGAUUAUGAGCCAACUGAUAUUUAAACAGAUUUUUUUAAAAUUUUUAGUCUUUUGCUAAAGGAUUAGAGUUUUUGUUAUUAAUAGAAAGGUUUUAAAGACCUGACAUUACUAGAAAAAUACUAAAUAAUGACAGAAAUUUUAUAACAUAUAUCGUUAUGUCACGAAUGUGUCAUGAAAAUAUGAUAGAUUCGUGAUAUAUAUUCAUGUCCAGAGUAUAUGACAUAUUCAUGACUUAUAACUUAACCAUCGUAAAUAAAUGAUACAUAUAAGUCAUGCUUAAGUUUUGUGAACUUAUAAGAUUGUAAAACAAUGCCGUUUAAAUUAACGACACCGUUUUGUAUAACUUAAAACCCAUUAACACUCGCAGCCAAAUUUUGGCUAAGCGUUGAAUUAAUCCCUCUCUCCACUGUAGAGAUGGCAGAAAAGCCCGCUCAGACCGGAUCCGGACUGGACCCGGUGCAUACGGUCCGGGUAAAACCCGGAUCGGAUGCAUGGAAAAAGCGGAUCCGGGCACGGGUCCGGUCACAGCACCAAGAAUCUGGAACCCGGACCCGUGCCCACUUUUUUAUUAAGUAAAAAAAAAAUAUAUAUAUAUAUAUAUAUAUAGUAGUUUUCCAAUCAGGGAUUAGUUAAAAGACAAAAUAAACACAUACUCCAAUGCAUUGUAUUUUAUCAUGUAGUGUAGUAAAAUUUAAAUUUUUUUGUCUUUUAGCUAAUCCAACUACUAUAUAUAUAUAUAUAACAACAAAAAUGCAUUUUGCUUUACCCAAUUUCCCCCAAACCCAACCGGCCAACCCUAAAUCGCAACAAGUCUCAGAAUCGCCACCUCCCUCCGUUUCUCCACCAACAACCACCACCCAUCUUCACCGAUGCAGUGUUGACGGCGCGGCCUCUUCCCCACUUACAGAAAAAUGCGCAUGCUUUUACCGAGAAAAGAAAGCUUUUAUUUUUUGUAUGACAUCUGGUCCUCCCAUCAAGCUUACCUGAGGCAGCGAGGCUGAAAGUCUCUGUUAUCAACCAUCAGGACACCAGAAAGAGUAAUUGCUCACAUCGUAAGCGCCAUGAACUAAUUUUUCCGAAAAGGAGGAAAUGAAGGUCACAAUGGAGCUCAUUUCCCGCGAUUCGAGAGCCCUACAGAGAGGUAGGACCCCUAACUCACUCCGUUUUAGUCACCUUUCAAUGGCUCCCUUAAUUUCCUAAAUCAAUAAGUGUUCUAAAAGGGCUUGAAAAAUCAAAAUGAUGCCCAACAUUAGUGCCAGGAUUAAGGAACUUUUCACUGCAAAGAAGUGAAUAGCUACGUGGAUGAAGUUAUGGGCCAUGCAGAAAUUCACACUUCACUCUCUCUUGAUUUGUACUCAAAAGUCGCCACCAACCUUCAAUUAUAUGGACUCAUGGAUUCAAUAUUUAGGCUUACAAUUGGACCUUCACAAAGCAAUUGGAGCACUCCAAGCUGCAAAAAAUGUCUCUUCUCUGUGACAUCUGCAGGUGGGCUAGAAGAAGGUUAUGCAUAGAUGGUCUAUGUGCGUGUGCUUACUAAAUGCAUACAAAAUGUAUAAGAACUGAGAUUCCUAUGUUUUUUCCUUUUUAAUUUUAAUAAUUAUGUUAGAUGUUUGCUUGGUAGUUAAGAUGUUUUGGUUUUGGACUGUUACGCUUUGUUAGAACUUAAAAGUAAACAAUUGUUUAGGCUGUAUUUUUUUUUACAGUGUUUUCACCUUUGAAAAUCCGGGUAGAGAAAACCCGGAAAAACCCGUGCCCGGAUAGUGCCGGGCAUGUACCCGGCCUGUAUAAAAAAAAUUCCGGACACGGUGCGGGUUCGGGUAGUUACGUGUGACAUCCGGGUCGGUCCCGGGCAGCCUCAAACCCAGACCCGACCCGGACUUUUGCCAUCUCUACUCCACUGGCCACUGCAACCUAAAAUAGUUUUUCACUUUAAUAACCCAAAAGCUUUCCUCUGUUUCAACUAAGCGAAAAUUUACAUAUUAAAGCCUGGCUCAAAUUCCUUUUUUCAAUCGAAAUUAAACGUAGCCACAAAACCCUAAUUCACCACACCAAUUUAUCUCUGCCCGGUAUUCAUUUAAACCCUACCUCGCGGUUCAAUGUCAUUCAAUACGAUUGCAGAUGCUGUUUCAACUUGUCAUUUAGUUAGCGCCAUCCAGUUCUCUAUGGUAAGCCUUAACCCUAACAACUAAUCGACUGCGGUAGCACGUUGCUUGUUAGGAGUGGGGAUACAUUAUUUGAAUAUAUGAAUUGGGUGAUGUUAGUGAUUCAUUCCCCUAUUUGUCGUGAAUUGAGAUUUGUGCAUAAUGCUAGUAAGAUUGCUAAAAAUUUCAUAUUUUGUAUUGUUCCAGUUGAAUUUCUUGCUUGUGGAAGAUAAAACAAAAGUUCAAUUUCAUGUUGAUUUAAUUCUUCUUUUCCUUCUUUUUAUUUUUCUUCUUUAUAGUCACGCUCUGGCUUUGGUGCUAUGCUUAGUGCAGUUUAUGGUUUCAAGAUUAAGUCAUGUUUAUUUGAUGGCAUCGAUUCCAUCGUUGAGGAUUGGAUUGUUGAUCAAAUGCACAUAGUAAGCUCUUCUUAUUUUAUCUCAAUUUUAAUUUUCUUUUAUUAUCUGCCUCUACCUGAAAAUGGACGUGUUUUACUAGUAAGCAUAGACCUUGUUUAUUUAAUUGAUAUUUUAAUUUUAUGUAUAAGAAUGGAGGUUUAUUUUGGAAAAAAAAAGAAAUAAAAAAAAUACUCUGUUGAAGCUAAUUAGUACUGAAUUUUUUUUGGUGGUGCGACCAGAGGUGGAAACAGGGUAUGAAAAUGUGUUACUGGUGAGGCUGCUGCUUAAGAUGAGAAUGCAUUCUUUUCAAAAAUCCUUGGAAGGUGUGAUCUAAUUAUAUUUGAUGGAAUAUUAAAUGGCUAAAAAUCUGUCAUACGUUCAAACUUUGUUUGUGUUUAGAAGAAUGGUGUUGACUGUAUAUUCGUUUGGAAGAAUGGUGUUGAUUGUAUAUUCAUUUGCUUAGCCUUUUGACAGAUGGAUUUGGAACUGACGAUAAAUGUGAUUCAAUUUACAAGGUUUUCGAGGGGCUCACAGUGGAAGGGAUAUUGAAGAACUGGUCGAAGUUAAAGCCUAUGAUUGUGAAAGAUUGGAGUGAGAAUAUAGAUGCUCAUUUAAAUCUUUUUGGCAAGGUCAGAGAUGAAUGGAUAGAUAAGGAUUUAUUUGACAACUUGGACUGGUGCUAAUAGGUAUUUUAAGCAAGCUUUUUGAGAUAACACUGAGCAAGUUAUACUACUAUUUUGCACAUGAUGAUCAAAACUCUCGAAAAGUAAAUAAAAUAAAGUAUUAACUUUUACUUUCAUCUUUUGCAUAGCAAUCAAUGUGGUGCUUGUUCUGUGACAACUUUGAUAAUCUACUUAAUUACUGGUUAGCAUUUGGACCAAAAAAGUUCUUAUGAUUUACAUGUUUUGUAGAAAUGCAUGAACCUUAAAUGUGCUGAUCAGGGAGUUUAAUUAUUGCACCUUGAAAUUCAUUUACUGUUAACUAAUUGGCUUUCCUUUGCAUAAAGCCGCUUAUAAGGCUUGAGUGGACGUCUUUAUGGGCAUAUUUUUUGUAUUUCUCGAUGCAUGCCUUUAUCAUUUAAUGUGGUGCUCGUAUUUCUUUAUGCAUGCCUUUAUCAUUUAAUGGCCAGCUCCCUUUCCUCUUUUGUAAUUUGAAUAGUAGUAUGGGCCUCCAUUUUACAAAUCUUUAACAUUUUUUGCUGUAAAUUAAUUUUUCUUUCAAAUAUUUUGGAGGUCAUUGGAAUUCCUGUAGGUCUAUUUACCAGAUUUUAGUAUGUUUAAGGUUAUAAUUUUGCUUAGACUUUAAUUUUUCUGAAAGAUUGUAGUAUUGAUCCUUAAAGUAAGAUCAUGCUACUUCAAAUUAUUUUGAAGUGUUGCUAGUUAUAGCCUUACAUAUCAAAUUCCAGUUGUCUGGAAAUUUAUUGAUAGCUGUUACAGCAGCAUAUUUUAUGACUCUACUUCUUAGUUAUGUAAGUUCAUUAUGUUUAGGUCAGAGGCAGUCAGCUGUGGGGAAUCGAUUUAUACACAGAUGACUUUGAUCUUGUUGCUGGUAUGUGGUUCUAUGAAUAAUUGUUCACAAUAAUUGUGUUUGCCUCACUGUUUUUGUUUUAUGAGAUCUAUAAUUGAUCUUGGGAUAUUACUUUUUAGUUCUCAUGCAGGCAAGUUACUACCUUCCCACUGCAUCUCCUCCUUUAUCUGCUACUCAAGAGUUGCGUGCCAUAAUCUGGUAUUACCUCUGCAAGAUUGUGAAUGAAUAUGAUGCCUCUAAAUUUAUUUUAUACAUAAUGCUAAUGCUGAAUAAUAUAUUGUAGCUCCUGUCAUAUUCUACUUUGACUUUUUAUAUUCCGUUUCAAAUAAAAAUCUUAUUCAACUUUAGUUGUUCAUGAGCAAAUGUCACAUGUAUAAGCCCAAAUGAUGUUUAAAGGUAGCGCCGCUACCUUCAGUUUGAGCUUACAAUGGGUGAAAAAGAAAUUGAAACUGAUAUUUUGCGGUUUUUCUUAUUUUUCAAAGUAUUUUAGAUCAUGACUUUUGUUUGGACUUGAUGGUUAUAGAUUGUGUCUAGAUUUGUUAAGUCGUUUCCAACACCUCGUGCCAAAUCAAAGCACAAUCUUUCUGAUUCAGAUGUUUUGUUAAUUGUGCUUCAUUUUUUCGUUAAAGGUUGGAUGGUUGAAUGGAUUGAUGGAGUUGGAGUUCAACCAAUAAUUCUAAUUUUUUGGACUUAAAAUGCCUUUUUCUUCUGUAUAAAAGCUUUAGUAAGUGCUAUUGAGUUGACAGAAGUUGAAUACUUACAGGUUGUUUCACACUUUUUAAUAGUUUUACAUAUAUGAAUUUCUGUUUUUUGAAUUGCAGAAAGGAGGUGGAACUAUUGAUUUGGAGCCUUAUCUUACUCACUCAUCAACAACGGAGCCUACCCUCGCUCCUAUGGCAGUGGAACGGACAAUGACUACUAGGGCUGCAACAUCAGUUGGUUCGGGUCUGUUUUGAUAGCGAAUUUUGAUAUGUCAAUAUAAUGUGUAAUUGUUUUGGGUUGAGCUGGUAAUUAUGCUGGAUUAGAUUGGUUUGGUUUUGGUGCUUCGCUGAUGGAACACUGGUUUUUUAGAAAAUUUGAAUGUAAUAUGAGACUACAUUUAGUUUAAUUGAACACUGCAUCUAGUCUAAUUACUAGAAGUGUGGCAUUUGGUUUGGUUUAUCCGAUAUUCUCCAGAAUUUCACUUGCAUCUGGUUUUGUUGCAUAUGUUUGCUUGCAUUUGAUGGCAGUAGCAGACUGUUUGGUUUUGUGGCAUUUGAUGGCAGUUUGGUCUGUUCUUGGUGCUGAUUUACGAUUGUUCCUGAUGUGUUGAUGUUAAUUGCAGGUGCUUGAAUCAGCUAGGGUUGCUGGUUUUUUCAGAUGGUUGACUCAGGCGUUGUUACUGGUUGAUUCAGGUGGCUGGCUCAAGUUGUUCAUUUAAUGUUAGGAAGCAAAUUAAGAAUUAAUGAAGUAUUCAUUUAACUAUAAUUAUUGUAGUUAUUUUAUUUCAUAACUGAAUUAUAAUCUAUGAUACUUGUGAACAAAUUAGAGAAUUUUUAUAUAUAAAUUAUAUAUAUGUGUGUGUAUGUACAUUUUGCUUUUUAUAUAAUAAUUUAAAGAAUAUAUUUCAAUUCCCACAAAAAAAUGGCCCCAAUUUCAAUAAUUCCUGCCAAAUAAUUAAUUUUUUUUAAUUUACCGCCAAAAUAUAUCUUAAAGAAAUGUUAGUUAUUCUUGCUAGAUUUAACAAAAAUAAUUUAUAGGAUUAACAUUUAAUUAAAAUAAUUAAAUAAUUUUACUAUUUCAAUUAAAUGUCAUGUUUAUAUCACAGACAAUAGUCAUGAAUGGGAAGUAUUAGUUACAUAUUUUUCCUUGUAGUUAUUUUAUUUCAUAACUGAAUUAUAAUCUAUGAUACUUGUGAACAAAUUAGAGAAUUUUUAUAUAUAAAUUAUAUAUAUGUGUGUGUAUGUACAUUUUGCUUUUUAUAUAAUAAUUUAAAGAAUAUAUUUCAAUUCCCACAAAAAAAUGGCCCCAAUUUCAAUAAUUCCCGCCAAAUAAUUAAUUUUUUUUAAUUUACCACCAAAAUAUAUCUUAAAGAAAUGUUAGUUAUUCUUGCUAGAUUUAACAAAAAUAAUUUAUAGGAUUAACAUUUAAUUAAAAUAAUUAAAUAAUUUUUCUAUUUCAAUUAAAUGUCAUGUUUAUAUGACAGACAAUAGUCAUGAAUGGGAAGUAUUAGUUCCAUAUUUUUCCUUGGGAUUUCAGGCAAAUGAAAAAAAGAUUGAGAAUGAUUUCAAGAGGACAGGUGGAUGAUAAGUAUUCAUUUUUGUAUAUUUGGCUAAUGUCCUCAUUAGUGGAUUUUUAUGGUAUUGAUUUUUUUUUUUUUGGUUUAUAAUUUUCAAUUAGUUGUUACCCUAGAGGAAGAGCAGGCUGAUCAAAUUGAUUUGUCUUAUUUUUCCGGCAAUCUGCGACACGAUGACUGUGAUAAUGCUCGUGACUGCUGGAAACUUUCUGGUGGAAAUAACUUUAGAGUUCGUAGCAAGCAUUUUUGUUAUGACAAAACAAAGGUUCCCCCAUAUUUUGGUUGUUUGUUAUGGUAUUUAUAUAUCCUGCAUAUGCUAGGUCGACAGGUUAUGAUGUAGUUUGGUUGGCUCUUGUGCUUUGUGCAAUUUGUAACUGCAGAUACCUGCGGGAAAACAUUUAAUGGAUCUUGUUGCUGUUGAUUGGUUCAAAGACACAAAGAGAAUGGACCAUGUAGCUCGGCGUCAAGGCUGUACUGCACAAGUAACUGAAGAAAAAUGUGAAUUGGUUCCUCUUUUUCUUACUUUCCAGAACAGUAUGUACAGGGAAUAUAUACAGCAAAAUAGGAGAGAAAAUAGGAGACUACAUCUAUCCUUUCCUAAAUAAUAGGAAACAAAAUCUGGAAAGAAUCCUAAUGAAUCUUCCCAUUAUAAUUUAACUUAUUCCUAAAAUAGCCUAGAUUACAAAUAAAUCAUAACUUUGAAUCUUUAUUUUCAACACUCCCCCUCAAGCUAGUGUGUGUAUAUCAUACAAACCCAGCUUGUUACUUAAGUCUUCAAAGUUAGGUCUUGGCAGUGCUUUAGUAAGGAUGUCUGCAAUUUGUUGUCUAGUUGGAAUGUACUUUAGUUCCACACUUCCACUAGUGACCUUCUUUGAGAUGAAGUGCCUAUCAAUCUCGACAUGUUUGGUUCGAUCAUGAUGCACUGGAUUUUUUGCGAUGCUGAUUGCUGCUUGAUUGUCACACCUCAUUAGAAUGGAUGAAGGGUUGCACACACCGAGUUCUUUGAGUACACGCUUUAUCCAAAUUCCUUCACAGAUUCCAUUUGCCAAAGCUCUGAACUCUGCUUCUGCACUACUCCUAGCUACAACUGAUUGUUUCUUACUCCUCCAGGUUACUAGAUUUCCCCAGACAUAGGAACAGUAAGCAGAUGUUGAUAUUCUAUUUGUGAUGUCUCCAGCCCAGUCUGCAUCAGAGUAGAUCUCAAUAUUCCUAUAUUCUGAUUUCUUGAAAAACAAUCCUUUUCCAGGUGUCAUCUUUAGAUACUUCAAAAUUCUAAAGACUGCAUCCAUGUGUUCCUCUGUAGGAUUGUGCAUGAAUUGGCUCACAGCACUAACAACAAAGCCUAUGUCCGGACGGGUAUGUGAGAGAUAAAUUAAACGACCAACCAGUCUUUGAUAUCUCUCUCUAUUGACUGGAACACUAUUCUCAACUGAGCCUAGUUUCUUGUAGGGAUCCAUAGGAGUAUCUACUGGUUUGCACCCAAUCAUACCAGUCUCCUUUAGUAAGUCCAGGGUGUAUUUCCUUUGGGAGACAACAAUUCCCUUCCUAGAUCUUGCCACCUCCAUCCCAAGAAAAUAUUUCAGAUUCCCUAGAUCUUUAACUUCGAAUUCCUGAGCUAGCUGUUUCUUCAACUUCUGCAGUUCUUCCUCAUCAUUUCCUGAGAGAAUGAUGUCAUCAACAUAUACGAUUAGGAGAGAGAUCUUCUUUGCUUGUGAUGUUCGGAGGAAUAGAGUGUGAUCUGCCUGACACUGAGUGUAACCAAGUCUCACAACUGCCUUCGCAAAUCUAUCAAACCAUGCUCGAGGGGAUUGUUUAAGCCCAUACAAAGAUUUCUUGAGCUUGCACACUUUAUUUCUAGUAAGAUUCAGAUCAAGACCCUGGGGAACUUCCAUAAACACUUCUUCUUCAAGAUCGCCAUUGAGAAAUGCAUUUUUUAUAUCUAGUUGGUAUAAGUACCAAUCUAGAUUUACUGCUAAGGAGAGCAAGAUUCUAAUGGUGUUGAGCUUCGCAACCGGAGCAAAGGUUUCAAGAUAAUCAAUCCCAUAUGACUGUGUGAACCCUUUAGCUACAAGACGAGCUUUGAGCCUCUCAACACUUCCAUCUGCCUUGUAUUUAACAGUAAAAAUCCACUUACAUCCAACUGGUCGUUUCCCUGCAGGAAGAUUUGUUAUAACCCAUGUAUCAUUUUUCUCAAGAGCAUUUAUUUCUUCAUGAACAGCUCUCUUCCACUCAGGAUGACCGAGAGCCUCUUGUAUAUUGUUGGGAACAUGUAGAUUAUCUAAAGAAGAAACAAAGGCUCGGUAUGAUGGGGACAAACCAUCAUAUGAGACAUAUUUGGCAAUUGGAUGAGUGGUGCAACUUCGAACCCCCUUUCUUUCUGCAAUUGAUUUAUUAGAAUCAUCCACACUUGGAACCAUGAACUCAACCGAGGCAAGACUAUCCAUACCUGUGUUGUCUUCAUAAGAGCUUGGAUUUGGUUCAGUUUCUUGGACAUGUGGCUGAGUUCUGUGCUCUAUCUGCUCUCCAGUUCUUCUCCUCCUAUAAACAUUAAGAUUAUCAACAGCAAGCUGUGGAAGAGGUGAGAUUAGAGGUUGUAGUUGAUGAGCUGAUGGAUGACGGGGUGACUCGGCUGGUUGUGGUUGGGAGGACUCAGAUGACUCAAAAGGUUGUGAAGAUGUUGGGAGGAUUGCUGAUUGUGGCUGUUGGAUAGAUUGAUCAUGUGUGGUGGUUGAGUUAUGAGGGUUUUCAUGAGGGGUUUCCAGCCAAGAUUGCCAAGAAGAUUCCCAAGGCUGAUGUUCGCUCAUACUCUCUCCCUGAACAACAGUUUUGGAAUAGAAAGGCAGGUUUUCAACAAAUGUUACAUCUCUGGAAAUGUAUAUUUUUCUGGUAUGAGGAGAAUAGCAUUUGUAUCCUUUUUUAUGUGGAGAAUAGCCUAAAAAUAUACACUUGAGAGAUCGGGGAUCAAGUUUAGUCCUGUGUUGAGAGUGAACAUGGACAUAUGCUGUGCAACCGAAUAUUUUUUGUGGUAAAUCUGCUGAAACAAUCCUAGUGUGUGGAAAGAAAUUGAGAAGAACUUUUCUUGGGCAAUGAAACCCCAAGACUCUAGAAGGCAUUCGGUUGAUUAAGUAGGCUGUAGUGAGAACAGCUUCACCCCAGAAAAAAUUAGGAACAUGAGAUGAGAACAAAAGACAGCGAGCCACUUCAAGAAGGUGUCUGUUUUUGCGUUCAGCGACCCCAUUUUGUUGUGGGGUGUCAACACAAGAACUGAUGUGAAGAAUGCCUUGAUGGAGAAGAUAUGAGCUGAGGGAGUCUUUGAAAUAUUCCUUGGCAUUGUCGGUUUUAAGGACUUGGAUUUUGGUAUUGAAUUGGGUUUGAAUCAUGGCGUUAAAGUUUUGGAAGAUUUGACUAACUUCGGAUUUGUUUUUCAUGAGAAACACCCAAGUGAGACGAGUAUGAUCAUCCACAAAUGACAAAAACCAGCGAGCCCCAGAAACAUUUUUAAUUCUUGAGGGACCCCACACAUCAUUGUGAAUUAAAGCAAAUGGACGAGAAGGCUUAUACUUAACGCUUGAAUAAACAUUUCGAGUAUGUUUUGCAAAUUGACAAAUUUCACAAUGAAAUGAUAAAGGGUUUUUAUUGAUGAAUAGAUUGGGAAAAAUUUUUGCGAGAUACAUGAAACUAGGAUGACCUAAUCGAUAGUGUAACAGAACAAUUUCACUAUCGUUAUUGACAUUUGGACUAACAAUAGAAUGAGGAUAACUAGUUGACAGACUAUUGGACUUGGCACAGUUUGCUCUCGAAUCUUGUAUGAAGGAGGAUUGAUCGCUUUUGAGUAGAUAGAGUCCAGAACAUAGCUCAGCACUGCCAAUCGUCUUCGCGAAUCCAAGUCCUGAAAAACACACAUAUUUGGAUAGAAUUUAGUUACACAAUUCUGAUCACGAGUGAAUUUACUGAUUGAAAGUAAAUUGCAAGCCAAAUUAGGCACAUAAAGUACAGAAUUAAGGUGUAACUCCUUAGUGAGUCUGAUGGAACCUGUCCCUGCUAUAUUGUGUGAGAGCCAUCUGCGAUCCGGACUGAAGUGCUGUUGAUGCUAGCUUUAUAAUCCUGCAACAUUGAGGCAUCUCCAGUCAUGUGAUCAGAAGCACCAGUGUCAAUUAUCCAGGGUUUGCUUGCUCCAUUAGUGGCUGCAAAUGCUGAAUGAGUCUCUUUCUAAGCCACUAGACUUGUCCCUGCAUUGGAGUUCAAAGUGGCUUGAUCGAAAAGCUUUUGAAGAAUCUCCAUUUGCUCCUUGCUGAAUGGAUUUGGCUCGGGUAGGGCCUGAUUGUCCGUGGUGGAUGCUGCAUGAGCACGAGAUUCACGGUCACCUUUGGAACGAGGUUUCCAAUCAGCAGGUUUGCCAUAAAUUUUCCAGCAACUCUCCUUAUAGUGGCCUGCCUUACGACAGUGAUCGCACCAUGGUCUUUCUUUCUUUGUACGAUUUUCACUAACCCCUACAGAGUUGGAUGCACGGGCAACAAGUGCAGAGGCGCCCAGUGUUGGUUCUGAUGACCCCAUCAUCACCUUUUUCCUACUUUCUUCAUGCCUAACUUCAGAAAAGGCUUCACGAGGGCGCGGUAGAGGCUUUGUCCCGAGUACACGGCUCCUAACCUGAUCAAGAUCUUUAUUGAGUCCGAGGAGAAAUUUAAACGUUCUCUUCUGUUCCACAAUCUUCUUGUACAAGGUUGUAUCGUCGGUGCACUUCCAAGGGUAUGUUUCAAAUAGAUCAAGGUGUUGCCAAUGCCUAGUCAGAGUAUUAAAGUAUUGAGUGACAGAUUGUUCUCCUUGGCGGAAGUCAUGGAGGAUGGUUUCAAUCUGGAAUAACUCUGAUGUGUUCUCAGAGCUAGAAUAGGUUUCCUUUGCAGCAUCCCAUAUGUCAUUUGCAGUCCCAAACAGAAGAAAAUUCUCACCAAUAUCAUUGUUCAUGGAAUUGAUAAGCCAUGACAUGAUCAUGUUGUUCUCUGACUNNNNNNNNNNNNNNNNNNNNNNNNNNNNNNNNNNNNNNNNNNNNNNNNNNNNNNNNNNNNNNNNNNNNNNNNNNNNNNNNNNNNNNNNNNNNNNNNNNNNNNNNNNNNNNNNNNNNNNNNNNNNNNNNNNNNNNNNNNNNNNNNNNNNNNNNNNNNNNNNNNNNNNNNNNNNNNNNNNNNNNNNNNNNNNNNNNNNNNNNNNCACGUAACAGAGGUUGAUGAGGAAGCCAUCCCGUAUUUUGCCACAGAGAAUACAACUGAUGGGAGAGGAAGGAAGGUAGAUUGUUCAAUUUAUGAGAGAAGAAGGAAAUGGCGGCUGAUAGGAGAACUAGGGUUUAGAGCCAGGCUCUGAUACCAUGAAGAAAAAUGUGAAUUGGUUCCUCUUUUUCUUACUUUCCAGAACAGUAUGUACAGGGAAUAUAUACAGCAAAAUAGGAGAGAAAAUAGGAGACUACAUCUAUCCUUUCCUAAAUAAUAGGAAACAAAAUCUGGAAAGAAUCCUAAUGAAUCUUCCUAUUAUAAUUUAACUUAUUCCGAAAAUAGCCUAGAUUACAAAUAAAUCAUAACUUUGAAUCUUUAUUUUCAACAGUAACUAUUCUUUUCUUUUUAUUUUUCCUUUUCUGAAAGAAACUUAGUUUUGUAUUGUUUGGCAAGCUAGAAAAUGAAAGAAAAUAAAAGAAAGCGCUGUAAAGAAGUUUGUAGAACCUUUAUUACUCUAGCAUUACAACUGAAUGAAUACAGACUGAUAUUUCUAUUAAGCUACAAUUUUCUCAACACACACACAAGUUUGUUACAUCACAUAACCAUUUGCUGCAUAACUAAUUUGACACAUCAGCUCAACCAGCUAACUAACUUUGCCAGGUCAAGCCUAGUGAGUUGAUCUGCUAAAGUCAGCUACACAGCAACAUCAUGCUCUGCUCCAACUUCAUUCAAUUCACUAACAUCCCCCCUCAAGCUGAAAUGUUUAGGAUGAACAUUCAGCUUGCUUCUUAAGUAACUAAACUGUUUGAGAGUAAGCCUUAGUCAACACAUCUGCUGUUUGAUCUUGACUGGGCACAAAACAUACUUCAAUCUCUUUUGCAGUAACUUUAUCUCGAAUAAAAUGUAUAUCCAAUUCGACAUGCUUAGUUUUAGCAUGAUAGACUGGAUUGUAAGCUAAAGCAAUUGCUUCUUGAUUAUCACACCACAUCAUAGGAGUAGAGCUCAAUUUGAUGUUAAGUUCACCAAGUAAAGAUUGUAUCCAGGGAACCUCUGAAGCAGCAUGAGCAAGAGAUCUAUACUCAGCCUCUGUGCUGGACCUGGAAACAACAACUUGUUUCUUUGAUGACCAUGAGACUAGAUUAGGGCCUAGGUAAACAGCAAAGCCAGCCACUGACUUCUUAUCAUCACGAUCACAAGCCCAAUCAGAAUUUGAAAAACAAUGUAGUUGCAAAGUUCCUUUGUUAUUAAAUUGCAGCCCAAGAUGUAUAGUGCCUUUUAAGUACCUCAAUAACCUUUUGCAUGUUUCCCAAUGUUGUGUUCUAGGACUUGAAAUGAAUUGACUUAGGUUGUUUACAGAGAGAGCAAUGUCAGGUCUGGUAAGAGUAACAUAUUGAAGAGCUCCUAUAACACUCCUAUAUUGAGAAACAUUAUCAAUUAGCUCUCCUGAUUCUUUUGUGAGAUAAUAACCAGUAGACAUUGGAGUAGGCACAGGACUGCAAUCUGUCAUGCCAUGUUUAUCCAGAAUGUCAGUAAUAUACUUUGCUUGUGUCAAGGAAACCCCUUGUGAAGACUUGCUGACUUCAAUCCCCAGAAAAUAGCUAAGUUCCCCCAUGUCUUUUAAAGCAAAGGCUUGAUUCAUAAUCUUAAUAACUUGCUGAAUUAGUGUUGGACUGGAACUAGUGAUGAUAAUAUCAUCAACAUAGACCGAAACAAGAGUUAGAUGACCACUGUUCCAGGCAUGAAACAGAGAGUUAUCAGACCUUGAAUGCUAGAAAUGCCGUUUAGAGAUCAUUGCAUCCUUGAAUCUAUCAAACCAGGCUCUAGGUGCCUGUUUUAAGCCAUACAAAGCUUUAUUCAGCUUGCAGAUAUGAUUAGGUUUAGUUGAGUCAACAAAACCUUCAGGUUGAGCCAUGUACACCUCUUCAAUUAAAAUGCCAUUUAGAAAGGCAUUAUUAACAUCUACUUGCCUAAUCACCCAUUGAUUCAAUACUGCUAAGCUAAGAAUAACUCUAACAGUUGAAGCUUUAACUACUGGACUAAAAGUUUCUGUAUGGUCAAUCCCAUGUGUCUGAUGAAACCCCUUUGCAACAAGCCUGACUUUAUAUCUUGAAACUGAACCAUCUGAGUUAUACUUUAUUCGAAACACCCAUUUGCUGCCAACUAUCUUCACUGGAGUAGCAUGUAAAACUAAAUCCCAGGUGUGAUUAGUUUUAAGUGCUAGAUACUUUUCUUGCAUAGCCUUAUACCACAUAGGAUCAGAAAGUGCUUGGGAAACAGAAGUUGGUUCUGAUUUCUGGGCUAAUAAAGCUGACAAAUAAAUUUUUGGCUUGAAAAUACCUGCUUUUGACCUGGUUAUCAUUGGAUGACCAGUUGAUGCAGGUUGUGGCAAUGUAUGUGGAGGUGAAUUAUGUGGUAGUGAAGAAGAAGAAGCUGAGUUGGAAUUAUCAGAAAAAUAAAGUGGAGUAGAAUUUGGUGAGGGAGUAGGAGCAUCUGAAUGAUGAACAUUUUGAUGGUGUUCUGAUGAUGCUGCUAAAGGUGCUUGUAACUGAGUAAUAGAAGGAACAGAGGAAUUGAAAGAAGACUUAUAAUUUUUUGUUGACUAACAACUUGAAGAGAGUGAAGAAAAAUCUGCUCCAGACUCAUAAGGAAAAGAAUUUUCAUCAAAGGUGACAUGAUUUGAAAUGUAAACCCUCUUAGAAGAGUGAAGACACUGAUAUCCCUUGUGUUGUGAAUUGUAGCCAAUGAAUAUACAUCUGGCAGUUCUGAAAUCAAACUUAUGUCUAUUGUAUGGUCUGAGUGUUGGAUAACAAGCACAACCGAAGGUUUUAAGUGUUGAAUAAUCUGGUUGAUGAUGAAAUAACUUUUGGAAAGGAGAAAUGUUGUUUAGAAUUGGAGUUGGAAGUCUGUUUAUCAAAUAGACAGCUGUGUGGAAUGCAUUCCACCAAAAUUUGAGUGGUAAAUGUGCUUGAGCUAAUAAGGUCAGACCUACAUCAACUAUGUGUCUAUGUUUCCUCUCAAUUCUUCCAUUUUGAUGAUGAAUAUGUGGGCAAGGGUGUCUAAAAUGGAUACCAGAAGCAGUGAGUAAUGAGGAAAAUGUUCUGAACUCUUCUCCCCAAUCAGUUUGGACAGUUUUGAUUUGAAGUUGAAGAUGCUUUUCAAUAAAAAUUUUGAAAUUGGUAAACACUUCAAGAGCAUCAGAUUUGGCUGACAAUGGAAAUAUCCAGGUAAAUCUACUAUAAUCAUCUAAGAUUGAUAAGUAGUAAUUAUAUCCUUGGGUAGAACAGACAUGAGAAGGACCCUGAUGGCUGUCGAAGCCAACAAAAAUAAAUUCCUACUCUAAAUAAAUUGUGUAUAGUGAUUGAGCAGGGUCGUGUCCACAGAGAUCGAUAAUUAUUUAAAUCCUUUUGAAACGUAAAACGUAAAAUGGGGGAAUUGUUGACAAUAAUAAAAAUCAAAUUAAAAAUAACAAGAAUGCAAAUUAAAGUUGUAAUUUAAAUUGGAGAAAGCUCUGGUUGAAGGAAUUAACUCAGCUUGAUUCGACUACUGAUCAUUGAUUCAAAUAUAGAUUAUUAUUACUCAUGAAUAGACCGGUUAUAGCUACUGAGACCCUCUAAUAGCCAAUCUCUCCUUAACUAGUCGAUAACCAAGGUACGACCGUUGGUUAUUUCCCUAAUCAAUAGACAACCCUAGAUACGAUCAUAGAAUUUAAUCAAUUGACAGCCUGAAAAACCAGAGAGACCCAAAUCCUAAUCAACACAUAUGAUGAUUCAUUUAAAUUAGAUUGUUUAUUCUCACAACACAACUCUCUGCUAUGUUAUUAGUCACAAGCAUUAAAUUCUUCAUACGAUGAAUCCUUUAAUUGACAAUAGAUUAAGUUGAUAAUUAAAUAGUGGCCAAUUACCUAAUUAACAAACAUAAUCAUGAAAAUAAUUCAGAGAAUAAACAAAUACCCAAAAAGUAAUAAAACAAUUAAAGCACAAGAAAGAUCUCACAGUAGUGAUGAAUCAAAGCUUCAUUAACCUUCAACCAGAAAAAUGGGUUUAGUUUCUCAUAGAGAGAAGAGAAAAAUUAGAUCUAGGGUUUCUUUUUCUCCAAUCCAAAAUUCCCCCCUUUCACAAUAGAUUCCUCCCUUAAAUACUCUCUCUCUCUUCUCCUCUAGAAUUCUAUUUAAAAUAAAAUACUAAUAUCUGAAAUAUUAAAUUCGUAAUUACAAAAAUAACCAAAAAUACAAAACACGUUAAACUAAAAACUGCAGGUCCGCAGUUGACAGCACGCGCCCACGCCUUAUCAAUAAAGUUCUUCUGCCGCUCAUAAUUUCUCCAAGAGAACAAUCAUCCUUAAAAAUCAUCUUGUAGCUCAAUUUUAUCACCAAUCAAUAGAAUUGCACCUACAAAAGUAAAACACAAGUAAAUCAUUAUUAUUAAGUGCAAAACAUCGAUAUUAAGGGAAGUAAACAAUGCAAAACUAGUGCAUAAAUUGCACUCUAACAAAUUCCCCCACACCAAGAUGAUGCUUGUCCUCAAGCAUAUAACUCAAGAUUAAUCCCAAAUCUCCACUCAAUUCUCAUCUCAACUCAUCCAAAAAUAGAAAUUAAGUCGAUCAACAUUCGAGAGACAAGGAUUUUAAAGCAUAGAAUCUCAUAAGAUAGAAUAAGAACAUUCAACCACCAAGAAGAUCCAUUCAAAAUUCAAGUGCAACAAGAUGUAAUAGCCCUCUCAAUAACUUCACUCCAUGCACUCAAAGUGUUUAGGGUGUCAUUUAUCCACUCAAAUCAAAUCAAAGAAUGCUAUUACCAUAAGCUUGCUCAUAUAUCACAUCUCAAUCCACAAAACAUGAAUAAAAUGCAAAAAUCUAAGGGUCUUAAAAGGAUUGUAAUGGGGUUAAAUGGGUUAAAUGAAAAAGAAAGGUUUACGAAAGAAAAAGAGAUCAAAAUGAGAAGAAUGAACUCAUUGAAUGAACUUAUGAUAUCAAAAUGCUUAUUUCUACUCAAGUCACCAAGAAUGUAAACAUUUUUUUUUUCGAUUUUUCUUUUUCUUUUUUUUUCUUUUUCCUUUUCUUUUUCUUUUUUUUUUUCAUUUUUUCAUUUUUUUUUGUUUUUUGUUUUUUGUUUUUUUCGAAUCAAACAAAAGAAACGAACCUUGCACAAUUUAAUUCAAGCAUAAUGCUUGUUGAUCUAAUUGAGAAACUUCAAUACAAGGUAGAAAAAGCAACAAAAUAUAUCCACACAAUGAGUCCAAAAAUCUCCUUAAAUUGAGGCUCAAAAAGAAGAAAAAUGGUUAAGUAGACGGAGAGAAUUAGAUGGGUAAUGGUUAAGGCUCAAACAAAGGUAGCAAAUAAAGGUCUUCGGGUAGAGAAAAAGGAAAAUGCGAGAAUAGAAAAAUGGUAAAUGGUUUGCCCUUAUCAUUUUAAUGCCUAAAAUCCCGUAAUGUGGCUUCAAUAUGCAUAACAAAGCAAAUUCUAGAAUAAACAAACUAGGAUUGAUAUUCACAUAACAAAAAUAAUUAGAGCAAAGUGGUUGCUCAUAGGCUCAAAUCCUCACAAAGUUGGUAAAUUUGCCAUCAAAUCAUGUACACUCUUCAAAUGAAUCAACCAUCAAUAGUGGUGUAGAAUGAGAAGAAGGUAUGAGUGAUAUAUAAAAGAAAAGGUAAAAAUUAUAAGAAGUGAGAAAGAUGUAUGUAGUAAUAUGAAAAGUGAAAGAUAAAAUGUGAGUGAUGAAAGAGUAUGGUAAAAUAAAAAUAGAUAUGAAUAGUUUGAGAUAGAUGGGAAAAAAGUAGUGAGAAAGAAAAGAAAAGAAAAUUAAUAAUAUAUGAAGCAUACUAACUCCAAAAUCAUUUAAGGAUGAGUAGAGUGAAAAUAGAUGAGUAGAGUGAAAAUAAUAAUUCCAGACAUCAAUAAUGCAAAAAUCCCUCCCCCACACCAAGAACUUACAUUGUCCCCAAUGUAAGAUAAUCAAAGCUCACAUAAAAAUUAAAGCGUAAGGAUAAAAGAUUAAGGGCAAAAAAAAAAACUUCCCUGAAUUGUGAGCUUUGAUCCACAUAACGUCUAUGGGCUUGGCGGAAAUGGUGGGGUAAAUCCCACACUCUCGAAGUAUGCGGCCAAAUUCUGCUCCAUCUUGUUCAGCUUGUGCUCCAUUUUCUCUAACUGAAUACUCAAAGGUGGUGCGGAUGUAGAAGGAAUAGUUGGCGGGGCAGCAGUGUCGUCGUCAAACUCGUCAUCAGAGGUAGCACCACUCCUAGCAUAAAGCUUCUUCGGAAGUUGAGUGGGUCCUGGUUCAGUAAACUGAAAUCUCCCCUCCUUGAAUUCAACCACACCUGUUCUUUCAAACACAGACAUAUCCAAAAAUUCCUUUUUGCAAGCAGGAUGCAAAUCAUUAUUGUCGGGAUCAAGAACACAUAGGUUUAUAGCUAACAGAGUAAUGUAUGGACCAAGAAAUAAAGUCCUAUACCGUUUAAGCACAUUUUGAAAUUGAUCCGCUAACCAAAAACCUAAAUUAGGCCUCACAUCAUUUAACAUGCACCAGAUAAAAUAAAAUUCAGUUUUAGAGAAAAUUCCCGAGUGAUCUUUCUUGCCUAAAAAAUUAUAUGCUAAGAAUCGAUGCACACAUUUCAAAACAGGAUCACGUAAGAAAGAACUCUUUGAUUUACUCGGGUCAUAGGCAUUGUGAUCAACAGAUAAAUUACGCCAAAGACCAUAAGGCUCAAAAUUUUCGCUAAAGUCACAAGUUGUUCCUAAAUAUGCAUCACUAGAAGAAUAAUCAUCAUCAAUGAAUCCUAAAGCUAGGUUAAAAUCCGUGAUAGAGUGUGAAAAAUUUCGUCUCAUUAACCUAAACUUAAUGACAUUCGGGGUAUGCAAAGUAAAAUCAUUCGGCAUAGUAAAUUGAAAAGUAGCAUAAAACUCCCUAAUCAACUCAACAUAACCCAAACAAUCAACAUCAACAAAUUUACGCAACCCAAUCUUAUCUAUCAAAGAAUCAAAAUUAUCCUUAACAUUCAAUUUUUCAAGAGUCGGGUAAUGAAUAUACUUAGCUGGAAGUAUUUUGCAAGUGGAAAUAUCUUUGUACCUCUCUUUCUCUUGUUGAGUCGCGAACGCGAGGCACCCUCCGAGAUUGGAUUCCGCAAGUGGCAAAACACUCAUGCCUUUUCCAUGCUUCGAUCUUUGUCUCACGGCUUUGCGUGAAUCUGAAAUUGUGUUCCAUGGAACCGUAGUGGGAGCGGCAAUCUUAGAUUUCUUUACGACGGGUUUCUUUUUCGAUGACUUGGAAGUAGAUGCUUUCCUCUUCGGCAUUGUUACAAUAAUUGCACUCACGGAUUUCGAUUUACCCGGCUGGAAUACAUGACGUAGGCUGGUUGCGUUGCGUUGCUGCUCGACUGGAGCUUGCUGUGCGGGUUGGAGCUGGUUGCGCACUGCUGGGCUGCGAGACACGGGAUGCUGGUGCUGCGCUCGCGGGGGCUUGCGUUGCGAGCUGGUGAUUCGCGUUGCUGGUUCGUGCUGCGUUGCGGGGCUGCUGGUGGGACUGAUGUUGCGCGUUGCGGCUGGGGCUGGAUCUACGCACUGCUGUGUGAUUCGCGAGAGCCGGUUCGUCUGCGUUGCUGUGCUGCACUGAGGUUGAUUCGCGUUGCUGCUGGUUGCGGUGCGCGAUGCUGCGCCCGGCGGCUGGGGCUGGUGGGGCUUGCUGCUGGAAAACGAUAAUCAACAGUAAUUUUUUUGAAUUAGGGAUUUGUGAACAGUGAUUUUCGAAUUUUUUUUUUUUUUUUUUUUAGUGAUGAAUCACUUUGAGACACUAAAAAUUUCAGAAGUACUUUUUUAAUAAGCACGUGGGCACGCCUUAUCAAAAAUUUUCUUCUGGCCAAAAUAAGCAAACACAUUAUUUUAAAAAAAAAUCUGAAUCAAAAUUAAAAGAAGAUAUAACAAAAACCAAAAUAAAUAAAUCAUUUGGGUUGCCUCCCAAAAAGCGCCUUUGUUUUAUGUCUUUGGCUAGACACGUUUAUGCAUCAAUCUCCAUAAUUGGGACUCUCGAGAGCCACAUCCUCCACAAUAUUCACCGAAAAACCUUCAUAAAAAGGUUUUAAGCGAUGACCAUUAACCUUAAAAACUUUGUCAGAGGUCGGACUCCGAAUCUCAACUGCACCAUGAGGAAAAACAUUAGUAACAAUAAAAGGUCCAACCCAGCAAGAACGUAAUUUACCCGGAAAAAGUUUAAGCUUAGAAUGAAAAAGAAGAACUUUUUGACCAACAGAGAACUCCUUUCUCAAAAUCAUUCUAUCAUGAAAUGUCUUCGUCUUUUCCUUGUAAAAAAUUUCCUGCGCUAUAGGGUUAAUAACAUCCACAGAAAAUACCGAAUGUUCCUCACUAGGAUAUUUCAUGGUAUCAUUCAUAUUGAAUCCUAUAACCUCUCCAUCAAACUCCAUAGUGAGAGUCCCUUUAUGUACAUCCAUUUUAGUCAUAGCAGUCUUAAGAAAAGGUCUUCCUAGCAAAAUUGGGACAGAAUUAGAGGAGUUAUCAUCUUCCAUAUCAAGUACAUAAAAAUCAGCAGGAAAAACCAACUCAUUAACUUGUACUAAGACAUCUUCUAAUACCCCAUCAGGAUAUGCAUUAGACCUAUCAGCUAGUUGAAUUAUCACGCCAGUUUCUUUUAAUGGACCAACAUUCAAAGAUGAAUAAAUGGAACGAGGCAUGACAUUAAUAGAAGCUCCUAGAUCUAACAUAGCCUUUUCAACUCUAACACUACCAAUUUUACAAGGGAUAGUAAACAUACCUGGAUCCUUGCACUUAGGAGGUAGUUUCUUUUGGAAAAUUGCUGAAACAUUCUCCCCCAUGUGAACUUUUUCAUCUCCUCUUAAUUUUCUUUUGGAGGUGCACAGUUCCUUAAGGACUUUAGCAUAUCGAGGUAUUUGUUUUAUAGCAUCUAAUAAAGGAAUAUUUACCUCAACCUUGCGAAAUGUCUCAAGGAUGUCUUUCUCUUGUUCUUCCUUCUUGGAUUUUGCAAACCGGCUUGGAAAAGGAGGAGGUAUCACAAUAGGUAGGGGUUUCGCUCCGGUGGGUUGUGCAUCUUGAGAUUGAGGCAUCAAUUCAUUCUUCUCAAGCUCAUCUUCUACAUGCUCUGUCACUUUCUUACUAGGCUCUUGCAACUCCUUCCCACUUCUAAGGAUGAUAGCACUAACGUUUUGCUUUGGAUUCACCUCAGAUUAUGAAGGCAAUCUUCCUAAUACUCGAGACUCCAGAUGGCUUACUGUAGUCGCCAAUUGACUCAUUUGGUUCUCCAAGUUCUGAAUGCUUGCUGUAGUUGCCUGCUGAAAUUGUUGAGUGUUAGUCGCAAGUGAUUUAACAAUUUCUUCAAGAGAUAUACCUGACUUGGAGUUUGACUGUGGAGGUGCUGGUUGUCUUGGUGGAUACUGUUGUGGGAAUCCUGACGGUUUAACUCCAUAGCUGAAGUUGGGAUGAUCCUUCCAUCCCAGAUUGUAUGUUUGUGCAUAAGGAUCAUACCUCCUCUGAGGCAUGCCUGGAAAUCCUCCAACUGCAUUGGCUUGUUCAACGAGUUCUUCUUGGAGUGUAGGACACAUAUAAGUUGAAUGACCCAUAUUGUAACAAAUGCCACAAGUCUUCACCUGUUGCACAUUACCUACAACAAACUUUUCCACAAGAGAAGUAAGUUUAUCUAAACGUUGUUCAACAAAAGAAAUAUUUACCUCAUUCACCUUCCUUGAAGUGGGAUCUUGCCUGCUACUAAAUUGUUGUGCAUUGGCAGCCAUAUUUGAGAUCAACUCCCUUGCUUGAGUAGGGGUUUUGUUCACCAACACACCUCCACUAGCAGCAUCUAUCAUACUUCUAUCCAUUAAUGAUAGUCCUUCGUAAAAAUAUUAAAUAAGAAGUUGAUCAGAAAUCUGAUGCUAAGGACAGCUGGCACACAAUUGUUUGAAUCGCUCCCAAUACUCAUACAAAGUCUCCCCAGGAAGUUGUCUGAUCCCACAAAUAUCUUUUCUGAUGUUGGCAGCUCUUGAAGUAGGAAAGUACUUCUCAAGGAACUGCUUUUUCAAACCAUUCCACGUUGUAAUUGAUCCAGGAGGCAAGUAGUACAACCAAUCUUUAGCUAGCCCAUCUACAGAGAAUGGAAAAGCACGCAACUUAAUCUGCUCUUCAGUCACGCCUUGUGGCCUCAUACUUGAGCACACAACAUGAAACUCCUUGAGAUGUUUAUGAGGAUCUUCACCUGCAAAACCAUGAAACUUGGGUAAUAAAUGAAUAAGCCCAGACUUUAAUUCAAAAUUUACCUCCAAGUCUACAUAUUGAAUGCAGAGUGGUUGUUGAUUCAAGUCUGGUUCAGCUAACUCUCUAAGAGUUCUUUCUACAGGUGCAGGUCUAUCCAUCACUUGUUCUUCUGAAUCGCUAGAUGAUUCAACUAAAUCAGGCACUGUAUCUGUUUCAGAAAGCAAAGGCGACGAGGAUCGUUGCUUAGCUCGCUUUGUCUGCUGUCUCAGUUGGCGAGCUGUCUUCUCAAUUUUAGGAUCAAACGAAAGUGUACCUGUACGAGAAGAACGAACCAUACACCAAGUAAAACGUAAAAAAGAUUAAAUAAAUGACACCAAUCCCCGGCAAUGGCGCCAAAAUUUGAUGGGUGUCGAAGCCAACAAAAAUAAAUUCCUACUCUAAAUAAAUUGUGUAUAGUGAUUGAGCAGGGUCGUGUCCACAGAGAUCAGUAAUUAUUUAAAUCCUUUUGAAACGUAAAACGUAAAAUGGGGGAAUAGUUGACAAUAAUAAAAAUCAAAUUAAAAAUAACAAGAAUGCAAAUUAAAGUUGUAAUUUAAAUUGGAGAAAGCUCUGGUUGAAGGAAUUAACUCAGCUUGAUUCGACUACUGAUCAUUGAUUCAAAUAUAGAUUAUUAUUACUCAUGAAUAGACCGGUUAUAGCUACUGAGACCCUCUAAUAGCCAAUCUCUCCUUAACUAGUCGAUAACCAAGGUACGACCGUUAGUUAUUUCCCUAAUCAAUAGACAACCCUAGAUACGAUCAUAGAAUUUAAUCAAUUGACAGCCUGAAAAACCAGAGAGACCCAAAUCCUAAUCAACACAUAUGAUGAUUCAUUUAAAUUAGAUUGUUUAUUCUCACAACACAACUCUCUGCUAUGUUAUUAGUCACAAGCAUUAAAUUCUUCAUACGAUGAAUCCUUUAAUUGACAAUAGAUUAAGUUGAUAAUUAAAUAGUGGCCAAUUACCUAAUUAACAAACAUAAUCAUGAAAAUAAUUCAGAGAAUAAACAAAUACCCAAAAAGUAAUAAAACAAUUAAAGCACAAGAAAGAUCUCACAGUAGUGAUGAAUCAAAGCUUCAUUAACCUUCAACCAGAAAAAUGGGUUUAGUUCCUAAUAGAGAGAAGAGAAAAAUUAGAUCUAGGGUUUCUUUUUCUCCAAUCCAAAAUUCCCCCCUUUCACAAUAGAUUCCUCCCUUAAAUACUCUCUCUCUUCUCCUCUAGAAUUCUAUUUAAAAUAAAAUACUAAUAUCUGAAAUAUUAAAUUCGUAAUUACAAAAAUAACCAAAAAUACAAAACACGUUAAACUAAAAACUGCAGGUCCGCAGUUGACAGCACACACCCACGCCUUAUCAAUAAAGUUCUUCUGCCACUCAUAAUUUCUCCAAGAGAACAAUCAUCCUUAAAAAUCAUCUUGUAGCUCAAUUUUAUCACCAAUCAAUAGAAUUGCACUUACAAAAGUAAAUCAUUAUUAUUAAGUGCAAAACAUCGAUAUUAAGGGAAGUAAACAAUGCAAAACUAGUGCAUAAAUUGCACUCUAACAGACCCCAAAGAUCUGCAUAUAUCACUUGUAAGGGUGCUGAAGUUUUUGUUUCAACUGAAUCAAAAUGCAGCAUAUGAUUUUUCCCAUAUUGACAUGCUGAACAAAAUUUCAAGCUUUCAAUUUUAUUAUAAGCAGUAGAGUUGUUACAAGUUUUGAGUAUAGUUUUGAGAGUAUAAGAUGCUGGGUGUCCUAAUCUUCUAUGAAGAAGAUUUACAUCAAUAGAACUCUUUGUAACAACUGACAGACAUGGCUUUUUAUUCAAUUCAUAAGAACUAACAGCAGUGAGCUGAUCAGAAUUGAAAACAGGAGAACAAGCAAAGAGAGUGAAUUUUAUUUUGACCAACUGAAUUGAGAAAGACUGAAUGAGCAGCAACAUGUGAAGAGACUCUAUACAAGUCACCUUUAGCAACACCUUCAAGUAAAAUUUUCCUUGUGUUCCUAGCCUUUAUAAAAAACAAAUCACCAAGAAAUUCCAACAGUAACUGGAUUGUCAGCCAAUAAUUUUGAAAUGCUAAGCAAAUUCUUAGUAAUAAAAGGGACAUGAAGAACAUGGUUUUUAAAGGUUUAGAAGUUGAAGUAUUUAGCACAACUGAUCCUACAUGUGUAAUAGCUAAUGCAUUUCCAUCUCCAACAAACAAUUUUUCAGUACUAGUAUAAAUUUGUGAAUCCAGAAGUUUACCUAGAUCAUUUGUAAUGUGAUUUGUUGCUCCACUAUCAAUAUACCAUGAAGGAUCUUCAAUGUGUUCUGGUGGAAGUGAAGAAGGCAUAGCUGAGGAAGAUGAAGCACUUGACUGUCCAGGAUUAUUAUUUCCUUGACCAGAAACAAAAGUAGAUGGUCUAGGGGUGAAUGAGUAAUAAGCAGAAGGAUUACUAUCUGGAUACACCAUAUUUCCUUGAUAGCCAAAACCAGCAUUUAAACCAAAACCUCCAAAACCUCUGCCACCAUUACCAUUAAAAGCUCUUCCUCUACCAUAUUGCCCUUGAUUAAAACCUCUGCCACCAUUCAUAUUACCUCUGCCAUAGUUUCUCUGUGGAACAAAAGAUGAAUUGUACCUAUUUUUGCAUCUAUUGGCUGCAUGACCAGGUAUGAAGCAGAUUUGACAAACAGUUUCAGAGGAAUUACCACCAUUAUUAAACUGACCAUAUCCAUAUCCAUUAAAACCUCCAUACCUAGAAUUAUUUCCAUAAUUUUUUUGAAAAUUGCCAUUAUUCUUUCCAGCAUAUGAGUUCUUCUGAGCAAUAUUUGCUGUCAUAUUGUGCAUCACAUCACCAGCAAUUUUUCCUUUCUUUUGUUCAACUCUAUUUUCAUGAUUCAAUAGCAAAGGAUAUAGUUCAUCUAAUGUUAUCUUCUCACCUCGAGCUAAAACACCUGUGACUAAAGAUUCAUAAUCUGAUGAAUCAAGACCAGUUAAUACAUGAAUCACAAGAUCACUUAACUCAACAGGUUUUCCAGCUAGAGCUAAAGUAUCAGCUAUACGUUUUACUUUUGCAAAGUAAUCAGACAUAUGCAUUGCACCUUUCUUAAUAGUUUGAAUCUGCAUUCUAAGUGUUUGAAUUCUAGCUUGUGAUUAAGAAAUAAACAUACUAGUAAGAGUCUUCCAAAGCUGUUUUGAAGUUGUGGAGUCAAUCACAGUAGCAAGUAGAUUUUGCUGUAUCGACGACAUCAUCUAACUCAACAGAAGUUGAUCAGUCUUCAUCCAAGCUAUGAACUCUGGAUUAAUAGAUUUGGAUUCAGAUUCAGUAAAAAUUUCAGCUCCAUUGUUGUUUCCAAAAGAAAGAAACUACUCAGGACAUUCUUGAUCACCAUUGAUAAACCCUUCCAGACCGUUUCCUUUGAUCGAUGCUAAAAUUUGUGCCCGCCAUAAAAUGAAGUUGUUUUGGUCUAGCUUUGCAGGCGUAACAAAACUAAAAGAGUUGUUAUUUUGAACUGUAUUCGCCAUUUAUGGCUCUAAUACCAUGAAAGAAACUUAGUUUUGCAUUGUUUGGCAAGCUAGAAAAUGAAGAAAAUAAAAGAAAGCUCUGUAAAGAAGUUUGUAGAACCUUUAUUACUUUAGCAUUACAACUGAAUGAAUACAGACUGAUAUUUAUAUUAAGCUACAAUUUGCUCAACACACACACGAGUUUGUUACAUCACAUAACCAUUUGCUGCAUAACUAAUUUGACACAUCAGCUCAACCAGCUAAUUAACUUUGCCAGGUCAGCUUAGUGAGUUGAUCUGCUAAAUUCAGCUACACAGCAACAUCAUGCUCUGCUCUAGCUUCAUUCAAUUCACUAGCAUUUUCCCUUGAUACAUUAGGAGAAAAGACUGCCUGUGAGAUACAACAAUGUAAAUAACUUCUCAUGGUUCAUUGAAUCUAUAACGCACUGAGCCCUAUUCUAAAAUAUGUAGGUUGCUUCUGAAAAAGGGCUUUUCUCACUGAUCUUUAAUCUUCAAGAAAGUUUGUUUCAUUUCAGAAGGUAUAAGUUUCAAACUUAUUGUAUUGGGAGGUUGUAUAGUUGUAACCUAAGCAUCUGCAGGUUCCUGGUUCAACACAUUAUAGUAUGGUAUUUUAUUUUGUCACAAGGCAAUUGGUUACGGGAUCACUUUUGCAACGGUUUGUUGAUGGCGAUGAUGAAUUUCGCAAUAGUAGGUUGAAACUUAUUCCAUCUGUUCCUAAGGUAUCCAUCUUGGCCUUCAUGUAGUAGGACUAUAUUAACGUAUACUUACCCUUUACUGCAUGGUACACUUCAAUUUGUACAAAGAAGGCAUGCAUUUAGGUGUGAAUGUAUUGAUGGGUUGUACCUUCAAACUUUAUCUCCUUUUUACCCUCUUGAAUUUGUUUUGCACUUGUUCUUGAUUUUCAGCACUGAAUCAUGCAGGGGUCAUGGAUAGUGCGCCAGAGUGUUGGAAGCACCCCUUGUUUAUUGGGGAAGGCAGUUGAUUGUAACUAUAUUCGCGGUCCCAAGUACUUAGAAGUAAAUGCUCUUGGAAUUUCUAUAGUACAUGAGAUGUUCCCCUUUCAAAUAGCGUCCAAUACCUUUAACAUGGUUUAACAUUGUUCAUCUUUCUGUAGAUUGAUGUUGACAUCGAUUCUUCUACUGUUGCUAAUGGAGUUUUGGGCCUUGUAAUUGGUGUAAUUACGACAUUGGUGGUUGAGAUGGCUUUCCUUGUACAGGUAUGUAUGAUUGUUUUUUUCCCCCACUGCUAAAUGGACACAAGGGAAAAGACAUGAUUUUGAGAUAUUGCACUGCAACUUGCAUUUUUGCAUACUUGAAUGUUCUCAGAAUGAUAUAAUGCUUCUGUGUGUGUCUUCUUUAUCUUGCUCUUCUGUAUGCAGGCAAAUACUACAGAUGAAUUACCGGAGCGGCUGAUUGGUGCUGUACGUGUUUCUCAUAGAGAACUCAAGUCUGCUGUUGUCCCAAAGCUGGAACCAGAGAUAUCAUGACUCUGGUUUCAUUUCAGCUCAACUGUGUUUUUUUUUUAAUUAAAAAAAUCAUUUGUUUUAGGUAUACAUACAUGUAUUUUGAUUCUAUUUUCAUUGUAAUUUCUCAUUUACUUUGAAUGAAAGUCAUUGGUGUUUUCGAAUGGGAAUUUUGCAUUAAAAAAUGAAGAAUAAUGAAUAGGAAAUUUCCUGAUUCUUUAGUUACUAUUUUUGGUAUGAGUGUAAUUAGUAGUAAAGUAGGUUUCUACUCGCAAACAAGUGAACUACUCGAUUCCCGAGUGGUAUCAACCAGUUUCCAACUUUUUAAUAUACACUAAUUGUUAUUGUUUAAUAGCUACUACUAUUAAAACUCAACAGCUAGCAAAAAUACUUAAAAAAAAUGAUUUUUCUUAUGAUGCUGUGAAAAAAAUUACGGGUGUACUUCUUUCCAUGAGAUCUAUAACAUGGUCUCGACUUCACGAAAUUCUUUUAAUUUAAAGCGUGCUGGUGUGAGGUCAGUUUAACUGAUUAAUUCUUUUUAACAGUGGUCGAGAUAAUUUUACUAUACUAAAAAAUAUUCUUAUUCUGAUAAUGCCACAAAUGUUAUGCUGUUUUCUUCAGAUAAUGAUCUUCCAUUAGGAGAGGUUAGAAAUCAAAUGCUUAAAAGACCAAUUGAACGAAUAAUACAGAAAUUUAGGCAGAAUCUAAUAGAAUAUUGCAUGAAACAUGAAACAUCAAUUCAAGUCCUUUCUUAAACGGAGAAUGCAUCAAACAAAAUCCAAAGUGUCUUGCAAGUCUGUAGCGUGAGCAAAAAAUUGUAAAUAUGUAGAACCAAAUUAUUCAAGUACAGAAGAACGAGCAAGCUAAAUCAUGUAUAAGAGAUUGGCCUGGUUCGGGAUAGCUUCUUCACUGUAUCUGAAGGGUUGGCUCAAUCUCUUCUUUAGAAUUCUGCAGAUUUUGUAAUUACUCGUGUAAGCAAGUAUACAUUGCCACCAUAAGAAUAAUGAAGCUAGAGUAAUGAUAUGACCACCACCUCUUGUGCACAAACAAUAUUGUAUAAACUAAUGCGACAUAAUAUGAUUGGUUAAACAAAAACAUUACAUGGCCCUCAUAAUUUAUUUAUUUAUUUAUUAUUAUUAUUAUAUAUUUUCAGUCAACCAAUCAUAUUAUAUCACAUUAGUUUCUAUAAAAUAAUUUGCUAAAUAGCACCAAAACUUAAUUGAUACUCACCAUUUCAUUGAACAAUUUUUUUAUGGUGUCAUUGAGGUUGCCUUCCCAACAUCGUUCAUCAUCAUCUUUUUCUUCUUUGGUGACGUUCACUUUGUUUAGCAUUGGUGUGUCUAAGAGUCCUUGAGAGAAGAUCUUCAUUUUUGGACACUGUCUCACAACUACUUGUUUCAAGGACGGGAAUUCAAGAGCGUAAUUACCUAAACAAAAGCUUGUUAGGCUUGGCAAACAAUCAAGUCUCAAGUACUCCAAUUCCUUGAAAACAUUGCAAUCUUUCGCUUCUUCUCCAACCUGCAAUUGUAUGAUUUGUUCUAUCAUUUUGCAAUCAACUAUCAUCAUUCUUUUGAGAUUCACUAGAUUUUUAGAUGCUGAGAGCGUCAACACAUUUAUCAAUCCGUGACACUUCGAUACUGCCAAAGCCUCAAGAUUUUCCAAAUGCCACGAAGGUGGUACUAAUUUUUGCAACUUACUACAUUCCGAUAUUUUUAGACUUUUCAAGUUUGCAAACACUUUGUUGGAUUCGGCAUUUUCCUUCCAGAGAUGGUGCACUUUGUGUAAUCCAGACAGCUCUAACCAUCUCAAUCGAGGGAAUGAAACCUGAAAAUCAACAAAAUUAAGUUGUAAAUGAAAAUAUGUAUCCAAUCUCUGCAGUCUUCCCCUGCAUAUUUUAUGGACAAGAUUAAUCACGACAUUUUAUAUUUUUUUUCCAAAUUAGAAUGCUUUGCAGUAGGAUCCCAAAUAUAAGUAUCAAAUCGAUUACCCUUUGAAACACAUAAAUGAAAUCUGAUACUAAAUCCAAUAUGAAUUAGCUAGGAAAACAGAGAUGUUACACACAUAAUUAAUAGAGUUCAUCACCUCGUGUUACCAGGCAUCCAAUUAAUUUAAGACAUUUUAAUAAUUCAUAUUAUAAAGUUAGUUGAUAGCGGAGGUUAUAUUGUUAAAUCAUAUAUAAAUUAAGACGACGUGCAAAAAGAGGAGUCAUUAAAUUCGAUUUGAUUCUAACGAAAUUACAUCUAUGCGAAUGAAAGUGAAGGGAAAUAAUAAUAAUAAUAAUAAUAAUCACCUUUUCAUCGAAGAGAGGUUGUACUUGAUGAGCCAGCAAGAAGUUCUCUUCUGAUGUUAAUUUUUGAGGUUCCUUAUUAUCCGCUGUCAUGUGCAGUACAGAGUUGGAUAUGAAUGUUUCUAUAUCUCGGCAAUUCUCAAUAGUUAGAUUUCUCAACAUAGGCAUUUCAAUUAUAUUCCCAGUGAAGUUGCAGAAUCUUUUGAGUUUUGGAAGAUCAGUGAGCCUCAGCCUGUAAAGCUUAGGAAACAGGGGGCUUAUAUGUUCUUUGUCAGCAUUUAGCUCCUCCAAAUGAAGCACCUCUUCUAUUGAAUCACAAUUCCUCUCUUCCAGCCAUACCAAAUUGUUCAAGCACCGUAGCAGAUUGGCAGGAAUAGCACUCGACAUAUUCGUGCAGUCAUCCACAGCCAGUUGUCGUAAAUUGUUGAAGAAGCUGACAGGCAGUGCUUGGCCAUGCCAUAUUUCUUUCAAACGUGGAAAAUGUGAGAGUUGCAAAUCCCAUAUGUCACGGAAUCCAAUCUGCACAAACAAAAACAAUUGCACUGGAUAUAUAUAAAUUUUUUUUUUGAAUCAACUUACAUGUUUUGUGUUUUAACUUCUAAAACUAUAUAUACAAGGCAGGUGUAUAUGUUCAAAUGUCCAAGUGCAAGGGAGAUGCAUAAGUAAUUUCGACGAAUCGAUUUAACACAUACCAUUUCUUCGUAACACUUUUGUAUAGUGGAAUUAAGGUUGCCUUCCCAAUGGCGCAAUUCACCCUCUCCCUGUUAAGAAUAGAAUUAGUUAGUUAAUGAGUAUGCUGACAUGGCAGCUGAGUCAGCUAAAGGUUGUUAUAGAGGUUGUUAGUAGUAAACUGUGCGUGUGUGCAAUGUGUGUAGAAUCUUCUAUGCACAUAUAAAAAGGCUUGUAAUUUCCAGAUUCAUUAGAUCAAUAAUAACAGAAUUCUCAGCUUACAGAAGUUUUCUUUCUUCCUAUUUUCUUAGUAACCAAACAACAUCACAGUUUCAUAUAAAACUUAAUACUUCCUUUUUACUCACAUGCACUUCGUGCAGCUUUGGUGUGGAUACGAUUCCCUGAGAAAAAGUCUUCAUGUUCGGGUAACAUGUCAUAGAAACUCGUUCCAAUGAUGGGAAUUCAAGAGUGUAAUCCUCCAAACAAAAGCUGGUAAGCCUUGGUAAAUGAUUUCAGGUAAUUUUUAAAUAUUCUAAAUUCAUUUAGAAUAUUUAAAUGAAUUUAGAAUAUUCACUAUUUAGUAUUAGGAAUGGAGAAAGAAUUUCAGGUAAUUUUUAAAUAUUCUAAAUUCAUUUUUCAUCUUGAUUCUAGUUUUUUAAAAAAAUUUAAUUUUCAAACAUGCGUAUUUUUAAAAUAACUAAACUAAAACGCUGUAUUUCCCUUUUUUUCCCGAUAUUCAUGCUUUUAAAAAUGGAAAACAUUUCUGGAAAACACUUCCCAACGCCAUCAACAUGGGACUGUUAUAGAUGAAUUAAGGAAAAGAGAAAUAUAUAGAUGAAUUUGUGAACCUAUAAGAUGAGUGACUAUCCUUUAAUUUUUGAAAAUUGUACUUAUUAAGAUAUGAGCAGAAACAAUUAAAUUGAAUUAUAUUAUGCUGUUGAAUCGUGAUUAAAAAAAUUAUAUUGUUGAUUCUAAUGCUGGCGAACCUAAAAACUGGACUUAAAAUGUAGAUUUGAGAGUGGUGGUUCGAAGUACAAUACUUGAAAUAAAUAAUCAGUGGCUGAAUAUCAUUUGUAAACAAAAAAUGGUUAAAAUAUUGUUGGAUGUAAUUUGAAAAAAAAAAAAAGAUUCGAAAUGAAUACAGCAACCUUACCAAUGGAGGAAAAAUAUUCUUUAGGUUAUCACACUCAAAUAUCUCUAAAUUCUUCAAUUUGCUGAAAGACUCCGAAGCAAGUUGGUGGUGCCAUAUUAUUCUCAAAUUAUUCAUCCAGCUAAUAUGUAAUACCUCCAACCUAGGAAGUCGUACCUGGCAGUUAAAGAUUAAAUAACUAAUUAAUCAAUUAAUUGCAUAAUCAAUUGAUAACUAAAUUAGAGGCAGAUAUUAACUAAACUUGAAGACUCAAAGAAAAGACAAAUUAAAUAUUGUGACUAAAAUUAAUUUUUUUUAUUAAAAAAAAAACCUUUUCGUCAAAGAGAGGAGGAGGUUGCAUUUCAGAAUGAUUGGUGUCUUCUGGUGAGCUCGUAGAGAUGAAUCUUAACAUAUUCCAGCAACUCUGAAUCUCGAGGUUUAGCAAAGAAGGGAAUUCAACAACUAAAUCUGAAUUAAUAUGUCCCGUAUUGGCAAAGCUUGUUAGUUUAUAAAGCCAAUAGAGCUCCAGGGAGUGUAGUUUAGGAAAAACCUUUAAUUCAAUCAACUUUCCUUCUUCUCUUUCUGACCACCCCGUGGUGUCGACUACCCCUUCCAUUGACUCACAAGAUCUUAUCUCAAGAUGCUGGAGUUGCAAAAGACUAUUAACCAUAGAAUAGGAAAACAGAUACUUCAUACGAUGACAACUGCUCACGUACAGCUUUGUUAAAUUUCGACAACAGUACAUUCCUUGAUUAUGAUCGGCCCAUAAUUUUUUCAUGUUUCUUAAUGACCUGAGAUCCAAUUCCUCUAAGCUCGGAAGAAUAACCUGCAAAGAAUACCCGUACAUUUUUGUUCCUUCAAGUACAACCGUCUAGUAUAAUAUUCUUUUGAUGAUCGAAGAUUAAUCGUGAUAAUAAAUUAAUCAAUUAAUUAUUGAACAGAAAAUUAUCACCUUUGGAGCAGGAUCAUCAUCAGCAGUGAUUUCGUUGAAUCCCAAAGAAGUUGUUGGUUUCUCCCUGUCGGGUCCUAUAAACAAACAAAAACAAUAUACAUAAUUAAUCUUUGUUUUUUUUUUCAAAAUAAUUGAGGCGAAGUCAAUUAUCCCACCGGUACUUAAUUUCAACACUUACCAACAAUCAUUUCCUGAUCAUCGCAAAAAGCCACUUCUACCUUUUGAAGCCGCAGUAGGUUUUUGGCUAUGGAGAAUGAGAAAAGAUGCUUCAAUUUGUGACAGAAUUUUACUUCUAUAAUCCUUAAGUUGCUGAAAGAUUGAUCUUCUGUGAGUUGGCUGUCACAUAUUGUCUCCAAAUUGAUCAAACGACGAAGAGACAAUGACUCCAGCAAGGGGAAGACUUUGCGACGAACCCGUCCAACUGAACAGACAAUAUGCAAAAUCUCAGAACAACUUUCUGCAGAAAGAUGCUUCAAUCGUGGAUAACCUUCCCCAUCAUCUAAUUCAUGAACAACAUUCUGAACACCCUUCAGUUCUUCUAGAUAGAGAUAUUCAGUUCUCGUCAACAACAGUUUCAUCCUGUAAUUCUGCAAAAGAACGCCAAACUUUUCCAGCCCCUGGAGCUUCAUCAAUCUUGAUAAUCCAGAUUUAACGGACCAGCUGCUCCACCACUUAUUUCCUAUACAUAUCCUAUAGCUUUGUAAUUCCACAGAGACGAAAUCCUGCGGUAAAAUUUCGGCAUCCCGAACAUGUAUCUCCAAAGUAGUUAGCUUUGACAGCCCAUUCAAUUCAGCAAGACUGGCGUUACUUCCUCCUUCAACCUUCUCCCACUGUGAAAAGCUGUUACCAAUAUAUAGUUCUUCUAAUCGAGAUAAUUUUGAUAUGACAUUUGGAGCUAUCACCACAAGACUGCUACAAUUUCUCAAAUCUAGCAACUGUAAUCUCGUCAAUUGUCCAAUUACAACUGGCAACUCCUUAACAUCAGAAUCUCGGAAGCUGAGAAUCUCUAAUUUCCUUAGCUGUCCAAUUAUAGUUAUUUCGUUCAGUCGGCAACCGUCUAAACACAAUGUUCGAAGGUUAAUGAGGCGACCAAGUGAUGAAGGUAAUGAAGAGAAAAAUAUGCCAGUAAAAUCUAAAACUUUGAGUUCUUCUGUCCCUUCAAAAAAGAGGUCUGAAAUUUGCAAAGAGCUAUCACGCUUUGAAAACAACAAAAGUAACUCGAGACGGGGACAUCCCAACCUUUCGGGAAGCUCUUGAAUAUCUCUAUAAGGUAAAGAAAUAGCAAUUGGACCUUCCCGUAUUGUCUCUUCCAUCUUUUUCUCCACGUAGGCAACAUUUGGAAUAUUAAACAUGAGCUCCUUUUCUGCAAUUGAUACAGCAACAGCAUGAAUGAUGUCAUGCAUUUUAACUUCAUCUUCAGCAUCACCGUCCAACAAUAAGCAUGAAGAUUUGAGUUUGUCGAUCAAUGCAUCCACUCUAUUCCUUGCAUUUUCCAAUGUGCGAACAUAUUUAAACAAACCCAAACCCAUACCCAUACCAUAUCUCAACAAGGAAGCAACUUGUAUAGGAGUACCUUCACCAAAUAGAGAACAAAGAAGGAACAAAGAUUUUGCUUCAUCACUUUCCAAGAAGUCGUAACUCAAUUUUAUGGAAGAAUACACAUCUGCAUCCAUACCAUGAAUUUCUCUUAGAUUGGAACUUCUUAGCUGAUUCAACGCAUCCUUCCAAAUGGCAAGACUCUUAUUUUUCAGAGCACUUGCAACUGUUCUCAGUGCAACAGGCAAUCGUCCGCAUUUUCCAACAAUCUCAUCCGCUAAAGGUUGAAAAGCAGAUGCUUUUGCGGAAUUGCCCACGAUCUUUUCAAAAAAUUGCAAUGCUUCUUCCUUUGAUAAAACUUCAAUUGGGAAAAUCUUCUGAGAAUUCAUAUCAUUGAUCAAUAAAUCUUGACUUCUAGACGUCAAUAUUAUCGUGCGUCUCCUUAGAUCUUGCUUUCUAUCUUUCUCAUCAACAUCCCCAGAAGGAAUUCCAAUUUCUUCCAACCUAAGUUUUUUCCAAAUAUUAUCUAAUAUAAUGAGGACUCGCUUCUCUUUCGUCAAUCUUUGACAAAGUUGUUUUGCUCUGUGGGGUUUGCUAUCAUUCAAGUCAAAGUUCAUGUCUAAAUCGGAAGCGAGCUUGUCUUGAAUUUUCUGAACAUCUGGGUUCUCUGUUACCUCAGCCAUAACGACCUUAUCGAACAACUUAUCUUCCAUAACUUGCUUUGCAAUUUGCUUGACUAGCGUGGUUUUACCCACGCCGCCCAUACCGUGGACCCCAAUUAUGUUGAGCUUAUCAUCCCUCAAUGCCUCCACAACAUCUUGAAAUAAUUUCAUUCUUGAAUCAAAGGCCUCGAAAUCUUUCGCUUGCAUAUGUUCUGUACUCUCUGGAGCAGGACGGUGGGAAACACUAGAGAAGUUGCCUUUUCUCACGAGACUAGCGGCAGCUUCUGCGGCCUUUACUGCUUGUUUACUAAGUUUAUAACGAGAAAUCAAGUUGGGGCACAAUCCUUUGAAGCAGGACUUCUUAGCUCUAUCUUCAUCAUCAAUGAUGGAUUUUGCAACCCCUUCACUGAUGCAUUCAUCAACGCCAUUAAGCCAGUCUGCAACAUCCUUGUAAAUCUCAUCUCUUUGUUGAGUAGCCUGACGAACGGGUAUUCCCACCCUUUCUCUUUUAUAUUCCAGCUGCUUCACUUGAUCUUUUAGCUCAGCUAUGUAGCUCUGGUACUUGAACACAUAAGAUAUCUGCCGCAUAAUCCGUUCGAGCAAUGCCUUUGCACCUUCUGAUACAAUGCUUGAAAAAGCUUCGAGACCCACUUCUGAAGCCAUUGCCUAGCCUGUUGCAUAUAUAUAUACAUUAGCCGAUGGAAAAAUUGGAUUCAAAUAAAUUAAAGUGAUCCAGAGGGAAGGACAAAGAAAGAAAUGACAACGAAUGACUUUUUAAACAAAGGUUUCAAGAGCCUGAAUCGAAAACCAACAAUUUGAAAAAAAAAAAAAGAAUUGGAAGAUGGAUGCAAAUUAACCAUUGCUAAUACUACAUAAGAACACAUAAGUUAACAAUGAACAGUUACUUAAGAAAAUUAAAUGACAAGAUUAAAACAAACAAGCGCUAUUUUUUCUUGGACAAAUGUACCUGUUUAAUUAUUAAAGACUUAAUGAGCUUCACUAUUGGCCUUGAGUAUAUAAGAAUGAGCAAGAGAUCAAUGUCAACUGCAGAGGAAUGUCAGUAAAGGUUUCAUGAGAGUGAGUAAUACAAAUGAAUUGUAAAAGAACAAGACUUAAGCGUGCACCCCCUGUUUUGUUUUAUUCGUUAUGAAAAUGAUAUUGUACCCAAUUUUAAGAGAGCAUAAUAAUAACCAUUUAAUGCAUAAAUUUAGAAUUAGCUUUUUUUUUUGUAAUUCUUUAUUUAAAUAUACACGUCAAUGGAAAAUUUUGAAAAUUUGGAUACAAAAUUUUAAAUCACCAGAAAAAAAAAAGCACGGGAACGGAAAUAGAGGAAUCUUGUUUUACCUUUUUUUUUCCCCCCUUUAACUCUCGUUCUUAUAUAAAUAAUCUUGUUUUGAUGAUUGUGACUCGUGACUGCGGGAAAAAUUCUAAUGGAAACAACUCAAUUUCGGAAGAUAAGCUUAAUUCUGCAAGUGAUGAAUUUGUUCAAUAGACUCUGUACCUGAACUCGUUGGAUUGGUUGAUUGAUGAUUGACUAAAUUUGAAUUAAGUUUAAUAGCUUAGCUAUCAUGUACUCCUUAAAAGCAAACGUAAAUCUUUUUUAGAUUUGACUGAAUUUGGGAACCUGUUGGAUUGAUUGUUUUUAGAUCAUUAAUAUCAGAUACUACAAACGUAAAUAUUUUCUUGUGGUUGAGUCCUAUUCAAAUCACACAAAAUUGCACGACCAAAUAUUAAGAGAACGUAAUAAUAAUCACUCAGUGCGUAAGGGUAAAUUUAGAAUUACGUAUUCUUUUUUAUUUAAUAAAAUCCCAGCGAGAAAAUCAUAAAAUUUAGAUAUAAAAUUUUCAAUCACCAAACAAAAAACAGGGGGAAUGAAAACACAGGAAACUUGUUUUACCUUUUUUUCAUCUAACUCUUGUUCUUAUAUAAUAUUUUCCCUAGUGUUUCAGGCAAGCAAAAAAAAAAAAAAAAUCAAUAAAGAGCAAGUUGCUCAAAUUGAUUUAUCUUGUUUUUCAGGCAAUCUUGUGAUAUGAUGAUAAUGCUUAUGAAUGCUAGAAAAACUUCUAAUGCAAACAACUCUAUUUGGGAUGAUAAGCUUAAUUUUACAAGUGAUAAAUAUAAAUAACUUUUUGUGGUUAAUUCAAUUUGUAAUUACCCUUAGCCCUAUUCUAAAAUUUGUUGGCUGCUUCAGAAAAAAAAAAAAAAAAAUUUCACUCAUCUUUAAUCUUCAAGUAAAAAACAAAUCUAAUAAAAUGACAAACAAACAAACAAAUAAAAGACAGCAAACAAACAACAUUUAGCCAACUGAUAUUUAAACAGGGAUUAGAGUUUUUGUUAUUAACUGAAAGGUUUCAAGGGUCUGAAUAAAAUCCCAGACUUUUUUUUAAAACUUUUUUUUUAAUUAACCAAAGCCAUAUAAUAAGAUCACAGACUUUAACAAUGAACAAUAAUUUGAAACUCAAGCAAAACCAAUCACAAGAUUAAAACAAACCAGAGAAUUUUUUUCUUGGAAAGUAGAUGAAAAGCAAGUAAGAACUGCUAUUAAAGGAUAUUAUUAAAGGAUUUAGAACAUGUAUACCUCUUUAUUUAUAUGGGAUCAGAGAGUCGAUGACCUUCUCUAUUCGCUUCGGAUAUUUAGUAAGAACUGCUAUCAAAAGAAUGAAUUGAUGAGUAAUAACAAUGAAUUGCAAAAGAGGAAGACUUAAUCACGUACCCCUAUUGUACCCGAUUUUUAAGAUUUAAUUUUGAAGUCCAGAAUCAAGACAAAAGACGAAGCCUUAACAAAUAUGCAGUGAGAAUAGUUAAGUUGAAGAAAGCACUAGUUUAUGGCUCUGUGUUUCAUAUGCCGUAUUGAAAUAAUUAAGUUGAAGUUUUCAACGAAUAAAUACCUGGUGUGCUGGAAUAAUUUUAGAAGAAUAUUGGCUUAUAGAGAUUAGAGCAUAUUAGGAGGGAUCAGAUUUGUAAGAUGCCUGAUAAAAGAUAAAGCGAAUGUUAUUAUGGACAUACCAAUUUCCGACUUUUCGGAGUGCAUCCGUCUAUCCAUGACUUGAAAAGAGACCCAAUGUGUGGACAGACUUGAUUACAUNNNNNNNNNNNNNNNNNNNNNNNNNNNNNNNNNNNNNNNNNNNNNNNNNNNNNNNNNNNNNNNNNNNNNNNNNNNNNNNNNNNNNNNNNNNNNNNNNNNNNNNNNNNNNNNNNNNNNNNNNNNNNNNNNNNNNNNNNNNNNNNNNNNNNNNNNNNNNNNNNNNNNNNNNNNNNNNNNNNNNNNNNNNNNNNNNNNNNNNNNNNNNNNNNNNNNNNNNNNNNNNNNNNNNNNNNNNNNNNNNNNNNNNNNNNNNNNNNNNNNNNNNNNNNNNNNNNNNNNNNNNNNNNNNNNNNNNNNNNNNNNNNNNNNNNNNNNNNNNNNNNNNNNNNNNNNNNNNNNNNNNNNNNNNNNNNNNNNNNNNNNNNNNNNNNNNNNNNNNNNNNNNNNNNNNNNNNNNNNNNNNNNNNNNNNNNNNNNNNNNNNNNNNNNNNNNNNNNNNNNNNNNNNNNNNAUUUAAUAAUUAUAGAAGAAUAUUGGCUUAUAGAGCAUUUUAGUAGGGAUAAGAUUUGUGGACAGAAUAAAUGAAAUAAUAAAAAGCAUAACUGAUCAAGUCAUUAUUGAUCUUACUUUGAUUAUUACAUUGCACAUUAGUUUCUUUCUAAAAAUGCCAUUCUUCAUUCAAGCUUUCGCUUUAUCUUUUAUCAGGCAUCCUACAAAUCUUAUCCCUACUAAUAUGCCCUAUAAGCCAAUAUUCUUCUAAAGUUAUUAAAUGCCAUUCUUCAUUCAAGCUUUCAUGGACAUUAUCUACAAACUGAAUCUUCAAUGUAAUAAAAUAAUGAUCAGCCUCACAGGAUACAUAAAAAGCUCAUUUAUCACAAUCAUUUCCUAGUGCAUCAUAAACUUAGAUUAUUUAAUUUUACUAUUAGGAAACCUACUUAUAAAAGGCGCACACUACAAAUUCUAAAUUAAAUUUCUAACUAAGAAUAAAAGGUAAACCCUAGCAAUUUUCCACCAGGUGCCGUGUAGCCUGCAUCAUAAAUUUUGAUUUAAAUCUUUGUAAUCACCGAACAGAAAAACCGGGGAAUGAAAACAGAGGAGCCCUAUUUUUCCAUUUUUUUAACCCUUAACUCUUGUUCUUCUAAUUAUAUUUUUGCUUGGAAUUUCAGGCAAACGAAAAAAAAUAGUGACAACUAUUUAGAGAGAACAGGUGGAUGAUAGCAAAAAUAUUUUUAAUUAAUAUGCAUGAUUAACUCUUGUUCUUCUAAUGUAGUGGCUUGAUUAAUUAAUAUUUUUAAUCAAGCCAUUACAUUAUUGGUAGUCUCUGUGGGCUCAUUUCGUCUCCAGACCUGAUAUUGUAUAUCUCUUUUUGAAUAUGUUUAAUUAAUAUGCAUGCUGCUGAAUAAAGACGAUGAUUUCCAAAUUUUUGUUGCUUUUUUUUUUUCUUUUUGCUGCUUUGGUACAUGAAGAAUGUGGAAAUAGAAAUAGCUUUCGAAGUUUAAUGGCUUGCUUCAUUAGUAAAGAAAGACUAGGAUAUCCGUCCUUUUUGUUACUGAAUUAUUGAUCAAUUGACGGUUGAAGUUAGUUAUAUUAAUUUGUUGUACAAGAAUUGAAGCUUAUAUCUUUACCGUUUCGUGAAAGUGUCAAAUAUGUUCUUUCCUUGCAAUUGUUCAAAAUAUGUUACACUUUUGAAGUCACUAUUACAUAAAGGGUGUUGUAAAAUAGGGAAAGGCGGGUUUAUGAUUAGAUUUUAAUAUGUUUAAUUCAAGGAUUAACCGAAGCUAUUAACCAACGGCUACUAACCGAAAACCGAAUUUAACAAUAAACACUAACUCAGAAUUCAAGAAAAUUAAAUGACAAGAUUAAGACAAAUGAGAGAUAUUUUUCUUGGACAUUAAGAAAGAACUACUAUCAAGAUCAAGGAUUAGAGAUUAUAUAUGCUAUUAUUAAUAGAAAUUAUUAAAGGAUUUAGAACAAGUUCACCUCGUUGAUUAUCUGGGAUGAUGAGUUUCUAUAUUCACCUUGAAUAUAUAAUAACAAUUUUAGUGAGCAAAAGAUCACUGGUAACUGCAGAGGAAUGUGUGAGUUUAAGAGCUUAUUAGAGUAAGCAAUACAAAUGAAUUUUCAAAUUAUGUACUUGGUCAUUGUUGUCCUACUGACGCACGUUUUUUUUCAUGAAUAAUUGCCAGAUCAGAAAAGAAUAAGUUCGGUGGAUUGAAAGAUUGCUGAAGCAAGUAAAACAAUCUUCAUAUCGAACAUGAUUCCAAUUAAAUUAAUCUUUUUAUAAGAUGACUAAUAAAAGACAAAAGUAGAAGCUUUGAUGAAUGAACGAUGACCAAAACUUUUGUAAAAGCGGAUGCCGAUAAAAUAAACAAAAGGCACUUUAAAAAGAAACUAAAGUGCGAUCAUCAAAGUAAGAUCAAUAAUGACUCGAUUUAUUUCACCUAUUCUGUCCACAAAUGAUGCUUCGCUAUUACAAGGUCCGAAUGGACAUUAUUUACAAAUUGUUCUUAUGUUUCACAGAAAAAUGAAAAACCGUUCAUCAUCAUAUAAUUAUGAAAUAAAUAAAUUUUAUUAAUGGAUUAUGGGGAUAUGUUAAUGUUAGGGAUAUGUUCAAAUCAUCAUAUAAGUUACUAAACGCUUCAACAAGAACAAGAAUUAAUGAGUUAAAAGUAAAAAAAAAAAAUUUUAAAAAAAGUUAAAUAAAUAAAACUUAGAAGUAAAGAAUGUUAUUUGCAAUCACCAAAAUGAAAACAGUGGAACCCUGUUUUUCCUCUCAUUUCUCUUUCUCUCUUUUUCAUUUGUUGGGAAGUGUCGCCUAAAACACUUCCUCUGCUAGGUGGAAUUAUUGGCUUGAAGAGAUGAGUUCUUGUCACAAGCACAAAUUUUAUCUGUACAUUAUUUCAUUUUAAAUGAUGAGUUCUUGUCACAUGAUCAUUACUUUUUUUGUUUUGAUUUGGUUAGUUCAUGAUAACAAACAAAUUAUUUUGCAUCACAUUAUGGUAAAAAGUUGCCCUCUUUGUUACUUCCACAGCUAUAUAGUUUAAUAUUUUGUAAUAAGAUCACAAAGUGCAUGGGAACCACUGUUCGAGUACUUCAGCCUAAUAUGAAGAUCUAUUGAAAAUUUUCCUGAUGUCAUGAUAUUAAACAAAAAAAGGUACCUCUUUUACUAAUUAAUAAGAGAAGUUUUGACCGAUUUCAUGUGACUCUCUUUUACUAAUUAAUAAGAGAAUUUUUGGCCUUAUAUCCUUGCUGUGGCGUUAGACUGUUGGUCAUUUUGAUUGUUUCCUACUUUCCGUUUACGCCAGCUGUAACAUUGUAUUAUCACCAUUUUAGCCAUUUAAAUGAAAUUUAUUUUUGUCAAAAAUAAAAUGACACCCUUAAAAUUAAAAAAAAAAUAGUUAUGUAGACCUCAAAUUUUUAAUAAAGAAUGCCAAUACCCCUUUUAACUACAAGAUUCUUAGUAGAUGAUAACUAAAAAAAUUAACUUCAAAAAUUUUCACUAAAUAUAAAUCUAAUUGAAAUAGUUUAAAUUUUCUAGUAGACUAAUAUAUAUAACUUAAAUAAUUAAUUUCAUUAUUAAUUUUUAAAAUGUUAAAUAAUAUAUUUUAAUUUAUUAUAAAAAAUUUAAAUAAAUUCUUGGAUUAGAUAGAUUUUACAAUUAAUGUAAUACUGCUGAUUUAUUAAUAAUAUUAAAAUUAUUUUAUAUGAUAUUCAAAAUAAUUUAAACUUUUAUAUAUUUAUUUUAAUAUUAUGUCUAUUUAUUAUAAAUUUAUAAUUUGGUUUAAUAUAAUACGGGAUUGUAAAAUAUUAAAAUAUUUUUCAAUAUCAAAUUAUUUUAAUAUGUAUAUAUCAUUACAUUUAUUUUAAUAUUGCAUUUAUAUUUAUUAAAGAGUAUUGCAGUAAAGUAAAAAAAAAAAAAGUCUUAUUAUCCCUUAUUCACGAUAUGAGGUUCUACAGAAUUAUUUCCCCAAACGGGUGUCCUUUUCUCAUUUUCAAAAGAAAAAAUAAAGUAAGAAUAAGACCAUGGAUUUCAAAAAACUUAUAGUCCUAUCCCGGGACCAAACGUCUAUUCAUUAUUUUAUUUAUUCAAUAUAAAUGGCCAACUUAAAAAAAUGAUAAAAAUCACACAAAGCUCAAGUGAAAAUUUAGAAUUACAUUUUUUAAUACUCUCGGAGUCUUCUCUCCUGCCCCCUUUUUUUCUUAAAAAAAAAAACCUUAGUGUAAAAUUAGAAGAAUUUUAGAUAUAAAAUUUGACAAUCGCUAAACAGAAAAGCAGCGGAUUAAAAAUAGAGGAGCUCUGUUAUCAUUGCAAUAUUGAUUAUAGAUAAUAUAAUAACUUGUUGUGGUUCAUUGUAGCACUCUGAGCCAUACUUUAAAAUUUACUGGUUUGUUAAUGCUUUUAUUAUUGACAUUAUUGUGUCAAUAUUAUUAUAAUUUAUUCAUUUUAUUGUAAUGAUAAUUUGUCUAGUCUUAGGUACUUAUUAUAUUAAAUUAUGUAAAUUAAUUGAGAAUACUUUUACAGACAAAAGAAACACGUGUAUGUAGGAUUAAUAAGCGAAGAGUUGUAAAUGAAGCUGAUUGCUUCAUUGAGAUGCAUAUUAAAUAAUUAUGGAGAGUUGCUCUAUUUCAGAAGCAUAUAUUUAUACUUCCCUAUCAGGAUUUGGGGUAAGCGAAGUGCUUUAUGUAUUGCAGUAAGCAAAUGUGGGCAACAUCAGAGCCGAAAUAUUAAAAGAUCAUAACGCAUAUAAACGAUUAGUAUAUUCAAGGCACAUAUAGCGGAAAGAGUGCAGAUCUGGCCGUAACUAUUAUGAGGAUUUCCUCAAGUAAAUAUUAAAAGAACAACUAUUCUGAACUAUAUAUUCUUCAUUGUGGGCAGAUUUACUUAAAUACCAACACAAUGAUUCAAUACUUCAAAAGUCAAGGAAAUGUCAAAAUAUGAAAUGAAAAUACUUAAAUACCCUUCUCCCUAACAAAACUUAGUACUUCUAACUGCCAUCGCAGAGAAUAUAUAAAAUUUAAAAAAAAAAUCAUCCAUGAAAAGUUUCGUAACAGAAAAACCGUCUUUCAAAAAAUAAAAAAUAAAAAAUAAAAACAGAAAAAUUGACUCAUUUAUCUGCCAAUGAACCAGUCGGGACUCAUUUAAAAAAGAUUACAAAGCAAAAGUAAAUGACACAAAUUGCAUAGAUAUCUAAGAGCCGCAUCAAAGGACAAAGGUGUUAAUUUGUCCAAGUAAUAAAUUCUCCUAGGUCAAAAGCAAUUAACGAUGAAAACUUUCUUCAUUAAGGUUCUGGCCUACGUAAAAAAACAGAAAAAACCACCCCAAGGUCAAAGCACAACGAUAAGUUUAGAAUUGCAGUUUUUAAUUUUUCUUUUUAAUAAAUCAACGUGUAUUAAAAAUAGAUAAAAAUUUUGAAUAAUGUUUUUUUGAUAAAUAUAGACAUAAAAUUUAAAAAUCACCAAACAGAAAAACAGGGCAAUUAAAAGAGAGCCCUUGUUUCUCCUCUGUUUUGUUUGUUAUUAAACGGGGAAAUGAAAAGAUCGCAAGCAUAAAUUUUGUUUCUGCGUUGUCUCUUCUCAAUGUUGCAUGCAUUCAAAUUAAACCUUAUAUAUGAUAGCAAACUAGCUACUCUGCAUGUACGAUAAGUCUAAAUAAUAGAAUAAUUGUAAAAUGUUCAAAUUCAGUAAUUAAUUAUACAUAUUUAUUUAUUCAAAAAUUAUUAUUAUUAUUAAUUAUUGUCAAUAAUAUAUUAAUAUACUAAUUAAUUAUAAAAAUUUUUAUCAUUCAUAACAAUAACAAUGAUGAUGAUGAUGAUAAUAAUAAAAAUUCAAAAUAUAUUAAUUAAUUAUAAUAAUAUAUUAAUUAUUUAAUACUAAUAAUAAUAAAAAUGUAAAAUGUAUAAAUUGAUUAGAAUAGUUAUAUUAAUAAAUUAUAAACAUAUAUUAAUUAAUCAUAAUAAUUUUUUAAUUGAGGACAAAAUAGACAUUUUAUAGUUUGUGAGAGGGGGCAAAAUGGUCAAUUUUGGGAAUGGGAGAUUGAUUCCCACCACCUUCCUUGGGAAUCAAUUUUCCAUUCCUCAUUCCUAAAUUUGGGUGGCCCCAUAAUUCUGAUUUGGAUCCCUGCCUCCAUCAUUAAUGAUUUCGAUUUCGGAUUCCGAUUCCCCAAUCCAAGAAGUAAAGGCACCAUUAUUGUUAAUUGGUUCAAACACACAAAGAGAAUGUACCGUGUAGCUAGGCGUCAAGGUUGUGUUGCACAAGUAACCUUUUUCUUUUCUUUUUAUUUUUCUUGUUUUCCUUAACGGAUCAGAAGAAAUUGGUGCCUUUGAGAUACCACAAUGUAAAUAAUUAUUUGUGGUUCAUUGAAUCUGUAACACUCGGUACCCUAGGGUUGCUUUGGAAAAAGGGCUUUUCUCACCGAUCGCCAAUAUCCAAGUAAGUUUGUUUCAUUUCAGAAGGUGCAAAGUUUCAAACUUGUUGUAUUGGGAUGUAACAAACUUUGGCCUUAUAUGCCUGCUGUGACGUGAGACUGUUCAUUUUGAUUGUUUCCUACCUUCCACUUACGCACUGUAGCACUGUAUUAUUCACCAUUUUAGCUGUUUAAAUGAAAUUUUAUUUUUGUCAAAAAUAAAAUGACACCAUUAAAAUUUAGAAAAAUAAUCAUGUAGAUCCCAAAUUUUUAAUAAAGAAUACCAAUAUUCCCCUUGACUACAAUACCCUUAGUAGGUGGUAAUAAAAAAAAAUUGGCUUAAAAUUUUUACGAAAUGUAAAUAUGAUUUAAAUAAUUUAAAUUUUCCAGUAGACUACUAUAUAUAAUUUAAAUAAUUAAUUUAAAUAUUAAUUUUUAAAAUGUAAAUUAAUUUAUUUGUAUUUAUAAAAUAUUUGUAAUUAUUUUAAAAUUUAACUAAAUCCUUAGGUUAAAUAGAUUUUACAAUUAAUAUAAUAUUUCUCAUGUAUUAAUAAUAUUAAAAUUAUUUUAUAUGAUAUUGAAAAUAACCUAAAUUUUUAUAUAUUUAUUUGAAUAUUAUGCUCUAUUUAUUAUAAUUUGGUUUAAUAGAAUACGAGAUUGUAAAAAAUUAAAAUUUUUAGAUAUUGAAAUUAUUUUAAUAUGUAUAUAUUAUUAUAUUUAUUUUAAUAUCCUAUUUAUAUUUAUCAUAAAUUAUUAGAGUUAAUUUUUUUAGUUAAUAAAUUUAAAAAAUAUUAUAAUUUAAAAAAAAGUCUUGUUGUCCGUUAUUCACGAUAUGAGGUUCUACAAAAUUAUUUCUCCAAACGGGUGUCCUUUUCUUUUUUUCAAAAGGAAAAACAAGUUCAGGGCCUCAGGGGUUUCAAAAAAUUCUGGUCCUAUAUACCACUAUGACUAAUGGGAAACGACAUUGCAAUUGACAUUGCUUUCCACAAUAUGAUAGAUUAUUGGAGGGAUAUGAGAGAAUUGUCAAACGUUCACACACGCGAGAGCUUUAGGUGGGAUAGGGGAGGAUUGUCAAGAGUUCACACCACGAUAAACUAAUGAUAGGCCUAAUUUUGUUGUCAGUUCUUUAUUUAUUUAUUUUAUGUAUAUCAUACAUUAUUGUAUUUUGUCAAGGUAUAAUAGUACAAGUAAAAUACUAGGGGUGCUGUUAAGUUACAACUUAUGUAACUUGCAAUUUUUUCAAAAAUUAUGUAAAAAAUUUAAUAGGUGGUGGAACCCACAUAUUUUUUAAGAGACUUAAGUUACAGCAGUUGUAACUUAACAAAAUCUAAAUAUUAGACAAUAAUGCAUAUAAUUUGGGUUUGAUUUUUAAAAGAUUAUUUGAGUACCACCUAUCCUUAUGAUAUUAAUGUGAUUAUAUCUUAAUAUUAAAUAAUCAAAAUUUGUUUAAUUAUUAUUUGUAUUUCAUACAUUACAUAUUAGAUUUGUUUGAAUUUUAAGUUGUUGCUAAUAAAUAUUUAUGUUGUCAAAGUCAAAGUCAAUAGCUACAAAAGUAGAGAUAAUGGUAUUGUAUAUAGUUUUUAAGAAUGCAAGGAUAAGCUGGAUAAUUGACAUAAAUUCUAAUGAUUAAAAGAGCAACUAUCCCUUAAGUUAUAAUGUCAAUUUCUUUAAUUAGAAUUUUUUUUUCAUGUGAUAUAACCUUAAUUGCUACAAUUUUUUUUAUAAUAAUAAUGGGAGUUAUAAAUUAUUUAUAUAAAAUUUGGGUUGAAACUAAUGUAACCUAAAAGUGGUUGCUGAAUAACAAUAUUUGAAACUUUAGGUAAUUUUCAUGAGUCCUUUUUAUAUUCAACAACUUGAAUUGGGGGAAAUCCGACUUGAAUUGGCGGUUGAUUUUGGUGAUGUGGCUUUCGGUUUACGCCGGCUUUACAGUGGCGGAAGACUGGAUUUACGGUUGCCGACUGCUAGGGAUUAUGGUGGUAGUGUAAAUUGACGGAAAAAGAAGGUGUUUUGGUGGCGGCGCGUCUAGGAAGCACUCGUGGGUUGUUGUUUCGUGUGGUGACAGCGGGCGGCGAUCAAGGGCUGAAGUUGGUCGGUUUUUGGUCAGCAGAGGCCGGCGAGUUUGUUGGUGGAGGUGGCUGGUGGAGAAAGUGGCUGAAUGGUGGUGGGUUGCUUGGUGGAGCCGCGGGUUUGGGUUGGUGAUUUGCGGCUGUUCAAGCGGUGGUUGAGGCAGCGAUGACUAAGGCUUGGUCGACGGUGGCUAGGGAGGUUUGUGGUGGUGUUGGCUGGCUGAUCGGCGGUGGUGGACGGCGGUGGAGGUUGAUGUGACAGGUAGGGUUUUCAAAUUUGUAAAUUUUUUUUUUGAUGGAUUUGGUUUGGAUAGGUAUGGUGUAUCUAGGAAAGAUGUGCGAUUCGCACAUAAUCAUUUUGAUACCAAUUGAUGGAGCGAGGCGUAGCGGAAGCAGAAUUGAUAGGGUAAGAAACAUUAGAUAUCGUUCUAGUACUAGACCAAGCCAACACGAUUAGUUUACGCUCUAAUUGAAGCGUGAUUAGAUAUCGUUAUAAUCCAAAUGACUCAGUGAGAUUUUUAAUAACGCGUAAUACGAGAUUAGAUGACACUCUAAUCCAAAUGACUCUACAAAAGAGAUUUUGAUAACUAAUCCUAGAGGAAAUUAUAAAAGAGGGGGUUUAUUUAAUAAUUGAACUUGAAGUUAUGAAAAUAAUGACAAGACAUCUUUAUUUUUUUUAUUACAGGCAUCUUUAUUUAUAAUAGAAGAAACCCGCUUUCCUAAGUUAACCUAAAAAGAAAAUUUAAAUCAUAAUUAUAAUGGAAAUAAAAGAUUAAGAUACAUACCAUAAUUAACUCAAACUAAAAUAGAAAAUCAUAAAAUAAUAAAUAUUCUAGAAUUAUAAAUUAUCUAAAAUAACGUUAAUUAACUUCCUAAAUCACUUCUUUGGUGUAAACCAUUUUGCAUCCAUCCUCGCUUUAAAGGUUUGAACCAACGUUACCAACAAUAAUGUAUCAAAGUCCAAUCUAACUUAAGAUCUUGAUACAUCUACCGAUGUCCUUGUUUGAUUAGACAAUAAUGAGUCUAUCUCAUCACUUGUUACCUCUUUCUUGAAGGCUGCAUCUGUUGAAGUGAUAGUCUCGCUUAGAGUUUAAAGAUCUUCUUCCAUGUUAAAUAAAAUGGGCAUUUGAUUAAAAAACUUUAUCUCUAUCUCCUUCUAUCAAAUAACGACAACUAUCCGAAGGAAAAAAAAAAUAGAAAAGUCCAUGGGUCACAAUAAUUUAUGGUCUGUCCCCGGACCCCAUUAUCUGCCACUAUCAAUGAUGAAAAUGAAAAUAAAUGGCAUCUUCCCAAAAUGGCGAAAGAUUUUUGGGGGAUAUGGGGGAAUUGUCAAAAGUUCACACAACGCGAAACAAGUGUUACAUCCAAUUUUAUUUCGUCAUAUAAUGAUAAUAUCAAAUAAUGACAACCAUCCAAAAGUAUGAUGGGUCUUCCAAAAUUUUGAAAAUGUCGUCAACAUUUAAUCUUCAAUGCUAAAGAAGAUGAAAUGACCAAAAAUGACACGCAUGACUCACUCACAGACUAAAUGGCUCUGACCACAUGUAACAAACUUUGAUCUUAUGUCCUUACUGAGGCGUUAGACUGUUGGUCAUUUUGAUUGCUUUUUACCUUCCAUUUAUGCCAUUGUAGCAUUAUACUAUUCACCAUUUUAGCUGUUUAAAUGAAAUUGUUAUUUUUUUUCCAAAAAUAAAAUGGCACCCUUAAAAUUUUAGAAAAUAGCCAUGUAGACCCCAAAAUUUUAAUAAAGAACACUAAUAUCCUUUUUUACUAUAGUACUCUUAGUAGAUGGUAACAAAAAAAAAAAUGACUGUAAAAGUUUUUACUAAAUGUAAAUAUGAUUUAAAUAUUUUAAUUUUUCUAGUAGACUAGUAUGUAUAAUUUAAAUAAUUAAUUUUUAAAAUGUAAUUUAAUAUAUUUAUUUUAAUAAUAUAUUUAUUAUAAAAAUUUUAAACAAAUCCUUGGGUUAAAUAGAUUUUAUAAUUAAUAUAAUAUUUCUCAUGUUUUAAUAAUAUUAAAAUUAUUUGAUAUGAUAUUGAAAAUAAUUAAAACUUUUAUAUAUUUAUUUGAAUAUUAUGUCUCUAUUUAUUAUAAUUUGGUUUAAUAGAAUCAAAUGAAAGUGUACAUGUACAAGAAGAAAGAACCAUACACCAAGUAAAACGUAAAAAGGAUUAAAUAAAUGACACCAAUCCCCGGCAACGGCGCCAAAAUUUGAUGGUUGUCGAAGCCAACAAAAAUAAAUUCCUACUCUAAAUAAAUUGUGUAUAGUGAUUGAGCAGGGUCGUGUCCACAGAGAUCGGUAAUUAUUUAAAUCCUUUUAAAACGUAAAACAUAAAAUGGGGGUUUUGUUGACAAUAAUAAAAAUCAAAUUAAAAUAACAAGAAUGCAAAUUAAAGUUGUAAUUCAAAUUAGAGAAAGCUCUGGUUGAAGGAAUUAACUCAGCUUGAUUCGACUACUGAUCAUUGAUUCAAAUAUAGAUUAUUAUUACUUAUUAAUAGACCGGUUAUAGCUAUUGAGACCCUCUAAUAGCCAAUUUGUCCUUAACUAGUCGAUAACCAAGGUACGACCGUCAGAUAUUUCCCUAAUCAACAGACAACCCUAGAUACGAUCAUAGGAUUUAAUCAAUUGACAGCCUGAAAAACCAGAGAGACCCAAAUCCUAAUCAACACAUAUGAUGAUUCAUUUAAAUUAGAUUGUUUAUUCUCAUAACACAACUCACUGCUAUGUUAUUUGUCACAAACAUUAAAAUCUUCAUACGAUGAAUCCUUUAAUUGACAAUAGAUUAAGUUGAUAAUUAAAUAGUGGCCAAUUACCUAAUUAACAAACAUAAUCAUGAAACUAAUUCAGAGAAUAAACAAAUACCCAAAAAGUAAUAAAACAAUUAAAGCAUAAGAAAGAUCUCACAGUAGUGAUGAAUCAAAGCUUCAUUAACCUUCAACCAGAAAAAUAAGUUUAGUUCUUCAUAGAGAGAAGAGAAAAAUUAGAUCUAGGGUUUUUUUCUUUUUCUCUCAUCCCCCUUUUUCACUAUAGAUUCCUCCCUUAAAUACUCUCUCUCUCUUCUCUUUUAGAGUUCUAAUUAAAAUAAAAUACUAAUAUCUGAAAUAUUAAAUUCGUAAUUACAAAAAUAACCAAAAAUACAAAACAUGUUAAACUAAAAACUACAGGUCCGCAGUUGACAGCACGCGCCCACGCCUUAUCAAGAAAGUUCUUCUGACUCUCUAAAUUUCUCCAAGAGAACAAUCAUCUUUAAACAUCAUCUUAUAACUCAAUUUUAUCACAAAUCAAUAGAAUUGCACCUACAAAAGUACAACACAAGUAAAUCAUUAUUAUUAAGUGCAAAACAUCGAUAUUAAGGGAAGUAGACAAUGCAAAACUAGUGCAUAAAUUGCACUCUAACAAGUUCACACCACGAGAAAUUAAUGAUAGGCCUAAUUUCGUUGUCAGUUCUUUAUUUGUUUAUUUUAUUGAUUUCAUACAUUAUUGUCUUGUUGGUACUAUUUUGUAAAGAUAUAAAAGUACAAGUAAAAUAUUAGGGGAAGUAAAAUAAAAUAUUGGAGGUGCUGCUAAGUUACAGCUGCUGUAACUUACAGUUCCUUCAAAAAUAAUGUAAAAAAUUUAACAUGUGGUGGGACCCACAUUAUGUUUGAAGAGGCCGUAAGUUAUAGCAGUUGUAAAUUAGUAAAAUCCAAAUAUUAGAUAACAAUACACAUUAACAAUGCAUAUAAUUUGGGUUUGAUUUUUAAAAAAAUUAUGUGAGUAUUACCUAUCCUUAAGAUAUUAAUGAGAAUAUAUUUUAAUAUUAAAUAAUCAAAAUCUGUUUAAUCAUAAUAUGUAAUUCAUACAUUGCAUGUUAGAUUUGUUUGGAUUUUAAGUUGUUGCUAAUAAAUAUUUAUGUUGUGAAAGUCGAAUUCAAUAGCUACAAAAGCAGAGAUAAUGGUAUUUUAUGUAGUUUUUAAGAAUACAAGGAUAAGACCAUAACGCAUGAGAUAAUGGUAUUUUAUAUUAAAAGACCAUAACACAUGUAUUUGAGCCAUUUAUAUUGAGGACACAUAUAGAGCGAAGAGUGCAGAUCCGGCCGUAACUAUUGUGAAGCUUUCCUCAAGUAUUCUCAUGCACGCAGACCUUAGCUGGUCAAGUUUUCUGAUUCAAUAUAAUCAAUUUCCGCGCAGUACUAACGACAGCUUCUUUGUAAAGCUCUUCAACCACAAGCAUUUCUACAAGGCAAAAGACUAGGACGUGUCAGAAUGAAUAUCAAUAAGGGAAUGUCUUAUGAAUUUAGUUUAUAUCCUAAUAUAAGACAAUCAAUAAAUAUUAGAUGCAAUCUAAGGGAAUGUCUUAUGAAUCCUGAUUGAUGGCCUCUCACAGUCAGUUAUAUGACAAAGUAGCCACCACAACAAACUUGAACUUGGCUGGAGGUCUCAUUAGCAGUAUACCUCAGAAAUUAAGACAAAGACUUUAAAAUGCAAACUUAUGGAGCAAUUUAAGCACUGAAACUAAUAACAGUACUGUAUUAGCAAUUGACCUCUGCUUUUUUCUUGGACAAAGGUUCUCAUCACAAGGGACUCAUUAGUUGCCCUUGCCUCAAACGUUUGGAUGCUAAGGGGAAAAAGGAAGUUUGAAUUAGUCAAUCUCAUUUCUAAUGGCAUUCACAGAGAACCUAUAAAACAAAAAAAUUAUAAAAAAAAAAAUCAUCCAUAAUUCGCCAAACCGAAAAGAAAAACAGGGGAAUGAAAAGAGAGCCCACGGGAAUGAAGAGAUCAGCUCUUGUCGCGAAAAUGCAGUCGACUGUAACUAUAUCCGGGUCCCUAGUACUUAGAAGUAAAUGCUCUUGGAAUUUCUAUUAUAGAUUGAUGUUUCCCGUUCAAAUAGCUCUUCCGAUACCAUUAACAUGUUCAUCUCUCUAUAGAUUGAUGUUGACAUAGAUGUUAUUCUACUUUUGCUAGUGGAGUUUUCCUUGUACAGGUAUGUAUGAUUGUUUUUUUUGCACUUCUAAAUGGACACUGUUGAAAAGCUUAAAAUUGAACUGAUAAUUUUGUUUGGAAGCUCAGAAAAUUCAUGAGAAAGUGAAAUAGAAUAUUCUGGAUUUCUUUUCUUUCCAUAAUAUACAAAUGACAAACGUAGCAGUAUUUAUACUCGUUGCUUACAUCAUAAAAACAGAAUUAAAACAAGGUACACAACUAUAACAGAAUCAAAAGCGUGCUUAACUAAUUGGCAGAGCUGGCAUAUACUUCUUUAACUAACAAUGCUGCUGACUGGACUUUAGCUCACACAUGCUUAUCGUGCAGCUACUCUUAGUUCACACGUGCUCAGUCUGCUGUUGGCCCAAAGUUGGAACCAGAGAUAUCAUGACUCUGGUUUCAUUUCACCUCAACUGUGUUUUUUUUUUUAAAUUAAAAAAAUCAUUUGUUUUAGGUAUACAUACAUGUAUUUUGAUUCUAUUUUCAUUGUAAUUUCUCAUUUACUUUGAAUGAAAGUCAUUGGUGUUUUCGAAUGGGAAUUUUGCAUUAAAAAAUGAAGAAUAGUGAUUUUUGGAGUGUAAUUAGUAGUAAAGUUGGUUUUUACUCGCAAACAAGUGAACUGCUCGAUUCCCGAGUGGUAUCAACCAGUUUCCAACUUUUUAAUAUACACUAAUUGUUAUUGUUUAAUAGCUACUACUAUUAAAACUCGACAUCUAACAAAAAUACUUAAAAAAAAUGAUUUUUCUUAUGAUGCUGUAAAAAAAAAUUACGGGUUUACUUCUUUCCAUGAGAUCUAUAACAUGGUCUUGACUUCACGAAAUUCUUUUAAUUUAAAGCUUGCUGGUGUGAGAAGGUCAGUUUGACUGAUUAAUUCUUUUUAACAGUGGUCGAGAUAAUUUUACUAUCUAAUCGAAUGUUAUGCUGUUUUCUUUUUCUAAUCUGGUGUGAGAUAAUUAAUUCUUUUUCACAAAUGCUAUGCUGUUUUCUUAGGCUAAGGAUCUUCUAUCAGGAGAGGUUAGAAAUUCAAUGCUUAAAAGAGAAUAAUACAGAAAUUUAGGCAGAAUCUAAUCGAAUAUUGCAUGAAACAUGAAAAAUCAAUUCAAGUCCUUUCUUUAAACGGAGAAUGCAUCAAACAAAAUCCAAAGUGUCUUGCACGUCUGUAGCAUGAGCAAAAAAUUGUAAAUAUGUAGAACCAAAUUAUUCAAGUACAGAAGAACGAGCAAGCUAAAUCAUGUAUAAGAGAUUGGCCUGGUUCGGGAUAGCUUCUUCACUGUACCUGAAGGAUUGGCUCAAUCUCUUCUUUAGAAUUCUGCAGAUUUUGUAAUUACUCGUGUAAGCAAGCAUACAUUGCCACCAUAAGAAUAAUAAAGCUAGAGUAAUGAUAUGACCACCACCUCUUGUGCACAAACAAUAUUGUAUAAACUAAUGCGACAUAAUAUGAUUGGUUAAACAAAAACAUUACAUGGCCCUCAUAAUUUAUUUAUUUAUUUAUUUAUUUAUUAUUAUAUUUUUUCAGUAAACCAAUCAUAUUAUAUCACAUUAGUUUCUAUAAAAUAAUUUGCUAAAUAGCACCAAAACUUAAUUGAUACUCACCAUUUCAUUGAACAAUUUUUUUAUGGUGUCAUUGAGAUUGCCUUCCCAACAUCCUUCAUCAUCAUCAUCUUCAUCAUCAUCAUCAUCUUCUUCAUCAUCAUCUUCUUCAUCAUCAUCUUUUUCUUCUUCUGUGACGUUCACUUUGUUUAGCAUUGGUGUGUCUAAGACUCCUUGAGAGAAGAUCUUCAUUUUUGGACACUGUCUCACAACUACUGGUUUCAAGGACGGGAAUUCAAGAGCGUAAUUACCCGAACAAAAGCUUGUUAGGCUUGGCAAACAAUCAAGUCCCAAGUACUCCAAUUCCUCGAAGACAACGCAACCUUUCGCUUCUUCUCCAACCUGCAAUUGUAUGAUUUGUUCUAUCAUUUUGCAAUCAGCUAUCUUCAUUCUUUGAAGAGUCACUAGACUUUCAGAUGUUGAGAGCGUCAAUAAAUUUAUCAACCCAUGACACUUCGAUACUUCCAGAGUCGCAAGAUUUUCCAAAUGCCACGAAGCUGGUACUAAUUUCUGCAACUUACUACAUUCAAAUAUUUCUGGACUUUUCAAGUUUGCAAACACUUUGUUGGAUUUGGCAUUUUCCUUCCAGAGAUGCUGCACUUUGUGUAAUCCAGAUAGCUUUAACUUCAUCAAUUGAGGGAAUGCAACCUGAAAAUCAACAAAAUUAAGUUGUAAAUGAAAAUAUGUAUCCAAUCUCUGCAGUCUUCCCCUGCAUAUUUUAUGAACAAGAUUAAUCACGACAUUUUAUAUUUUAUUUCCAAAUUAGUAUGCUUUGCAGUAGGAUCCCAAAUAUAAGUAUCAAAUCGAUUACCCUUUGAAACACAUAAAUGAAAUCUGAUGCUAAAUCCAAUAUGAAUUAGCUAGGAAAACAGAGAUGUAACACGCAUAAUCGAUAUAGUUCAUCGCCUUAUGUCACCAGGCAUCUAAUUAAUUUAAGACAUUUUUAUAAUUCAUACUAUAAAGUUAGUUAAUAACAGAGGUUAUAUUGUUAAAUCAGAUAUAAAUUAAGACGACCUGCAAAAAGAUGAGUCAUUAAGUUUGAUUUGAUUCUAAUGAAAUUACAUCUGUGCGAACGAAAGUGAAGGCAAUAAUAAUAAUAAUAAUAAUAAUCACCUUUUCAUCGAAGAGGGGUUGUACUUGAUGAGCCAGCAAGAAGUUCUCUUCUGAUGUUAAUUUUUGAGGUUUCUUGUUAUCUGUUGUCACGUGCACUAAAGAGUUGGAUAUGAAUGUUUCCAUAUCAGGGCAAUUCUCAAUAGUUAGAUUCUCCAACUCAAGCAUUUCAAUUAUAUUCCCAGUGAAGUUGCAGAAUCUUUUGAGUUUUGGAAGGUCAAUGAGCCUUAGCUCGAAAAGCUUAGGAAACAGGGGACCUAUAUGUUCUUUGUCAGCAUUUAGCACUUCCAAAUGAAGCACCUCUUCCAGUGAAUCACAAUUCCUCACUUCCAACCAUUCCAAAUUGUUCAAGCACCGUAGCAGAUUGGCAGGAAUAGCACUCGACAUAUUCGUGCAGUCAUCCACCACCAGGUGUCUUAAAUUGUUGAAGAAGCUGACAGGCAGUGCUUGGCCAUGCGAUAUUUCUUUCAAACGUGGAAAAUGUGAGAAUUGCAAAAACUCCAUGUCACGAAAUCCAAUCUGCUCAAACCAAAACAAUUGCACUGGAUAUAUACAAUUUUUUUUUUGAAAGGCAUUAGAUAUAUAUAUAUACAUUAAACUUACAUGUUUUGUGUUUUAACUUCUAAAAAUAUAUUUAAAUGUGCAAGUGCAGGGGAGAUGCAUGAACAAUUUGGAUGAAUCGAUUAACACAUACCAUUUCUUCGUAACACUUUUGUAUAGUGGAAUUAAGCUUAUUGCCUUCCCAAUGGUGCAGUUCACCCCCUUCCUUUUCAGUCACUUGCACUUUGCAUGGCUUUGGAAUGGAUAAGAUUCCCUGAGAAAAAGUCUUCAUGUUUGGACAACGUAUCAUAGAAACUCGUUCCAAUGAUGGGAAUUCAAGAGUGUAAUUCUCCAAACAAAAGCUGGUAAGCCUUCGUAAAUCAUCAAGUAUCAAAACUUUUAAUUCGCUGAAAGCAAUACGAUUCUCCUUCGCUUCUUCUCCAACAUGUCCUACGAUUUCUUCUAAUUCUUUGCAAUCCGAUACUUUAAGAUUCACCAGACUACUAGGAAUUCCAACCUGAAAAUAAGCAAAAGUGUGCGCAUGUGUGGUGUAUUAAAAAAGUAUGUUAAUCAUACAAUUAUGCAUUUUAUAAACAUAACAAACCAUGAAAUGUCUACUAGAUAAUUUUUUGUUAAACAAAAACGGAACAAGAUAAAUAAAUAAAUAAAAUCCAGAUAAACAAAGAUAAUAAAAAUACAUUUACACUAUUUAGUAUUAGAAACGUAGAAAUAAUUUAAGGCAAUUUCUAAAUAUUUUAGACUUAUUUUGCAUCUUGAUAUCAGUUUUUAAGCAUAAAUUUGCAAAUUUCAACUAUUCCUUCUUUUUUUUUUAAAAAAAAAGGGACCAUUUUCCUUGGUCCCUUUUUUUUAUGUAUAUUUAAAAAUGGAAAAAAAAAUUUGGAAAAGACUUCCCAAUACUGUCAACGAGGGACUGCUGUAAAGUGGAUCUUUAUUAAGUACUUCCAGACUAGAGGAAAUUUCUUUACAAUCAAGGGUCAGUUGUAAAUAAUCAUGAAUUUGUGGUUAAUUAAUGGCAUAAUCAAUUCGUAACUAAACUAGAGAUAUUAAUUAAAUUUGAAGACUUUUAUUUUCUUUUUUUCUUUUUCCAAUCGAAAUGUGAAGAAUUAAGGAAAAGAGAAAUAUAUAGAUGAAUUCGUGAACCUAUAAGAUGAGUGACGAUCCUUUAAUUUUUGAAAAUCGUACUUAUUAAGAUAUGAGCAAAAACUAUUUAAUUGAAUUAUAUUAUGCUGUUGAAUCGUGUUUAAAAAAUUUAUAUUGUUGAUUCUAAUGCUGACGAACCUAAGAUACUUGAAAUAAAUAAUCAGUUUGCUGGCUGAAUAUCAUUUGUAAACAAAAAAUGGUUAAAAUAUUGUUGGAUGUAAUUUGAAAAAAAAAAGAUUCGAAAUGAAUACAGCAACCUUACCAAUGGAGGAAAAAUAUUCAUUAGGUUAUCACACCCAAUUAUCUCCAAAUUCUUCAAUUUGCUGAAAGACUCCGAAGCAAGCUGGUGGUGCCAUAUUUUUCUCAAAUUAUCCAUCAACCUAAUACGUAAUACCUCCAACCUAGUAAGUCGUACCUGGCAGUUAAAGAUUAAAUAACUAAUUAAUCAAUUAAUGGCAUAAUCAAUUGAUAACUAAAUUAGAGGCGGAUAUUAACUAAAUUUGAAGACUCAAGGAAAAGACAAAUUAAAUAUUGUGACUAAAAUUAAAUUUUUUUAUUAAAAAAAAAACCUUUUUGUCAAAGAGAGGAGGAGGUUGCAUUUCAGAAUGAAUGGUGUCUUCUGGUGAGCUCGUAGAGAUGAAUCUCGACAUACUGUUGCACCAACUAAUCUCGAGGUUUAGCAAAGAAGGGAAUUCAACAACUAAAUCUGAAUGAAUAUGUCCCGUAUUGGCAAAGCUUGUUAGUUCUGGAAGAAAAUGGAGCUUGAGGGAGUGUAGUUUAGGAAAAACCUUUAAUUCAAUCAACUUUCCUUCUUCUCUUUCUGACCACCCCGUGGUGUCGACCACCCCUUCCAUUGACUCACAAGACCGUAUUUCAAGAUGUUGGAGUUGCAAAAGACUAUUAACCAUAGAAUACGAAAACAGAUACUUCAUACGAUGACAACUGCUCACGUACAGCUUUGUUAAAUUUUGACAACAGUACAUUCCUUGAUUAUGAUCGGCCCAUAAUUUUUUCAUGUUUCUUAAGUCCCUGAGAUUCAAUUCCUCUAACCUCGGAAGAAUAACCUGCAAAGAAAACCCGUACAUUUUUGUUCCUUCAAGUACAACCGUCUAGUAUAAUAUUCUUUUGAUGAUCGAAGAUUAAUCGUGAUAAUAAAUUAAUCAAUUAAUUAUUGAACAGAAAAUUAUCACCUUUGGAGCAGUAUCAUCAUCAGCAAUGAUUUCGUUGAAUCCCAAAGAAGUUGUUGGUUUCUCCCUGUCGGGUCCUAUAAACAAACAAAAACAAUAUAUACAUAAUUAAUCUUUGUUGUUUUUUUUUUUCCAAAAUAAUUGAGGAGAAGUCCAUAAUCCCACCAAUACUUAACUUCAACACUCACCAAAAAUCAUUUCCAGAUCACCGCAAAGAGCCACUUCUACCUUUUGAAGCCGCAGUAGGUUUUUGGCCAUGGAGAAUGAGAAAAGAUGCUUCAAUUUGUGACAGGCUUCUACUUCUAUAAUCCUUAAGUUGCUGAAAGAUUGAUCUUCUGUGAGUUGGCUGUCACAUAUUGUCUCCAAAUUGUUCAAAUAGCUAAGAGACAAUGACUCCAGCAAGGGAAAGACUGUACAAUGAACCCGUCCAACUGAACCGACAAUAUGCAAAAUCUCAGAACAACUUUCUACCCAAAGAUGCUUCAAUCGUGGAAAACCUUCCCCAUCAUCUAAUUCAUGAACAACAUUCUGAACACCCUUCAGUUCGUUUAGAUGGAUCUCUUCAGCUUCCUUCAGCAACAUUUUCGUCCCAUAAUUCUCCAAAAGAGUGCUAACAUUUUCUAGCCCAUCGAGCUCCACCAUUCUUGAUGUUUUAGAAUUAACGCCUCACAUGCGCCACGCUUCUCCUAUACAUAUCUUAUAUCUUUGCAAUUCCACAGAGACCAAAUCCUGCGGUAGAAUUUCGGCAUCCCGAACGUGUAUCUCCAAGGUAGUUAGCUUUGACAACCCCUUCAAUUCAGCAAGACUGGCGUUACUUCCUCCUUCAACCUUAUCCCACUGCGAAAAGCUGUCACCCAUAUAUAGUUCUUCCAAUCGUGAAAAUUUUGAUAUGACAUUUGGUGCUAUCACUACAAGGCUCCUACAAUUGCUCAAAUCUAGCAAUUGUAACCGCGUCAAUUGACCGAUUUCAAGUGGUAACUGCUUAAUGUCGGAAUAUCGAAAGCUAAGAAUCUCUAAUUUCUUUAGCUGUCCAAUUGCCGCUACAUCUUCUUGUUGGCACCAGUCUAAACACAAUGUUUGAAGGUUAAUGAGGCGACCUAGUGACGAAAGUAAUGAAGAGAAAUGAAUUCCAGUAAAAUCUAAAACUUUGAGUUCUUCUGUCCCUUCAAAAAAGAGGUCUGAAACUUGCAUAGGGCCAUUACCCUCCGUAUACAACAAAAAUAACUGGAGAUUGGGACAUCCCAACCUUUCGGGAAGCUCUUGAAUAUCUCUAUAAGGUAAAGAAAUAGCAAUUGGACCUUUCUGUAUUGUCUCUUCCAUCUUUUUCUCCACGUCAGCAACAUUUGGAAUAUUAAACAUGCGCUUCUCUGCUGCAAUUGAUACAGCAACAACAUGAAUGACGUCAUGCAUUUUAACUUCAUCUUUGGCAUCACCGUCCAACAAUAAGCAUGAAGAUUUGAGAUUGUCGAUCAACCGAUGCACUCUACUCCUUGCUUCUUCCAAUGUGUAAACAUUUUCAAACAAACCCCAACCCACACCAUGUCUCAAUAAGUCAGAAACGGGUAUGACAUUACCUUCACUGUAUAGACCACAAAGACGGAACAGAGAUUUUGCCUCCUCACUUUCCAAGAAUUCAUAACUCAAUUUUAUGGAGGUGUACACAUUUGCUUGCAUGCCAUGAAUUUCUCUUGCAUCCGAUCUUCUUAGCUGAUUCAAUGCAUCUUGCCAAAAGUAACGCUCCUUAGUUUUCAGAGCAUUUGCAACUGUACUCAGUGCAACAGGCAAACCUCCGCAUCUUUCAACGAUCUCAUUUGCUAUACUUUGAAAAGCAGAUAUUUUAGUUGAAUCACCCACUAUCUUCUCAAAUAACUGCAAUGCUUCUUUUCGUGGCAAAGCAUCGAUCGGGAAAUUUUUCUGAGAAUUCAUAUCAAUGCUCAAUAAAUCUUGCUUUCUAGACGUCAAUAUUAUUGUGCAUCUUCUCUGAUCAUCCUUUCUAUCUUUCUCAGCAACAUCUCCAGAAGGGAUUCCAACCGCAUCCAACUCAAGUCUUGUCCAAAUAUUAUCCAAUAUAAUGAGGACCCGCUUCUCUUUCUUCAAUACUCGACGUAGUCGAUUUGCUCUGUCGAAUAUAUUCUCAUUCAACUCAAACUUUAUGCCUAAAUCUGAAGCGAGUUUGUUUUGAAUUUGCUGAUUAUCUGAUUCAUGUGUUAGCUCAGCCAUAACGACCUUAUCGAACAACUUAUCUUCCAUCACUUGCUUUCUAACUUGCCUGACUAGCGUGGUUUUACCCACGCCGCCCAUGCCGUAGACCCCAAUUAUGUUGAGCUUAUCAUCCUUCAACGCCUCCAUAACAUCCUGUAAUACUUUCUUUCUUGAAUCAAAGGCCUCGUUAUCUUUCCCGCCCCUAGGUGAUUCGCUCUCUGGAGGAGGAUCGUAGGAAACAUCACUCUUCAGUUUGUCGCCUUUUUCCAUGAGAUUAGCAGCAUCUUUUGCGGCCUUUGCUGCUCGUUUACUGAGUUUGUAACGAGACAACAAAUUUGGACACAAUCCUUUGAAGCAGGACUUCUUGGCUCCAUCUUCUUCGUCAAUGAUAGAUUUUGCAACCCCCUCCGUAGAUUCAACCCUACUUCGCCAGUCUUUGACACGCUGAUAAAUCUCUUCCCCUUGUCGGGUAGCAUGAUAAACAUGUUGUUGCACCAUUUCGUUUAUACCUCCCAACUCCUUCACUUGAUCUUUCAGCUCUUCUAUGUAGCUCUGGUACUUGAACACAUAAGAGAUCUGCCGCAUAAUCGGUUCGAACAAUGCCUUUGUGCCUUCUGAUAUAAUGCUUGAAAAAACACCUUGACAGAAUUCUACAGCCAUUGCCUGCUGCUUAACGAUAUAUAUGUAGUUUUUGGCUGUUAAAAAAAAAAAAAUUGGAUUCAAAUAAAUUAAAUGAACUAGAGGGGAAGAAAAAGAAAGAAACGACAACAAACAACUUUUUAGAGAAAGGUUUGACAGGCCUAAAUGGAAAACCAACAACUUUUUGAAGAAAGAAAACUUUGGAAGAUAGAUGCAAAUUAACCGUUGAUAAUAAUACUACAUUAAGAACACAGAAGUUAACAAUAAACAGUAACUUAAAACUCAAGAAAAUUAAAUGACGAGAUUAAGACAAACAAGGGAUAGUUUUUGUUGGACAUUAAGAAACAACUGCUAUCAAGAUCAAGGAUUAGAAAUUAUGCUAUUAAAAGAAGUUAUUAAAGGAUAGUGCUCGUGACUGCAGGAAAAUUUCUAAUGGAAACAACUCAAUUUCAGAAGAAUUUAUCCAAUUGACUCUGUACUUGAACUCGUUGGAUUGGUUGAUUUAUGAUUGACUGAAUUUCAAUUCGGCCCAAAAGAUCUUUAACCAAAGUUUAAUAGCUAUCAUCUACUCCUUAAAAGCAAAUGUGUAUCUUUUUUAGAUUUGACUGAAUUUGAUCUUGUUGGAUUGGUUUUUUUUUAGACAAAGUUGUUUUCCUACUGAUUUUUAUUCUUCAAGUAAACUUAGAUACAAAGUAAAUCUAAAAAAAUGACAAACAAACAAUGAAAUAAACGACAACAAACUGGCAAUUUUGAUACAAAGCCAACAAAUAUUAAAAUUUAGAACAUUUUGUUUUCUUGCUUUCUUUUGUUGGAGGAUUAGAGAUUUUGGUAUUACCCGAAAGGUUUCAAGGGUCUGAGUAGAAACCUAUAAUCUUUUUAAAAACUUUUUUUUAAAAAAUUUUUUUUGGGGAAAAGGAUGCAAAUUAACCAAAGGAAAUAAUAAGAGCACAGGCUUUAUCAAUGAACAAAAACUUAAAACUCAUGCAAAAUAAUUCAAUAUUAAAACAAAUCACUGAGGAAUAUUUAAGAACAACUUGAAAGAGCAAAAAGAUCACUGAGGAAUGUGUGAGAAAAGAGUUGACGAGAGAAAUAACAAUGACUUGCAGAAGAAAAACCAUUAAUAAUUAUGUGCAUUUUUAUUUUAUUUUUAUCCGCAUGCACUUUAAUGAUUAGUGCUCCUUUCAUAAAGCAGCUACCGGAAACACACAAAUAUCAUUUGAGAGAGAAACUAAACAGCAAAUCAUCAAAGUAAGAUCAAUAAUAUAUUAUUUGGUUAAUGCAUAUUCAAGAACAAAAACAAAAAUAAAUAAAUAAAUAAAGAAGGUUUGAUUUUGUAUUGCCAACGCUGCUUUUUUGUUAUUUCAUUUGUUCUUUCCACAAAUGAUGCUUGGUUAUAAUUAAGUUUCACAUGGCCAUUACUUACAAACUGUGUUUGUGUUAACAGAAACAUGAAAUUCACAUCACACAAAAUUGCACUAUCAAUUCUUAAUAGAACAUAAUAAUAAUUACUCAACGCAUAAGGGUAAAUUUAGAAUUACAUUUUCUCAAUGCAGAAGGGUAAAUUUAGAAUUACAUUUUCUGAUUCUUUUUUAUUUAAUAAAACCCCAAUGGAAAAUCAUAAAAAUUUAGAUAUAUAAAUUUUCUCCACCAAACAAGAAAAAAAAAGGGGGAAUGAAAACACAGGAUUUAUUUUACCUCUCUUUCAUCUUAACUCUUUUUCAGGCAAACCAAAACAAAAAAAUUUCAAUAAAGAGCUAGUUGUUGAAAUUGAUUUAUCUUGUUUUUCAGGCUAUCUUGUGACGUGACGAUAGAUAAUGCUCGUGAAUGCUAGAAAAUUUCUAAUGCAAACAACUCAAUUUGGGAUGAUAAGCUUAAUUUUGCAAAUGACGAAUGUAAAUAACUUGUUUUGAUUAAUUGAAUUUGUAAUACUCUUACCCUAUUCUAAAAUUUGGAGGUUGCUUGAGAAAAAAGGGUAUUUCUCACUCAUCUUCAAUCCUCAAGUAAAAUUAGGUAAAAAUCAAAUCUAAAAAAUCACAAACAAAUUAACAAAAAAAAAAAAAAAAACAACAACAUUGAUCUUGAGACAAGUGAUAUUUAAACAGAGAAUUCUUUAUUCUUUUUUACUUCCCCCUCCCCCCCCGGGGGGCUCGAGGAUUAAAGUCUUGCUAUUAACAGAGAGGUUUUAAGAGUCUGGAUAAAACCCGUGCUUUUUUAAAAAACCACUUUUUUUUUUCUUUUCUCUUUUUUUUGGGAAGAUAGAUUCAAAUUAACCAAAGCUAGUAAUAAGAGCACAUACCUUACAAAUGAACAAUAACUUACAACUCAAGCAACAUAAAUGAUAAGAUUAAAACAAACCGGAGAAAUUUUUCUUGGAAAAUAGACGGAAAUUAAAUAAGAACUGCUGUUAAAAGAAAUUAUUAGAGGAUUUAGGAGCAUGUGUACCUCUUUAAUUAUUUGGGAUCAGAGAGUUGAUGAGCUCUCUAUUCGCCUUUAAUAUUGAGUAAGAACUGGUAUUAAAAGAAAUUAUUAAGAACAAUAUUUCAGUGAGCAAAAGAUCACUGUUAACUGCAGAGGAAUUUGCGAGUAAAAAUUAAGCUGAAAAGAGCAGUAACAAUGAAUUGCAAAAGAAGGAGACUUAAUCAAGCACCCCUUUUAUACCCGAUUUUUAAGAUUUAAUUUUGAAGUUCCCAAUCAAGAACAAAGACGAAGCUUUAAUGAAGCAUGCAGUGAGAUACAAGAAAUGGAUCGGGCAAAAUACCUUACGAAGCGUUUCAUAUUUUCUAAUGAAAUAAUUAAGUUGAAGUUUUCGACGAAUAAAUACUUGUUGUGCUUGAAUAAUUUUGGCAUAUACAUUACUUGUAUCCGGCGAAAUUGAAAAGCACAUUCAUUUACAGAGCUUGUUAGUAGGGAAAAGCUUCGUAAGAUGCCUGAUAAAAGAUAAAGCAAAAGCUUGAAUGAAGAAUGACAUUUUAGAAAGAAACUAAAGUGCAAUCAUCAAAGUAGGAUCAAUAGUGACUUGAUCAGUUAUGCUUUUUGUUAUUUCAAUUGUUCUGUCCACAAAUGAUGCUUCGUUAUUACUAAUUCCACAUGGACAUUAUUUAGAAACUGAUCUUAUGUUUAACAGAAAAAUAAAAACUCGUCAUCAUAAGCAUUCUUGGUUGUCCUAAACCAGAAGUAGGUGUUUUGCCUGAAAGUACCACUUUGCUAGCAAAUCUAGUGGGUAUACUGAAUAAAUUUUUACAUUAUUCUAUUUGAUCUCUCUGUCUUUAUCCUAAGCAUUCUUGGUUGGGAUCGCUGCAUUGUCCUGUAAUCUGUGUGACUUAGUGAAAAGAGGAAUGGGUAACUGUGGUUAUGGGUACGUGAGAGGUAACGAUGAGGGUAGAUUGUUAAUUUUGAGGAGCGAUUUGCUUGCAUAAUUCAAUGCAUGGACAGAAAUGUCCCUGACCAAAAAAAGGGACCAUCCAUAUCUGAAUCUGAGCAUCAGAGCUUGACUUAUUUGAUAAAUAGAUAUACUUGAACUGUUUUUGCAUAAUAACUAAAAUAUUUAUUUUUAUAUAUUCGAUAAACGAGCUCACUAUUGAUAGAACUUAUUAGAUACUACAACUCAAAUAACUUCUUGUGCUUGAUUGAGGUUUUUAUAUAUUCGUAUGUUUGAGUUUUUUUUUUUUUUUUACUUUCUAAGAAUUAACUUCUACCUUGAUUCUAAAAAAAAAUAUAUAAUUUUACAAAUAAUUUAGUUCGGCAUUUGGUAAAUGAUAACUAUUUGAGAAUAAGUUUUAAAAUGGUUUACUGUACAAAUCUGGUAAAUGAAAAUUAAAAGUGUAAAAUGUUCACAUAAUGAAAAUUAAAAGUGUAAAAUGUUCACUUGCAAUGACAACAAAUACUUAUUUACUUAUUUGUAAUUUAUUUUGAAUAUUAUUGUUUAAAUCAUUUUUUUUACUUACCAGAUUUUUUAAGAGCAUUCUAUUUUCUUUAUUACAUAGUUAAAUAAUUUUUUAUUAGCUAUUUUAUUUUGCAAUAAAAUUAACUUCAAUAUUUUUUUAACUAAAAAUUUUGUUAUGUAGUUCGUGAUAUAACAAAUACUAACAUAUCAUUAAAUUGAUUAAUAAAUUAAGUGCAAAAAAGAAAAUGCAGAAAUUUAAUCUUUAUAUAAACUUUUAUGUACAUAAAAUCAUUGUAAUCAAACUAGUUCAUAGAAAUAUAAUAUUAUAUACAUGUGUGUAAAAAAAACAUAUGACCAUAAUAUUAUCCACUCAUUAAACUUGCUGCACUAUUAUUUCUCAAUCUCUCCAUCUCUCGACCUUCAAGAACAUUACUACCAUAAUCUUCUUCUUGAAUUCAACCUCCAUUUCCUCAUCAUCAACAAUGCGACCAAUUUGCCUUGAUAGCCUUUCAACUCCUCCCACUUUCCUCCCUUUUUGCAGACACUCUUUUUCUUUUUCUUUUUCUUCUUUAAUAGCUUCAAUGGGAACAACCUCAUCUAACGACAAGUCCAUUCUUCAACUAGAAUAGAGUUGGUAGUAGAUAUUUUAGUACUCUCAAACUAUGCCCAAACAGGGUCACCAAUGAUUGUCGUAUUAAAAGACAUUCUAUUUAAUUUUCCUCUAACUCUGGGUCGAUACCUUUUAUGCAAAAUCUAUUUACUUCAGGAAUUUUCUACACAUGUCGAUAGCAUAUUAAAGUGAAUUCAGAUCCUAUAUUAUUGACAUUAAAAUUUAGCCGAAUAGUAAAAAAUUUCCCUUUUUGUUUGUCACACAGCCAUAUAGUCCCAUUUUUGGUUAUAAGCUCACAAUAUGCAAGGGAAAUGAAGAUCUAUUAAAACUUCCCCAUAAUGUUCAUUUUGUUGCUCGGAGGAAUAUAACUACCUAUUAAUUAAUUAGCAAGAAUUGCGUUGCGAGUCCAUGUUUUUGUCGUUUGGAUGGAGGAUGUGCUAUCUUUUUGUUGUAGAUGCUUUGUAAGGCUUUUGAUUUAAUGAUUUAAUGCAGUCAAUUAACAAAAGCUUACAUAUAGUAUUAUGUAGUUGCUGAGAUGUCUGUUCUUGAUAAAGUCGAUUUAUUUACACCCAAGCCAACGGAAUCAAAGCCUUUUCGUUAAUAAUAUACACGGUAAUUGUUUUUGUUAAAUUGAUUUCUAGCUAACAAGAUCUUUGAAAGCAUUUAGGUAGCGUUUACAUUUUAUGUUGGAGUGAGAAUCAUGAGGAGUGAGAAUCCUGGGAUUAGAAGUGUGGAGUGGGAGUCGAAGUAUGUUGUUUACUUACACUGGAAUGGAAGUAUGGAAUUGAAAUCAGAAUCCAAUUUAUUUGUUUACAUUGUCUUGGAUUGGGAGUAAAUGAUUUUAAAUUACAACUUUACUCUUAAAAAAUUAUAGUUAUUACUUACAAAAUUAAUAAAAAUUAUAUUUAAAAAAUAAAAUAUUUAUUUUAUUAUAUUUUUAAAAUAAUAAUAAUAAUUAAUAUUCUUAACUAUGUAAAUCAAAAUUAUUUUAUUAAUUUAAAUUUAAAUUAUAUAAAUAAAAAAUUAUUAAUAACAACAACACAAAUGAAACAUUAUUAUUGUACAAAAUUGAUUUUUAGAAUAAAAUAUUUAUUAUUAUUAAUCACUAAUAUUAAAUAAAUAUAAUAGUAUUAUUUUUAAAUAAGUAUAAUAAUAUUAUAUUUUCAAAUAAAAAUAGAAUAUAGUAAUAUUAUUAAUUCUUUAUGAAUAUAAUAAUAUAAUUUUUAAGUAAUUUUAAAUUAGAAUCAAUAUAAAUUAUUAUUUUUAACCAAAAAAUUAAUAUUAUUUUCAAUAUGUUUAAUAUUAUUAUUUUUAAUAAAUGUAAUUUAUAAAAUAAUAUAAUAAUUUAAUUUAAAUAAAUAUGAUAUUAUUUAUUUUAUUUUAUUAAAUAUAAAGGUAAAAAAUGAAGAGAGGCGAGUGAAUUCCCACUCCCACCUUGCCCCAUGAGAGUGGGAAUCCCAUUCAGUCACUCCAAAGUUAGGUGGGAUCCACAGAGUGGAAUUCUCACUCUCCCUUUGAAAAUUGUAAGUAAACACUAGAGUAAAAGAAAUCCACACUCCUCACUCUCACUCCAAAAAGUACACACUACAUUGAAGAAGCCAUUGACUCAUAAGAAAGCCAUGAUUAAAUACAAGGCGAAGCAUGUGAGCUCGUUUUUCAAUCUCUUUGAUCACUCAUAAGUUUUUCUAUACCACUCACUAUAUCAUCCUUUUAAGUCAAUUUUGACUGAUCAUCAGAGAUCAUGCACCCCACCUUGAGAUGAUUGAUCACCAAUUUGGCAUUGUAACAUUGAUCACCUCUAAUUGGCCAAGCUAAAAUUGGGACCCCAAAACCAAUUGCUUCUACAGUUGAAUUUUAUCCACAGUGAGAUAAAAAUCCACCUGUUAAUUGAUAACUCAGUAUCAAUAAUUGUGGUGCCAUUCCAUCUAUUAUCAAACCCUUUUUACUGGCUCUACUAUCUAAACCACUACGAAAAUAAGCUGGUUAAAUGACGUAGAGGAUCCAAUCUAUUUACAUAAGUUUGAAUUACCUAAAUAAUCGGUGGAUUUGAUGCUUAUAAAUCAGAGGGAAUUGCAGCAGAUACACCUUCAUACUUUAAAAAUUACCUCAAUACCUUAAAAUUUGAUUUUUCCAAAAUUUUCAUCAAUAUCCUUUAAAAGCUGAUAGGAAAUGACUAAGUUAUCCUCGUUUUAAAACACUUCAACUCAACUGGCAGCACCUCUCCCUCCCUCUACUCAAACAAACAAACACUCAUAUAUGCUACAAUUCCCUCCACUACCUUUACUCAAACAAACAAACAUUCAUUCUCCAUACAUGCUAAAUCGAACUUCAACACGAGCAAAUUGAGCUGAGAAAGGGAAGCUGCUACAACUGAGAAAGAGAAGCCUAGUUCGUCGCUACAUAAUCGCCAGCGAGAGUUGAUCCUUUAUUGCAAAAUGGUCAGAAUGUAACUAGUUGAGGUAAGUAAUUCCCUAUAAUUUGUUUUCUUGUUGAUAUUCAAGGGAAAAAACAAAAAGUUAGGGUUUUAUAUUGAAAAAAUAAUUAAUUAGUUGCGGGUCUCUCAUAACAUGUUCGAAAACACAUUUCUAGUUGUUUUGUUGCAUGCAAAUUGUGAAAAAUUAAUGGAUUGUGCCGAUUAUAAUUUUUUCAUGUAACACACGAUUUGGUCAUGUAAGGUUAUGUAAGAUUCAAGGUUGUGUAUUACACGACCUUCAUGUAUUGCACGAUUACAUGACCUUCAUAUAUUGCACGAUUACACGAGCUUUAUGUAUUACACAAUUACAUGACCUUCAAUUCCAGAUUGAGGAGUAAAAAGUUUAUCAUCUCUCCAGGUGUGUUCUGUAAUUUAAUUUUUUGUUUCUUGUCGAUAGAAUAUACACAUUACAUUUAGUUUAAUUAGGCUCACAAUUGGGGACAAUAAAUUGGAAUGGUACAUAUGCCUUUACCUUGUGGAAUGUCAUUACUUAGAGAGAUCCUUAAUUUGCAAUUAUAAGCCAUGGUAAGUCAUGGUAUGUCUAGUUAUGAGUGGAAACACUUUGAUCAUUGCGAAUGGUGUUCUUAUGUGUAUAACAUUACAUUAAUUUCCUAUAGUUAAUUUUUUUUCCUAAUUGAUUUCAUGGAUUAAUUAUAUGCAGGCAUUCCUCAUGUAUGCAUGUAUGUUUGGGCAGAGGAAGAAAGCACUUUGAAGAUUAAAAAAGCUUUUUAAAUGGUUGUACUAUGUUUAAUAGCGAUGUUCAUUAGUGUAUCAUAUCCAAAUAUUGAAAAAUUUGUACACUGAUAACUUUGUUUAUUUAUACUAAUUAAUCUAAUCAUUUCUCAAACUGUCGGAUGUUCAAAUUUAGUUUUUUUUUUCUGCAAUUUAUGAACACACGAUUUGGUCGUUUAAGGUCAUGUAACAUAGGAUUCAAGGUCGUGUAAUAUACUCAUGUAUACAUGACCCUCAGUCGUCUAUGACAUGACUUUGUAUAUUAUUACGCGAUCUUGAAUCAUGUGUUACGAGUCUUUCAUGACCUUCAGUUAUAUAUUACACGACUUUCAUGUACUACACGACUUUAUGUAUUACAUGACUUUAUAUAUUGCGCGAUUAUACAGCCUCCAUGUAUUACACGACCUUAAAAUUACACGAAAUUUUCCAUUAAUCAUUAGAUUAAUUUAGUUCAUUAAAGACUUAAUUUGUGCUAAGAAUUUAUAUUUGCUGCUAUGCAGAAAAUGUCAACGAAAAUUAUUAAAAAAAAGAAGUGAAAUUAAAUUGGAAUCUAAAAAAAUUCCACAUCAUCAUUGGUUUGAAUUGUAAGUGGUGGCAUAGGAUCAGAUGUCUUAAGCUUGAACUUCAUUGUGAUUUCGAAUUCCGAAGUAUCUAUAUCAAUAAAUUGAGCUAAUCUUCACCAAUCCGGCAUAUGUUGUCGAUCGUGGUAUCAUUAUCCCUUUAGCCUUGGAACCUUUGAACUUAUACUCAUCAUUUUGGUCAAUCCAUUCACCAUUGAAGAGAAUAGGUACACGUACCAAAACCAUAUCUGAUGAUACAAUAAAAACAAUAAUAUCAAAUUUCAUAUACAAGUAACUACACGACCUACAUGACUACAUUACUUACAUGACUUACACGACCUACAUGACUAUAUUACUUACAUGACCCACAUGACUUACACGACUAUAUUACUUACACGACCUACAUGACUAACUACAUGACGUGCACGGUAUCAAAAGGAAUGCACGACGCAAAACAUUUUCACCAUAAAUAAAUUAUAUUGCUGAAAAAAAUAAUUAAACAACCUACAUUGCAUAUAAUUCUACAUAUAAGAAAAAAUGGUGAAAAUACAACAUUAUAGAGUGAGGAAAUUUUCUAAAUUUUCCUAAAAAUUAAAAAAAAAUUAAAACCCAACAACAUUAACAUAUCUUAUUGGGUUGUUUAAUGAGCAAUGCACCUAAUUUCAGUUAAAGAAAGAGUGGGUGUUAAAGAAAUGAAUAUAUAAUUGUAUUUGUGUAAGAAGUUAUGAGAGAUUUUGAGAGAUUCUAGGAGAUUUUGAGAAAAUUUCGGCAGCAAGAAAAGAUUUGGGUGAAAGAAAUAUGAAGACAAUGAAGUUGAGUGAAUUUGAUGCAUUCAUUAAGGACAUUUCAAACUUUACUUACAUUUAUUAGGGUAUCCAUGAAAACAAAAAAGGGAGGGGAUAUUUAAAUAAUUUUGAAACUAUUAAAGGGUAUUUAAUUAAAAAACCCUCUAAAUCAUUGGCUAAUGUUGAAUAAUUAUUUAAGGUAGGACCCAACAUGUAUAACACAGAUCCAUAUGAUUUCAAAUCUAAUCAUUUAAUGAUCUCAUCUUCGGUCAUGUUAGAACUCCGCCGGUUGGUUCUCAUCUCACAAUCACGAAGCACUGAACCGGCCGAUUUGUAAAAUUGUUUAGGUAACAAUGGGCCCACUCCCCACACUGGCAUCAACACCAUCGAUCCCUCCACUUGCUUCAUCCAGUGUGGUUGAUCACUCGGUUCUGAUGGACCUAUUUUCUCUGAACCGGGUGCACCUCACAAAGGUUGUGGACCACCAGGAAGGGACCCGUGAGGCCUGCGUUUAAGAUCCGAUUCGAAUAAAGCAAUAUCCUUGGGUAACCCAAGAAGUAAACGGGCCUCUCCCGGUUUGACAUCCUGGAUGCGAGCCUGCCACAUGGCACACUCUACAGCUGCUGAGCAAGCAUCAGAAGUGAAGAACCCAACAAUGGGAACUUCAAAAUUCUUGAAAACAUCAGCCGUCCAGCCCAUCAUAACGCCGAUGACUACGCAAACAGGUCGGCUUUCGGGUUCCCGGGUUGAAAGGAGGUUUCGAAGGCCUUGAAGCAUAUGGCUGUGCAUGACAACAUGGUGGUGAGAAGGAGGUGAUGGUAGUGGUUGAGAUGGGAGGGUAUUUCGGUAAUUUCACAUAGAGGGUAUUGGUGAAGAGAGGAAGGGGUGAUGCUGGUGGUGGAAACGUGAGAGGGAAUAAUGAGGGUAGAUUUGUAAUUACGAGAAGCAAUUUGCUUGCAUAAUUCAAUGCAUGGAAACAGAUGUCCCUGACCGAAGAACGGGACAAUCCAAAUCUCAGCCUCAGCAGCAUUCGCAACAGAGCUUGACAUCUUUUAUGAAUUAUUUGAGACUUAAUUGUUAUUGACUGCUUUUGCCAUCUUUCAUAAAACAUUCUUUGUUAUAUAUUCAAGUAAAUAAAUUUAUCGUUUAAAAUUAAUUUUUCAUGUGGUAAAAGCAAUACUAAAUAUGGGGUGGAGAGAAUAAUUUGUAGGGCAUACCCCCACCAUUUAUUUAAUUUCAUUAAAAAAGAAAGAAAAGAAAUAAAGGCUUGUUCAACAUUCAAUUAAAAUUAACAAUUCCAUGAUAAAAUUACUUGAGAAUAAAAAUUUUUAAAAAAAAAGUAACUCAAAAACGAGGAAUUUUUGAGUAACUGAAGAACCAUAGAUGUUUUUUGGUCAUGAGCAAUUUUUGAGUUGAGACAGAACUUGUAUAAAAAAAUAGUUUUGAAAACUUCUUUUCUUUUUUCGUAAAUAUAGAUAUAAAAUUUUAAAAUCACCAAACACAAAACCAGGAAAAUGGAAGGAGAGCCCCUGUUUCUCCUCUGUUGCAAGAACAAAUUCGGUUUCUACAGUUGUACCUUCUAAAUGCACCAUUUGUAUUGCUUUGUCUCCACUUGAGCUAACGGAAUUUGAUGAAAACAAAAUAGAUAUGAGUGGUGCUAUUCACAGCCCUCAAUAAUUCUCUCAAAACCCCUUUUCUAAUUAUACCCCGUUGAAUAAGUUCAAGACCAACUUUUCCUCUUAUAACACCACCUUCAAUUCCGUUAAUACCCUUGUUCGCUAUGAAAAUGAGGAAAAUGCCUACAUAAAAAGCUGGCUCUGAUAAUCUACCUGAAUUUACAUUAGAAAAGAGUGGACUUUGAGAAAUAAGAAGACAAUAUAGGGAAUUUUACCAAAAUAAUCCAUUUUUAUAUACAGGGAAUGGUAUUUUCUGAUAUAGGGAGGAGUGGAGAAAUUAAAUUCAGCAAAAUAAAGAACCUCCAUCGAGAAGUAAAAAUGAUGAUAUCUUUGUCGUGAAGAGAUUUCUGCCUCAUACAAAUUUUUUAUUCUAGAAUGCUUGAAACCGAAAAGUUCUGUAGUUGUUUCAAUUCAAUUGCAUACAUUGACGAAACAUUAAAUACGGAAAAAAACAAAAAAGAAAUAAUAGGACAGGGGGAUUUCGAGAAGUUCUAAAGAGAGAAAUCUAUUUAUAAGCAUUGAAAAUUAGCUCAUUAAAUUUGACAGAAUAAUAUACAAUCUCACUGUUGGCCAGAAAAUAAUAGUAAGAACUUGUGAACAUAUAUAAUCAAUUGUUUAUUACUUAAGCUCUUUUUCUUCGUUAUUUUGAAUGGGUGCAAAGAAGAGAAGUUUUGUACCCAAAUUCCAACUCGAAUUGUGUAGGCUGCUUGCAAGAGCUUCAUUAGAUUUUUAUUUGUCUUUUAAUAGUGCUUCUCGACAAAUACAGCUAGCUAUCUGUCCUUUUUGUUACUGGACUAUAGAUCAAUUGACAGUUGAAGUUAUAUUAAUUUGUUGUGCUGGAAUUGAAGCUUGUAUCUUAGCCAUUUGGUGAAGUGUCAAAUAUAUUUUUAAUUUCCUUAAAAUUGUUCAAAAUAUGUUUACACUUUUAAAGUCACUAUUAUACAUGAGUGCCCUAAAAUUGGAGAAGGCGAUUUGCCUGACAUUACCUGUAUUCGCUUGUAUAGAGAGGACGAUUUAGAUAAGUCGGAACGGAACAACCUUCAUCACAUGCUUCCUCACGUGGUUACUUAAACUGAUAUGUAAAACGUGCUCCAUCCAUGUCGUUUCCACUAAAUCGUUUUCUGUUAAGAAUCAGCUGAGCAGCACGUGAGCUAAUGAAGCUUUUACGGCUUCAAAACGCAGCCGUUUCUGGGAACCAAACUUGAUUCAUCACCUCACAACUACAGAUGAAUUAUCGAAGUGGCUGAUUGGUGCUAUACGUGUUUUUCGUAUUGAACUCAACUCUGCUAUUUUCCCAAAAGCUGGAAAACAGAAACAUCAUCCCUGUGGUUUUAUUUCACCUCAACCUUUUUCUGAUCCCAUUUUCAUUGUAAUUUCUCAUUUACUUUGAGUGAAAGUCAUUGUUGCUUUCGAACGAGGUUUUGCAACUAAAAAGGAAAAGGGGGCGGCUAUAAUACAUGCGUGCAUCUGAUACAUGCACAAAAACUGACCAUUGGAUUAAAUGGAGUGGAUCUAAUGGCUGAGAUUUGUUUUAUUAUUAAGCAAUAAAAAAAUUUGAAACAACCAGAAACCUGUAAAACCGGUCAUUUGGUUUAAGUUAAAAAUAUAUAAAUGAAAAUAACAAAAAAACCCACCACUCCCCCGCCUCACACGCGCCUCACCGCUCCCCGCUCCCUCGCCUCACCUCUCUUCUUGUUCCACGGCCAUCAACGGCGGCACGAGUCGGCGACGAUCGACUGCGGCUGUAAAUUGACCACGAUCAUCUCUCUCUCUCGGCUUGCUCAAAUUUGGCCGAUCUGUGCGCUUGCUUAAGCUUGGCCGAUCUAUGCUUGCUCGAUUACUCUUCCUAUCUUCAGUCAGAGUCAACUGUUUGACAAGAGUCGAAGUCCAAGGUUCUUUUUUACAGGAUUUGAGCUAUUCCUUUUAUUCUUCUUGCAUGUUCACUGAUAUGAAGCUUUGAUGUGGUGUUCUGAUAGCGGGUGGAAUUUGAGAUUCUCCUUUCUUCUCUAUAUGAAGGUGCUUGUCAUGUGUCAAGAAAAAUAAAAUUAUUUACCAAAGAUUAUUUUAAGGAGAUUUAUUAUUAUUCGUGGAUCGGGAAGUUUAUUUUGUUUUUUGGUCUCUUAUUUAUUUAUUGUUUUCACGAGGAAAUUGCUGUGCUUUUGGAAAUUAAUAUGCUGUGUUGUCAAUGUUGUGUGAAAUCCUUUUAUUGGUGUCUAUGUAAAGUGUUUCAGAUUUCAGACCUGAGAGUUAAUCUUCGCGUACCAGUUGGCUUUUGGGUUUAGUAUUGCUACUUUUAACAUAAUUGACCUAUGGCCCAAAUCAUUUCUAUAGGGCGAAGCAUAUGAAUGAUACAUAUUAUCUUUUUUUGGCCUUAUGUAUUGUUAUUUGCAGUGUGAUUUGGUCUAGCUUAAGAGCUUAAGCUUGCAGGUUGGAUUUGUCUGACAGGGAACAAUUUAAUUUGCUCAUCGUGAUGUUUAUAUCCAUUUUGUACUACUAUCAAUUUCAAUCAUGCCUAAUUUUUAUAUGUAUUUCUCGUGGACUCUCAGGUUCAGUGCACAAGAGGAUGAAGACGAUGGACACCCAAAUUUGAUGUGGAGAACAACUAUUGCAAAUGGUCCUUGAUUUACUUCUCCAAUUGACUUGAAUUGGUUUGACGCAAUUUAUAGUGUAUUUUUGUCAUCUUUGUACGACUAGCAGGUCGUCCUGAUUUGGUACAUGACUGGACACAGGAAUUGGACUCAUAUUUUUCAAACCAGAAUGCCAACAAUCAAGCAUUUUCUUUUGAAAGCACUGGCGUCUUCUUCAAUGCCAAAAAGGUUAGAGAUUUUCUGUAUCUUGUUUUGUAUUUAAUCAGUUUAGCAUGUGGGUGGCAAUCAAGAAAAGUUAUUAUAACAUUUUUGUGUUCCCGAAAAACUGCUGAUGAUGUGUAGUGCAGGAAAUGAAUUGUUUUUGACUUCUUUUUAUUUGUAUUCUUUCUUUUUUCUUUUCUCCCCAACAGGAUUAUGCAUUUCUGAAGAGCUUCUUGAAGUUGAUUACCAUGUAUGCCACUUUCUUUACUCUAUGCUCAGGAUGUGAUUUUGCCAAGCAUUAAAAUGGUUUAGGUCAGAACCAUCAUCUAAAGUUUACUUAAUGCAGCCGAGAAGCUGUAGUAGAGCAAGGAAGGCUGUUGGUGUUAUGAAGGCCAGCUGUGAAGAAAUAUUUGAACUUGUAAUGAGCAUGGAUGGGACACGAUACGAGUAUGCUUCUUUUCUAUUUUUUAUUUUUAGUUACUUUAACAUAAUCAAGACUAUAUUGGCUGUCUCUGUAAGCUGAGUAUUAUAUUUCCUCUUGCAUGCUGUGAAAUUCACAUUGUCUCCAGUCCCGAUUCUGUAUGUGCCUUUUUGAAUAUAUUUAAUUAAUCUGCAUGGUGCUUUCUAAAGAUUAUUACAAACUUUUGUUGCUUAAGUAUAUGAAGAAUGUAGAAAUGAAAACAGCUUUUGAAGUUUGAUGGAUUGCUUCAUUAAUAAAGAAAGACUAGGACUCAUUUUUAUAACUUUUCUCCACUUAGCUAAUGGUAUUUGAUGAAGACAAAAUAGAUGUAGCUAUCUAUAUUUUUUGUUGCUGAACUAUAGAUCAAUUGACGGUUGAAGUUAGUUAUAUUAAUUUGUUGUACUAGAAUUAAAGCUUGUAUCUUAGCCAUUUCAUGAAGUGUCAAAUACGUUCUUUCCUUUUUUUUUUUUUUUUUCAAAACAUGUUACACUUUUGAAGUCACUAUUACAUAAAAGAGUGUUCUAAAACAGGAGAAGGCGUGCUGCCUGAAAUUACCUGUUUCCUAGCAAAUCUAGCUGGUUUGCGAAUUAGAUUUUAACAAGUCUCUUGGCAAGGUUUGCUAGUAAUGUGUUCAAAUUAUUCUAUUUAAUUUUACUGUCUGUACCCUAAUAAUUCUUGGUUUGCACCAUUGCAUUGUUCCAUAAUCUCUGUGCGUUGGCUUAUAAAGGCCAGCAAGGCUGAUCAUUUGUCGAAUAGUUAUUUCCAUGAAAUUCCUAUCAAUUUGACUCAGUAUUUAGAGGUCUUGAAGAGGGCAGUGUACUAGACAUGGAUUUCUACCUCUUUUGGUUGUACAAUUGUUGUAUUUCUUGGCCAUCAGAUCUUUUUAAUGUACCUUUCUCAAAGUUCAUGCCGCACGUACACCGUUUUUCAUGUUUUGUGCAUGUGGGAUUGUAGUCUUCUGUAUCGCAGCUUAGUUGAAGAGGUAGAUGGUCAUACGGCUAUUCUCUAUCAUAGGCUUCAGCUGGACUGGUUUCCAAUGUAAUAGUCUCUUGAUUCAAUCAUCUCAUUUAUGCUUUGGUCAGAAUAGAACAUUUAUUGUUUCCUUCUUUCCCCUUUCCUCUCUUCUGAUGUAAUAUGUGAGGAAAUUACCUAAAAUUUCUGUAUCCCAAUGUAAUUGUUGGAAUUCAGAAAUAAAAUAAAUACACCGUCUUGUUUUUCCCUCGGUUCAGUCCCAAGUUCUCUUUGGGCCUUCUGCAAGUUUUUAAACAUACUGUGACAGUAAAAAAUCUAGUGAUUGAGAUCAUUUUGAUGAAUUUAAUUUUAAUUCUUAGCUGAUACUUUUUCUGGAAUUUUUUUCUUAUGUUUCCUCAAUAUGACUUAAAUAUAGGGCUUAGUUUGGUUUAGAAGUUCAUCUAAAACCUUCUCCUUGAUUCCAAAAAAAUUCUCUAGAAAGGUCUCAGAUGGAUUUUAGGGGAGUUUUGUGGCAAAUUUGAAAAGUUCAGGGGAAGGGUCUAAUGAAUUUUAAAACCACAUGGGUUAUCUGUUUUAUUCAGAGGAUAGUGGAAUUCCCUGAAAUUUAUCAUUUUUAUUUAAAUAAUCUUCCUACUUUCCUCUGCAGAAUUUAUUUAUAUAUAUGAAUUCAUUUGGUUGCAGGUUUGUUUGGCCCCGCGGCCUUUGUUAAGUGCGUUAUUGGCGUUGAAAUGACGCUGCGAGUUAUGGUAAGGUUCUUGCUUCCCCACUUCUUGAAAUUAAAUCUAUCUUUUCUGGCACUAGAAGUUUCCAUAAGCUGUGUUUUGUUAUCGCGCAGUUGUGUUAUUUCAUUCUAGGGAGCAUAUGAACUGUGGUCCACAACCCGGAUAUGUACGAGCUCACAUGGAGAGUUAGUUUUCUGUCCUUUACUUUGGUUGAUGUAGAGAAUUAACAAGUGACUAAGUCAUGCCAAGUUGCACCACUUGCUUCCUGUAUUCUGAUUUCUCAGGUGGUGGAUUCAACAUUUCCCCACUAAAACCUCAAAAUGGUAGGCCCAGAACACAAGUACAGCAUCUUAUGCAGAUUGAUCUAAAAGGGUGGGGUGUUGGUUAUGUGUCAAUGUUUAGCAACACUGUCUUCUGCAGAUGUUAAAUAGCAUUGCUGGUAAGUUUCUUGCUUUCACAUUUUAUUUUGCGCUGUUAUGGGUUAAUAUGUUUCUGUUGGGUGGCCAUUUUAAGUCAUAUUUUUACGUGUUACUGUAUUUUCUUCAGUCCUUUUAUAGGGAACACACACAUACACGUAUGUAGAGUCACCUUUUAAUGAGGGAUCUACCAUUUUAAUGAAAUGAGGAAUGAGCUAAAAGAUAAAAAAUUCACGAACUCCAAUGCAAUAUGUGUGUGUGCGCGUGUACACCUUUUCUAACUCUUGUUCUUAGUUAGAUAUUUUUUGGGAUUUCAGGCAAAUGAAAAAAGAGAUUAAGAGAAUGAUUUCAAGAGAACAGGUGGAUAAUAACUUAAAUAUUCAUUUUUAUACAUUUUGUUAAUGUCCUCUUUAAUGGAUUUCUAUGGAAUUAACCUUGUAAUUGGUGUAAUUACGGCAUUGGUGGUUGACAUGGCUUUCCUUGUGCAGGUAUGUAUGAUUGUACUGCAAUUUGCAAAUUUGCAUACUUGAAUGUUCUCAGAAUGGUAUAAUGCUUCGUGUAUGCAGGCAAAUACUACAGAUGAAUUACCGGAGCGGCUGAUUGGAGCUGUACGUGUUUCUUAUAUAGAACUCAAGUCUGCUAUUGUUCCAAAGUUGGAACCAGAGACAUCAUGACUCUGGUUUCAUUUCACCUCAACUGUUUUUUUUUUUAAUUGAAAAAAAAAAAUCAUUUGUUUUAGGUAUACAUACAUGUAUUUUGAUCCCGUUUUCAUUGUAAUUUCUCAUUUACUUUGAAAGAAAGUCAUUGGUGUUUUCGAGUGGGAAUUUUGCAUUAAAAAAUAAAGAAUACUUAAUAGGAAAUUUCAUAAUUCUUUAGUUACUAUUUUUGGAAUGUGUGUAAUAGUAUUAAAGUUGGUUUCUACUCGCAAACAAGUGAACUACUCGAUCCCCAACUGCGACCACGCUAGUUGUCAUUUAAAACUCAACAACUAACAAAAAUACUAAUAAAAAAAUGAUUUUCUUAUAUUGCUGUGAAAACAUUUAUGGGUUCAUUUAUUUCCACAAGAUCUAUAAUUUGGUCUUGACUUUACGAAAUUCUUUUAAUUUAAAGGGUUUUGGUCUGAGAAAGUCAGUUUGACGGAUUAAUUCUUUUUAAUAAUGGUCGAGUUAAUUUUACUAUACUCAUAAAACUAUUUUUAUUCUGAUAAUGCCACAAAUGUUAUGAUGUUUUCUUCAGCUAAUGAUCUUCUAUCAGGACUAGUUAGAAAUCAAAUGCUUAAAACACCGAUUGAAUGUAUAAUGCAGAAGUUUAAACAGUACCUAAUUGAAAAUUGCAUGAAACAUGAAACAUCAAUUCAAGUCCUUCCUUAAACAGAGAAUGCAUCAAACAAAUCCAAAGUGUCUUGCAAGUCUGUAGCAUGACAAAAAAGUUGUAAAUGCGUUUGGAACCAAAUUCUUCAAGUACAGGAGAACGAGCAAGUUGAAUUAUGUACAAGAGAUUGGCCUGGUUCGAGAUAGCUUCUUCACUGUACCUGAAGGAUUGGCUCAAUCUUUUCUUUAGAAUUCUGCACAUUUUGUAAUUACUCGUGUAAGCAAGCAUACAUUACAACCAUAAUAAUAAUAAAGCAAGAGUAAUGAUACGACCACCACCUUUUGUACACAAACAAUAUUGUAUAAACUAAUGCGACAUAAUAUGAUUGGUUAAACAAAAACAUUACAUGGCCCUCAUAAUUUAUUUAUUUAUUUAUUUAUUAUUAUUAUUAUUAUUAUUAUUAUAUAUUUUCAGUCAACCAAUCAUAUUAUAUCACAUUAGUUUCUAUAAAAUAAUUUGCUAAAUAGCACCAAAACUUAAUUGAUACUCACCAUUUCAUUGAACAAUUUUUUUAUGGUGUCAUUGAGGUUGCCUUCCCAACAUCCUUCAUCAUCAUCAUCUUCUUCAUCAUCAUCUUUUUCUUCUUCGGUGACGUUCACUUUGUUUAGCAUUGGUGUGUCUAAGACUCCUUGAGAGAAGAUCUUCAUUUUUGGACACAGUCUCACAACUACUUGUUUCAAGGACGGGAAUUCAAGAGCGUAAUUACCUAAACAAAAGCUUGUUAGGCUUGGCAAACAGUCAAGUUCCAAGUACCUCAAUUUCCCAAAAACAAUGCAAUCUUCCGUUUCUUCUCCAACCUGCGACUGUAUAAUUUCUUCCAUCAUUUUGCAAUCAACUAUCUUCAUUCUUCCGAGAUUCACUAGAUUUUUAGAUGCUGAGAGCGUCAACACAUUUAUCAACCCGUGACACUUCGAUACUUGUAGUCCCCACAGAUUUUCCAAAUGCCACGAAGGUGGUACUAAUUUUUGCAACUUACUACAUUCCGAUAUUUCUAGCCUUUCCAAGUUUGCAAACACUUUGUUGGAUUCGUCAUUUUCCUUCCAGAGAUGCUGCACUUUGUGUAAUCCAGACAGUCUUAACUUCCUCAAUUGAGGGAAAGCAACCUGAAAAUCAACAAAGUUAAGUUGUAAAAGAAAAUACGUAUCCAAUCUCUGGAGUCUUCACCUGCAUAUUUUAUGGACAAGAUUAAUCACGGCAUUUUAUAUUUUAUUUCCAAAUUAGUAUGCUUUGCAGUAGGAUCCCAAAUAUAAGUAUCAAAUCGAUUACCCUUUGAAACACAUAAAUGAAAUCUAAUGCUAAAUCCAAUAUGAAUUAGCUAGGAAAACAGAGAUGUUACACACAUAAUUAAUAUAGUUCAUCACCUCGUGUUAUCAGGCAUCCAAUUAAUUUCAGUCAUUUUUAUAAUUCAUACUAUAAAGAUAGUUAAUAACUGAGGUUAUAUUGUUAAAUCAUAUAUAAAUUAAGAUGACAUGCAAAAAGAUGAGUCAUUAAAUUUGACUUGAUUCUAAUGAAAUUACAUCUGUGCGAACAAAAGUGAAGGGAAUAAUAAUAAUAAUAAUAAUAAUAAUUACCUUUUCAUCGAAGAGGGGUUGUACUUGAUGAGCCAGCAAGAAGUACUCUUCUAAUGUUAAUUUUUGAGGUUCCUUGUUAUCAGUUGUCACAUGCACUACAGAGUUGGAUAUAAAUGUUUCCAUAUCAGGGCAAUUCUCAAUAGUCAGACUCCACAACAUAGGCAUUUCAAUUAUAUUCCCAGUGAAGUUGCAGAAUCUUUUGAGUUUUGGAAGAUCAAUGAGCGUUAGGCUAAAAAGCCUAGGAAACAGGGGGCCUAUAUGUUCUUUGUCAGCAUUUAGCUCUUCCAAAUGAAGCAUCUCUUCUAGUGAAUCACAAUUCCUCACUUCCAGCCUUGCCAAAUUGUUCAAGCAUCGUAGCAGAUUGGCAGGAAUAGCACUCGACAUAUUGGUGCAGUAAUCCACCUCCAGCUCUGCUAAAUAGUUGAAGAAGCGGACAGGCAGUGCUUGGCCAUGCCAUAUUUCUUUCAAACGUGGAAAAUGUGAGAGUUGCAAAUACUGUAUGUCACGGAAUCCAAUCUGCACAAACCAAAACAAUUGCACUGGAUAUAUAUAAAUACAUUAAACUUACAUGUUUUGUGUUUUAACUUCUAAAACUAUAUAUACAAGGCAGGUGUAUAUGUUCAAAUGUGCAAGUGCAAGGGAGAUGCAUAAGUAAUUUCAACGAAUCGAUUUAACACAUACCAUUUCUUCGUAACACUUUUGUAUAGUGGAAUUAAGGUUGCCUUCCCAACGGCACAAUUCACCCUCUUCCUGUUAAGAAUAGAAUUAGUUAGUUAAUGAGUAUGCUGACAUGGCAGCUGAGUCAGCUAAAGGUUGUUAUAGAGGUUGUUAGUAGUAAACUGUGCGUGUGUGCAAUGUGUGUAGAAUCUUCUAUGCACAUAUAAAAAGGCUUGCAAUUUCCAGAUUCAUUAGAUCAAUAAUAACAGAAUUCUCAGCUUACAGAAGUUUUCUUUCCUCCUAUUUUCUUAGUAACCAAACAACAUCACAGUUUCAUAUAAAACUUAAUACUUCCUUUUUACUCACCUGCACUUCGUGCAGCUUUGGUGUGGAUACGAUUCCCUGAGAAAAAGUCUUCAUGUUCGGGCAACGUGUCAUAGAAACUCGUUCCAAUGAUGGGAAUUCAAGAGUGUAAUUCUCCAAACAAAAGCUGGUAAGCCUUGGUAAAUAAUCAAGUAUCAAAACUUUUAAAUUGCUGAAAGCAAUACGAUUCUCCUUCACUUCUUCUCCAACAUGUCCUAUGAUUUCUUCUAUUUUUUCACAGUAUGAUACAUUAAGAUUCACUAGACUAUUGGGAAUUCCAACCUGAAAAUAAAGAGUAGCAUUCAACUAAAUUCAAAGUAUGUCAAAAUCAUACAAUUGUUUUAUGAAAAAUAACAAACCAUGUCUACUAGAUAUUUUUUGUUAAAGAAAAAAGGAAAAAAAUUAAAACAAAAAUAAAUAAAUAGAAGUCCAGAAAAACAAAGAUAAUGAAAAUGCAUUUACACUAAAACGCUGUAUUUCCCUUUUUUUUUUCCCGAUAUUCAUGCUUUUAAAAAUGGAAAACAUUUCUGGAAAACACUUCCCAACGCCAUCAACAUGGGACUGUUACAGAGUGAAUAUUUGAGGAAAUUUUUUAAUAAACGGUCGAUUCAAAAUGACCAUCAUGAAUUUGUGCUUAAUCAAUGGCGUAAUCAAUUCAUAACUAAACUAGAGAUAUUAACUACAUUUGAACACUUUUCUUUAUUUUAUUUUUAAAAUCGAAAUCUAAAGACCCAAGGAAAAGAGAAAUAUAUAUGAAUUUGUGAACUUAAAAGCUGAGUAACUAAGUAUCUUUUAAUUUCUGAAAAUCUUAUUCAUUAGGAUUUAAGGAAAAAAAACAAUUAAAUUAAAUUAUAUUAUGCUGUUAAAUCGUGUUUAAAAUAAUUAUAUUGUUGACUUUAAUGCAGGUGAACCUAUAAAUUAGAUUGAAAAUGCAGAGUUCAGAAUGGUGAUUUGAAGUACAAUACUUUUUUUCCCUCUAGAAGUUUGAAGUACAAUACUUGCAAUAAAUAAUUUGUGAAUGAAAAUUAUUUGUAAACAAAAAAAUGAUUAAAAUAAUUGUUGAAUGUUAUUUGAAAUAAAAAUUCAAAAUGAAUAUAGCAAUCUUACCAAUGGAGGAAAAAUAUUCAGUAGAUUAUGACACACAGAUAUCUCUAAUUUUUUCAAUUUGCUAAAAGACUUCGAAGCAAGCUGGUGGUGCCAUAUUUUUCUCAACUUAUCCGCCCCACGAAUAUGUAAUACCUCCAGACUUGGGAGUCGUACCUGAAGUUAAAAAUUCAAUGCAAUUAGAGAUGGAUAUUAAUUAAAUUUGAAGACUCAACGAAAGAAGAAAUUAACUAUUAAGAAUAAAAUUAAUUUAAAAAAAAAACCUUUGCAUCAAAGAGAGGUUGAGGUUGCAUUUCAGAAUUAGCUUCUGGUGAGGCAAAGCUACUUAGUUUUGGAAGACCAUCGAGCUGCAGGAAGUGUAGUUUAGGAAAAACCUUAAAUUCAUCUCUUCCUCCUAACCCCGUGGUGUUGACUAUCCCUUCCAUUGACCAACAAUUAAUAAUCUCAAGAUGUCGGAGCUGCCCAAGACUAUUAGCCAUAGAAUAUGAAAACAUAUACUUCAGAGGACAACACCUUGUCACGGUCACUUUUGUUAAAUUUUGACAACAAUACAUUCCCUGAAAUUGAUCGGGCCAUAAUUUUUUGAUGUUUGUUAAACUGACAAGUUCCAGUUCCUCCAAGCGUGGAAAAGUAACCUGCAAAGAAAAACCAUACAUUUUUUUUCCUUCAACUACAACUUCUAAUAUAAUAUUCUUUCGAUGAUUGAAGAUCAAUCGUGAUAAUAUAUUAAUUAAUUAAUUAUUAAACAGAAAAUUAUCACCUGAUCAUCCUCUGCAUUGAUUUCUGUGAAUCCCUGAGUAGUUGUUGGUUUCUCCAUGUCGGGCCCUAUAAAUGAACAAAAACAAUAUAUGAUUAACCUCUGUUGUCCCCUCCCAAAACAAAAAAAAAAAAAGAAUGAGCCAAUGUCAAUAAUCCUACCAAUAAUUAAUUUAAACACUUACCAAUCAUCAUUUUCAAUUUAUUGCAAUUUACCACUUCUACUUUUUGAAGCCCCAAUAGGUUUUUGGCCAUAGAGAAUGAGAAGAGAUACUUCAAUUUUGGACAGGAAUAUACGUAUAUAAUCCUUAAGUUGCUGAAAGAUUGAUCUUCUCUGAGUUGGCUGUAGCAUAUCGUCUCCAAAUUAGUUAAAUUAAUAAGAUCCAAUGAUUCCAGCAAGGGAAAGACUUCGCAACGAACCCGUCUAACUGAACCGACAAUAUGUAAAAUCUCAGAACAACCUGUUACAUGAAGAUGCUGCAAUCGUGGAAAACCUUCCCCAUCGUCUAAUUCAUGAACAACAUUCUGAACACCCGUCAGUGAGUAUAGACGGAGAUCUUCAGUUCUCUUCAGCAACAUUUUCGUCCCAUCAUUCCCCAAAAGAAGGCUAACUUUUUCUGGCCCCUUGAGCACCAUCAAUGUUGAUGUUUUAGAUUCGACGAGUCGUCGGUUAGACAUUUGUCCUAUAAAUAUCUUAUAUCUUUCCAAUUCCAUAGAGACAAAAUCCGGCGGCAGAAUUUCGGAAUCCGAAACAUCUAUCUCCAAAGUAGUUAGAUUUGACAACCCCUUCAACUCGACAAGACUGGCAUUACUUCCUCCUUCAACCUUAUCCCACUGUGAAAAGCUGUUAUGCAUAAACAGUUCUUCUAAUCCAGAUAAUUUUGAUAUGACAUUUGGUGGUAUCAACUCAAGGCUCCAACAAUUGCUCAAAUCUAGCAACUGUAACCGCGUCAAUCGUCCAAUUUCAAGUGGUAACUGCUUGAUAUCGGAAUCUGCAAGGCUGAGAAUCUCUAAUUUCUUUAGCUGUCCAACUAUUGCUAUAUCUUUUAGUCGGCAAUAGUCUAAACGCAAUGUUUGAAGGUUAAUGAGGCAACCAAGUGAUGAAGGUAAUGAAGAGAAUUGAAUUCGAGUAAAAUUCAAAACUUUGAGUCCUUCCGUCCCUUUAAAAAAGUGGUCUGAAACUUGCAUAGAGCCAUCACCCUCCGCAUGCAAUAGCUCAAGACAGGGACAUUGCAACCUUUCAGGAAGCACUUGAAUACCUCCAUAAGGUAAAGAAAUAGCAAUUGGACCUUCCUGUACUGUAUCUUCCAUCUUUUUCUCCAAGUCGGCAACAUUUGGAAUAUUAAACAUGAGCUCCUCUUCUGCAAUUGAUACAGCAACUACACGAAUGACGUCAUGCAUUUUAACUUCAUCUUCAGCAUCACUGUCCAACAAUAAGCAUGAAGAUUUGAGUUUGUCGAUCAACGUAUGCAAUCUCCUCCUUGCUUCUUCCAGUGAGUAAACCUUUUUAAAAUAGUCCAUACCCAUACCAUAUCUCAAUAAGUCUGGAACAGGUAUAGCAUAACCUUUACUAAGUAGACCACAAAGACGGAACAGAGAUUUUGCCUCCGCACUUUCCAGCAAGUUGUAACUCAAUUUUAUGGAGGUGUACACAUUUCUUUCCAUUCCAUCAAUUUCUCUUGCAUCGGAACUUCUUAGCUGAUUCAAUGCAUCCUUCCAAAUGUCAAGAUCCUUAGUUUUCAGAGCUUUUGCAACUGUACUCAGUGCAACAGGCAAUCCUCCGCAUUUUUCAACGAUCUCAUCUGCAGUGGGUUGAAAAGCAGAUAUUUUAGUUGAAUCACCCACUAUCUUCUCAAAUAACUGCAAGGCUUCUUCUUUUGAUAAAGCAUCGAUCGGGAAAUUUUUCUGAGAAUUCAUAUCAGUGCACAAUAAAUCUCGACUUCUAGACGUCAGUAUUAUUGUGCAUCGUCUCUGAUCAUCCAUUCUUUCGUUCGGAAUCCCAACUUUAUCGAACUCCAGUUCCCCCCAAAUAUUAUCCAAUAUAAUGAGAUGCCGCUCCUUGUUCUUCAAUACUCGACAUAGUCGAUUUGCUCUGUCGAAUAUACUCUCAUUCAACUCAAACUUUAUGCCUAAAUCAGAAGCAAGUUUGUCUUGAAUUUUCUGAUGAUCUGGGUUCUCUGUUACCUCAGCCAUAGCGACCUUAUCGAACAACUUAUUUGUUUCCAUCACUUGCUUUGCAACUUGCUUGACUAGCGUGGUUUUACCCACGCCGCCCAUGCCGUAGACCCCAAUUAUGUUGAGUUUCUCAUCCUUCAACGCCUCCAUAACAUCCAGUAAUACUUUCUUUCUUGAAUCAAAGGCCUCGUUAUCUUUCCCGCCCCUAAGUGCUUCGAUAUCUGCAGAAGGAUCGAAGGCAAUUUCUUCACUCUUCAGUUUGUCGCCUUUUUCCAUGAGAUUAGCAGCAUCUUUUGCGGCCUUUGCUGCUCGUUUACUGAGUUUGUAACGAGACAACAAAUUUGCACACAAUCCUUUGAAGCAGGACUUCUUGGCUCCAUCUUCUUCAUCAAUGAUAGAUUUUGCAACCCCCUCCGUAGAUUCAACCUUACUUCGCCAAUCUUUGACACCCUGAUAAAUCUCUUUGCCUUGUCGAGUAUCAUGCUUAACACGUUGUUGCACCAUUUCGUUUAUACCUUCCAACCCCUUCACUUGAUCUUUUAGCUCAUCUAUGUAGCUCUGGUACUUGAACACAUAAGAUAUUUGCCGUAUAAUCGGUUUGAACAGUGACUUUGCACCUUCUAAUACAGUGCUGGAUAAAGCAGCCAGAGCCACUUCUGCCAUUGUCUGCUACUUAACAAAUCUAAUAAUAUAUCAAAGAAAGGAAUACAAAUAAAUUAAAAGGAACUAAAGGGAAAGACAGAGAAAGAAAAGACGGCAAACAACAUCGCAAUAUUGAUCUUGAACCAACUGAUACCUAAAUAGAGAAUUUCUUUUACUAUCUUAAGGAUCAGAGGUUUCGCUAUUAACCGAAAGGUAUCGCUUCUAUUUUGUCACUUUGAACGAAUAACUUUAUGUUUUUAACGGAUGUUUAAUACAAAUUGCAUACAUUGGGUGUAAAAUUAAAUAAAUUUAAAUAUUUAUAAUAAUUUUAAUAAUUGAAUAAAACUUUGAGUAAAUGACUGAUAAUUUCUCUAAGAUGAUUUAUUGUUUGGGGUCUAAGAUUUUAAAUAUUCAACUUAAAAGAUUAAUAUCUUAUAAAUUGAUUAAUUAAUUAAUCAUUAAGCAACUAAAUUGGUCCCUGGAUGUCAAUUUAUUUAAUAUUGACGCACCUAUUUUUUUUUUCUGGCAAAUAAUUAUUAAUGCACUUAGGNNNNNNNNNNNNNNNNNNNNNNNNNNNNNNNNNNNNNNNNNNNNNNNNNNNNNNNNNNNNNNNNNNNNNNNNNNNNNNNNNNNNNNNNNNNNNNNNNNNNNNNNNNNNNNNNNNNNNNNNNNNNNNNNNNNNNNNNNNNNNNNNNNNNNNNNNNNNNNNNNNNNNNNNNNNNNNNNNNNNNNNNNNNNNNNNNNNNNNNNNNNNNNNNNNNNNNNNNNNNNNNNNNNNNNNNNNNNNNNNNNNNNNNNNNNNNNNNNNNNNNNNNNNNNNNNNNNNNNNNNNNNNNNNNNNNNNNNNNNNNNNNNNNNNNNNNNNNNNNNNNNNNNNNNNNNNNNNNNNNNNNNNNNNNNNNNNNNNNNNNNNNNNNNNNNNNNNNNNNNNNNNNNNNNNNNNNNNNNNNNNNNNNNNNNNNNNNNNNNNNNNNNNNNNNNNNNNNNNNNNNNNNNNNNNNNNNNNNNNNNNNNNNNNNNNNNNNNNNNNNNNNNNNNNNNNNNNNNNNNNNNNNNNNNNNNNNNNNNNNNNNNNNNNNNNNNNNNNNNNNNNNNNNNNNNNNNNNNNNNNNNNNNNNNNNNNNNNNNNNNNNNNNNNNNNNNNNNNNNNNNNNNNNNNNNNNNNNNNNNNNNNNNNNNNNNNNNNNNNNNNNNNNNNNNNNNNNNNNNNNNNNNNNNNNNNNNNNNNNNNNNNNNNNNNNNNNNNNNNNNNNNNNNNNNNNNNNNNNNNNNNNNNNNNNNNNNNNNNNNNNNNNNNNNNNNNNNNNNNNNNNNNNNNNNNNNNNNNNNNNNNNNNNNNNNNNNNNNNNNNNNNNNNNNNNNNNNNNNNNNNNNNNNNNNNNNNNNNNNNNNNNNNNNNNNNNNNNNNNNNNNNNNNNNNNNNNNNNNNNNNNNNNNNNNNNNNNNNNNNNNNNNNNNNNNNNNNNNNNNNNNNNNNNNNNNNNNNNNNNNNNNNNNNNNNNNNNNNNNNNNNNNNNNNNNNNNNNNNNNNNNNNNNNNNNNNNNNNNNNNNNNNNNNNNNNNNNNNNNNNNNNNNNNNNNNNNNNNNNNNNNNNNNNNNNNNNNNNNNNNNNNNNNNNNNNNNNNNNNNNNNNNNNNNNNNNNNNNNNNNNNNNNNNNNNNNNNNNNNNNNNNNNNNNNNNNNNNNNNNNNNNNNNNNNNNNNNNNNNNNNNNNNNNNNNNNNNNNNNNNNNNNNNNNNNNNNNNNNNNNNNNNNNNNNNNNNNNNNNNNNNNNNNNNNNNNNNNNNNNNNNNNNNNNNNNNNNNNNNNNNNNNNNNNNNNNNNNNNNNNNNNNNNNNNNNNNGGGAUUAUGGGGGUAUGCUAAUGCGGCAACCUGACUGUGAGUCGGGAAAAGCUAAUGAGGCAACUUUGCUUGUGCUGCUUCUUUUUUUUUUUUCUUUUGCUUUCUUUUUUGCUUUUUUUUAAUAAUAUUAAAUAAUAUAAAUUUUAAUUUAAUUUAAUAGAAUAUUAUAUAAUAUUAAUUUUUAUUUUCUCUUAUUUUGACAUCAUAAUUAUUAAUAUAAAUUAAUUAUUUUUAUUCAUAUUUUAAUUUUUAUUACUAAAUAAUAAUUAUAUAAUAAUUAAUAUAUAAAAUUGAUUAAUAAAUACUUAAAUAAUAUAAAAAUAAGAAUAUAACUUGAUAUUACAUUAUUUAAUUAUAUUAUAGUAAUUAAUAUAUAUGAAAAUUUAAUAUAACUAAUAAAAAUAUUUAUAUAUGAAUAAAUUUAAAUAAUAUUAAUUUAAAAUUAAUAUUAAUAAAAAUAAUAAUAUAAAAUAUCAUUAUGUUAUGAUAUUAUUUAGGUAUUAAUAAAUAUUAUUUUCUAAAUAUAUAAUUUAAGUUAAUCACAAAAAAUUAAUACAGUACAGUGUAGCACCAAACAUUGUAUUAUGCUGUAUGCCUGUAUUGUAUUAGCACUGAUUGGGUGUAAAGCGUUUGUAAGUGGCUUUUUAAGUCUGCCGUCAAAUCCCCUGCAAAAGCUUUUUUCUUAAUAUCACGCGUGUUGGUACUACAUAAAACCGUAAACUCUAACAAUUUCUUUGUUCUUUCUUAAUAUCACGCGUGUUGGUACUACAUAAAACCGUAAACUCCAACAAUUUCUUAGUUCUCAACACCCCUUAAUUUACAAGAAUUAAUCACUUCAAGGGUGGAUUAGGUAUAUCUUUAGUUCAUAUAUAACUAGCAAUAUCUAAUAUCCCAUAUACAUGUUUUUCUCCCAGAAUGUAAACCAACUAUUCAUAUCUUAGACUCCAAGUAUUCGUAUCUUAAAGUCAAUCGAUAAUAUUAAUUUAAAUUUAAUAAUAAUAUAAAAUAUUAAUAUAAUAUAAUAUUUAAUUUAAAUUAAUUACAAACAAAUAAUAUAGUACAAUGUAGCACCAAACAUUGUAUAGCAUUAUUAUAAUACAAUGCUAAUGCAAUACAAUAUAAUAUAAUCCACCAACAUUAAAAUAAUAUAAUAUAGCAUAAUACAAUACAGUGUGUCAAAUGCACCCUUAGGGUGUGUUUGGUAUGUGGUAUUGCAUAGCAUUAAAUGUGGGCCCAACAUUAAUUUAAACCAAUAACAUGUUUGGGAGCAAUUGAGGCUUAUUGGGAUUGGGUAUUGAGGGGUGCGCUAAUGCGGGAACCACCGCAUUAGCUUGUCUUUUUUUUUUUACUUUUACUUAAUAAUAAUAUAAAUGAAUAAAUAUAUAAUUUUUAAUUUUUAAUAUAAUAUUAUUUUUAUUUUUAUAUCAUAAUUUAUUAAUAAAUUUAUAAUUUAAUAUGAUUAAUAAUAAAUAUUUAAAUAGUAUAUAAAAUAUAAUAUAAUAUUACACUGUGUAAUUAUUGUAAUAUAAUUAAUAUAUAUAAAUUAUUUAUUUUUAAAUAAUUUAAUAUAAAAAAUAAAAAAAUAUUUAAAUACAAAUGAAUUUCAAUAAUAUUGAUAUACGAUUAAUAAUAACAUAAAUAAUAAUAUAAAAUAUUAGCACAAUUCAUUUUGCUAUUAAAUAUGUUAUAACAAUUUUGUCAUUUUAUAAUUUUGUGGUGUAUAUGAACAUAUGUCUUAAGAUUAUUUUUGAACAAAUCUUGUAGGUUUUAACUAUUUAUUUUUCUUGUUAUAUUAUUUCAAGAUUAUUUGAUUAAAUUAUUUGCUUCGAUAUUUAACAAGUUAUAUAUUUAGAAAAUAUAGAAAAUAAAUGUUAUGCUUCCAAAAAUUAAAGGAUAUAACGUUCGAUCUUUAUGAAGAAUUAUGAUAUUUUUGAACAUUUAUACUAAAAAAUUAUUAAAUUUUUAGAAAAUUAAAAGAUAUAACAUUCGAUCUUUAUGAAGAAUUAUGAUAUUUUUUAACAUUUAUACUAAAAAAAUAAUUAAAUUUCUAAAAUUUAAGACCUCUAUAUUUAGUUUUUUUUAAGUACUAUUAAUAUUAUUUUAUAAAUAUAUAAUAUAAAUUAAUUACAAAAAAUUAAUACAGUACAGUAUAACACCAAACAUAAUAUAAUUAAAAAUUAAUACAGUACAGUGUAAUACCAAAUAUUGUACAAUAUUAUUAUAAUACAGUACUAAUGUAAUACAACAUAAUACAAUACACUGCAUAAAAAUAAUGUAAUUUAGUGUACCAAACACACCCUUACAGAACUUUUGCAUAUCUACACAGCGAUUUUAAAUAUUACUGAUAACUCCUGAGAAAUGUGUGAGAAAGGAGUUGAUAAGAGUAAUAACAGCGACUUGCAAAAGGAAAAGACAGAAUCAUUCACCCCUUUUUAUAUCAUGUAUUUGGUUACUGUUGCCCUGUUGACGCAUGUAUAAAAUAACCGUAUGUAUUUUUUUUGGCUGUUGCUUAACAAAAUGUGUGUUUGUGUGUGUAUAUAUAUAUAUUUGCUGUUUGAAAAAAUUGGAUUCAAAUAAAUUAAAAUGAACUAGAGAGGAAGAGAAAGAAUGAAAAGACAACAAACAAUUGAUAUUGAUCUCGAACCAACUUCUUUCUUUCUUUCUUUCUUUUUUGUGUUUUUUUUUUCGCCCGUACCCCCUCUCAGAUUAGAGUAUUGGCUAUUAAAUGAAAGGUUUUAAGGGUAUGAGUGAAAAACAACAUUCUUUUUUAGAAACUAUUUUAGAGGAGGGAUGCAAAUUAAAUGACAAGAUUAAGACAAACAGGAGAUAUUUUUUCGUGGGCAUUAAGAAAUAACUGCUGUCAAGAUCAAGGAGAUUAUGCUAUUAAUAGAAAUUAUCAAAGGAUUUAGAACAAGUUCACCUCUUUAAUUAUCCGGGAUCAGAUAGUUGAUGAGCUUCUCUUCUUGGCGUUGAAUAUUUAAGAAUAAUUUUAAUGAGCAAAAAGAUCACUGGUAACUGCUGAAAAAUAAGUGAGAAAAGAGUUGAUGAGAAUAAUAACAAUGAAUUGAAUAAAAAAAGGACUUAAUCAUGCACCCCCUUUGCAUAUCAUGUAUUUGGUUACUGUUGCCUUGUUGACGCAUGUAUAGAAUAAUUAGUGACUUCUUUCAUGAAGAAUUAAACUUGGAAUGACCAAAAGACGAAGCUGCGGUGUAUUGUUGGACCAAAUUAAGUUGAAGAAAGCACUAGUUCACAACCUUACGUUUGGAUAUAUUCUAAAGAAAUAAUUAAACAGCAAAUCAUCACAUGCACUUUAAUGAUUUGAUCUAUUGUUUUCAAAAGAAAUUGCAAUUAACAGUUUUUGUCAAAAGUUCGCACUGCGUGAAACUAGUGCUAAUAUAAUUUAAAAAAUUAAUUUCAGUAUUAGUUUUUAAAAUGUUAAUUAUUAUAUUUAUUUUAAUAAUAUAUUUAUAUUUAUUAUAAAAAAUUCUGUUAAACAUUUGUGUUAAAUAGAAUUUAUAAUUAAUAUAAUAUAUCUUAGGUAUUAAUAAUAUUAUAAUUAUUCUAUAUGCUAUUGAAAAUAAUUUAAAUUUUUAGACGUUUAUUUUCACAUUAAGUUUCUAUUUAUUAUAAAAUUUAGUUUAAUAUAGUAUAAGCUUGUAAAGUAUUAAAAUAUUUUUUCAUAUUUUUUGAACAUAUUAAAAUUAUUUUAAAAUAUAUUUAUAUAUUAACAUUGAAGUCAAUUUUUUAAGUUAAUAGAACCAGUAGGUGUUAUAGUAAAAAAGCGUUUCUUAGCAUCACUUAUUGAAAAUAUAAAGAUCUAUAUAAUCAUUUUUUCAAAUAUUGAGAUGUAGUUAUAAAAGAAAAAAUAAAUUAAAAAAUUUUAAAUUUUAAUAUGGCCAUCGUAGAGUUAGAAUCCCCGCUCCAACCCGAUUUGGAGAUGAGCUUGGUCUAUUUAUGUUUUGGAAAAAGAAAAACCAAAGGAAAAAAAAGGCACCCGACCAAAUCAAGUAACUCAUCAAAUAAAAAAUAAAAAAAGGAAAGAAAUUUAAUGACUUGCAUGCAAUUUUGGAUCUGAAAUUAAAAUUACAUAAAAAUUAAGGAUUACGUACCUUAAUAUUUACAGCUUAUUUGAUGGACUCAACAGGUUUAAGCAACAUCAAAAUGUUUGUGGCUCCUUAAAUGAGCCCCCGACAUGGUGCAAAUGACAACAUCGACUUGUUUGACAGCUCCAACAAGGCUACGAUGAUCAGAAGAUGAGCCCUCAAUCAACAAGCUAAGAUUGGCUUCUCUAUCCUCUUCGCCCCACAACCAGCGCCUUGCUCUUUGUCAUUUUUCCUCUUGUUAGUUUUCUUCUACAUAUAAUUAUUACACUGGGAAGUAUACACACACCUCUUUUCUUUUUAUAGUACCUUACUAUUAUAUCUUUACAAAACAAUAUCACCCUAAGACAGCUAUGUAUGAAAUAAAUGAAAUAAAUAUAUAAGGAACUGACGAAAUAAAAUUAGAUCUAACUCUAAUUUCACGUUGCGUGAAUUUUUGACAAUUCACCCGUAUCCCAACAAAAGCUUUGUCAUAUUGCGAAAAUACCUUUUCAAUGUUUCAAUUGCAAUGUCAUUGCCAUUAUUCAUAGUGGCAGACAAUGGACGUCACGGGACGGUAGAAGUCUAUGUUACGGCUUGUGCAAGUAACAGCAGCCAAUGGGGAACUUCCACGGGUGCUAGAGGAGAGAGAAAGAGGUCCCAAUGCAAGGUGAUGGAAAUGGGAAAGUUCGAAGCUGUUACUUUCAGCUUCUGCACCUUAGCCAUGUCCCACGGGACAAGGCUAGAAGUUAUCAUGACCAUAAACUUUUCUAAUUUAUUUUUUCCUUUCAAAAAGGGACAAGGAUACGUUUCGGAGAAUGAUUAUAUUUUUAAUAAAAGAAUUCUUUUUUAUUAUAAUACUUUUUUCUUUAUUAAUUUAAAAAUAUUGACUCUUAUAUUUUAAUAAAUAUAAAUAUAAUAUUAUAAUAAAAUAUAACAAUAUAUACAAAUAUUUAAAAAAAUUUAAGAUUUUAUUAAAAGAAAUUUUAUAAUAAAUACAAAUAUAUUAUUAAUAUAAUUAUAAUAAUUUGCAUUUUAAAAAGUAAUACUGAUAUUAAUUUUUUAAAUUAUAUUACUCUACCAAAAAAAUUAAACUAUUAAAUUAUAUUGAUAUUUAUUAAAAAAAUUGAAGUUAAUUCUUAUUAUAUUUUUAAUUGGAAUUUUUUCAUGUGACAUAAUUACAAUUGCUACAUUUUUUUCCCUAAAUAAAGAUGGGAGUUAUAAAUUAUUUGUAUAAGUGUCUGUGUGUAAACUAAUGUGACAUGAAAGUAAUAGCUGAAUAACAAUAAUGGAGCUUUAGGUAAUUUUUUAUGAGGUCUUCUUGCAAUUUCAACACUUAAACAGACUUGUCCUUGAUCCCAAUUUAUUUACCCCAUUUGGGCCCCUUAUGACAAACAUAUUCUUGUGGAAUGAAAAACAUCAGGAGAAGAAAAUGUUUUAUUAUAAUAGAAAAAGUUGUCCAUAAGUCUAUUCAUUUUUUUUUUAUUCAAUACAAAUGCGGGCCGCGUUCUGUGGGUCUNNNNNNNNNNNNNNNNNNNNNNNNNNNNNNNNNNNNNNNNNNNNNNNNNNNNNNNNNNNNNNNNNNNNNNNNNNNNNNNNNNNNNNNNNNNNNNNNNNNNNNNNNNNNNNNNNNNNNNNNNNNNNNNNNNNNNNNNNNNNNNNNNNNNNNNNNNNNNNNNNNNNNNNNNNNNNNNNNNNNNNNNNNNNNNNNNNNNNNNNNNNNNNNNNNNNNNNNNNNNNNNNNNNNUAAGUAGAGUGAGACUCUGGCAUCCUCUAAAUAUCUCUCAACACUCUUUCUUAUUAACCCCAUUAAAAUAUUUAAAAAUAUUAUAAAAUUCUUUUAACACCUUUUUUAUGGCAAAAAUACCCUUAGUUUAAAUUUAUUAAUAUAAACCCCAUUUUAAUUUUUGACCCCUGAUUGUGAUUUUUUUUUAAAGCACCUGAAUUUUGAAACAAUUAAUUAUCUAUUGAAAAAGAAAGAAAGAAAAGGAAAACAAAAGGAAAAGGGCACUUGCUCCAAGAAAGUUCUACUUUAAUGUGGCAAAUCAUUGAAACACCACAUGGCCAAAACUUUACUCUAUGCAUGACAACUCAUUGUAAUUGAUAAUGACCCUCGCAAACACUUGGCUACCAUGCGUGUAAUUCUAAGGCCAAGUGCUAAUUUGGUUUACUGAUGAAGAUGCUGAGCACAAGCUUCUGAAAAUGCAGAAUUACGAAUUUUUCGAAAGACUGCGAACCUUUAUGGAGAAAGACAACUAGGCCACUGGAAAACAUGUCGGUGGGAAAAUAAUUCUGAUGAUCGUUCAGCUCGUCCUUUGCUUCAUAAUUACUUUCUUCUUUCUUAAUUUCUCUCAUGGGUCUCGGUUUCUUCCUGAAGCUUGUUGAUGAUGAGUUGCAUAUGCCGAUAAUUCCUCACCAGAAAAUAAGAUGAAAAGGUAACUUUCUUAAUUUUUAAAAUGCUGAAUUUCAAUUUAAGGUACUAUUCAUUUUGUCUCUUUCAAGUUAUUUUUCAUUUUUCUGCUGAUAUUUUAAUAUUUACAGUCAAUUGUAGCAUUACUUAAAUUUAUAGUAUGUAGAUCAUAAUUCAUAAAUUAGUUUGCAGUUGGAGUAAACUCGAAAAUGUUAAAAAAAUAAUAAUAACAACAAAAAGAGUAGAGACAAGUUGUCAUCUUGAGUAACAAUAAAAUAAAGAAUUGCAGCUUUUACAAAGUCUUUCUUUAAAAAUAUGAAAUGAAUAAAAUGACUAUUAAAAUGGUUCAAAAUUUUCUGAUAGUGUCAUUGACUAGCUAGAUCAAUUGUUUCUUGUGUGGUAACUUCAAACACCAAAUCCUUGAAAGCAAGUAUAUUAGUUUUGUAUGGUGUUGCCCAGCCUUCUGCACAUGGUUCAUGAUAUUUGAUCCAACUAUUCGCAAUAGGAGGAAUAGGUGAAGCUGGAAGCAUGAACACCUGUAAAAAAAAAAAAAAAGCCAUAGAAAAAUUAGUCCAAUAAUUAAGAUAUUGCAGCAUAAUUUGAAUUUCUAAACUUUUACAUACCUCUAUGAAAUGAUUUCUAUUAACAAAUCCAAUAGCAAUGAUUUUAUGCGAGGAGCGUGAUAAUGGAAUAGAUCUAAGUGGAAGGAAUGUGACAAUCAGCACAUCUGAUAUAUGUAGUAAUACCACAUUAUAUUUAGAAGCAAUAAUAUGACCAAUUUCAGGCAUGGUCAUCCAAUACUCUCUUCCUGGGUUAUUCUCAAAGUAUAAAAGUGAAUGAAGCACCUCCUCUGCUCUACCAGCAUAUUCAAAGACUCUUUUAUAAUCAUUAAAGUGACUUUGCAACUCAACAACUAAGACUUUCCUGACUUGUGCCCAGUUAUCUUCACCAAUACCUAUUAGGUCAGCCACUGCCUGAAAACCACAAUUACCAUCUGCAACAACAUCUCUAACACCACAAAUAUAAGGCCUCAAACCAAAUGGAAAUGAAUCAAUAUAAGAAGCAUGCUUUGGUGCUUUUGUUUGAGAAACACUCAUUUUUCGUUGCCCUUUUGGUUUUUUUGUAGUUGUACUUGAAGACAUAAUGUCUGGAGAAUGAUUAUCCUGUGCGGAUACUACAUACUCAAAUCUUGAUGGAUCUCGGCGGGUAGAUUUAUCAAGCUUUUGGGAGGGUCGUCCUCGAGUCUUAGCUUUAACAGGUAGCUCAAUUAAAAAAGUUAAGAAUGGAUCAGCUAAUUCUUUCAGUUUUCUUUUUAUUUGCAUUUUUCCGAAACCAUCUGAAUCUUCAAAACGCUUGAUAAUCAUUUCCAUUUCAGGGGUACAACUCAACUCUGCUGAUUUUUCAUAGCUGGUGCAGACAAGGUCUAAUUUCCUCCAAUGCAAAUGUACAGAAUCUAAAGGUAUCGGUCGACCUUCACGCUUAUACUCUGCAAUUUCAUGUGCACACGGUAGCCCAUAAGUGUGUCGAACUACACAACCACAUGCUGAAAUAUCUAUACCAAUUAAAUCAGCUCUUUUUGACUCACUUAGUAUCAUAUCUAAUGCAUUUCUAGCAACUAACCCCCUUAAUUCUUUAAAAACUGAAGGUGUGAAACUAUGUUGCACAGUAGUCAAACUCUUCUCAAAUGAUGCCUUAAUUUUUGUAUGUUGCAACUCUACCAAAGAAUGAAGUUUUGUCCAUAAUGUUACAAAGUUUCCUUGGGAUGAACAUAGUUGCCUUUUUAAUUUUGAAUGUGCAGUCUCAGCCCUAAAAAUAAACCAACAAAAAAAUAAUAAAAAGAUAUAUAAAAAAAUGGUGUUGAGUUUAUUUAUAAAAUCAUUGAAAACUAAAUAUUGGUUACCUGUUGGUUGUCAUAUUUCCGAAAUGCAUAAUAAAGUCUGUCCAUGCUGCAAUAAAUUUUUCUUUAUACUUAUCAAGCCAUGUCUACUUCACAUAGACAAGUGCUUUCGGAUAUCUAGCAUAAUCACUCUAAAAAAUACUCAAGUGUUGUAUGUACUCUUGUUCAGUGGCUGAGAACACCAGUACAUUCCAGUUGCUGUUAAAGGCUUCCCAUCUUUCAUUAGUAUGAAAUAGCCUCUUAUAAUUAGCUAACACAUUUUUUGAAAUAUGCCAUCUACAAAGUAAAUUAGUUGCACUUGGAAAUAUCUUUUCAAUGGCAUUCAUCAGAGCUAAUUCCCUGUCUGUCACAAUCACAGCUGGUAACAUAUCAUCUUGCAUAAUGGUUUUCAAUCUUUCUAAUGCCCAAAUAUAGUUAUCUUCUCGUUCGGACUCAAGAUAUGCAAAACCAACAUUAAAUGUCUUUGCAGUCGAUGUGUCACCAACUAUUUCUAACAACGGAAACUUAUACUUAUUGACUUUAUAAGUGCAGUCCAUUAUCAGAACACUUGGAAAAGCUUUUAACAAAUCAAAAGUAAGAGGAUGUGCCUAAAAUAUGUCUUUCACACAAUUUGUAUCAUCAUCACUCCGAUGCCACUCAAUGUAAUUAUGAUCAUGCAAUUUACUCAUAAGCUGUUGCAUUUGUGACCGUCCGCCCAAUUCGCGAACCUUAUAUUUAUACCGAGCAUUAUAAACCGUCUUCAUUGUUGUAACAUUAAAUGUAUCCCUAGUCUUUAAAGUAUGUAAUAUCUCUUUUGGCCGAACAUUAUUUUUAGACAAAUCAACCAAUAUACUAACAUCUUCAUUAGUAAGUCUACCUGCAAAUGAGUGGCCCUCAAGAUAUUGUGCAAAAUGAUGGUUAUGCAAUCCACAGAUUACUUUUAACACCCAAUCUUGAUUAUUCACCAACAUUUGACCCUUUAAUAAAAAUGGACAGCCACACUUUUUUGUUCCAAUUGCAUUCGGUCUUUUCUUCUUUUCCAAGUCGCUAUUCUGCUUAGACAUGUUGGUACUUCUUUUCGGAUAUGCACCACUUCUUUCACAAGCAAAAAUUAUCCUUGGUCUCCUUCCAAUCACAUUCACGUCAGAUCUUUUAAUAAUAAUCACAAGUCCAUUUUUUUCCCAACAUCAUGCAUCCAUCGAAUCAACUUGUCUCUACUGGUGAAAACCUAUGAGAAAGACAAUAAUAUAUUAGUUAAUGAUACAAAGAAAAGAGAAUAUAUGUAUGAAAAUUUAUUUAGCAUUUUACCUCUUCAGUAGUGAAUGCAGCAGUGUAAUCCAUAACAUCUACUUUAUUAUCAAGAAUGACAACUAUGGUAGAACUUUCCUCCUUUACAAUCAUUGUAAGAUAUUACAUAAGUUAAUACAAGACACAAAACUAGAAUAAUAGCAAUUUAUUCAGCAAUAAUCAACCAAACAAUUGACAUUUGUUAAGGGAUAUUUGUUGAACAUUGUUCAACGCUCUCCCAGUCAUUAUAAUUCUAAAACAAUAAAUUAAUAGCAAACUUACUUUUUUAUUAUCAUCCCCAUCUAUUUGCAUGAUUAUUUUGCCCUAAAUUUGAAACUCUUAGAUUAGGGUUUAAGAAAGAAAAGAGAGUUUAUAUCGUAUGCCACACAAAGAAUUUAAAACUCUUAAACAAAAAUAUGCCAUAUAAGAAAUUUUUAAGGGGAAAAAAAUAUUUGAUUUUGAGUGGGGGUUUAAUUAGAAAUUGUCUUAUUAUGUAAUUUUAAUAAAGGUUAAAAUUGUAAAAUAACUAAAGGGGUGUUAAGAGGUAUUUAGAGGGGUGCCAAUAGUCCCACUCAAAUAAGUAAUGGUAACAAAAGACUAAUUUGUAAUAUUGAAGUGUACGGGCUUAACUAAAUCCAAAAAUUAGUAAGUUAGCUCAAGAGUUGAGAGUUGUCCAAAUCUUAAAUGUUGAACCCAAGUUCAAUACUCAAUUGAUGCGGGAUGUUAUUCCUAACACCUCCCGUCAUGUGUAGGAUUGGUAAAAAAACUCGGGUCAGUCCCGCCUAGACCUACGGGCUUUAUGCAUGGCCCGCAUGAUGAAGUUACGAAAUUAACCUAAAAAUUUGAAACUUACGAUGAAUGGCCUUGCUUAAAGAUUUUUGCAACUUUAAUUUAUAACGAGUAUGUAUAUAUACACACACAAAAGUUUAGAUUGCAUUUGGAUGACUUUUUUAAUCAAUUCAAACAAUCUGAAAUUUAUCAGAUUAAUCCGAAUUUGAUCUGUAUCUGAUUUUGCCCGCCCCUACUAUUUAUAAGCCCAAGUGACUCUCUUUUACUAAUUAAUAAGGGAAUUUUUUACCUUAUAUCCUUGCUGUGGCGUUAGACUACUGGUCAUUUUGAUUGUUUCCUACCUUCCAUUUACGCCAGUUGUAACAUUGUAUUAUUCACCACUUUAGCCAUUUAAAUGAAAUUUUAUUUUCAUAAAAAAUAAAAUGACACCCUUAAAAUUUAAAAAAUAGAUAUGUAGAUCUCAAAUUUUUAAUAAAGAAUGUCAAUACCCCUUUUAACUACAAGAUUCUUAGUAGAUGAUAACCAAAAACAUUAACUUCAAAUUUUUCACUAAAUGUAAAUCUGAUUGAAAUAGUUUAAUUUUUUUCUAGUAGACUAAUAUGUAUAACUUAUAUAAUUAAUUUCAUUAUUAAUUUUUAAAAUGUUAAUUAAUAUAUUUUUAAUUAUUAUAAAAAUUUUAAAUAAAUCUUGGAUUAGAUAGAUUUUACACUUAAUGUAAUACUUCUGAUUUAUUAAUAAUAUUAAAAUUAUUUUAUAUGAUAUUCAAAAUAAUUUAAACUUUUAUAUAUUUAUUUUAAUAUUAUGUCUAUUUAUUAUAGUUUGGUUUAAUAUAAUACGGGAUUGUAAAAUAUUAAAAUAUUUUUCAAUAUCAAAUUAUUUUAAUAUGUAUAUAUUAUUACAUUUAUUUUAAUAUCACAUUUAUAUUUAUUAUAAAAUAUAAAAUUAAUAAAAUUAAAGAGUAUUGCAGUAAAGUAAAAAAAAAAGUCUUAUUAUCCCAUAUUCACGGUAUGAGUUUCUACAAAAUUAUUUCCUCAAAUGGGUGACCUUUCCUCAUUUUCAAAAGAAAAAAUAAAGUAAGAAUAAGUCCAGGGUUUCAAAAACUUCUAGUCUUAUCCCAAGACCUCCAUUGUCUACCACUAUGACUAAUGGAAAUGACAUUGCAAUUGACAUUGCUUUUCGCAACAUGACAAAUUUUUGGUGGGAUAUGAGAGAAUUGUCAAAAGUUCAUGCCGCGUGAGAGUUUUUGGUGGGAUGUGGGAGAAUUGUCAAAAGAUCACACCACGUGAUAUAACCAUAAUUGCUACAAUUUUUUUUAAUAAUGAUGGGAGUUAUAAAUUAUUUAUAUAAAUUUGUGUAGAAACUAAUGUAACAUAAAAGAAGUAGCUGAAUAACAAUAUUUGGUGCUUUAGGUAAUUUUUAUAUGAGCCUUUCUUUUAUUUAGCGACUUUAGUGCUUAAACAAAUUUGUCCUCGAUCUUAAUUUACUUACCCCAUUUAAGCCUAUGAUGACAUAAACAUAUUCUUUUGUGACGAAAACAUCAAGAGAAGACAUCUCAUGUUUUAUUAUAACACAAAAGAAGUGGUCCAAACGUCUAUUCAUUCUUUUAUUUACUCAAUAUGAAUGGCCAACUUUAAAAAAUGAUAAAAAUCACACCACGCUCAACUGAAAAUUUAUAAUUACAUUUUUUAAUACUCUCUAUACUCUCUAGCCUCUCUCUCCUGCCCCCUUUUUUUUUUAAAAAAUAAACCUUAGUGUAAAAUUAGAAGAAUUUUAGAUAUAACAUUUGACAAUCGCUAAAUAGAAAAGUAGGGGAUUGAAAAUAGAGGAGCUCUGUUAUCAUUGGAAUAUUGAUUAUAGAUCAUAUAAUAACUUGUUGUGGUUCAUUGUAGCACUCUGAGUCAUAUUCUAAAAUUUAUAGGUUUCUUAAGGUUUUUAUUAUUGACAUUAUUGUGUCAAUACUAUUAUAAUUUAUUCAUUUUAUUGUAAUGAUAAUUUGUCUAGUCUUAGGUACUUAUUAUAUUAAAUUAUGUAAAUUAAUUGAGAAUACAUUUAGAGACAAAAGAAACACGUGUAUGUAGGAUUAAUAAUCGCAGAGUUGUAAAUGAAGGUGAUUGCUUCAUUGAGAGGCAUAUUAAAUAAUUAUGGAGAGUUGCACUAUUUCGGAAGCAUAUAUUUAUACUUCCCUAUCAGGAUUUGGGGUAAGCGAAGUGCUUUAUGUGUUGUAGUAAGCAAUGUGGGCAAUAUCGGAGGCGAAAUAUUAAAAGAUCAUAACGCAUAUAUUUGAGCCAUUUAUAUUGAAGACACGUAUUGAAGACACGUAUAGAGGAAAGAGUGCAUAUCCGGCGGUAACUAUUAUCAGGCUUUCCUAAAAUAUUCUCAUGCUUCCUCAACUGUUCUGAACUAUUCUUCAUAGUGGGCAGAUUUACUUAAAUACCCUUCUACCUAACAAAACUUGGUACUUCUAAUUGCACUCGCAGAGAAUCUAUAAAAUUAAAAAAAAAUUCAUCCAUGAAAAGCCUCGUAACAGAAAAACCAUCUUUCAAAAAAUAAUAAUAAAAUAAAAACAGAAAAACCGACUCAUUUAUCUGCCAAUGAACCAAUCGGGACUCAUUUAAAAAAGAUUACAAAGCAAAAGUAAAUGACACAAAUUGCAUAGAUAUCUAGGAGCCGCAUCAAAGGGCAAUGGUGUUAAUUUGUCCGAGUAAUAAUUAAUUUCAAUAUUAAUUUUUAAAAUGGAAAUUAAUUUAUUUAUAUUUAUAAAAUAUUUGUAAUUAUUUUAAAAUUUUAACUAAAUCCUUAGGUUAAAUAGAUUUUACAAUUAAUAUAAUAUUUCUCAUGUAUUAAUAAUAUUAAAAUUAUUUUAUAUGAUAUUGAAAAUAACCUAAAUUUUUAUAUAUUUAUUUGAAUAUUAUGUCUCUAUUUAUUAUAAUUGGGUUUAAUAGAAUACGAGAUUGUAAAAUAUUAAAAUUUUUAGAUAUUGAAAUUAUUUUAAUAUGUAUAUAUUAUUAUAUUUAUUUUAAUAUCCUAUUUAUAUUUAUCAUAAAUUAUUAGAGUUAAUUUUUUUAGUUAAUAAAUUUAAAAACUAUUCUAAUUUUAAAAAAAAGUCUUAUUGUCUAUUAUUCAUGAUAUGAGGUUCUACAAAAUUAUUUCUCCAGACGGAUGUCCUUUUCUUAUUUUCAAAAGGAAAAACAAGUUCAGGGUCUCAGGGGUUUCAAAAAUUCUGGUCCUAUCUACCACUAUGACUAAUGGGAAACAACAUUGUAAUUGACAUUGCUUUUCACAAUAUGACAAAUUAUUGGAGGGAUAUGGGAGAAUUGUCAAACAUUCACACCACGCGAGAGCUUUAGUGUGGGAUAGGGGAGGAUUGUCAAGAGUUCACACCACGAGAAACUAAUGAUAGGCCCAAUUUCAUUGUCAAUUCUUUAUUUAUUUCAUGCAUUAUUGUUUUUCUAAAGGUAUAAAAGCAAAGUAAAAUACUAGGGGCGCUUUUAAGUUACAAUUGAUGUAACUUACAAUUUUUUCAAAAAUAAUGUAAAAAAAUUAAUAGGUGGUGGGACCCACAUAUUUUUUAAGAGACUUAAGUUACGGCAGUUGUAACUUAACAAAAUUUAAAUAUUAGAUAAUAAUACAUAUUAAUAAUAUAUAAUUUGGGUUUGAUUUUUAAAAGAUUAUUUGAGUACCACCUAUCCUUAUGAUAUUAAUGUGACUAUAUCUUAAUAUUAAAUAAUCAAAAUUUGUUUAAUUGUUAUUUGUAUUUCAUACAUUACAUAUUAGAUUUGUUUGAAUUUUAAGUUGUUGCUAAUAAAUAUUUAUGUUGUCAAAGUCAAAUUCAAUAGCUACAAAAGCAGAGAUAAUGGUAUUGUAUAUAGUUUUUAAGAAUGCAAGGAUAAGCUGGAUAAUUGACAUAAAUUCUAAUGAUUAAAACAGCAACUAUCCCUUAAGUUAUAAUGUCAAUUUCUUUAAUUAGAUUUUUUUUUUUAUGUGAUAUAACCACAAUUGCUACAAAUUUUUUUUUUUAUAAUAAUAAUGGGAGUUAUAAAUUAUUUAUAUAAAAUUUGGGUUGAAACUAAUGUAACCUAAAAGUGGUUGCUGAAUAACAAUAUUUGAAACUUUAGGUAAUUUUCAUGAGUCCUUUUUAUAUUCAGCAACUUGAAUUGGGGGAAAUCCGACUUGAAUUGGCGGUUGAUUUUCGUGAUGUGGCUUUUGGUUUAUGGCGACCUUACAGUGGCAGAAGACUGGAUUUACGGUUGCCGACUGCUAGGGAUUAUGGUGGGGGUGUAAAUUGACGGAAAAAGAAGGUGUUUUGGUGGCGGCGCGUGUAGGAAGCACUCGUGGGUUGUCGUUUCGUGUGGUGGCGGGCGGCGAUCAAGGGCUGAAGUUGGUCGGUUUUUGGUCAACGGAGGCCGGCGAGUUUGUUGGUGGAGGUGGCUGGUGGAGAAAGUGACUGAAUGGUGGUGGGUUGCUUGGUGGAGCCGCGGGUUUGGGUUGGUGAUUUGUGGCUGUUCAAGCGGCGGUUGAGGCAGCGAUGACUGAGGCUUGGUCGACGGUGGCUAGUGAGGUUUGUGGUGGUGUUGGCUGACUGAUCGGCGGUGGUGGGCGGCCGUGGAGGUUGAUGUGACGGGUAGGGUUUUCAAAUUUGUAAAUUUUUUUUUUUGAUGGAUUUGGUUUGGAUGGGUAUCGUGUAUCUAGGAAAGAUGUGCGAUUCGCACAGAAUCCCUUUGACACCAAUUGAUGGAGCGAGGCGUAGCGGAAGCGGAAUUGAUAGGGUAAGAAACAUUAGAUAUUGUUCUAGUACUAGACCAAGCCAACGCAAUUAGCUUACGCUCUAAUCGAAGCGUGAUUAGAUAUCGUUCUAAUCCAAAUAACUCAAUACGAUUUUUAAUAAUGCGUAAUACGAGAUUAAAUGACACUCUAAUCCAAACGACUCUACAAGAGAGAUUUUGAUAAAUAAUCAUAGAGGGGUUUUAUUUAAUAAUUGAACCUGAAGUUAAUGAAAAUAAUGACAAGACAUCUUUAUUUUUUUUUAUUACAGACAUCUUUAUUUAUAAUAAAAGAAACCCGCUUUCCUAAGUUAACCUAAAAAGAAAAUUUAAAUCAUAAUUAUAAUGGAAAUAAAAGAUUAAGAUACAUAUCAUAAUUGACUCAAACUAAAAUAGAAAAUCAUAAAAUAAUAAAUAUUCUAAAAUUAUAAAUUAUCUAAAAUAACGUUAAUUAACUUCCUAAAUCACUUCUUUGGUGUAAACCAUUUUGCAUCCAAACUCGCUUUAAAGGUUUGAACUAACGUUACCAACAACAAUGUAUCAAAUUCCAAUCUAACUUAAGAUCUUGAUGCAUCUAUCGAUGUCCUUGUUUGAUUAGACAAUAAUGAGUCUAUCUCAUCACUUGUUACCUCUUUCUUGAAAGCUACAUCUGUUGAAGUGAUAGCCUCACUUAGAGUUUAAAGAUCUUCUUCCCUGUUAAAUAAAAUGGGCAUUUGAGUAAAAAGCUUUAUCUCUAUCUCCUUCUAUCAAAUAACGACAACUAUCCAAAGGGAAAAAAAAAAUUAGAAAAGUCCAUGGGUCACAAUAAUUUAUGGUCUGUCUCCGGACCCCAUUAUCUGCCACUAUCAAUGAUGAAAAUGAAAAUAAAUGGCAUCUUCCCUAAAUGGCAAAAGAUUUUUGGGGGAUAUAGGGGAAUUGUCAAAAGUUCAUACAACGCGAAAUAAGUGUUACAUCCAAUUUUAUUUCGUCAUAUAAUGAUAAUAUUAAAUAAUGACAACCAUCCAAAAGUAUGAUGGGUCUUCCAAAAUUUUGAAAAUGUCGUCAACAUUUAAUCUUCAAUGCUAAAGAAGAUGAAACGCCCAAAAAUGACACGCAGGACUCACUCAAAAACUAAAUGGCCCUCACCACAUGUAACAAACUUUGACCUUAUGUCCCUGCUGAGGCGUUAGACUGUUGGUCAUUUUGAUUGCUUUUUACCAUCCAUUUACGCCAUUGUAGAAUUGAACUAUUCACCAGUCUAGCUGUUUAAAUGAAAUUGUUAUUUUUUUUCCAAAAAUAAAAUGACACCCUUAAAAUUUUAGAAAAUAGUCAUGUAGACCCCAAAAUUUUAUUAAAGAACACUAAUAUCCUUUUUUACUAUAGUACUCUUAGUAGAUGGUAACAAAAAAAAAAUGAUUGCAAAAUAUUUUAGUAAAUGAAAAUAUGAUUUAAAUAGUUUAAAUUUUCUAGUAGACUAGUAUGUAUAAUUUAAAUAAUUAAUUUUUAAAAUGUAAUUUAAUAUAUUUAUUAUAAAAUUUUUAAACAAAUCCUUGGGUUAAAUAGAUUUUAUAAUUUAUAUAAUAUUUCUCAUGUUUUUAUGUUAUAGAAAUAUUAAAAUUAUUUGAUAUGAUAUUGAAAAUAAUUAAACAUUUUAUAUAUUUAUUUGAAUAUUAUGUCUCUAUUUAUUAUAAUUUGGUUUAAUAGAAUACGAGAUUGUAAAAUAUUAAAAUAUUUUUAGGUAUUGAAAUUAUUUUAAUAUAUAUAUACAUAUUAUUAUAUUUAUUUUAAUAUCCUACUUAUAUUUAUUAUAAAAUAUUAAAAUUAAUUUUUUUAGUUAAUAAAUUUAAAAAAUAUUAUAAUUAUAAAAAGAGUCUUAUUGUCUGCUAUUCACGAUAUGAGAUUCUACAAAAUUAUUUUGAAAAUGAAAAAUAAGUCCAGGGGUUUCAACAAAUUCUAGUCCUAUCUGCCACUAUGACUAAUGGAAACGACAUUGCAAUUGACAUUGGUUUUCAUAAUAUGACAAAUUUUUGGAGGGAUAUGGGAGAAUCGUCAAAUGUUCACACUACGCGGGAUUUUUGGAUGGGAUCAGGGAGGAUUGUCAACAGUUCACACCACGAGAAACCAAUGAUAGCCCUAAUUUCGCUGUUAGUUCUUUGUUUAUUUAUUUUAUUUAUUUCAUACAUUGUUGUCUUGUUGGCAUUGUUUUGUAAAGAUAUAAAAGUAAAGUAAACUAUUAGGGUGCUGCUAAGUUAAGCUGUUGUAACUUGCAGUCCCUUAAAAAAUAAUGUAAAAAAUCCACAUUUGUUUGAAGAGGCUGUAAGUUAUAGUAGUUGUGACUUAGCAAAAUCCAAAUAUUAGACAAUAACGCACAUUAACAAUGCAUAUAAUUUGGGUUUGAUUUUUAAAAAAAUUAUUUGAGUAUUAGCUAUCCUUAAGAUAUUAAUGUGAAUAUAAUUUAAUAUUUAAUAAUCAAAAUCUGUUUAAUCAUAAUAUAUAUUUCAUACAUUGCAUGUUUAAUCAAAAUCUGAUUGCUUUUUACCUUCCAUUUACGCCCACUGUAGCAUUGUACUAUUCACCAUUUUAGAUGUUUAAAUGAAAUUUUUAUUUUUUUUCCAAAAAUAAAAUGACACCCUUAAAAUUUUAGAAAAUAGCCAUGUAGACCCCAAAAUUUUAAUAAAGAACACUAAUAUCCUUUUUAACUACAGCACUCUUAGUAGAUGGUAACCAAAAAAAAAAAAUUGAUUGCAAAAUUUUUUAGUAAAUGUAAAUAUGAUUUAAAUAGUUUAAAUUUUCUAGUAGACUAGUAUGUAUAAUUUAAAUAAUUAAUUUUUAAAAUGUAAUUUAAUAUAUUUAUUUUAAUAUUAUAUUUAUUAUAAAAUUUUUAAACAAAUCAUUGGGUUAAAUAGAUUUUAUAAUUUAUAUAAUAUUUCUCAUGUUUUAAUAAUAUUAAAAUUAUUUUAUAUGAUAUUAAAAAUAAUUAAAAAUUUUAUAUAUUUAUUUGAAUAUUAUGUCUCUUUUUAUUAUAAUUUGGUUUAAUAGAAUACGAGAUUGUAAAAUAUUAAAAUAUUUUUAGGUAUUGAAAUUAUUUUAAUAUAUAUAUAUAUAUAUAUAUAUAUAUUAUAUUUAUUUUUAUAUCCUACUUAUAUUUAUUAUAAAAUAUUAAAAUUAAUUUUUUUAGUUAAUAAAUUUAAAAAUAUUAUAAUUAAAAAAAGAGUCUGAUUGUCUGUUAUUCACGAUAUGAGGUUCUACAAAAUUAUUUUGAAAAGGAAAAAUAAGUCCAGGGGUUUCAACAAAUUCUAGUGCUAUCUGCCACUAUGACUAAUAGAAACGACAUUGCAAUUGACAUUGCUUUUCUUAAUAUGACAAAUUUUUUUAGGGAUAUGGGAGAAUCGACAAAUGUUCACACUACGCGGGAGUUUUAGAUGGGAUCAGGGAGGAUUGUCAACAGUUCACACCACGAGAAACCAAUGAUAGCCCUAAUUUCGCUGUCAGUUCUUUGUUUAUUUAUUUUCAUUAUUUCAUACAUUGUUGUCUUGUUGGCAUUGUUUUGUAAAGAUAUAAAAGUAAAGUAAACUAUUAGGGUGCUGCUAAGUUAAGUUGUUGUAACUUACAAUCCCUUAAAAAAUAAUGUAAAAAAUCCACAUUUGUUUGAAGUGGCUGUAAGUUAUAGUAGUUGUGACUUAACAAAAUCCAAAUAUUAGACAAUAACGCACAUUAACAAUGCAUAUAAUUUGGGUUUGAUUUAAAAAAAAAAAAUUUUGAGUAUUACCUAUCCUUAAGAUAUUAAUGUAAAUAUAAUUUAAUAUUAAAUAAUCAAAAUCUGUUUAAUCAUAAUAUAUAUUUCAUACAUUGCAUGUUUCAUCAAAAUUUGAUUGCUUUUUACCUUCUAUUUACGCCCACUGUAGCAUUGUACUAUUCACCAUUUUAGAUGUUUAAAUGAAAUUUUUAUUUUUUUCCAAAAAUAAAAUGACACCCUUACAAUUUUAGAAAAUAGUCAUGUAGACCCCAAAAUUUUAAUAAAGAACACCAAUACCCUUUUUGACUAUAGUACUCUUAUGGUAGCCACAAAAAAAAAUUGACUUCAAAAUUUUUUAGUAAAUGUAAAUACGAUUUAAAUAGUUUAAAUUUUCUAGUAGACUCGUAUGUAUAAUUUAAAUAAUUAAUUUUUAAAAUGUAACUUAAUAUAUUUAUUUUAAUAAUAUAUUUAUUAUAAAAAUUUUAAACAAAUCCUUGGGUUAAAUAUUUUUAUAAUUAAUAUAAUAUUUCUCAUGUUUUAAUAAUAUUAAAGUUAUUUUAUAUGAUAUUGAAAAUAAUUUAAAGCUUUAUAUAUUUAUUUGAAUAUUAUGUCUCUAUUUAUUAUAAUUUGGUUUAAUAUAAUACGAGAUUGUAAAAUAUUAAAAUAUUUUUUGGUAUUGAAAUUAUUUUAAUAUAUAUAUAUAUAUUAUAUUUAUUUUAAUAUCCUACUUAUAUUAUUAUAAAAUAUUAAAAUUAAUUUUUUUAGUUAAAAAUUUAAAAAAAUAUUACAGUUAAAAAAAAAGAGUCUCAUUGUCCGUUAUUCACGAUAUGAGAUUCUAUAAAAUUAUUUUCAAAAGGAAAAAUAUGUCCAGGAGUUUCAACAAAUUCUAGUCCUAUCUGCCACUAUGACUAAUGGAGACGACAUUGAAUUGACAUUGCUUUUCGCAAUAUGACAAAUUUUUGGAGGGAUAUGGGAGAAUCAUCAAGCGUUCACACCACGCGAGAGCUUUAGGUGUGAUAUGGGAGAAUUGUUAAGAGUUCACACCACGAGAAAUUAAUGAUAGGCCUAAUUUCGUUGUCAGAUCUUUAUUUAUUUUUUAUUUAUUUCAUACACUAUUGUCUUGUUGGUAUUGUUUUGUAAAGAUAUAAAAGUACAAGUAAAAUAUUAGGGGAAGUAAAGUAAAAUAUUGGAGGUGCUACUAAGUUACAGCUGCUGUAACUUACAGUUCCUUAAAAAAUAAUGUAAAAAAUUUAACACGUGGUGGGACCCACAUUAUGUUUGAAGAGGUCGUAAGUUAUAGCAGUUGUAAAUUAGUAAAAUCCAAAUAUUAGACAAUAAUACAUAAUAACAAUGCAUAUAAUUUGAGUUUGAUUUUUAAAAAAAUUAUAUGAGUAUUACCUAUCCUUAAGAUAUUAAUGAGAAUAUAUUUUAAUAUUAAAUAAUCAAAAUCUGUUUAAUCAUAAUAUGUAAUUCAUACAUUGCAUGUUAGAUUUGUUUGGAUUUUAAGUUGUUGCUAAUAAAUAUUUAUGUUGUGAAAGUCGAAUUCAAUAGCUACAAAAGCAGAGAUAAUGGUAUUUUAUGUAGUUUUUAAGAAUACAAGGAUAAGUAGGGGUGGGCAAAUCGGGUUUCGAUUCGGGUUGUUCGGGUUUCGGAUUGGGUUUCAACCCGUUCGGGUUGGAGAAUUGAACCCAAUCGGGUUGAAAGCACCAACCCGAACCAAACCGAACCGAAUUUAAUUCGGUUCGGUUCGGUUUGGGUUGGCAAUUCGGAUCGGAUUGGGUUGAUAAUUCGGGUUAAAAUUUCGGUUCGGGUUAAUUCGGGUUAGAAUGGGUUGGAACAAUUUAAUCUAAAAAUUCUAACAACAACCACUUAAAAUCUAAAAAUUUAAAUUUCAAACAUUCUUAACAACAAAUAUCAAUUACAAAUCAUCCUUAAUAACAUUUCAACAAUUUAAAAAUCUCAAUUCCAAACAUUCCAAACAUCCUUAAGGAACGAUUUAAUCUAAAAAUUAUAACAACCUCUUAAAAUCCAAAAAUCUUAAUUCCAAAUAUCCUUAAUAACAAAUAUCAUCUACAAAUCAUCUUUAAUAACAUUUCAAUAAUUUAAAACUCUCAAUUCCAAACAUCCUUAAUAACAAAUAUCAACUACAAAUCAUCUUUAAUAACAUUUCAAUAAUUUAAAACUCUCAAUUCCAAAUAUUCCAAACAUCCUUAAGGAACAAUUUAAUUCAAAAAUUAUAACAACCACUUAAAAUCUAAAAAUCUCAAUUCCAAACAUCCUUAAUAUAUAUAUAUAUAUAUUUUUUUUUUUAAUUUAAAAGCUGAAUCUUAAAAAAAAAAAAAAGCUUCAACCCGAACGGGUUGAAACUUUGAAUCCGUUCGGGUUUCACCGGUUAACCCAAACCGAACCGAACGCCCACCCUAAGGAUAAGACCAUAACGCAUGAGAUAAUGGUAUUUUAUAUUAAAAGACCAUAACACAUGUAUUUGAGCCAUUUAUAUUGAGGACACAUAUAGAGCGAAGAGUGCAGAUCCGGCCGUAACUAUUGUGAAGCUUCCCUCAAGUAUUCCCAUGCACACAACCCUUAUCUGUUCAAGUUUUCUGAUUCAAUAUAAUCAAUUUCCGAGCAGUACUGACGACAGCUUCUCUGUAAAGCUCUUCAACCACAAGCAUUUCUACAAGGCAAAAGACUAGGACGUGUCGGAAUGAAUAUCAAUAAGGGAAUGUCUUAUGAAUUCAGUUUAUAUCCUAAUAUAAGACAAUCAGUAAAUAUUGGAUGCAAUCUUAGGCUAACAUUUGGUUGAUCAUUAUACAAAAAAAAAGGUACAAAAAUACAAAACAGAGCUGAUUGAUGGCCUCUCACAGUCAGUUAUAUGACAAAGUAGCCAUCACUACUUGAACUUGGCUGGAGGUCUCAUUAGCAGUAUACCUCAGAAAUUAAUACAGAGACUUUAAAAUGCAAACUUAUGGAGCAAUUUAAGCACUGAAACUAAUAACAGUACGGUAUUAGCAAUUGACCUCUGCUUUUUGCUUGGACAAAGGUUCUCAUCACAAGGGACUCAUUAGUUGCCCUUGCCUCACACUUUUGGAUGCUAAGGGGAAAAAGGAAGCUUGAAUUAGUCAAUCUCAUGUCUAAUGGCAUUCACAGAGAACCUAUAAAACCAAAUAAAUAAAUAAAGUUUUCAUCCAUGAAAAGCUUAGUAAUGGAAAAACCGACUCUUUUAUCUGCCACUGACGAAAAAAAAACUGAAGUAUUAAAUAGAUAAUGAAUUUAAUUUUUUUCUUGGAAAAACUAAUAAUAAAUUAACAAUUAGAUAGUACUAUUAAUUAGAGAUCUUUAAUAUUAAGGUUAUCAAAUAUAGAAUGUGUAUAAAAAUUCUUAAUUAUAAGAUAAUUACUAACUAAAAAGAGGCCUAAAAAAGAAGAUUUGCUAUUAUAAGUAAUACCAAAAAUAAAAAGGGAGACUUCCUAAUUGUUUAAUUGUUAAAAAAGAGGAUUUGUUAUUAUAGGCCUAAUUUGCCUAUGCUUAAAACCGUUCCCGGAUGUAAAAAAAUAAAAAUUAUUGUUAAAUUCCUGACUAAUAAGGUCAUUGAAAGUAUUCAAAGGACCUGAACUAUACCACGUUGCAAGUGAGCUCGUAUUUUUAUCCCUUGAUCUGCCAUCGGUAUUUCUCUUCCACUCACUAUACCAUCCUUUUCAAUCGAUUUUUAUUGAUCAUAAGAGACCAUGUGGCCCACCUUUUUUUUAUUUUGGAUCCAUAACCCAAUGCUGGCCCAAGUUAAACAGCAAAUCAUCAAACGCACUUCAAUGACUUUGAUUUUGAUUUUUUUUUUCAAAAGAAGUAAAAAAAUCCAUGGGUCGCAAUAACUGCUGGGAAAUUUAUAAAAAUAGUCAUAAAAUAUUUGUAUUUUUUAACUUUAAUCCCUUAAAGUUUUUUCUAUCAUAACUAGCCAAAUACCCUACUUUUGGACUAGAUUACCCUCAUCACUUUUAUCAAAUUUAUAAAGACAUGCCACUUUUUCAAUUCCAGCACAACUAAAUACGGUUCUUCUUCAAUAACUUAACAAACAUUUAUCACUCUCAACAAACUUCAUCACUCUCUAUAAAUCAAUUACAUAAUUGAAUAUAAUCAUCAAUGGGAGAGCUUCUUAAAAUUAGUUUAUGCUUUUACACAAUGUAAAUCUUUAAUCUAUUGAUUUUAUCAACUAAAUUUGAAAUUAAAGUGGGUUUUGUUACAAAUAUUGUUAUUUUUCAUUCAUAAAACAAUGUGAUUUGUUAAAGUACUUAGUUUGAGUUGAGAAAUGAAGAAAAAUCAUUGAAAAUAUAGAAAAAUCGGGCAAAAAACGAAGUUCAGAACAAGUGAGAUAGGCAAGUGGGACAGGUGCAUGUCUCACAUAAACGCACUGCAUUUAUGUGCGACAGGCACCUGUCCCACUGCUUGUCGCACAUAAACCCAUAAAUUUUAUAGAGUACAUGAUUUUGGAUUUGAUUUGUCUCGUCAUAAGCUUCGAAACAGUAUAUUAUACGCCUAAAACGAACAUAUGUAGCUCAAGUUAUAGCUUUUGCAAUAUAUAUGAAAUUUAGUGAGACAGGCACCUGUCCCACUUGCCUGUCUCACUAAAUUUCAUAUAUGUUUCAAAAAUCAUAACUUGAGCUAUAUAUGUCCGUUUUAGACGUAUAAUAUAUCAUUUCAAAGUUUAUGAUGAGACAAAUCAAAUUCAAAAUUAUGUACUCUAUAAAAUUUGUGGGUUUACGUGCGAUAGGCAAUGGGACAGGUAAAAUGAAUAAACUCUGAGCCUCUCUCUAUAACACUAUAUAGAACCCUAAGCCUAAGUCUCACAUUCGCAACCGCCCCACAUAUCAGAACCACAGCGAACUGCCUCCGACCCUACGGACCCAAAAAAAUUAUUGUAUUCCUGCUCUUUCACUUCAAUAAUUUUUUGUAUUAUUCCAUAUCUUUCACUUUAAUAACCCAAAAGCUUUCCUCUGUUUCAACCCAAAAGCUCAAAUUCCUUUUUUCAAUCGAAAUAAAACGUAGCCACAAAACCCUAAUUCACCACACCAAUUUAUCUCUGCCCGGUAUUCAUUUAAACCCUACCUCGCGGUUCAAUGUCAUUCAAUACGAUUGCAGAUGCCGUUUCAACUUGACAUUUAGUUAGCGCCAUCCCGUUCUCUAUGGUAAGCCUUAACCCUAACAACUAAUCGACUGUGGUAGCACGUUGCUUGUUAGGAGUGGGGAUACAUUAUUUGAAUAUAUGAAUUGGGUGAUGUUAGUGAUUCAUUCCCCUAUUUUUCGUGAAUUGAGAUUUGUGUAUAAUGCUAGUAAGAUUGCUAAAAAUUUCAUAUUUUGUAUUGUUCCAGUUGAAUUUCUUGCUUGUGGAAGAUAAAACAAAAGUUCAAUUUCAUGUUGAUUUAAUUCUUCUUUUUUUUUUCUUCUUUAUAGUCACGCUCUGGCUUUGGUGCUAUGCUUAGUGCAGUUUAUGGUUUCAAGAUUAAGUCACGUUUAUUUGAUGGCAUCGAUUCCAUCAUUAAGAAGCUCUUCUUAUUUUAUCUCAGUUUCAAUUUUCUUUUAUUAUCUGCCUCUACCUGAAAAUGGACGUGUUUUACUAGUAAGCAUAGACUUUGUUUAUUUAAUUGAUAUUAUAAUUUUAUGUAUAAGAAUGGAGGUUUAUUUUGAAAAAAAAAAAGAAAUAAAAAAAUAGACUCUGUUGAAGCUAAUUAGUACUGAAUUUUUUUUGGUGGUGCGACCAGAGGUGGAAACAGGGUAUGAAAAUGUGUUACUGGUGAGGUUGCUGCUUAAGAUGAGAAUGGCUAAAAAUCUGUCAUACGUUCAAAUUUUGUUUGUGUUUGGAAGAAUGGUGUUGACUGUAUAUUCGUUUGGAAGAAUGGUGUUGAUUGUAUAUUCAUUUGCUUAGCCUUUUGACAGAUGGAUUUGAAACUGACGACAAAUGUGAUUCAAUUUACAAGGUUUUCGAGGGGCUCACAGUGGAAGGGAUAUUGAAGAACUGGUCUAAGAUAAAGCCUAUGAUUGUGAAAGAUUGGAGUGAGAAUAUAGAUGCUCGUUUAAAUCUUUUUGGCAAGGUCAGAGAUGAAUGGAUAGAUAAGGAUUUAUUUGACUACUUCGUCUGGUGCUAAUAGGUAUUUUAGGCAAGCUUUUUGAGAUAACACUGAGCAAGUUAUACUACUAGUUUGCACAUGAUGAUCAAAACUCUCGAAAAGUAAAAUAAAAUAAAUUAUUAACUUUUACUUUCAUCUUUUGCAUAGCAAUCAAUGUGGUGCUUGUUCUGUGACAACUUUGAUAGUCUACUUAAUUAUUGGUUAGCAUUUGGACCAAAAAAGUUCUUAUGAUUUACAUGUUUUGUAGAAAUGCAUGAACCUUAAAUGUGCUGAUCAGGGAGUUUAAUUAUUGCACCUUGAAAUUCAUUUAUUGUUAACUAAUUGGCUUUCCUUUGCAUAAAGACGCUUAUAAGGCUUGAGUGGACGUCUUUAUGGGCAUAUUAUUUGUAUUUCUAUAUGCAUGCCUUUAUCAUUAAUUUAUGUGCUGCUUGUAUUUCUUUAUGCAUGCCUUUAUCAUUUAAUGGCCAGCUCCCUCUCCUCUUUUGUAAUUUGAAUGGUAGUAUGGGCCUCCAUUUUACAAAUCUUUAACAUUUUUUGCUGUAAAUUAAUUUUUCUUUCAAAUAUUUUGGAGGUCAUUGGAAUUCCUGUAGGUCUAUUUACCAGAUUUUAGUACGUUUAAGGUUUUAAUUUUGCUUAGACUUUAAUUUCUCUGAAAGAUUGUAGUAUUGAUCCUCAAAGAAAGAUCAUGCUACUUCAAAUUAUUUUGAAGUGUUGCUAGUUAUAGCCUUACAUAUCAAAUUCCAUUUGUCUGGAAAUUUAUUGAUAGUUGUUACAGCAGCAUAUUUUAUGACUCUACUUCUUAGUUAUGUAAGUUCAUUAUGUUUAGGUCAGAGGCAGUCAGCUGUGGGGAAUCGAUAUAUACACAGAUGACUUUGAUCUUGUUGCUGGUACGUGGUUCUAUGAAUAAUUGUUCACAAUAAUUGUGUUUGCCUCACUGUUUUUGUUUUAUGAGGUCUAUAAUUGAUCUUGAGAUAUUACUUUCUAGUUCUCAUGCAAGCAAGUUACUACCUUCCCACUGCAUCUCCUCCUUUAUCUGCUAUUCAAGAGUUGCGUGCCAUAAUCUGGUGUUACCUCUGCAAGAUUGUGAAUGAAUAUGAUGCCUCUAAAUUUAUUUUAUACAUAAUGCUGAUGCUGAAUAAUAUAUUGUAGCUCCUGUCAUAUUCUACUUUGACUUUUUAUAUUCUGUUUCAUAUAAAAAUCUUAUUCAACUUUAGUUGUUCAUGAGCAAAUGUCACAUGUAUAAGCCCAAAUGAUGCUUAAAGGUAGCGCGGCUACCUUUAGUUUGAGCCUACAAUGGAUGAAAAAGAAAUUGAAACUGAUAUUUUGCUGUUUUUCUGAUUUUUCAAAGUAUUUUAGAUCCUGACUUUUGUUUGGACUUGAUGGUUAUAGAUUGUGUCUAGAUUUGUUAAGUUGUUUCCAACACCUCGUGCCAAAUGAAAGCACAAUCUUUCUGAUUCAGAUGUCUUGUUAAUUAUGCUUCAUUUUUUUCGUUAAAGAAUGGAUGGUUGCAUGGAUUGAUGGAGUUGGAGUUCAACCAAUAAUUCUAAUUUUUUGGACUUAAAAUGCCUUUUUCUUCUGUAUAAAAACUUUAGUAAGUGCUAUUGAGUUGACAGAAGUUGAAUACUUACAGGUUGUUUCACACAUUUUAAUCGUUUUACAUAUAUGAAUUUCUGUUUUUUGAAUUGCAGAAAGGAGGUGGAACUAUUGAUUUGGAGCCUUAUCUUACUCAAUCAUCGACAGCGGAGCCUACCCUCGCUCCCAUGGCAGUGGAACGGACAACGACUACUAGGGCUGCAACAUCAGUUGGUUUGGGUCUGUUUUGAGUUUAUUGUCAUUUAUUUGGCAAUGUUUUGAUAGCGAAUUUUGAUAUGUCAAUAUAAUGUGUAAUUGUUUUGGGUUGAGCUGGUAAUUAUGCUGGAUUAGAUUGGUUUGGUUUUGGUGCUUCUCUGACGGAACACUGCUUUUUUUAGAAAUUUUGAAUGUAAUAUGAGACUACAUUUAGUUUAAUUGAACACUGCAUCUAGUCUAAUUACUAGACGUGUGGCAUUUGGUUUGGUUUAUCCGAUAUUCUCCAGAAUUUCACUUGCAUCUGGUUUUGUUGCAUAUGUUUGCUUGCAUUUGAUGGCAGUAGCAGACUGUUUGGUUUUGUGAGAUUUGAUGGCAGUUUGGUCUGUUCUUGGUGUUGAUUUAAGAUUGUUCCUGUUGUGCUGAUGUUAAUUGCAGGUGCUUGAAUCAGCUAGGGUUGCUGGUUUAUUCAGAUGGUUGACUCAGGCGUUGUUACUGGUUAAUUCAGGUGGCUGACUCAAGUUGUUCAUUUAAUGUUAGGAAGCAAAUUAAGAAUUAAUGAAGUAUUCAUUUAACUAUAAUUUUUGUAGUUAUAUUAUUUCAUAACUGAAUUAUAAUCUAUGAUACUUUUGAACAAAUUAGAGAAUUUUUAAAUAUGAAUUAAAUAUGUGUGUGUAUGUACAUUUUGCUAUUUAUAUAAUAAUUUAAAGAAUAUAUUUCAAUUCCCACAAAAAUAAUGGCUCCAAUUUCAAUAAUUCCCGCCAAAUAAUUAAAUUUUUUUAAUUUACCACCAAAGUAUAUCUUAAAGAAAUUUUAGUUAUUCUUGCUAGAUUUAACAAAAAUAAUUUGUAGGAUUAAAUUUAAUUAAAAUAAUUAAAUAAUUUUAUUAUUCCAAUUAAAAAUGUCAUGUUUAUACGACAGACAAUAGUCAUGAAUGGGAAGUAUUCGUUACAUGUUUUUCCUUGGGAUUUCAGGCAAAUGAAAAAAAGAUUGAGAAUGAUUUCAAGAGGACAGGUGGAUGAUAAGUAUUCAUUUUUGUAUAUUUGGCUAAUGUCCUCAUUAGUGGAUUUUUAUGGUAUUGAUCUUUUUUUUUUUUUAAUUUUCAAUUAGUUGCAGCCCUAGAGGAAGAGCAGGCUGAUCAAAUUGAUUUGUCUUGUUUUUGGGGCAAUCUACGACACGAUGACCGUGAUAAUGCUCGUGACUGCUGGAAACUUUCUGAUGUAAAUAACUUUAGAGUUCGUAGCAAGCAUUUUUGUUAUGACAAAACAAAGGUUCCCCCAUAUUUUGUUUAUUUGUUAUUUAUGGUACUUAUUUAUGGUAUUUAUAUAUCCUGCAUAGGCUAGGUAGACAGGUUAUGAUGUAGUUUGGUUGGCUCUUCUUGUGCUUUGUGCAAUUUGUAACUGCAGAUACCUGCGGGAAAACAUUUAAUGGAUCUUGUUGCUGUUGAUUGGUUCAAAGACACAAAGAGAAUGGACCAUGUAACUAGGCAUCAAAGCUGUGCUGCACAAGUAACUAUUCUUCUCUUUUUUAUUUUUCCUUUUCCAUUGACGGAUUAGAAGAAAAUACUGCCUGUGAGAUACUGUAAUGUAAAUAACUUCUCAUGGUUCAUUGAAUCUAUAACACACUGACCCUCUUCUAAAAAAUGUAGGUUGCUUCUGAAAAAGGGCUUUUCUCACUGAUCUUUAAUCUUCAAGUAAGUUUGUUUCAUUUCAGAAGGUAUUAAGUUUCAAACUUAUUGUAUUGGGAGGUUGUAUAGUUGUAACCUAAGCAUCUGCAGGUUCCUGGUUCAACACAUUAUAGUAUGGUAUUUUAUUUUGUCACAAGGCAAUUGGCUAUGGGAUCACUUUUGCAACGGUUUGUUGAUGGCGAUGAUGAGUUUCGCAAUAGUAGGUUGAAACUUAUUCCAUCUGUUCCUAAGGUAUCCAUCUUGGCCUUCAUGUAUUAGGACUAUAUUAAUGUAUACUUACCCUUUACUGCAUGGUACACUUCAAUUUGUCCAAAGAAGGCAUGCAUUUAGGUGAAAAUGUAUUGAUGGGUUGUACCUUCAAACUUCAUGUCCUUUUUACCCUCUUGAAUUUGUUUUGCACUUGUUCUUGAUUUUAAGCACUGAAUCAUGCAGGGGUCAUGGAUCGUGCGUCAGAGUGUUGGAAGCACCCCUUGUUCGUUAGGGAAAGCGGUUGAUUGUAACUAUAUUCGCAGUCCCAAGUACUUAGAAGUAAAUGCUCUUGGAAUUUCUAUAGUACAUGAGAUGUUCAUCUUUCAAAUAGCAUCCGAUACCAUUAACAUGGUUUAACAUUGUUCAUCUUUCUGUAGAUUGAUGUUGACAUUGGUUCUUCUACCGUUGCUAAUGGAGUUUUGGGCCUUGUAAUUGCUGUAAUUACGACAUUGGUGGUUGACAUGGCUUUCCUUGUACAGGUAUGUAUGAUUGUUUUUUUCCCCCACUUCUAAAUGGACACAAGGGAAAAGACAUGAUUUUGAGAUAUUGCACUGCAAUUUGCAUUUUUGCAUACUUGAAUGUUCUCAGAAUGGUAUAAUGCUUCGUGUGUGUCUUCUUUAUCUUGCUCUUCUGUAUGCAGGCAAAUACUGCAGAUGAAUUACCGGAGCGGCUGAUUGGUGCUGUAGGUGUUUCUCAUAUAGAACUCAAGUCUGCUGUUGUCCCAAAGUUGGAACCAGAGAUAUCAUGACUGUGGUUUCAUUUCACCUCAACUGUGUUUUUUUUUUAAUUAAAAAAAAUCAUUUGUUUUAGGUAUAUACAUACAUGUAUUUUGAUUCGAUUUUCAUUGUAAUUUCUCAUUUACUUCGAAUGAAAGUCAUUGGUGUUUUCGAAUGGGGAUUUUGCAUUAAAAAAUGAACAAUAGUGAAUAGGAAAUUUCCUGAUUCUUUAGUUACUAUUUUUGGUACGAGUGUAAUUAGUAGUAAAGUUGGUUUCUACUCGCAAACAAGUAAACUGCUCGAUUCCCGAGUGGUAUCAACCAGUUUCCAACUUUUUAAUAUACACUAAUUGUUCUUGUUUAAGAGAUACUACUAUUAAAACUCAACAGCUAACAAAAUUACUCAAAAAAGAUGAUUUUUCUUAUGAUGCUGUGAAGAAAAUUACGGGUUUACUUCUCUCCACGAGAUCUAUAACAUGGUUUUGACUUCACGAAAUUCUUUUAAUUUAAAGCAUGCUGGUGUGAGAAGGUCAGUUUGACUGAUUGAUUCUUCAAAAAUAUUCUUAUUCUGAUAUUGUCACAAAUGUUAUGCUGUUUCGGCUAAUGAUCUCCUAUUAGGAGAGGUUAGAAAUCAAAUGCUUAAAAGACCGAUUGAACGAAUAAUACAGAAAAUUUAAGCAGAAUCUAAUCGAAUAUUGCAUGAAACAUGAAACAUCAAUUCAAGUCCUUUCUUAAACGGAGAAUGCAUCAAACAAAAUCUAAAGUGUCUUGCACGUCUGUAGCAUGAGCAAAAAAUUGUAAAUAUGUAGAACCAAAUUAUUCAAGUACAGAAGAACGAGCAAGCUGAAUCAUGUAUUAGAGAUUGGCCUGGUUCGGGAUAGCUUCUUCACUAUACCUGAAUAAUUUGCUAAAUAGCACCAAAACUUAAUUGAUACUUACCAUUUCAUUGAACAAUUUUUUUAUGGUGUCAUUGAGGUUGCCUUCCCAACAUCCUUCAUCAUCAUCAUCUUUUUCUUCUUCGGUGACGUUCACUUUGUUUAGCAUUGGUGUGUCUAAGACUCCUUGAGAGAAGAUCUUCAUUUUUGGACACUGUCUCACAACUACUUGUUUCAAGGACGGGAAUUCAAGAGCGUAAUUACCCAAACAAAAGCUUGUUAGGCUUGGCAAACAAUCAAGUCCUAAGUACUCCAAUUCCUCGAAACCAUUGCAAUCUUUCGCUUCUUCUCCAACCUGCGAUUGUAUGAUUUCUUCUAUCAUUUUGCAAUCAGCUAUCUUCAUUCUUCCGAGAUUAACCAGAUUUUUAGAUGCUGAGAGCGUCAACACAUUUAUCAACCCGUGACACUUCGAUACUUCCAGUCCCCACAUAUUUUCCAAAUGCCACGAAGGUGGUACUAAUUUUUGCAACUUACUACAUUCCGAUAUUUCUAGACUUCCCAAGUUUGCAAACGCUUUGUUGGAUUCGUCAUUUUCCUUCCAGAUAUGCUGCACUUUGUGUAAUCCAGAUAGUGUUAACCAACUCAAUUUAGGGAAUGCAACCUGAAAAUCAACAAAAUUAAUUAAGUUGUAAAUGAAAAUAUGUAUCCAAUCUCUGGAGUCUUCCCCUGCAUAUUUUAUGGACAAGAUUAAUCACGGCAUUUUAUAUUUUUUUUCCAAAUUAGUAUGCUUUGCAGUAGGAUCCCAAAUAUAAGUAUCAAAUCGAUUACCCUUUGAAACACAUAAAUGAAAUCUGAUCCUAAAUCCAAUAUGAAUUAACACGCAUAAUUAAUAUAGUUCAUCACCUCAUGUCACUAGGCAUCUAAUUAAUUUGAGACAUUUUAAUAAUUUAUACUAUAAAGUUAGUUAAUAACUGCGGUUAUAUUGUUAAAUCAUAUAUAAAUUAAGACGACAUGCAAAAAGAUGAGUCAUUAAAUUUGAUUUGAUUCUAAUGAAAUUACAUCUAUGCGAACGAAAGUGAUGGGAAUAAUCAUCAUCAUCAUAAUAAUAAUAAUAAUAAUAAUAAUAAUAAUCACCUUUUCAUCGAAGAGAGGUUGUAGUUGAUGAGCCAGCAAGAAGUUCUCUUCUGAUGUUAAUUUCUGAGGUUCCUUGUUAUCUGUUGUCACGUGCACUACAGAUGUAGAAUUGGAUAUGAAUGUUUCCUUAUCAGGGCAAUUCUCAAUAGUUAGAUAGUCCAACUCAGGCAGUUCAAUUAUAUUCCCAGUGAAGUUGCAGAAUCUUUUGAGUUUUGGAAGAUCAAUGAGCCUUAGAUUGGAAAGCUUAGGAAACAUGGGGCCUAUAUGUUCUUCCUUGGCAUUUAGCUCUUCCAAAUGAAGCACCUCUUCUAGUGAAUCACAAUUCGUCACUGUCAGGUAUUGCAAAUUGUUCAAGCACCGUAGCAGAUUGGCAGGAAUAGCACUCGACAUAUUCGUGCAGUCAUCCACCACCAGGUCACUUAAAUUGUUGAAGAAGCUGACAGGCAGUGCUUGGCCAUGCCAUAUUUCUUGCAAACGUGGAAAAUGCGAGAGUUGCAAAUACUCUAUAUCACGGAAUCCAAUCUGCACAAACCAAAACUAUUGCACUGGAUAUAUACAAUUUUUUUUAAAGGCAUUAGAUAUAUAUAUAUAUACACACACACACACAUUAAACUUACAUGUUUUGUGUUUUAACUUCUAAAACUACAUAUACAAGGUAGGUGUAUAUGUUUAAAUGUGCAAGCGUAGGGGAGAUGCAUGAACAAUUUGGGUGAAUCGAUUAACACAGACCAUCUUUUUGUAACAUAUUUUUAAAUGUGCAAGUGCAAGGGAGAUGCAUAAGCAAUUUGGACGAAUCGAUUAACACAUACCAUUUCUUCGUAGCCCUUUUGUAUAAAGGAAUUAAGGUUAUCGCCUUCCCGAUGGUACAAUUCACCCUCUUCCUUUUUACUAACUUGCACUUUGCAUGGCUUUGGAAUGGAUAAGAUUCCGUGAGAAAAAGUCUUCAUGUUCGGACAAUGUGUCACAGAAACUCGUUCCAGUGAUGGGAAUUCAAGAGUAUAAUUCUCCAAACAAAAGCUGGUAAGCCUUGGUAAAUCAUCAAGUAUCAAAACUUUUAAUUUACUGAAAGCAAUAUGAUUCUCCUUCGCUUCUUCUCCAACAUGUCUUAUGAUUUCUUCUAAUUUUGUGCACUUCGAUACAUUAAGAUUCACCAGACUACUAGGAAUUCCAACCUGAAAAUAAGCAAAAGUGUGUGUAUAUUAAAAAAGUAAAAAUGUAAGAAUAUCAUUCAACUAGGUUCAAAGUAUGUUUAAUCAUACAAUUAUACGUUUUAUAAACAUAACAAACCAUGAAAUGUCUACUAGAUAAUUUUUUAUUAAACAAAAAAAGCAACAAGAUAAAUAAAUAAAUAAAAGCCAGAUAAACAAAGAUAAUAAAAAUGCAUUUACACUAUUUACUAUUGGGAACGUAGAAAGAAUUUAAGGCAAUUUCUAAAUAUUUUAGACUUAUUUUGCAUCUUGAUAUCAGUUUUUAAGCAUAAAUUUACAAAUUUCAACUAUUCCUUUUAGGGAAAAAAAAUUCAACCAAAAUGCCGCUUUUUCCCUUUUCCUUGGUCCCUUUUUUUAUGUACAUUUAAAAAUGGAAAAAAAAAAUUGGAAAAGACUUCCCAAUAUUGUCAAUAAGGGACUGCUGCUGUAAAGUGGAUCUUUAUUAAGUACUUCCAGACUCAAGGAAAUUUCUUUACAAUCACGGGUCAGUUGUAAAUAAUCAUGAAUUUGUGGUUAAUUAAUGGCAUAAUCAAUUCGUAACUAAACAAGAGAUAUUAAUUAAAUUUGAAGACUUUUAUUUUCUUUUUUUCUUUUUCCAAUCGAAAUGUGAAGAAUUAAGGAAAAGAGAAAUAUAUAGAUGAAUUUGUGAACCUAUAAGAUGAGUGACGAUCCUUUAAUUUUUGAAAAUCGUACUUAUUAAGAUAUGAGCAAAAACUAUUUAAUUGAAUUAUAUUAUGCUGUUGAAUCGUGUUUAAAAAAUUUAUAUUGUUGAUUCUAAUGCUGACGAACCUAAAAACUGGACCUAAAACGUAGAUUUCAGAGUGGUGGUUCGAAGUACGAUACUUGAAAUAAAUAAUCAGUGGCUGAAUAUCAUUUGUAAACAAAAAAUGGUUAAAAUAUUGUUGGAUGUAAUUUGAAAAAAAAAAAAAAAGAUUCGAAAUGAAUACACUCAAAUAUCUCCAAAUUCUUCAAUUUGCUGAAAGACUCCAAAGCAAGCUGGUGGUGCCAUAUUCUUCUCAAAUUAUCCAUCGACCUAAUACGUAAUACCUCCAAACUAGGAAGUCGUACCUGGCAGUUAAAGAUUAAAUAACUAAUUAAUCAAUUAAUGGCAUAAUCAAUUGAUAACUAAAUUAGAGGCGGAUAUUAACUAAAUUUGAAGAAGACUCACGGAAAAGACAAAUUAAAUAUUAUGACUAAAAUUAAUUUUUUUUAUUAAAAAAAAAACCUUUUCGUCAAAGAGAGGAGGAGGUUGCAUUUCAGAAUGAAUGGUGUCUUCUGGUGAGCUCGUAGAGAUGAAUCUUAACAUAUUACUGCAACUCUGAAUCUCGAGCUUUAGCAAAGAAGGGAAUUCAACGACUAAAUCUGAAUGAAUAUGUCCCGUAUUGGCAAAGCUUGUUAGUUCAUAAAGCGCUUCUAGCUGCAGGGAGUGUAGCUUAGGAAAAACCUUUAAUUCAAUCAACUUUCCUUCAUCUCUUUCUGACCACCCCGUGGUGUCGACUACCCCUUCCAUUGAAUCACAAAGCCUUAUCUCAAGAUGUUGGAGUUGCAUCAGACGAUUACAAUUCCCCACGUACAGCUUUGUUAAAUUUUGACAACAGUACAUUCCUUGAUUAUGAUCGGCCCAUAAUUUUUUCAUGUUUCUUAAGUCCCAGAGAUUCAAUUCCUCUAAGCUCGGAAGAAUAACCUGCAAAGAAAACCCGUACAUUUUUGUUCCUUCAAGUACAACCGUCUAGUAUAAUAUUCUUUUGAUGAUCGAAGAUUAAUCGUGAUAAUAAAUUAAUCAAUUAAUUAUUGAACAGAAAAUUAUCACCUUUGGAGCAGUAUCAUCAUCAGCAAUGAUUUCGUUGAAUCCCAAAGAAGUUGUUGGUUUCUCCCUGUCGGGUCCUAUAAACAAACAAAAACAAUAUACAUAAUUAAUCUUUGUCGUUGUCUUUUUUUUUUCAAAAUAAUUGAGGCGAAGUCCAUAAAUCCACCAACACUUAACUUCAACACUUACCAACCAUCAUUUCCAGAUCAUGGCAAAAAGCCACUUUGACCUUUUGAAGCCGCAGUAGGUUUUUGGCUAUGGAGAAUGAGAAAAGAUGCUUUAAUUUGUGACAGGAUUGUACUCCUAUAAUCCUUAAGUUGCUGAAAGAUUGAUCUUCUGUGAGUUGGCUGUCACAUAUUGUCUCCAAAUUGUUCAAAUUGCGAAGAGACAAUGACACCAGCAAGGGGAAGACUUUGCGACGAACCCGUCCAACUGAACCGACAAUAUGCAAAAUCUCAGAACAACUUUCUACAGAAAGAUGCUUCAAUCGUGGAAAACCUUCCCCAUCAUCUAAUUCAUGAACAACAUUCUGAACACCCUUCAGUUCGUUUAGAUGGAUCUCUUCGGCUUCCUUCAGCAACAUUUUCGUCCCAUAAUUCUCCAAAAGAGUGCUAACAUUUUCUAGCCCAUGGAGCCCCACCAAUCUUGAUGUUUCAGAAUUAACGGGCCAAAUGCGCCACCACGCUUCUCCUAUACAUAUCUUAUAGCUUUGCAAUUCCACAGAGACCCAAUCCUGCGGCAGAAUUUGGGCAUCCGGAACUUGUAUAUUCAAAGUAGUUAGCUUUGACAGCCCCUUCAAUUCAGCAAGACUGGCGUUACUUCCUCCUUCAACCUUAUCCCACUGCGAAAAGCUGUCACCCAUAUAUAGUUCUUCCAAUCGAGAAAAUUUUGAUAUGACAUUUGGUGCUAUCACUACAAGGCUCCUACAAUUGCUCAAAUCUAGCAAUUGUAACCGCGUCAAUUGUCCAAUUUCAAGCGGUAACUGCUUAAUGUCGGAACCUCGAAAGCUAAGAAUCUCUAAUUUCUUUAGCUGUCCAAUUGCCGCUAUAUCUUCUAGUUGGCACCAGUCUAAACACAAUGUUUGAAGGUUAAUGAGGCGACCAAGUGAUGAAGGUAAUGAAGAGAAAGGAAUUCUAGUAAGAGUUAAAACUUUGAGUUCUUCUGUCCCUUCAAAAAAGAGGUCUGAAAUUUGCAUUGAGCUAUAACGCUUUGAAAACAACAAAAGUAACUGGAGACGGGGACAUCCCAACCUUUCGGGAAGCUCUUGAAUAUCUCUCUGGGGUAAUGAAAUGGCAAUUGGAUCUUUCCGUAUUGUCUCUUCCAUCUUUUUCUCCACGUCAUCAACAUUUGGAAUAUUAAACAUGCGCUCCCCUGCAGCAAUUGAUACAGCAACAACAUGAAUGACGUCAUGCAUUUUAACUUCAUCUUCAGCAUCACCGUCCAACAAUAAGCAUGAAGAUUUGAGAUUGUCGAUCAACCGAUGCACUCUACUCCUUGCUUCUUCCAAUGUGUAAACAUUUUCAAACAAACCCCAACCCACGCCAUAUCUCAAUAAGCCAGAAACUUGUAUCGCAUGACCUUCACUGUACAGACCACAAAGACGGAACAGAGGUUUUGCCUCCGCACUUUCCAAAAAGUCGUAACUCAAUUUUAUGGAGGUGUACACAUUUGCUUUCAUGCCAUGAAUUUCUCUUGCAUGCGAUCUUCUUAGCUGAUUCAAUGCAUCUUGCCAAAAGUAACGCUCCUUAUUUUUCAGAGCAUUUGCAACUGUACUCAGUGCAACAGGCAAACCUCCGCAUUUUUCAACGAUCUCAUUUGCUGUACUUUGAAAAUCAGAUAUUUUAGUUGAAUCACCCACUAUCUUCUCAAAUAACUGCAAUGCUUCUUCUUUCGAUAAAGCAUCGAUCCAGAAAAUUUUCUGACAAUUCAUAUCAUUGCACAAUAAAUCUCCACUUCUAGACGUCAAUAUUAUUGUGCAUCUUCUCUGAUCAUCCUCUCUAUCUUUCUCAUCAACAUCCCCAGAAGGAAUUCCAACUUCAUCGAACUUCAGUUCUCUCCAAAUGUUAUCCAAUAUAAUCAGGACCCGCUUCUCUUUCUUCAAUACUCGACGUAGUCGAUUUGCUCUGUCGAAUAUAUUCUCAUUCAACUCAAACUUUAUGCCUAAAUCAGAAGCAAGUUUGUCUUGAAUUUUCUGAUGAUCUGGGUUCUCUGUUAUCUCAGCCAUAGCGACCUUAUCGAACCACUUAUCUUCCAUCACUUGCUUUGCAACUUGCUUUACGAGCGUGGUUUUACCCACGCCGCCCAUCCCGUAGACCCCAAUUAUGUUGAGCUUAUCAUCCCUCAACGCCUCCAUAACAUCUUGAAAUACUUUCAUUCUUGAGUCAAAGGCCUCGAAAUCUUUCACUUGCAUGUGUUCUACCAGCUUUGGAGUAGGACGGUGGGAAACAUUGGAGAAGUUGCCUUUUCCCAUGAGACUAGCUGCAGCUUCUGCGGCCUUUGCUGCUUGUCUACUGAGCUUGUAACGAGAGAUCAAGUUUGGGCACAAUCCUUUGAAACAGAACUUCUUAGCUCUAUCUUCAUCAUCUGUGAUGGAUUUUGCAGCGCCCUGAGUGAAUUCCUUGACGCUAUUAAGCCAGUCUGCAACAUCCUCAUAAAUCUCAUCUCCUUGUUGAGUAGCCUGAUGAACGGGUAUUUCCACCCUUUCUCUUUGAUGUCCCAGCUGCUUCACUUGAACUUUUAGGCCAUCUAUGUAGCUCUGGUACUUGAACACAUAAGAUAUCUGCCGUUUAAGCGGUUUGUACAGUGACUUUGCACCUUCUGAUACAACGCCGGUUAAAAAAGCCAGACACGCUUCUACAGCCAUUGCCUGUUGCUUAACGAUAUAUAUGUAGUUUUUGGCUGUUUAAAAAAAAAAAAUGGAUUCAAAUAAAUUAAAUGAACUAGAGGGGAAGAAAAAGAAAGAAACGACAACAAACAACCUUUUAGAGAAAGGUUUGACGGGCCUGAAUGGAAAACCAACAACUUUUUGAAGAAAGAAAGCUUUGGAAGAUAGAUGCAAAUUAACCGUUGAUAAUACUACAUAAGAACACAGAAGUUAACAAUAAACAGUAACUUAAAACUCAAGAAAAUUAAAUGACGAGAUUAAGACAAACAAGGGAUAGUUUUUGUUGGACAUUAAGAAACAACUGCUAUCAAGAUCAAGGAUUAGAAAUUAUGCUAUUAAAAGAAGUUAUUAAAGGAUUUAGAACAAGUUUACCUCUUUAAUUAUCUAGGAUCAGAGUUUAUGAGCUUCACUAUUGGCCUUGGAUGUAUAAGAAAAACUUUAAUGAGCAAAAGAUCACUCUUAACUGCGGAGGAAUGUGAGUAAAGAGUUUAUGGGAGUAAAGCAAUACAAUUGAAUUGUAAAAGAACCAAGACUUAAGCGUGCGUCCCGUGUUUUGUUUUAUUAUAUAAACAGAACAUAUGUUCAUUUUUAACAAAUUGAUCAAUAACUCUAUUCGCUAUUUAAUUAAUAAUGUAAUCAAUUUUAAGAGAAUAUAAUAAUAAUCCUUCAAUGCAUAAAUUUAGAAUUAGAUUUUUUUUUACUUUUUAUUUAAAUGUAAAUCUCAGUGGAAAAUUAUAAAAAUUUAGAGAUAAAAUUUUUCAAUCACCAAACGGAAAAACAGGGGAAUGAAAACAGAGGAAUCUUGUUUUACUUUUUUUUUCUUUUUAAACCUUAACUCUUGUUCUUAUAUAAAUAAUCUUGUUCUGAUGAUAGUGCUCUUGACUGCAGGAAAAUUUCUAAUGGAAACAACUCAAUUUCGGAAGAUUAGCUCAGUUUUGCAAGCGAUGAAUUUAUUCAAUUGACUCUGUACUUGAACUCGUUGGAUUGGUUGAUUUAUGAUUGACUGAAUUUCAAUUCGGCCUAAAAGAUCUUUAACCAAAGUUUAAUAGCUAUCAUCUACUCCUUAAAAACAAAUAUGUAUCUUUUUUAGAUUUGACUGAAUUUGAACUUGCUGGAUUGGUUUUUUUUUAGAUUAUUAAAAUUUGGAAUAUUUUUUUUUCCUUGCUUUCUUUUGUUGGAGGAUUAGAGAUUUUGGUAUUACCAGAAAGGUUUCAAGGGUCUGAGUAGAAACCUAUAAUCUUUUGAAAAACUUUGUUUUUUUUUUUUUUUAAUUUUUUGGGGAAAAGGAUGCAAAUUAACCAAAUGGAAAUAAUAAGAGCACAGGCUUUAACAAUGAACAAUAACUUAAAACUCAUGCAAAAUAAAUUCAAUAUUAAAACAAACCAGAGAAAUUUUUUUCUUGAAAAGUAGAUGGAAAUUAUGAAAGAACAGAUGUCAAGAUCAAGGAUCAGGGAUUCUACUACCCAAAAAAAAUAAAAAAUAAAAUUAAAGGAUUUAGAAAAUGUGCACCUAGAGUUGGUGAGCUUCUCUCUCUAUUCACUUGAAUAUUUAAGAACAACUUGAAAGAGGAAAAAGAUCACUGGUAACUGCUGAGGAAUGUGUGAGAAAAGAGUUGACGAGAGAAAUAACAAUGACUUGCAGAAGAAAAACCAUUAAUCAAGCACACCUUUUUAUAUCCUGUAUUUGGUUAUUGUUGCCCUCUUGACGCAUGUAUAGAAUAAUUACGUGCAUUUUUUUUAAUCCGCAUGCACUUUAAUGAUUAGUGCUCCUUUCAUAAAGCAGAUACCGGAAACACACAAAUAUCAUUUGAGAGAGAAACUAAACAGCAAAUCAUCAAAGUAAGAUCAAUAAUAUAUGACUUGGUUAAUGCAUAUUCAAGAACAAAAACAAAAACAAAUAAAUAAAUAAAUGGAGAAGGUUUGAUUUUGUACUGCCAACGCUGCUUUUUUGUUAUUUCAUUUGUUCUUUCCACAAAUGAUGCUUGGUUAUAAUUAAGUUCCACAUGGCCGUUACUUACAAACUGUGUUUGUGUUAACAGAAACGUGAAAUUCACAUCACACAAAAUUACACUAUCAAUUCUUAAGAGAACAUAAUAAUAAUCACUCAACGCAUAAGGGUAAAUUUAGAAUUACAUUUUGAAAUUGAUAAAAUGUUUUUUAUGGGAUUUCAGGCAAACCAAAACAAAAAAAAUUUCAAUAAAGAGCUAGUUGUUGAAAUUGAUUUAUCUUGUCUUUCAGGCUAUCUUGUGACGUGACGAUAUAUAAUGUUCGUGAAUGCUAGAAAAUUUCUAAUGCAAACAACUCAAUUUGGGAUGAUAAGCUUAAUUUUGCAAAUGACGAAUGUAAAUAACUUGUUUUGAUUAAUUGAAUUUGUAAUACUCUUACCCUAUUCUAAAAUUUGGAGGUUGCUUGAGAAAAAAAGGGUAUUUCUCACUCAUCUUCAAUCCUCAAGUAAAAUUAGGUAAAAAGCAAAUCUAAAAAAUCACAAACGAAUUAACAAAAAAAGAAAAAAAAAAACAACAUUGAUCUUGAGACAAGUGAUAUUUAAACAGAGAAUUCUUUAUUCUUUUUUACUUGCCCCCCCCCCCCCGGGGCUCGAGGAUUAAAGUCUUUGCUAUUAACAGAGAGGCUUUAAGAGUCUGAAUAAAAACCCGUGCUUUUUUUAAAAAACCACUUUUUUUUUCUUUUUUCUUUUUUUUUGGGAAGAUAUAUUCAAAUUAACCAAAGCUAGUAAUAAGAGCACAGACCUUACAAAUGAACAAUAACUUACAACUCAAGCAACAUAAAUGAUAAGAUUAAAACAAACCGGAGAUAUUUUUCUUGGAAAAUAGACGGAAAUUAAAUAAGAACUGCUGUUAAAAGAAGUUAUUAGAGGAUUUAGGAGCAUGUGUACCUCUUUAAUUAUUUGGGAUCAGAGAGUUGAUGAGCUCUCUAUUCGCCUUGAAUAUUGAGUAAGAACUGGUAUUAAAAGAAAUUAUUAAGAACAAUAUUUUAGUGAGCAAAAGAUCACUGUUAACUGCAGAGGAGUAAAAUGCUGAAAAGAGCAGUAACAAUGAAUUGCAAAAGAAGAAGACUUAACCAAGCACCCCUUUUAUACCCGAUUUUUAAGAUUUAAUUUUGAAGUUCCCAAUCAAGAACAAAGACGAAGCUUUAAUAAAGCAUGCAGUGAGAUACAAGAAAUGGAUCGGGCAAAAUACCUUACGAAGCGUUUCAUAUUUUCUAAUGAAAUAAUUUAGUUGAAUUCUUCGACGAAUAGAUACCUGUUGUGCUAGAAUAAUUUUGGCACACACAUUACUUGUGCCCUGUGAAAUUGAAAAGCACACUCAUUUACAGAGCUUGUUAGUGGGGAAAAGCUUCGUAAGAUGCCUGAUAAAAGAUAAAGCAAAAGCUUGAAUGAAGAAUGGCAUUUUAGAAAGAAACUAAAGUGCAAUCAUCAAAGUAGGAUCAAUAGUGAGUUGAUCAGUUAUGCUUUUUGUUAUUUCAAUUGUUCUCUCUUUUUUCAAUCUCUCUUUAUGUUAUAAUUGAAUAAUUGUAUAGAAAGUGUGACGGUUGCUGCAGCAUUAUGAAGUCAAAAUUGAGAACGACAUUAAAUAAUCAAUCUCUUUAUGUAUUUACUCGAAUGUCUGAUAGUGUUCAGACUUGGAUUUUCAAUAAACACAGAUUCGAAAUCCAAAUAAUUGAAUAAUUGUGUACGUUCAAAUUCAGCAUUUAAUUACUAUAUAAUUAGACAUAAAUGUGUAUAUAAUUUUACUUUCUAAGAAUUAACUUCUACCUUGAUUCUAAAAAAAUAUAUAUAUAUAAUUUUACAAAUAAUUUAGUACGGCGUUUGGUAAAUGAUAACUAUUUGAGAAUAAGUUUUAAAAUGGUUUACUAUACAAAUCUGGAAAAUGAAAAUUAAAAGUGUAAAAUGUUCACAUAAUGAAAAUUAAAAGUGUAACAUGUUCACAUACAAUGACAAAAAUAUAUUUAUUUACUUAUUUGUAAUUUAUUUUGAAUAUUAUUGUUUAAAUCAUUUUUUUACUUACUAGAUUUUUUAAGAGCAUUCUAUUUUCUUUAUUACAUAUUUAAAUAAUUUUUUAUUAACUAUUUUAAUUUGCAAUAAAAUUAACUUCAAUAUUUUUUUAACUGAAAAUUUUGUUAUGUAGUUCGUGAUAUAACAAAUACUAACAUAUUAUUAAAUUGAUUAAUAAAUUACGUGCAAAAAAGAAAAUGCAAAAAUUUAAUCUUUAUAUAAACUUUUAUGUACAAAAACCGUUGUAAUCAAACUAGUUCAUAGAAAUAUAAUAUUUUAUACAUGUGUUUAAGAAAAACAUAUAACUAUAAUAUUAUCCACUCAUUAAACUUGCAGCACUAUUAUUUCUAAUUCUCUCCAUCACUCGACCUACAGGAACAUUACUACCAUAAUUUUCUUCUUGAAUUCAACCUCCAUUUCCACAUCAUCAACAAAGCGAUCAAUUUGCCUUGAUAGCCUUUCAACUCCUCCCACUUUCCUCCCUUUUGCAGACACUCUUUUUCUUUUUCUUUCUUUAAUAGCUUCAAUGGGAACAACCUCAUCUAUCGACAAGUCCAUUCUUCAACUAGAAUAGAGUUGGUAGUAGAUAUUUUAGUACUCUCAAACGAUGCCCAAACCGUGUCACCAGUGAUUGUUGUAUUAAAAAACAUUCCAUGUAAUUUUUCCUCUGACUCUGGGUCGAUACCUUUUAUGCAAAAUCUAUUUACUUCAGGAAUUUUAUACAUAUGUCGAUAUCAUAUUAAAGUGAAUUCAGAUCCUAUAUUAUUGACAUUUAGCCAAAGGUAAAAAAUUUUCCUUUUUGUUUGUCCCCCAACUAUAUAGUCCCAUUUUUGGUUAUAAGCUCGCAAUAUGCAAGGGAAAUGAAGAUCUACUAAAAACUUCCCCAUAAUAUUAAACAUUAAACAAUAUCAACAUUUUGUGCAUAUGGUGCCUCUCCAACAACUUGAUGUACAUUAUGUUGCUCGGUGGAAUAUGACUACUUAUUAAUUAAUUAGCAAGACUUGCGUUGCGAGUCCAUGCUUUUGUUGUUUGGAUGGAGGAUCUGCCAUCCUUAUUGUGAAAUAUGAACUAAAUAUACACUCACGACAUGUCAUAUGUUGAGUCUGUAGUAGCACGACAUGUCAUCUGAUAAGCAUUUGGAACAAAACCGACAUGAGCCAAAAUGUCGUUCUUUGUUUAAGUAGCUCACGUGUUUGGCAUGUGAGCUGAACAAGACUCUUACUCUCAGAAACGACUGAACCAGAAGCCGUUUUGAGCAUGCUUAUUCAAGACACGUUGCAAGCACGUGGCUGAGGCUGAAUCUGUUAUGUUAGCGGGAAAAGCCGCUGAGGAAGGCAUCCAGAAUCAGUUAAUAAAGAACUGGAGUUCUGGGUUUUUCACAACAGGGCCAGAAAACAGAGAGAGAGCAGAGAAAGAGGGAAUGCGAGAGAGAGAGAGUUCUGAAUAGGCUUGUAAUCUCCAUUUGUGUUUGCUCUCUGUAAACUCUUGAACAAGCAAUAAAGUGAAAUCACAGAGUUUGUUUCCAGUGGAUGUAGGCAUCAUUCAUUUGGUGCUGAACCACUUUAAUUCGUGUGUGUUUUGUUCUUGAUCUAUUUGUUAUUCUUGAUUCUUAGUAGGUUGACUUCUUCUUGGUUGAAUCUUGAGUAUAAACCAGUGAGUGAAGUGUUCUUGGGGUGGGUUUAGUCUUGAUAGUUAGGGCUUAAACCAAAACACUUUUAUUUUAGAUGCUUUGUAAGACUUCUGAUUUAAUGAUUGAAUGCAGCCAAUUAACGAAAGCUUACAUAUAGUAUUAUGUAGGUGCUGAGAUGUCUGUUCUUGAUAAAGUAGAUAUAUUUACACCCAAGCCAACGGAAUCAAAGCCUUUUCGUUAAUAAUAUACACGGUAAUUGUUUUUGUUAAAUUGAUUUCUGGCUAACAAGAUCUUUUUUUUUUUUUGAAAGGGCUAAAAAGAUCUUUGAAAGCAUUCAAAGAAGCCGCCGAACUCAUAGGAAAGCCAUGAUUAAAUAUACGGUGAAGCAAGCGAGCUCGUUUGUUAAUCUCUUGAUCACUCAUAAGCUUUUCUAUACGGCUCACGAUAUCAUCCUUUUGAAUCGAUUUUGAUUGAUCAUCGGAUAUCAUGUCCCCACCUUGAGAUGAUUGAUCACCAAUUUGGCAUUGUAAUGUUGAUCACCUCUAAUUGGCCAUGCUAAAAUUGGGAGCCCACAACUAAUUGCUUCCAUAGUUGAAUUCCAUCUACAAUCAAAUAAAAAUCCACCCAUUGAUUGAUGACUUAGUAUCAAUAAUUGUGGCGCCCACCCAUCUAUUAUCAAUCCCCUUUUAACCAAUAAAGUGUUGGCUCCACUGGCAAUGGAGUCCCCUUAAGUGGUUUGACUGGGUUUGCUCCCCAGUUCGAGUCGCAGGGAAGUCGCCUUUGUUGGGAGAACCUGUGCCUCUCGGUUCGAGCGGGGACUUCUAGUCUGGGUUGUGGUACGGGCUUAAAGGUGCCUCCCACAGUUGGGGCCCUCCCCAGGAUACCUCGUGGUCAAAACCAAAAAAAAAAUCAAUCCCCUUUUACCGACUUUACUCUCCAAACCACUGGAAAAAUAACUGCCUUCUACUGGUCUGUCUAAACCGGUUAAAUGACGCGGAGGAUCCAAUCUACCUGCACUAGUUUGAAUUACCCAAAUAAACUGUUGAUUUGAUGCUUCUAAACAUUGGCAAGGCUGAAUACUCCUCUAAGGUGGGACGCACUUUGGUACCAAAUUAUAUGUAUAGCACAGAUCUACGUGAUUUCAAAUCCAACCAUUAAGCGAUCUCAUCUUCAGUCAUGUUAGAACUCUGCUGGUUGGUCUCGUCUCACGAUCAUGAAACGCUGAACCGACCAAUUUGUAAAAUUGUUUAGGUAACAAUGAGCCCACUCCCCACACCGGCUUUCCCAUUUGAUUGGCUAAAUAAUUAAUAAAUGGUCCCUCAAGAUCAUUACAUGUGUUAGAACAUCAACGCCAUCGAUCCCUUCACUUCCUUCAUGCAGUGUGGUUGAUCAUCGGGUUCUAGUGGACCUAUUUUCCCUGAACCGGGUGCACUCUGCAGAAGUGGUGGACCACUAGGAGGGGGCCCACAAGGCCUACGUCUAAGAUUCGAUUCAAAUAAAGCCGUAUCCUCAGGUACCCCAGGAAGUAAAUAGGCCUCCCCUGAUUUGACAUCUUUGAUGCGAGCCUACCACAUGGCACACUCUACAAUUGUUCAACUAAAAUUAAUAAUAUUGUUCUAAUUAAUUACUCGAUAAGCAAAUAGUCAUAGACAAAUCUAUCCCUAAUCCCACAUUUACAAAAUAAAGAAUUGAAAUGAGUUUAUGUGGCUUUGAACCCAAGCCCUCAAGCCUAGUGGCUGGAUCUUGACCACUUUGACAUAAUUAUUAUAACAAUUUUUUUUUUCAUAUUUCACUAAGCAUCUUUUGUUAUAUAAUGAGGAAGAUAAGUUGACGGAGAAGGGUUCUACUUUUACUAGUAGAUGAGAUUUAAAUUAAGAAGGUUAGUUUUAGAUUGUUAAAUUUCCUUAGACGAUUAUUCAUGUGAGAUGUUUAACAUAUACUUGAGUUAGUCGGUGCCUAACAAUUCUUGUGAUACAUGAAACCAACCAAUAUGAAAACCAUAUGAAGUUGGUAGGAUUAGAUUAAUUUAAAUGAAAAUAAAAAUUAGUUUAUGCUAUUUAUUAAUCUUAUACUGUUGAAAAUUGAAAGUUAAUUCUUUAGCCUGUCAAUUGGUUCAUGACAUAAUUAAAAUAUUCAAGUAAAUACAUUUAUCGUUUAACAUUAAUUUUUCAUGCGGUAAAACCAAUACUAAUUAUAGAGUGGAGAGAAUAAUCUGUAGGGUAUACCCCCACCUUUUAUUUCAUUUCAUUUAAAAAAAAAAGAGAGAGAGAGAAAAGUAAAGGCUUGUUCAACAUUCAAGUAAAAUUAACAAAUCUAUGAUAAAAUUACUUCAGAAUAAAAAUUAAAAUGUUUAAAAAAAAAACGGCAACUCGAAAACGACAUACAAAUACCGCAUAGAAGGUUUUCGUCACGAGAUAUUUUUGGGCUGAGACAACACUUGUAUAACUUAGCAUAUAGCUUGGAUGACGGUGAGAAUAAGAAGGAAAACGGCACCGCAGACCGAAAUGCCAGCCCAUGGAGUAUUGAAGUAAUUUUUUUUCACAAUUCAAAGGAGGUUUUGGAACUUACCACAAGGCUGAGUAUUUCAACAGUUAUGGAUGACAUAAUCCAGCUAAGCAGAAGCUGAUCUUGGCGUUUCCACACAGCAUAUUCUGGAUUUUCAUGACCUUCAGAGAUUGACGAAGUGCCUUCAAAUCCAGGUGAAAGAAAUUGAUCAGGACAUAGCUUUGAUCCAUCGAUAUAAGACUCAAGUCCAUUGCCUCGAACUGAAGAGAGCACCUGAUGUUUCCAGAUCGUGUAAUUUGUACGAUCUAAUUUGACUGGUGUAGUGAAGGUGAAAGAAGCUAUGGCACUGGUAUUAGAUUGUGAAUUUGAGUUCGUUAGAGCCAUUGGAUCUAGCUCUGAUACCAAGUUAAAGAAGCUUUUCCUGUUUGUUUACUCAGAAAGUGAAGGAAAAAUACAGAGAAAAUUAUGUAGCUAGAAUGAAUCUAAAACCAUCUUAUUAAUCUAUAUUUGGUUCAAUAUACAACAAUAUUUAUGCUACUCACUGGAACCUUCUAUAUGAAACAAACACGUGAACUCAAUACAAUUCAGCUUAACAAACUUUUAACGGGAAAUAACUAAACAGAGCAACGGCUUGCCAGCGUGGCUGCUGACUCAGCAGCCGACUAAUCAUACUCUGAAAAAAAAUCACCAAACAGAAAAACAGGGGAAUGAAAAGAUAGCCUCCGUUUAUCCUCUGUUCUGUUUUCAUUGUUAUUAAACAAGGGAAUGAGAAAAGAGAGCCCCUGUUUCUUCUCUUUUUUGAUUUUUUUAAUUACUAAACUGGGGAACGCACGGAUCACCUCUUGUUGCAAGCGCAAAUUCUUGUUUCUACUUUAGUACCUUCUAAAUGCUGCAUGCAUUAAAAUUAUUCUUACAUAUGCUAACAUAAUAGCUACUGUACAUGUAAGUUCUUGAUAAAUCCAAAUAACAUAAUAAUUUUAAGAGUUCAAAUUUAGAAUUUAAUUAUAUAUAUUUAUAUAAAUCCAAUGUGCAUAUCGGAUAUUGCAUGCUGCAAUGAUCUCAUAUGUUUCCUCAAUAUGACUUAAAUAUAUAGGCCACAACUUGGUUUUGAAGUUAGUCUAAAGCCUUCCCCUUGAUUCUAACAAAUUCACUAGGGAAGGUUCAUAUGGAUUUUGGGGGAGCUCUAUGGCCAAUUUUAAAAGUUCAGGGGGGAUCAAAUGAAUUUCAAAACUGCAUGGGUUAUCUAUUUCAGUCAGAGGAUAGUGGAAUUCCCUGAAAUUUAUCCUUUUUAUUAAAUUAAUCUUCCUCCUUUCCUCUGUGGACCUUUGCUAUGUGUGUUAUUGGCGUCCAAAUGACGAUGGGAAUUAUGGUAAGGUUCUUGCUUCCCCACUUCUUGAAAUUAAAUAUAUCUUUUCUGGCACUAGAAAUUUCCACAUGCUGUGUUUUGUUAUUGUUUGGGAGAAAUACGUCAACGAGACCAGGCGUGGUGAGCAGAUAUCUGAUAGCAGAGUUCCGCGAACCGGUGUGUUCCGUAAAAGCCUGGUGCGCGGAGGAACAGGAGCAGAAGUAUCCCGCUCGUCCACGAACACGUCAUCCGCGAGGCCAAUUUCCCGUAAGAGGCAUAAGGUCAUUCCGGCUAGAGGUCGAGAGGCGAGGAGACCCGGUCGACGGCAGUUGGCAAGACAUGCUCCCCAGCCCGAGAAUCUAGGCACGACAGCCACGCUUUCCCCAGAACUGUGGCGUAACACGCAAAAUCUCACGGAACCACGACAACCACGCUUUCCCCAGAACCGUGGCGUAACACGCAAGAUCUCACAGAACCACGACAGCCACGCUUUCCCCAGAACCGUGGCGUAACACGCGAGAUCCCACGUUUGCCCAUAACGCAGCAGUCAGAGUCCCAUACCGUCUCGAAAAAAGCGGAAAACUGGGAUUCAGGGGAGGCCUAUAAAAAGGUAGCCAACGAAGGUAAAAGGGUUAGCAUUUUUAAGAUUAGAAAAGAAAUAAAAAAAGCCAUAAGACCUGUGGCAAGCGUUCCCCGAACCUUGAUAUCUGAAUUGAGCGUCGGAGGGUUUGCGCCGGGAAAACAACCGGCGUACUCUGACUUGUCUGUGUGCGCAGGAACCUCUGGAGAAGAAGCCUCACGAGGAGACCUCCUGGUCGUGAAGAAGUUGAUCGGGCAGAGAUCCUGGUCGUAGAACGAGGAGACCCGGAAUCCCGCAUCAACAUUUUGGCGCCGUCUGUGGGGAACAGAGCAAAAAGCUUCUGUUGAUAGCAAGAGGAGGGGCGAAGCAAGUGAAAAGCAAUGGAGACAUGAGGAAGUAGUGGACAAGGGGGUGAUAGGAGGCCUAACGAUUCCGUGACGCUGAGGGAGAUAGUCAGUGAAGCACGGGAAAAAGUCAUGUUCGACCGGAUGGAACGGGUGGAAAAGCAGAUGGAGACCUUGACAACCAUCCUAGAUGAGCUGCGGAGCGAGCGAAGUAUAAUCCAAGAGGGAAGGGGGAGAGGCGGUGGAGUGGCACCAGGUCCCGAUAGUGCGGGGAGAAGUCAAACCACCGGGAGAUUUGGUGGUGAGAGAGGUAACGUACCUCUGCGGGGAGAAUUUCAUAGAGAAAGAGAGCGGUCCCCGGCAAGGCAGACUGGCGACGAGGACGAUGGAGUGGUGAAUGCAGAGGAAACGAAGUUGAGACAACACUUGCAUGAUGUAGAGCAAGAGCGGGAUCAAGUUGCAGCACGUGACCCUGGUCGUGCAGUGCAGCUGGAGGAGGAAGUGCGCAGACUAGCGCAGAUAAUCGACGACAUGCAAGGAAGGAACAGAGCCCCUGGUUGGAGGAUAAUGCUAGACGGAGAAUCACCGCUCGCAGCAGAGAUCAUGAGGGCAGUUAUUCCGAGAGAUUUCCGCCUCCCAGACCUCAGAUACUCGGGAAGAACUGAUCCGUUGGUGCACAUAGAGCGCUUCAACGACAUAACUGGGGUACAAGGAUUAUCUCAAUCCCAAAGGUGCAGAGUGUUCCCACUAUCCCUUGAGGGACGUGCACGAGAAUGGUACAGGAAACUUCCUCGGGGCAACAUUAAAACCUUCGAGCAGAUGUGCCAGGAAUUCGCGGAGCAGUUCAGUGGGGCAAUGGCGCCGGAAGAUGACAUGAUGGAGCUGAAAAGCAUGAAACAGGGGGAGCAAGAAACCCUUCGGGAAUUCAUCAAGAGGUUUCAUCGGGCUGUCCUCGACUUGGGAGCCUUCAACCACCCUCAGGCGUUAAGGGGAUUGAAAGAAGGGGUGAAGAUAGGAAGGCUGUGGUACAAUUUGAGAAGCCCAGCUAUUCAAACGUAUGCAGCCGCAUACGAACAGGCUAAGAGAGACAUCGAGAUUGAAGAGGAGAAGGCUGCACGGAUUAAGACAGACCAGUUACAAGGGUUGGGGAGGAAAGAGAAGAAAGCAUUACCGGGGAAUGGGCCGAUCAGGAGGAGGGACCACCAGGCCUCCGGUAGCGGAGCAGGAGGUCGGGUAGCCGCUUACCAUUCUCAUCAAAGGCCACCACAGUAUCAGCGCAGCAGGGCGCAACCUCCUCGUUCCCCAGUUAGGGAGCCUUGGAGAAGACAUGAGUCGGCAUCUGGUGGUCUCCAUCAACACCCCCACGGUAGCAGAGCGAGCAGACCAGAAGUACUUCCACCGCCCCCAACUCAGAGCGGGGCAAACGGAGAAAGAGUAGUGCACCUGAUCGACCAGAACCCGGACUAUGGGCGGUACACUUCCUUGAAGAUGUCCCUGGAUGAGGUGUACGAGGCCAUAAAGGAUCGAGGGCUGUUGCACCUCCCUACACCAAUAACAAAGCUACCCAACAGGAGGGAUAGAGGGCGUUAUUGUAAGUUCCAUGGCACCCAUGGCCAUACCACAGCAGAGUGUAGAGAUCUCAAGACCCAGGUCGAAGAUUUGGUGAGAAAUCGGUACCUGGACGAGUUUAUGGAUGGGACUUUCCCGAUGGGGGCCGCAACAGGUGAAGGGGAGCAGAGUGGCGGAAACGUGAGGCACGAGCAGCCUGCAGUAAGGGUGAUCGCCGGGGGCCCGACAUUGGCCGGAGAUUCCAACAGAUCGAGAAAAAAUUAUGCUAGGUACGCCAUGACCAGUAAAGAGGUACUCCUCAACACCCCAGCAGCCAAACGAGCAAGGGUCAGGCAAGUGCCAAUCAUGUGGACGGAUGAGGAUGAGGAAGGGAUUCUAUACCCCCACGAGGACGCUUUAGUCAUCAAGGCUACUAUCGCUAGCAAGAAGUUUGACCGGAUACUGAUUGAUACAGGGAGCUCAGUUGAUGUGUUAUUUAAGUCAACCCUGGAAGAGAUGGGAAUAGCCGACCGGAAGUUGGAAUACACCAAUACCUCCUUGAAGGGGUUCGGAGGAGGGAAGCUGGUCCCUCUGGGCGUGGUCGAGCUGCCUAUCACAAUUGGGAGCUCCCCGACAGAAAGAACAAUGAUACUGGACUUUGUCGUAGUGGAUGAGGAAGGUCCUUACCAGAUGAUCUUAGGUCGGCCAUUUUUAAGGAUGAGCAAAGCGGUGUUGUCCAACCAUUAUCUGGCCCUGAAGUACCGGGUGAAUGGGGUAGUAGGAGUGGUACGAGGAGACCAGAGGAUCGCAAGAAGCUGCUACUCCUCGGCAGCAAGGGAAGCAAUGCAGAUAACAUCCCUCGAUACCCGAGUGGAAAGCAGGAAGGGCAGACAAGAACCUGUAGAGGAUCUGGAAACAGUAAGCCUGGGACCAAAGAACCCGGAAAAGACGAUCAGAAUCGGGUCGAGACUUAGGGGAGGGCAAAAGCAGGAGUUGGUGAAAUGCUUACAGGCUCAUGCUGAUGUGUUUGCUUGGACACAUGAAGACAUGCCAGGGAUUGACCCUGAGGUAGCAUGUCAUAAGCUGGCAAUAAAGAAAGGUGCUCGGGCAGUAAGGCAGAAGAGGAGGUGCUUCAACCAGGAGAGGUAUGAGGCUAUAAAUGGCGAGGUGGAGAAGCUCCUGAGAGCAGGGUUCAUUCGGGAAGUCAGUUACCCUGAGUGAAUAUCGAAUGUGGUGUUGGUAAAGAAGGCAAACGGCGAGUGGAGGAUGUGUGUGGAUUUCACAGACCUCAAUAAGGCGUGCCCAAAAGACAGCUUCCCUUUACCAAAGAUCGAUCAGCUGGUAGAUUCAACGGCUGGACAUGAUCUGCUCAGCUUCAUGGACGCGUUCUCGGGAUACAACCAGAUCCCCAUGUACGGGCAGGAUGAGGAGAGCACGGCUUUCAUCACUAACCAAGGUUUGUUCUGUUACAGGGUAAUGCCAUUCGGUCUCAAAAAUGCGGGGGCCACCUAUCAAAGGCUGGUGAACAAAGUCUUUAAGCCGUUGAUUGGGAAAACCAUGGAGGUGUACGUGGAUGACAUGAUCACCAAGUCCAAAAUCCCGGAGGAACAUGUCAGACACCUCGAGGAGACAUUCGAGCUUUUGAGGAAGUAUAAGAUGAAGCUCAACCCGGAGAAGUGUGCUUUUGGGGUCGAGUCAGGGAAAUUCCUUGGAUUCAUGGUGAGCCAUAGGGGGAUUGAAGCAAAUCCCGAGAAAAUCCAGGCGAUUGUGCAAAUGACGUCUCCUCAUAACCUGAAGGAGAUGCAGAGCCUCACGGGGAGGUUGGCGGCGUUGAGCAGAUUCAUAUCCAAGGCUACAGAUAAGUGUCAGCCAUUCUUUCAAGUAAUAAGGAGGGGAAAGAAAACAGAAUGGACCCCAGAAUGCGAGGAAGCCUUGCGGAACUUGAAGCAAUACUUGCAGCAAGCUCCGCUGCUGUCCACACCGAGGGAUGGGGACAUGUUGUAUCUGUAUUUGGCGGUAUCGGAUCGGGCCGUCAGUUCUAUUCUGGUGAGAGAGGAAGAAGGAGUUCAGUAUCCGAUAUACUACACCAGCAAAGCCCUGCUCGACGCUGAGACCAGAUACCCACCGUUGGAAAAAUGGGCACUUGCCCUUGUGGUUGCUGCUCGGAAGUUGAGGCCAUAUUUUCAAGCAUUCCCGGUUUCGGUAGUAACAAACCAGCCAUUGCGUCAAACUCUGCACAAGCCAGAUGCCUCUGGUCGGCUCGUCAAGUGGGCUGUAGAGCUGAGCGAGUUCGACAUAGACUAUAAACCCCGCGCAGCGAUAAAAGCCCAGGCAAUGGCUGAUUUCGUAGCCGAAUUCACAGAGCCCGAAGUAUGCUUAGAUCAACAAGAUGCAGAUAUAGGCAAUGACGAAACUCAAGUAUGGCAGAUGUCUGUGGAUAGGUCAUCAGGGGAGCGGGGUUCAGGAGCAGGGAUUGUCUUGGAAGGCCCAGAGGGGGAGGAGAUCUCUUAUGCUGUAAAGUUGGAGUUUGCAGCCACGAAUAACCAGGCAGAGUAUGAAGCCUUGAUAGCAGGUCUGGAAUUAGCUAAGGCCGUGAAAGCAAACAGAGUUAAGAUCAGAACUGAUUCCUAGCUGGUUGCAAAUCAUGUCAGUGAAAGAUUCCAACCAAGAGAGGAGAAGAUGGAGCAGUACCUGAAGAUAGUCAGGCAGAUGAUGGGGAAGUUUGAAGCAGUGGAGGUAAUACAAAUCCCCAGGGAGCAGAAUAGUCGAGCAGACAUUUUGGCUAGGAUGGCAGCAGUAGCCGACCCAAAAAUGCCAAAGUCGGUUCCUCUGGAGGUGAAGUCCAGCCCAAGUAUUGGUCAGAAUUUGGGGGUGUUGCGGAUAGAACAAAAAUGCUCGUGGAGGGAUCCGAUAGUUUCAUACCUUAGGGACGGGGUAUUACCACCAGAUAAGGUGCGAGCUCGCAAGCUUAGAGCCCAGGCCUCGAGAUACACGAUGAUUGAUGGGGUACUGUAUCGGCGAGGAUAUACACUAUCGAUUACUUCACGAAGUGGAUAGAGGUAGAAGCCCUUAGCAGGAUCACAGAGUCGAGCAGACAUUUUGGCUAGGAUGGCAGCAGUAGCCGACCCAAAAAUGCCAAAGUCGGUUCCUCUGGAGGUGAAGUCCAGCCCAAGUAUUGGUCAGAAUUUGGGGGUGUUGCGGAUAGAACAAAAAUGCUCGUGGAGGGAUCCGAUAGUUUCAUACCUUAGGGACGGGGUAUUACCACCAGAUAAGGUGCGAGCUCGCAAGCUUAGAGCCCAGGCCUCGAGAUACACGAUGAUUGAUGGGGUACUGUAUCGGCGAGGAUAUACACUAUCGAUUACUUCACGAAGUGGAUAGAGGUAGAAGCCCUUAGCAGGAUCACAGAGAAGAAAACAACGGACUUCGUGUGGAGAAACCUGGUCUGUCGAUACGGGAUCCCUUAUGCCUUGGUAACGGAUAAUGGCAGGCAGUUCGAUAAUCACAGCUUCAGGGAUUUCUGCCAGAACCUCGGGAUAGAGCUGAAGUAUUGCUCGCCUGCUCACCCUCAAUCGAACGGACAAGUAGAAGCAGCCAACAAGACCAUCAAGAGGCUUUUGAAAACCAGGCUUGGAGCAAAAAAGGGUGCGUGGGUUGACGAGCUGUCAGGUGUGCUAUGGGCAUACAGAACAACCCACAAAACAGCAACUGGGGAGACACCGUUCGCUUUGGCUUUCGGACAUGAAGCGGUCGUGCCGGCCGAGAUAGGAACGACCACACACCGGACAAAUCAUUUCAAUGAGCAGGAGAACGACGAGCAGAUAUGUUUGAAUCUUGAUCUGCUAACGGAAAGGAGGGAGCAAGCAGCCGAGCGAUCGGUCAUUUACCAACAGAGGGUUGCUCGGUAUUAUAACCAGAAGGUGAACAUACGGCAAUUCAGGGUCGGAGACUGGGUACUGAGAAGAGUGAAUCAGAGCACCAAAGACUCGACUCAAGGAGUGCUGGGACCGAAUUGGGAAGGGCCAUAUAGAGUCAAGCAGAUAGCGGGACCUGGAGCUUACAAGCUGGUACGCACGGACGGCCACGAGGUGAAACGCCCAUGGAACGCAGCACACCUCCGAAAAUACUUCCAGUAAGACUUGUUCACAUGUGAAAACUAUUUUUGCUCAUGUUCAUUACCGUUUAUCUUUCACACUUAUUGUCCAAACAAUCUCAUGUAAGUCGAAUCUUGCCAUUAAUGGAACGUCGAAGAAUUUCUUUCGCUUGAAACCGAGAAAGUUGCCUAAGGCAUGCAAAGGCUCGACAAAGUCUCAAAGCCUGUCUUAUGGCGAGACAGAAGCCAAGCAUGCCAGGAUCUGCUCGGCCACGAGAAGGCGAACAGAAUCCCAAUCCUUGAAGAAAUGCCUAAGGCAUGCAAAGGCUCGACAAAGUCUCAAAGCCUGUCUUAUGGCGAGACAGAAGCCAAGCAUGCCAGGAUCUGCUCGGCCACGAGAAGGCGAGCAGAAUCCCAAUCCUUGAAGAAAUGCCUAAGGCAUGCAAAGGCUCGACAAAGUCUCAAAGCCUGUCUUAUGGCGAGACAGAAGCCAAGCAUGCCAGGAUCUGCUCGGCCACGAGAAGGCGAGCAGAAUCCCAAUCCUUGAAGAAUCCAAGGCAUGCAAAGGCUCGACAAAGUCUCAAAGCCUGUCUUAUGGCGAGACAGAAGCCGAGCGUGCCAGGAUCUGCUCGACCGUGCGAAGGCGAGCCGAAUCCCAGGCAUUGAAGAAUCUCCAAAGGCAUGUGGCGAAACCAUGAGCCAAGCCGGAACCUGCUCGUCUAGACAGACACAAGCAGAUUCUCAACCGAAAAUUAAUUCAUAAUUACAACACAAGAAAGUAAUCAAAAACCAUUUUUAUUAAUUUGUUAAUAAUUAACAGAGGGGACAAUCUCAAUGAACAUUGUUCAUUACAAUACAAGAAAUAUAUCAAGAAGAUGAUGGACCAGUAAGCCCGGCAGCAUCGGUUGGCUGGACCUCCUCAGGUGCUGGAGGGGUAUCACCAGUUGCGUCCGGGGGGGUACUUGCCUCGCCGACAUCAGCAGGGACUGCAUGAGCAGGAGAGUCUUCCUCCUCAAUCACGAUCGGCUCUACCCCAUCAGUAUCUUCCUUAGCCGCCUCCUCGUCCAUGUGUUGAGCAACACCAGCUGCAAGGUCAUCCAUCUUCAGAUCAGGGUGUUGCUUCCCGAGGACGGCCAUGAUGCAACGAUAGGAAUGCCGAAGGCCCUGGUCGUACUGGUUGUCAGCCUCCCUCUCCAAGUUCUCGACCUGAGCUCGGUGGGAGUCGCGGAGAGAUUCGAGCUGAGCCUCAUACGUAGCCUUCUGCCUUUGCAGAUCCUCCUUGACCUUGGUAAGCUCCUCCUCGAGGGAAAUGGCUUUUGCUUGAGCAAGUGAUUCUUGCUCUAUCAGCUUCAGAUUCUCGAGAUUCAGCUCCCCUGCUUUCUUCUCGGCAACGUCAGCCCUGGUCGUCGCCAAUUGAAUAUCCUCCUUCAUCUUCCGGUCGUAGCGGCCAACCUUAGCCUUGUAAUAGGUGGUCAGGCAGCUGAGGUGGAAAGCGUUAUGCUGCAUGGCCCCCACCAGCUCACCCAAGGUGCGGCCGUCAAAGUCCUCCAGGUCCUUCUUGCUCACGAGUUUAGUUAACUCAUUGAGGUAAGGGACCAGAUGUUCUGCUCGGCUGUCAGGUAAGCGAGACCAAGGCCCGACAGGAGGAGAAGAAGAAGCAGGAUCUGUGGCUGCUCCACUAGCUUCCCCGACUUUCACAGAAGCAGGAGGUAAAGUCUUCAAGGGUGGGACCUGCUGCACGAUGUUGGCCCGCUUUGCAGCAGGGGCAUCCUUACUCUGGUCCCUCUUCGUGGUUGGAGGUCGGGAACGUUUUCGGGUCAAAGCCCCAAUCACAGCGUCCUCCAUCCUAUAGCCAGGAAGUAUCAAGCGAGACUCGAGCAAGUUGUAUGUAGUUAACAGUUCUCGGCUCGAGCAGGAAUUGGCUGGUCAGGUUCAAGCGGGAAGUGGACACCCCAAGAAACUACAACACAAACAGACACUUGGUUAGAGACAAGCCAAUAAAGCAAGAACAAUUAUGAACGCAAGACAUCUAGAGCGAGCAGGCAACCUGGGACCGUGAAACGGGGUGGGACGCGACAAUCCUUCCCGUCUAUUUGUGCAAUUUGACCCCAAGGACCCCCAGCAAAAAAGAAUUUCCUCUUCCAAGCCCCACCACCACCGGUUGGAAGAUCGGUUAUGGGUUUCCGGCUCUUGGUGCUAGAUUGGAAGUAGUACCAGCCGGCAUCUUUGGGGCUGCUCUUUAGCUGGUACAAGUGCUUCACCUCAUCAACCGUGGACUCGCUUCCGAAAAAGGACUUUUCUCAUUAAUUUUUGAUCUUCAAGUUAAGUUUGUUUCAUUUCAAAAGGUAUUAAGUUUCAAACUUGUCGUGUUGGGAGGUUGGAUAGUUGUAACGUAAGACAUCUGCAGGCUUCCGGUUCAAAACAUUACAGUAUGGCAUUUUAUUUUGUCACAAGGGAAUUAGUUAUGGGAUCCCUUCUGCAACGAUUUGUUGAUGGCGAUGAUGAACUCCGCAAUAGUAGGCUGAAGCUUAUUCCAUCCGUUCCUAAGAUAUCCAUCUUGGUCUGCAUCUAUUAGGACUUUGUUAACAUGUCGUAACCUUCACUGCAUGGUACACUUCAAUUUGUUCAAAGAAGGCAUACAUUUAGGUAUAAAUGUAUUGAUGGGUUGUACCUUCUAACUUAAUGACCUUUUUUCACUCUGUUGAAUUUGUUUUGCACCUGCUCUUGAUUUUAAGCGCUAAAUCAUGCAGGGGUCAUGGAUCGUGCACCAGAGUGUUGGAAGCACCCCUUGUUUAUUAGGAAAAGCAGUUGAUCGUAAUUUUAUCCGCGGUCCCAAGUUCGUAGAAGUAAACGCUCUUGGAAUUUCUAUAAUACAUGAGAUGUUCCCCUUUCAAAUAGCUCGUCCGAUACCAUUAACAUGGUUUAACAUUGUUCCUCUGUCUUUAGAUUGAUGUUGACAUCGGUUCUUCUAAUAUUGCUCUUCUUUAUCUUACACGUGUCUCUUCUUUAUCUUACUCUUUAGUAUGCAGUCAAACACUACAGAUGAAUUACCAGAACGGCUGAUUGGAACCAGAAACAUCAUGACUGUGGUUUCAUUGCACCUCAACUUUUUUUAAUACCCGAAAAAAAAAAAUCAUUUGUUUUAGGUAUACGCACAUGUAUUUUGAUCCCAUUUUCAUUGUUUUCUUUGGAUGAAAGUCAUUGAUGUUUCCAAAUGAGACUUUUGCAUAAGUAUAGCUAGUAGGAAAUUUUCUGAUUCUUUAUUUACUAUUUUUGGAAUCUGAGUGUAAUAGUUUUAAAAUUGUUUAAUCGGUCUCUAAAUGUCGUACUCACAAGCAAACAAGUGAACUGAUUGAUUCCCAACCGUCACUCAACCGGUUUCCAACUUUUUAAUAUACACAAUAACUGUGUUUGUUGAAUAGCUAAUACUAUUAAAGCUCAACAUUAACAUAGAUACUAAUGGAAAAAUUGAUUUUCCUAUGAUGCUGUGUAAAGAAUAUGGGUUUACCUACUUCCAUAAGAUCGAAAACAUGAUCUUGACUUCACGUGAUUCUUUUAAUUUAGAGAGUGCUGGUUUGAGAAGGUCAGCUUGACGGAUUACUUCCUUUUAAUAAAUGUCAAUACACUAUAUUUGAUAAUACUAUAAAAAUGUAAUAAACAUUGUCUUGUGCUGUUUUCUUCAACUACAGAUCCUCAAUUGAAUCAGUCAAUCAGGUUAGAAAUCAAAUGCUUAAAAUACCAAUUGGAGAAACAAUAUAGAAGUUGAAUAUUGCAUGCAUAUGAAACAUCAAUUCAAGCCCUCACUUAACCAGUGUGCACCAAGCAAAUCCAAAGUGUCUUGCAAUUAUGUAGCAUGACCAAAAUGCUAUAAAUGCAUCUGGGAACAAAUUUUUGAAGUAGAGGAAAACGUGCAAGUUGAAUCAUGUAUAAGAGAUCGGCUUGGGUCGAGAUAGCUUCUUCUUUAUACUUGAAGGGUGGGCUCAAUCUUGUCUUUAGAAUUCUGCAUGUUUGUAAUUAUACAUGUGUAAGCAAGCAUACAUUACCAUAAUAAUAACAAUAAGAAAAAAGAAGCAAAUGUUAUGAUACGACUAUAAACUCCAUCAGACAAACAAUAAUGUAUAAAUUAAUGUGACAUAAUAUGAUUGAUUAAACAAAAACAUCACAUGGACCACUUGAUUUAUUUUUUAUUAUUAUAUAUUUUCAGUCGACCAAUCAUAUUAUACCAUAUCAAUUUCUACAAAAUAAUUUGGUAGUUAGCGCCAAUACUUAGUUAAUUAAUACUGACCAUUUCAUUGAACAAUUUAUGUAUGGUGUCAUUGAGGUUGCCUUCCCAGCAUCCUUCUUAUUUUUCGGUGAGUUUCACUUUAUUUAGCGUUGGCGUGCCUAUGAUUCCUUGAGAGAAAAUCUUCAUCUUUGGGCACUGUCUCACAAGUACUUGUUUCAAGGACGGGAACUCAAGAGUGUAAUUACCUGAAUAAAAGCUUGUUAGGCUUGGCAAACAGUCAAGUCCCAAGUACUCCAAUUUCCCGAAAACAAUGCAAUCUUUCGCUUCUUCAUUUAAUAAUUAUAGAAGAAUAUUGGCUUAUAGAGCAUUUUAGUAGGGAUAAGAUUUGUGGACAGAAUAAAUGAAAUAAUAAAAAGCAUAGCUGAUCAAGUCAUUAUUGAUCUUAUUUUGAUUAUUACAUUGCACAUUAGUUUCUUUUUAAAAAUGCUAUUCUUCAUUCAAGCUUUCGCUUUAUCUUUUAUCAGGCAUCCUACAAAUCUUAUCCCUACUAAUAUGCUCUAUAAGCCAAUAUUCUUCUAAAAUUAUUAAAUUCCAUUCUUCAUUCAAGCCUUCAUGGACACUAUUUACAAAUUGUUCUUGUAUUUGACAGAAAAAUGAAAACUCCUCAUCAUACAAAACUGCAUGAACAAAUCUUCAAUUUAAUUAUGAUAAAAUAAUAAAUUCCAUUAAUAGAUUAUGUUGUAUUUUUUUUUUUUUUGACCACGAGAUAUCCUGAGGAGGGCCCCAAUUGUGGGAGGCACCUUUAAGCUCGUACCACAACCCAUACUAGAAGUCCCCACGGGAACCGGGAGGCACAAUUUCUCCCAACAAAGACGAUUUUCCUGCGACUCGAACUGGGGAGCAAACCCAGUCAAGCCACUUAGAGCCAACACUUUGUUGGUUAUGUUGUAUGUUAAUGUGAGGGAUUUGAUCAGGUGAUCAUAUAAUUUAGUAAACGCUUUAAGAAGAACAAGAAUUAAUAAGUUAAAAAUUAAAAAAAUAAAUAAAUAAAGAGUAGAUGGAAAGAAUGUUAUUUGCAAUCACUAAACCAAAGAACAGGGGAAUGAUAAGAGAGGACGGUUACUGCAACAAUAUGAAGUCAACAAUAUAAAGUGUUUACCAACUUAAAACCAGGGCUAUAAAGUGUUUGAUGAAUUAUUUUUUAAUUAAAAAAAAAAAACUGAUUUAGCGGGAUAAAACAAUGCUCCAUUCCGUUUAGUAUGUGAAGUCCAGAGUAUUACCUACUACUAACUAAAUCCGCUUGAUUCACAAGACUACCAAGAGAUAACUGAAUCAUUAUUUAAUUUUACUAUUAGGAAACCUACUUAUAUAAGGCGCAAACCACAAAUUCUAAAUUAAAUACCUAACCAUAAAUUAAGAUCAACCCUAACAGUCAUCCACCAGGUGCCGUGUAGGCUGCAUCAUAAAUUCUGAUUUAAAUAUUUGCAAUCACCGAACAGAAAAACAGGGGAACGAAAACAGAGGAGCCCUAUUUUUCCAUUUUUUUAACCCUUAACUCUUGCUCUUCUAAUUAUAUUUUUCCUUGGAAUUUCAAGUAUGAGAUGAAUUUGGAGAAAGUAAAUAAAUUUGAAUUACGUGAAAAAUUCUAAUUUUUUUAACCCUUAACAGUUGGUAUAUUUUUUUUAGGUCAUAGAUUAAUAAAUUUCUUUUAAAAAAAUUUAUAAUAUCAAUUAAUAUUAUAACCUAUAGAUUAAUACAGAUAAAAAUAUGAUUGAUUUAUCUCCACCACCUAAGUCUUAGCCAAAUUUAAUUAAAGAUUAAUUUAAUAAAUUACCGAAAAUAAUAAAGUAAACGAAAAAUAAAGCACGCAAUUAAGUAAUCAUGCUUCUAAAGGGCUAAUUAACCAUAAUAGGCAUAGGUAUUAAUUUGACUUCUAUGAAAGUCCCUUCUAGUUUCUCAAAAUUCAAAAAUUACAAUAAAAAGCCAAAGAAAAAGUCAAUGCUUCUAAAGUAGAAAAGUUUGAGUACUAGAUAGGCUGCCCAAAAUACAUUUUCAUUACUCACAUAUCUCUAUAGAAAGUAAUUUUUUUAAUAAAAACAACCUAUUUGGCUAAUAUUCAGUAGUCUUUUUUGUUGAUGGAAUUAUCCUCUUAACAAUAUUUUAAAAAGUUUACAUGAAUAUUCCUUUUUUAAAAAAAAAAAGAAUAAUAACGUGUAUUGUUAGGAUAAAAAUGAUCAUCAAUACGUAUGUAUAUAGGCACAAAUAUAUGAAAAAAAAUCAAGUUUAAGUACAAUGUAUAGGUCAAUGCCUAAGAGUCAAGCCUAAAUUAGGGGUAUAAAAAACUACAAAAUACAAUUUCGUACACUACAAAAUUUUGAUAUCAGCAGUAGGGGUAUAAAAAAAUCAUUGUUGCCAAAAAUCCAAAAGCUAACUAGAGGUUUGGUUUUGUUUCAAAAAUUAAAAAAACAAGUCAAUUCGUAAAAUCAAAAACAGAAAAAGAAAAACAAAAUAUAGAGGAAUUUACAGUUUAAAAAGAAAAACCAAGCCAAAACGAAAUUGAAUCGAAAGUCGAACCAACUCAGUUCAGUUUGAUUUGAAUUUUAUUUUAUAAAAAAAAAUGAUCGGAACCAACUAAACUGUAUUAUGUUAUAAAUUAUUAUAUAACAUAAAUUUUUGAAUACCUUUGUGACGAGCACAAUUUAAAAUUUUAUGAUUUUAAAUUUUAACAUUAAUGGAGAGUUAAUACUCCACCAUUUUCCAAUUUUUACAAUACAUAUUACCAGUUUAGAUAUGCUGUAUAUUAUUGUUAUAAUUUUUCGAGCAAGAUAAUAUUUGUCAAUUGGUGUUAUGACAUCAAAAUACUUGGUAUUAGUUAGUGCUAAGUGCUUCUUUUUCUUAAAAAAAGCGGUUCCUUAGUUUUAAAACAAAAAUCAUUAUCCUGAAAUUCUCCAUUUGCUUUGUUAACAGAUAUAACAAAAUAAAGUGAUAAAAGUUUAAUUUAUAAAACUUCGGCAUUUAUAUCUAUCAGAUUCAACACUUUAGUGUCAUAGAUUUAUUUCGGUGGAGCACGAUGUGGGUUGGGCCAGGCUUAGAAUUUUAAGCACGAGAGCCUUAAAAAUAUGAUAUGAUUAGAGAUGGACUGAGCACAGCACGAUGAAAAUGCCCACAAUAAGCACAUUAUAUUUUUUUAUUGAAAAUAAACUUAAAAUUUUAUGUUUUAUAAAUAACUUGAAGUUGAAUUUUUUAAAUUCAUUUAAUUCUUAGUUUAAAAAAAUAUUAUAAUUAAUUUAUAUUUAUAAUUUAUUAAAUAAAUAAUUGAUAUCAUGAUUUUAAUGAAUAAAAUUAUAAAUAUAAUGAUUUUAUAAAUAUGCAUUAAUAUUAUUGUGAACUAUGAUCUAUGACUCUAUGUAACUCUAAGUUAACAAUUAAGUUAACCCUUAAGAAAAUAUUAUUAUUAUUAUUAUUAUUGUUGUUGUUGUUGAGUAUUAAAAAAAUUAUAAUACUAAGAGGUCAAACUUAGAUCUAUUAAAUAUUACAUUUUCUUACUAUUAUUAGUUUAUUAUUAUUGAAUAUAAACUUGAGUUUUGAUUUUUUGAUUCUAUUAAAUUUGAAUAAAAGUAUAGACCUAAGAAAAAUAUAUAGACUUGAAAAAAAUACGCCAACAGUUUAGUAUGCCCUUUAAAAAUUAAAAAAAAAAAAAAACUUAGUGAGCUUUUUUUCUUAGGCAUAGCACGGCAUGUAUCGGCAUGUGUGUUAGGCCGGACCUAAACAAAAAAAAUAAAAUAAAUCUCGACACGACACAACACAAGCAUAAGCACGCAUGGGCCUUACUUACUGGCCCGACCCAUUGAGCAUCUCUAACUGUAUCUAUCUCCGCCAUAAUAAAUUAAACAUCGGGUAACUACUAGACUAGGCAUUAGCAUAUAAACUAACUAACUAUAGUACCAAAAAGAAUGAUGCGACAUUGUAAAAGAGAUGGGGCAAAGGGCAGAAUGGGAAACGAAUGAACCAAAUAAUAGUAUAUAAUAAUAUGGAUUUGGUAAAAAUAAAAAAUAAAUAAAAUAAAGUGGUGACACGUACCUCCUUUUAUUUCUCGAUCGAGUAGUGCAGAAAGUGGAGUGUGUGUGUGUGUGUUAAUUGUGAAAUGUCAGCCAAUUUUUUCUCUCUCAUUCUGAAACAGCUCAGCAGGAAUAGUGUACACUAGAGACGUCUGUCUGUCAGUCAGAACUGCCAAAAGAGCAAAACGGGUGCACGUACAAAUUAAAUCAGCCAAUCAGCGAUAUAUUUCAGUUACUAAAAGCUAGCACAGAGGGAACAAGCAAUAUGCAGGGCCAAAAGAGAUGAGACCCCUGAACCCGAACCCUCCUGAAUGAUCUGAUCACAUCUGAUUCGAUGUCUCGAGUCAUUAGAUUUAACAUAUUUUAACAAUAUUUCUCAGUUAAUAUGUGAUUUAAUUAAAGGUCAAGUUUACAUCUGAAAAUGAACUUAUUAAAAAUUAAUUUGAAAUAACAUCUAAGAUAUCUAUUUGUUUAUAAUAAAAUUUAAUUGUCAUAUCAGAAUUAUUUUCCGUUAGACUUUACAAUAAGUUAAUCCCAAAUAAAUUGACAAUUUCAAUUUUAAAGUUAGUUUGUAACUUUAAAAUAAUUUUCUAAUAAAAAUUUAAUCUGAAACAUUUGCAAUAAUAUCAAGUAUUUUGAUGUAAUAACACCAAUGUUUCACAUGCACACACAAGUCAUAUAUAAGUUAACAAAAACAUCAUUUGUUAUUAACAAAAUCAUGUUAAUUUUUAAUUCUUAAAUUAACUCCCUAUUAAAUUUUGGCUAAAUGUUAGAGUGCAAUUUAUGCACUAGUUUUGCAUUGUUUACUUCCCUUAAUAUCGAUGUUUUGCACUUAAUAAUAAUGUUUUACUUGUGUUUUACUUUUGUAGGUGCAAUUCUAUUGAUUGAUGAUAAAAUUGAGCUAAAAGAUGAUGUUUAAGGAGGAUUGUUCUCUUGGAGAAAUUAUGAGCGUCAGAAGAACUUUGUUGAUAAGGCGUGGGCGCGUGCUGUCAACUGCGGACCUGCAGUUUUUAGUUUAACGUGUUUUGUAUUUUUGGUUAUUUUUGUAAUUACGAAUUUAAUAUUUCAGAUAUUAGUAUUUUAUUUUAAAUAGAAUUCUAAAAGAGAAGAGAGAGAGAGUAUUUAAGGGAGGAAUCUAUUGUGAAAAAGAGGAUUUGGAUUGGAGAAAAAGAAAGAAACCCUAGAUCUAAUUUUUCUCUUCUCUCUAUGAAGAACUAAACCUAUUUUUCUGGUUGAAGGAUAAUGAAGCUUUGAUUCAUCACUACUGUGAGAUCUUUCUUAUGCUUUAAUUGUUUUAUUACUUUUUGGGUAUUUGUUUAUUCUCUGAAUUAGUUUCAUGAUUAUGUUUGUUAAUUAGGUAAUUGGCCACUAUUUAAUUAUUAACUUAAUCUAUUGUUAAUUAAAGGAUUCAUCGUAUGAAGAAUUUAAUGUUUGUGACAAAUAACAUAGCAGAGAGUUGUGUUGUGAGAAUAAACAAUCUAAUUUAAAUGAAUCAUCAUAUGUGUUGAUUAGGAUUUGGGUCUCUCUAGUUUUUCAGGCUGUCAAUUGAUUAAAUCCUAUGAUCGUAUCUAGGGUUGUCUAUUGAUUAGGGAAAUAUCCAACGGUCGUACCUUGGUUAUCGACUAGUUAAGGAGAGAUUGGCUAUUAGAGGGUCUCAAUAGCUAUAACCGGUCUAUUCAUAAGUAAUGAUAAUCUAUAUUUGAAUCAAUGAUCAGUAGUCGAAUCAAGCUGAGUUAAUUCCUUCAAUCAGAGCUUUCUCCAAUUUGAAUUACAACUUUAAUUUGCAUUCUUGUUACUUUAAUUUGAUUUUUAUUAUUGUCAACAAUUCCCCCAUUUUACGUUUUACGUUUCAAAAUGAUUUAAAUAAUUACCGAUCUCUGUGGACACGACCCUGCUCAAUCACUAUACACAAUUUAUUUAGAGUAGGAAUUUAUUUUUGUUGGCUUCGACACCCAUCACUAAAUCAUUAUUGCAAUUUAUAAAUUAAUAUUUAUAAAAAAUUAUGAAUCAUCCAAAAAGCUGCUUGAUAUAGAUUAAUUUCAUGGUCAUCAAUUUUUUUUUAUUUAUAUACCUUUAAAUUAUCACUUGUAUCAUAUGAAAAGACCAUAUUACCCCUCUAACGUCAUCAUAUUUAAACGGCAACUAAGCUAUGGUGAACGACAUUAUAUUUUGUCAACUUAAGAUGAAUGACUGAUAUACCCUAAAAGUAUUGUAGUAAAUUUGAUAAUAAAGUAUACAAUUGAUAAUUUUCCUAUUUAUAAUUUAUCCCCUUAAUUAUGAGUAAUUUUGUUUUUGUCUUCAUUUGUCCCUUUCCUACAAAACCGUACAAGUUACAUAUAUAAAACAUUCUUCUUUAAUCAAGUUUGGAAUAUUUUCAUCCUUAUGUAAAAUUAUGCAUAUAUCUUUUGAGUUUCUCAAUUGUACUUGAAAAAAAAAAUUACAUUUAAUCACGGUUGGUUAUCCAUAAAAAAUUUUAGGUGGAAAGUUCACGCGUUUUAAAAUUUAAUUGUGGAAUUAUAUUACAUUUAUUAUUUAGUUUCAAUUUAAUCAUGUAUCAAAUUCAUAUUUUAAAACAUGUGGAAAUUUAUAAUAUAUAAUGAUUCUAUGUAAAUAUAUUAUCUCAUUUCUUCAUUCUUUUGUUAUUAGUUCUCCUCCACCACAUUAGAUAUAUUUUGAAGUUUUCUAAUGUAAAUGUUACUAACAAAUACGCAUUGAAUAAUUAUCGGGUAGUUUAUAUUAUAAUUUAAUAAUAGCCACAACAUAAAUGUACAAUUUGGUGAUAGUAAAUGCCAUUACAUGAAAAUGAAAUCAUCAUGUUGCAAACAAGAUGCAACCAAGGGAUUGCAAACAAUGUUAAGUUACUAUUGGGUCACUUGAACUCCUGGGCUCUCUCCUGUGUAAUUUAUAUUAGACUGUCGCGUACAAAACGCAGACAUAUAUAUACAUACAAGUAGUGCUUUGGCAACAGACACAAUAGCCAAGAAGCAGCCCUUGUUUUCAAAUUCAUUCAAAUGCCAGCCUGCAGUUUUGAAUCCUUCAAAUUGUGCUCCACCUUUUGAGGGGACGAUGAAGAGUGAAAGAAGAGACAAAUGGCAGAAAUAUCAUCCAUUGCAAUGCCUCGUUUCUUAUAUUUCCAUGCCCGAACAGCACAUUCCACCAAUCUUUUUGCUGCCUUUUCCCUAUCCACUACUGAAGAAACAAUCUCCACCGCCUCUUGGUUCGAAAUCACAUCCCAAACCUGAAGAACAAUCCAUAAUUGAUCUUUCAAACAUUGACGUUAGUUCAGAUCAAAAGAUAAUUCCAAUAUGUGGAUACGUAUCCCGUCUGAUGCCAGAAUGAUAAAUUGGUCUCGUGUUGUUAUGUUUCUUUGCGUUACAUGGGGCACGGAGAUUAGGCCAUAGUCCUUGACACAGUAAUCACCCAAGGCUCUUGAUAUGGCUAGUCCCGGAGUCUCACCAUUCGGCAUCCAGACUCUGUAUACGCCUGGCUCAUCAUUUAAGCAAAACACAAGCCCUUUGGACUGCGUUAUUCGCUCCGCUUCCUCUGUAUAGGCCAGUGAAGACAAGAACCCGUACGCAGACCUUAAAACACACCCAUAUAUACACCUACACGAGGCAGAAAUAUUUAAGAGACAAUGAGAUAAUUGAGAUCUGAUUGGUAAAAUAUUGUUAAUUAAUAAAAAAUAAUUAAUAUACUUGCUAUUUAAGUAUUUUACUAAUACUUUAAACAUCAGUAUUCAAUGAUGUUAAUAUGUGAUUUUAAUAUUAAAUUUAUGUUCUCAUUUAUAACAGUAUGGUCAUCAGUAUUCACAACACAUCAUAUAUUAAUGUAUGGGUUUAUUAAUAUUAACAAACAUUUAUUUCCAAAUAAAUAUGGUAGCCUUAGUAUUUAAGAAUAUUCUUUAUUGUCUAGUCGUCUGUCCAAGGAAGAACGGGCCAUCAUCAAAUUUAUCAACGGCCUUCUCUAAGUAAUCAAAAGCAGGACCUGUGACAAAUUAAAACUUUUUCCGUGAGUUCAGCACAUAUAUAUACAUAUUCAAAAUGCAUUCCAUUAUAAACAAGUAAGCAAGUUUCAAAUCCUACCAGCUUGUUUUGCUGGGUCUCCUUUGAAUGAAGUAUACACAUCGUUGGUGAAGGUAUCGAUGUGGGAAAACAGUUCAUCAGCAAACUUUCGUUUCUCAGGAUCCUACAAUAUUUUCACAACAUUACUUUACUCAAAGUUGAGAGAGAGAGAGAGAGAGAGAGAGAGAGAGAGAGAAGCUUUUAUUAAAAGCAACAAUGUAAUCAGCAAAAUCUUACAUCAGGUAAAAGUGAAGGCCCUUCAAAAUUGCUGUCAACAUAUUUAAUCAAAUCAAGAGAUUCUCCAAUAACUUUGCCAUUGUGCUCCAGUGCUGGAACCUGUAAAGAACUCUAAUAGGUAAAUAUACUUCAUAACUCCAGCAAUGAUCUCUAAUCUUGCACGAAAGUGUAACAAUCAGUUUAACUCUUUCGUUGUGUUUUCUUGCAAGCAAGCAACUUGCUCAAAUCAGAAUAUGUUAAGAUUUUACUAGGCACACAAAGCACAAAGACACCAUUCCAAUUUUAUUCAGGAACUCCUCCGCACAGAUUACAAGCAUUUCAAUUUCAAAGAUGGGGCAUAAGGACACAGAGUCACAUAAUUAGGCUAUUUGGUAUUGAGGUGCUGUGGUUUUUUUAGCUACAGCUGCCACACGUACCCAAAAAAAAAAAAAAAACUGUAACUAUAAAAUAAAAAUUAAAAAUGCGUAAUAAAUAUGAAUUUUAAAUUAAGAUUUUGACAAAAAUAGUAGAAAUAUUAUAAUUUUACAAAACACUUUAACUCUGUACCUUUUAAUCCAUAGCCGCCCUACCUCAAUACCAAACACAACUAAUCUCUUCCUUUUCUAUAUCUGAAUUGGUCUAUCAACACCUUGAUUAGAAAAAUUCCUAAUUAUUAUUCAGAAACUUUCUAAUACUAUUCAAAAUCUUCCCAGCAGAUUCUAAGCUCCAUGUUAACCAAAAGAAUGCACAUAUUGUUGAUCUAUCAAAUUACUUAAAUGAUCAAUCAAAUAAAAUCAAAUAUUAUUAUUGAUCACACAUCAGCAUCAGCAUCAGCAUCACCUUGUUAACAGGAUAAACCUUCUCCUUGUACCAAGCGGGCCUAUCUUGGAGGUUCAGUGGAACUAACUUAAUCUUGUCUUGUAAUCCCUGCAGCAGCACACCAAAAGUUGUCAAAUUCAAAGAGAGUAUUACGACAAAGGCGAAACGAAUAAACCAUAAAUUACUGUUAUUGUUAUUAUUAUUAUUUUAAUUAAACCUAGAAAGCAGAGACGGGUCAACAGUGAUAAAAAAAAUAUAAUAAAAAUAGUAAAUAAAAAUAAAACCUUGUAGUUCCUGGUGAUCCACACACGCUGAGCAAAUGGGCACGAGUAAGAAAUGUACAACCUGGGAGUUCCAUCGAACAGAGGUGGUAGCUCGGCCUUCGAAUCCAACGGUGGAGGAAGAUUCUCUUGCGCUCUAUCAAAGAUGACACAUGAUCGUUAAAAUAAUGAUCAUAAUUAAUUAUGAAAUUCCAAAAAAAAAAAAAAACCAAAUUCUUGUUGUGGCCAUCGAGGAAGGUAAGACUCUAGAGGUUUCCUGAAUGCUUUUCUUUUGCUUUGAAGAAGAAAGUCAUAUGAUACCGAAAUGUGUCUCUACGCAGAAUGAGUGCGCUUAUAUAUAGAAGCUUUAAAGUAACCUUCUGAAGCCAGCAGUGACGCAAUGCGCACGUGUUAGGGUGUCAUGAUAAUAAUGCAUGUUGCCAAAAAAAAGGGCAAAAUUCUUAUCAGUUUUAGGCAAUUGCCAUGCAUAUUAGUUGGAUUCAAUGGCUGCAAGGGAGAAGCAGUGAGAAUAUCGCUGAUUAAUUAAAUUUGUAUAAUAGAAAAAAUUUGGUAUAUUUUUUUAUGACAUAUUGCUAAAAAUGUGGAGGCUUUGAUAUUAAAAAAGAGUUAUUUAUAAAUAAUGUUAUUAUGUUAUUGUUGAUUAUUAACAAUAAAUUUUUAGGAGAUAUCAUUUGGUUUACAAGUAGUUCAUCAACCGUGUUUAUUAAAAUGUUACAAACAGGAUUACAAAAUAUUAAAUUAUCCUAAACCCAAUUAAUAUCUGCAGGGAUCAGACGACUGUUAGAACAUAUGUUCUAUAAUUUUUCUCUGGAAAAAUAUUAUUUCUUGUACAAACAUAAUAAAUAGCUAUUUAUAACUUAAUAAUUCAAAAAUAGUUAAUUUAUAAAAAGACUAUUCUUGGUGUUAACUAAUGCAGUGGAACUGAUAUAAAUUAACUUAUUGUAAAGAAUUCACUGUAAAGAUAUCAUUUGUUAAUUGUUAAUUAUAAAUAUCCAAUAUUAAAAUUAAUUUCUGAUUUAAUCCAUGAUUGUCAAGCUAUUGUUUUCAUGGUUUACAAUUUUUUAAAAUAGAAGAGGUAAAACAUUAAGUAAAAAGUUUUCAAUCUCGUAUAAAACAAUGUAGAAUGUUUUAACCAAUUCAAAAUUUUUUAUAAUAAAGCAGUUAUUUUCAAAAUUCACAUUAUGUUUCUAUUACUCAUAAAAAAAAAUCCCUUCAAUGAAUGCAGACAUCCUUGAAAGAAACUUCACUACUCUAACAAAAAGGCCAAAAUUUUAGAAAAUGACAGGAAAAGAGAACACCAAUUGUCAACUAGAGUACCCUUUGUGAAAAACACAAUAAUAAAUAGCUGAUAUAUGAUUAGGUUAAUUAAUUGAUUGGAUUGGAAUCAACUUCGGACUGUUUUGCCCUUCCCUGCAGUGCAGCGUAUUAGGUGGCGAAUGAAGUAACUGGCCUCACUAAUUUUAAGUAAAAAGAUUGUUAAUAUUUAACCGCGUCUUAUCAACAUUCUUUGUUUUGAUUAAAAUAUACGACAUCGUUUGCAGAAGAGGCAGCAAGGGCAACAACGUGCCAAGUAUAAUAGACAAAUUUUUUAUCAUAUUAAUUGAGAAGGCUUGAGUUCUGGCCGAUGUUAAUAAAAUUUAAAACACAAAAAAACUGAUAAUGUCACGGCUGGUGAGAUGAUAUAUAAAUAUUAAAAAGAAAAAAAAGAAUUAUCAAUAUUUAAUUUUUGAAGAUUAAACUCAUUAAUUAAAGUGAAUCGUGCAUGCUUUGCUAGCUGAUAUCGCGCGCGCGUGUGUAUGUAUAAAUAUGUUAGAUCAAAUCCAAAGCUAAUUCCAAGUAUUAUAUUAUAUAUAUGUUACUAUUAUUAAUUAGAAUUCCCAAGCUCAAGCUAAUUAAUUGAUGGUAAUCUUUUGGAUGCACUUAAUUGUAAUUAACCGGAUCAAAUUUUGAAACCAAAAUAAUUCACGGGGCAUUCUAGCUUCUAGCUAAUUCAUCCAAAAAAAUAUAAAAUUAUAUAAAAAUAAUAAAAAUACGUGUGAUGUCAGCUUGAUGCGUACAUUCAAAGUUCCAAUUGAAAACAAAUAGAUAUUCAUUUUUCUUGUCAAAUUAUUGAAAGAGACAUCUCUUAAUUUCUUCCAUCACCAGCAACGGUUGAGUGACCUUGUCUUACAUUGUGCAGCAGCCUCCUCGAAGUAAAAAAAAAAAAAAAAUAUAGCCCAUUAUCUUGGCUUUUGGCUGGAUCCAAAUUUUUGUUAAAUACAAAUAAAUAUAAUAUCAAAUUAAAUAUUCCAAUAAACCUUCUAAUAUCUUCUUUGAACAGUUUUAUUUUUAUUUUAUGAGGGAAGAGUAAACCAUUAAAACUAUAAUUCAUCAUAAAUUUAUUGUGCCAAUUUUUUUUUAAAUCCAUAAUUUUGUGAAAUAUAAAUUUUAAGAAUUGAAAAAUAUCAUUAUAGCUUUCAUAUCCAAAGUUAAUUUUGAUAUUUUUGUACAAAUACAUAAUCUUCAAAUGUGGAUAAUGUAAAAGAUGAAAAUUGUCAAAUUAUUAGAUAAUUGUUUUUACAAAAUUUUAACGAUCAGAAAAAUCUUAAUUUAUAUGUCUUAGUUUAAAGAAUUGGUAUUAUCAAAUGUUACUUAAAUGUAAAUAUAAUAUAAAUAUUUUAUGUAUUUAUAUGUUACGUUUAUGAUUUGGUCACUGUUUAUCUAAAUUUUAAUAAAAUCAGACAUAUUUAUGUAAUUUACUCAUUAAAAAAAAAAUCCAUGAUUUAAUUUGCAAUGAUCAAAUUGUUGUAUUUUGUCAUAUCAAAAUACAUAUUUUUGUACAAUUACCCAUUAAGUUUAUGCUACAAUCAAGCUAUUUAUAAUAUAAGUGUGAUUUUUGAAUUUAAUAUUGAUAUUAGUAUUAAAUAUGAUAAUAAAAAAAUAUUUUAUUAGAUAUUAAUUGGGUCAUUUGUGUUAUUGUUUUUAAAAAUUAAUGACCUGCAACAUUAAUUGUCAAUAAUGGGUUUUUUUAAAACAUGCUGGUGCCCGGAUGUAAAUGCCGGUACCUCCCAAGUCAGUAGCCUUAUUAUAAUCCCGUCAGCAUAUUGGCCUGCCCCUGUACCAUUACUCCAAUUGAUGCUGAAAAUAUAACAACAUCAGUGACCGCGUUGUCGUUUCCCGUGAUGUUUAUUCCGAUGCCGGAGAAAUCCUUUUCGCGAUCAUCCCCGCCGAUGUUGAUGUGUUGGCCGAUGAAGGAAUUUCUUAUAUACGUUUCGUGGCCAUCUUGGAUGGAAAUGCCAGCGGUAGUGAAAUGCGAAACGUAACAAUUGUCCACUGUGGUUCUUAUUGAAUUUAUAAUGGCAAUGCCGCCACCCCUAAAAUUGGAGUCCAACAUAAGCUCCUUCAAAGUAAUGUAUUCGUAUAAUGACGAUGAUGAUGACGAUCUUAACUCUAUGAGAUGUCCGUUGCCCGAAAAAUCAUCCGAUGCUCGGAGGGACCCACCGUGUAUCUAUGUAUACAUAUAUAGAUGUUAAAAGUAAGAAUUAAAAGUAAGAAUUAAAUUUUAAAUUAAUAUGUGAUUUGGUAUGAUUCCUGGCAUUUUGUAUUCGGUUUUGUAGUCCUUCAUAAGACUGGCAAAAAUCAUUAUCAAUUAAACAUUAUGUUGUUAUAUUUUUUUAUUAUAUUUUUUUAAUGAUCUUUAUUUUAUUUGCUUUAAACAAUAUCUAUUUUUCAAAAACAAUACUUUUGACAAACAAACCCUAAAGUGAUGAAAGAGAAAGCAUGCAUUUUGCACAUGUUUAUAAAAACAAGAGAGUAUAUUUAAUCUCAAUCUGUAAUUCUGUAUAAUGUAUUAUUCUUAAGUUUGAAUCAAAUUAUUCUUGAUUCCAUCCGCCAAUCCAUCUCGGGCCAUUGAAUUAUGCAUAGCUAUUAUGGUAAUGGUCUCUUUAUUCUCCUCACAAUCAAUUAAUUGUGAUGACCAUACUGUUCUCACGAUUCUCAACCGCAAAAAAUUUAAAUAUUGUAUUGUACAUUUUUAUAAACAAAUUUUAUGUCAUCUCCAUUAUUGUGGAAUUUUAAUAUCCUAAUACAAUAUUAUGAUAGUAAUUGGGUCAAUAUGGGUAUUGGAUCAUAUUAUCGUUAUAAAUAUUAAUUUAUUAUAACUGAGUGUGUAAAGUAUCUUUUUUUAUUGUUGUACCAUAUUUAACUUUUGGCUGCAAAUAUAUAUAUAUUUAGCAUUAUUUAUAUCAAUAAGUUAAUAUAUAUAUCCUUUUCUUUAACAUCAAAUUUAAGUUUUUAAAAAGUUAUGAUAAUUCACUAAUUUGGUAUUUAGGAAAUUAAAUCCAUAUCAAUUUAUUAGAUAUCUUAAACCGUAUGUAAAAAUAGAAUAUUGACCAUUAUUCUAUUAGUAAUAUAUCCAUUAAAGAUUUUGACGUGCUAUGGUCUAAAAAAAUUAACUUGGCGGGAUGUUAUGAUUAUAUUCAAGGUGAUAGGGAAGAAAGUUAUGAGGAGACCCCAUUGAAGCCUAUAUAUUAUAGUAUGCAUAAAGACUCAAAAUGUGCACUUGAAAUAACAGUUGUCACUGACAGGUUAAGAUAAACUACCAAAUUGGCACUUAAAGGAAGAAAUUCUAGUAUUAGUGUCAUAUUUUAUGCCAUAUUAUGUAAUGCAUAUUAGUAAUGAUUUCUUCAUAAUAUCGCAGAUAUAUAAAAGUUCAUCUAGCUAGAUGCAUUGUAGAUUUUGUGAGAAUUAUUUUAUUCCGUCCAAAUGAGUUCACAUUAUUAUCCAAUUUUCCUUUUUUUAAGUUGAUUUAUGAAAGAAAAAAAAAAUGACACCAAUGUUUUCCACGUCGCCGCAAGUCUCAUCGAUAAAAGUCCAUCUACAAAUUAGUUCAUAAUUCUUUUUGUAACUUCGCUAAAAGCUAGUCAAGUCAUUGCUAGCAAGCCUCAAAAGCACGAAGUACGCGAAUCACGGCGAUAACUGAUAAUAACUUGGUUGUCCGGUUUCGCAUACUAAUUAGCUUGAUUGAAAAUCGUGAAGUAUGGGGCACGACUAACGCAACGCAUACGUCUCAUGCAUUAGGCAAAUAUUGUACGCGACCCAUGUUGAGAGCACAAAUCCACUAUCUACAAGUACUAUAUAUAGAGCUGCAAUGCGUGCUUCAAGUAUUCACAACUUACCCCCAGCUGGCUAGCCAGCCUCUAUAAUUUGAAGGGAAAAAAAAAAAAAAAACAACAACCUUGUUCAACUUGCAAAUACCUACCAAUUAUUAUGGAGAAAAGCUUUGAUAUCAUUGCCCUGUCUAUGAUCAUUCUGGUGACUUAUUCAUCUAAAAUGGUGUCGGUCGCCGGCCGGUCGCUGCAUGAACCAUCCAUUGUUGAGAAGCAUGAAAAAUGGAUGGCUGAGCAUGGGCGCACUUACAAGGACGACCUGGAGAAGGAAAAGCGGUUUAAGAUAUUCAAAGAAAACCUUGAAUACAUUGAGAAAGCCAAUGAGGAGGCGAAUCGGACGUACAAGUUAGGCACCAAUGAAUUUUCAGACUUAACUAAUGAGGAGUUUCGUGCUUCAUAUACAGGAUACAGGGUGCCAAGCCAGUCAUCUUCAUCACGGCAAUCCACAACAGCAUCCUUCAAGUAUCAAAACCUGACUGACGUUCCAACUAGCAUGGACUGGAGAGAGAAAGGAGCUGUCACUCCUAUUAAGAACCAAGGUCAAUGUGGUAAGUAAAUCGUAUACUAAAUAUUUAUGAAGUAACUAUAAUAGAUUAUUUAGCCUCCAACCUCUUUCAGAACUCAAACUCAGUUGACCAUCAGCUAAUUAAUAAAAACAGCUUGACAACCGUCUGCCAAACCCCUGCUGGGGCAUGUUUCAUGUAACUUAAUCAAGCCUUUUUUUUUUUUUUCCUUAAUAUGUACGAUGCAGGAGACUGUUGGGCAUUUUCAACUGUGGCGGCGGUGGAAGGGGUGACUGAGAUUAGUAGUGGUAAUCUUAUUCCACUUUCGGAGCAGCAAAUACUAGACUGCUCAAUAGAUGGUAACCGUGGAUGCGGUGGCGGUUGGAUGGACAAUGCCUUUAAAUAUAUUAUAAAAAACCAGGGUAUUGCCUCAGAAGCGGAUUAUCCAUACAAGGAAGUCCAAGGGACUUGUGAAGACGCACAGGUCAAGGCAGCUGCUAAAAUUAGUAACUUUGAAGAUGUAAAACCCAAUGAUGAGCAGGCUUUACUCCAAGCUGUAGCCAUGCAGCCAGUAUCAAUUUGCAUUGAAGGAAGUGGACCAGACUUCCAGAGUUACAAAGGCGGUAUUUUUAACGGAGGAUGUGGAACUCAGUGUUCUCAUGCUGUUGCUAUCGUUGGAUUUGGGGCAACUGAAGAUGGAAUGAAGUAUUGGUUAAUUAAGAAUUCAUGGGGGGAGAGCUGGGGUGAGGCCGGCUACAUGAGGAUUCUCAGAGAUGUUGAAGCACCUGAAGGUCUCUGUGGCAUUGCCACUAAACCUUCCUACCCAGUUGCAUGAGUAGCAGUAUUUUAUAUUAUAAAUAGCCGCCUCUUAAUAAUGAUGUCUUCAAGCCUACACAUGCAUUAGCCUCGAAAGGCUUAUACGAACCGUAUGAAUCGUAUGAUUCUGUGGUUUUACCUAUGUUGAGUAUUUCAUAAGUUGUAAUUGAACGCCAAUAUUUGGUAUUAGUUAAUGUUAAAUCUCUCGUUUAAAUAUAAGUUUGAUCUUUGCAGUAAUUAGUCAUUUACAUUUAAUGCCACGGAUACUCAAUUCGACCAAGAAAUACAUAGUUUAUAUCUUAGUUACUCUGAUAUUUUAUGUGGCAUGUUAUAUGUCGUUCAUUGAUUAAGUUGUAAGAAUAGUAUGUAAAUAAUUAAUAAUAAAUUUAUUUAUUAUCAUUUAUGAGACAAUAAAUGAUUAGUGGAACAUUAAUUAAAAUACAAACUAUUAUUAUUUAUUUAAGAAAUAUAUAUUGGUCAAUGAAAUUAAUGCAAGACAAAAAGUAACUGAAUUUUGAUUACACGCUUGAUGUCUGGAAGUACAAUGAUUAUGAAUUUGUGUUAAAUUAGGUCAAAGUUUUAAGUUAAAAUAAUCAAACCUAUAUACUCACACUAACUUUUAAAGUUUGAGUGGAAUUUGCCCGCUUUAAUUGGGGUCUCAUACAGCAAAAAAAUUUUGGCCAUCUUGAAUUUCUUUUUCUAAUUACUUAUAAAAAUUUAAAGGCUUGGUAAUUUCCCUCCCCCAAAUUCUGUCUUUAUUCCUAAGUAAAUUAGUUAGUCAUUAUUUCAAUAAUUAAAAUUAUUCUAAGUUCUAAAUUUUGGGCGUGGAGGGAAAGUUAAGCGCAAGUAGCCGUGACUGAUUAAUAUUAAACAAUAUAAUUUAAUGCAUUUUUAUUCUUCAUCUAUUUUUUUAAUAUUAGUUUUUGAACAAAAUAGUAGAACGAUAGUUAUAAUUUAUUAAUCAAAUUUUUUUACUUUCAUAUCCAUAUUAUAUUGUCAGUAAUAGUGUCAUGUAAUGAUAAUUAAAAGUAUUAGGAGAUACUUUUAAAAGUCGACCGCCUCAUCAAAAAAUCAGGAUGGCCAAGUGGUCUAAGGCGCCAGACUCAAGUUCUGGUCUUCGAAAGAGGGCGUGGGUUCAAAUCCCACUUCUAAGUAAUUUUUUAUUUUUUAUUCAUUUUUUUACAACGUUACGACUAAACGACGUCAUUUUCAUUAAACGGCAAGUCGUUUCAGUCGUCUUCUUUAACGGAAUAAAAAAUAUCUAAACCGAAGACCAAUGUUUCCAAACCCGCUGUAAACCCUACAGAUAACCCUCAUUGCCACUCGCAUCACUGAGUUCUUAACCUGAGUUAAAAUGGCCGAGUCCGCAUCCGAACUCAGUGAGUUCCGGAUUUUUCCGGCGGACUCACCGCCACCACAACCGAAUUCAACCGGAGUUCCGGUUCAUAAUCUAACACCAGAGGAGCUCGUGGCCAAAGCCAUAGCUCCAGUUAAGAAACAGUUUCUUCGUCAUUAAAUUCCAAAAUAAAUUUUAACAUAAUAAUUAAUUCUUUUAAUAGAUAAAAUUGUCUAUAUGCACGAUUGAAUUCAGCCCCAAAAUGUUAAUUAAAAAACAAUUAUCCAAUAUUCAAGAUAGUUUGAAUCGUCAUUCUCAUAUCGUUAUAAUGUCAUGAAAUAAUUGUACAAAAACAAAUGACCAAUAAAUUCACAAACGUAUAAUAUUGCCUAAUGUAAAUAACUUAUUAAUUAAUAUUGAUAUAUUAUUAAUUACUUAAUGUUUUACCUUUUUAUAAAACAUAAAAUUAUGUUUACUUCCAUUCAAGAUAUCCCAAAAAAAUUAAUCUUUUUGGAUGAUUCAUAAUUUUCAAGAGGAUGUUUUUACACCAUACCAUCGUCAAAUUGAUAAGGGCCAUGUUAUUUUUUAUUUAAUUAAUUUAAAUUUCAACUAGAGAGCUAUUGGAAUCGAUCACUGUAAAAGUUAAGUUGUGAUGUAAUCACACAAUCUUGAGAUCUGCUAUUAGAAAAAUAAUUGAAGAACCAAAUCCCAAUGAAAAUACAUCCAAAAUGAUGUCGUUUUGAAUUUGUUCCAAAAAAAUAAAAUAAAAUCAAACUCACUAAAAAACAACAUGUGUGUUUUUGUUAACCUUUUAUCGAGUUUUAAUUUAAAUAUUUAUCAUGUACUUUUAUAUUCUAUUCAGGACCGGCUCAACCAUAUUUGAGGCCUUAGGCAAAUGGUUUUAAUUAGUUUUUCUUAAAAUUUAAGACAAAAAAUAUGUAUAUUAGUUAUGAGUGAUGAUACAGCCACAAACUCUUGUACAAAUUGACGUGGUAUUAAUUUAUUGGUUGAAUAAAAAUAUAAAAUAAUAAAAACAAAAUCACGUGAGCCAAGUGAUAUUUAAUUCAACCAAUCUUAUCAUGCCACAUCAGUUUAUACAAGAGUUUGUGGUUAUAUCAUUACUCAUAAGUUAUAUAAUAUUUAUUGAAAAUCAAUUCUUCAAACACUCUCUAAAAUGUAAAAUUAUUAAAUAAAAUUAUAUUACACUAUUGUCAAUCCUUGAAAUUUUAAUUCAAUUAUAAUAUUUUUACUUUUUUUUAACUCAAAUUACAUCUUUUAUACUACUUCUUUUCUACAUUAAAUUAAUUUUUUUAUUCUUCUAUUUUCUAAAGUUUUUUUAUAUAGUUAUUUAUUUCACAAUAGAAAAAAAAGCACACAAAAAUAGUAGAUGAAUAAAAGAAUGUAUUAAAAAGAAAUAAGAACACAUAAAUAAUACAAUUAAUUAAGAGAAUAAUAAAAAAUAAAAUCUGAAAUUUGAAAUUUGAGAUGAAAUCAUAAAUUAACUUUAUCUUUAUAUUAAUUAUUUGAAGAUUUGAGUAAUGACUAAUAGCCAUAGAGAAUAGAAAAAAACUAUUAGAUUUUUUCUUUUUUUUCUUGAGUGGAAAGUAGAGGAAGCAAGAUUUUUUUUCCCCUCUCUCUCUUUCUUUCUCUCAAAAACGAAGAACAUAUGGUGUCUUCAUUGUUAGAAGAAAAAUUUAAUGGAUAAGUAAUAAAAUGUGGGGCUUUUAUAGAGGUUUAAAAUGAAUAUAAAACUUUUUAAUUAUAAGUUGUUAAUUCUAACAAUGAAAUAUCAAAUUUAUAGGAUUGAAACUAUUAAUUUAUCGGUUUUGUAGGAAUUAAAACUACUAAGUACUACAUUAAAUAAACUUUAUAGGAACUCGGUAGUUUAUUUGAGAAAAGAUAAUUACAAAAUAAUAAUAAAUUAGAUGCAUAAUAAUGAUUUUUAAAUUCACUUUCCUCUUUUAUAUACAAAAUAAUCAUCUUAUAGGAUCUUCAUGUAAAGUAGGGCCCUAAGCAACCGCCUAAGUUGUCUAGAGAUCGAACCGCUACUGAUUCUAUUACUAAUUUUGAAAUUUUCAGACAUAUUUAAGCUCCACUAUUUUAUUUUUUUAAUCAAAAUAGUAUGUUUAUUAAUAAUGAUUAUAAAAAAAAGAUAAUGAUUCAAUAAUGUUGUUUAUAUAUAUUGAAUCAACUUUAAAAGUCAACAUUUACUUUACACACUCAUAUAAAUGCUAAAAUAACCCUUUAUUUAUUUAUUUUUUUAAGGCUGUAGAAUGUAUUCAUUACAAAGAUAGAGUAAAUUUAAUUUGUGGUAUUCAAAAUUUGAUGAUUACAAUUUUUGAGUUGAUGGUCUUAUGCUUCAUAUUUGCAUUAAUUUUAUGUUUAAUGGUAGAAUUAUCAAGCUCAAUGACAGUGAUUUCAUGUAAAGCUUUAUUUCCUAAUUACAAUUUUAAGUUAAUGGUCCUAGAUUUCAUAUUAACAUUAGUUUCAUAUAUCUUUUAGGUUCAAUAUUAAUGAUUUCAUGUAAUACUCAAUGAUUUCUAGUUUAAUGAUUACAAUUGUAAGUUGAUGGUCAUAUAUUUCAUGCUUAAUAGUAGAAUUAUAUUAAUGGAUGAAGCUGUUGCUAUCAUUUACAUUAAUAUUUAUUUCCUGGAACUCAUUUAUAGCACAUCUCAAUGUCAUUAUUUAAAAAUUUAAAUUGAUGGUUGGUUUUGUAUUCAUUACAUCGGAUGAUUUAUAUUUAAAUAAAUUAUUUCAAUCUCAUAUCGUUUUAUUAUGGGUGAUUUUAUAUCCACAUUAAAAUUUUUAAAGUUGUUAUCAUAACUUUUUAAAAUCAGAGUUGUGUUUAUUUAUCAAUUUAAAACGUCAAUAAUCUACUAUUGGCUUAACAAUUGAUAUUCUCAUUUGGGAAUCAUCAAGAUUUUAAAAUUUUUCAAAGCCCCCAUGCUCAAUUUAUACGCAAAAAAGAGGGGGGGGGGGGUGGGUGGUAAGAUGCAUGAUCAGAAAUGAAUUUGGCAAGUAUUUGAUUGAGUUGAGAGGUCACUAAUCUCACUUAAUUUGCGAAUCACAAUAUGAUUGUUUUCAAUCGGCACCAAAACGAAGGGCUGGUUUUGGUUAUUAUAGUGCCUUGUUCUAUGAAGGAUUUUGGUUACCCACAUAUGGGAUUGAUCUUUGCUUCUACUCAGUAUAAAUUCUUGAAUUAUACUAUAUAUGGGAUUGAGACUUUCGUUAAAUUUUAAUUUAUAAUAUUUUUCCGGAGAAAAGUAAUUAGCAUGAAACACAACAGCGGUGAAUCAUCUCAUUUUUCAAGAAAUAAUAUUUGUCAGAGCUUUUUUUUUAUAUUAGUUUAUAAUUAACUUUUUUUUUUAUAUUAAUCACGAGGUAUCCUGGGGAGGGCCCCAACUGUGGGAGGCACCUUUAAGCCCGUACCACAACCCAGACUAGAAGUCCCCGCUCGAACCGGGAGGCACAGGUUCUCCCAACAAAGGCGACUUCCCUGCGACUCGAACUGGGGAGCAAACCCAGUCAAGCCACUUAAGGGGACUCCAUUGCCAGUGGAGCCAACACUUUGUUGGUUGUUUAUAAUUAACUUUAAUAUGUAAUAAUAUAGCAUAUUCUGGGAAACCUGUUGGGAUAAUUGUUUUUAAUAUUAUUAUGAUAUUACGCAUGAUUGGCAGUCGCAACUCAUCAUCAUCAUCAUCUGAAACCAUAUUAACAAACAUUUAUUUAACAAUAUUCUUUAUGUAAACAGGAUUACCCUAAACCCAAUUAAUAUCUGCAGGGAUCAGAUGACUGUUAGAACAUAUGUUAAAUUUGUAUAAUAUAUGAUUUAAAAAUUUAAAAAAUAAAUUUUUCUUUUUUGGAGAUAACAGUUGGUAUAUUUAUGAUUAGUAAAACUAAAAGUUUUAUUUUUAUUCUAUGUGCUCCAUCAUGGCAGUAGUUAUUUUUUUUGCGAUUAAACAUACUAUUUUGAUUUAAAUGGAUUACAAAAUGGCACAUUUUUUUAACCCUUAACAGUUGGUAUUUUUUUUUAAUAAGAUUAUUAAUGCAUCAAGUAAUCUUGUUUUGAUGAUUGUAACUCGUGACUGCGGGACAAUUUCUAAUGGAAACAACUCAAUUUCGGAAGAAAACUUAAUUUUGCAAGUGAUGAAUUUGAACUCGUUGGAUUGGUUGAUUUAUGAUCGACUGAAUUUCACUUUUCCUCAUAAGAUCUUUAACCAAAGUUUAAUAGCUAUCAUGUACUCCUUAAAAGCAAUUUUUUUUUAGAUUUGACUGAAUUUGAACUUGUUGGAUUGGUUGCUUUUAGAUUAUUAAUAUGAGAUAUUACAACGUAAAUAUUUUCAUGUGGUUGAGCCCUAUUCUAAAAUCUGUAUAGUUAGCUUUAGAAAGAGGGCUUUUCCUGCUGAUCUGUAAUCUUGAAAUAAACUUAGAUAUAAAUAAUGAAAUAAAAGACAACAAACAAGCAAUACUGAUACAAAGCCAACAGAUCAGAGUUUUUGGUACAAAUCCAAUAAAAGACAAUAAACUUAGGACCUUUUUUUCUUGCUUUCUUUUGUUGAAGGAUUAGAGUUUUUGGUAUUAUCAGUAAAGGUUUCAAGGAGUAAAGCCUAUAAACUUUUUUUUUGGGGGGGGCGCCGCCGCGGGGAUUUUACACCAUACCAUCGUCAAAUUGAUAAGGGCCAUGUUAUUUUUUAUUUAAUUAAUUUAAAUUUCAACUAGAGAGCUAUUGGAAUCGAUCACUGUAAAAGUUAAGUUGUGAGGUAAUCACACAAUCUUGAGAUNNNNNNNNNNNNNNNNNNNNNNNNNNNNNNNNNNNNNNNNNNNNNNNNNNNNNNNNNNNNNNNNNNNNNNNNNNNNNNNNNNNNNNNNNNNNNNNNNNNNGAAAAAUUAAGUUUUCAUAGAAUAAAAUGGUACGAUUUUUAAUUGAACAAUUGAGUGCAAUCAGUAACAAAGGCUUUACAUAUGCAAGUAAAAUUUGUAGGUUGCUUCAGAAAAAAAGGGCAUUUCUCACUCAUCUUUAAUCUGCAAGUAAAAUUAGCUACAAAGCAAAUCUAAUAAAAUGACAAACAAAAGAACAAAACAAAGAAAAGACAGGAGGCAAACAACAUUGAUCUUAAGCCAACUGAUAAUUAAACAGAGAAUUCUUUUUUUUUUUUUUUUUAACCUGUUGCUCAAGGAUUAGAGUUUUUAUAUUAACAGAAAGGUUUAAGGGGUCUGAAUAAAAGCCCACAAUUUCUCUAUUUUAUUUUUAUUUUUAUUUUUUGAAAGGAGCUUCACUAUUGGCCUUGAAUAUAAAAGAAUGAGCAAAAGAUCAAUGUCAACUGCCGAGGAAUGUGAGUAAAGAUUUCAUCAGAGUAAGUAAUACAAAUGAAUUGUAAAAGAACAAGACUUAAGCGUGCACCCCGUGUUUUGUUUUAUUGUACGUAUAAACAUAACAUGUUCAUUUUUAACAAAGUGGUCAAUAACUCUUUUUUUUUGGUACAAAGACGUGCCUAGCAUAGACUAGGGCAAAACAAAACGGGGGUGUGAAACCCCAAUACAAUCAUGACGAAUCCAAAACCCAGCCCCUAAAGGAAGAGAAUUGAAAAGGUGCAAUUCAACAGGUAGUGAAAGAGCAGAGUUUGCAGGAAAGUCAGCUGCAAAAUUUGAUUCUCUGUAAACAUGCUUGACCUGCACUUGCCAGGUUCUGUUAAGCAAUUCCUUAAUACCCCUGACAAGAGAAGCAUGUGCAUUUGGCCUAAUCUCGUCAUCCGCCACCAAACGAGUAACACAAAGGCUGUCAACCUCCACCUGAAGCUGCCGAAUUCCAUUAUCCCAAGCCAUACAUAACCCUUGAUAAAGGCCCCAUAACUCAGCACCAAUGAUGGUAACCACACCAACAUUCAUUCCAAAACCAAUUAUCCACUCUCCAUAACAGUUUCUAAUCAAGCCACCCGUACUAGACAGACCAGAACUUUUACGAGCUCCAUCUGUGUUGAGUUUAAAACAAGGCCAAGUAGGUGCCACCCAUCCAAAAUAUUUCUAAAUCUUCAUGGCAGCAGGAACCAAACAACUCUGAUUAACCUUUUGAAUUUCUUCUGUACGGAUCUUAAUAUCCAUUACAACAGUACUCUUGCUGGUAAAAACACCAUUAUGCAGAUUUUGGUAACGCCAAAACCAAAGCCUCCAAACUGUGACCCCAAAAAGACACGGCCAGUCAAACAUACCAUCAUACUUCCACAAGUUCCUCAAAUUAUAUAACGCCCAAUCUCGGAGAUUCAAACUAAAAAAUUGAUGACUAAUCCCAUGGGGUAUCAAUGACGACCAUACAUGCUUAGCACUGGGGCAAUCCCGCAGCACAUUAAGAGUAUUUUCAACAACACAGCCACACCUUGCACAACUCAUAUCAUCAACAAUAUGUCUCCGGAAAAGUUCUGCUUUAGUUUUAAGUCUAUUUUGACCCACCACCCACAGAAAGGUUUUGAUAUGUUGGGGACCUCUCCACUGCCAAAGAAUGCGCCAAAAGGAUUCUUCAUUGUGAACCUCCAUUUUUGACAAAGCCCUAUAUGCUGAAUUAGUAGUGAAAUCUUCUGACUUAGAAUAUGCCCAGUACAUGUAAUCAUCCUCAUCAUUUACACUGGGAGGCUUGGUGGCUGCAAUUUUGAGAAGUAAAUGAUGGGGAAAUAAAUUCUCAAAAAGCCGCCAAUUCCAAGUACCCUCAACAGUGAUAAACCUCGCCACACACUCCUCAAGCUGCUGUAAACGUAUCGGCUGCAAAGCGAAAGUAUACAAAGGGUAUUCCUCUGUUACCCAAUUAUCCCACCAAAAUCUAACUCGGUUGCCAUUUCCAAUGUCCCAUUUGAUCCCUUUUAAAACCUCAUGCCAAAUGCCUCCCACAGCCUUCCACAUGUAAGAGCCAUAUUUCGUAGGUAAUGUGCCGGGGAGGGCUUUAGGAGCCAGCCCAUACUUAGACAAGAGAACCUUCACCCAUAAACUAUUUGGAGAAGCAAUUAAAACCCACCCAAUCUUCAUGAGCAGAGCAUCAUUCAUUAAAUUAAGCUGCUUAAGACCAAGGCCUCCGCUAGGUUUCAGUUGACAUAUUGUAUCCCAUUUCACCAAACUGAUUUUCUUCUUGUCUGCUGCCCCGCUCCAAAUAAACCUCCUACAAGCCUGAUCAAUUUUCUCCCGAAUACCAAACGGAAUCUUCGUGGUCUGCAUUGCAUAAAUAGGAAUUGCCUGGAUUACCGAUUGAGUGAGAGUGAUCCUACCCGCCAAGGACAAAUGUAUCGCAUUCCACCCCGACAAACGUUGGUUCACUUUGUCCAAAAUUCCCUGAUAAGUCAGCUUAUUAACCCGUGAAUGAAUAAUUGGCAUUCCUCAAUAUUUCCCUAGGUUUUUUGUGACAGAAAAACCCAAGGAAUCACCAAUUUCCUUAGCCUCAGCAGACUUUAUGUUGUGGGAGAAAAAAACUUGUGUCUUUGUUUUACUAACUUUCUCUCUAGAGCUCAUACAACAAACAUUCAACACUUCAUUAUAACCAUUGCUUGCCUACAGGAAGCCUCUGCAAGCAAGAUAAGAUCGUCAGCAAAAAAUAAGUGAGAUAAAGAGGUACCUCCACGAGACAGUUUAAUAGGUUUCCAGUGCCCUCUCUUCACAGCGUCAUUUAUUCCAUGGCUUAACCUUUCUAUACAUAACACAAAGAUAUAUGGGGAAAUGGGGUCUCCCUGUCUAAUACCCCUAGAAGGGGUAAAAAUCUCUGUAAUUUCUCCAUUCCAUAGAAGUUGCAUAGUCGCCGUUGUAAUACAUUCCAUAAUAAGCCGAACCAAAAUAGUAGGCAAUCCAAACUCCCUCAAGGUUUCAUAAAUAAAAUCCCAGCUUAAACGAUCAUACGCCUUUUCCAAAUCCACCUUAAUGGCCAUCUGCCCAAUCCUCCCUUUCUUACGUCUCAUCAAAUGAAUAACUUCCUGAGCAACCACUAUGUUUUCCGUUAUGUGUCUCCCCCGGAUAAAACUAGUCUGGGUAGGUCCAAUGAGGUCAGGCAAGAUAGAUUUCAGCCGGUUAGCUAAUAACUUAGUGAUAGUUUUAUAGAUAACCGGGCAAAGACUAAUCGGACGAAAAAGCUUAAGGCUAAUAGGAUUAUCCGACUUAGGAACCAACACAAUCAGAGUUUUGUUCAACUCCUUAGGGAUCUCGUUGCCAUUAAAAAUACCUUUUAUAAGACUACAGACAGAUUUUCCCACUACAUGCCACUGGGUCUGGUAAAAGAGAGCAUGCAACCCGCCUAUUCCAGGGGCUUUCAAAGCCUUCAUGCCGAAGAUCACAUUCUUAAUUUCCUCAUCCUCCACUGCUUGUCCCAAAGCUUGCAUUCGACUUUCCUCAAGGACUGGGAAGGCGUUAACAACAUGGUAUGGAUGAUAGAUUGCAUCCUCUUUGGAAUAGAGCUUUGAAAAGAAGGACACAGCAUAAUCUCUAAUCUCAUCAUUAUUCAACAACCAAUAACUCUAUUCGUUAUGAAAUUGAUAUUGUACCCAAUUUUAAGAGAGCAUAAUAAUAACCAUUCAAUGCAUAAAUUUAGAAUUAGGAUUUUUUUGUAAUUCUUUAUUUAAAUAUAAGCUUCAAUGGAAAAUUAUAAAAAUUUAGAUAUAAAAUUUUAAAUCACCAGACCAAAAAAAAAAAAAAAAAAAAAUAGGGGAACGGAAAUAGAGGAAUCUUGCUUUACCUUUUUUCCCUUUAACUCUUGUUCUUAUAUAAAUAAUUUUGUUUUGAUGAUUGUAACUCGUGACUGCGGGAAAAUUUCUAAUGGAAACAACUCAAAUUCGGAAGAUAAGCUUAAUUAUGCAAGUGAUGAAUUUGUUCAAUUGACUCUGUACUUGAACUAGUUGGAUUGAUUGAUUGAUGAUUGACUAAAUUUGAAUUAAGUUUAAUUGCUUAGCUAUCAUUUACUCCUUAAACGCAAACGUAAAUAUUUUCUUGUGGUUGAGCCCUAUUCUCAAAUCAGUAGGUUGCCUUUGAAAAAGGGCUUUUCUCACUGAUCUUUUUUUUUUUUCUUUAAUUCACACGCACUUGAUUAUUGAAUUCUUUCAUGAAGAAAUAAACUUGUAAUGACUUAAAGAUUUAAUUUCAAGUUAGAAUCAAUACCAAAAGACGGAGGUUUAACAAAGCCGUUUAGUGUGAUAAAAGUACUUUAAAAAAUGUUGUUCGACCCAAUUAAGUUGAAGAAAUAAUAAAGUUUUCAUGGAAUAAAUACCGGUUGUGCCUUAAUGAUUUUGGCAUAGACGUUGCUUGUGUACUGUGAAAUUGAAAUGAAUAUUAAGUGACUGCGCGAUGUAUAUGCCUAAUAAAAGAUCAGCAAAAGCUUGGAUGAAUGUUUGAGGACCAAAACUUUUAUAAAAGCAUUUUUGAGAGAAACUAAACACCAAAUUAUCAAAGUAAGAUCAACAGUAUAUGAUUUGAUUUAUACAUAUUCAAAAACAAAAUAAUGAUUAAUAAUAAAGUUUGAUUUUGUAUUGCCAACGAUGCUUUUUUGUUGUUUCAUUUGUUCGACGUGGCCUUAUUUACAAAUUGGUUUAUGUUAACAGAAACAUGAAAUUCACAUUACACAAAAUUGCAAGAACAAAUAUUAAGAGAACGUAAUAAUAAUUACUCAAUGCGUAAGGAUAAAUUUAGAAUUACAUAUUCUUUUUUAUUUAAUAAAGUCCCAACGGGAAAUCAUAAAAAUUUAUAUAUAAAAGCUUUCAACCACCAAACAAAAAACAGGGGGAAUGAAAACACAGGAACUUGUUUUAACUUUUUUUCAUCUAACUCUUGUUCUUAUAUAAUAUUUUCCCUAGUAUUUCAGGCAAAAAAAAAAAAAAAAAAAUCAAUAAAGAGCAAGUUGCUCAAAUUGAUUUAUCUUGUUUUUCAGGCAAUCUUGUGAUAUGAUGAUAAAGCUCAUGAAUGCUAGAAAACUUCUAAUGCAAACAACUCUAUUUGGGAUGAUAAGCUUAAUUUUACAAGCGAUAAAUAUAAAUAACUUUUUGUGGUUAAUUGAAUUUGUAAUUACUCUUAGCCCUAUUCUAAAAUUUGUAGGCUGCCUCAAAAAAGAAUAAAAAAAAAUUUCUUACUCAUCUUUAAUCUUCAAGUAAAAAAAAAAUCUAAUAAAAUGAAAAACAAACAAACAAGUAAAAGACAGCAAACAAACAACAUUUAACCAACUGAUAUUUAAACAGGGAAUUCUUUCUUCUUCUUCCCCCCCCCCCCCCCCCCCCCCGGGCUCAUGGAUUAGAGUUUUUGCUAUUAACUGAAAGGUUUCAAGGGUCUGAAUAAAAUCCCAGACUUUUUUUUUUUAAUUAACCAAAGCCAUAUAAUAAGAUCACAGACUUUUAACAAUGAACAAUAAUUUGAAACUCAAGCAAAACCAAUGACAAGAUUAAAACAAACCAGAGAAAUUUUUUCUUGGAAAGUAGAUGAAAACUAAGUAAGAACUGCUAUUAAAGGAUAUUAUUAAAGGAUUUAGAACAUGUAUACCUCUUUAUUUAUAUGGGAUCAGAGAGUCGAUGACCUCCUCUAUUCGCUUCGGAUAUUAAGUAAGAAUUGCUAUCAAAAGAAUGAAUUGAUGAGAGUAAUAACAAUGAAUUGCAAAAGAGGAAGACUUAAUCACGUACCCCUAUUAUACCCGAUUUUUAAGAUUUAAUUUUGAAGUCCAGAAUCAAGACAAAAGACGAAGCCUUAACAAAUAUGCAGUGAGAAUAAUUAAGUUGAAGAAAGCACUAGUUUAUGGCUCAGUGUUAAGUUGAAGUUUAUGAAAUAAUUAACUAGUUUAUUAUGCUCAAGUCAGUUUUUGGGCCUUUGCCAAAAAACUUGUGCCACCACUCAUAUGGCUUAAUAAACAUUGUCUUAAAAACCAAAAGCUUUUUGAGUAAUUUGCAGAAAAAUGAAAUAGAGUGUAAAAGAAAGGAUUUUCCAUGAGAAGAAGAGAGAAAAAGAUGCCUUGCAGACCCCGAAAAAAUAAAUAAAUCCUCCUUUUAAGGUCACGCCCCACUCUCCUCUUUUCCCCUUUGUUCUCCUCCACUUACGGGAGUUAAGGAUGAGAUAAAAGUAAUGCCUCCACUCUCCAUUUUUUUCUCCUUUUUCCGUUACCAAACAUCAGUCCCCCAGUUUCUAGUGUUGAGAGUUUUAACGAAUCAAGACUGGAAACUAUAUGAAUUUUAAAGUGACAUCGAUGUGGUUGGCAUAAAUCGGCUCGGGAUUGCUAAAAUUAACCUUACUAUUAGCAAAAAAUUUCAAGUUUUAAACUUUUACUUGCCUUUAAAUAUACCAUUUUCCUACUCGCAUAAUCAUGUAAAGCAGGUUUCAUAAGUUCACGUAUUUAUCUCACCUGAAGUAAGUUUUGAGACUUAGUCAUUUAUCUGCUUUAGAAUAUUUUUCACUCAUAUAACUCUUGCUCGCCUAAUCUUGGUCGGGCAAGAGCAGGCAAACUUUGACUUCGUCUCACUACGAGGAGGUUUAGAGACUGUAAGCCUUUCACUUGAAGUACCCUUUUUUUUUUUUUUUUACUUUCUGCUUGCCUUCACAUGGUUGAGCAGAUUCUGGCAAGCUUGACUUCUUGUCUCGCCAUCGAGCAAACUUUGAGACUUUGAAGUCUUUUAUGUGCCUUAGAAACUUUCUUGGGAUUUUUGUUCUCUGCUCGCCUUUACAUGGUCGAGUAGAUUCUGGCGAGCUUGGCUUCCUAUCUCGCCAUCAAGGAGGCUUUGAGACUUUGGAGCCUUUGCUUGCCUUAGAAACUUUUUUGGAACUUUUGUGGUUUGCUCGCCUUCGCUUGGUCCAGCAGAUCCUGGCAUACUUGGCUUUCUGUCUCGCCAUAAAUAGGCUUUGAGACUUUGGAGCCUUUGCUUGCCUUAGAAACUUUUUUGGAAUUCUCAUUGUUUGUUCGCCUUCACAUGGUCGAGCAGCUUCUAGAGAGCUUGGCUUCCUGUCUCGCCAUCGAGGAGGCUUUGAGACUUUGGAGCCUUUGCUUGCCUUAGAAACUUUUUUGGAACUUUUGUGGUCUGCUCGCCUUCGCUUGAUCCAGCAGAUCCUGGCAUGCUUGGCUUCCUGUCUUGCUAUAAAAUAAGCUUUGAGACUUUGGAGCCUUUGCUUGCCUUAGAAGCUUUUUUGGAACUUUUGUGGUCUGCUCGCCUUCGCUUGGUCGAGCAGAUCCUGGCUCCUGUCUCACCAUAAAAUAGGCUUUGAGACUUUGGAGCCUUUGCGUGCCUUAGAAGAUUUUUGAAACUUUUUUGGUCUGCUCGCCUUCGCUUGGUCGAGCAGAUCCUGGCAUGCUUGGCUUCCUGUCUCACCAUAAAACAGGCUUGGAGACUUUGGAGCCUUUGCGUGCCUUAGAAGAUUUUUGAAACUUUUUUUGUCUGCUUGCCUUCGCUUGGUCGAGCAGAUCCUGGCAUGUUUGGCUUCUUGUCUCGCCAUAAAACAGGCUUUGAGACUUUAGAGCCUUUGCGUGCCUUCAAUGUGCUCUUAUUUGAGGUUUUUGCUUUAAAUCCUAAAAUAUGGACAACCAUCAAAAAUUUAAUUUCGGACUUGUAACUUAUAACUUGUCCAGAAAAUAGCUCACAUUUACAACUUGCGCUUUAGCUAUUUAUAUAUGUUUGGGCCUUUGAUGGAUAAACAUCCUUGGUGUUUUUAUUACCAUCUAUAAUAUUUGGUUAGCAAUAUUAUUAAAGACCUUUGCUAAAGGUGCGGAGCACCAUUUCCCAACACUAAAGAUAUUAAAAUUUAUAUAUAAAAUAAAUCAUAUUAUAUAAAAUAUGUAAUCAACAAAUAAAUGGUACCAUAAAAGUUUAAGCAAAGUCAUAUCACUGUAUCAAGGAAAUACGAUCUCAUGCUAACCCAAGUUCCAUCAAUCCUUCGGUCAAGCAUGUUGUGUGCUAAUAUAUGACUAUGCUAUAUAUUCUAUAAUAUGUAAUCCUUCGGUCAAGCAUGUUGUGUGCUAAUAUAUGACUAUGCUAUAUAUUCUAUAAUAUGUAAUCUUAACUAUUUUCUAUUAACGACUUAAUAAGUCAAAACCUCAUCCAUCAGAUUUUUGAAGUCAGGUAGUGGAUUUAAAGGAUAAAUAUAAAACUGGGGUUUUAGAACAAGUGCACCUGAGAUUGUGCUCUGCAUUAUUUCAUUAGUACUUCAUCAAACAAAUCCCGAGCUUGACUCUGCUUUGCUCCCUUCUUAGAAUUAUUCUUGCAAUAUUUUAACACGGGCACAAAAUGAAUAAAAUAUGAAGGAAACAAAAAUCCAACUUCAUCAAUUCUUUGAAGCUUGAAGACAUGCCUAUCAAUUCUCAUCAUCAAUAAAAAUUUGUUUUGUUUUAAAACCAUUAUUAAGGUUAGCCAAAAUACCAAUACUCGGCCUCAUCCAGAUUAUGCUAAUUAUACUUCUUCCAACACUCAUUAACGAUUAUGAGAAUUUGUGCAAUGUGGAUGACAGGUACUAUCAAAAGACAGCGAAUAUAUGCAUAAUUUCUAAUGUUCUCUUUGCGAAAAUAUAAUAAAGCUAUGGUUAAGAAUAACUCAUGCUCUCAAUCAGUUUGAUACUUAUAUUAAAUAAACUGAAACAGAACCUGGGUUUAGAUCUUGGCUCCUGGGCAACAUUCUCUCAAGCAUAUAUGUAGUGUAUGUAGUGUAAUCAGCAACAAACUCACUUUUGAACUUUCAUAUCCCUUGAGGCGAUUUAACGAACAGCUCCUGAUUUGAAUUUUAACAAUUCUGCCUCAACUUGUAAUGAACCGAGUUUUAUACCAGAAUUGUCUAUAUACUUUCCCUGCAUAGUCUUCACAUGAAAACUAGCUGCAUGAUUGAUUGAUGGGGUGUAAAACCAGUAGGAAAUAUCUUGAAGAAACCAAAGAUCCGUGGAUUUUUAUGCUUACCACCAAAUGAAUUUAACAAUUUGUGUAAUCUUUAUUUUAAGAAAUUGAACAUUGAUAAUACCGCAAAUCGAUUGCUCUUUUGAACAGACUUUAUAUCUUGAGUUCGAUGAAAAGAGAACAAUCAAUCAAGAAAUAUAAAUACAUCAGCAAAAUAAUGAUGGUAGUAGCAUUACACAUCUAAUUAGCCAUAACGAAGCCGAAUAAUUAGCCAUAAUAAAUCUGAACUGUUAACAUUAUGUCAAGCAUGUUGUUGGAAAAUAUUAAAUUAAUUCAUUUGCAAGUAUAAUAGCAUGUAAUCUUGAAUUAUGAAUGAAGCCCAUUCUAACAAGCUAAUUUUGUAAAGGAACAUUAUCAACGAAUUCCAAGGGAUAAUAUUCAAUUUCAGCAAAUAUAUCAUGCACGGUAUUGAAACAUGCAUGUUAUUAAAGAAUUUCCAAGCAUCUCUCAUUUGAUAAAUCAAUAAUCAUAGCAAUUGGAAAUUGAAUUUUAAUGACAAUAUACUUAAAGCAAUAAAUAAGCCAAAACCUUUACAGGUAAGCAUUCCAUCCAGCCUUGAUUGGCUUCCGUGUUUGAGCCAGCUUAUCAAUUUGUGCAUGAUAAUAUUCUGCCUUUGGCUUGGCCGGAUGAAAAAUUGGUAGAGACAAGAAGUUGGCUUUUUGUACCGAUUCCCCACAGACAGUGCCAAAUGUUGAUGCCCAAAUCUGAUCUAGUCUAUUAGCGACUUAAUAUCAAACUUCUACACCAGCAUUAGAUUUAUUUGGUAGAGAAUCGAUUGGUCAAUCGUCAAGAUGUCCUGCAACCACUAGCGAUUAACUUGCGAAUACUUAAAAUCAUAGAAGACGGUCAGAGGCGCUGAAAGUUUUUCCGACGUGAACCCUCCGACACUCAAGUCAGUUUCUGGGCCUUUGCCAAAAAACUUGUGCCACCACUCAUAUGGCUUAAUAAACAUUGCCUUAAAAACCAAAAGCUUUUUGAGUAAUUUGCAGAAAACUGAAAGAGUAUAAAAGAAAGGAUUUUCCAUGAGUGGAAGAGAGAAAAAGAUGCCCUGCAGACCCCGAAAACAUAAAUAAAUCCUCCUUUUAAGGUCAUGCCCCACUCCCCUCUUUUCCCCUUUGUUCUCCUCCACUUACGGAAGUUAAGGAUGAGAUAAAAGUAAUGCCUCCACUCUCCAUUUUUUUUUCUCCUUUUUCCGUUACCAAACACCUACAAAUCUUAUCCCUACUAAUAUGCUCUAUAAGCCAUUAUUCUUCUAAAAUUAUUAAAUGCCAUUCUUCAUUCAAGCUUUCAUGGACAUUAUUUACAAAUUGUUCUUGUAUUUGACAGAAAAAUGAAAACUCCUCGUCAUACAAAACUGCAUGAACAAAUCUUCUGUUUAAUUAUGAUAAAAUAAUAAAUUCCAUUAACAGAUUCUGCUGUAUGUUAAUGUGAGGGAUUUGAUCAGAUGAUCAUAUAAUUUACUACACGCUUUAAGAAGAACAAAAAUUGAUGACUUAAAAAUUAAAAAAUAAACAUAUAAAGAGUAGAUACAAAGAAUGUUAUUUGCAAUCAACAAACUGAAGAACAGGGGAAUGAUAACAGAGGACGGUUGCUGCAACAUUAUGAAGUCAAAAUUAAGAAAGGCAUUUUUUUCUUUUUUUUUUACAUUAUUCUAUUUAAUCUUAAAUUUUUACAAUCACCAAAUGGAAAAACAGGGGACUGAAAACAAAGAAGCCCUGUUUGCAGAAACAGGGGAGUUUCCGGGUUUCUGGAAACAAACUCAGAAACGAAUGAACUGGCUGCCGGCGGUACUUUCUAGAUAAAUCUCUUGGUGUAUAUAAGCUUUCAUGAUCUGGUUUUAGUCUGGUUAGGUUCAGCCACUGUGACUGUUAGGGAUUCUCGUAAACUGAAUUUAAAGUUGCGGCUUAAAGUGUUUACCAACUUAAAACCAGAGCUAUAAAGUGUUUGAUGAAUUAUUUUUUAAUUUAAAAAAAUAAAAAACUGAUUUAGCGGGAUAAAAUAAUGCUCCAUUCUGUUUAGUAUGUGAAGUCCAGAGUAUUACAAAGAGAUAACUGAAUCUUCAAUGUAAUAAAAUAAUGAUCAGCCUCAGAGGAUACAUAAAAAGCUCAUUUAUCACAACCAUAUCCUAGUGCAUCAUAAACUUGAUUAUUUAAUUUUACUAUUAGGAAACCUACUUAUAUAAGGCGCACACCACAAAUUCUAAAUUAAAUUUCUAACUAAGAAUAAAAGGUAAAGCCUAGCAAUUUUCCACCAGGUGCCGUGUAGCCUGCAUCAUAAAUUUUGAUUUAAAUCUUUGUAAUCACCGAACAGAAAAACCGGGGAAUGAAAACAGAGGAGCCCUAUUUUUCCAUUUUUUUAACCCUUAACUCUUGUUCUUCUAAUUAUAUUUUUGCUUGGAAUUUCAAGCAAACGAAAAAAAAAAAAGUGACAACUAUUUAGAGAGAGCAGGUGGAUGAUAGCAAAAAUAUUUUUAAUUAAUAUGCAUGAUUAACUCUUGUUCUUCUAAUGUAGUGGCUUGAUUAAUAUUUUUAAUCAAGCCACUACAUUAUUGGUAGUCUCUGUGGGCUCAUUUCGUCUCCAGACCUGAUAUUGUAUAUCUCUUUUUGAAUAUGUUUAAUUAAUAUGCAUGCUGCUGAAUAAAGACGAUGAUUUCCAAAUUUUUGUUGCUUUUUUUUUUUCUUUUUCUGCUUUGGUACAUGAAGAAUGUGGAAAUAGAAAUAGCUUUCGAAGUUUAAUGGCUUGCUUCAUUAGUAAAGAAAGACUAGGAUAUCUGUCCCUUUUUGUUACUGAAUUAUUGAUCAAUUGACGGUUGAAGUGUCAAAUGUGUUCUUUCCUUACAAUUGUAUAUGCUAUUAUUAAUAGAAAUUAUUAAAGGAUUUAGAACAAGUUCGCCUUUUUAAUUAUCUGGGAUGAUGAGUUUCUUUAUUCACCUUGAAUAUGUAAUAACAAUUUUAGUGAGCAAAAGAUCACUGGUAACUGCAGAGGAAUGUGUGAGUUAAGAGCUUAUUAGAGUAAGCAAUACAAAUGAAUUUUCAAAUUAUGUACUUGGUCACUGUUGUCCUACUGUCGCACGUAUUUUUUCAUGAAUAAUUGCCAGAUCAGAAAAGAAUAAAUUCGGUUGGCUGAAGUAAGUAAAACAAUCUUCAUAUCGAACAUGAUUCCAAUUAAAUUAAGCUUUUUGUAAGAUGACUAAUAAAAGAUAAAAGUAGAAGCUUUGAUGAAUGAACGAGGACCAAAACUUUUGUAAAAGCGGAUGCCGAUAAAAUAAACAAAAGGCACUUUAAAAAGAAACUAAAGUGCGAUCAUCAAAGUAAGAUCACUAAUGAUGCUUCGCUAUUACAAGGUCCGCAUGGACAUUAUUGAGUUCUGCUAUUUGAACUACGCGAAGACAAAACAAAGACAGAAAAAUUGACACUGUUACUUCAACGGCUGUUUAUUACUUUUUGAAUUUAAAAAAUAAAAUAAUCAAAAGAAAAAGGAAAAGGAAAAGUAACGAAAAAAAAGAAAUAAAAUAAUCAAAAGAAAAAAAAAAGAUUACUUUUUGAGUUAAUCUUUCUCCAUCUCUCAUCUCUGCUAUCUGCGUUCACGCACAAAGAAAAAACUCUUCAUCUCACCAUUUUCAUCUCUUUGCAUCUCACCAGUUCCGCAUCUCAGUUACCAUAAGGAAGAAGUUAGAUCUAGAUCUAUAAACAGAGAUUUUGAUAAAAUUAGUACUGAUUAAUUAGUAAGUUAGUGACUCUCACUAUAUUCAAAUAAAAUUUUUAUUGUGUUCUAUAUAUUUAAAUGAUUAGAAUAUUUAAUUUAAAUUGUAAAAAUUCGUAAAUUUUUAUUUUUUAUAUAUUUAAAUUGUUAUGAAUUGUUAUGAUUUUUUUAAUUUAAAUGGUUGUUAAAUAAUGGAAUAGAUUAUAACAAUUUCUGAAUGUGUUUUAUGAACUUUAAAUUUUUAAAAUUAUGUUAGAUUUGACUUUAAAUCUUUGAAAUUGUAGUGAUGGAAUAAUAUUUUGUGUUAAAUUAAAUUUUUAAUUUUUGAAAUUAUGUUAGAUUUGUUUAAUUUUGUCCGCUUGCAAUUUAUUUGUUCACGCUAUCAUGAAGUGAUAUUAUAUAGGCAUCGAUGGUUUUUUAAUUAUUACAAAAUAUUAUUUUUUAAUUAUUUAACAAAAAUUGAUACAAAAUAUUAAUUUUGUAUGACUGAGAGAUACAUAGGGUUAAACAGGACGAGUAGAGAAAGGAACGAAUGAAAAAUAAGUGGAAUGAACAAAGUAAUUAACGAGAAUGAAUAGAGGGGACAAAGUGGAGAACGAGUAGUUGAGGAUGAGAAUAAGUGGAUCAGAUUUUAAAUAAUAAAGAUAUUUAAAAAAUUUUCAUUUUUUAUUAUAAUAUUUGUUGUUGGUCCCACCAAAAAAUUGGAUGAGAGCAGGCGUGAAAGAGCAUUUUUUUUCAUUUUUAUUCUUUAUUUUAAUAAUUGUUAUCGGUCCCACAAAAAAAGAAAAUUGAAUGAGGAAAGGCGUGAAACGGCAGCCAAUUUCUGUCGUCCCAUCGUCGUGCUUUCGUCUAUUUACCAUUUCUCGACAUUAUUUACAAAUUGUUCUUAUGUUUCACAGAAAAAUGAAACACUGUUCAUCAUACAAAAUUGCAUGACCGAAUCUUCAAUUUUUAUAAUUAUAAAAUAAUGGAUUAUGUGUAUGUUAAUGUUACGGAUAUGAUCAGAUCAUCAUAUAAGUUACUAGACGCAUUAACAAGAACAAGAUCUAAUGAGCUAAAAGUUUUUUUUUUAAAUUAAAUAAAUAAAGAGUAAAAGUAAAAAAAAAUGUUAUUUGCAAUCACUAAAAUGAAAACAGAGGAGCCCUGUUUUUCCUCUCGUUUCUCUUUCUCUCUUUUUCAAGUAGUAGAAAAUGAUAACAGAGUUUGAGAGCUCACUGCUUUCAUUAGUUGGAAAGUGUCGCCUAAAACACUUCCUCUGCUAGGUGGAAUUGUUGGCUUGAAGAGAAGAGUUCUUGUUACAAGCACAAAUUUUAGCUGUACAUUAUUUCCUUUUAAAUGCACCAUUGUUGCACAGAUUUGAACCCUAUGAUCAUUAGUUUUUUGUUUUGAUUUGGUUAGUUCGUGAUGACAAAUAAAUUAUUUUCAUCACAUUAUGGUAAAAAGUUGCCCUCUUUGUUACUUCCACAGCUAUUUAGUUUAAUAUUUUGUAAUAAGAUCACAAAGUGCAUGGGACCUAUUGUUCGGGUACUUAGCCUAAAAUGAAGAUCUAUUAAAAAUUUCCCUGAUGUCAUGAUAUAAAACAAUAAAAGGUACCAACUUCAGCUUAAAUUCAUAUAAAAUUAAACCUUACCACAUACUGUAUUGAAACAAAUUACUCAUCUUUAUUGGUAACAUCAUCACCUUCAUAAAAUAUAUGGUAUCGUACAAAGUUCUUGCGCUGGGUUCGGGCAUCUAACAACGAGGACACAGCAACCUAUUCGCUAGGUUAGAGACCAAAGAGCCAACAGCAAAUGUGCACGACGCAUGUCACUAUCAUGAAAACAACAUUCUUUUUCUUUUUUUUUUCUCCUCAAUAAUUUCAGAUAUAAUAUUUUAACUAAGUUUGUAACACUGUUGAUUGAAAUUAUCAAGUACGAAUGUGUGUAGAUUUUAACAUGUGCACUCAUAAUUAUUAUUGUGCAGUUUUAGACUUAGUUGGGUAUUGAGGUGCUAAAACUUUUGCCGUAAGAAAAAAAAGUUUUAAGUAUAAAAUAAAAUUUAAUAGUAUCUAAUAAAUUUAGUUUUUUAAUAAUAUGUUGAGUACAUAAAAGCCCCAGGUCGGCCAUGCUACUAUUUUCACCCCGGCAUGGAUCACCUUAGCCAAAUGGUAUGAGCAGAACGCAGGAUAAACACGAGCCAACCAGAGACGAGUACCGGCCAGGGUAAUGUACCGACCAGAAUCAUAUACCGAGCCGACACCAAUUCCCCAAAAAAGCGGGAACACGAUCCCACAGAAUCACGGUAGUUGCGCUUUUCCCAGAACCGUUGUGGGAGAUGCGAGAUCCCACGUUUGCCCACAAUGUAGCAGUUAAAAUCCCAUGAGAGGCUACCACUACCCGAGAAAGGGGGGGAUGAAGGGUGAGUGAAAACGUGGGACAGCGGCUAUAAAAGAAGAAGAAACCGAUUAAGAAGGGGAGAGAAAAAUUGAGAGAGGGAAAACGCUGCCAAAUUGCAAUCAUGCCAUUUUCUGACAAGACUCCGAAUAAUUUAGAAACCAUUUUUAGAUCUAAAUUGCACUGUUUUCCCGUAAACACCUUGAGCUAACUUAGGCAUUGGAGGGUUUUCGCCGGCAAAACCACCGGCGACUCUGAUCCGUUUUUGGUGAACGCAGGUCUAGUAAGAGAAAGGAGGGUGAUUCCAACCUCAGAGGUUCGAGCAACAGUCGAUAACGUAAACGUUGGUGAAAGAAUCUGGUCGGUCAAAAGGCGAGCAGAUUUAAGCAUCAACAUUUUGGCGCCGUCUGUGGGGAGCUGGAUAAAAAGCUACCACCGAAUUAGUAGUUACCGGAGAAACAACGAACGAUUAGACAUGGAUUUGCCAAGGAAGGACGCUUUGAGGGAGGAUAACGAAUCGGGGGAGACAAGCACCCUUCGGGAAAUUGCAAAUGAAGCCCGAGAGAGGGUGAUGCAAGAUCGAUUGGAAUAGAUGGAGAAGCAAAUGGAGACUCUCGCUACCAUACUGAAUGAGCUGAGAGAUGAGCGGAGAAGGGAUUGCGAAAUCCCCGUGGGGAGAGAUGAUGUGGGAGCAGAACCCAACCUCCGGAGGCGUAGAGUCGAGGAGAUCCCUCCGCCGGUGGACCAACCUUAUGGGGUGCAUCCCCACAGAAGCACUGGUUGAGUUCCUGGAGAACAAAUAGAUGAAGGGAGGAACUAACCUCGCCCCAGGCGAGCACUGGAAGCUGAUGGCCGAGGAGCCAGUGCUGAUGAAGGAGAGUUAAGACAGCGGUUGCAGAAUGUCGAGCAGGAGCGAGAUCAGAUAGCUGCACGUGAUCCUGACCGUGAUGUAGAAUUGGAGGGAGAGGUGCGCAGAUUAGCGCAAGUGAUAAAGGAGAUACAGGGUAAGAGGAAGCCCCCGAGCUGGAGGAUAAUGCUAGAUGAAGAAUCUCCACUAUCAACUGAGAUCGUGGGUACCAUAAUCCCAAGAGAUUUCCGCUUCCCCGACCUCAAAUACUCCGAGCGAAGUGACCCGCUGGUGCACAUUGAGCGUUUCAACGACAUGAUAGGUGUGCAGGGGCUGACACCAGCUCAGAGGUGCAGGGUGUUCCCGUUGACAUUAGAGGGACGAGCCCGAGAAUGGUACCGCAAGCUGCCCCGAGGAAGUAUAAAGGGGUAUGAGCAGAUGUGCCAGGAGUUGGCCGAGUAGUUCCGAGGGGCAGUGGCCCCAGAGGACGACAUGAUGGAACUGAUGAGGAUGAAACAGGAGGAGCAUGAAUCCCUUCGAGAUUUUGUAAAACGAUAUCACCGAGCCGUGCUAGAUCUGGGGGCUUUUAAUCACCCGCAGGCGUUGAGGGGAUUAAAAGAAGGUGUAAGAAUCGGCCGACUGUGGUAUAACUUAAGAAGCCCCCUUGUACAGAAUUACUCGUCGGGGUAUGAGCAGGCGAGGCGAGAUAUAGAAAUCGAAGAGGAGAAAUCAGCAAGAAUAAAAAGUGAACAGCUGGACGAGCUGAGGCGAAAGGAACGGAGAGCCCCAACAGGGAGCGGGUCGGGAAAACGAGCUGGAGAAUCUUCAGUGAUGGGCGGAAUAUCGGCUCGGUCCCGCCCUUACCCCAUAGCUCCGAGAUCGCAGCAGUUCCAGCACAACCGGGCUCAACCUCCGCGUCCCCCAUUUCCGGAUCGGCAACGAGAAUUCCGGCAGAUGGCUGCCCACCCCUAUCACAACACUCCCAGAGCAUUACAUGCAACCAAUUCCAGGGCUAGUCGACCAGAUCAGUUAGCAACUGGGCCAGCCUGAGGUGACAUUCAUGAUAGCCGAGCAGUUCAGCUGGUAGACCAGAGCUUGGCGUAUAGACAGUACACUCCAUUAAAGAUCUCCAUGGAGGAAUUGUAUGAGAGGAUCGAGGGACGAGGCUUGUUAUACCCUCCAGCCCCUAUAACAAAACCGGCUCACCGACGGGAUAAGAGCAAAUUCUGCAAAUUCCACGACACUCAUGGUCACACUAUCAGCCAAUGUCGUGACCUGAAAAUUCAGGUGGAAGAUUUGGUGAGAAACCGUUAUUUGGACGAAUAUGUAGAUGGAAUGUCCCCCGUCACUGAAUCACAGUACACGCGGGAUGAAGGAGCUGAGAUGGGCCUGGAACGUGAACAGCCGACUAUCCGUAUAAUAGCAGGGGGGCCAACAUUGGCUGGGGAUUCGAACAGGGCACGGGAGAACUAUGGGAGAUAUGCCCUGACUAGCAAAGAAGUGCUUUUCAAUUUUCCGGCAACCAAGAAGGCAAAAGUGCGGCAAGUUCCCAUUAUGUGGACAGAUGACGAUGAAGAGGGUAUCUUAUAUCCGCAUGAGGAUGCAUUGGUGAUCAAGGCAAUGGUGGCUGGUACAGAAUUGCGACGAAUACUAAUAGACACAGGCAGCUCGGUUGACAUCCUGUUUAAGUCGGCUCUAGAUGAUAUGGGGAUUGCAGACUUGAAAUUGGAGCGGACAAAUACAUCCUUAAAGGGAUUUGGAGGGGGAUGGUUAACUCCCAUGGGGAUCACCGAACUCCCAAUUACUAUGGGGACAAAGCCAUUUGAAAGAACAAUGAUGCUGGAUUUUGUCGUGGUAGAGAAAAGAAGCCCUUACCAGAUGAUACUGGAGAGACCGUUCAUGAGGAUAAGCCAAUGUGUUGUAUCCACGCAUUACUUGGCACUGAAAUACAGAGUAAAUGGGGUGGUUGGCGUAGUAAAAAGCGACCAGAGGAUGGCAAGGAGUUGUUAUGCUACAGCAGCCAAGGAGACACUGCAGGUUACUUCUCUAGAUAAUCGAGGAAAGUCUAAAAAGGGCCGCCAAGAGCCUGUUGAGAAGCUGGAGGAAGUUGCGGUAAGCAAAAGCAACCCGAGCAGAGUAGUGAAGAUCGGGUCAGGAUUGGUUGGGGCAGUAAAAGGCGAGCUGAUAAAUUACCUACAGUCUCAUGCGGAUAUAUUCGCCUGGUCUCAUGAAGAUAUGCCCGGAAUUGAUCGCGGGGUAGCUUGCCACAAGUUGGCAAUCAAGAAGGGGGUAAGGCCGGUGAGACAGAAGAGGAGAUGCUUCAACCAGGAAAGGUACGAGGCCAUAAACGCCGAGGUGGAGAAGCUGUUGAAAGCAGGAUUUAUAAGGGAAGCCAAGUACCCAGAAUGGAUUUCAAAUGUCGUCCUGGUAAAAAAGGCCAACGGGAAGUGGAGAAUGUGUGUGGACUUCACGGACCUCAAUAAGGCAUGCCCAAAGGACAACUUUCCCCUACCCAAAAUAGAUCAGCUGGUGGACUCAACAGCAGGUCACAGUCUGCUCAGUUUCAUUGAUGCCUUUUUCUGGAUACAACCAGAUACCCAUGGACGAGCAGGAUGAGGAGAGCACUGCCUUUAUAACUAACAUGGGUUUGUUUUGCUACAGGGUAAUGCCUUUCGGCCUAAAAAAUGCAGGAGCCACCUAUCAAAGGUUGGUAAACAAGAUCUUCAAACCGUUGAUUGGACACACUAUGGAGGUAUAUGUGGAUGAUAUGAUUACGAAGUCCAAAGAGCCGAGGGAUCAUGUGAAGCAUCUAGAAGAGACCUUUGAAUUGCUGAGGAAGUAUGAGAUGAAACUAAACCCGGAGAAAUGCGCAUUUGGGGUAAGCUCGGGCAAAUUUCUGGGAUUCCUGGUAAGCCACCAAGGGAUUAAGGCCAACCCCGAAAAAAUACGAGCGGUUACAGAUAUGAGAUCUCCGCGGACAGUUAAAGAGGUGCAGAGCCUUACAGAGAAGUUGGCAGCAUUGAACCGAUUCAUCUCGCGGGCCACAGAUAAAUGCCACCCUUUCUUCCAAAUCAUAAAGAAAGGGAGAAAGAUGGAAUGGACAUUAGAGUGCGAGGAAGCAUUUGGGCAACUGAAGGAAUAUCUGGCCCGUGCACCGUUACUGUCAACUCCGAGAGAGGGUGACCAGCUGUUUUUGUACUUGGCAAUCUCCAAGCAAGCUACCAGCUCAGUCUUAGUCAGGGAAGAAGAAGGGAAGCAACACCCGGUAUACUACACGAGCAAGGCCCUGGUGGACGCAGAAACCAGAUAUCCACUAAUGGAGAAGUGGGCGCUGGCUCUGAUAACGGCAGCACGCAAACUCCGACCAUAUUUCCAAGCCCACCAGAUCGUUGUGAUGACUGACCAGCCCCUUCGGCAAGUGCUUCAAAAACCAGAUGCGUCUGGUCGGUUAGUAAAAUGGUCAGUGGAGCUGAGCGAAUUUGACCUGACCUACAGGCCCCGAGGAGCAAUCAAGGCCCAAGCCCUGGUAGAAUUUAUGGUAGACCGAGCUGAGCCAGGGGAAGGAGAUCGGGAGUAGCAACCGUUAGAGCAGGAGAAAACAGAGGGGAUGUGGUUGGUAAUGGUUGACGGAUCAUGUAGUGAGCAAGGAUCCGGAGCAGGAGUUGUAAUACGGAGCCUAGAAGGAUCCGAAAUAACGUAUGCAGUAAAGUUUGAAUUUCAGCUCGCAAACAACCAAGCUGAAUAUGAAGCCUUUAUCACCGGGCUCGGACUCGCACAUGCCUUAAAAGCAAAAAGGGUAAAAAUUCGAGCAGAUUCCCAAUUGGUAUGUAAUCAGCUCAAUGAUCAGUUCCAAGCAAGGGGAGAGAAGAUGGGCCUUUAUUUGAAGAAGGCGAAGUAGAUGGUCGGGCUUUUCCAAGAGGUGGAGGUGAAGCAGAUAUCUCGGAAUGAGAAUUACCGAGCAGAUAUUUUGGCUAGGAUGGCUGCAGUUGCAGAUCCGAAAUUACCUAAGUCGGUUCCACUAGAGGUAAGGACCUCGCCAAGUAUAGGAGAGGAGGUAGAGGUGAUGAGAGUAUGCAUUGGAGAAUCAUGGAUGGACCCGAUUCGCGCAUAUAUCCGGGAUGGAAUCUUACCAGAGGACAAACAGCAAGCCAGGAGAUUAAAAUGCCGAGCAGCGAGGUACACUCUACUAGAUGGAGUGCUGUAUCGCCGAGGGUUCACCUUACCCCUUUUGAGAUGUGUGGAUGAUGAGGAGGCAGAUUAUGUACUGAGGGAGAUUCAUGAAGGAAUAUACGGCAAUCACUCGGGAGCAAGAACUUUAGCCUUCAAGGCACUCCGGCAAGGAUACUUUUGGCCAACUAUGCACCAGGAUGCGAAAAGGAUGGCAAAGAACUGUAAAACCUGCCAAAGCUUCUCUAAGGUUCCUGCACAACCCCCAGAGAAGCUGACCACUAUGACAUCCCCGUGGCCUUUCGCUCAAUGGGGAAUCGACUUGAUUGGUCCGUUACCUAAGGGCCGAGGAGCGGCGACACAUGCAAUUGUGGCAAUAGACUACUUCACCAAGUGGGUAGAAGCGGGAGUCCUCAGCCAAAUCACCGAGAGGAAGACAACAGAUUUUAUUUGGAGAAAUAUCAUUUGCAGAUACGGGAUCCCCUAUGCCAUCAUUACAGAUAAUGGGAGACAAUUUGACAACAGCAACUUCAGGGAAUUUUGCCGAAAUUUGGGGGUGGACCUGAAGUUCUGCACCCUCGCACACCCCCAGGCAAACGGACAAGUGGAAGCAGCCAACAAAGUAAUAAAAAAGCUUUUGAAAACUAGAUUGGGAGAGAAGAAGGGAGCCUGGGUUGACGAACUACCAGGAGUAUUAUGGGCCUACCGGACAACUCACAAAACCGCCACAGGGGAAACCCCGUUCGCUUUAGCCUUUGGUCAUGAGGCGGUAAUCCCAGCAGAAAUCGGAGUAGGAACACAUCGAACAGAAUAUUUCGCUGAGGAGAAAAACGACGAGCAGAUCUGCUUAAACCUGGACCUGCUGGAGGAGAAAAGGGAAGGGGCCUCGCAGAGAGUGGCCCAGUGUCAGCAACGGGUCAUGCGCUAUUACAACAAGAACGUACGCGUGAGGCAGUUCCGAGCAGGAGAUUGGGUACUUAGGAAGGUGAACCAAAACACCAGGAAUCCUAACCAUGGCGCUCUUGGCCCAAAGUGGGAAGGCCCGUAUAGGGUGGUACGAGCCACUGGACCAGGAGCUUAUAAGUUAGCGUACCUAGAUGGACGAGACGUGAGGAGGUCAUGGAACGCCGAGCACUUGAAGAAGUAUUUCCAGUAAGCAAAGUGCUCUACCAAAUCUUCAUUUUGACAAAUUGUUUGUGUUAACUGCAUGAUGGCUUGAUGCAUAUGUAUGUAUUCAGUAUUUUUGUAACACAUUCAUGUUUCAAAUAAAGAUGAAUUCAGCAUGAAAUCCCCCUACUAGCAAAGCCAAAUAAAAAUUCUACGAAGGCAAGCAAAUGCCUACUUCUGCUUGGUCAACGAAAGACCAGCAGCUAAUUUUACGAGAAAUUCACUAAGGAAAGUGAGUGCCUGUUUCUGCUCGGUCAACGAAAGACCAGCAGCUAAUUCCGCAAAAAUUCUAUUAAGGCAAAUAAGUGCCUAUUUCUGCUCGGACAACGAUAGACCAGCAGCUAAUCUACGAAAAUUCUACUAAGGCAAGUAAAUGUCUGAUUCUGCUCGAUCAAUGAAAGACCAGCAGCUAAUCUACGAAAAUUCUACUAAGGCAAGUAAAUGCCUGAUUCUGCUCGGUCAAUGAAAGACCAGCGGCUAAUCUACGAAAAUUCUACUAAGGCAAGAAAAUGCCUGCCUCUGCUCGGUCAACGAAAGACCAGCAGCUAAUCUACUAAGGCAAGUAAAUGCCUGCCUCUGCUCGGUCAAACGAAAGACCAGCAGCUAAUCUACUAAGGCAAGAAAGUGCCUGCCUCUGCUCGGUCAGCGAAAGACCAGCAGCUAAUCUACGAAGGCAAGUGAGUGCCUGCUUCUGCUCGGUCAACAAAAGACCAGCAACUAAUCCUACGAAAAUCCUACUAAGGCAUGAAAGUGUCUACUUCUGCUCGGUCAACGAAGGACCAGCAGCUAAAUUUAUGAGACUUUUACUAAGGCAAAUAUGUGUCUGCUCCUGCUCAGUCACCGAAGACCAGCAGGCGAUUUUGCGAAAAUUUUUACCAAGGCAAACGGAUGCCUAUUCCUGUUCGAUGCACUAAAGAACCAACAGGCGAAACCAGACAAAAAAGCCAAUAGAGAGCAUUUAAAAAAUUUUAUAAACGUUCAAAUGUUUACAAAGCAAAUGAAAAACUAGAGUCUUUACAAAAAUAGACCUAAGGAUUAGGAGGAUCAACGGCCUCAGCAGGUGAAGGGUCAGCUAUCUCGGGAGGUGGAAGGUCAGCAAUAUCGGGAGGAGGAGGCACGGACCCCUGCCCCACUUCAAAAACACGCUGCCCAGCUUCUCCCUCCUGCACCCCAUUCAAAGGAACCUCCACCUGCUCCUGCUCAUCCUGCUCCUUAUCUCCUUGGCCGGCCCCAGCCAUAUACCUCUCCACCCCAGAUUCCAGCUUGCUCAUGUCGAGCUCGGGGUAUUCUUCCUUGAGUACAGACAUGAUGCACUUAUAGCUGAAAGCAACCCCGGAGUUAUACUCAGCAUCCAACCGAUCAUCCACAUCAGCGGAUUUGCCUUUCUCUUCAGCCAGCUGGUCACUCAGGGAUUUGAUCUCUCCCUCAAGGGCGGUCCUCAGAGUAUCUCUUUCACUUUGAGUAGCCUGAAGAUCGGACUUCAGAUCACCCAGCUCACCCUCAAGCUUGGAGGAAGUAGACUCAGCAACCGCAACUUUCUCCUCAAGCUCCGUAAGCUGCUUGUUCAGCUCGGCCAGCUUCUCUUUGGACCGAUCAGCAGAUUCGGCUUUCUUUUUCAACUCCUGGUUAUCAGCUUGAAGCUUCCUCUCAUGACGCGCGGACCCGGUCUUGUAGCACGAGACCAUUGUGGCCAGCCUGAAAGAGACUCUUUGAACAGAAGCAGCUAACUCGGAGAGGUCCAUGCUCUCGAUGUCCUUCACCAUCUUGGGCCCAACCGAUUUUUUGUAAUCUUUCUGGUAUAGGCUCAGGUAGUCACCUUGAUCCCGAGAUGGAAGAGGAGCAGAUCGGUCCCCAGACUGCAAGCUGACCUCAGGACUCUUGUCGGAGGUUUUCUCCCCACCACUCUUACAGGGUGGGGGAGGGGGCAGAGCAGGGACAGGAGCCUUGGAGGGGCCGACACUAUUCUUCUUUGGAGGAGGAGGAAGGUUGCUGGAGCUGCUUGGAGCCCGACCACGCUUCCUGCUCAUUGCGCUGAGGAUCUUGUUAUCCAUUCCAGCGGCUAUGUCCACUAGGCCCGAACCGACCAGGUUUGUUGGUGACAGGAGGUCUUGGCAGGUAGACGCGUUCACCAGAGCAGUUUCCACCUGAAGCAAAGGCCGAUCUUCAAGCCCCUUUAUCAAACCCCACGACUCUGAAAGAACAAACAAGGUUAAAGAACCCAAUAAGUAACAAGUCGAGAAAGAGUAUAGGCAAAAAAUAAACGACCUGGGGUGACAAAAUGUGUUGGAAGGUAAAUAUCACCACCCAACGAAUGAGCUGCUGGACACUAAGCUCCUCCAGCAAAGAAGAAUUUGUUCUUCCAAUUUUUGCACGAGGAGGGGAAGCCGGUGAUUGGUUUCCUCUUCGCAGAGCUUGACAUGAAGUAAUACCAGCUUGCUUCCUUCGGGCUACUCCUCAGCUGGUAUAGAUGCUUCACUUCAACGAGGGAGGGCUCCUCUGAUCCACACCUCUUCCACAACACAUAUAUAGCCGAGAGAACCCUCCACCCAUUGGGAUAUAGCUGACCUAGGGCCAGAUGCAUACCACCCAAUAUCUUAGCGAAAUAACGUUAAAGGGGCAGCCGAGCUCCUAAUUUGAAGCUCUCCAGGUGCAUCGUCACAUACCCCCGCGGAGGCCGACUAGGGACGUCACCUUUUCCUGGAACUACCAGGAGAAUCUCCGCAGGAAUGUCGUAAAGGUUCCUCAGCUUGAACAGAUCAGUUUGGGUGGUGACACAAGCUGUGUAGUCAAUAGGGUAAAAAUCCGCCUCUACCCUAUGACCAAGGUGCCUUCUCUGAGGAGGUCCGCUCGGUCCAGAGCUGCUCCCCUCACCAUCACCAACUCCUUCAAGGAUCCCAACCCCAUCAAAGCUGUGCUUCUCACCAGAGCCCGACGCAGGUCCACCUCUAUUCCCUACAAGCUCUAGUUCGGGGGAGGGAGAGACAACCAAAGGGCGUGGGUACUCAAGGGUAUCCCUGCCAUGGGAAGGACCUACACUACUGGAGGGACCUAAGAAAUCGGUGGGUAUUGGCACGUUGAGGCCCGAAUCCCCUGAUUCUUCCUCGCCCUCAUCAACAAUUAACUUUCUUUUCCGGUUUGACAUAUCGGAAUCCCAAAAGAAAGCAAAGAAAACUCGAAUGUACGGAUACAAAAGGGGGCAACACGGAACCCAAUCAACAACAACAAGAGAAGAGAUUAAAAGCAGUACCUGAGAUUAACUGGCCCUGAUAGCGCUGCCGUGACAGAGAAAAAACCAGCAAGUAGAAACUCCGGACGCAGGAAGUGUGAGUAAAGUUCAGAGAGGGGGCUGGUUAACGGUGGAGAAACGGAUAAACAAAGCAAUGAGGAUUUCAACCUAGGGAUUUGAAGUGAAAAGGGGAAAGAUAGAAGCAUUUAAGUGAUGAGGAUGCCAGCUCACUCACCACAUAUCGAGGGUGGAUAGCCCGUCGUUUCAAAUUUCAAAUACGAAGAGUCUGGUGAUGCCACGUCACUAACCGUUACAAGAGGCCAGGAUAGAUGUAAGCCCAGAUAUGCAAUGGACAUGUUCACUUAGGCCCAUGCUCAGGUCGGAGUCUCCCCAGAAGAAAAAUGGUACAUCAGGUCAGGCCCAUCCCAAUAAACAGAGGACCAGAUGAGAAGCUCCCCGGGUUGGUGAGAUUUGACCAUCAGUUUCUACUCUUAACUCAUUUCACUCGCCAGACCAGAAACUGGGGGACUGGUGUUGAGUACAUAAAAGCCCCAGGUCGGCCAUGCUACUAUUUCCACCCCGGCAUGGAUCACCUCAGCCAAAUGGUAUAAGCAGAACGCGGGAUAAACACGAGCCAACCAGAGACGAGUACCGGCCAGGGUAAUGUACCGACCAGAAUCAUAUACCGAGCCGACACCAAUUCCCCAAAAAAGCGGGAACAUGAUCCCACAGAAUCACUGUAGUUGCGCUUUUCCCAGAACCGUUGUGGGAGAUGCGAGAUCCCACGUUUGCCCACAAUGUAGCAGUUAAAAUCCCAUGAGAGGCUACCACUACCCGAGAAAGGGGGGGAUGAAGGGUGAGUGAAAACGUGGGACAGCGGCUAUAAAAGAAGAAGAAACCGAUUAAGAAGGGGAGAGAAAAAUUGAGAGAGGGAAAACGCUGCCAAAUUGCAAUCAGGCCAUUUUCUGACAAGACUCCGAAUAAUUUAGAAACCAUUUUUAGAUCUAAAUUGCACUGUUUUCCCGUAAACACCUUGAGCUAACUUAGGCAUCGGAGGGUUUUCGCCGGAAAAACCACCGUCGACUCUGAUCCGUUUUUGGUGAACGCAGGUUUAGUAAGAGAAAGGAGGGUGAUUCCAACCUCAGAGGUUCGAGCAACAGUCGAUAACGUAAACGUUGGUGAAAGAAUCUGGUCGGUCAAAAGGCGAGCAGAUUUAAGCAUCAACAUAAUAAUUUUGAUAAAAUUAGAAAAGAUAUAAUAAUUUUUUUAUUAUAUAAGUGUAAAAUCAAAUCAUCUUAACUUCUAAACUACAACAACUAUAACAUUUGAACUAUUCAAUCUCAAUUCCUAAUAGACUCUUAAUUUAUAAUUAGAUUGUCACUAAAAGAUUUUAAGUAUGUAUUUUAGAAUUUAACGAAUACACUUUUAAACUACCUUUGCCGGAUGAAAUGUUGGGAAAUUUUUAUUAAGAUCCAAAAGUAUUUGAAAUAAAUUUAUGUUUUUAUGAUGCCAAAAAAAAUAAAAAAUUAUGAACAUUUUUGUGAAGCUUAGGCGAAAAUUUUUGUUAGGCUCUAUUGGGCUAGAUGAGCAGCUCGGGCAGUUAAUUGUCGCCCAAGAAGCCCAACCCAGAUUACAACAAGCUGGGAUUUAGUUAGCUCGUUGACGGCCAUUUGGGUAUGCAUGAAUUGGGUGGAUGAUUAAUAAAUACGUUUUAUUAAUUAUUUCGCCGAUUGGGAUAUUCUCCUAAUUUAAUCUUUUCUAAUAUUAUAAUAAAGAGAUUUUGACAUGUGUAAUACAUGUGUUAUUUUAAUAAUCCAAUAGAUAAUAUCUACUUUAUUUUUAUCUUUCGUUAUUAAAUACAAAAACACUAAUAAAAAAAAAAUGACUUAACUCUUUUUAUAUUUUUAAUUUUUAUUUAUUUCCUUUUAUUGCUUUCCUAGCAAUGUUCAUCUUUUUACUAUACAACAUCCAUAACCUUAACUUUGGAAAUAAAAGAGAAUAUGUGAAAGUAUAAGUAGGAGAAAGACUUCAUUGAAAUCAAACAAAUUGGGCAACGUUAGAUUUUUCUUUAAAAUUCUCAUGAGAUAUUAAUUAGUAGUAUUAUCACUGCUGCCUGCCUAUUUCUAACCUCAACCAAUAUAUGAUCAAUGCUUGAUUUGGUCAAUCUAAAUAAUUAUGAUCGAUGAUUGGAUAUUGUUGAAGGGCGGCCCUAAGGAUGAGAGAGGGGAAUGCGUGUGCAAGCCACAUGUGUGAAGAAAAAGAAAAAGGCAAGAGUGAAGAUGACGACGAUUAAAAUCUUGUUUGAUUUCUUUUUCUGAUAAUUUUGUUAAUCUGCUGUUGUUAGUUCCAAAAUUUUAGUUAGCAACAAAAUGACAUGUUUUUGUGUUUAAUAAGGAAAAAGUAAAUAAUAUAUUUUCUAUAGGAUUCUUAGAAUGGAUUAGAUUAGACUACGGAGAGAAAUAUAUUUGAGAAUAUUAGUGUUGAGUUAUUCUAAUGUCUUUAAUAGUAAAUUCAAUUAAGACUAUUUUAGUAAUAUAUUUUUUUUAUUGAAAUUAGAGUGUUCAAAGUUAUAAAUAAAAAAUUCAAUAAUUUUUUAUUGAAUUUAUAUAACUCUGGAUUCUUUUUUUUUUUUUCCAACACUGAUAUGGUUCUGUUCUGUGUAUUUAUAUACAAUUUAAUGUUUACAUACAAAUUAAAUAAGAUCAAUUUAAUGUUUAUAUACAAUCCUUCAAGUCGUAACUCAAUUUUAUGGAGGUUUAUACAUCUGCACGCAUUCCUUGAAUUUCUCCUAGAUUGGAACUUCUUAAUUGAUCCAAUGCAUUUUUCCAACAGUCAAGAUCCUUAGUUGUCAGAGCAUUUGCAAUCGUACUCAGUGCACCAGGCAAACCUCCGCAUCUUUCAACGAUCGAGGAGUAUUUUUGUUGAAUCACCGACUAUAUUCUCAAAUAACUGCAAUGCUUCUUUUUUUGAUAACGCAUCGAUCGAGGAAUUUUUCUGAGAUUUCAUAUCAUUGCACAAUAAUAAAUCUCGACUUCUAGACGUCAAUAUUAUUUUGCAUUGUCUCUGAUCGUCAACAUCCCCGGAAGUUAAUGAACGGAAUUCUUUUAUCCUUUCUAUCUUUCUCAUCAACAUCCCCGGAAGUAACCACAUCGAACAACUUAUCUUCCCUCACUUGCUUUGCAACAUCUUGGAAUACUUUCAUUCUGGAAUCAAAGGCUACGUAAUCUUUCACUUGCACGUACUCUGUACUCUCUGGAGCAGGACGGUAGGAAACAUGAUUACAGAUGUUAAAUUCGCCUUUUUUCACAAGUUUAUCAGCUUCGUUUGCGGCCUCUGCUGCUUGUUUACCAAGCUUGUAACGAGAAAUCAAAUUUGGGCACAACCCUUUGAAGCAGAACAUCUUAGCUCUAUCUUUAUCAUCAAUCAUGGAUUUUGCAACCCCUUCACUGAAUUCAGCAACUCUAUUUAGCCAGUCUCAGACACCCUUAUAAAUCUCAUCUCCUUGUAGAGUAGCCUCUCUAACCAGCGUUUUCACCCUUUCUCUUAUAUAUUCCAGCUCCUUCACUCAAUCUUUUAGCCCAUCUAUGUAGCUUUGGUAUUCGAACACAUAAGAUAUGUGCCGCAUAAUCGGUUCGAAUAAUGCUUUUGAACCUUGUGAUACAAUGCUGGAAAAAGCAGGGAGACACCCUUCAACAGCCAUUGCCUGUUGCUUAACAAUAUAUAUAUAUAAAUACAAGUGUCAAAGAAAGGAAUGCAAAUAAAUUAAAAUGAACUAGAGGGAAAGAUAGAGAAUGAAAAGAUCACAAACAAUAUGGCUAUAUUGAUCUUGAACCAACUAAUAACUAAAUAGAGAAUUUCUUUUUCUUUCUUAAGGAUAAGAGGUUUUACUAUUAACAAAAAGUUAUUUUGAGGGUCUGAAUAAAAAACCAACCAUAAAUUAUCAAAAGCUAGUAAAAACACAGACAUAAAUAAUGAACAAUUACUUAAGCAAAACAAACUAUGAAACAAAGAAAAUCUAAUAAAAUGACAAAGAAAGAAAGAAAGAAAAUACAACAAAAAGUAUUGAAGUAUUGAUCAUGAGCCAACUGAUAUUUAAACAGAUUUUUUUUUUAAUUUUUAGUCUUUUGCUAAAGGAUUAGAGUUUUUGCUAUUAACAGAAAUGUUUCAAAAAUCUAACACUACUAGAAAAGUAUUAAAUAAUGACAGAAAUUUGAUGACAUAUAUCGUUGUGUCACGAAUGUGUCAUAAAAAUAUGAUAGAUUCAUAAUAUAUAUUCAUAUGUCCAGAAUAUAUGACAUAUUCAUGACUUAUAAUUUAACCGUCCUAGAUAAAUGAUACAUAUAAGUCAUGCUUAGGUUUUGUGAACUUAUAAGAUUGUAAAACAGUGUUGUUUAAAUUAACGACACCGUUCUGUAUAACUUAAAACACAUCAACACUUACAGCCAAAUUUUGGCUAAGCGUUGAAUGAAUCCCUCUCUCUCCACUGGCCACUGCAACCUAAAAUGAAUGUUUAAAUUAACGACACCGUUGAAUUAAAGCCUAGCUCAAAUUCCUUUUUUCAAUCGAAAUAAAACGUAGCCACAAAACCCUAAUUCACCACACCAAAUUAUCUCUGCUCGGUAUUCAUUUAAACCCUACCUCGCGGUUCAAUGUCAUUCAAUACGAUUGCAGAUGCCGUUUCAACUUGUCAUUUAGUUAGCGCCAUCCAGUUCCCUAUGGUAAGCCUUAACCCUAACGCUAGUAAGAUUUGCUAAAAAUUUCAUAUUUUGUAUUGUUCCAGUUGAAUUUCAUGUUAAUUUAAUUCUUCUUUGCCUUCUUUUUUCUUCUUCUUUAUAGUCACGCUCUGGCUUUGGUGCUAUGCUUAGUGCAGUUUGUGGUUUCAAGAUUAAGUCAUGUUUAUUUGAUGGCAUCGAUUCCAUCGUUGAGGAUUGGAUUGUUGAUCAAAUGCACCUAGUAAGCUCUUCUUAUUUUAUCUCAGUUUCAAUUUUCUUUUAUUAUCUGCCUCUACCUAAAAAUGGACGUGUUUUACUAGUAAGCAUAGACUUUGUUUAUUUAAUUGAUAUUUUAAUUUUAUGUAUAAGAAUGGAGGUUUAUUUUGAAAAAAAAAAAAGGAAAUUAAAAAAUAGAUUCUGUUGAAGCUAAUUAGUACUGAAUUUUUUUGGUGGUGCGACCAGAGGUGGAAACAGGGUAUGAAAAUGUGUUACUGGUGAGGUUGCUGCUUAAGAUGAGAAUGCAUUCUUUUCAAAAAUCCUUGGUAGGUGUUAUCUAAUUAUCUUUGAUGGAAUAUCAAAUGGCUAAAAAUCUGUCAUACGUUCAAACUUUGUUUGUGUUUAGAAGAAUGGUGUUGACUGUAUAUUCGUUUGGAAGAAUGGUGUUGAUUGUAUAUUCAUUUGCUUAGCCUUUUGACAGAUGGAUUGUAUAAUUGUGUUUGCCUCACUGUUUUUUUUUUAUGAGAUCUAUAAUUGAUCUGGGGAUAUUACUUUCUAGUUCUCAUGCAAGCAAGUUACUACCUUCCCACUGCAUCUCGUCCUUUAUCUGCUAUUCAAGAGAUGCGUGCCAUAAUCUGGUGUUACCUCUGCAAGAUUGUGAAUGAAUAUAAUGCCUCUAAAUUUAUUUUAUACAUAAUGCUGAUGCUGAAUAAUAUAUUGUAGCUCCUGUCAUAUUCUACUUUGACUUUUUAUAUUCUGUUUCAUAUAAAAAUCUUAUUCAACUUUAGUUGUUCAUGAGCAAAUGUCGCAUGUAUAAGCCCAAAUGAUGUUUAAAGGUAGCGCGGCUACCUUUAGUUUGAGCUUACAAUGGAUGAAAAAGAAAUUGAAACUGUUUUUCUGAUUUUUCAAAGUAUUUUAGAUCCUGACUUUUGUUUGGACUUGAUGGUUAUAGAUUGUGUCUAGAUUUGUUAAGUUGUUUCCAACACCUCGUGCCAAAUGAAAGCACAAUCUUUCUGAUUCAGAUGUUUGGUUAAUUAUGCUUCAUUUUUUUGUUAAAGAUUGGAUGGUUGCAUGGAUUGAUGGAGUUGGAGUUCAACCAAUAAUUCUAAUUUUUUGGACUUAAAAUGCCUUUUUCUUCUGUAUAAAAACUUUAGUAAGUGCUAUUGAGUUGACAGAAGUUGAAUACUUACAGGUUGUUUCACACUUUUUAAUAGUUUUACAUAUAUGAAUUUCUGUUUUUUGAAUUGCAGAAAGGAGGUGGAACUAUUGAUUUGGAGCCUUAUCUUACUCACUCAUCGACAACGGAGCCUACCCUCGCUCCCAUGGCAGUGGAACGGACAACGACUACUAGGGCUGCAACAUCAGUUGGUUUGGGUCUGUUUUGAGUUUAUUUUCAUUUAUUUGGCUAUGUUUUGAUAGCGAAUUUUGAUAUGUCAAUAUAAUGUGUAAUUGUUUUGGGUUGAGCUGGUAUUUAUGCUGGAUUAGAUUGGUUUGGUUUUGGUGCUUCUCUGAUGGAACACUGCUUCUUUUAGAAAUUUUGAAUGUAAUAUGAGACUACAUUUAGUUUAAUUGAACACUGCAUCUAGUCUAAUUACUAGAAGUGUGGCAUUUGGUUUGGUUUAUCCGAUAUUCUCCAGAAUUUCACUUGCAUCUGGUUUUGUUGCAUAUGUUUGCUUGCAUUUGAUGGCAGUAGCAGACUGUUUGGUUUUGUGACAUUUGACGGCAGUUUGGUCUGUUCUUGGUGUUGAUUUAAGAUUGUUCCUGUUGUGCUGAUGUUAAUUGCAGGUGCUGGAAUCAGCUAGGGUUGCUGGUUUAUUCAGAUAGUUGACUCAGGCGUUGUUACUGGUUAAUUCAGGUGGCUGACUCAAGUUGUUCAUUUAAUGUUAGGAAGCAAAUUAAGAAUUAAUGAAGUAUUCAUUUAACUAUAAUUAUUGUAGUUAUUUUAUUUCAUAACUGAAUUAUAAUCUAUGGUACUUGUGAACAAAUUAGAGAAUUUUUAUAUAUGAAUUAUAUAUAUGUGUGUGUAUGUACAUUUUGCUAUUUAUGUAAUAAUUUAAAGAAUAUAUUUCAAUUCCCACAAAAAAAAUGGCUCCAAUUUCAAUAAUUCCCGCCAAAUAAUUAAUUUUUUUUUAAUUUACCACUAAAAUAUAUCUUAAAGAAAUUUUAGUUAUUCUUGCUAGAUUUAACAAAAAUAAUUUGUAGGAUUAACAUUUAAUUAAAAUAAUUAAAAAAUUUUAUUAUUCCAAUUAAAAAUGUCAUGUUUAUACGAUAGACAAUAUUCAUGAAUGGGAAGUAUUAGUUACAUAUUUUUCCUUGGGAUUUCAGGCAAAUGAAAAAAAGAUUGAGAAUGAUUUCAAGAGGACAGGUGGAUGAUAAGUAUUCAUUUUUGUAUAUUUGGCUAGUGGAUUUUUAUGGUAUUGAUCUUUUUUUAAAAAAAAAAAAAAAUUUCAAUUAGUUGCAGCCCUAGAGGAAGAGCAGGCUGAUCAAAUUGAUUUGUCUUGUUUUUCGGGCAAUCUACGACACGAUGACUGUGAUAAUGCUCGUGACUGCUGGAAACUUUCUGAUGGAAAUAACUUUAGAGUUCGUAGCAAGCAUUUUUGUUAUGACAAAACAAAGGUUCCCCCAUAUUUUGUUUGUUUGUUAUGGUAUUUAUAUAUCCUGCAUAGGCUAGGUAGACAGGUUAUGAUGUAGUUUGGUUGGCUCUUCUUGUGCUUGUGCAAUUUGUAACUGCAGAUACCUGCGGGAAAACAUUUAAUGGAUCUUGUUGCUGUUGAUUGGUUCAAAGACACAAAGAGAAUGGACCAUGUAGCUAGGCGUCAAGGCUGUGCUGCACAAGUAACUAUUCUUUUCUUUUUAUUUUUCCUUUUCCAUUGAUGCAUUAGGAGAAAAUACUGCCUGUGAGAUACUACAAUGUAAAUAACUUCUCAUGGUUCAUUGAAUCUAUAACACACUGACCCUCUUCUAAAAAAUGUAGGUUGCUUCUGAAAAAGGGCUUUUCUCACUGAUCUUUAAUCUUCAAGUAAGUUUGUUUCAUUUCAGAAGGUAUUAAGUUUCAAACUUAUUGUAUUGGGAGGUUGUAUAGUUGUAACCUAAGCAUCUGCAGGUUCCUGGAUCAACACAUUAUAGUAUGGUAUUUUAAUUAGUCGCAAGGCAAUUGGUUGUGGGAUCACUUUUGCAACGGUUUGUUGAUGGCGAUGAUGAGUUUCGCAAUAGUAGGUUGAAAUUUAUUCCAUCUGUUCCUAAGGUAUCCAUCUUGGCCUUCAUGUAUUAGGACUAUAUUAACGUAUACUAACCCUUUACUGCAUGGUACACUUCAAUUUGUCCAAAGAAGGCAUGCAUUUAGGUGUAAAUGUAUUGAUGGGUUGUACCUUCAAACUUCGUGUCCAUUUUUACCCUCUUGAAUUUGUUUUGCACUUGUUCUUGAUUUUAAGCACUGAAUCAUGCAGGGGUCAUGGAUGGUGCGCCAAGAGUGUUGGAAGCACCCCUUGUUCAUUAGUGAAAGUGGUUGAUUGUAACUACAGAUGAAUUGUUCCCCUUUCAAAUAGCGUCCGAUACCAUUAACAUGGUUUAACAUUGUUCAUCUUUCUGUAGAUUAAUGUUGACAUCGGUUCUUCUACUGUUGCUAAUGGAGUUUUGGGCCUUGUAAUUGGUGUAAUUGCGACAUUGGUGGUUGACAUGGCUUUCCUUGUACAGGUAUGUAUGAUUGUUUUUUUCCCCCACUUCUAAAUGGACACAAGGGAAAAGACAUGAUUUUGAGAUAUUGCACUGCAAUUUGCAUUUUUGCAUACUUGAAUGUUCUCAGAAUGGUAUAAUGCUUCGUGUGUGUCUUCUUUAUCUUGCUCUUCUGUAUGCAGGCAAAUACUACAGAUGAAUUACCGGAGCGGCUGAUUGGUGCUGUACGUGUUUCUCAUAUAGAACUCAAGUCUGCUGUUGUCCCAAAGUUGGAACCAGAGAUAUCAUGACUCUGGUUUCAUUUCACCUCAACUGUGUUUUUUUUUUAAUUAAAAAAAUCAUUUGUUUUAGGUAUACAUACAUGUAUUUUGAUUCUAUUUUCAUUGUAAUUUCUCAUUUACUUUGAAUGAAAGUCAUUGGUGUUUUCGAAUGGGAAUUUUGCAUUAAAAAAUGAAGAAUAGUGAUUUUUGGAGUGUAAUUAGUAGUAAAGUUGGUUUCUACUCGCAAACAAGUGAACUGCUCGAUUCCCGAGUGGUAUCAACCAGUUUCCAACUUUUUAAUAUACACUAAUUGUUAUUGUUUAAUAGCUACUACUAUUAAAACUCGACAGCUAACAAAAAUACUUAAAAAAAACGAUUUUUCUUAUGAUGCUGUGAAAAAAAUUACGGGUUUACUUCUUUCCACGAGAUCUAUAACAUGGUCUUGACUUCACGAAAUUCUUUUAAUUUAAAGCGUGCUGGUGUGAGAAGGUCAGUUUGACUGAUUAAUUCUUUUUAACAGUGGUCGAGAUAAUUUUACUAUACUCAAAAAUAUUCUUAUUCUGAUAAUGCCACAAAUGUUAUGUUGUUUUCUUAGGCUAAGGAUCUUCUAUCAGGAGAGGUUAGAAAUUAAAUGCUUAAAAGAGAAUAAUACAGAAAUUUAGACAGAAUCUAAUCGAAUAUUGCAUGAAACAUGAAACAUCAAUUCAAGUCCUUUCUUUAAACAGAGAAUGCAUCAAACAAAAUCCAAAGUGUCUUGCACGUCUGUAGCAUGAGCAAAAAAUUGUAAAUAUGUAGAACCAAAUUAUUCAAGUAUAGAAGAACGAGCAAGCUAAAUCAUGUAUAAGAGAUUGGCCUGGUUCGAGAUAGCUUCUUCACUGUACCUGAAGGGUUGGCUCAAUAUCUUCUUUAGAAUUCUGCACAUUUUGUAAUUACUCGUGUAAGCAAGCAUACAUUGCCACCAUAAGAAUAAUAAAGCUAGAGUAAUGAUAGGACCACCACCUCUUGUGCACAAACAAUAUUGUAUAAACUAAUGCGAGAUAAUAUGAUUGGUUAAAUAAAAACAUUAUAUGGUCCUCAUAAUUUAUUUAUUUAUUUAUUAUUAUUAUUAUUAUUAUUAUUAUUAUUAUUAUUAUUAUUAUUAUUAUUAUUAUUAUAUAUUUUCAGUCAACCAAUCAUAUUAUAUCACAUUAGUUUCUAUAAAAUAAUUUACUAAAUAGCACCAAAACUUAAUUGAUACUCACCAUUUCAUUGAACAAUUUUUUUAUGGUGUCAUUGAGGUUGCCUUCCCAACAUGCUUCAUCAUCAUCAUCUUCUUCAUCCUGAUCAUCCUUUUCUUCUUCGGUGACGUUCACUUUGUUUAGCAUUGGUGUGUCUAAGACUCCUUGAGAGAAGAUCUUCAUUUUUGGACACUGUCUCACAACUACUUGUUUCAAGGACGGGAAUUCAAGAGCGUAAUUACCCAAACUAAAGCUUGUUAGGCUUGGCAAACAAUCAAGUGUCAAGUACUCCAAUUCCCUGAAAACAAUGCAGUCUUUCGCUUCUUCUCCAACCUGCGAUUGUAUGAUUUCUUCUAUCAUUUUGCAAUCAGCUAUCUUCAUUCUUUGAAGAUUCACUAGACUUUCAGAUGUCGAGAAUGUCAACACAUUUAUCAACCCGUGACAUUUUGAUACUUUCAAAGCCUCAAGAUUUUCCAAAUGCCACGAAGGUGGUACUAAUUUUUGCAACUUACUACAUUCCGAUAUUUUUAGACUUUCCAAAUUUGCAAAUACUUUGUUGGAUUCGGCAUUUUCCUUCCAGAGAUGCUGCACUUUGUGUAAUCUAGACAGCCUUAACUUCCUCAAUUUAGGGAAUGCAACCUGAAAAUCAACAAAAUUAAGUUGUAAAUGAAAAUAUGUAUCCAAUCUCUGGAGUCUUCCCCUGCAUAUUUUAUGGACAAGAUUAAUCACGGCAUUUUAUAUUUUAUCUCCAAAUUAGUAUGCUUUGUAGUAGGAUCCCAAAUAUAAGUAUCAAAUCGAUUACCCUUUGAAACACAUAAAUGAAAUCUGAUGCUAAAUCCAAUAUGAAUUAGCUAGGAAAACAGAGAUGUUACACACAUAAUUAAUAUAGUUCAUCACCUCGUGUUACUAGGCAUCCAAUUAAUUUCAGACAUUUUUAUAAUUCAUACUAUAAAGAUAGUUAAUAACUGCGGUUAUAUUGUUAAAUCAGAUAUAAAUUAAGAUGACAUGCAAAAAGAUGAGUCAUUAAAUUUGACUUGAUUCUAAUGAAAUUACAUCUAUGCGAACGAAAGUGAAGGGAAAAAUAAUAAUAAUAAUAAUAAUAAUAAUAAUCACCUUUUCAUCAAAGAGGGGUUGUACUUGAUGAGCCAGCAAGAAGUUCUCUUCUGAUGUUAAUUUUUCAGGUUUCUUGUUAUCUGUUGUCACGUGCACUACAGAGUUGGAUAUGAAUGUUUCCAUAUCAGGGCAAUUCUCAAUAGUUAGAUUCUCCAACUUAGGCGGUUCAAUUAUAUUCCCAGUGAAGUUGCAGAAUCUUUUGAGUUUUGGAAGAUCAAUGAGCCUUAGCUCGGAAAGCUUAGGAAACGGGGGGCCUAUAUGUUCUUUGUCAGCAUUUAGCUCUUCGAAAUGAAACACCUCUUCUAUUGAAUCACAAUUCCUCACUUCCAGCCAUUCCAAAUUGUUCAAGCACCGUAGCAGAUUGGCAGGAAUAGCACUCGACAUAUUCGUGCAGUCAUCCACCACCAGCUGUGCUAAAUUGUUGAAGAAGCUGACAGGCAGUGCUUGGCCAUGCCAUAUUUCUUGCAAGCGUGGAAAAUGCGAGAGUUGCAAACGGUUUAUAUCAAGGAAUCCAAUCUGCACAAACCAAAACAAUUUUGUUUUUGAAAGGCAUUAUAUAUACACACAUUAAACUUACAUGUUUUGUGUUUUAACUUCUAAAAAUAUAUAUACAAGGGAGGUGUAUAUGCUUAAAUGUGCAAGUGCAGGGGAGAUGCAUGAACAAUUUGGUUGAAUCGAUUAACACAUACCAUUUCGUCAUAGCACUUUUGUAUAGUGGAACUAAGGUUAUUGCCUUCCCAAUGGUGCAGUUCACCCUCUUCCUUUUCAGUCACUUGUACUUUGCAUGGCUUUGGAAUGGAUAAGAUUCCGUGAGAAAAAUUCUUCAUGUUCGGACAAUGUGUCAUAGAAACUCGUUCCAGUGAUGGGAAUUCAAGAGUGUAAUUCUCCAAACAAAAGCUGGUAAGCCUUGGUAAAUCAUCAAGUAUCAAAACUUUUAAUUUGCUGAAAGCAAUACGAUUCUCCUUCACUUCUUGUCCAACAUGUCCUACGAUUUCUUCUAAUUUUGGGCAACCCGAUACUUUAAGAUUCACCAGGCUACUAGGAAUUCCAACCUAAAAAUAAGCAAAAGUGUGUGUACGUUAAAAAAGUAAAAAUGUAAGAAUAUCAUUCAACUAGGUUCAAAGUAUGUUUAAUCAUACAAUUAUACAUUUUAUGAACAUAACAAAUUAUGAAAUGUCUACUAGAUAUUUUUUGUUAAACAAAAAUAGAACAAGAUAAAUAAAUAAAUAAAAGCCAGAUAAAAAAAGAUAAUAAAAAUGCAUUUACACUAUUUAGUAUUAGAAACGUAGAAAGAAUUUAAGGCAAUUUCUAAAUAUUUUAGACUUCUUUUGCAUCUUGAUAUCAGUUUUUAAGCAUAAAUUUGCAAAUUUCAACUAUUCCUUUUUUUUUAAAAAAAAAAACUCAACCAUUUUUCCCUUUUCCUUGGUUCCUUUUUUUAAUGUAUAUUUAAAAAUGGAAAAAAAAUUGGAAAAGAUUUCCCAAUACUGUCAACAAGGGACUACUGUAAAGUGGAUCUUUAUUAAGUACUUCCAAACUCGAGGAAAUUUCUUUACAAUCAAGGGUCAGUUGUAAAUAAUCAUGAAUUUGUGGUUAAUUAAUGGCAUAAUCAAUUCGUAACUAAACUAGAGAUAUUAAUUAAAUUUGAAGACUUUUAUUUUUUUUUCCAAUCGAAACGUGAAGAAUUAAGGAAAAGAGAAAUAUAUAGAUGAAUUUGUGAACCUAUAAGAUGAGAGACGAUCCUUUAAUUUUUGAAAAUCGUACUUUUAAGAUAUGAGCAAAAACAAUUAAAUUGAAAACCGGACUUAAAACGUAGAUUUCAGAGUAGUGGUUAAUUUGAAGUACAAUACAAAAAUGGUUAAAAAAUGGUUGAAUUUUAUCUGGGAAAAAAGAUUCGAAAUGAAUACAGCAACCUUACCAAUGGAGGAAAAAUAUUUCUUAGGUUAUCACACCACCAUAUGUCCAAAUUCUUCAAUUUGCUGAAAGACUCCGAAGCAAGCUGGUGGUGCCAUAUUCUUCUCAAAUUAUCCAUCAUCUCCAUAAGUAAUACCUCCACCCUAGGAAGUCGUACCUGGCAGUUAAAGAUUAAAUAACUAAUUAAUCAAUUAAUGGCAUAAUCAAUUGAUAACUAAAUUAGAGGUGGAUAUUAACUAAAUUUGAAGACUCAAGGAAAAGAAAAAUUAAGUAUUGUGACUAAAAUUAAUUUUUUUAUUAAAAAAAAAAACCUUUUCGUCAAAAAGAGGAGGAGGUUGCAUUUCAGAAUGAAUGGUGUCUUCUGGUGAGCUCGUAGAGAUGAAUCUUAACAUAUUACUGCAACCACUAAUCCGGAGUUCUAGCAAAGAAGGGAAUUCAACAACUAAAUCUGAAUGAAUAUGUCCCGUAUUGGCGAAGCUUGUUAGUUCUGGAAGACAAUGGAGCUCGAGGGAGUGUAGUUUAGGGAAAUGAAUAUGUCCUUCAUCUCUUUCUGACCACCCCGUGGUGUCGACUACCCCUUCCAUUGACUUACAAGCUCUUAUCUCAAGAUGUUGGAGUAGCAAAAGACUAUUAACCAUAGAAUACGAAAACAGAUACUUCAUACGAUCACAACUGCUCACGAUCACCUUUGUUAAAUUUUGACAACAGUACAUUCCUUGAUUAUGAUCGGCCCAUAAUUUUUUCAUGUUUCUUAAUAGCGUGAGAUUCAAUUCCUCUAAGCUCGGAAGAAUAACCUGCAAAGAAAACCCGUACAUUUUUGUUCCUUCAAGUACAACCGUCUAGUAUAAUAUUCUUUUGAUGAUCGAAGAUUAAUCGUGAUAAUAAAUUAAUCAAUUAAUUAUUGUACAGAAAAUUAUCACCUUUGGAGCGGUAUCAUCAUCAGCAAUGAUUUCGUUGAAUCCCAAAGAAGUUGUUGGUUUCUCCCUGUCGGGUCCUAUAAACAAACAAAAACAAUAUACAUAAUUAAUCUUUGUCGUAUUUUUUUUUCAAAAUAAUUGAGGUGAAGUCCAUAAUCCCACCAGUACUUAAUUUCAACACUUACCAACAAUCAUUUCCAGAUCACCGCCAAAUAACACUUCUACCUUUUGAAGCCGCAGUAGGUUUUUGGCCAUGGAGAAUGAGAAAAGAUGCUUCAAUUUGUCACAGCCGCGUACUAUUAUAAUCCUUAAGUUGCUGAAAGAUUGAUCUUCUGUGAGUUGGCUGUCACAUAUUGUCUCCAACUUGCUCAAACACCAAAGAGACAAUGACUCCAGCAAGGGGAAGACUUUGCGACGAACCCGUCCAACUGAACCGACAAUGUGUAAAAUCUCAGAACAACUUUCUACGUGAAGAUGCUUCAAUCGUGGAAAACCUUCCCCAUCAUCUAAUUCAUGAACAACAUUCUGAACACCCUUCAGUUCUUUUAGAUAGAGAUAUUCAGUUCUCUCCAACAACAGUUUCAUCCUGUAAUUCUGCAAAAGAAUGCCAAACUUUUCUAGCCCCUGGAGCUUCAUCAAUCUUGAUAAUCCAGAUUUAACGGACCGGCUGCUCCACCACUCAUUUCCUAUACAUAUCCUAUAGCUUUGCAAUUCCACAGAGACCAAAUCCUGCGGUAGAAUUUCGGCAUCCCGAACGUGUAUCUCCAAAGUAGUUAGCUUUGACAACCCAUUCAAUUCAGCAAGACUGGCGUUACUUCCUCCUUCAACCUUCUCCCAUUGUGAAAAGCUGUUACCAAUGUAUAGUUCUUCUAAUCGAGAUAAUUUUGAUAUGACAUUUGGAGCUAUCACCACAAGGCUGCUACAAUUUCUCAAAUCUAGCAACUGUAAUCUCGUCAAUUGUCCAAUUACAAGUGGCAACUCCUUAACAUCAGAAUCUCGAAAGCUGAGAAUCUCUAAUUUCUUUAGCUGUCCAACUAUUGCUAUAUCGUUCAGUCGGCAACCAUCUAAACAUAAUGUUUGAACGUUAAUGAGGCAACCAAGUGAUGAAGGUAAUGAAGAGAAAAAUAUUCCAGUAAAGUCUAAAACUUUGAGUUCUUCUGCCCCUUCAAAAAAGAGGUGUGAAAUUUGCAAAGAGCUAUCAUGCUUUGCAAACAAAAAAAAUAACUUGAGUUGGGGACAUUCCAACCUCUCAGGGAGCUCUUGAAUAUCUCUAUAAGGUAAGGAAAUAGCGAUUGGACCUUUCCGUAUUGUCUCUUCCAUCUCUCUCUCAAAGUCAGCAACAUUUGGAAUAUUAAACAUAAGCUUCUCUGCGGCAAUUGAUACAGCAACAACAUGAAUGACGUCAUGCAUUUUAGCUUCAUCUUCAGCAUCACCGUCCAACAAUAAGCAUGAAGCUUUUAGACUGUCGAUCAAUGCAUCCACUCUAUUCCUUGCUGCUUCCAAUGUGUAAACAUUUCUAAAUAGACCCAAACCCAUACCAUAUCUCAAUAAGUAAUGUACGUAUAUAGGAUGACCUUCACCAAACAGAGUACAAAGAAGGAACAAAGAUUUUGCUUCAUCACUUUCCAAGAAAUCGUAACUCAAUUUUAUGGAAGAAUACACAUCUGCAUCCAUACCACGAAUUUCUCUUAGAUUGGAACUUCUUAGCUGAUUCAAUGCAUCCUUCCAACUGGCAAGACUCUUAUUUUUCAGAGCACUUGCAACUGUUCUCAGUGCAACAGGCAAUCCCCCGCAUUUUUCAACGAUCUCAUCUGCAGUGGGUUGAAAAUCAUAUGUUUUUUUUGAAUCACCCACUAUCUUCUCAAAUAACUGCAAUGCUUCAUCUUUGGAUAAAGCAUCGAUCCAGAAAUUUUUCUGAGAAUUCAUAUCAUUGCACAAUAAAUCUCGACUUCGAGACGUCAAUAUUAUUGUGCGUCUACUCCGAUCGUCCUCUCUAUCUUUCUCAUCAACAUCCCCAUAAGGAAUUCCAACUUUAUCGAACUCAAGUUUUGUCCAAAUAUUAUCCAGUAUAAUGAGGAGCCGCUUCUCUUGCUUCAACCUUUGACACAGUCGAGAAGCUCUUUGAAAUUCAUUCUCAUUCAAGUCAAAUUCCAUGCCUAAAUCAAAAGCAAGUUUGUCUUGAAUUUUAUGAUGAUCUGGUGUCUGUGUUACCUCAGCCAUAACGACCUUAUCGAACAACUUAUCUUCCAUCACUUGCUUUCUAACUUGCUUAACUAGCGUGGUUUUACCCACGCCGCCCAUCCCAUAGACCCCAAUUAUUUUGAAACUAUCAUCCUUCAACGCAUCCACAACAUCUUGAAAUACUUUCGUUCUUGAAUCGAAGGCCUCGUAAUCUUUCACUGGCAUAUAUUCUGUACUCUUUGGAGCAGGACGGUAGGAAACACUAGAGAAGGUGCCUUUUCCCUCGAGACUAGCGGCAGCUUCUGCGGCCUUUGCUGCUUGUUUACUAAGCUGGUAACGAGAAAUCAAGUUGGGGCACAACCCUUUGAAGCAGGACUUCUUAGCUCUAUCUUCAUCAUCAAUGAUGGAUUUUGCAACCCCUUCACUGAUGAAUUCAUCAACUUUAUUUAGCCAGUCUGUGACACCCUCAUAAAUCUCAUCCCCUUGUAGUCUAGCAUGAUUAACAGGUUGUUGCACCGUUUCUCUUCUAUAUCCCAGCUGCUUCACUUGAUCUUUCAGGCCAUCUAUGUAGCUCUGGUGCUUGAACACAUAAGAUAUCUGCCGUAUAAUCAGUUUGAACAGUGACUUUGAACCUUCUGAUACAAUGCUGGAAAAAGCAGCCAGACCCACUUCUGCCAUUGCCUGCUGCUUAACAAAUCUAAUAAUAUGUCAAAGAAAGGGGAAAGGAAUACAAAUAAAUUAAAAUAAACUAGAGAGAGAAAAAAAGACGGCAAACAGUAUCGCAAAAUUGAUCUUGAAUCAACUGAAACAUGAACAGAGCCUUUUUUCUUCUUUCUUAAGGAUCAGAGUUUUUGCUAUUAACAGAAACGUGCUUCAAGUGUCCCAAAAAAAAAUGAUAAAUGAACAAGCCAUAGAAAUUUUAUCUUGGAAAGUGGAUGGAAAUUAAGAAAGAAAUUGUAUAGAGAUCAAGCAUCAGAGAUUAUGUUAUUAAAAGAAAUUAAUUGAAGGUUGUGGAAAUCCUGUUUAAUUAUGGAAAGUUGAUGAGCUUCUGUAAUCGCCUUGAGUAUUUAAGUGCAAUUUUAAUGAGCAAAAAGUUAAUGUUACCUGCAGAGGAAUGUAAUUAUAGAGAGCUUAUGAGAGUAAUGAUAAUGAUUUGCAAAAGAAGAAGACUCAAUCAUGCAGCCCUUAAUUUCUUUUAUUUUCAGUCGCCGAAGAGGAAAUCUCUUUUUUAUUUUUUUUCCAAGGGGAAUCUCCUUUCGUAAUAUGUCAUGAUUAAAGCAAUCUAUAAAUAAUACAAUAAUCAUAUAAUGUAAUAAUUAAAGGACCCACAUAUUUAUAAUAUUAAUGAUGGGAUCCAUACGUUCAUACUGAUUAAAUUGGUGGACCAGACUUUAUUUGACCUUACUUGUUUUAUAUUCAAUUAAAAAUUGAAACGACAGAGAAAAAUUGUCGUAAUGAUGGUUUCGAUUGUGGAGUUCCGCUGUGGAUAGCACUUGCAAUACUGAAAAAGAAGCUUUCGUCAACUUUCUCACAUGGACGCGCACCAUCACGCAUAAUUGCAUAUUGCAUUAUUUCUCUAGAAAAGCAAAAGCAAGAUUUAUUCUUUUAAUAAGCAAACGCGUCGGUGGGAAUCCAUUCAUUAAACAAGUGGAACAGCAAUAUAUUAAACCAAUGAUAAGCUUUCUUAAGUGGGAAACCAAUUAUGACAGAAAAUUCAAAAUCUGAAUCCGCCUGAUGGACGGGUUUGACCGCAGAGCUCAAGAUAAUCUGAACCACUCUCCUUUCGUAACUGAUAGAUAAUUUCAAAACAGGGGAAUGAAAACAGAGGAGCCCUGUUUUUCCUUCCUUUUUUUUUUUUUUAACCCAACUCUUCUUCCUUUAUAUAUUUUCCUUGGAAUUUUAGGUAAACAAAAAAACUUUGAGAAUAAUUUCAAGAGAAUAGGUGGGUAAUAACUAAAAUAUUUAUUUUUAUAUAUUUGAUAAGCACACUCACUAUUAAUAAAACCCAUUAAAUACUACAACUUAAAUAACUUCUUGUAGUUGAUUGAUGGUAUGUUUGGAAUUUCUUUUACUUCCCAAGAAUUAAUUUUUACCUUGAUUAUCAGAAAAUUAAUUUUAUGAAUAAUUUAGUCGGGUGUUUGGUAAAUGAUGAUUAUUUGACAAUCAGUUUGUAAAUAAUCUACUAGAUAAAUCUGGUAAGUGAAAAUUAAAAGUAUAAUGUUCAUGUGCAAAUUACAAAAAUAUACUCAUUUACUUAUCUGUAAUUUACUUAGAAUAUUAUUAUUUAAAUAAUUUUUCUUAUUCAUUGGAUUUUUAAGAGCAUAUUCUAUUUUGUUGAUUACAUAUUUAAAUAAUUUUUUAUUAACUAUUUUAAUUUACAAUAAAAAUUAACUAUAAUAUAUUUAACUAAAAAAUUUGUUAUGUAGUCCGUAAUAUACACAAAUACUUGAAUUGAUUAAUAAACUUAACUGCAAAAAAGAAAAUGCAAAAAUUUAAUCUUUAUAUAAACUUUUAUGUACACAAAACUAUUGUAAUAAAGUAAUUCAGAGAAAUAUAAUAUUAUAUACAUGUGUAAAGAAAUAUAUAACUAUAAUAUUAUCCACUUGCAGCACUAUUAUUUUUCAAUCUCUCCAUCUCUUGAUCUUCAAGAACAUUAGUACCAUGAUCUGCUUCUUGAGUUCGACCUCCAUUUUCACAGCAUCAACAAGACAAUCAAUUUGCCGUGAAAGCCUUACAGCUCCACCCACUUUCGUCCUUUUUGUAGCCACUCUUUUUCCCUUUCUUUAUUUAGUAGCUUCUAUGGAAACAAACUCAUCGAACUACCAGUACAUUUUUCAAUUAGAUAGGACUGAUAGUAGAUAUUCAGUACUCUCAGAUGGUGUGGAAACAUGAUCAUCAGUGAUUGUUGUCUUAAAAAGCAUUCUAUUUAAUUGUUCCUCUGACUCUGGCAUGCAAAAUUUCUUUAUUCACGAAUUUCCUACGUAUGUUGAUAUCAUAUUAAAAUGAAUUCAAGAUCACAUAUUAUUUUGCGUGACAUUAAAAUUUAGCCGAAUGGAAAAAAAACUUCCCUUUUUGUUUGUCCCACAACUAUAUAGUCUCAUUUUUGGUAAUAAGCUCACAACAUGCACGGGAAUGAAGAUCUAUUAAAAACUUCCCUACGCAUGUUGUGAGCUUAUUACCAAACAUGAGACUAUAUAUUUUAGCCGAAUGGUAAAAAACUUCGGAUGGAGGAUGUGCCAUCUUUUUAUUUUAGAUGCUCUCGGAUGGAGGAUGUGCCAUUUUUUAUUUUACAUGCUUUGUAAGACUUUUGAUGAUUGACUGCAGUCAAUUAACAAAAGCUUACAUAUUAUUUAGGUGCUGAGAUGUCUGUUCUUGAUAAAGUAGAUUUAUUCACACCCAAGCCAACGUAACCAAAGCCUAUUAUACACAAUAAUUAUUUUUGUUAAACUGAUUUCUGACUAAUGAGAUCUUUGAAAGCAUUCAAAGAAGCCACAGAAUUCAUAGGAAAGCCCUGAUAAAAUAUAUGGCGAAGCAUGUGAGCUCGUUUUUUAAUCUCUUGAUCACUCAUAAGCUUUUCUAUACCACUCACUAUAUCAUUCUUUUGAAUCGAUUUUGAUUGAUCAUCAGAAAUCAUGUACCCUCACCUUUAGAUGAUUGAUCACCAAUUUGGCAUUGUAAUGUUAAUCAUCUCUAAUUGGCCAUGUUAAAAUUGGGACCCCACAACCAAUUGCUUCUACCAUUGAAUUCCAUCCACAAUGAGAUAUAAAUUCACCCAUUGAUUGAUGAUUCAGUAUCAAUAAUUGUGGCGCCCAUCCAUCUAUUAUCAAUCCCUUUUUACUGGCUUUACUAUCCAAACCACUAUGAAAAUAAUUGCCUUCUGCUGGCCUGUCUAAGCCGGUUAAAUGACACGGAGGAUCCAAUCUACCAGCACCAGUUUGAAUUACCCAAAUAAAUGGUUCAUUUGAUACUUCUAAAGCAUUGGCUAGUACUAAAUACUCAUCUAACUUGGGACCCACUUCGGUACCAAAUGACACAUAUAACACAGGUCUGCGUGAUUUCAAAUUCAACCAUUAAACGAUCUCAUCUUCGUUCAUGUUAGAACUCCAUCGGUUGGUUCUCAUCUCACGAUCAUGAAGCACUGAGCCCGCCACAUUGGGCCUACUCCCCACAUUGGCUUUCCCAUUUGAUUGACUAAAUAAUGGGAAAUUGUCAAUUUUCCCCUACUAUAAUUAAUAUAUACCAUUUAUCCCCCUACUAUUUUUGUAAUACCCAAAAACCCAUUUGACAGCAUAAGUUUACAAUAUUACCCAUAUUUUCAAUUACUCUUUUAUUUAUAUUUAUUAUAAAUUAAAUAAAUCACAUGAAUAAAAACCAAAUAAAAAAAUUAAGUAUUAAAGACAAGAAGUAUAUGUUUUGAUAUGUGAAAAAAAAUUAAUAAUAAAAUUUUUUUCUUGUAAUUAUUUAUUUUGUGAACAUUUUCUUAUAAUAAAAAUUUUAUAAUAUUUUAAAUUAAAUGUAAAAAGCAUAGGCAAAAUAUUUUAUUAUUUAUCUUAUAAUAAAUUUUUAUUUGUCAUUCAAGUUUUCUUAUAAUAAUUUUUUUAUCAUUUUAUAAUAAUUUUCUUAUAUAUUUAUUACAAGAAAAUUUUCACAAAAUAAAUAAGUACAAAAAAAUUUAUUAUUAAUUUUUUACUCAUAUCAAAACAUAUAUUUUUUAUUUUUAAUGCUUAAUUUUUUAUUUAGUUUCUAUUCAUGUGAUUUAUUUAAUUUGUAAUAAAUAUAAAUAAAAGAGUAGUUGAAAAUAAAGGUAAUAUUGUAAACUUAUGUUAUCAGUGGGGUUUUUGACCAUUAUAAAAAAAGGAGGGAGGUAAAUGAUGUAUGUUGAUUACAAUAGGAGAAAAAUUGGUAAUCUCCUCUAAAUAAUUAAUAAAUGGUCCCUCAAGAUCAUCACACAUGUUGAACAUCAACGCCAUCGGUCCCUCCACUUCCUUCAUCUAGUGUGGUUGAUCACGGGGUUCGAUGGACCCAUUUUCUCUGAACCGGUCGCACCUCGCAAAGGUGGUGGACCACGAGAAAGGGGCCCGUGAGGCCUGUAUUUCAGAUUCGAUCCGAAUAAAGCCGUAUCCUUGGGUAACCCAGGAAGUAAACGGGCCUCUCCCGGUUUGACAUCUUGGAUGCAAGCCUGCUACAUGGCACACACCACGGCUGCUGAGCAAGCACCAGAAGUGAAGAACCCAACAAUGGGAACUUCAAAAUUCUUGCAAACAUCAGCCGUCCAGCCCAUCAUAACGUCGAUGACUGCACAAACGGGUCGCGUUUCGGGUUCCCGGGUUGAAAGGAGGUUUCGAAGGCCUUGAAGCAUUUGGCCGUGCAUGACAACAUGGUGGUGGGAAGGAGGUGGUGAUGCUGGUGAAGAGAGGAAGGGGUGAUGCUGGUGGGGGAAAUGUGAGAGGGAAUAAUGAGGGUAGAUUUGUAAUUACGAGAAGCGAUUUGCUUGCAUAAUUCAAUGCAUGGAAAUAGAUGUCCCUGACCGAAGAAUGGGACAAUCCAAACCUCGGCCUCAGCAGCAGUUGCAACAGAGCUUGACAUCUUUUUUGAAUUAUUUGAUACAUAAUUGUUACUGAUUGCUUUUGCCAUCUUUCAUAAAACAUUCUUUGUUAUAUAUAAAGAGAUGACUUGAUGGAGAAGUAAGUAUUUUACUUUUACAAUUUUACUUGGUCAGCUCUGAUUUUGAUAAUUUGAAUGUUAGUUUUAGUUGGUUAGUUAUGAGAAAGCAUCUUUCAAAAAAUUCAUUCCAAUUUCAACUAAAAUUAACAAUACUGUUUAAAUUAAUUACUUGAUAAACAAAGUCAUAAGACAAAUCUAUCCCUAAUCCCACAUUUACAAAAUAAGGAUUGAAAUGAGUUUCUGUGGCUUUUAACCCAAGCCCUCAAGCCCAGUGGCUGUAAUAUUGACUACUUUGACAUAAUUAUUAUUAGUCUUUUUUCCCCCUCAAUCCUUCACUAAACAUCUUUUGUUAUAUAAUGAAGAAGAUAAGUUGACGGAGAAGGGUUCUACUUUUACUAGUAGAUGAGCUUUGAGUUAAAGAAGAUUAGUUUUAGUUAGUUAAAUAUCUACCAUCCAAAUCAAAGUUCCUUAGACUAUUAUUUAGGUGAGAUGUUUGAGUAACAUAUGCUUGCGUUAGUCGGUGCCUAACAAUUCGUGUGAUACAUGAAACCAACCAAUAUGAAAACCAAAUGAAAUUGGUAGGAUUAGAUUAAUUUAAAUGAAAAUAAAAUUAGUUUAUGCCAUUUAUUAAUAUUAUAAUAUUGAAACUUGAAUGUUUAUCCGUUAACCUGUCAUUGGGUUCAUGACAUGAUUAAAAUAUUCAAGUAAAUAAAUUUAUCGUUUAAAAUUAAUUUUUCAUGUGGUAAAUGCAAUACUAUAUAUGGAGUGGAGAGAAUAAUUUGUAGGGUAUACCCCUACCUUUUAUUUCAUUUCAUUUAAAAAAAAAAACAACAACAAAGGCUUGGUCAACAUUCAAGUAAAAUUAACAAUUCCAUGAUAAAAUUGCUUGAGAAUAAGAAUUAAAAUAAAAAAAGAAAACAACAACUCAAAAACGACAUACAAAUGUUGGUGGUUGAACUUGUGGGGAAUGGCAAAUGUAGAGAAAUACAACAAUAAUGUUGAAACUUUAUUACGUAAAGUAAUGUGUUUACAACUAACUCUGUAUGUAGGAAGAAAAAUAAUAGUAAUAAGUAAACUGCGGAAAAUUUGUGUGCUUUAAGGCACGUUACAAAUGUCGCUUUCCUUAAGACGUUAUUUGCCCCCACCAAUUGAGUAAUGCACAUGGGUUAAGCAAAUACACCUCUAGGAUACAAUGAAGUACUUGUUUGUUUGCUUGCGUUGUGCAUCGACGAAAGCAAACUAGAAUACUCUUGAAUGUUGUAAGCCUGCCAAGAAACAAUAUAUUGUUCCUGCAGAAAACAAUAUAUUGGAUUGUGAAUGCACAAAAGAAAUGGGUGUUUUGUGUUGAAAUUCGUACUAGAAAGGAAUGCUAAGAAAAGAGUGGUGUAGGAUCAUUGUUUUCAUGUUUAAAUGGCUUAAACAUGACCCCUAUUUAUAGAUAUACUUGUGCCCCCUCAUUUGGGUUGUCAUCUUUCAUGAUACCCCUUCAUUCAUGGCCAUUGGAUCUAGAUUUGAUUUUAAUCAAUGGUCCAAAUUGAACCAUCACCAUUUCAAAUGAAAUGUCACCAUGAAAUGAUGCAUCUCUAAGUGAAAUGUUGCCAUGAAAAGUUAUAUCAUUUAGUAAAAAGAUACCUUUUCUACAAGACACAAUUAAAUGGACAUGUCCAUACAACAAGAUAUUAUUUAAUUAGACAUGUCUUUAGUAAAAUGUACAUUUUCUAUAAAGCAUAAUUAAUAGGACAUGCCUUUACCAUAAGACACAUUUAUUUUGAAAAUUUUCCAACAACAAAUACCGCAUAGAGGUUUUUCGUCACGAGAUAUUUUUGGGUUGAGACAACACUUGUAUAACAGAGCAUACAGACUGAAUAACGGUGAGAAUAAGAAGGAAAACGACGCCGCACACCGAAAUGCCAGCCUAUGGAGUAUUGAAGUAAUUUUGUUUUAAGUUUGCCCUCCAUUUGUAGCACGUUCUUUUGCAGUGAUCAUUCAAUCCUUUGCAUAGCCCAAAAAAAUAGAAGCUAUCAGCCAGCAGAGUGGUACCUCUGGAAAGGUUAUUUAUAAGCGUUGACGCUGCCUCUUUAUCCGGAAACCAGUUUGUUGAUGCUGAAAUCUGCUCGCCCUUUGCCCAACCAGAUUUUUACACCAACAUUUAUGUUAUCAACAGUGAAGAUGUCAAUUCCUUCUUGCUUCAACGAUCGCUCUAGCCACUGAAGUUGGAAUUGUCCUUCUUCCUCUCACUAAGCCUGCGUUCACAAAAGUGGAUCAGAGACGCCGGUGGUUUUACCGGCGUAAACCCUCCGAUGCCUAAGUUAGCACAAGGUGUUUACGGGAAAACGGUGCAAUUAAGAUUCCAAUAAUUGCUUAGAAUUGGCUCACUAUUUGUAUUGCAAGUGGUUUGGAUACAAUUUGGCAGAGUUUUCCCUCCUCUCAAUUUUUUCUGUCCUUUCUUCAUUAGUUUCUUUCUCUUUUAUAGCCAUUGUCCUACGUUUCCGUUUACCCUUCAUCCCCCCUCUAUCUCGGAUCGUGGCAGCCCCCAUGGGACUCCAACUGCUAUAUUGUGAGUAAACGUGGGACACCAUACCUCUCUCGACAGUUCUGGGCAUAGCGCAACUGUCGUGAUUUCGUGAGAUCGUGUUCCCGCUUUUUGGGGAAUGGGUAUCUGCUUGGUAUUUGUCUCUGGUUGGUCCUUGCUCGUAAAAGACUCAUUAUCAGUGUUCUGCUCGUACCAUUUGGCUGAGGUGAUCCAUGUUGGGGUGGAAAUGAUGGCAUGGCCAAGCUGGUGCUCUUAUUUACUUAACACAGUUCUCAAUGAUUCCGUUCUGAACAAGCAACUCGACGUCCUUUGUUGUGUUCACGAGAUGAUGAAUAAGGAACACAUAAUCAUUUAUGUAAUUCUCUGAGUAAUGCCGUUGUUCAAAGGCAACGAGAUUACGAAAUAAGGAUUCCGUUUCCAGCUGUAGCUUCAGUUUCGGAAUAUACAAUGUCCUGUUUUUGAAUUCUAUGGCGAACAAAUCAUUGCUCUUGCUCAAACUGAAGUGGACUCCAGCUUGGUGGAGAUCAGUCACACUUGGUGCGGUUUUACCUUUGUGGUAUUGCUGACCUUCUUGUUUUUCCUGAUUCCUCGAUGAUGGUAGAUGACAAAUCCUUAGAAAAUCAAGGAAAUGCUCUACCCUAGCCUCAGUGUAAGGAGGGAAUUUUUGCCGAUUACCUUGUACUGCCUCUAAACCCUUGAAAUACUCGUAUGUGACUGUGAUGAUGGUUGGAUUUUCAUGUUGGUCGGGGAUUUUAAUUGCCGCUAGAGCAAAAAGAUCCUCAAGAAUGAAGAAAAGAAGCUGAUUUUCAAGUAACCACAUAUCAUACCAUAUAUCCUCUAUUAAAUAGGGUUUAUGAAAUAUAUGAUCAUCUUUUUUUUGAAGUUGACGGAAAUGAUAUCUCAAUAAGAGUUCAAUGAUGAAGGCAGCAUCCAGCAGAAUCAUUUCAACAAAUUUAUCACUACUUAGUUCGACUUUUUCUGCAUAAGAACCUCGUAAUUCUGCUUCUCUGAACUUUAUAAUUUGAACAAACUCGUCAAAGCUUAUUUUGGUCCGUUGAAGAAAGUAAUGCAGGUACCGCUGUUUAUGUUCUUCCAUGAACUGUAAGUUUGCUUUGCCAUGGUGAAGAGGUAUCCUCUUAUGAAUUUAGUUUAUAUCCUAAUAUGGGAGAGUCAAUAAUUGGAUGCAAGUCAAUAGCUGCAUGCAAUCUGAGGGCUAACAUUUGUUUGAUCAAUAUGUUAAAAAAAAAAUGUUAUAAAACAGGAUUGAUUGAUGGCCUUUAACAGUCAGUUCUAUGACAAAGUAACCACCACAAAAAAGGGAAUCACAAGACAUCAAGAAGCUUGAACUUGGCAGGGGGUCUCAUUAGCAGUACGCCUAAGAAAUUAAGACAAAGUCAAAGUGCAAGCUUAUGGAGCAAUUUAAGCACUGAAACUAAUAACAGUGAUAGACGAAGGUGCAGAAGUAUGGUAUUGGCAAUUGACCUCUGCUUUUGCUUAGACAUAGGUUCUCAUUACAAAGGACUUAUUAGUAGCCCUCGCCUCACAUGUUUGGAUGUUAAGGGGAAAAAGGAAGUUUGAAUUAUUCAAUCUCUUUUCUAAUGGCAUUCAUGGAGAACCUAUAAAACAAAAUAAUAAAUAAAAAUUUUCAUCCAUGAAAAGCUCAGUAACGAAAAACCGACUCGUUUAUCUACCACUGACCCAAUCCGGACUCUCAGUGGUCAUACCAUGGUCACUCAUUUCAAAAGCAACUAAUGAUGAGAACUUUCAUCAUUAGUUGAUAUGGCCAAUGUAGAAAAACAGAAAAACCCCUCCAGCAUCAAAGCACAAGGAUAAGUUUAGAAUUACACUUCUUAAUUUUUUUUAAUAAAUAAAAGUCAAAAUGAAAAUAGAAAAUAGUUUUGAAUAACUUUUUUUUAAAAAUGAAUAUAGAUAUAAAACUUUAAAAUCACCAAACAGAAAAACAGGGGAAUGAAAAGAUGGCCUCCGUUUCUCCUCUGUUUUGUUUUUACUGUUAUUAAACAGGGGAAUGAGAAAAGAGAGCCCCUGUCCUUCUCUGUUAUGACUUUUUUAUUACUAAACUGGGGAAUGCAAAGAUCACCUCUUAAUGCAUGCGCAAAUUUUUGUUUCUACCUUAGUACCUUCUAAAUGCUGCAUGCAUUAAAAUUAAUCUGACAUAUGCUAGCAUAACAGCCACUCUGCAUGUAAGUUCUGGAUAUAUCCAAAUAAUAUAAUGAUUUUAAAAGUUCAAAUUUAGCAUUUAAUUGUAAAUAUAUUUGUACAUAAAUUUAAUGUGCAUUUCGUAUAUUGCAUUGUUGUUAUUCACAUUUUUUGUAUGCUACAAUGAUCUCAAAACGAUAAAAUGCUUCGUGUGUCUCUUCUUUAUGUUUCUCGUUUCUGUGCAGGCAAAUCCUUCAUUGCAUAGUACGCUUCAGCGUGUACAAAGACGGUAUGCAUUUAGCUAUAAAUAGUAUCAUUAAACAAAGAUACUAAUAAAGAUACUAAUAACUACUGUUUGGGGGAUAUACUUUGACAAGACCAACCAUGAUGAGCAGAUGUCUGGUAGCAGGAUUCCACAAACAGGAGUAUUAUGCUCGUUCAAUAAUGCACCCUCCACGGGGCCAUAGCGGGAGCCGGCCUCCUACUAGGAGUAUAAGGCCAUUCUUACUAAAGGUUGAGGGGGGGAGACCCGGUCAAUGACGGUUGGCAAGACGUGCAUUCCUGCCCGAGAAUCAAGGCACGAAGUCCACUCAGCCACAACUAUGAUAAUGACGCACCCACUUCCGAGAGUUGAGAGAGGUGAUAGACGUGGAUUGCAGGAAGGGCCGGAUUCAAAGGAAUGCUAUAAAAAGGUAACCAACGAAGGUAAAGGGGUUAGACUUUUUGAGAUUAGAACUUAGGAAAAGAGCUUUCUAUUGAGAGAUCAUAAAAGAGCCAUAAUAUUAGUGGUCGUGUUUCCCAAAAAGGCAAAACCUACGUUUCUGACUUGAGCGUUGGAGGGUUUACACUGGAAAAACACCCGGUGUGCUGUGACCUGUCUCUGUGUACGCAGGAGUCUGUGGAGAGGAAGUCUUACGAGGAGAGAUCCUAGUCGUGGAUGAGUUGGUUGAGGAGAGAUCCUGGUCCCGGACGAGCAGAAAACCAGAAUCUCGUAUCAACAUUUUGGCGCCGUCUGUGGGGAGCUAAGCCAAAAGCUUCUGUUAAUAGAGAGAAGAAGAGGAAAGGAAGUGAGGGAACAAUGGAUGUAGGCGGAGGUAGUGCCCAAGAAGGUGACUUGAGACUUAACGAGUCCGUGACAUUGAGAGAGAUAGCCAAUGAAGCACGGGAAAAAGCAAUAUAUAAGCGGAUAGAACGGAUGGAGAAACAGAUGGAGACCCUGACAACCAUCCUACACGAGCUGAGAAGUGAGUGAAGGGGAGUUCAAGAGGAGGGGGUGAGAAGUGGCGGAAUGACACCAGGGCACGACAAUAUGAUGAGAGGUCGGACCACCAGAAGAUUUGGUGGUGAGGGGGGUAACUCAUCUCUACGGGGAGAAAGCCAUCGAGGAGAAGAACAAUCCCCAGGGAGGCGGAUCUUUGAUAACGAUGACAAAGUGGCGAAUGCAGAGGAAAGAGAACUCCGGCAACACCUGCAUGAUGUUGAGCAAGAGCGAGAUCAGGUUGCAGCACGUGACCCUGGUCGUGCUGUACAACUGGAAGAAGAAGUGCGCAGAUUAGCGCAGAUAAUAGAUGACAUGCAAGGGCAGAGCAGAGCACCUGGUUGGAGGAUAAUGCUGGACGGAGAAUCCCUGCUCUUAGCAGAAAUCAUGAGGGCAGUCAUUCCGAGGGAUUUUCACCUCCCAAACCUCAGUUACUCGGGGUAAACUGAUUAGUUGGUGCACAUAGAGUGCUUUAACGACAUAAUUGGGGUGCAAGGAUUAUCGCAAGCUCUAGAGGGACAAGCACGUGAGUGGUACCGGAAACUUCCUCGAGGGAGCAUUAAAUCCUUCGAGCAGAUGUGCCAAGAAUUUGCAGAGCAGUUCUGUAGGGCAAUGGAGCCUGAAGAUGAUAUGAUGGAGCUGACGAGCAUGAAGCAGGGAGAGGAGGAAACCCUUCGAGAAUUCAUCAAAAGGGUCCAUCGUGCUGUCCUCGAUUUGGGAGCUUUCAACCAUCCUCAGACAUUAAGGGGAUUGAAAGAAGGGGUGAAGAUAGGACAGUUGUGAUACAAUUUGAGGAAUCCUACUAUUCAGACAUAUUCAGCCGCUUACGAGCAGGCCAAGAGGGACAUAGAGAUUGAGGAGGAAAAGGCAGCACGGAUUAAGACAGACCAGCUGGAAGGGUUAAUGAGGAAAGAGAAGAGAGCUCUACCAGGAAAUGGGCCUAUUAAGAGGAAGGACCAUCAUGCCUCAGGUAGUGGUGUAGGAGGCCGGGUCACCUCUUACCAGUCUCAUCAGAGGCCACCCCAAUAUUAGCGCAGUAGGGCGCAACCUCCUUGUUCACCAGCCAGAGAUUCAUGGAGAAGGCAUGACCCAACAUAUGGUCAUCCUCAUCCACACCCACACGGUGUUAGAGGAAGCAGACCAGAAGCACUGUUACCCCAUCUAGUUCAGAACGGCACCAACAGGGAAAGGUCGGUAUACAUGAUCGACUAGAGUCAAGACUAUGGGUGGUAUACUUCCUUGAAGAUGCCCCUAGACAAGGUGUAUGAGGCCAUAAAGGAACAGAGAUUACUGUACCUCCCUACCCCAAUAACAAAGCUACCCAGCAAGAGAGAUAUUGUACCUCCUUACCCCAAUAGUAGCGAUAGACUAUUUCAUGAAGUGGAUAGAAGUAGAAGCCCUCAGCAGGAUCACAGAGAAAAAGACGACUGACUUCGUAUGGAGAAACCUGGUCUGUCGGUACGGGAUCCUUUAUACCCUGAUAGCAGACAAUGGCAGGCAGUUUGACAAUCACAACUUCAGGGAGUUCUGCCAGAACCUCGGGAUAGAGCUGAAGUCUUGCUUGCCUGCUCACCCUCAGUCUAACGGACAAGUAGAAGCAGCCAACAAAAUAAUCAAGAGGCUUUUGAAAACUAGGCUAUGAGCAAAAAAGGGAGUAUAGGUUGAUGAGCUACUAGGUGUAUUAUGGGCAUACAGGACAACUCACAAAACAGCAACUGGCGAAACUCCGUUCGCUUUGGCCUUUGGACAUGAAGCUGUUGUACCGAUCGAGAUAGGGGCGACCACGCACCGGACAGAUCACUUCGAUGAGCAGGAAAACAACGACCAAAUGUGCUUGAAUCUGGAUCUGCUGACUGAGAAGAGAGAGCAAGCAUCGAAGCGAUCCGCCGUCUACCAGCAGAGGGUUGCUCGUUAUUACAACCAGAAGGUGUGUAUACGACAGUUCAAGGUCGGCGAUUGGGUACUAAGGAGGGUGGAUCAGAACACGAAAGACUCGACACAAGGAGUACUUGGACCAAACUGGGAGGGGCCGUAUAGGGUCAAGCAAGUAACUGAACCCGGAGCCUAUAAGCUUGUUCGCGCGGAUGGCCACGAGGCGAAACGCCCCUGGAACGCAGAACACCUCAGGAAAUAUUUCCAAUAAGACCCAAUCAUGCUUAAAAGUUAUUUCUAUUCGUUCUUGUUGUUAUUUGUUUUAUGUUAAAUCAACCUCAUGUAAGCCGAAUUCAGAAAUUAAUGAAACGUUGAGGAAUUUCAGUCAGUUGUAAUGUUGUAAAAGUUUCAAAGGCAUGCAAAGGCUCACCAAGUCUCAAAACCUGUGUUAUGGCGAGACCAGAAGCCAAGCGUGCCAGGAUUUGCUCGACCAAGUGAAGGCGAGCAGACCCUCAAAUGUUAAAAAAUUUCUAAGGCAUGCAAAGGCUCACUAAGUCUCAAAGUCUGUGUUAUGGCGAGACUAGAAGCCAAGCGUUCCAGGAUCUGCUCAACCAAGCGAAGGCAAGUAGACCCUCAAAUGUUAUAAAAAUUUCUAAGGCAUCCAAAGGCUCACUAAGUCUCAAAGCCUGUGUUAUGGCGAGACUAGAAGCCAAGCGUGCCAGGAUUUGCUCGACCAAGCGAAGGCAAGCUGACCCUUAAAUGUUAUAAAAAUUUCUAAAGCAUGCAAAGGCUCACUAAGUCUCAAAGCCUGUGUUAUGGCGAGACCAGAAGCCAAGCGUGCCAGGAUCUGCUCGACCAAGCGAAGACGAGUAGACCCUCAAAUGUUAUAAAAAUUUCUAAGGCAUGCAAAGGCUCACUAAGUCUCAAAGCCUGUGUUAUGGCGAGACCAGAAGCCAAGCGUGUCAGGAUCUGCUCGACCAAGCGAAGGCGAGCAGACCCUCAAAUGUUAUAAAAAUUUUCUAAGGCAUGCAAAGGCUCACUAAAUCUCAAAGCCUGUUUUAUGGCGAGACCAGAAGCCAAAACAUACCAACAUCUGCUCGACCAAGCGAAGACGAGCAAACCAUCAAACGUAAGGCGACGGGAAGCUGAACUUUUCGACACCUACUCGACCACAAUGUAAGCGAACAAAAAAUAAAAUAAUCUGCCAAGAGCUCAAAGCGAAGAAAGCAAAUAAGAACAUUCUUAUUAAUCUGCCAACAAAUUAUGAAAGCUGCUAGUCUUAACAUACAAUGUUCCAAAAAAGAAACCUACGACACAAGGUACAUUCAAGAGGACAGCGGGUCAGUAAGCUGGGCCGUCUCUGUUGACUGGUCCACCUCAGGAGCAUGGGGGUCUCACCAGUUGCACUCGGGGGGGUACUUGCCUCGGCAACAUCAGCAGGGACUGCACGAGGAGGAGAUGUUCCCUCCUCAGUUGCAUUUGGCUCCAACUCUUCGACAUCUUCUUUGGCUGCCUCCUCAUCCAUAUAUUGAGCAACACCAAUAGUAAGCUCGUCCAUCUUCAGAUCAGGAUGCUGCUUCCCUAGGACGGCCAUGAUGCAGCGAUAAGAAUGCCGAAGCCCCUGGUCAUAUUGGUUGUCAGCUUCCUUCUCUAGGUUUUCAACCUGAACCUGGUAGGAAUCUUUGAGAGAUUCGAGCUGAGCCUCGUAAGUAGCCUUUUGUCUCUGCAGGUCCUCCUUGACCUUAGUCAGCUCCUCCUUAAGAGUGAUUCCCUUUGCCUGUGCGAGAGACUCUCGCUCUAUCAACUUCAGAUUCUCAAGGUUGAGAUCUCUGGCUUUCUUCUCGGCAACAUGAGCUUUGUUUUUAGCCGAUUGAACGUCUUCUCUCAUCUUUCGAUCAUAGCAGCCGACAUUCGCCUUAUAGUAAGUGGCCAUGCAGCCGAGAUGAAAAGCACUAAACUGCAUAGCCCCCACCAGCUCACUCAGAGUGCUGCCGUCAAAGUCUUCCAAGUCCUUUUUGCUGGCGAGCCUAGAAAACUUAUUGAUAUAGGGGACCAGAUGCUCUGCUCAAUUGUCGGGCAAGCGAGGGUUCGACUCUGUUGGUGGAGGAGGGGAAGUGGGAUCAGUGGUUGUUCCAUUACUUUCGCUGGCUUUGGUAGGAAGAGGUGGUAGAGUCCUCAAGGGGGGACCUGCUCCGUGAUGUUCACCCGUUUCGUAGAGGGAGCAUCCUUAUCCUGGUCUCGCUUAGCAGCAUGAGGUCGAGGACGUUUCUGAUUCAAAGCCCCAAUCACAGCAUCCUCCAUCUUAAGAUCAGUGUGCACCAGGCGAGAUUUGAAGAAGUUGUAAGUAGAUAGCAACUCUCGGCCUGAGCAGGAAUUGGCUAACACAAUCUCGACCCGCUUGAGCGGUUUAGGUUUAAGCUUGUAGUGGACACCCAAAGAACCUGUAGUUCGAACAAAAAUUGGGUUAGAGACAAAUAAAAAAUGAGAACAACUAGGGAUACAAGACAUCUAAAGCGAGCAGACAACCUAGGACCACGAAAUUGGAGGGGACGCGAUAGUUCUUCUUGUCAAUCUGUGCAACUUGACCCUAGGGACCCCCAGUAAAAAAGAACUUUUUCUUCCAAUUUCCACCACCACCCGUUGGAAGACUAGUUAUGGGUUUCCUGGUCUUGGUACUCGACAUGAAGUAAUACCAACCGGUGUCUUUGGGGUUGCUCUUUAGCUGGUACAUGUGCUUUACCUUAUCAAUGGUGGGCUCACUCUGGCAGCAUCUGUCCCACAAUAUGAACAGACCAGAAAGUACCCUCCACCCGUUGGGGUUAAGUUGACUAGAAGCUAAGUUUAACCCACUAAGCAUUCGGGCAAAAUAGGGUUGUAGGGGGCACCUCAUCCCUAACUUAAAACUCUCUAGAAAAAGAGUAACGUAUCCCCUGGGAAGCCGACUGGGAGUAUCAUUUUUUCCUGGGAUCCUAAGGGGUAUAUCAUCAGGAAUGUCAUACCUAGUCCGGAGGUCAACGAGGUCGUGCACGUGAUGAAGUCAAUAGCGUAAUGCUCCGAUAAAGCCUUACCUCCUACUUUGUUCUUCCUAUCUUGUCGCGAUGUUCCUAGUGAGGACAUUUCACCAGAAUCUUCUCAUGGGUCCUCACGCAGGGUAUCUUCCGAACUAGAAGAUCCCUCGCCGCCGCUAUUGCUAGUUGAAGAGGUUAUUUGGGGAGACAUCCUCCUAGCACUUGUCCCAAUACUAGAUCUAAUCGGUUCUAAAGGAAUCCCAGGGUCAAAGGCAGAAUCGGCGAGUAGACUAGGCAAGAAGUCUAACUCGUCGUCAUCAAUCUCAAUUACCUUUUCUUUGCCUUUUGACAUUUCCUAAACUAUGACCAGAGCAAUAUCACCAAACACUACCCAAGCAAAAUAGAGAGAAAAGAAAUUUUCUACAACUAUCCAAAACUGAAGAAAUAGAAAUAAUACAUGUAGUUGUGGCCCAGCCGAAUAGAGACAAGGAAGGUAGCUUUUACGUCGAGGGAGAGAAAUUGCUCAGUCACCGGAGAGGUAGAAGAGGGCUAAGAGACGAGUUUCCUUUUUGAUUUUAUAAAUAGAGAAGUAUCAGCUCUAGAAUUGUUAAAUCCCCACCUAACAAGACAGCUCUUGAGUUUUUCAUACCAAGCUCUUAGAGCUUGCUUCAAUCCAUAAAGACCUUUGUUAAGUUUGCAAACAUAACCAUCUUUUAAUGAAAACCCCUCAGGCUGAAUCAUAUAUACAUCUUCAAUAAGGUCACCAUUGAGGAAGGCAUUAUUCACAUCAAUUUGCCUCACUUUCCAUCCUUGCAUGACAACUAUACUCAGAACAACUCUCACUGUUGAAGAUUUCACUACUGGGCUGAAAGUUUCUGAGUAAUCAAUACCAACUGUUUGAUGGAACCCUUUUGCAAUCAACCGUGCUUUGUAUUUAGAAAUUGAGCCAUCUGUAUUAUACUUGGUUCUAAACACCCAUUUAUAGCCGACCAGCUUAAGCUAUGAGGACAUGGGCACAAGUUUCCAAGUAUUAUUUUUAAUGAGAGCAUUGUAUUCAGCUUGCAGUGCCUUCUUCCAUUUAGGAUCAGAUAAUGCUUCUUUAGUAGUUGAGGGUUCUAGAUUGUUAUGAGCUGAUAAGAAAGCUUUGGGCUUAAAAACACCAGCCUUUGCUCUAGUGAUCAUGCUGUGAGUAGGAAUUAUUGGUUUGGAUUUUUGAGAUGUAGAAUAUGGAAUAGUUUGGGAUGGAAAUGUAUUUGAUGAGGUUUGUAAGUUCUGUAAGGUGGAUGGUAUAAUUGUUUAGUGAGAUGAAUGAGAGUUCUGUGAUAUAGAUUGUGUUUGUAAAUCAGAUGAUGAAGGUACAAGUGAUGUGUUGUGUGAAUAAGUUGAUGAGGGUAUAGGAGAGAAUGAACCAUGUACUGCAGCAUCAGCUUCAAGAUUAUUCAAAUUGCUAUUGGAAACAAAUAUGGUGUAAGACUGAAGGAGAUUAUAUUUAAAAUCAGAGGGAUUGGGCUUUAAAGAAGAAGCAAUAGCAUCAGUUGAAUAGGGAAAAAAACGUUUCAUUAAAUAGAACAUGACUAGCUAUGUAGAUUUUGCCUGAGGAAUGCAAGCAUUUAUACCCCUUUGUGUAUAGGACUGUAGCCCAGAAAUAUGCAUUUAGAAGUGUGAAAAUAGAACUUUUGUUUAUUGUAUUCUCUAAGAAAAGGAAAGCAAGAACAACCAAAAGUUCUCAUAAACUUGUUAUCUGGUUUGUGAUGAAACAUACACUCAUAGGGUGAUUGCAUGGAUAAUGUAGGAGUGGGUAGUCUGUUUAUGAUGUAAGCUGCACUAUGGAAGGAAUCCCACCAAAACUUAAUAGGUAGAGUAGCUUGUGCAAGUAAGGUUAACCCCAAUUUAGUAAUAUGUCUGUGUUCCCUUUCUACCAGGCCAUUUUGGUAGUGAGUAUAUGGGCAAGAGUGUCUAAAUUGAAUUCCUUCUUUGUGAAUAAAAUCAACAAAUGGUUUGAAUUUCCUACCCCAAUCAGAUUGAAGGGAUUUGAUUGAUCUUUCAAGUUGCUUUUCUACUUGUGUUUUGAAGAUUUUGAAAACAAAUAGUGUCUCAUCCUUAGGGAUGGCAAUUUUUGAGUCUGGGUCCGGGUUUGGCUGUUCCAGAUCCGGACCCGGACACUAAAUUCUUAUUAUCAGACCCACAUUGAACUCGGUUUUUUUCCAUCCGGGUCCGGUCCGGGGUCAACCCGAAAAAAUCUGAGUUUCCGGAUUUCGGGUUUUGAACCCAGAUUGCUUUACUUAACUUAAGUUGAUGGAAAAGGAAAAAAAAAAGAACACAAUUACUCAAACCAGAACCAAAUUGCUUCCAGAAUCCAGAUUACUUUAGUUUAGCAACCAGAACCAAAUUGCUUCCAGAAUACAAAUUGCUUUAGUUUAGCUCAACAAAAUUUCAAAUAAAAAACAUAUAACUUAUCCAGGUUCUAAAACAAAUACAACACAACAUAGAAUUUAAAAUUCAAAAUUUUAAAGUAAUAAACAUCCACAAAUACAAAUCCAUAACAUAAUUCUACAAUUUAAAGUUCAAAUUUCAAACCACUAGUGCUAAAGACUAAACUCUCAAUCAUCCACUUCAUUUGACUAUUGUUCACUCAUCCAACUUUCAUUAAUCAAAUGCUCAGCAGAAAGUAUUGCUUCCUCUGGAAUUCCAUCUACAAAAAAUAUGUAAAUCAUAAACACAAUGAACAAGACAACCAAUUAGUGAUAAAUUAAUAAUAAGAACAAUACAACAAAUAAUUUGAUUCUAAUAAAUAAAAUUUGCAUACCUUUUAGGUUUUGUUCAAGCCAAAACCAAUUUCGAGUACACACCAAUGCCUCCAUUAUGGAUGUGUGAAGUAUACUGCGAUGAGGGCUCAAAUGUCUACCUUCAGUGCUAAAAGCGGACUCCGAAGCAACUGUUGAUAUAGGAAUGGCCAAAAUGUCCCUUGUGGUCUUUGCAAGUAUAGAAUAUUUGCCUUGAUUAUUCUUCCACCAUGACAAAAUGUCAAAUUGACUAGUUAAAGGCAAAGUACUCUCCUCAAGAUAAAGCUCUAAUUCUGAUUUGGAAUGAGUAUUCUGUGUGUUUUCAUUUCUAAAUAAUGCCCACUCAUCAGCCAUUUCAUCCAAAUCUAAGUCCAACAUAAUAGAAUCCCCUCCUGAAGCAGCUUGAGAAUUGGCACCAUUAACCCCCCACUUGAAUUUGAUAGAUGCUUUACUUCAUACUCAUGCACUAAAUCAACAAAUAACUUAUGCACUCUUUUAAUUUCGGAUUCAUCUUUUUCCCCAUAUAUUUUAGGAAAUAAAAAGUUAAUCAGUAACAUUUUACGGCUAGGAUCUAACAUAGUCCCCACUGCAAGAACUCCAUGAAUAACAUCCCAAUACUUUUCAUACUUCGUAAUCAUCCUAGUGGCCAUAUUUUUUAUCCCCUCAAUUGGUGAUUGCAACCAUGCAUUCAUUGACAAUCUAAUUUCACAAAUCUUGGCAAAAAAUAAAUUAGAUGUCGGAUAUCAUGUCCCCGGAAAAAAGUUCUAUCAACUUAUAAAAGCUUUAUAGAUACUCACACAUAAGCUUUGAAAAAUUCCACUCUGACUCACUAGGUAAAGAUGUAUAAUUUCUCUCACGUUCCUUUAAAUGAUCAAAUACAUCUUUAUACAAUAAUGCAAUACUAAACAUCAAGUAAGUGGAGUUCUAUCUAGUUUUAUAAUCAAGUACCAAGUUUUUGGUUUCCUUAAUAUCUAAUUGUUUUUUUACAUUCUUAAAAUUUUCAACUCUAGCUGGUGUUGCUGUCCAAUAAUGAACACUAUCUCUAAUUUUCUCAACUCCAUUUUGUAUCACAGACAAACCAUCUCUAACUAUCAAGUUCAAUAUAUGAGCACAACAACGCAUAUGAAAGAAUUUGCCACCCAUAAUCAUUGAACUAGCAGAAAAUUUCCCCAACAACAAGGCAAUCAUAGAAUCAUUUGCAGCACAAUUAUCAACAGUUACAGUGGACAACUUUCUAUUUAUAUUCCAAUCUAUCAAACAACCAUAUAACUCAUUACACAUUACCUCAGCACUAUGUGGAGCUGGCACAUAUAUAAACCUAACAAUGUGAAAAAAAUAAUUAAAAUAUUAGACAGGACACUAAUUUAUGCUUAAACAAAAAAAAAAAUAAGUUUUAAGAAUAUUACCUCAUAAUACGACUUCGCAACACCCAUGAGCUCUCAAUGUAAUGUGCCGUAAUAACCAUGUAUCCUUUUUUUUUUUGUUACUAGCAGUCCACAUAUCUAUAGUAAUUGCGAUUCGACUCUCACAAGUUUCCAAAAUACCUAUUGUCUUCUUCUUUUCAACAUCAUAAAGCUUCAAAAUUUCAGCUUUGAAGGUGUUUCUACUAAUAGUCUCAAUAGAAGGUUGGAGUAGCUUCAACAAGUCAUAAAACCCAACGUACUCAACCAAUGCCAAGGGGAGCUCAUGUAGUACAAUCAUUGUAGCCACAAAAAGCUUUAUUGUAGCCAUAUCCCAUUUUGAUUCAGAACUACAAUUACUAAGUGAAGUGGUUCCACCAACUUUAGAAGAAAAAGAUAAGUGCAUUUGCUGUACAUUCUUGAAUGACCUUCUAGGACAACGUUUAGCAUGGUUUAUUAAGUUAUUAGUACCCCCCGAAUAAUGUCCUUGCAUAACUAACCCACAGUAAUUGCAAAUCGCCUGAACUUCCUCACCCAACUUAACUUUUUUGAAAUGAUUCCAAGCAUCAGAGACUACUCUACCACUACCACCUCGUUUUUGUGAAGUAACAGGAUUAGUAUUAUCCCUACGGCCACGGCCACGACUACCCCCCUGAACUGCUACUAUUGAAUUUGGUUCUAAUUCAACAGUUGUAUCAUUAUUAUUUUCUGAUUUUGUCAUAACUCUCACACAAACACUUUCAUCACUUUUUUUGGAGGCAUCCAAGUCAAUUCUUUGUUCAUUUUCCAUAUCAAUUUUUCGCUCUACAAAAAUUAUGUCAAGACAUAAUUAAUUCCAGAAACUUCUUCUAAUUUAUAUGCUAUGUUUAAUCGUAAAAACUAUAAAUAUUUUAGAGAUACCAUUUCUAUUAUAUUAACAACAACAAUAAAAAAUAAUUCAAAAAUAAAUAAACUAUAAAUAAUAAAGUUGAAGCAUAACUAAGUAUAGAUAUUAAAAAUCACAGAGUUUAGCUAUUAAAGUUACAAAGUAAUGUCAUAAUCAAUUUUUUAUUGUAUGUGUCAUAUAAUUUCUAUUUUAAUUUUUUACGGCUACUCUGUUAUGUUGUGGCAGCCAGAUGAAGUCCUCCUUUGAUGGUUGUCAAAGCCAGCAAAAAUAAAUACCUACUCUAAAUAAAUGGUGUAUAGUGAUUGAGCAGGGUCGUGUCCACAGAGAUUGGUAAUUAUUUAAAUCCUUUUAAAAUGUAAAAUGCAAAAUGGGGGAUUGUUGACAAUAAUAAAAAUCAAAUUAAAAUAACAAGAAUGCAAAUUAAAAUUGUAAUUCAAAUUGGGAAAAAGCUAUGGUUGAAGGAAUUAACUCAGCUUGAUUCGACUACUGAUCAUUGAUUCAAAUAUAAAUCAUUACUACUUAUGAAUUGACUGGUUAUAGCUACUGAGACCCUCUAAUAGCCAAUCUCUCCUUAACUAGUCGAUAACCAAGGUACGACCAUUGGUUAUUUCCCUAAAUCAAUAGACAACUGUUGGUAAAUUUCUAUAAGCAAUUAUUAUCAAUGCCAAUGUGCAAGUAUACACAACAAGUAAUAAAGUGAUGAGUAUUCAAGAUUGUCUCCACAGGGAUUGAUGUUACUCAAAAUGCUAAAGCAAAUCACAAUAAUGCAAAUUAAUUAAGGACCGAAACAAACAAUUGUCAAAUAAUUCUAUGUAACUAAUAGUUGUGAGAGAAGAAAAUAAAACAAUACUGUAAUGAAAUAAACUGAGUUGAAUGUGUCUAAAAUUCAAUUGAGAAUAUAGUAGUUGAAUGAUCAAACUCUCCUAAUGGGAUGACUGUUGUUUACCAAAUUAGUACCAGUUAUUACAAUAAGUGCUGCAACAAUGGGUAGAAUAAAUUUGCAUCCGCAGUUAUCCCAUGUUGGAAAUCUCAUACCUUUAAAUCUACUAACAAUGACCAGUUGCUCAUAUAUUUAUGGUAUGGCAUUAUCACCUUUAAUCUCUCUACUCUACAAGGUGAACACCUAUGUCUAGAGUGUCACAAAUCUUAACUUCAAGUAUUGCCCUUAUAGGAUUCAAGAUAACCUAAUCCAGGAAACUCGACUUAAGAACAAGUAAUACUCUAAUAACGUCCGCUAAGACAUGCCCUUUUGCUGCUCUAUCUUAACUAAAACUAUUAAAUGGGUGGUCAACCGAAAUAACAGUUGUAUUUAUAAAAACUACUAGAGUAAAAUGCUACAGCAUUACCAUAACAACAUAAAAGAACAGUCAAGACCCCAUUGGAUUAUUUGUCGCUCAACCACAAAUAAAUUUAGUUCAUAAUCUGGAUGAGAAAAGUAAACAUAAAUAUAUUGGUCUCAGAAUACAUCAAAUCAAUUAAAGGAAAAAAAUAAAUAUAAGUUGAGCAUAAUGAAAAUCAAAGUCAAGUAAUUCUGCACGAUUGUCCAAUGUUGCCGAAACAACACUCUUCAAUUAUGAUAUUCUUCUCCUUCGUUCCUUUUAAUUACUCUAAUGAUAAUUCCUUGCCGCCCUUCUAUGUGGUGCACACCUCCUUUUUAUAUUGCGAAUUAGGUUAAAACCAAAGCCCAUGAGCGUGCAUGUGUUUAAAUUAGGAAACAUGCAGAUCGCGACUUUAUGGCUGACUCACGCCUAAAUUUUCUCCCGUACUGCUCCUAAAUUGCUACAGCACUGGUUGCUCUAACAGCCGCUACAACAUUGUUUUCUUCCCGAUUGUGCUUUACUUCUUUUGUGGUCAUCUUCCUUCCUCCUCUUGCUCUUCUAAUGCUUCAACAUCCUCUCACAAAUUUAAAACCUACAAUUUAAAACCUGUUUUUAGCACAAAUUACUAUGAUUCAAUCAAAACUUUUUAAAACUCAACUAAAAUGAAUGUUUAUGCAAAAGGUACCCAAAAUGUAAUAAAAACACCUUAUUUGUUCUCUAAGUGGCCUUGAUUCAAGUCUAGAAUUGAUGUAAUAACUCUCAUUUCCUAGAGUUAUCAACAACCCUAGAUACGAUCAUAGGAUUUAAUCAAUUGACAGCCUAAAAAACCAGAGAGACCAAAAUCCUAAUCAACAAACGCAUACGAUGGUUCAUUUAAAUUAGAUUGUUUAUUCUCAUAACAUAACGCACUGCUAUGUUAUUUGUCACAAACAUUAAAAUCUUCAUAUGAUAAAUCUUUUAAUUGAUAAUAGAUUAAAUUGAUAAUUAAAUAGUGGCCAAUUAUCUAAUUAACAAACAUAAUCAUGACAAUAAUAUAGAGAAUAAACAAAUACCCAAAAAGCAAUAAAACAAUUAAAGCAUAAGAAAGAUCUCACAGUAAUGUUGAAUCAAAGCUUUAUUAAUCUUCAACCAGAAUAAUAGGUUUAAUUCUUCAUAGAGAGAAGAGAAAAAUCUAGAUCUAGGGUUUUUUUUUAUUUGAUCCCCUUCAAAAAUCUACCUGCCCUUUGUUUUUCACGUCUCUUCUCUCUUAUAGAGUUCUUCCAAAAAUAAAAUACUAAUAUCUAAAAUAUUAUCUAAAUAUUAAAUUCAAAAUUACAAAAAUAACUAAAAAGACAAAACACGUUAAAAUAAAAACUGCAGGUCCUUAGUUGACAGCACGUGCCCAUGCCUUAUCAACAAUGUUCUUCUAAAGCUCAUAAUUUCUCCAGGAAAAUAAUCAUCCUCAAGCAUCAUCUUGUAGCUCAAUUUUAGCAUCAAUCAAUAGAAUUGCACCUACAAGAAUAAAACACAAGUAAAUCAUUAUUAUUAAGUGCAAAACGUCGAUAUUAAAGGAAGUAAACAAUACAAAACUAGUGCAUAAAUUACACUCUAACAUCCUUCACACGACACAAAGUCACAAACAGAGCAAAACAACACAUAAAUUGCAAACACAAUCUAAUUAAAUUGUGAAGACAGUAUAAUCAGAGCAUAACAACACAUAAAUUACAAAGACAAUAUAAUUAAAUUCCAAAAAGAGUAUAAUCAGAGCAUAACAGCAGGUAAAUUGUAAAGACAAUAUAAUUAAAUUGCAAAGAGGGAAUAAUAAAAAAGUAAUAGAGCAUAAACUGUAAAGAGAAAAGCCAAGACUCACAAAUAUUCACAGCAGUAGCUUAACGCAGCCGCACCGUGAGAGAGUGAGAGAGAUUAAUUGAGAAACGGGUGAGACUUGAGAGAGAUUGAGAGAGGAACCGAACAGAUGAGAGAUUGAGAGGAGAAAUUACAGUAGAGUUGAAGAGAGUGAGAGAUCGAGAGAGCAAUGAGUGAGAGAGAUUGAGAUUUGAGAGAGGCAGAGAGCCAAGACCGAGAGGAAGUGAGGAACGAAUUGAGAUUUGAGAGAGCUAGGUUUUUUUUAUUUAUAUUUAUUAAUUUCUAAAAAAUUAAUAUUAAAAUAAAUAAUAUAUGGAUCCGGGUUUUGGAUUUGCGGGUUCACUUGAAACCGGAUCUGGACGUAUGUGGGUUCUAAAAAACCGAUCCGGAUUCCGCAUUAAAUUUGUUCCGGUGCGGGUUGAACCCGGAUCGGAUUAUCCAGGUUCAGUCUGGGUUCGGUUGCCAUCCCUACUCAUCCUUAGUUUUUAGAGGAAAGAUCCAUGUAAAUCUAGUGUAUUCAUCAACAAAGCUUACAUAGUAUCUAUACCCCUGAAUUGAAAUUAUAGGGGCAGGUCCUCAAAGAUCAAUAUGUAUGACUUUAAGAAGAUGAUUGGUUUUUGUUUUUGUUGCUGGAAAAUGUAAUCUGUGCAUUUUUCCAACUUUACAAGCAUCACAGGAAUCACUAACUUUGUUUUUAUUGACAAACUUGAAAGAUGGACAAGACUGAAUUACAUGAGUUAGAAUUCUAGAAUUUGGAUGACCAAAUCUUUGAUGUAAUACAGAUGUACUCAACAAACAUUUGGAGUUUACACAAUCAUCUGUUGCAGUAGGCAAACAAGAAGUUUUAUUUUUGAAAUCAGACUCAACAGCAGAGAACAUUAAAAGAGGAGUUUCACUAGCUACUGCCUCAAUACCAGCAACAUGACUUUGAAAGGUUGUCGAAGGAAUUAUUGUUUUAGAGGAAACCAAUAGCAAUUUGUAUAAUCCCUUUUCAGCCUUACCUUGUAGCAUGAUCAAGUUCUUCACUUUGUCCUUCACAAAACAAAAUUUAUUAGUGAACUCAACUACAACAUUAUUAUCUUUAGUUAGCUGUGAUAUGCUAAUCAGAUUUUUGGUGAUUUGUGGUACAAGAAGUAUGUUAUUUAGUUUAAUUGUGGGAGAGGUAAUUAAGUUCUUUAGCUUAAACACAACAUGACCAACAUGUGUUAUGCACAAACUAGCUCCAUUUCCAACAAAAAGUUUAGAAGUACUUGUGAAAGCUUCACUGAUAUGCAUAUUACUCACAUCAUUUGUAAGAUGGUGUGUUGCACCACUGUCCAGGUACCAAUUACUAUCAGAUGGUCCAUCCAUGUUGGCUAGAUAUGUUGACCUUGGAUUUCUAUUUGGUGGUGGUCUAUAAGCACCAGAAGCCAUGAAUUCAGCAAGUUUCCAGCAGACAUUUGCAGUAUGUCCAGUUUUGAAGCAAAUCUGACAGGUUGGUUUAGAAGUAUUCCAAUUAGGUUUAGUGUUUCCAAAAGUUUUGGAGUUAUUGAAAUCACUAGGUCCAGCAUCUUGAUUCCAAUUUCCCCCACCACCUCUUUGAUUAUCUCCCGGAUAGCCUCUGUGCUGUGCAUUAGUACCAAAAGCAUUAGUAGAAUAACUAGAGUUUCCUUAUCCUCCUCUAUAAUCAUUAUUACCAGAUUUUUCAUUAUAGCCAUAACCAGAACCGUAUCCAAAAUUAUCAAAACCUUUUCCUCCUGACAUAUUUCCUCUCUUAGGUCCUCUGUUUUGAGAAAAAUUAGCCUCAAAGUUUUAUUUUACAUCUAUACCAGCAAGCAUAUGAUUUUGUUGCUCAAUCCUAGCCUCUUGAGUUAAAAGCAUAAGAUAGGCUUCAUUAAUAUUCAUCUUCCCAACACCUACUUGUCUAGUGAUACAUGUGGCAACAGAAUUAUAAUAUGGACCUAAGCCAGAGAGUAUGUGCAAAAUUAAAUCAUCAUCACUCAAAGUACUUCCAUCUGCAGCCAUAUUAUCAACAAUAUUUUUCAUCUUAAUAAAGUAGUCAGUGAUCUUCAAAUAAUCUUUUCUAGUGGAGUUCAUCAUGUACCUUAAGUGCAGAAGUCUAGAUUUAGAUUGUGAUCCAAACUGAGUUUCAAUAGCUUUCCAUACCUCCAAAGAAGUUUCCAGGUUGAAUACAAGACUGAUGAUGCCUUCACUCAUUGAGGAGAGUAACCAUCCGAGAAGCACUUGAUCUUGUGAGCGCCAUGUUAUGAAGUCUGGAUUUUCAACAAAUCUGAGAUCAUCACCAACUCUCUGAGCAAUGUGAGAAGCAAGUGGAGUGAUAGAUUCAUCAAUGAACUUCUCAAGUCUGUUACCUCGAAUUGAAGCUAAGACUUGUGACCUCCAUAUCAGAUAGUUUGACUGAUCAAGUUUAACAGGUGUAUUAAAAGUAAAGGUUACAGUCGAUGAGUUGACAUUAGUAUUCUGAAUUGGUGUAGAGGAUGAAGCAAGAUUUACUGAGGCCAUAGCUGGCUCUGAUACCAAGUUGAAAAACAAGAAAAUGAUGUUUGGAUACUGAGAAAGUUUUGAAAGAAGAAUUGAGAGGAAAUAUUCCAGAUCUUUCUAAUUCAUUUCAUUGUUCAUAAAAACAUAAUACAAUGAAGUUUAUUUAUAUAUACAAGAAUGCUGAACUGUAAUUAAGCUAAUUUCAACUAACUCUACAACAAACUAUUUUAGCUAACUUACUAACUAAUCAUGCACGUGUGACUUUGUAACCAUAUGAAGCCAGCUGGUAAUCCUUCUCAGCAACUUGUUGUGCUUCCUUAACAGCUGGUUUGAGAAGGCCAACUUGACAGAUUAAUUCCUUUUAAUAAUGGUCAAGAUAAUUUUAAUCUUCUCGUAAAAAAUUCUUACACACUUAUAUAUGAUAACGCCAUACAAAUGUAAUCAGCAUUGUCUUGUGCUGUUUUCUUCACUAAAGAUCUUCAAUCAAAACAGGUUAGAAAUCAAAUGCUUAACAUAGAAGUUGAAACAAAAUCUAAUUGAAUAUUGCAUGAAACAUGAAACAUCAAUUCAAGUCCUUCCUCAAACAGAGAAUGCAUCAAACAAAUCCAAAGUAUCUUGCAAGUCUGUAGCAUAAGCAAAACGCUGUAAAUACAUUUGGGGCAUUUAGUGUAAAUGUGUAUGAUAAAAAAUAUUUCUGGGAUUUAAUUUUUUGAUGGUUUUGUGUUUACGGUAUGUGAUUUGUUUGGAUUAAUGUGAUGUGUGUUCAUGCAUGCAAAAUUAGAGCAUGCCCAUAUCAAGAUUUUGUCUUAUUAUUAUUAUUAUAAUCAUUAUUUUUUUAUCUGAAUUAUGAAUUUAUUGAUUGGUUGGGGUCUUACAUGAUAAAUCCAAUUUAAUCUUAGAGACACUUUUAAUUUUUUAUUCUUUUUCUUGUUCAUGAUUGGUUGAGUUGUACACAUGAAAAGAAUUUAGUGGAAAUAUUUCUCAAUACUUGUAUGUGUUGGUACCUCUGUAUGUCAGUGAAUCAUGGUUACUCGUUUGAUAUCCUAGAAUCAACGUAGAAAUGCAUGUGGGAGGCUCUGUUCACUUUGAAGAUUGCGAAGAUUUAAUUUUGAGAAAGACAAGUCGAAGUAGAGAUAGAUCAUAAAUUUCCAGUUUGUUUUCAGUCAAAGCUUAAUUGUCGAAUACUUUCUUAAUAAAACUUGCAUUAUAGAUUUCUAUUUCCCGUACACGUUAGUGUGUCCAUCUUUGAACAUAGUGUACCUUACAGCUAACAGCACUCACACCGUUCGGCACAAGUUUCUUUAGUAAAUAUUCAUGCUGUGUAAGUGUGAUUGAAAAAUGAAGGGGAAAAAAAUCUUAAUUGUAUCCAUUACUUCAUAUCCAAAUUUUUUCCCCUGCUCUGGAAUGCUGUAUCAAUAUGGUAUGUCUGGUUGCAGUCAUGCUUCACUGUGGCCUGUGAGCUACCAGAAAUUGAUAAAUUCAUGGUUGGUUGAAGUAAUUUAAUCUACCCGCACCAAUUUAAAUUACCCAAAUAAAUGACUGGUUUGGUACUUCUAAAGCAUCGCCCAGUUGUGAAUACUCAUCAAAGGUAGAAGGUUAGACCAACCUUAGUACCAAAUGACACGUACAACACAAAUCCAUGUGGCUUCAAAUACAACAUUGAACGAUCUCAUCUUCAGCCAUGUUAGAACUCCGUCGGUUGGUUCUCAUCUCACGAUCGUGAACCAUGGAACCGGCUGAUUUGUGAAAUUGUUCGGGUAGCAAUGGAGCGACUUCCCAAACUGGCUCCCCAAGUUGAGAGAAACAAUACCUCAAUAAGAGUUCAAUGGUGUAGGCAGCAUCCAGCAGAGUCAUUUCAACGAAUUUAAUCAACACAGCUUAAUUCGAUUUUUUCUGCAUAAGAACCGAGUAAUUCUGCUUCUUUGAUCUUUAUGACUUGAACAAACUCCUUAAACCUUAUUUCGUCCGUUGAAGAAAGUCUUGGAGGCACCGCUGUUUAUGUUCUUCCAUGAACUGUAAGUUUGCUUUGCCAUGGUGAAGAGGUAUCCUCUUAUGAAUUUAGUUUAUAUCAAAAUAUGAGAGAGUCAAUAAUUGGAUGCAAGUCAAUAGCUGCAUGCAAUCUGAGGGCUAACAUUUGUUUGAUCAUUAUGUUAAAAAAAAAAAUGUUAUAAAACAGGAUUGAUUGAUGGCCUUUAACAGUCAGUUCUAUGACAAAGUAACCACCACAAAAAAGGGAAUCACAAGACAUCAAGAAGCUUGAACUUGGCAGGGGGUCUCAUUAGCAGUACGCCUCAGAAAUUAAGACAAAGACAAAGUGCAAGCUUAUGGAGCAAUUUAAGCACUGAAACUAAUAACAGUGAUAGACGAAGGUGCAGAAGUAUGGUAUUGGCAAUUGACCUCUGCUUUUGCUUAGACACAGGUUCUCAUUACAAAAGACUUAUUAGUAGCCCUCACCUAACAUGUUUGGAUGUUAAGGGGAAAAAGAAAGUUUGAAUUAUUCAAUCUCAUUUCUAAUGGCAUUCAUGGAGAAUCUAUAAAACAAAAAAAUAAAUAAAAAUUUUCAUCCAUGAAAAGCUUAGUAAUGGAAAAACCGACUCGUUUAUCUACCGCUGACCUAAUCCGGACUCAUUUAAUUAAAAAAGAAUACAAAGCCAAACUAAAAGACACAAAUUGCAUACAUGUCUAGGAGCCAUAUCAAAGCUGUUAUAUAACUUAUCCAAUUAUUAAAUUCUCUUACGGGUCAUAGCGUGCUUACUCAUUUCGAAAGCAGUUAAUGAUAAGAACUUUCAUCAUUAAUUGAUAUGGCCAAUGUAGAAAAACGGAAAAACCCCUCCAACAUCAAAGCACAAGGAUGAGUUUAGAAUUACACUUCUUAAUUACUUUUUUUUUAAUAAAUAAAAGUCAAUAUGAAAAUAGAAAAUAGUUUUGAAUUAAAAAAAAGUUUUGAAUAACUUUUUUUUUAAAAUGAAUAGAAAAACAGGGGAAUGAAAAGAUGGCCUCCGUUUCUCGUCUGUUUUGUUUUUACUGUUAUUAAACAGGGGAAUGAGGAAAGAGAUCCCCUGUCUCUACUCUGUUUUGAUUUUUUUAUUACUAAACUGGGGAAUGCAAAGAUCAAUUCUUGUUGCAAUCGCAAAUUUUUGUUUCUACCUUAGUACCUUCUAAAUGCUGCAUGCAUUAAAAUUAAUCUUACAUACGCUAAAAGUUCUGGAUAUAUCCAAAUUAUAUAAUGAUUUUAAAAGUUCAAAUUUAGCACUUAAUUUUAUAUGUUUGUACAUAAAUUUAAUGUGGGUAUCGUAUAUUGCAUUGUUGUUAUUCACAUUUUUUGUAUGCUGCAAUGAUCUCAAAACGGUAAAAUGCUUCGUGUGUCUCUUCUUUAUGUUUCUCGUUUCUGUGCAGGCAAAUCCUUCAUUGCAUAGUACUCUUCAGCUUGUACAAAGACGGCAUGCAUUUAGGUAUAAAUUCUUACACACUUAUAUAUGAUAACGCCAUACAAAUGUAAUCAGCAUUGUCUUGUGCUGUUUUCUUCACUAAAGAUCUUCAAUCAAAACAGGUUAGAAAUCAGAUGCUUAACAUAGAAGUUGAAACAGAAUCUAAUUGAAUAUCGCAUGAGACAUGAAACAUCAAUUCAAGUCCUUCCUUAAACAGAGAAUGCAUCUAACAAAUCCAAAGUGUCUUGCAAGUCUGUAGCAUGACCAAAACGCUGUAAAUACAUUUGGGGUCAAAUUAUUCAAGUACAAAAAAACGAACAAGUUGAAUCAUGGAUAAGAGAUUGUCCUGGUUCGAGAUAGCUUCUUUAUUGUACUUGAAGGGUGGGCUCAAUCUUUUCUUCAGAAUUUUGCACAUUUUGUAAUUAUUAAUGUGUAAGCAAGCAUACAAUACCACCAUCAUCAUCAUCAUAAUAAUAGUAAUUAAAAAAAUAGCAAGAGUAAUGAUGCGACCACAAACUCUUUUGUACAAAUAAUAUUGUAUAAACUAAUGUAACAUAAUACGAUUGGUUAAACUAAAACAUCCAAUGACCCUCAUGAUUUAUUUUUUAUUAUUAUAUAUUUCAGUCAACCAAUCAUAUUAUACCAUAUUAGUUUCUAUAAAAUAAUUUGCUAGCUAGCACCAAUAUUUAAUUAAUUAAUACUCACCAUUUCAUUGAACAAUUUUUGUAUGGUGUCAUUGAGAUUGCCUUCCCAGCAUCCUUCUUCUCCUUCGGUGAGUUUCACUUUGUUUAGCUUUGGUGUGUCUACAACUCCUUGAGAGAAAAUCUUCAUCUUUGGACACUGUCUCACAACUACUCGUUCCAAGGACGGGAAUUCAAGAGUAUAAUUACCCAAACAAAUGCUUGUUAGUUAAGGCAAACAAUCAAGUCCCAAGUACUCCAAUUUCCUGAAAACAAUGCAAUCUUUCGCUUCUUCUCCAACUUGCGAUUGUAUGAUUUCUUCUAUCAUUUUGCAAUCAACUAUCUUCAUUUUUUUAAGAUUCACUAGACUUUUAGAUGUUAAGAACGUCAACACAUUUAUCAACCCGUGACAUUUUGAUACUUCCAGAGUCGCCAGAAUUUCCAAAUGCCAUGAAGGCGGUACUAAUUUUUGCAACUUACUACAUUCCGAUACGUCUAGACUUUGCAAAUUUGCAAAAACUUUGUUGGAUUCGGCAUUUUCCUUCCAGAGAUGCAACACAUUGGGUAAUCUAGACAGCUUUAACCGUCUCAAUUUGGGGAAUGCAACCUGAAAAUCAACAAACUUAAGUUGUAAAGAAAAUACAUAACUAAUCUCUGCAGUCCUCCCAACAUUUUAUAUUCAAAUUGGUUUCAUUUUUGGAAGGAACCAAAAAAAAACAAACAAAUUAAUUACCCUUGAAACACAUAAAUCAAAUCUAAUGCUAAAUCCAAUAUGAAUUAGCUAGGAAAACAGAGAUGUAAGGCGUAAAAUGGAUAUAAUUCACACCAUGUUACCGAUCAUCUAAUUAAUUUGAGACAUUUUUAUAAUUCUUAUUGUAAAGUUAGUUAAUAAUAACAAUAAUACUGUUAAAUCAUAUAUAAAUUAAGACAACUUCUAGGAAGAUGAGUCAUUAAAUUUGAUUUUGAGUCUAAUGAAAUUACACCUAUGCGAAUGAAAGUGAAGAAGAAAUAAUAAUAAUAAUAAUAAUAAUAAUAAUAAUAAUAAUAAUAAUAAUAAUAACCACCUUUUCAUCGAAGGGUGGUUCUAUAUGAUCAGCUAGCUGGAAGUUCUCUGAUUUUAUUUCUUGAGGUUCCUUAUUAUCCGCUGUCAUGUGCUGCGCAGACAUAGAAUUGGAGAUGAAUGUUUUCAUAUUAGGGCAAUUCUCAAUGGUCAGAUGCCACAACUUAGGUAGUUCAAUUAUACUCUCGUUGGAGUUGCAAAAUCUUUUGAGUUUUGGAAGAUCCAUGAUUUUUAGUUCCCGUAGUAAAGGAAAUAGUAGACCAAAAUGUUCUUUGUUAGUGAAUUAGAUGAAGCUGGAGCAGAGCAUGAUGUUGCUAUGUAGCUGGUUGUAGCAGAUCAAAUCAUUAAGCUAACCUGUCAAAGUUAGUUAGCUGGUUGAGCUUAUGUGUCAAGUUAGUUAUACAGCAAAUGGUUAUGUGUUGCAACAAUCUCGUGUGUGUGUAAAGAGAUUGUAGCUCAAUAUAAAUAUUAAUCAGUAGUCAUUAAACUGUAAGCUUGGAAUAAUAAAAGAUCCAACAGAUUUCUUUGCAAAGCUCUUUUUUUUUUUUCUUUCAUUUUCUAGCCUACCAAACAAUAUAGAACUAAGUUUCUUUCAUGGUAUCAGAGCCAUAAAUGGCAAAUAUAGUUCAAAACAACAACUCUUUCAGUUUUGUUACGCCAUGUUACGCCAGUAAAGCUAGAUCAAAACAACUUCAUUCGGUGGCGCACACAAAUUUUAACUUCAAUCAAAGGAAACAGUUUGGAAGGGUUUAUCAAUGGCGAUCGAGAAUGUCCUGAGCAGUUCCUUUCUUCUGGAAACAACAAUGGAGCUGAAGUUUUAACUGAAUCUGGAUCCAGAUCUAUUAAUCCAGAAUUCGUAGCUUGGAUGAAGACUGACCAACUCUUACUGAGUUGGAUGAUGUCAUCGAUACAGCAAAAUCUGCUUGCUACUGUGAUUGAUUCUACAACUUCAAAACAGCUUUGGGAGACUCUUGCUAGUAUGUUUAUCUCUCAAUCACAAGCUAGAAUUCAAACACUUAGAAUGCAAAUUCAAACUAUUAAGAAAGGUGCAAUGCAUAUGUCUGAUUAUUUUGUAAAAGUAAAACGCAUAGCUGAUACUUUAGCUCUAGCUGGAAAACCUAUUAAGUUAAAUGAUCUUCUGAUGCAUAUAUUAACUGGUCUUGAUUCAUCAGACUAUGAGUCUUUAGCCACAGCUGUGUUAGCUCGAGGUGAAAAGAUCACAUUAGAUGAACUAUAUUCUUUGUUGUUGAAUCAUGAAAAUAGAGUUGAGCAAAAGAAAGGAAAAAUUGCUGGUGAUGUGAUGCAUAACAUGACAGCAAAUAUUGCUCAGAAGAACUCAAAGCUUCAACAACACUUUUAUAAUUGAGUCACAAUACAAUUUACAGUAGUGUGAGAAUCUUUUCAAGGUUACAAUCUCACAAAACUCGUGAGCACAGAUUCUAAUACACAUAACAAACUUUUGGAGGGAAGCUGAUAAGCUCUAUAACUAACUGCAAAACUGACUUCCAGCGUGGCUUGAUGACUCAGCAGCUGACUCAUCAUAUGUUAUUCUUAACACAUUUUUGUUCCUUCAACUACAACUAUCUAAUAUAAUAUUCUUUUGAUGACUGAAGAUCAAUCGUGAUAAUAUUAAUUAAAUAAUUAAUCAAUCAAUUAAUUAAUUAUUAAACAAAAAAUUUUCACCUUGUGAACAUGAUCAUCCUCUGCAAUGAUUUCUUUGAAUCCCUGAGUAGUUGUUGGUUUCUCCUUGUCGGGCCCUAUAAAUGAACAAAAACAAUAUAUAAUUAACCUCUAUUGUUUUUUUCACCAAAAAAAAAAGAAGAAUGAGCCAAUGUCAAUAAUCCUACCAAUAAUUAAUUUCAACACUUACCAAUAAUCAUUUUCAUUUCACGGCAAUCUUCCACUUCUACUUUAUGAAGCCGCAAUAGGUUUUUAGCCACAGAGAAUGAGAAGAGAUGCUUCAAUUUGCCACAAAAAGCUACUUUUAUAAUCCUUAAGUUGCUGAAGGAUUGAUCUUCUCUGAGUUGGCUGUAGCAUAUCGUCUCCAAAUUAGUUAAAAACAUAAGAGACAAUGACUCCAGCCAGGGAAAGACUUCGCAACGAACCCGUCCAACUGAACCGACAAUAUGUAAAAUCUUAGAGUUGUUGGAAAAAUAUGCUCUUUAAAAGCAUAUGUGUUUAUUUAAUUGUAAUAAACAAUUUUUCUGAUUAAUAAAAUAAAUGAGGUAUUUUAUUCAAAUAUCUUAAUUACAUUAAUAUUUGUAUUAAAGUCCAUUUAAUCAUAUUAUAUGUAUUUAUGUGAUCACCAUGUGGAUUCACAGAAGACAUAAAUACAAGUUAUCUUAUGAUUAAAUAAGUUUAGUUCGCAGUUGAUAAAUAAAGUUGGGCACUUUAUUUAGGUAUAAACUGUAAUAAAUUCAUUGAAUGAUUUGUCUUAAUCAUGUAUGAAUUUAUUGAUGUAGUACGACUACAUUGAACAGGAUCACAUAUGAGAUUUAAUUAACUUUGUAAUAACUGUCAGACUUAUUAAAUCUCAUAGGCAUUGAUUUUACUGUAAUCUUAAUCUUGAGUUAAUUAUGAUUUCAUGAUUGUAAUUGUUAUUCCAUUUGAGUUACCAAUGGGCACGACACAUACUUGUGGUCAAGAUUACCCGGUAUCUUGGUGGGAGCAAUUAUGAGUAUUGGAGUUAUGGAUUAACAAUAUAGAAUUUGUACAACACAUCUCUUGAUAGGUUUUCGGCACUUGAUCAUUGAAUUCUCUGGCCAAAGUGCGUCAACAUAUUUAGUAUGUUGAAAAUGAUCAUUAGAGAAAACCAGUAAGGAUCAAGGAAAAAGAUGGUAUUAAAUUGAUUGGACAGUUGAGAUAUCAAUUUAAUUAACGAUGUGGUACAAAGGAUUGUGCAGUAAAGAAAUCAAUGUGGCUUGGGACGAAUUAUUAUUCGAGCAUACAAUUAUGGAAGUCAGUUCCAAUCUUUUAGUGGAGUAGAUUUGGAAUUAAAUAAUUAGGCUAGUUUAAUUACAGGCCUAAUUGUUAUAGCCACUAUUGUAUGUUCCCAAAUGAUCCCCGGGUUAGCUCAUUUAAUUGACUGCACCACUACUGGACUAAUAAGCAAGAUAACUAGCUAUUUGGGCCAAAAGCCUAAAUAUAUCAUUUAGUGAGAGGCUCCAUUUAAUUAGCUUAUGUAAGGGGCCUUAUGUUAUUUUACAUGGUGGGUCCCCUAUUAAAUGAAAAGUACCGUGUAGGGUUUUCACUAAAGGGAGAUAUAUAAGGCUUAUUUUCUUAAAAGAAAAAGGUGGAGCCACUUUAUACAGAUCAGAGAAAAAGAUUUUUCUCUCUAUUGUUGAGAGAAAAAUUUUCUCGUGCUAGUUGCUUUGGUAGUGAUAAAGGCGCCCACACGUCAAGUGCAGAUCGAACCUGAGUCAUAAGCUGGAAGAUCAUUGGUGACAGUUCAUGAUCUAACAAGCGUGUUGGUGCAGGAUCGUGAUCUAACAGGAGUGGUGGUGGCGGAUCGUGAUCUAGGAGCCUAAAUCACUUCAACGGAAAAAGCCAAAUCGGAUUUUCAAGGUACGAUUUCUAGAAUACAAAUUCUUAUAUAUUAUAUGAGAGCGAUCUUCAAAAGGUUUUAUAAAAAUUUAAAAACCUGAUUUUUCCCAACAAGAGCAAUAUGUUACAUUAAGAUGCUUCAACUGUGGAAAACCUUCCCCAUCGUCUAAUUCAUGAACAACAUUCUGAACACCCUUCAGUUCCCGUAGACAAAGAUCUUCGGUUCUCUUCAUUAACAUUUUCGUCCCAUAAUUCUCCAAAAGAAUGCUAACUUUUCCUAGCCUCUUGAGUAUCAUCAAUCUUGAUGUUUCAGAUUUGACGUGCCGUUGGCCCAACUUAUCUCCGAUACAUAUCCUAUAUCUUUGCAAUUCCACAAAGACCAAAUCCUGCGGCAGAAUUUCGGCAUCUGGAACAUCUAUCUCCAAAGUAGUUAGCUUUGACAACCCCUUCAACUCGGUAAGACUGGCAUUGCUUCCUCCUUCAACCUUAUCCCACUGUGAAAAGCUGUUAUCCAUAUACAGUUCUUCUAAUCGAGAUAAUUUUGAAAUGACAUUCGGUGCUAUCACCUCAAGGUUCCAACAAUUGCUCAAAUCUAACAACCUUAACCGUGUCAAUUGUCCAAUUUCAAGUGGCAGCUGCUCAAUAUUAGAAUCUCGAAAGCUGAGAAUAUCUAACUUCUUUAGCUGUCCAAUUAUGGCUAUUUCAUUCAGUACACAACCAUCUAAACAUAAUGUUUGAACAUUGAAGAGGCAACCAAGUGAUGAAGGUAAUGAAGGGAUUCGAGCAUUAGUAAAAUGUAAUACUUUGAGUUGUUUCAUGCCUUCAAAAAAGAGGUCUGGGAUUAUUAAAGAGCUACGAAACUUUGUAAACAACAAAAGUAACUUGAGUUUUGGACAUUCCAGCCGUUCUGGAAGCUCAGAAGCCUUUCUUUUGUUUAAAGGUAGAGAAAUAGCGGUUGGUUCCUUCUCUAUUGUCCUUUCUAUCUCUUCCUUCAAGUCAGCAACAUUUGGGAUAUUAAACAUAAGCUUUUCUGAGGCAAUUGAUACAGCAAUAGCAUGAAUAAUGUCGUGCAUUUUAGCUUCAUCUUCAGCAUCACCAUCCAACAAUAAGCAUGACGAUUUGAGAAUGUCGAUCAAUGUAUCCACUCUAUUCCUUGCUGCUUCCAAUGUGUAAACAUUUUUAAACAAACCCAAACCCAUACCAUUUCUCAAUAAGGAAGGAACUUCUAGAGAAUGACCUUGACCGUAUAGACCACAAAGAAGGAACAAAGACUUUGCUUCAUCACUUUCCAAAAAUUUGUAACUCAAUUCUAUGGAAGUGUAGACAUUUGCAUCCAUUCCAUGAAUUUCUCUUGAAUUAGAAUUUCGCAGCUGAUUCAACGCAUCCUUUCAAAUGGCAAGCCUCUUAUUUUUCAGAGCAUUUGCAACUGUACUCACUGCGACUGGCAAAGCUCCACAUCUUUUAACAAUCUCAUUUGUUAUAGGUUGAAAAGCAGAUGUUUUUGUUGAAUCGCCGACUAUCUUCUCAAACAACUGCAAUGCUUCUUUGUCUGCUAAGAUUUCAAUUGAGAAAUUUUUCUGAGAUUUCAUAUCAUCAUGCAAUAAAUCACGACUUCUAGACGUCAAUAUUAUUGUCCAUCUUCUCUGAUCAUCCUCUCUACCUUUCUCAUCAACAUCUCCAGAAGGAAUUCCAACCGCAUCCAACUCAAGUUUUGUCCAAAUAUUAUCCAAUAUAAUGAGGACCCGCUUCUCUUGCUUCAACCUUUCACGCAGUCGAGAAGCUCUAUGGUGUAUACUAUCAUUCAAGUCAAAUUUCAUGCCUAAAUCAGAAGCGAGCUUGUCUUGAAUUUUCUGGGGAUCUGGGUUCUCUGUUACCCACAGCCAUAGCGACCUUAUCGAACAAGUUAUCUUCCAUCACUUGCUUUGCAACUUGCUUGACGAGCGUGGUUUUCCCCACGCCGCCCAUCCCGUAGACCCCAAUUAUCUUGAGCUUAUCGUCCUUCAACGCCUCCACAACAUCUUGAAGUACUUUCAUUCUUGAAUCAAAGGCCUCGAAAUCUUUCGCUUGCAUAUGUUCUGCCCGCUUUGGAGCAGGACGGUAGGAAACAUUAGAGAAGUUGCCUUUUCCCACGAGACUAGCGGCAGCUUCUGCGGCCUUUGCUGCUUGUUUACUAAGCUUGUAACGAGAAAUCAAGUUUGGGCACAAUCCUUUGAAGCAGGACUUCUUAGCUCUAUCUUCAACAUCAAUGAUGGAUUUUGCAACCCCUUCACUGAUGAAUUCGUCAACGCUAUGUAGCCAGUCUGUGACACCCUCAUAAAGCUCAUCCCCUUGUAGCCUAGCAUGAUUAACUGGUUGCUGCACCAUUUCUCUUUUAUAUCCCAGCUGCUUUACUUGAUCUUUUAGCUUAUCUAUGUAGCUCUAGUACUUGAACACAUAAGAUAUCUCCCGUAUAAUUGGUUUGAACAGUGACUUUGCACCUUCUGAUACGAUGCUGGAAAAAGCAGCCAGACCCACCUCUGCCAUUGCCUGCUGCUUAACAAAUCUAAUAAUAUGUCAAAUAAACUAAAAUGAACUAGAAGGAAAGACAAGAAAGGAAAAGACAGCAAACAGUAUCGCAACAUUGAUCUUGAAUCAACUGAAACAUGAACAGAGCAUUUUUUCUUCUUUAUUAAGGAUCAGAGUUUUUGCUAUUAACAGAAACGUACUUCAAGUGUCUAAAAAAACAACUAUAAAUGAACAAUAACUACAAAACUCAAGCAAAACAAGCCGUAAAAGUUUUAUCAUGGAAAGUGGAUGGAAAUUGAGAAAGAAAUGCUAUAAAGAUCAAGCAUCAGAGAUUAUGCUAUUAAAAGAAAUUAAUUGAAGGUUUUAGUACAAGUGCACAUGUUUAAUUAUAUGGCAUCAGAAAGUUGAUGAGCUAAUGUAAUCGCCUUGAAUAUUUAAGAACAAUUUCAAUGAGCAAAAAAAUUUCUGUUAACUGCAAAGGAAUGUGAUUAUAGAGAGCUUAUGAAAGUAAUGAUUUGCAAAAGAAGAAGACUUAAUAAUGCAGCCCUUAAUAUUUAUUAAAUGACUUGUGAUCAUUUCUUUUAUGAAUAAAAUGCCAGCAGCAAAAAUAGAAAAAAGGGCUAAAUUUACUAAGUCUUAUUUUAUUUUUGAUUUCUUUUAUUUUCAUUCGCCGAAGAGGGAGUCUCUCUCUCUUUUCUUUUUUCUUUUUUUUUUAAAGGGAAUCUCCUUACCUAAUAUGACAUAAUGAAAGCAAUCCGUAAAUAGUACAAUAAUCAUAUAAUAUAAUGAUAGAAAGCAAGUGCAUGAGCCACGAAGAUCUGGAAGAAUGCCAAAGCCAAACCAUAAGUAUAUUACGUGAGAGCAUAAGUUGAUUCCCAUGCAAGCCAUGCAUGACACAUGCAUGUGCAGUUUCACGUGUGGAAAUUGUAAAGAUGAGUACUGGAGCCAUGAUUUUGGGAUGACCUUAUCAAGUUGAUUUUGGGAUGACCUUAUCAAGUUGCUUUUGAUUAUCUUUACGAAAUAUUAGCUAGGUCGUUAUUUUAAUAUUUGUUUUAUUGAUUUCAGCCGUGAUUGUAGAUUGAAAAUCAAGGUCUUGUGAUUAUAAAUAAGCUCCAGAAUAUGAAUAAAGGCAUUGAGAAUUCUAAACAACAAUUAUUGGGUCCUUUCUCGCCAUAAGCAGAAAAAUAUCACUUGUGUUACGCGUGAUCAUUGGCUGUCUCUGACUGGGACCUAACAUUGGUAUCAGAGCUAGCUAUCAAUGAGGACCAACAAGGAGCGCAUCGAACGAAUUGAAACUGAUAUCGGGAGCUUACAGAACAAGAUGGAACAAAUGGAAAUUGGGUUCAAUGACAAGCUGCAACGUCUGGAGGAUACCAUGAACAAAUUGGUUGAAUCUUUUAGUGCAACCAGAGGCACUGCCAGUCACGGCACUAACGAGAACAUUGGAUCUUCACGACACGACACUAACGAGAACAUUGGACCUUCACGAUCAUUCCGCGAGGAAAGUGAAAGAGGUCGACCACCGAUGCCGACAAGACUUGCUAAGUUGGAGUUUCCCCGCUAUGCCGGCGACGACCCAACGGAGUGGUUCAAUCGGGUAACGCAGUAUUUUGAGUACCAAGAAACCACAGAUGAGCAGAAAGUAGUCUUAGCGGCAUAUCACUUGGAGGGCGAAGCAAAUCAAUGGUGGCAGUGGAUGUGCAAGGCUUACCGAGAAGAAGGUCGACCGGUUACGUGGGAAAUAUUUGUUGACGAGUUGUGGGCGCGCUUCGGACCCACUGAUUGUGAAGACUUUGAUGAAGCAUUGUCUCGGGUCAAACAAACAGGUUCUCUGCGAGAAUACCAAAAGGAAUUUGAGAGGUUGGGAAACCGAGUUCAUGGGUGGUCACAGAAAGCGUUGGUAGGCACUUUCAUGGGAGGGUUGAAAACGGAGAUUGCAGAGGAUAUACGGAUGUUCAGGCCACGAACGUUAAAGGAAGCCAUUAGCCUUGCUCGUAUGAAAGACGACCAGAUAACACGCCAACGAAGAUUAUUCCGACCAACAAUUGUCAGCCGAACACCGCCGGUCCCCAAUCGAGCAUCACCAACAGUACCCUUCAAACGACUGUCUUGGGAGGAGAUGCAACGUCGACGUACACAAGGGUUAUGCUUCAACUGUAAUGACAAGUUUACCGUUGGCCACAAAUGCACCAAGGCACAAUUACUGAUUUUAGAAGGCGAACCACAAACAGAAGAAUUCAUCUAUGAAGAGGUCACGGAAGAUGAUCCAACAACGGGACCAGCAGAAAUGGAAAAACCUAAAAUCUCUUUAUAUGCAUUAACGGGAUGGACUGCACCUCAAACAAUGCGAGUCAUGGCAAGGAUUGGGCCGUACAAAAUAAUAGUCUUAAUAGACAGUGGGUCCACCCACAAUUUCAUUAGCACUAAACUUGCUAAUUUGCUCCAAUUACCCGUCAAACCAAUGGAGACUUUCACAGUACGCGUUGCCAACGGUGAAAGAUUGACAUGUCAAGGGAAGUUUGAACAGGUACAACUUUUCAUUCAAGAUAUUUCUUUUUCACUCACGGUUUAUUCUCUACCGAUAUCAGGAUUAGAUAUGGUACUGGGUGUGCAAUGGCUCGAACUAUUGGGUUCAGUCGUAUGUAAUUGGAAGACAUUAACUAUGGAGUUUGAGUGGGGAAACCGGAAACAACGCCUACAAGGGAUAAAUCCGCAAAUGGUACAGCCAGCAUCGGUGACAGAAGUAACGAAGGAAAUUAAACAAGGUCAUGAGGUAUAUGCAAUUUGUUUCCAAAUAAAACUAGAAGAGUCGCUGGGCACGUUACCACCAGAUAUGCAGCAGCUGUUGACAAAUUAUGAGGCAUUGUUUUGUGAGCCCACGCAGCUCCCUCCUCCACGAGACAUUGAUCAUCGAAUUCCAUUAAAGGAAGGUACCGAGGCAAUUAACGUAAAACCGUACCGGUACGCUUAUUUCCAAAAAGCAGAAAUUGAAAAACAAGUACAAGAGAUGCUCACUUCAGGGUUAAUCCGGCCAAGCACCAGCCCUUUCUCCUCACCGGUGCUGUUGGUAAAAAAGAAGGACCGCAGUUGGCGCUUUUGUACCGACUACAGAGCUCUAAAUCAAGUCACCAUCAAAGACCGUUUUCCAAUUCCAACGGUUGAUGACAUGUUAGGCGAUCUCCAUGGUGCCGCAUAUUUCACAAAAUUGGAUUUAAGGGCAGGGUAUCAUCAGGUGCGAGUUAAUCCUGCGGAUGUCCAUAAAACUGCAUUCUGAACUCACAACGGGCAUUGCGAAUACCUAGUGAUGCCGUUCGGAUUGUGCAAUGCACCAUCAACGUUUCAGGCUUUGAUGAAUUCUAUUUUCCGUCCUUACCUCAGAAAAUUUAUACUUGUAUUUUUUGAUGACAUACUAAUUUACAGCCCCACGUGGAGCUGCCAUUUGAACCAUAUGAAACAGGCACUAGAAAUUCUUCGAGAACAGCAACUUUUUAUCAAGGCAAGCAAGUGCAAUUUCGGGCAGUAGGAAUUGGAGUAUCUAGGUCACAUAGUCACUUGUCAUGGCGUAAAGGUAGAUGACAAGAAAAUUGCGGCGAUGGUAACUUGGCCCCGGCCACAAAACAUCUCCGAGCUGAGGGGAUUCCUUGGUCUCACCGGAUAUUACAGAAAAUUCGUGCAAAGGUAUGGGUUGCUUGCUCGGCCACUCACUAAUCUUUUGAAGAAAGGACAGUUCGGCUGGAGUGACGAAGCGGAAAAAGCUUUUGACAAUUUAAAGAAGGCUAUGACUAUUACUCCAAUGCUCACCAUGCCCAACUUCAAUGAUACUUUCAUUAUUGAAACUGACGCUUCCGGCGAUGGUAUUGGUGCGGUGUUACAGCAGCAAGGAAAACCAAUAGCGUACAUGAGUAGAGCUCUCGGCAUCACAAAGAAAGCUUGGUCAGUUUACAACAAAGAGAUGCUCGCCAUUGUGGAAGCUAUUCGAAUAUGGAGGCCAUACUUGUUAGGGCAGGGUUUCACAAUCCAAACUGACCAUCGCAGCAUCAAGUUCUUCCUGGAACAGAAAGUCGCAACACCGGAGCAACAAAAAUGGAUGGUAAAAUUAAUGGGCUAGGAUUAUGAAAUUGUUUAUAGGCCGGGUCGAGAAAAUACAGCCGCAGAUACGUUGUCACGACGUUUUGACAGCCCAACUCUAUUUCAUGUCUUUAUUCCGCAGGUUGCUAUAUGGGAAGAAAUAAAAAACGCGGCCAGCAAUGAUGAGUACAUGAAGAGAAUAAAUUCAGUUGUGCAAGCCCAACCUUCAGGGCCUUACACGUUGCGGGAUGGCAUGAUAUUUUUUAAGAAUAAAGUAGUAGUUCCACAAGCAUUACGGGACACACUCCUAUUUCAAGCACAUGACACAAAGAUAGGAGGUCACUCUGGAAUUCUUCGCACAUUCAAACGUUUAUCACAACAGUUCUACUGGCCAUCCAUGUUCCAAACUGUGCGUGAAUACUUGAGUAAAUGUGCAACUUGUCAACAAACAAAGGCAGAAACACUCAAGCCGGCAGGACUUCUCCAGCCUCUGCCAAUCCCGUGUCAGGUGUGGGAUGAUAUUACACUAGACUUUAUUGAAGCUUUACCCUGGUCACAAGGGAAGAAUGCUAUUUUGGUAGUGGUAGAUCGACUGAGUAAAUCAACACAUUUUAUGGCUCUUUCUCAUCCUUACUCAGCAAAAACAGUGGCGGAAAAAUUUAUUGAGGGAGUAGUGAAGCUGCACGGCAUGCCCAAAUCAAUCAUUAGCGACCGAGACCCUAUAUUCAUCAGCAGAUUUUGGCAAGAGUUCUUCAAUUUAUCCAGCACCAAACUCAAAAUGAGCUCGGCGUACCACCCGCAAACCGACGGCCAAACGGAGGUAAUUAAUCGAUGCUUGGAACAGUACUUGAGAUGUUUUGUUCACCAAUGGCCGCGAAAGUGGCAUUCUUUUUUGCCGUGGGCAGAAUUUUGGUACAACACCACAUUCCACGUCUCCACCGGAAUGACUCCAUUCCAAGCUUUGUAUGGAAGACCACCUCCAACCGUGCCCAUGUAUCAACUUGGUUCCUCGCCGGUGCAUGAGGUUGAUCAAGCCUUACAUUCACGUGAUGAACUGCUCUUACAAUUAAAGAAAAACUUAGUCACAGCAGCUAACAGGAUGAAGCAAACAGCUGACAAGGGUUGCCGCGACGUUGAGUUCAAACAGGGAGAUAUGGUGUUAUUAAAGUUGCAGCCCUAUCGGCAGACUUCAGUGUUCAGAAGAGCACAUCAGAAAUUAGCUUGCAGGUACUUUGGGCCGUAUUUAGUUCUUCGCAAAGUUGGAGCCGUGGCCUACGAACUACAAUUACCAGAGAAUGCUCGAAUUCACCCGGUGUUUCACGUCUCUUUGCUUAAGAAAGCCGUGGGUGAUUAUGAUAGAAAGCAAGUGCAUGAGCCACGAAGAUCUGGAAGAAUGCCAAAGCCAAACCAUAAGUAUAUUACGUGAGAGCAUAAGUUGAUUCCCAUGCAAGCCAUGCAUGACACAUGCAUGUGCAGUUUAACGUGUGGAAAUUGUAAAGAUGAGUACUGGAGCCGUGAUUUUGGGAUGACCUUAUCAAGUUGCUUUUGGGAUAACUUUAUCAAGUUGCUUUUGAUUAUCUUUACGAAAUAUUAUCUAGGUCGUUAUUUUAAUAUUUGUUUUAUUGAUUUCAGCCGUGAUUGUAGGUUGAAAAUCAAGGUCUUGUGAUUAUAAAUAAGCUCCAGAAUAUGAAUAAAGGCAUUGAGAAUUCUAAACAACAAUUAUUGGGUCCUUUCUCGCCAUAAGCAGAAAAAUAUCACUUGUGUUACGCGUGAUCAUUGGCUGUCUCUGACUGGAACCUAACAUAUAAUAAGUAAAAAUACCCAUAUAUGUAUAAUAAUAAUGAUGGGAUCCAUAUGUUUAUACUAAUUAAAUUGGUGGACCAGAAUUUAUUUGACCUUACUUGUUUUCUAUUUAAUUAAAAUUGAACCGAUAGAGAAAAAUUGUCGUAUUGAUUGUUUCGAUUGUGGAGUUCCAACACUGAAAGUGAAGAUUUCAUCAACUUUCACAUGGACACGUACCGUCAUGCAUAUUGCAUUAUAUUCCUAGAAAAGCAAGAUUAAUUCUUUUAAUAAGCAAACGCGUAGGUGGGAAUCCAUUCAUGAAACAAGUGGAACGACAAUAUCAAACCAAUGAUAAUUCAAAAUCUGAAUCCGCCUGAUGGACGGCAACUCAUCUGAACCAUUCUCCUUUAGUAACAGGAGAAUAAAAUUAUAUCGAUGAUAGAUAAUUUCAAAACAGGGGAAUGAAAACAGAGGAACCUGAUUUUCCUCCCCUUUCUUUUUUCCCCCAACUCUUCUUCUUUUUAUAUUUUCCUUGGAAUUUUUGGCAAACGAAAAAAAAAUAUUACUAGUAAGCAAAGGGGAUUGAUUGAGGGUACAUUUGGGAUUUCUUUUAUUUCUUUAGGUUAUAGGUGGUUUACUUAUCAUGACUUGCACUUAGGAAUGGAUUAUGCACUUGUUUAGUCAUCAAUCAUGAGAACAUUUCUUUUUAAAGCAUCUAAUCAGCUUCAAACUAAUAAAAAAUUCUUUUUUCCCCCAACUCUUCUUCUUUUUAUUUUUAUAUAUUUGAUAAGCACGCUCACUAUUAAUAGAAUUCAUUAGAUAUCUUAAUUUAAAUAACUUCUUGUAGGGUGUUUGGUAAAUGAUGAUUAUUUGACAAUCAAUUUUCAAAUAAUCUACUAUACAAAUUUGAUAAGUGAAAAUUAAAAGUGUAAUAUUCAUGUGCAAUGAUAAAAAUGUACUUGUUUGCUUAUUUGUAGUUUAUUCGGAAUAUUAUUAUUAACAUCAUUUUUUUAUUUACUGGAUUUUUAAAGAGUAUAUUCUAUUUUCUUUAUUACAUAUCUAUAUCAUUUUUUUAUUAACUAUUUUAAUUUGCAAUAAAACUAACUUUAAUAUUUUUUUAACUAAAAAAAUUCAUGCUAACAUAUUAUCAAAUUGAUUAAUAAAUAAGUGCAAAAAGAAAAUGCAAAAAUUUAAUCUUUAUAUAAACUUUUAUGUACAUAAAACUAUUGCAAUCAAAGUAGUUCAUAAAAAUAAAAUAUUAUAUACAUGUGUGUAAAAAAAUAUAUAACUAUAAUAUUGUCCACUCAUUAAACUUGCAGCACUAUUAUUUCUCAAUCUCCCCAUCUCUCGACCUUUAGGAACAUUAAUACUAUGAUCUUCUUCUUAAAUUCGACCUCCAUUUCCACAGUAUCAACAAGGCGAUCAAUUUGCUGUGACAGCCUUUCAACUCCUCCCACUUUCCUCCCUUUUGCGGCCGCUCUUUUUCCUUUUCUUUCUUUGAUAGCUUCAAUGGGAACAAACUCAUCUAACGACAAGUACAUUCUUCAACCACAGUAGAAUUGGUAGUUGAUAUUUUACUACUCUCAGAUGGUAUCUAAACAUGGUCACCAGUGAUUGUUAUAUUAAAAAAAAUUCUAUUCAAAUUUUCCUCUGACUUUGUGUCGAUACCUUUCAUGCAAAAUCUAUUUGCUUCAGAAAUUUCUUCCGUAUGUUGAUAUCAUAUUAAAGUGAAUUCAAGAUCCUAUAUUAUUUUGCAUGACAUCAAAAUUUAGCCGAAUGGUAAAGAAUUUCCCUUUUUGUUUGUCCCACAACUAUAUAGUCUCAUUUUUGGCAAUAAGCUCACAAUAUGCACGGAAAUGAAGAUUUAUUAAAAACUUCCCUAUAAUAUUAAACACUAAACAAUAUCACUAUGUUGUGCAUAUGGUGCCUCGUCAACAAUUUGAUGUUCAUUUUGUUGCUCGGGUGAAUAUGACUACUUGCGUUGCGAGUCCAUGCUUUUGUCGUUUGGAUGGAGGACGGGCCAUCUUUUUAUUUUAGAUGGUUUGUAGGACUUCUGAUAAUUAUUUUUCUAAAACUGAUUUAUGGUUAAUAAGACCUAUGAAAGCAUUCAAAGAAGCCACCGAACUCAGAGGAAAGCCAUGGUUAAAUAUACUGUGAAGCACGUGAGCUCGUUUUUUAAUCUCCUGAUCACUCAUAAGCUUUUCUAUACCACUCACUAUAUCAUCCUUUUGAAUCGAUUUUGAUUGAUCAUCAGAGAUCAUGUACCCACCUUGAGAUGAUUGAUCACAAAUUUGGCAUUGUAAUGUUGGUCACCUCUAAUUGGCCAUGCUAAAAUUGGGACUCGACAACCAAUUGCUUCUACUGUUGAAUUCCAUCCACAGUGAGAUAAAAAUCCACUCGUUGAUUGAUGAUUCAAUAUCAAUGAUUGUGGCGCCCAUCCAUCUAUUAUCAAACCCUUUUUACCGACUUUAUUAUCCAAACCACUACGAAAAUAACUGCCUUCAGCUGGUUUGUCCAAAUGACGUAGAGGAUCCAAUCUACCUGCACCACCUUGAAUUACCAAAAUAAACGGUCGAUUUGAUGCUUCUAAAGCAUUGGCUAGUACUAAGUACUCAUCUAAGGUCGGAUCCACUUCAGUACCAAACGACACAUAUAACACAGAUCCACGUGAUUUCAAAUUCAACCAAUCUCAUCUUCCGUCAUGUUAGAACUCCGCCGGUUGGUUCUCAUCUCAUGAUCAUGAAGCUUUGAACCGGCCGAUUUGUAAAAUUGUUCAGGUAACAGUGAGCCCACUCCCCACACCGGCUUUCCCAAUUGAUUGGCUAAAUAAUUAAUAAAUGGUCCCUCAAGACCAUCACACGUGUUGAACAUCAACGCCAUUGAUCCCUCUACUUCCUUCAUCCAGUGUGGUUGAUCACCGGCUUCUAGUGGACCUUUUUUUCUCGGAACCGGGUGCACCUCGCAGAGGUGGUGGACCACUAGGAGGGGGCCCAUGAGGCCUGUGUUUAAGAUUCGAUUCAAAUAAAGCCAUAUCCUGGGGUAACC
RNAcentral lists this long non-coding RNA (471080 nucleotides) under Citrus x clementina. RNAcentral's name for it is "Citrus clementina (C. clementina) long non-coding RNA (CCLE_LNC002785)". The stretch from base 377957 to 378040 matches the Rfam family "tRNA". The record is from RNAcentral. Lineage: Eukaryota; Viridiplantae; Streptophyta; Magnoliopsida; Sapindales; Rutaceae.